This 432040-nucleotide long non-coding RNA is filed under the name Triticum aestivum (bread wheat). Its description in RNAcentral is "long non-coding RNA (TAES_LNC010565)". The stretch from base 54033 to 54167 matches the Rfam family "MIR1120/MIR1122 microRNA precursor family". The record is from RNAcentral. Lineage: Eukaryota; Viridiplantae; Streptophyta; Magnoliopsida; Poales; Poaceae.
GGACAGAGCAUCAAUCGCUAAAGAACUUCCAGAUUCAGUCACUUCAGCCCUCACUGGUUAGAAAGCAAAGGCAAACAAACAUCAAACAGUAGGUCUCGGAUCAACCAUCCAUCACACCUCUUCAAACAUAAUCAGAAGUAAGGAUGUUCUUUGCAAGUUUGAUUACAAAUCACCACAAAUUUCCCUGCUUAGAACAAUGUCAAGCACGGUGAACAAUUCACUAACUUCGGUGCAGCAAAGGAAGGCCAAUACAUUGUCAGAAGCGCAACUAUGCUUGGUCAGACACACAAUCAUUAGAACAUCACAUACAAAAAAAUCAGCAGCAGCAACCUGAACCCACUACACCUCACUCCAAGUGAAAGCAAAAUAACUAAUCUUCAGUACAGGUAGUGACAGUACAAAGCGACGGCCAAGCAAUCAGCGUACAAAUCUCAAGAAGACUUCAAGUCAGAGGCCGCCACCCGCGCGCCUCCGCAGGGAACCUGGCCGGGGGCCAAUGGGCCACAGCCAUGGGCACCACCGUUUGGGGAAGCAGCUCCGGGGCCGUGCCGGCGGCCGGUAGCACUGCCCCCGCGGUGCGCACCAAAGGCCAAGGCUGCGCCGUGGGCGCCGCCUCUGUUGCGGGCUGGUGCACUGUAGAACGCUGCCUUGCCGACCAUGUGCCAUCGCCCCGCAGAGCGUCUUGGCCAAAAAUAUGAAACAUAAUGCAAUGACAUGUUUAAAACUUUUUAUAAAGUAAAAAUAUUUCAGAAAAAUAGACAUCACAGUUUUCCAUAUGUAUCACACAAUAAUGUUUAGACUUUGUAGUUUUUUCUAAGAAGGUUGACCAUAUAUUCAAUACCAGUUGUUGAAAUAGGAACAUAUAGUUCUGCAUUUCCACUCUACACAUUGUUAUUUCAACAAAAAUGAAUCCAUUUUCAGAUAUUUUUCAUAUUGAUGAACUUCAAAUUGCUCAUUGUUUGAAGUAUUCGACAGUCUAUACACAGUCAGGGCAAGAUUGGACAGAGGAUGAUAAGGGUAAGAAGAUGGACCAGACACCAGAUUAGUGGACGACUAUGGGAUGACCUCAUAAUUCAGAAGGGAGUCAAAGUAAUACUCCCUCCGUUCCAAAAUAGAUGACCCAACCUUAUACUAACUUUGUAUUAAAGUUAGUACAAAGUUGAGUUAUCUAUUUUGGAACGGAAGGAGUACAUGAUAAGACAUCCUUAAAUUCAGCAUUCAAGGUCGUAAUAAUAUCCUGAUACUACAGAUAUGCUGACAGCAGAGCACGGUGUCCGUACCAAGUGGAACCAAACUUGUAGGCAAGUAAACCUGACACCAUACCAAUAUGUAAAUAAGAAGCAAAAGCGCAAGGAAAACAUAGCUCACACAAAGGACCGAGAAUUAGUGGCAUAAAUUACCAAAAGCAACCAGUUGUCCUAUAGUUCAAAUCAAAUUCUAAAGCGGAGGCUGAAUAUGGUAGAGACCCGUCAUCUUUUUAUUUUAAAACUUGUAGCGCCAGGAAUUACUCAGGGACAUUGUACACUGCAACAAUUUAAUGUUUGCUUGUACAUCACCGAGGACAUAUAGCUCCAUCUGUAAAUUCAGUAAAUUUGUACAAAUUCAGUAUAUUGACAAGGAUCAAUAUGUAGCUGAGCACCCUCUCAUAUUGAUCAUUGUCUACCUAUACACGGGGCAAAUUAGUUACCCACACACAUAUACACACACACAUGGGGAUCUAGAAGAAGAAAAAUCGGAUCAUCUAUAGGUGUUAUAUCUUUGCAGAAGGUAAAACCUUAGAGGUACCCUAAGUAAAAUUCAAUGUGUGUAAACUGAUCUGACAAGCGAAACUUUAAUUCAACAAACAUGGCAAUCACUAAUUCCGAUAAGAAGACAUGCUUGAUUAUAUGAUCUAAACAAUAGCCUUGUUAUAUUACCUGACGAUAUAGGGAUGACUGAAACUUAAAGUCCAUAAAUUAAGAAGUAAUAGGUCACAGGUUGCAGAAGAGGACCACGCUUGAAUUUCCAAAUGUUUAUCAAAUGAUCAAAAAGUCCAGUUUGAGACACUAUCAUCUGCAGCAGGGAAAUAUAGUAACAUCUGGGCAGUAUAGUUAGAAGCAAAAAUAAUGCAACUAAGCAAUCAUGAUGGAAAAGGUAAAACUAAUACAAACAGAGUACUACAGAGAACUACCAAUAUCACUGAUAAGUACUGAAUCCAACACACACAAAAAUCAACACUCUUAGCUGGAUGCUCCAGAUCUCAGGCCCACCUCACCUACCUCCUUCUUAGCUGUGUAGUUGCAGUGCUGACCAAGCAGCAUGACACUGCCAACGCGCGCCGGUGAUCAGCAUCAGUGUGAACUCGCCAUCAACGAAAUGAUCUUUCCCCUGUUCUAUUAGCGGGAGGUAUACUUCUCCAACACUGAACAUUCGGACUUCUCAGACAAAAUAUUUGGACACACAUGAGGAUUAAUUUUUGGAAUUAAUUGGUGCAUGCAUACAUUUUAUUUUUUGUCGAGUAGCUUGGGGAAUGAGGUCCCUUUAAUCUGAAUAAGAAAAAUACAAAAGUUGUUUAUCACUCUAUCCAUUUUUUCACCACUACUAUAUGGUUCCUGUAGGUUCGGGUUUAUUCUGAAAAAUAGUAGCAUCAUUAUUAGCAACGUUCAGUAGGUCAUUGCCUCUAUAUGAAUUGGCCUUUUGGAUAUGUGAUUCCACUCUUUUAAAAUUUAUUCAGUAUAAUCCUUGUAUAAUGUGUGAGAAAUCUAAUAAAAUAUGUUUAGACCUUGAGAAGCAUAUUAACAAAUAGGUGGCUAGCACGAUUGGCAAAACAGAGCAUGAUGGAUGACAGAGAAAGAGAGACAGAUAGAGAGAGUAUUUUUAGACCUUGAGAAGCAUAUUAACAAAUAGGUGGCCAACACAAACUUGCAAAACAUAGAAUACUGUAUGAGAGAGAGAUUGGGAUGCAACGUUGCUUACACAUAAAUUUUCUUGUGGACAUUUAGCAACUGGAUCAUGACUUGGGGUGAGGGAUCCAUGGUGGUCAUAAAAGAACCCGCAUUUUCGAGAUCUCACAGCAGCUGACUGGUGACUCCCUGUUUGGGCUCCGUAGACGCUUACGCAGCUGGAAUAAAAGGCAAACGUAUUGUCACCUGUUACCUUUCUUUCACGAAUUACAUUGCAUCAGAGAAUGGUAUAGGGCAAGGCAAAUCACAAAGUAACCUGGUUAACCUAUUGCAAUAUCAGCUCCUUUGUUUUGUUUUCAUGGAGCUGAUUCUCUAUCCACACAACAACCAUCUCACCGGUUGUGCCCAUAACAUCCGAGCCAACAUUUUCUUUACCGACAGCAGAUUCAAUCCUGUUGAUGCAGAAAUUUAUUCCAUCAUGAAAAUGAGUUUAAUUGCAGCACUGGAAGGGUAGUUAAAUUCAUGUACAUCACAACCCAUCAUAAGGAACUAACCUGACAGCGUGAGUACCAUCAAAUAAACACAGACCGACCUUACUUUAUGUGGGCCUGUAUGCACGAACAUAGAGCAUUACCAUAUUAUUUGCAAUUUACGGAUAAUUCAUAAAAGAAUCAUCUCACGAGAAACUCUUCUAUGGAUGGAAUUUUGUACAAGCAACGAGAAAAUAGAGAAAAUGGCAUACCUCUGCAAUUAACGAAUUGAGGAUCAUCCCUCUGUACCGGCUCAACACUUGUUUACAUUUCAUGCAGAUAAUUUCCUCAGCUCCAAUUGAAUGGCUCUGUGAACAAUUAUAGCCUACAAACAGCAUAACAUAGGCAACAAUCUAGUCUAACAAAAGACAUAAUCUAUUUCUGUAUUUCAAGGCCAUGUUGUGAAGAAGUAUUUUCCAUCCUACUAAUAUGUACCUAGAGGGUUAGACAAUUCUGAAGCUAAAGAAGGCACCUCAAAUACUCAGCAUGUUUCUUUGUUCCUCACCUGUCAGUGCACGUCGGUGACAGCCGGAGGAAGCCAACAUGCAUCCACCUGCAAGGACUUCACGCCGCCGCGCCGGAUCCCUCUUUCUCCCGCGCCUGUCUACCGUCUCCUGGCUUCGGCGAGUUCCUGCCGAGAUCGUCGCACCGUCCGUUCUUUCUCCCUCACCUCAUAUCUCCUUUCUGCCCAGGGGCCGCCAUGGAUCCGCCUGGGAAGCCGCACUCCGUCCUUCAUACGCGUCACCGACGACCUCCCCAUCGCCACGCAUGGAUCUGGGUCCUACAAGUCCGUCCCCCGAUGUUCUGCAUCGAAUGCGAGCCCUCCCGGGCGGUGCACAGCGAGGAGCUCAGGCACACGGAGGAGAGGAGUUGAAGCGAAACGGCGGCGAAGGGCGCUUCAAUCGCCAUCGUCAGCCGGCGGCCGGCGCGGCACCAUAUCGAGCACGGCGCGAGAUCGCGCCUCCUGGCGGCUGGGAUCGAGGGGUGACGGAAAGAACUACAGGUUGAUUCUCUGAAACCACAUGUUUUUUUGCAGCAACUUGGUCCUCGAGCAACGGCCCAACUUGGCCCAUAUGCGUGAGACGUGAAAACAAAGGCCUGAAUUACUUGAUUUCGUGGAUAGGUCAAGGUGGGCCGGAGGUACAAGACGGGAGGAUGCUCGAUCACGUGCUCGAUCAGGCGACGCACGAAGCUCAAAAUUUAGUACCACCUUGAUUAUGAUUUAAAUUUAAAGUGAAUGCGUAAAUUCACGAGAAGAAGCACAUUGUGACAGUGAACCCGAAGACUUAAUCCGUGCUUUAUUAUUAGGGAGAGAAGAAAGCAUCGCACGACGCAUACGAACUCGUUUAAUAUUACAGGAUCACAUGGGCAUGUUCAUUCAAAAAUUACAUCCUUGGCAUACUCAUCUGCCACUAAGCGGGAACCCUUCAAGACACUCUCAUAAUAAUUCUCGGGGCAGCGAUGCUCCUUGCCCUCCGGUGGACCCUCCUUCACCAGCUUCACAACGUCCAACUUCGCCCAGUGCACCUUCGCCCGGGCAAAAGCCCUGCGUGCACCCUCGAUGCAGAUGGACCGCUUGAUGACUUCAAGCCGUGGACAGGCUUCCACUAGCCGCCUCACCAGGCCGAAGUAGCUGCCGGACAGGGGCUCGCCAGGCCACAUCCGGACUAUAAGGCCCUUCAUGGCCUGUUCGGCUGCCUUGUGACGCUCGACCAACUGCUUCAGUAGGUCGCUCAAGGGCACGGGGUGUUCGGUCCCAGUAUACUGAGACCAGGACAACUUCUCCAUUGAGCUCUCCUCCUCAGCCCGGUAAAACUCCACGGCAUCUAGUACACUGCGGGGAAGAUCUACAAACGCUCCUGGAGAGCUCCGAACUCGGGUAAGAAAAAGGAAAGUCUCCUUCACAUGCUUGCUUUGCAUAUUGAAUGCCUUACCCGCUAAUAUCUUCUUCACCGCGUCAAUAUCCUGAAGGGCCUUGUGGGCUUCGGCCUUGGUGCUCCGGAUGCUUUCAACUGCCUGCGCGAGCUCAGACUCUCGCGUCUUGGAGUCAAGCUCCAAGGACUCGUGCUUUUUGGCAAGAGCCUCGAGCUCUUGCUGCACCUCGCCUACUCGGGCUUCUUGUUUCUCCCGUUCAAUGCGUUCUUUGGCCGCUUUGUCUUUGGCCUCAGACAACGCCUUCCUUAGGGUCUCCACCUCGGUCGUGGCCCCUGACAAAUUCAUGACGAUCCUAUUACUUCACACCCAAACUUCUUUUCAACUAUAUAGACAUGGGUAUAUCUUACCUUUGCUCUCUUCGAGCUGCCUCUUCGUAAGGCCGAGCUCGUCCUUGAUCCGCUUCAGGGCCUGCUUCAGCGCAGAGACCUCCGCAGUACAUGCGGCAGCGGCCAGAACUGAAGCCUGCACAUACACAUAGACAUACUCUAAUUAGACUCCUGAGUUAUCAUUUGAUCCUCAUUCGGUUUUUCUUCGCGAAUGCCGAACAGAGCAUCAGGGGCUACUAUCUAUGCGAUAAUAUUUUCUUAUAUUUUGAUUGCUUACCUCAAAGCCUGUUAGGAGGCUGGCGCAAGCUUCGGUCAGUCUGUUUUUGGCGGACUGAACCUUCCCGACCACCGCACUCAUGAUAGUGCGGUGCUCUUCAUCGAUGGAAGCGAUGUGAAGCGCUUCCAGCAAGUUGUCCGGUGCCUUUGGUUGGAUAGAGGACACCGGCACGAAUGGUUGGCCCCCUUAAUGGGGGACCGCCUGCCGGAGUCCGGAACCAUUGAAGGUUCCGACGCAGUGUCCGGCUAGGUCCCGAACUCGAAGCCCGUAGGAGCCUCGCUCCCUUGGUACCCAGGGUCCGGGAGGUCGCCGUGAGGCGCCCCCAGGAUCACCUCCCCUUAGCUUGGUGCCUUUUGAGACAAAACCUCGGCGUUGUCCGUAGGGCGAGGGGUGGAAGCGGUCGGAGGAGAACCGCUGUUCAUAUCCGAUGAGUCCAAAGAGCCGCUCGACGAGGGUACGUCGAGAUGAGCUCGGGACGGACUGCAUAAUCAUGUUCGGCAUGAGGAAAGGCAGUACAAUAAAACAUACCGUGAAGCACCAUGGUGUCCGGACACUUAUGACUUCGCCAGGGGCUUGUCCUUGGGUAGCCACUCGUCGCCGCUGUCGGCGGCCAUUGUGGCAUAGUCCGGAGGGAGGGUCCUUCCCUUCUUGGACCCUUCGACCUCCCCGGAUGGGUCGGCCUUCCUUUUCUUGUCUCCCCUAGCGGGGGGGGGGGACUUUUCUCCUCCUCCUCAUUUCUGUGGGAGGAGUGCGUGUCGAAGUCAUCGGACGAUGAGUCCGAUAUAACCUUGCGCCGGAGACCCUUUCGGGUGCCCGUGGCCUUCUUCGUGGCCUUCUUUGCCGGCACCUCGUAAGGUGCCGGAGUCAGCAUCUUCGUUAGAAGAGCAUCUGCAGGAUCUUCAGGCAGGGGGCUAGACAGUUAAGCUGCUCCGCUGUCUCUAUCCAGUCCUGUUAAUGACAUGGAAGCUUUUAUCCAGCACAUAACUAAACCGGGGCAACUAAAUACCCUGAGAGAUAUAAAAGCCUACCGGAUGGGCGCGGCGCUUUGCGCUGAGUCCGCGGUCCUCGGUGAGGGAGGGAGGCAUCUCGGCGCUCUUGAACAACACCCUCCAGACGUCCUCGUGCGUCAUGUCAUAGAGCUCUCGCAGCGUCUGGUGCUUGGCCGAGUCGAACUCCCACAAAACAAAUGCCCGUCGUUGACACGGAAGGAUCCGGCGGAAGAGCAUAACCUGGACCAUGUUGACGAGCUUGAUUUUCUUGUUCGUCAUGUUCUGGAUGCAGGUCUGGAGUCUGGUCAGCUCUACUGAAGAACCCCAGGACAUGCCCUUCUUUUUCCAGGAGGUGAGCCACGUGGGGAUUCCAGAUAGAAAUUUGGGGGCUGCCACCCAGUUGCAGUCGCGCGGCUCGGUGAUGUAGAACCACCCCGAUUGCCACCCCUUUAUGGUAUCCACGUAGGUGCCCUCGAGCCAGGUGACAUUAGGCAUCUUGCCCACCAUGGCGCCUCUGCACUCUGCUUGCUGGCCGCCCACCACCUUCAGUUUGGCAUUGAAGGUUUUCAGCCAUAGGCCGAAGUGGGGCCUGAUGCGGAGGAAGGCCUCGCACACGAUGAUAAACGCCGAGAUGUUGAGGAUGAAGUUGGGGGGCCAAAUCAUGAAAAUCCAGCCCCUAGUAGAACAUGAGCUCGCGGACAAAUGGGUGGAGAGGGAAUCCAAGUCCGCGGACGAAAUGGGUAAGAAAAACUACCCUCUCAUGGGGUUCGGGCGUUGGUACGAUCUGCCCCACAUUUGGCAGCCAGUGUGCAAUAUCCACGGCCAAGUAUCCGGCUUCCCGUAACUUUUUGAUGUUCUCCUCCGUGACGGAGGAGACCAUCCACUUGCCUCCUGCUCCAGACAUGCUUGGAGUGGUUCGAGAAGAAAAACGUGAGCUUGGGCGCUAGAGCUCGAGUGUGCGGGAAUGGGUAAGUGAGGAGGAAGAAGGCGUGGGUGAAAAAAGUAAAUCUUUGUCCCUUUUAUAAGGGCGGAAGAGGCGAUGUGCCUCCCCACUUACCUAGCAAAACCGCUUAUUCCCCAGGCACCGUAAUUGAUGGCGCGGUUGGGUUACCCACGUCUGUAUUGAUGAGAAUCCCGUGAUAGGGGGAACACGGUCUCUGCUUUGACAAGACGUGUCAAGAAAACCGCCUCGCGAUAUGUGCGGAGCUGGUUAAGAAAAGCGGUUCAAAUAAAAACCGGGCCAUGGCAUGAUGUCAUGCUGUCAAAACGUGUCAAUAGAUUAGAUUCAUGGAAAUAUUAUUCUCUCUACGGUGGCAUGUGGAACUUAUUUUGCAGGGUCGGACACUAUCCUUGUAUUCAAGAUCUUCAAUGGUGUAUUCGGAGGAGGAACCCGCCUUGCAAUGCCGAAGACAACACUGCGCACCGGACUCAUCGUCAUUGAAGCCUGGUUCAGGGGCUACUGAGGGAGUCCUGGAUUAGGGGGUCUCCGGACAGCUGGACUAUAUCCUUUGGCCGGACUAAUGGACUAUGAAGAUACAAGAUUGAAGACUUCGUCUUGUGUCCGGAUGGGACUCUACUUGGAGUGGAAGGCAAGCUAGGCAAUACGGAUUUGUAUAUCUCCUCCUUUGUAACCGACCUUGUGUAACCCUAGCCUCCUCCGGUGUCUAUAUAAACCGGAGGGUUUUAGUCCGUAGGACAAUAUACAAUCAUACCAUAGGCUAGCUUCUAGGGUUUAGCCUCUUUGAUCUCGUGGUAGAUCAACUCUUGUACUACUCAUAUCAUCAAGAACAAUCAAGCAGGACGUAGGGUAUUACCUCCAUCAAGAGGGCCCGAACCUGGGUAAACAUCGUGUCCCCUGCCUGCUGUUACCAUCCGCCUUAGACGCACAGUUCGGGCCCCCCUACCCAAGAUCCGCCGGUUUUGACACCUACACCAGUACUCAAAGCAUAUUUUUAGAACAAAUAGCAUCCAUCAAACGCGGGGGAAGAUCGUGGCUUAAUGUUUUGCCUCCCAACUUAGUUAUCAUAGAGAUAAUUGUCAACAAUAAUAAUUCAUGACCAAAUAUAUUUGUAUGGAUAUAUGUGUCUGGAUCUUUCCCCACCACAUGAUUCUUGGCAAGUAGAGAAUAACUGAGGUUGGAAUUAGAAGUUGACUCAAAAAUAAAAUUGAUAGAAAAAAAUAAAGAAAUGUCAUUCACAGAGGGAAGCAUGGAUUUGCUUAUGCGCCAGAGCUCAUUGCUUAAAACAAAGAUGAAUACAUUUUGAGUGGUGUGCUUUUCCUAUCAACGUCACGACAAAGGAUUUCAAUAUCUUCCAUACUAAACACAUUAUUGGCGGUUCCCAUGCAGAAAGGAAAAUAUUUACUCCCCGUAGCCACACAAUCACAAGCCAUGGCUAGCUGAAUCCAUGGGUGCCCUCCAAACAAUCGACUUUUCGGUGGGAGUUUGUUUUAUUAUAUUUUUCUUUAUUUUUUUGACAGGAUUGGGCAUCCCAAUUACCAGCCUUUUUUGUGUAAUGACAAGUGAAUAAACACUCAUCGAUAAACCACUUAUCAUGGAAGAUACUAACACACAAAACAGAUGUGUAUUUGAAGGUUUUAGAGAUGGCACAUGCAAAUUUACUUGGAACGGUAGGGAAAUACCAUAUAUAGGUAUUGUGGACACUCAUGGAAGAAACUUGGCUCAAGGAUUUUGAAUGCACAAGUUGUAUUCCCUCUUAGUAUAGAAAUUUUGGCUACCAAAGAUUAUAAACAAGCACCACAUAUUGGAGGAUCCGUAACAAUAUAACUUCUAUGCAAAUAUACCCGAACAUAACUCACUACGUUGUCUUCCUUGUCCAACUUAAACCAAUGUGAUCAAGUUUGAAAAUAAUUGAUGGGAAUUCACAAUCAUAAAAGAUGUCCAAGAUAAUAUAUUUGUAUGUGAAGUUUCUCUUCCUUCAAUAUUCUUUCAUGAAUUGUUCAAGUGACCAACGCUGUGUUUGUCAACUUUUAAUAAAUUUUACCACUUAUACUUUAUAUGAGAAGUCAUUACUCCCCAUGGGAUAACCAUAUGAAACAUAUAUAAUUUCAGAUUUACGAUACUCGAUUCAUUCAAACAUUUACUCUUAGGAUAUAAGUGAAGCACGAGAGUAAAUGACAAACUACCCCAAAAGAUAUCAGUGAAAAUCAAUGAGUAGUUAAACAAUUAAGUGGUAUGUGAAGACUCUCUCCAAAUCAAGAUUUCUGAAUCAAGUAUUUUAUUCAAACAACAAACAAAUGAAAAGACGCUCCAAGCAAAACACAUAUCAUGUGACGAAUAAAAAUAUAGUUCCAAGUGAGGUUACCGAUAAUGUUGAUGACGAAAGAGGGGAUGCCAUCCGGGGCAUCCGGAAGCUUAGACACUUGAGUCUUACUUGAAUUUUACCUUGGGAUGCCUUGGGCAUCCCCAAGCUUAGAGCCUUGCCGCUCCUUAUUCUCCUCAUAUUGAUAUCUCACCCAAACUUUAACUUAAUGAAACUUCAUGAGAUGCGCUAGUAUAAUAAAACAAAUCAUUCACUUGGGUACAGUUAAGACAAGAUUCAUAACUGUUUCCACAUAAUGCCUACUGUACUCUAUCAUUUCUACAAUUUAUAUUGACCAAUAUAAGCCAUAGAAACUAUAAAACAAGCAAACUAUGAAGUGAAUGCAAAAUCUGUCAAAAACAGAACAAUCUAUAAUGAUCUGAACAAAAACCAUACUUCUGCAUCUCUAAAAUUCUUAAAAGUUAAGACAAUGUAGGAAAUUUGUAUAUCAACAUUGUGUAAGAAUUUAAGAUCAAAAUCACAUUCCAGUAAAUUAUAGAAAUCCCUAGACUGGUCGCAAAAGUUUCUAUUUUUACACAGAAUCAAGUCAACUAUCAUCCACAUCAUCCCAAUGGCGUUACUUGGCACUUUAGUGAAGCAAAAGCUAUAAACAUGAUUACUAGAGUAUCUUAAUCAUGUGAAUACACAAAAACAUAAGGUAUAAGUAUUGUGCUGCCUCCCAACAAGCAUUUUUCUCUAAAGCCUUUUUAGCUAGACAUGAUGAUUUCAAUGAUGCUCACAUAAGAGUAAAGAAUUGAAACAUAACGAGAGCAUCAUGAAGCAUAUGACUAGAAAAUUUAAGCCUAACCCACUUCCUAUGCAUAGGGAUUUUGUGACCAAACAAAUUAUGGGAGCAAGAAUCAACUAGCAUAGGAAAACAAAAUAAGCAUGACUUCAAAACUUUCAACACAUAGAGAUGAAACCUGAUAUUAUUGAGAUUGUAAAAGAAUAUAUAUGUUCCUCUCUCAUAAUAAUUUCUAGUGGCAUCAUGAAAAAAAUCCAACAAUAUAACUAUCACAUAAAGCAUUCUUUGCAUGAUCCACAAGCAUAUAAUUUUUAAUACUCUUCUCAUCCAUAAUAGUGGGAGUAUCACAUGAAACUCGAAAAAAGUCCAUUUUACUACCCUGAAGAAACUUGGUGGUUCACAUUACCCACUGAUGUUUAUUUAUGUUCCCUUACCCCCUCAACAAUCCCAAACCAGUCAAAAAGCAUCCCUGGCUGGUUUGGCCCGGCUGGUUGCCGACAUGGACAUGUCAACGACGGUAUUUGACCAGUGGGGCCUGAUACGUCUCCAAUGUAUCUAUAAAUUUAGAUUGUUCCAUGUUGUUAUAUUAUCAUUCUUGGAUGUUUUACAAUCAUUUUAUAGUCAUUUAUAUCAUUUUUUGGUACUAACCUAUUGACAUAGUGCCCAGUGCCAGUUGCUGUUUUCUGCAUGUUUUUACAUCGUGUGAAAUCUAUAUCAAACGGAGUCCAAAUGCAGCGAAACUUUUUGUGGAUUUUUUGGCACCAGAAGACAUCCAGUGGGCCAAAGAAGUACCGAAGAGGGAGACCGACGUGAGCACAAGACACCAAGGCGCCUGGAGGCCCAGGCGCGCCCUGGUGGGUUGUGCCCACCUCGGUGGACUCCCGAACCACCUCUUUGCUCUAUAAAUACCCCAAUAUUCCAGAAACCCUAGGGGAGUCAACGAAAAUCAAUUCCAGCCGCCGCAAGUUCCAGAACCACCAAAUCCAAUCUAGACACCAUCACAGAGGGGUUCAUCAUGUCCAUUGGUGCCUCUUCGAUGAUGCGUGAGUAGUUCUUUGUAGGCCUACAUAUCCAUAGUUAGUGGCUAGAUGGCUUCCUCUCUCUCUUUUGAUUAUCAAUACAAUGGUCUCUUGGAGGUCCAUAUGAUGUAACUCUUUUUGCGGUGUGUUUGUUGGGAUCCGAUGAACUUUGAGUUUGUGAUCAGAUCUAUCUUUUUAUCCAUGGAAGUUAUUUGAGUCUUCUUUGAUAUCUUAUAUGCAUGAUUGCUUAUAGCCUCGUAUUUCUUCUCCGAUAUUUGGGUUUUGUUUGGCUAACUUGAUCUAUUUAUCUUGCAAUGGGAAGAGGUGCUUUGUGAUGGGUUCGAUCUUACGGUACUUGAUCCCAGUGACAGAAGGGGAACCGACACGUAUGUAUUGUUGCCAUUAAGGAUAGCAAGCUGGGGUCUAUUUACACAUAAAUAGAUCUUGUCUACAUCAUGUCAUCGUUCUUAUUGCAUUACUCCAUUUCUCCAUGAACUUAAUACACUAGAUGCAUGCUGGAUAGCGGUCGAUGUUGUAACGCCCCAUAUGUAACCUGCCAUAAUUGUAUUCCAACUCUUGCCAUUUCCGGCACUAAGUUAUGAGAUUCCUCGUUGUUGGGUUUUUGUCUUCGUGUUGUUUUGUCUUUGUUAUGCAUCUCAUAUCAUGUCAUCAUGUGCAUCGCAUUUGCAUACGUGUUCGUCUCAUGCAUCCGAGCAUUUUCCCCGUUGUCCGUUUUGCAUUCCGGUGCUCCUAUGUCCUCCGGUGGCCCUUUCUACCUCUUUUCGUGUGCGGGUAUUAAACAUUCUCGGAUUGGACCGAGAAUUUCCAAGCGGCCUUGGUUUACUACCGGUAGACCGCCUGUCAAGUUUCGUGCCAUUUGGACUUCGUUUGAUACUCCAACGGUUAACCGAGGGACUGAAAAGGCCUCGUGUGUGUUGCAGCCCAACACCCCUCCAAAGUGGCCCAAAACCCACCUAAACACCCUCCAUCAUCUUGGUCGUUCGAUCAUGAUCGUGUGGCAAAAAACUAUGCUCAAUUUGGAGCCUCCUAGCUCCUCCUACCUAUAAAAAGGUCCCUCUCCCCCGAAAUCCGGACGAAACACUAGACCCCUCCCUCGCCACGUCGCCGACCGCCGCCCUCUCGGCCACACUUGCCUCGCGCCGCCACCGUCGCCUCCAGCCACCGCAUCUCCGCGGCCUCGUCUCGGCGUCCGCGCCCGCCGGCGGCGCCGUUCCCCGCUGCGGCCACACCACCUCGCCCGACGCCGCCUCGGGCGUCAAGCCUCCUUGCUGGCGAAGACCCCCCUCACCGGACCACCUCUGCCCCGGCUGAAGCUCUUCCUCAACUCCGACGAGAGAAGCCUGGCCAUCCUCGAAACGCGUGCAAACCUGAUCCAGAUCUGAGAUUCGGUUGACCUUUUGCCCUAACCCUAGCUUUUUAUGCAUUUUUCAUCAUGCUAUAUCUCUGCAUCCGUGGCUCCAUUUUGGGCAUGUAGCAUGUCAAAUUGUUCGUCUCAACGAGUAAUUAAUUUCAUCUCAUUGCACCAUGUUCAUUUGAGCUCAUGUUGAUGCCCUAAAUGCUAUUGGAAGAGUGCUAGUUUAUAUUAGUUUCAGAUCCUUAUCAGGAUUUGGACAUUUGUCUUUUUUGCCAUGAUUAAUGUGUGCCUCCUAUGAUCUUGAGCCCUACAUGAGUUUUGAAGUAUGCCAUGCCAUCUUUACAGGGGUGUAUGCCAUGUAUUUUUGUGAUCUCUGUGGUGACUAGCACAAGCAUGCAAAGUAGCCCUUGUAAUGUUGCUGAUUUCAGGGACUUAGAAAUCUUCUAAGUCUCUGCCCUGUUAAUAUUUUUAUGCCAUGUAUCCUUGUUGCUACAGAGUGAUCCAUGCCUCUUUUGAGCAUGAUCAGUAAGGAUGUUUUGUACAUAUUGUUGUGCUCUAUCCAUUAAUGUCUUUUUUUGCGAUUAUGGAGCACCCUAGCUUGACUCAAUCAAUCUCUACUUUUGCUAUAAAAUGUUCCUGGCAGAAUGUUUACAUGUUAAGUAUUUUUGCCGAGCUUGUUGUAGUUGAUCCAUGCAUGCUAUGCUGUUGUUCUUGUCAUGUUUAGCUUCUAUGUCAUGUCUACUUGCUGGGUGUAUGCUUAGCUUGUCAUGCAAUGCUUUGUGGUGAGUGCAUCGAGCUCGUAAACAUGCCUACUUAAUAUCUGUUUUGCCAAGUUCCAGUUUUCUACUAAGUCUGAAUCUGUUAACGAAACUUGCUAUGUUAACGUGGUUGCCAUUGUAUUUUCUGAUCCCUUUUGGCUUAGGGUCACUAAGGGACUUUUGUUGUAUGCUUGGAGUAGCUUCAUGCCAUGCCUUGCUUUGCCAUGAUAUGUUCCUGUAGCAUGUCUUGCUCUAAACAUUGCUUCCUAAUGUUAAAUUCCUGACAUGUUGUCAUUUUCACUAAGUCUGUAACCUGUUAUCUUUUGCACUUUUUCCAUGCUUGUUUGAACCUGCUAUUGAGUGAAUUAGCCGUAGCUCAGUGUUCAUAUUUUGUCAAGCAUCUUGAGUGUAUCCCUGCCAUGUAUUUUGUUGCUAUGUUAGAGUGCUGUAGCAUGUUGUUCUUGAUGCAUUUAGAUGGCCUCGUGCUGUUAAUCGCAGAUCGGUGCCAUAUUUGUUUUGCUUGCCAUUUGCAAAUCAUGCAUCUGAUUCCGAUAAUCUUUAUAUCGAUUUCACCCGAAAUCAACUCCCCUUUCCAGUGGCACUCUUGGUUUUCCAAGUUGAGGCCAGGUUCAAUCUUUCCUUUCUGAAACAUGCAUAUGCAUCGCAUAUCACAUCCCGCAUAUCAUGCCAUGUUUUGCAUCAUGUUGCCUGUGCAUUGCACGCGGUUGAUUGUGUCUCCCUUUGCUUGUGUUCUUGAUUUGGGUAGAGUCGAGAGAUGAGUACGUGAUCGAGGAGCCCGUUGAGUACGCUUAUGAGGAUCAAGCUAACGUCUACUCGGAGAACUUUGCAGGCAAGAUGACCAUACCCUCGAAAUCACUUCUAUCUUUGCUUGCUAGAUGCUCGCUCUUUUGCUAUGCCUAUGCUACGAUACCUACCACUUGCUUAUCAUGCCUCCCAUAUUGCCAUGUCAAACCUCUAACCCACCUUGUCCUAGCAAACCGUUGUUGGGCUAUGUUACCGCUUUGCUCAGCCCCUCUUAUAGCGUUGCUAGUUGCAGGUGAAGAUUGGAGUUUGUUCCUUGUUGGAACAUGUUUAUUGUUGGGAUAUCAUUAUUAUAUCUUGUCUACUUUAAUGCAUCUAUACACUUGGUAAAGGGUGGAAGGCUCGGCCUUAUGCCUGGUGUUUUGUUCCACUCUUGCCGCCCUAGUUUCCGUCAUACCGGUGUUAUGUUUCUUGAUUUUGCGUUCCUUACACGGUUGGGUUAUAAUGGGAACCCCUUGACAGUUCGCCUUGAAUAAAACUCCUCCAGCAAUGCCCAACAUUGGUUUUACCAGUUUCCACCUAGCCUCUUUUCCCUUGGGUUUCCGGAGCCCGAGGGUCAUCUUUAUUUAAACACCCCCGGGCCAGUGCUCCUCUGAGUGUUGGUCCAAACUAGAGCCCUUUGCAGCGCCCCCUCGGGGAAACUCGAGGUUUGGUUUUAAUUGUACGCAAUGUUGGGGAUAUCGCUUAUCGGGAACUUAUCGGUCGACCCAUGAUAAAAGGUAACUCGGCCAAUUCAUCAGCAUAUCGGCCGAUUUAUCGCCAUAUCAGUUGAUUUAUCGACCGAUUUAUCUUAUCUGUCAGACAACGGUAAGUGAUAAAUCGGCCGAUUUAUUGAAAUAUCGGAAGAUAUCUUGAACAGUGGUUGUACGGAGCGCUUAUCUGAAUGUGCCCUGAGAACGAGAUAUGUGCAGCUCCUAUCGGGAUUUGUCGGCACAAUCGGGCGGUCUUGCUGGACUUGUUUUACCAUUGUCGAGAUGUCUUUUAACCGGGAUUCCGAGUCUGAUCGGAUUGUCUUGGGAGAAGGAAUAUCCUUCGUUGACUGUGAGAGCUUGUGAUGGGCUAAGUUGGGACUCCCCUGCAGGGAUUUAAACUUUCGAAAGCUGUGCCCGCGGUUAUGGGCAGAUGGGAAUUUGUUAAUGUCCGGUUGUAGAAAACCUUAAACUUAACUUAAUUAAAAUGAAUCAACAGAGUGUGUGGCCGUGAUGGUCUCUUUUCGGCGGAGUCCGGGAAGAGAACACGGUCUCGAGUUAUGCUUGAACGUAGGUUGUUCUAGGAUCACUUCUUGAUCAUAGUUUAUCCACCGUGCCUUUGCCUUCUCUUCUCGCUCUCAUUUGCGUAUGUUAGCCACCAUACAUGCUAGUGCUUGCUGCAACUCCACCUCAUACCUUUUCUCUACCUAUAAGCUUAAAUAGUCUUGAUCGCGAGGGUGUGAGAUUGCUGAGUCCCCGUGACUCACAGAUUCCUUCAAAAUCAGGUGCAGGGACCGAUGAUACCGCUCCAGGAGAUUCUACUGAGCUCAAGUGGGAGUUCGAUGAGGACUCAGGAUGAUACUACGUUUCUUUUCUAGACAAUCAGUAGUGGUGCCCAGUUGGGGCGAUCGGGGACUUUGUCGCAUUUGGGGUUGUUCCGUAGUCGUACCUUGAUUGUAUCUGGAUGCAUGUAAUGAUAUUUAUGCUAUUGUGUGACGUGGCGAGUGUAAGCCAACUAUGUAUCUCUUUUCCUUAUUCAUUACAUGGGUUGUGUGAAGAUUACCUCUCUUGCGACAUUGCUUACAAUGCGGUUAUGCCUCUAAGUCAUGCUUCGACACGUGGGAGAUAUAGCCGCAUCGUGGGCGUUACAAGUUGGUAAUCAGAGCCUUCCCCGAUUUAGGAGACCCCUGCUUGGUCGAAUCGCUGGCGUUGUUGAGUCUGGAAAACUGUUUUGAGUCAUUUAUAAUUAUAUAUAUGGGAGAGUAGGAUUCUUUUUACUCCUCGGUCCCUUCGUUGCUUUGGUGAGGCAUCCUGACAUAGAGUUUUGACUCUUCUCUUCUCAAAUUUCACAAUUUUUUUAGGAUCACGUGGGUAUCUUGGAAUCGUUCCGAUGGUUUUGUGAUGAGAACAUUGUUCUUGGUGCCUCCUGACAUUUAGGGGUUGUGACAAUGUCCCGGGGAGUUGAGCUCCGAGGUGUUGUCGUCACAAUUUUAUCGUUACAAUUCUGGAAUACCUGAGUUUCACCGACAUCGAAAAUCUCUUUUAUGCAGUUGUUGGUGAGAUAACCUCAACGGCACCCAGUACUGGGGCGGGAAUUCGGGAGUAUUGCCAUAACUCGUAUAACGGAUGCUUUUCGAAGGUUGAGGUAAAUGAUUUCAGAAGGUUUCUUGGUUAUGUGUUGAAGGAUGGAUACAGCUGGAUGUAGGAUUUGCUAGCUUUGGGUGAGAUAUUAUGCUUCCCCUGUAUCCCCAACACCUGAUUGCAUAACCGAGAGAAUUUCGGGAGUUUCAUAGGUGGGAAUUCUUGUAGCUCUAGUAUUUCUUCCGCAAAUAUUUGGUUUGUGAUUGGGUAAUCCUCACCAAGUAUUUGUUCUUGAAGGAAAUAUGCCCUCAAGGCAAUAAUAAAGUUAUUAUUUAUUUCCUUAUAUCAUGAUAAAUGUUUAUUAUUCAUGCUAGAAUUGUAUUAACCGGAAACAUAAUACAUGUGUGAAUACAUAGACAAACAGAGGGUCACUAGUAUGCCCAUACUUGACUACCUCGUUAAUCGAAGAUGGUUAUGUUUCCUAACCAUGAACAAAAGAGUUGUUAUUUGAUUAAUGGGAUCACAUCAUUAGAAGAAUGAUGUGAUUGACAUGACUCAUUCCACUAGCUUAGCACCCGAUCGUUUAGUAUGUUGCUAUUGCUUUCUUCAUGACUUAUACAUGUUCCUAUGACUAUGAGAUUAUGCAACUCCCGUUUGCUGCAGGAACACUUUGUGUGCUACCAAACGUCACAACGUAACUGGGUGAUUAUAAAGGAUCUCUAUAGGUGUCUCCAAAGGUACAUGUUGGGUUGGCGUAUUUCGAGAUUAGAAUUUGUCACUCCGAUUGUCGGAGAGGUAUCUCUGCGCCCUCUCAGUAAUGCACAUCACAUAAGCCUUGCAAGCAUUGCAACUAAUGAGUUAGUUGCGAGAUGAUGUAUUACGAAACGAGUAAAGAGACUUGCCGGUAACGAGAUUGAACUAGGUAUUGAGAUACCGACGAUCGAAUCUCGGGCAAGUAACAUACCGAUGACAAAGUGAACAACGUAUGUUGUUAUGCGGUCUGACCGAUAAAGAUCUUCGUAGAAUAUGUGGGAGCCAAUAUGAGCAUCCAGGUUCCGCUAUUGGUUAUUGACCGGAGACGUGUCUCGGUCAUGUCUACAUUGUUCUCGAACCCGUAGGGUCCGCACGCUUAAGGUUUCGAUGACAGUUAUAUUAUGAGUUUAUGAGUUUUGAUGUACCGAAGGAGUUCGGAGUCCCGGAUGAGAUCGGGGACAUGACGAGGAGUCUCGAAAUGGUCGAGACGUAAAGAUCGAUAUAUUGGACGACUAUAUUCGGACAUCGGAAAGGUUCCGAGUGGUUCGGAUAUUUUUCGGAGUACCAGGGAGUUACGGCAAUGCGGGGGAAGAAACAUAUGGGCCUUAUUGGGCUUUAGGGGAGAGGGAGAGGCAGGCCGCACGCCCCCAUUGACUAGUCCGAAUUGGACUAGGGGGAGGGGCGGCGCCCCCUCCUUCCUUCUCUUCCCUCUUUCCCUUCCUUGUCUCCUACUCCUACUACAUGGAAGGACUCCUAGUUGGACUAGGAAAGGGGGAAUCCUACUCCUGGUGGGAGUAGGACUCCCCUAGGGCGCGCCAUAGAGAGGGCCGGCCCUCCCCUCCUCCACUCCUUUAUAUACGGGGGCAGGGGGCACCCCAUAGACACACAAGUUGAUCUUCAUGAUCGUUCCCUUAGUCGUGUGUGGUGCCCCCCUCAACCAUAAUCCUCGAUAAUAUUGUAGCGGUGCUUAGGCGAAGCCCUGCGACGGUAGAACAUUAAGACCGUCACCACGUCAUCAUGCUGAUGAAACUCUUCCCCGACACUUUGCUGGAUCGGAGUCCGGGGAUCCUCAUCGAGCUGAACGUGUGCUAGAACUCGGAGGUGCCAUAGUUUCGGUGCUUGAUCGGUCGGGCCGUGAAGACGUACGACUACAUCAACUGCAUUGUCAUAACGCUUCCGCUUUUGGUCUACGAGGGUACGUGGACAACACUCUCCCCUCUCAUUGCUAUGCAUCACCAUGAUCUUGCAUGUGCGUAGGAUUUUUUUUGAAAUACUACGUUCCCCAACAGUGGCAUCCGAGCCUAGGUUUUAUGCGUUGAUGUUGUGCACGAGUAGAACACAAGUGAGUUGUGGGCGAUAUAAGUCAUACUGCUUACCAGCAUGUCAUACUUUGGUUCGGCGGUAUUGUUGGAUGAAGCGGCUCGGACCGACAUUACGCGUACCCUUACGCGAGACUGGUUCUACCGACGUGCUUUGCACACAGGUGGCUGGCGGGUGUCAGUUUCUCCAACUUUAGUUGAACCAAGUGUGGCUACGCCCGGUCCUUGCGAAGGUUAAAAUAGCACCAACUUGACAAACUAUCGUUGUGGUUUUGAUGCGUAGGUAAGAACGGUUCUUGCUAAGCCCGUAGCAGCCACGUAAAACUUGCAACAACAAAGUAGAGGACGUCUAACUUGUUUUUGCAGGGCAUGUUGUGAUGUGAUAUGGUCAAGACGUGAUGAGAUAUAAGUUGUUGUAUGAGAUGAUCAUGUUUUGUUGAAGUUAUCGGCAACUGGCAAAUUCGUUAUGAUUGUCUCUCUAUUGCAUAAGAUGCAAGCGCCAAAUAAUUGCUUUACUCUAUCGCUAUGCGAUAGCAAUAGUUGCAAGAGCAAUUGUUGGCGAGACGGCCAUGUAACGACACAUUGAUAUAGAUCAAGAUGAUGGAGAUCAUGGUGUCAUGCCGAUGACGAUAGAAAUCAUGACAGUACUUUGGAGAUAGAGAUCAAAGGCGCAAGAUGAUGAUGGCCAUAUCAUGUCACAUAUUUUGAUUGCAUAUGAUGUUUAUCUUUUAUACAUCUUAUUUUUGCUUUGUUUGAUGGUAGCAUUUUAAAAUGAUCUCUCACUAAUUAUCAAGAAGUGUUCUCCCUGAGUAUGCACCGUUGCCAAAGUUUGUCGUGCCCAGACAACACGUGAUGAUCGGGUGUGAUAAGCUCUACGUCCAUCUACAACGGGUGCAAGCCAGUUUUUGCACACACAGAAUACUCAGGUUAAACUUGACGAGCCUAGCAUAUGCAGAUAUGGCCUCGGAACACUGAGACCGAAAGGUCGAGCGUGAAUCAUAUAGUAGAUAUGAUCAACAUAGCAAUGUUCACCAUUGAAAAGUACUCCAUUUCACGUGAUGAUCGGUUAUGGUUUAGUUGAUUUGGAUCACAUAAUCACUUAGAAGAUUAGAGGGAUGUCUUUCUAAGUGGGAGUUCUUAAGUAAUAUGAUUAAUUGAACUUUAAUUUAUCAUGAACUUAGUCCUAAUAGUAUUAGCAUAUCUAUGUUGUAGAUCAAUAGCUCACGUUGUUGCUUUCAUAUGUUUAUUUUGAUACGUUCCUAAGAUGUUAGUAGCAAUGAUGCUGAUUGGAUCCAUGAUCUGAGGAUUAUCCUCAUUGCUGCACAGAAGAAUUAUGUCCUUAAUGCACUGCUAGGUGACAGACCUAUUGUAGGAGUAGAUGCAAAUGUUAUGAACGUUUGGCUAGCUCAAUAUGAUGACUACUUGAUAGUUUAGUACACCAUGCUUAAACGGCUUAGAAUCGGGACUUCAAAGAUGUUUUGAACGUCAUGGACCAUAUAAGAUGUUCCAGGAGUUGAAGUUAAUAUUUCAAGCAAAUACCCGAGUUGAGAGAUAUGAAGUCUCCAGCAAGUUCUAUAGCUAAAAGAUGGAGGAGAAUCGCUCAACUAGUGAGCAUGUGCUCAGAUUGUCUGGGUACUACAAUUGCUUGAAUCAAGUGGGAGUUAAUCUUCCAGAUAAAAUAGUGAUUGACAGAAUUCUCUAGUCACCAUCACCAAGUUAGUAGAACUUCGUGAUGAACUAUGAUAUGCGAGGGAUAACGGAAACAAUUCCCAAGCUCUUCGUAAUGCUGAAAUUGACGAAGGUAGAAAUCAAGAAAAACAUCAAGUGUUGAUGGUAGACAAGACCACUAGUUUCAAGAAAAGGGCAAAGGGAAGAAGGGUAACUUCAAGAAGAACGGCAAGCAAGUUGCUACUCAAGUGAAGAAGCCCAAGUCUGAUCCUAAGCCUGAGACUAAGUGUUUCUACUGCAAAGGGACUGGUCACUGGAAGUGGAACUGCCCCAAGUAUUUGGCGGAUAAGAAGGAUGGCAAAGUGAACAUAAGUAUAUUUGAUAUACAUGUUAUUGAUGUGUACUUUACUAGUGUUUAUAGCAACCCCUCAGUAUUUGAUACUAGUUCAGUUACUAUGAUUAGUAACUUGAAUCAGGAGUUGCAGAAUGAACAAAGACUAGUUAAGGGUAAGGUGACGAUGUGUGUUGGAAGUAGUUCCAAGAUUGAUAUGAUCAUCAUUGCACACUCCCUAUACUUUCAGGAUUAGUGUUGAACCUAAAUAAGUGUUAUUUGGUGUUUGCAUUGAGCAUGAAUAUGAUAUGAUCAUGUUUAUUGCAAUACGGUUAUUCAUUUAAGUUGGAGAACAAUUGUUGUUCUGUUUACAUGAAUAAAACCUUAUAUGGUUACACACCCAAUGAAAUUGGUUCAGUGGAUCUCAAUCAUAAUGAUACACAUAUUCAUAAUAUUGAAACCAAAAGAUGCAAAGUUAAUAAUGAUAGUGCAACUUAUUUGUGGCACUACCGUUUAGGUCAUAUUGGUGUAAAGCGCAUGAAGAAAAUCCAUGCUGAUGGGCUUUUGGAAUCACUUGAUUAUGAAUCAGUUGAUGCUUGCGAACCAUGCCUCAUGGGCAAGAUGACUAAGACUCCGUUCUCAGGAACAAUAGAGCGAGCAACAGAUUUGUCGGAAAUCAUACAUACUGAUGCAUGUGGUCCGAUGAAUAUUGAGGCUCGUGGCAGGUAUCAUUAUUUUCUAAUCUUCAAAGAUGAUUUGAGCGGAUAUGAGUAUAUCUACUUGAUGAAACACAAGUCUGAAACAUUUGAAAAGUUCAAAGAAUUUCAGAGUGAAGUGGAGAAUCAUCGUAACAAAAUUAAAAGUUUCUACGAUAAGAUCGCAAAAGUAAAAUAUUUGAAUUACAAGUUUGGCCUCCAGUUAAAAACAAUGUGAAAUAGUUUCACUACUAACGCCACCUAGAACACCACAGCAUAAUGGUGUGUCCGAACGUCAUAACCGUACUUUAUUAGAUAUGGUGCGAUCUAUGAUGUCUCUUACCGAUCUACCACUAUCGUUUUGGGGUUAUGCAUUAGAGACAGCUGCAUUCACGUUAAAUAGGGCACCAUCUAAAUCCGUUGAGACGACACCGUAUGAACUAUGGUUUGGCAAGAAACCUAAGAUGUCGUUUCUUAAAGUUUGGGACUAUGAUGCUUAUGUGAAAAAGUUUCAACUUGAUAAGCUUGAACCCAAAUCGGAGAAGUAAAUCUUCAUAGGAUACCCAAAGGAGACUGGUGGGCACACCUUCUAUCACAGAUCCGAAGGCAAGACAUUUGUCGCUAAGAAUGGAUCCUUUCUAGAGAAGGAGUUUCUCUCGAAAUAAGUGAGUGGGAGGAAAGUAGAACUUGAUGAGGUAACUGUACCUGCUCCCUUAUUGGAAAGUAGUUCAUCACAGAAAUCUGUUCCUGUGACUACUACACCGAUUAGUGAGGAAGCUAAUGAUGAUGAUCAUGUAACUUCAGAUCAAGUUACUACUGAACCUCGUAGGUAAACCAGAGUGAGAUCCGCACCAGAGUGGUACAGUAAUCCUGUUCUGGAGGUCAUGUUACUUGACCAUGACGAGCCUACGAACUAUGAGGAAGCGAUGAUGAGCCAAGAUUCUGCGAAAUGGCUUGAGGCCAUGAAAUCUGAGAUGGGAUCCAUGUAUGAGAACAAAGCAUGGACUUUGGUUGACUUGCCCGAUGAUCGGCAAGCCAUUGAGAUUAAAUGGAUCUUCAAGAGGAAGACGGACGCUGAUAGUAGUGUUACUAUCUACAAAGCUAGAAUUGUCACAAAAAGGUUUUUCGACAAGUUCAAGGUGUUGACUACGAUGAGAGUUUCUCACUCGUAUCGAUGCUCAAAGUCUGUCCGAAUCAUGUUAGCAAUUGCCGCAUUUUAUGAAAUCCGACAAAUGGAUAAACAAAACUGCAUUCCUUAAUAGAUUUAUUAAAGAAGAGUUGUAUAUGAUACAACCAGAAGGUUUUGUCAAUCCUGAAGGUGCUAACAAAAUGUGCAAGCUCCAGCGAUCCAUCUGUGGACUGGUGUAAGCAUCUCGGAGUUGGAAUAUGCGCUUUGAUGAGAUGAUCAAAGCAUAUAGUUUUAUACAGACUUGCAGUGAAGCCUGUAUUUACAAGAAAGUGAGUGGGAGCACUACAUCAUUUCUGAUAAGUAUAUGUGAAUGACAUAUUGUUGAUCGGAAAUAAUGUAGAAUUAUUCUGCAAAGCAUAAAGGAGUGUUUUGAAAGAAGUUUUUCAAAGAAAGACCUCGGUGAAGCUGCUUACAUAUUAAGCAUCAAGAUCUAUAGAGAUAGAUCAAGAUGCUUGAUAAGUUUUUUCAAUGAGUACAUACCUUGACAAUAUUUUGAAGUAGUUCAAAAAUGGAACAGUCAAAGAAAGAGUUCUUGGCUGUGUUACAAGGUGUGAAAUUGAGUAAGACUCAAAGCCCGACCACGACAGAAGAUAGAAAGAGAAUGAAAGUUAUUCCCUAUACCUCAACCAUAGGUUCUAUAAAGUAUGCCAUGCUGUGUACCAGAUCUAUUGUAUACCCUACACUGUGUUAAGCAAGGGAGUACAAUAGUGAUCUAAGAGUAGAUCACUGGACAUCGGUCAAAAUUAUCCUUAGUGGAAUAAGGAAAUAUUUCUCAAUUAUGGAGGUGACAAAAGGUUCGUCGUAAAAAGUUACGUCAAUGCAAGUUUUGACACAAAUCUGGAUGACUCUAAGUCUCGAUCUAGAUACAUAUUGAAAGUGGGAGCAAUUAGCUAGAGUAGCUCCGUGCAGAGCAUUGUAGACAUAGAAUUCGCAAAAUACUUACAGAUCUGUAUGUGACAGACCCGUUGACUAAAAUUAUCUCACAAGAAAAACAUGAUCACACCUUAGUACUCUUUGGGUGUUAAUCACAUAAACGAUGUGAACUGAUUACUGACUCGAGUAAACCCUUUGGGUAUAGGUCACAUGACGAUGUGAACUAUGGGUGUUAAUCACAUGGUUAUGUGAACUACUAAUGUUGAAUCACAUGGCGAUGUGAACUAGACUAUUGACUCUAGUACAAGUGGGAGACUGAAGGAACUAUGACCUAGAGGAAAUAAUAAAGUUAUUAUUUAUUUCCUUAUAUCAUGAUAAAUGUUUAUUAUUCAUGCUAGAAUUGUAUUAACCGGAAACAUAAUACAUGUGUGAAUACAUAGACAAACAGAGUGUCACUAGUAUGCCUCUACUUGACUAGCUCGUUAAUCAAAGAUGGUUAUGUUUCCUAACCAUGAACAAAAGAGUUGUUAUUUGAUUAACGGGAUCACAUCAUUAGAAGAAUGAUGUGAUUGACAUGACCCAUUCCAUUAGCUUAGCACCCGAUCGUUUAGUAUGUUGCUAUUGCUUUCUUCAUGACUUAUACAUGUUCCUAUGACUAUGAGAUUAUGCAACUCCCGUUUGCCGGAGGAACACUUUGUGUGCUACCAAACGUCACAACGUAACUGGGUGAUUAUAAAGGAGCUCUAUAGGUGUCUCCAAAGGUACAUGUUGGGUAGGCGUAUUUUGAGAUUAGGAUUUGUCACUCCGAUUGUCGGAGAGGUAUCUCUGGGCCAUCUCGGUAAUGCACAUCACAUAAGCCUUGCAAGCAUUGCAACUAAUGAGUUAGUUGUGAGAUGAUGUAUUAUGAAACAAGUAAAGAGACUUGCCGGUAACGAGAUUGAACUAGGUAUUGAGAUACCGACGAUCGAACCUCGGGCAAGUAACAUACCGAUGACAAAGGGAACAACGUAUGUUGUUAUGUGGUCUGACCGAUAAAGAUCUUCGUAGAAUAUGUGGGAGCCAAUAUGAGCAUCCAGGUUCCGCUAUUGGUUAUUGACCGGAGACGUGUCUCGGUCAUGUCUACAUUGUUCUCGAACCCGUAGGGUCCGCACGCUUAAGGUUUCGAUGACAGUUAUAUUAUGAGUUUAUGAGUUUUGAUGUACCGAAGGAGUUCGGAGUCCCGGAUGAGAUUGGGGACAUGACGAGGAGUCUCGAAAUGGUCGAGACGUAAAGAUCGAUAUAUUGGACGACUAUAUUCGGACAUCGGAAAGGUUCCGAGUGGUUCGGGUAUUUUUCGGAGUACCGGGGAGUUACGGGAAUGCGGGGGAAGAAGUAUAUGGGCCUUAUUGGGCUUUAGGGGAGAGGGAGAGGCAGGCCGCGCGCCCCCCCAUUGACUAGUCCGAAUUGGACUAGGGGGAGGGGCGGCGCCUCCUCCUUCCUUCUCUUCCCUCUUUCCCUUCCUUGUCUCCUACUCCUACUACAUGGAAGGACUCCUAGUUGGACUAGGAAAGGGGGAAUCCUGCUUGCGGUGGGAGUAGGACUCCCCUAGGGCGCGCCAUAGAGAGGGCCGGCCCUGCCCUCCUCCACUCCUUUAUAUACGGGGGCAGGGGGCACCCCAUAGACACACAAGUUGAUCUUCAUGAUCGUUCUCUUAGCCGUGUGCGGUGCCCUCCUCCACCAUAAUCCUCGAUAAUAUUGUAGCGGUGCUUAGGCGAAGCCCUGCGAUGGUAGAACAUCAAGAUCGUCACCACGCCGUCGUGCUGACGAAACUGCUUCCCCAACACUUUGCUGGAUCAGAGUCCGGGGAUCGUCAUCGAGCUGAACGUGUGCUAGAACUCGGAGGUGCCGUAGUUUCGGUGCUUGAUCGGUCGGGCCGUGAAGACGUACGACUACAUCAACUGCGUUGUCAUAACGCUUCUGCUUUCGGUCUACGAGGGUACGUGGACAACACUCUCCCCUCUCGUUGCUAUGCAUCACCAUGAUCUUGCGUGUGCGUAGGAAUUUUUUUGAAAUACUACGUUCCCCAACAGUUCUUGUCCAUACCUUGUUGUUCUAUUCAUCUACCUCUAUCUAAGUGGCUUCUCAAUUUAUGGAAGUGUGAUCAUUUCUAUUGGAAUUCAUUCGUUCAUUUUGUUCGGAUGUUAAGACUAUAUGUUGCAAUUUUGAUCCUUUUGAUUCAGCUUGAAUAUAUGUCUGUCAAGAUGCUAACGGAUGUCACCCUCUUCAGGAUGGCUCCUCCAACGCGUCAGAAUCCUGAACCGCCGCCACCACCUCCACCUCCGGAGGCAUGGCAAGCUGUGAUGGCCGCUACCAAUACCAACACACAGCUGAUCAUGCAACUCUUGCAAGAGCGCAACCAAGGGAAUCAAGGCCAUGGCAACAAUCAGAAUCAGUUUGCUACACUCAACCAGUUCUUCGCAAACCAGCCAAAGACCUUCAGCAACUGUGUCGAGGCAACAGACGCUGAUGAUUGGCUCGUGGAUAUCUGCAAGCAUUUCGAGUGUAGCAAUGUCAAACCUGAGGACUUUGUCAAGUUUGCCUCGUUCCAACUCAAAGACCAAGCUGCAAAAUGGUAUCAACAAUACAAAGAUUCCAGAGGAGGUCGUGUAAUUACCUGGGAUGAAUUCCGUCAAGACUUCAAAGCUCACCACAUUCCUCAGAGUGUUGUUGAGAGCAAGAGUGAGGAGUUCCGCAAUCUGAAGCAAGGCAGCUUGUCUGUUUACCAGUAUAACAUCAUGUUCUAGAAGCUCGCUCGUUUCGCUAAGCAAGACGUCCCUGACGAGAAGAGCAUGAUUUAUCAGUUCAGAGGUGGUCUCAGAGAAGAUAUCCAACUAGCUCUCGUGCUUUUUGAGCCGCAGAAGUACGAUGAGUUUUACAACAUGGCACUGAAACAAGAGACUGCUCAACUCAAGUGCGAUGCUUCCAAGAAAUGAGUCAGGGAUGCAACUCCUUCUUCCUCAACUCAAGUGGCAACUAAGCAGCAAAAGUAUUGGUUGCCUCCUCCUCCAUUCCGUCAUCCUUAUCAGCAGAAGAGCAUUGGUCGCAAUGGAUCUUCUCACCCACCCAACCCAGGCUUUCAGAACAAGACUUCAUCUCAUGCUCCAAGAUCAAGUGCUCCGUUUCACCGUCCGCUUUUAGAGGUCACGUGGAACAAGUGUCAGCAGAAGGGUCACUAUGCCAACAGAUGCUUCAAUCAGAGGCGUCUUCCUCCUCCUCCUCCUCCUGUGAGAUCUUCCAGCACCGUAGUGGUCAAGUAUAAUCCCAAGCACGCCAAGGUCAACAUGAUGAACGCAGCUCAGGCAAAGGACUCGUCAGAUGUGAUUAUGGGUAACCUUCCUAUUAACGAUGUUCCUACAAAAGUUCUUUUUGACACUAGUGCAUCGCAUUGUUUCAUUUAUAAACCUUUUGCAUCAAAGUAUGAGUGCGAUUAUUAGCAUUUGCAAAGAUCCUUAUCAAAUCGUGUCCUCGGGCAAGCAAAUGACAACUAAUAUAUGCGUCCCGGAUGUUACUAUCACGUUGGGCGACUACAAAUUUCUAGCUUCUCCUAUUGUUCUGGGCGACUCAGAUAUUGAUCUUAUUCUCGGAAUGGAUUGGCUUUCUAAGCACAAGGCUCACCUUGAUUGCGUUGCCAGGCAAAUUCAAUUGACACAUUCGUCUGAGGAUGUAAUCGUCUUUGCUGCUCGUGAUGAUACCAUUCGACUGUUUUCUCCCAACGAGAAGGGCGAGUUGGAUGCCAUCUCUCAGAUUCCAGUGGUUUGUGAUUAUCACGACGUCUUUCCAGAAGAGCUUCCAGGAGUGCCUCCUCACCGGCCAGUUGAAUUCGUCAUCGAUCUUGAGCCUGGCACGGAACCUGUUUGCAAACGUCCUUACAAGCUUGGACCUGAAGAGUUCAAGGAGCUGAAGAAACAACUCGAUAUUCAAGAGCGUAUGGGUCUCAUCCGACCAAGUUAUUCUCCAUGGGGUUGUGGUGUUCUUUUCGUCAAGAAGAAGGAUGGAACGGACCGACUUUGUGUCGACUACCGUCCAUUGAACAAGAAGACCAUAAAGAACAAGUACCCACUUCCCAACAUCAAUGAGCUUUUCGAACAACUCAAAGGUGCUCAAGUAUUCUCCAAGCUUGACCUCCGUAUGGGCUAUCAUCAGAUUCACAUUCGUGAAGAAGAUAUCCCCAAGACAACAUUCAGAACAAGCUAUGGUUCAUAUGAAUACACUGUCAUGUCUUUCGGCCUUGUCAAUGCUCCUCCAACUUUCUCUCGCAUGAUGAACUUCAUCUUCAACGCCUACACAAAUGACUUCGUCUUGGUCUACCUCGUUGACAUUUUGGUCUUUUCCAAGAACAAGGAGGAUCAUGCCAAGCACUUGAGAUUGGUGCUGGAUAAACUUAGAGAACAUCAGUUCUAUGCAAAGUUUUCAAAGUGCGAGUUUUGGCUCGAUGAGGUUCUCUACCUUGGGCAUAUCAUCUCCGCCAAGGGCAUAUCUGUUAAUCCUGAGAAGGUGUCUGCAAUUGUAAAUUGGGAACCACCUCAGAAUGCGAAGCAACUCCGCUGCUUCCUUGGGCUCACAAGCUAUUGUCGAAGGUUCGUUGAGAACUUCUCUAAGAUCGCAAAGCCUCUUUCCAACCUUCUCCAAAAGCAUGUGAAGUAUGUCUAGUCGCCUGAAUGUGACAUCGCUUUCAACACCCUGAAAGAGAAGUUAGUAACAGCUCCAGUUCUGACUCCUCCUGAUGAAUCCAAACUGUUUGAAGUCUUCUGUGAUGCUUCCCUUCAAGCUCUUGGUGCAGUGUUGAUGCAAGAGAAGAAAGUUGUGGCAUAUACCUCUCGCCAGUUGAAGUCCAAUGAAAAGAACUACCUCAUUCACAACCUCGAGUUGGCGGCAGUUGUCCAUGCUCUUUUAACAUGGAUACAUCUCUUGUUGGGAAGAAAAGUGGACAUCUUCACUGAUCACAAGAGUCUCAAGUACAUCUUCACUCAGCCAAACCUCAACCUCAGGCAAACUUGUUGGGUCGAAAUGAUUCAAGAGUAUAAUCCGAGUAUUGAAUAUACUCUAGGCAAGGCCAAUGUAAUUGCUGACACAUUGAGCAGGAAGGCUUACUACAAUAGUCUGAUUAUCAAGCCUUACCAACCAGAGCUUUGUGAAGCUUUCCGCAAACUCAAUCUUCAAGUUGUUCCUCAAGGAGUCAUUGCCAACCUCCAAGUCUCUCCUACUUUGGAAGAUCAGAUUCGUGAGGCUCAACUUCUUGAUGCUAUGGUGAAGAAGGUGAAGAUUGGGAUUGCCAAGAGUCAACCCAAGUACAAGUGUUAUUGUCUUGAUGACAAGGAUACUCUAUUCUUCGAGGAUCGCAUUGUUGUGCCUAAAGGUGACCUUCGUAAAGUCAUUAUGAACGAGGCUCACAAUUCACUCCUCUCUAUUCACCCUAGAAGUACAAAGAUGUACCAGGACCUCAAGCAGUCGUAUUGGUGGACUCAAAUGAAGCGCGAGAUUGCUCAGUUCGUGAAUGAAUGUGAUGUCUGCAGAAGAGUGAAAGCAGAACACCAACGACUAGCUGGUCUCCUCCAACCUCUUGCUAUUCCAGAAUGGAAGUUUGACCAUAUUGAGAUGGACGUCGUGACUGGGUUUCCAAAGUGCAAGCGUGGCAAUGAUGCUAUCUUUGUCGUCAUCGACAAGCUCACUAAAGUGGCUCAUUUUCUUCCUAUCAAAGAAUCUAUCACAGCAGCUCAGUUGGCAGAGCUAUAUACCUCCAGGAUUGUCUCUCUGCACGACAUUCCGUAGUUGAUAUCUUCAGAUCGUGGCAGCAUCUUUACCUCCAAGUUUUGGGAUUCUUUUCAGAAGGCCAUGGGCACCAACAUUUGCUUCAACACAACUUUUAAUCCUCAAACCAGUGGCCAAGCCGAGCGAGUCAAUCAGAUUCUUGAAGAUAUGCUCAGGGCUUGUGUCAUUUCUUUUGGUAUGAAGUGGGAAGAUUGUCUUCCAUGUGCCGAGUUCUCCUACAACAACAGCUUCCAAGCGAGUUCGGGCAAGGCCCCAUUCGAGAUUCUCUAUGGCAGGAAGUGCCGUACUCUUAACUGGUUAGAGACUGGCGAACGCCAACUUCUUGGAAAUGACUUGAUCACAGAGGCUGAAGAAAUGUGCAAAGUCAUUUGUGAAAAUCCCAAAGUCGCGUAAUCGCACCAGAAGAGUUACUAUGAUAGCAAACAUCGUGACUUGGCUUUCGAGAUCGGAGACCAUGUCUACCUCCGCGUCUCUCCAAUGAAAGGUACUCGUCGCUUCAGUAUCAAAGGGAAGCUUGCCCCUAGAUACGUGGGUCCUUUCAAGAUCAUUGGCAAAAGAGGCGAUCUCGCCUAUCAACUUGAGCUUCCAUCCAACUUUGCAAACGUGCACGACGUGUUUCACGUGUCUCAACUCCGCAAGUGUUUCAAGACUCCUGACCGCACCAUCAACUUUGAAGAGAUUGAUCUCCAAGAAGACCUUUCUUAUCAUGAGUACCCAGUUGCUAUUCUUGAAGAAACUGAGCGCAAGACUCGCAACAAGUCUAUCAAAUUCCUGAAAGUCAAGUGGUCACAUCAUUCCGACCGUGAAGCCACCUGGGAACGCGAGGACCACCUCCGUUCUGAGUACCCGGAGUUUUUCCAGUCCUAGAUCUCGGGACGAGAUUCUUUCGUAGUGGUGGAGUGUUGUAAUGCCCCAUAUGUAACCUGCCAUAAUUGUAUUCCAACUCUUGCCAUUUCCGGCACUAAGUUAUGAGAUUCCUCGUUGUUGGGUUUUUGUCUUCGUGUUGUUUUGUCUUUGUCAUGCAUCUCAUAUCAUGUCAUCAUGUGCAUCGCAUUUGCAUAUGUGUUCGUCUCAUGCAUCCGAGCAUUUUCCCCGUUGUCCGUUUUGCAUUCCGGCGCUCCUAUGUCCUCCGGUGGCCCUUUCUACCUCUUUUCGUGUGCGGGUAUUAAACGUUCUUGGAUUGGACCGAGAAUUGCCAAGCAGCCUUUGUUUACUACUAGUAGACCGCCUGUCAAGUUUCGUGCCAUUUGGACUUCAUUUGAUACUCCAACGGUUAACCGAGGGACCGAAAAGGCCUCGUGUGUGUUGCAGCCCAACACCCAUCCAAAGUGGCCCAAAACCCACCUAAACCCCCUCCAUCAUCUAGGUCAUUCGAUCACGAUCGCGUGGCCGAAAACCAUGCUCAAUUUGGAGCCUCCUAGCUCCUCCUACCUAUAAAAAGGUCCCUCUCCCCCGAAAUCCGGACGAAACACUAGACCCCUCCCUCGCCACGUCGCCGACCGUCGCCCUCUCUGCCGCACUUGCCUCGCGCCGCCGCCGUCGCCUCCAGCCACCGCAUCGCCUCGGCCUCGUCUCGGCAUCCGCGCCCGCCGGCGACGCCGUUCCCCGCCGCGGCCGCGCCACCUCGCCCAACGCCGCCUCGGGCGUCAAGCCUCCUUGCCGACGAUGACCCCCCCUCGCCGGACCACCUCUGCCCCGGCCGAAGCUCUUCCUCAACUCCGGCGAGAGAAGCCCGGCCAUCCUCUAAACGCAUGCAAACCUGAUCCAGAUGUGAGAUUCGGUUGACUUUUUGCCCUAACCCUAGCUUUUUAAUGCAUUUUUCAUCAUGCUAUAUCUCUGCAUCCGUGGCUCUGUUUUGGGCGUGUGGCAUGUCAAAUUGUUCGUCUCAAUGAGUACUUCAUUUCAUCUCAUUGCACCAUGUUCAUUUGAGCUCAUCUUGAUGCCCUAAAUGCUGUUGGAAGAGUGCUAGUUCAUAUUAGUUUCAGAUCCUUAUCAGGAUUUGGACAUUUGUCUUUUUUGCCAUGAUUAAUGUGUGCCUCCUAUGAUCUUGAGCUCUACAUGAGUUUUGAAGUAUGCCAUGCCAUCUUUACAGGUGUGUAUGCCAUGUAUUUUUGUGAUCUCGGUGGUGACUAGCACACGCAUGCAAAGUAGCCCUUGUAAUGUUGCUGAUUUCAGGGACUUAGAAAUCUUCUAAGUCUCUGCCCUGUUAAUAUUUUUAUGCCAUGUAUCCUUGUUGCUACAGAGUGAUCCAUGCCUCUUUUGAGCAUGAUCAGUAAGGAUGUUUUGUAGAUAUUGUUGUGCUUUAUCCAUUCAUGUCUUUGUUUGCGAUUAUGGAGCACCCUAGCUUGACUCAAUCGAGCUCUACUUUUGCUAUAAAAUGUUCCUGGCAGAAUGUUUACAUGUUAAGCAUUUUUGCCGAGCUUGUUGUAGUUGAUCCAUGCAUGCUAUGUUGUCAUUCUUGUCAUGUUUAGUUUGUCAUGCAAUGUUUUGUGGUGAGUGCAUCGAGCUCGUAAACAUGCCUUCUUAAGAUCUGUUUUGCCAUGUUCCAGUUUUCUACUAAGUCUGAAUCUGUUAACGAAACUUGCUAUGUUCACAUGGUUGCCAUUGUAUUUUAUGAUCCCUUUUGGCUUAUGGUUAGUAAGGGACUUUUGUUGUAUGCUUGGAGUAUCUUCAUGCCAUGCCUUGAUUUGCCAUGAUAUGUUCCUGUAGCAUGUUGUACCUUGCUCUAAACAUUGCUUCCUGAUGUUAAAUUCCUGACAUGUUAUUUUCACCAAGUCUGUAACCUGUUAUCUUUUGCACUUUUGCCAUGCUUAUUUGAACCUGCUAUUGAGUGAAUUAGCCGUAGCUCAGUGUUCAUAUUUUGUCAAGCAUCUUGAGUGGAUCCCUGCAUUGUAUUUUGUUGCUAUGUUAGAGUGCUGUAGCAUGUUGUUCUUGAUGCAUUUAGAUGGCCUCGUGCUGUUAAUCGCAGAUCAGUGCCAUAUUUGUUUUGCUUGCCAUUUACAAACCAUGCAUCCGAUUCCGGUGAUCUUUAUAUCGAUUUCGCCCGAAAUCAACUCCCCUUUCUAGUGGCACUCUUGGUUUUCCAAGUUGAGGCCAGGUUCAAUCUUUCCUUUCUGAAACAUGCAAAUGCAUCGCAUAUCACAUCCCGCAUAUCAUGCCAUGUUUUGCAUCAUGUUGCUUGUGCAUUGCACGUGGUUAAUUGUGUCUCCCUUUGCUUGUGUUCUUGCUUUGGGUAGAGCCGGGAGACGAGUAUGUGAUCGAGGAGCCCGUUGAGUAUGCUUACGAGGAUCAAGCUAACGUCUACUCGGAGAACUUUGCAGGCAAGAUGACCAUACCCUCGAAAUCACUUCUAUCUUUGCUUGCUAGAUGCUCGCUCUUUUGCUAUGCCUAUGCUACGAUACCUACAACUUGCUUAUCAUGCCUCCCAUAUUGCCAUGUCAAACCUCUAACCCAACUUGUCCUAGCAAACCGUUGUUUGGCUAUGUUACCGCUUUGGUCAGCCCCUCUUAUAGCGUUGCUAUUUGCAGAUGAAGAUUGUAGUUUGUUCCUUGUUGGAACAUGUUUAUUGUUGGGAUAUCAUUAUUAUAUCUUGUCUACUUUAAUGCAUCUAUACACUUGGUAAAGGGUGGAAGGCUCGGCCUUAUGCCUGGUGUUUUGUUCCACUCUUGCCGCCCUAGUUUCCGCCAUAUCGGUGUUAUGUUCCUUGAUUUUGCGUUCCUUACACGGUUGGGUUAUAAUGGGAACCCCUUGACAGUUCGCCUUGAAUAAAACUCCUCCAGCAAUGCCCAACAUUGGUUUUACUAGUUGCCACCUAGCCUCUUUUCCCUUGGGUUUCCGGAGCCCGAGGGUCAUCUUUAUUUAAACCCCCCGGGCCAGUGCUCCUCUGAGUGUUGGUCCAAACUAGAGCCCUUUGCAGCGCCCCCUCGGGGAAACUCAAGGUUUGGUUUUAGUUGUACGGAGCGCUCAGCUGAGUGUGCCCUGUGAACGAGAUAUGUGCAGCUCCUAUCGGGAUUUGUCGGAACAUUUGGGCGGUCUUGCUGGACUUGUUUUACCAUUGUCGAGAUGUCUUAUAACCGGGAUUCCGAGUCUGAUCGGAUUGUCUUGGGAGAAGGAAUAUCCUUCGUUGACCGUGAGAGCUUGUGAUGGGCUAAGUUGGGACUCCCCUGCAGGGAAUUGAACUUUUGAAAGCCGUGCCCGCGGUUAUGGGCAGAUGGGAAUUUGUUAAUGUCCGGUUGUAGAAAACCUUAAACUUAACUUAAUUAAAAUGAAUCAACAGAGUGUGUGGCCGUGAUGGUCUCUUUUCGACGGAGUCCGGGAAGAGAACACGGUCUCAAGUUAUGCUUGAACGUAGGUUGUUCUAGGAUCACUUCUUGAUCAUAGCUUAUCGACCGUGCCUUUGCCUUCUCUUCUUGCUCUCAUUUGCGUAUGUUAGCCACCAUACAUGCUAGUGCUUGAUGCAGCUCCAUCUCAUACCUUUUCUCUACCUAUAAGCUUAAAUAGUCUUGAUCACGAGGGUGUGAGAUUGCUGAGUCCCCGUGACUCAUAGAUUCCUUCAAAACCAGAUGCAGGGACCGAUGAUAUCGCUCCAGGAGAUUUGACUGAGCUCAAGUGGGAGUUUGAUGAGGACUCAGGACGAUACUACAUUUCCUUUCCAGACGAUCGGUAGUGGUGCCCAGUUGGGGUGAUCGGGGACUUUGUCGCAUUUGGGGUUGUUCUUUAUUUUGGUUCCGUAGUCGGACCUUGAUUGUAUCUGGAUGUAUGUAAUGAUAUUUAUGCUAUUGUGUGACGUGGCGAGUGUAAGACAACUAUGUAUCUCUUUUCCUUAUUCAUUACACAGGUUGUGUGAAGAUUACCUCUCUUGCGACAUUGCUUACAAUGCGGUUAUGCCUCUAAGUCGUGCUUCGGCACGUGGGAGAUAUAGCCGCAUCAUGGGCAUUACAGAUAUGUGGAGUAAUAGUAGUAGAUGCAGCAGGAGUCGGUCUACUAAUCUUGGACGUGAUGGCUAUACACUACUGCAGGAUGCUGCUAAUGCGACCCUACGAUCAGAGACCCUUCGAUGAAACUGUGUGCGAUGCAAUAAUCGCAAACAGUGGUGUAAAAGAUCCAUAAAAAAGGUGCAAAACAUUUGCGAUGGCGGAGCCAUCAAACACGGUUCAGAUUUUAGUGGCGUGUGCGAUGCAGGGCAUACAGUUCAGUUCAAUGAACUGUUUGCAAUGAGGCGGAACAAAAGAAACGGGCAGCUAGACGAAGGCGUGUGCGAUAUACAACAUACAGUUCACUCGGAUGAAUUGCUUGUGAUGAGGAGGAACAAUAGAAACAUGCAGCUAGAUAAAGGUGUGUGUGAUUGAGGGCAUACACUUCAGAAGGAUUAACUGUUUGCGAUUAGGCAACAUAACAGAAAUAGGUCGACCAGAUCAAAGUGCCUGCGAUUGAUGGCAUACACUUCACACGGAUGAACUGUUUGCGAUUAACCACAACAAACUGAAAUAGUUAGAUAGAUCAACAUGUGUGCACUAGACGGGCACACACAUUCUAAUUAAAAGAAGCGUGCGCGAUGGUAGUAACGAGCUCGCACGGUUGUUGGAACAAGACAUGUGCUGACAUUGCCUAUUGCGGUGCACCCUAUGGUGCAAAUGCCACGUACACGGCCGAGAAGGCGUACGUGCCAACGUUAUGCCUUUCUGGAAUAGUGCCACGCUUAUAACCGUGUGUAAUUUUUGAGCCCAUGUCCUGUCACAUUCCAAAUUGCAAACCUGUUCACACCGGUCAAAACCUAAACGGUUUCCCACUUAGGAGCAUAUUAUUACUCGGUUAUAAAUACUACUACUCCAAGAUGACUGCACAUUCCUCCUCAACUCCUUAUCCACAAAAACAAACAAGUCAUUCAUCAUUGUUACCUUGCGUCAGCCAUGGCCAGCAUGAGUUUUGGGUCGAGAGAUUGCGACUAGGGAGAUGCGAGCAUGGAAGCGAAAGCACGAGAGAUGUCCCACUUCGCCGCAAACGCGACCGGCAUGUCCCACCGCGUGGUCGUAGCAGCAUAGAGGUCCCGCCGCGCCGCCGAGGCAGCACGAAGUUCCCGCCACGCUGUCGAUGUGGCAGACUGGUCUGGCCGCACCGUGGAAUCAGAAGAAAUGUCCCGUCACGUCGCGAAUGCAGCAGAUAUGUCUUCUCGUGCCACGGUGGCCUGGGAAAUGUCUCGUGGUCAGGCAAGGACUCUUACAGGCGCAUGCAUGUGAUCUUCCAUAGCCAGAUGGAUCAGAUCUCCGGCUGCGCGAGGUUGCAGGACGACAUGAAAGCCUCUUUUGAAUAGGCUACCGGCAUCAUCCAACAACUAAAUGAGAGCAAUGCGAAGCUCCAGGCCGAGCGCGACCUGCCGAGGGCGAAGAUCGUCGGAAGUGCGGAGCAGCAGGAGGAGACCACUGCCUUGUUGAAAAGGACCGGCGUCAUCAUCGAGAAACUUAUGGACGAGAAUGCCAUGCUGCGCAUCAAGUGCAAAAGGCUGGUGGAGGAAUCUGUGGAUGCUCUCAAGCAGCAUCUUGAGGACAAGAAAGAGCUCAUCGCCGCUCGCCGCGGAGACUAGUUCCCGCGACCUGCAACAACACAUCAAAAAAGUAGAGAUCAGCGAGCCAGAUCAUUGUCUUCCUUCUUCUUUUGCCCUUGUGUAUUUCGGGAGUUGCCGCAUGUGGCAUUUUUUAUUUAUGUUCCUUUUUUGCAGGGAUUUUAAUUCUGUUCCUAAAUAUGUAAGACAAUUAUUAUCCACUUCAUCGUCCUUAUAUUCAUCAUGCUUGCUAUAAGUCGCAGUCGAUGCUAUAUAGGUCCGUCGGAUCUUACAUCAACAUCCGUGCAAAACUUUCUUUUCAGAUUUUCAUUUUUCUCUUUUAAAUCUCAGUCUAGUGAGACAUAUAGCCACACCGUAGAACAGGGGCUCGGGCGCCAUUAAUGGAGACAUUGGGAGGGAGGUGCGCGGCGGGUAGAGGUCAAAGGGCUCUCCUCCCGAUGAGCACGCGCAGGGGUCUGAUCGCAUGCCUCCCGUACUCAAAUAGCUACCCGGCACGACACCUCCUAGCCAAUAAAAAAGGGUACACGUGGCGGCAUGUAAUUGGUAAGUAGAACACCCACGGUCUCAAUGAUACUUGUGUUUCCGAUUUGUAACGUGACAACACUUGUUCCAAAACUACUUUGUUUAUUGUUAAUGUGUGCGCCUUCGCAAAUUGGACAAAAAAAUUACCACAACAUGUUGGUGCCAUGUCAUGACACCAUGCAAAGUUUCAUGAUUUUUAGGUGUGUUUUGGAUUUAUAGGAAUUAAAAAACCAAGUUUCUCAAUCUUUCCGGCUGAGCCAUGACGCCCAGAUGUUUGAAUUUCAUUCCCAUUUCUUGCAUGGGACCUAGAAAUUUACCCAAGGACACACAUGCGAUUUUUCAACCAACUUUGGUGCACUGGAGCAUGUGCUUGUAGUUCAAAUUUGAAUUAUGCACAUUAAAUGCCGAGAAACUCAAUUAAUGUAUAAAAAAGGCCAAACGAACCCGAAAUAAUUCCAAAGUUUAGCACGAUACUUCUAUUUGGACUAAUCUACCUGUGUAAAAAACUGAAGGCGGGAGAAGGCAGUGUACGUCGUUUCGCACACGGAGGUGACACGUUCCCUCUCGGAACAACGAGCCUUCUUGAGGGAAGCUCCGGUUUGCAAGAAGCUUACACCAAAGCUUGUCCCAAUUCGACCAAAAAAUUUACCACAUCAUGUUGGUGCCAUGUCAUGACACCAUGCCAAGUCUCAUGAUUUUCAUGCGUAUUUUGGAUUUACAGAAAUUCAAAAACCAAGUUUCUCAAUCUUUCCAGCCGAGCCACGACGCCCAGAUGUUUGAAUUCAUUCCCAUUUCUUGCAUGGGACCUAGAAAUUCACCCAAGGACACACAUGUGAUUUUUCAACAAACUUUGGUGCACUGGAGCAUGUGCUUGUAGUUCAAAUUUGAAUUAUGCACAUUAAAUGCCUAGAAACUCAAUUAUUGUAUAAAAAAGGCCAAACGUACCCGGAAUAAUUCCAAAAUUUAGCACGAUAGUUCUAUUUGGUCUAAUCUGCCCGUGUAAAAAAGUUAAGGUGGAGGAAGGCAAUGCACGUGUGUCAUUUCGCACACGAAGGUGAGACGUUCCCUCUCGGAACCACGAGUCUUCUUGAGGGAAGCUCCGAUUUGCAAGAAGCUUACACCAAAGCUUGUCCCAAUUCGGCCAAAAAAUUUACCACAACAUGUUGGUGCCAUAUCAUGACACCAUGCCAAGUUUCAUGAUUUUCAGGCGUGUUUUGGAUUUACAAGAAUUAAAAAACCAAGUUUCUCAGUCUUUCCGGCCGAGCCACGACGCCCAGAUAUUUGAAUUUCAUUCCCAUUUCUUGCAUGGGACCUAGAAAUUCACCCAAGGACACACAUGUGAUUUUGAACCAACUUUGGUGCACUGGAGCAUGUGCUUGUAGUUCAAAUUUGAAUUAUGCACAUUAAAUGGCCAGAAACUCAAUUAAUGUAUAAAAAGGUCAAAUGAACCCAGAAUAAUUCCAAAUUUUAGCAUGAUACUUCUAUUUGGUCUAAUCUGCUCGUGUAAAAAAUUAAGGCGGGAGAAGGCAGUGUAUGUAUGUAGUUUCGCACACGGAGGUGACACGUUCCCUCUCGGAACCACAAGCCUUCUUGAGGGAAGCUCCGGUUUGCAAGAAGCUUACACCAAAGCUUGUCCCAAUUCGGCCAAAAAAAUUACCGCAACAUGUUGGUGCCAUGUCAUGACACCAUGCUAAGUUUCAUGAUUUUCAGGCGUGUUUUGGAUUUACAGGAAUUAAAAAACCAAGUUUCCCAAUCUUUCCGGCCGAGCCACGACGCCCAGAUGCUUGAAUUUCAUUUCCAUUUCUUGCAUGGGAUCUAUAAAUUCACCCAAAGACACACAUGUGAUUUUUCAACCAACUUUGGUGCACUGGAGCAUGUGCUUGUAGUUCAAAUUUGAAUUAUGCACAUUAAAUGCGCAGAAACUCAAUUAAUGUAUAAAAAGGACAAACAAACCCGGAAUAAUUCCAAAAUUUAGCAUGAUACUUCUAUUUGGUCUAAUCUGUCUGUGUAGAAAAUUAAGGCGGGAGAAGGCAGUGUACGUACGUCGCUUCGCACACGGAGGUGACACGUUCCCUCUUGGAACCACGAGCCUUCUCGAGGGAAGCUCCAGUUUGCAAAAUGCUUACACCAAAGUUUGUCCCAAUUCGGCCAAAAAAUUUAGCACAACAUGUUGGUGCCAUGUCAUGACACCAUGCCAAGUUUCAUGAUUUUCAGGCGUGUUUUAGUUUUACCUGAAUUAAAAAACUAAGUUUCUCAAUCUUUCCGACCGAGCCACGACGCCCACAUUCUUGAAUUCCAUUCCCAUUUCUUGCAUGGGACCUAUAAAUUCACCCAAAGACACACAUGUGAUUUUUCAAAAAACUUUGGUGCACCGGAGCAUGUGCUUGUAGUUCAAAUUUGAAUUAUGCACAUUAAAUGCCUAGAAACUCAAUUAAUGCAUAAAAAUGUGAAACGAAACCAAACUAAUUCCAAAUUUAAACACGACGCUCAUGUACUAGUUGCGUGUUCACUGUACGUAAAUGUUCUAGCAAUUCAAACACCAUCCUUUCCCUCUGUAACACCAUUUUGUCUUUCAAAACAUAAUGAAAAAAAUCAGGUAUACCACAAACAGUUUACUAGAAAGAAUCGUGUGGGAUGUUGUUGGAGAUAUGCCCUAGAGGCAAUCAUGUAUGAUGAUAUUUCUUAUGUGUUUAUGAAUAAAGAUAGUCCUUGGACAUUAUCAAUGAUGUGUAUCAGCAAGUACGUGACUUGUCUGUGGGACUAUGCAUUGUAUGAUGACUGUCCUAAAAGGUCCCUAGUCGAAAGGGUUGUGUGGAAGCGCAGCCAACUAGACUAGCAUAUGACACGGUCGAUGGCUUGGUCUCACUAGCCAUGGAGUGAUACGUCUCCAUCGUAUCUACUUUUCCAAACACUUUUUCCCUUGCUUUGGACUCUAAUUUGCAUGAUUUGAAUGGAACUAACCCAGACUGACGCUGUUUUUAGCAGAAUUACCAUGGUGUUAUUUAUGUGCAGAAACAAACGUUCUCGGAAUGACAUGAAACUUCAUGGAGCAACUUUUUGGAAAAUAUAAAAAAAUACCUACAAAAGAUGAAGGCCAGGGGGCCCACCACCUCUCCAUGAGGGUGGGGGGCGCGCCCCCCUACCUCGUGGGCUCCCUGGUGCCUCUCCGACUCCAACUCCAACUCUAUAUAUUGUGUUUCGGGAAGAAAAAAAUCAGAGAGAAGAAUUCAUCGCGUUUUACGAUACAGAGCCGCCGCCAAGCGCUAAAACCUCUCGGGAGGGCUGAUCUGGAGUCCGUUCGGGGCUCUGGAGAGGGGAAUCGGUCGCCAUCGUCAUCAUCAACCAUCCUCCGUCACCAAUUUCAUGAUGCUCACCGCUGUGCGUGAGUAAUUCCAUCAUAGGCUUGCUGGACGGUGAUGGGUUGGAUGGGAUCUAUCAUGUAAUCGAGUUAGUUUUGUUAGGGUUUGAUCCCUAGUAUCCACUAUGUUCUAAGAUUGAUGUUGCUAUGACUUUGCUAUGCUUAAUGCUUGUCACCAGGGCUCGAGUGCCAUGAUUUCAGAUCUGAACCUAUUAUGUUUUCAUCAAUAUAUGAGUGUUCUUGAUCCUAUCUUGCAAGUCUAUAGUCAUCUAUUAUGUGUUAUGAUCCGUUAACCCCGAAGUGACAAUAAUCAGGAUACUUACCGGUGAUGACCGUAGUUUGAGGAGUUCAUGUAUUCACCAUGUGUUAAUGCUUUGUUCCGGUACUCUAUUAAAAGGAGGCCUUAAUAUCCCUUAGUUUCCGUAAGGACCCCGCUGCCACGGGAGGGUAGGACAAAAGAUGUCAUGCAAGUUCUUUUCCAUAAGCACGUAUGACUAUGUUCAGAAUACAUGCCUACAUUAUAUCAAUGAACUGGAGCUAGUUCUGUGUCACCCUAGGUUAUGGCUGUUACAUGAUGAACCGCAUCCAGCAUAAUUCUCCAUCACUGAUCCAUUGCCUACGAGCUUUCCAUACAUUGUUCUUUGCUUAUUUACUUUCCCGUUGCUAUUGCUAUCAUCACUACAAAACACCAAAAACAUUACUUUUACUACGGUUACCUUUUGCUACCGUUACCACUACUAUCAUAUUACUUUGCUACUAAAAACUUUGCUGCAGAUAUUAAGUUUCCAGGUGUGGUUGAAUUGACAACUCAGCUGCUAAUACUUGAGAGUAUUCUUUGGCUCCCCUUGUUUCGAAUCAAUAAAUUUGGGUUGAAUACUUUACCCUCGAAAACUGUUGCGAUCCCCUAUACUUGCGGGUUAUCAAGACUAUUUUCUGGCACCAUUGCCGGGGAGCAUAGCUCUAUUCUUUGAGUCACUUGGGAUUUAUAUCUGCUUAUCAUUAUGAAGAACUUGAAAGAUCCAAGAACCAAGAUUUAUCCCUCAACUACGAGGGGAGGUAAGGAACUGCCAUCUAGCUCUGCACUUGAUUCACCUUCUGUUUUGAGUAAGCUUGCGACACCUGAACCUGCUUCUGCUAUUCGUUCUGAUAUGUCGCAUGUUAUUGAUGAUGCUACUUCUGCUAUACAUGAUACUUAUGAUGAAACUACUUCUAUGCUUGAUACUACCGUGCCACUUGGUGAAUUUCUUGACGAACAACUUGCUAGGGCUAAAGAGAUUGAAAAUAUUGAAUCUGAUAAUACUGAUGAAAGUGAUGAUGAAGAGUCACUUGUUAUUCCCGAGGUUUAUGCUUUUGAUCAAGAAGCCUCUUUAGCUAUUUUAGCUUGCAAAUAUAGAUACGAACUUAAGAGGUUUUUAGCUAAAUGGAAUAAGAAAUCUCUAAAUGGUAGGAUGAAGCCUGAUCCUGCUUUUGCUACCACUACAAAAAAAAGACACAUCCGUGACAUUUUGGGCCGAAUGAUUUUUUUGUCAUCCAUAUGACACUUCUAUGACGAUAAUUGUGACAAAACCCGGUAUCAUCAUAGAUGUGGUGGGCUCCUACUUCUAUGACAAAAAAUCAUGACAGAAAAUGGGCUUUUCUUCCUGGACGGGCCGGAAACGCAGCUGCAUGACAUUCUUUGGGCCGUCCAUGAUGGAAAAAACCGUGGUAGUAGUGAGGGGGAGUAAAAUUUCGGGGAGUUCCCGGUUACGGUGGGAGGUUGGGGGCCGAGCGAUGCGCGUUUCUCUCAUACAUGUACGCGCGUGUGUGCGAGGCGUUGGGCUCUAACUGAACCCGAGCGAUUGCACUGCAGGCUACGCAUAACUGAACCCACGCGAUCGAUCGAUGGCUGUUAACUGAACCCGAUCAAGCGAUUCCUUCACUACUGCUGCUAACUGAAGCCGAUCGNNNNNNNNNNNNNNNNNNNNNNNNNNNNNNNNNNNNNNNNNNNNNNNNNNNNNNNNNNNNNNNNNNNNNNNNNNNNNNNNNNNNNNNNNNNNNNNNNNNNNNNNNNNNNNNNNNNNNNNNNNNNNNNNNNNNNNNNNNNNNNNNNNNNNNNNNNNNNNNNNNNNNNNNNNNNNNNNNNNNNNNNNNNNNNNNNNNNNNNNNNNNNNNNNNNNNNNNNNNNNNNNNNNNNNNNNNNNNNNNNNNNNNNNNNNNNNNNNNNNNNNNNNNNNNNNNNNNNNNNNNNNNNNNNNNNNNNNNNNNNNNNNNNNNNNNNNNNNNNNNNNNNNNNNNNNNNNNNNNNNNNNNNNNNNNNNNNNNNNNNNNNNNNNNNNNNNNNNNNNNNNNNNNNNNNNNNNNNNNNNNNNNNNNNNNNNNNNNNNNNNNNNNNNNNNNNNNNNNNNNNNNNNNNNNNNNNNNNNNNNNNNNNNNNNNNNNNNNNNNNNNGGAGUAGCGCGCGGUGGAGGCUGGAUGAACAGGAGCCCGUGGAGGCUGGAGGAGGUCGACGGUGGAGAUGAACAGUAUCCCGUGGAGUCUCGUUUUGCGGCACGCCACACCCCUCCUGAUGAACAGGACCCCCGUUUAAACCAUAGCGCUCCAACACAAGUCUGUUUCGUCCGUUUUACGGUAUGCCACACCCUCCUGAUCAACAGGACCCCCGUUUCGACCAUAAGAGGUCCGUUUCGUCCGUUUUGCGGUAUGCCACACCCCUCCCGAUGAACAUGACCCCCGUUUCGACCGUAGGAGGUCCGUUUCCUCCGUUUUGCGGUACGUCAGACCACUCCCGAUCAACAGGACCCCGUUCCGAAUGUAGGAGGUCCGUUUCCUCCGUUGUGCGGUACGCCAUGCCUCGUUUCCAUCGCCUGUUCCGUCCAAGCCCUCCUGAUGAACACGACCGCGCAUUUCGUUUCUACCCAGCCGGUUGGCUCCCACGCGUUCCGUUGCCUCCCGAUGAACACGACGCAUUCCGUUGCCUCCCCAUGAACACGACGAUAAUGAUGUUUCUCCGUUCCGACCAAGCCAUGUACACGGGCCCUGGCCGUACGUAUGCGCGAGUAGGCCUUCGAGACCCCGCCCGUAUGUACACAUACGUGGCCGUAUUUUCUUUCUUGCACCCUGGCCGCUGUACGUACGUGUACAUGCUACGUGCGCGCCUCUACUACGACAUGUGCGCGCCUCUACAUCCACCAGUAUAUAUGUACGUACACGUUAGCGACUAGAAUGACAACGCUACGUACGCUUCGACCAGGUGGGUCCCGACUGUCAGGCACUUCCUUGGCUGCGAAGAUGUAGCUGGUGGGUCCCAGCAGUCAGGGGGAACAUUUUUUUCGCGAAAUAUAGUGGCCCAUCCGGUGGGUCCCAGCUGUCAGGUGGAGGAAUCAUUAUUUUCCGCGUAAUAAGGAGGCACUUCCUUGCUGCGGCCGUGGACCCAGCUGUCAGCCUCUCCACGUAUACUCCACGUCCGAUGGAAGUCGUUCCUUGACCAUGUUGACCACGUCGCGCCGAGAGCACCAGGGCGGUGGACGACGGUGAGGCCUAGGAAGGGGACAACGGGGAGCCGGGGAAGACGCGGCAGUGUUAGCCAGCGCGGAGAGGAGUACGAGGGUUCACUGGUUCGGUUGCGGUGUGAGGUUGCCGUCGCCGCAAGGCUGGCCAGCGGUGGGAAUAGUAUGGGCAGUGAGGCCUCCGCGGCAGCACAGCCGGCCACGGGAGGCAGGAGCAUGCGGCACGACCGGCGCUGCAUUGGGCGGCUGGAGCAAGAAGACCAGAGGUUGAAGAAGCACUACGACCUUUGGAUGGACAUCGUACGGUCACUGGAUCUAGAAUCGUUCAUAUUGACUAAAGUUGACAAAGGCCCCCAUCCCAGUCAACUUAGUAGGCCCACAAGUCAGCCUCCCACCAUGGUGGGUCCCAGCUAGUAGGGGGAGUAUUCAUUUUUUGUGCGUAAUAAGGAGGCACUUCCGGUGGGUUCGAGCUGACAGCGGGGGGAACGUUUUUUUGGCGAAAUAUGCUGGCCCGUCCAGUGGGUCCCAGCAGUCAGGAGGGAAACAUUUUUUCGCGAAAUAAGGUGGCCCGUCUGGUGGCUCCCUGCUGUCAGGUGGAGGAAUAAUUAUUUUGCACUUAAUAAGGAGGCACUUCCUUGCGGCCGCCUGGACCCAGCUGUCAGCCUCUCCACGUACAGUACUCUCCCGAUGGAAGUUGGUCAUUGACCAUGUUGACCACGCCGCGCGGAGAGCACCAGGGCGGUGGUCUGGACGACAGCGAGGCCUAGGAAGGGGACGACGCGGAGUCGGGGAAGACGCAUCAGCGGAAGCCCGCGCGGAGAGGAGUACGAGGGUUCACUGGUUCAGCUACGGUGUGAGGCUGCCAUCGCCGUAGAAUAACAGGGGGUAUGGAUGAGUAGAGGGAUGGCCUGGCCAGUGGUGGGAGUAGUACGGGGCGGUGAGGCCUCCGUGGCAUCACAGCCGGCCACGAGAGGCAGGAGCACGCGACAAGCCCGGUGCUGCUUUGGGCGGCUGGAGCAAGAAGACCAGAGGUUGAAGAAGCACUACGACCGUUGGAUGGACAUCGUACGAUCACUUCAGCUAGAAUCGUUUAUAUUGACUAAGUUGACAAAGCCCUUGGUACGGGUCAACUUAGUAGGCCCACAACUAGGAUUUGGCAGGGAACAUAUAGCCCAUUUGCGAUUUGUAAGAAUGUACAACCCAUUUUUUUAAUUCUAAUGGAAUUUACUACAACCCAUUUACAGUUUGUUAAAAGUACAACCCAACUUCUAGCUAGGACAACGAUUAAUAAUUUCAAACAACCACUCAAAACAGAAUUCAAAAAAAAAAUUCCCACAUUUUGAUGGGAUACGAAAUAUUUUUAUCUGAAAUUUCUAGUCAGGUUAAAUACAAUUUCAAAAUAAAGUUGUAUUACGUUAAAAUCCAAUGAAAUAUUGCGCACGCAAUAAGUAAUGAAAUUAAAAUUUUCAAAUUCCAAAAACAAUAUAUUUUUCAAACUAAUUACGUGUUUGAUGCAUAGUAACUGUCCAGUUAUUAUAAUUACAUCCCAUUUAUUAUUUCUUAAAUCCAUUUUCUUGUUAAGCCUAAUGCAUACCUCCUAGGAAAGUUUGCAGCCCAGCGGGGCGGAGAAUAACAAGUUGACCCGGAUAUUGUGUACAACUGUCGGCCUAGCUGCAUUGCUGAUGUUGAAAAAAAAGCCUGUGUAGUACAGUACAACAUAACAUGGUUACUCAGCCCACAUUCAGUGACGCCGGAAAGGCCCAAACAAGGCUUCUGUACAACUUUUUGAAGUCACUGAGCUCAAUUAAUAACUUAAGAAAAAAGUUAGAUUACAGUGGAACCUAAUUAAAAGCUGUCACGAGCAAAUAAAUAAUUCAACGGGUCCCACUUGUGCGUGUGUGCGUGUGUGUGUGAGAGAGAGAGAGAUAGAUAGAGAGAGAGACCCAUCGGUCGAUGCUUAUAAAUACAUCUUUCAGCCAUAUGCAUUGCUGAUGCUCAGUAAAAACUUAUACAGUUGACACAAUCAUAUAGAACAUCAUAGCACGAACUUGCAUACUAAAAUUUCACGCAGGCGGCACAAUCAGGAUGGAAGCAGUGGAUCGCUACGGGAAGGGCUAUUUUGAAACCAACGAAGUCGUACAUAACGGUUCAUCGUCUUUAUCAAUGAUGGGGAAAUAUCUUGAAUGUUGUGGAAAGAAAAUAGACAGACAACACAAUAAGUUCUGCUAGCACAUUAAGUUGACGUACAACCCUUUCUAAUAAAAGUUCAGGUACAAAUUAGAACAUGUCACAAUCAAAUGUACUGGCAUAUCAGUGCUUCACACCCAUAGCUCGGAUUUAACUAGUAUCUGACAAGAUUUAGUUGUUACCUCAAAUUAGAGCACAUCCAGGCAGUCAGCCCUGCCUCUUCUCCCAAAGAAGCAGUGGCCUCCGCCGCAUGAUGGAGUAGGCCCUAUGUCAUCCAUUGUUCCGAGCAACACGGGGAAAGUCUGAUGUUGACUCCUGUAAUGGACGUCGUUGACAGACCCUGGCACCAGCGGCGGCGGCAGGACUUCAAUUGAUGGAUUGACCACUUCUUCGACAUGCACGAACACUCGAUACAGGUACAUCCCUAACGUGGUCCGCGUCGGCCUUGGUGGCGACGAAUAGUACAACCCCGGUUCCUGCACCGGUAUCUCAACACCAAUCACCUUCGGUAUGGUGGACGGCUUCUUCAUCCAUGCCAUAACCAUCAGAGCCCAGCUGUCUGGAGGAACAAACAUACUUACGAGCUCACCUCCAAGGUCGUUGAUAAGCUCGUUCAUGGACUCGCUAUUCCAAGCACGUCGAGGCAUGCCAUGGAAGGUAUGAUUUGUUAAAAACUCAAGCUCAGAGGGCACUGAGCCCCAUCCGGGGUGCCACCCAUCAAAGCUCACCAGCGCGCUAUCGCAGAACAAACGCCGAGAAGAUUCGAACACACGACUGCAGUCAAAAGUUGUUCGGAACCUGAUGAAGAAAUCAGUCGGUGGCGGACAGACUUCGACGAGCAAGUCACUUAUUUGGAUGCCGUGCGCAAUGCUAAGAGCUUUGACAAGGUCGUUUGGCGAGACGGGAGGACGGUCGCCGUUGAUGGUUACCAUCAGCACUUUGCCGGCAAACUGGUCGUCAAGCGCCGCCAUGCCACUGUUGAGCGACAGCACACAGCGACCGAAGGAAGGACGGACCUCAGGAUCUCUAGCUCGGAGAUCUGCGUUGACCAGCGACAUGAUAGUGCGCUUGAGUACAGGGAGUACAGGAGGGGGAUUUGGGGGAACUGGAGUAGGAAUCGAGAUUCCAUAGGUGUGGGAGGGGCGGGAGACUGGGGAUGAGAAGGUAGCAUGAAUUUCGAGCACGCGCCAAUAUGCUCUCGGCGCGCAAGCGCACGAAAACACCAGUGGCGCCCACAUGUCGGCCUAAGAGUCCUUAUUCUUUCUUUUUUGGAGAGCCCGGCCUUUUUUUAGGAUCUUUUGAGAGGCCGGCCUAAGAGUCAUAAUUGACCUAUUUGGCAUUGCGUUACUACUCGGCCCAUAUUCAACGACACCUCACUGGCCCAAACAAGUGUACAUCAUCGAAAAGACACUGAGCUCUAAUUAUAUAACUUGAAAAAGGAGAUAUACUCUGAAUACUGGAGAAUGGUGAUGCCGUCAUUUAGCCCACCAGUAAUUCGAGACAAUAAACAAUUCGAAACAACAAUAUAUACAACAUUCAAACACUGACUAGUGACUACUACUGACAUAAACAGCAAGACAUGAUCGUUCAUAAUAAGUCUUGCUACACCACCAAAACGCACCCAUCUGCAGCGCUUAGACUCUCGUGAUCCAGACGAGAAUGACAUUCUAAACAGAAGCAACUAUUACAUAGUAAGAGUGACAUAGACGUGGAUGACCAAAUGACAAGGAAUAUGCAUAACAAAAUAAAGAACUACCCAUCCAAAACCAGCAGCAAAGACAACAAAGUCAUUCGAAGAGAUGAUCCAACACCAUCAUAAUUUGCAGCCCCGCUUCAGCGACCAGUGAUCCGGAGACACCAGUACUCCACCCUUUCGAUGCAACAGCCCAAUUACCUAUCAACCUGAAGGCUUGAACCACAUCACUGCCUGUCGUAAUUGAGACAUCCAAGGAUCAAAGUUAAUCUGGAUGCCUUUGUCAUUCUCACCUUCUUUUGGCUGCAUGAUGUAUCGUUGACAAUCAGGGGAGUUUGCUCCCGAACUCCUAGGGCUCACCGUGUAGACACAGUUUUCCAUAGCAAACAGAGCCUCUCUGCCAUCAAGGUCCUUGCCAAUAGUGAUCUCCUAGUUAAUCAGAUAAUUGAGUCCGAGAAACAGAGAGUGUGAACCAAGGCUGUUUACCCGCCACCAACUAAAAAAAAUCCUAAAGGCCCCCAACAAGAUGAUAUCCUGCUCACAGACGUAACAACCACUGCCCGGAUACUCACGUAUUAGAUGGUGCUUGUAUACAAUGGGGUUUUUGCAAUAUAACUUUUCCGGCUCAUGUGUCCGAAUGAUCAUCAGCCUUUUGCCGUCGUCUGAUCGAGCGAGGAACCAGUUGUGCUUCCCUGUUUUUUGCAAAGGUGGUGUGAUUACAAAGGGCAGUAACUGUAGGGACACUGCAUCAUAUCAAAAAGGACAUGCAUUGUUAAUGUAAGAUCAACAUUUUUCAGAGUAUGAGUAGGAUAAUGCAAGAAAUAGCAUUGAUAUGUCCCUGUUGGAACUGGGAGGAAAAUACAGGGAAAUGUAUACUGGGUUCAAAAAUAUAGAAGUGCCAUGCAUGGUUAUACUCAUGUUAUCUCACAAUCGAUUCUUCACAACAAACUACCAUGUCAUGCAUGUUAUGUAAUCAUGUUUUGUCCUCACAAACAAAUUCUUAAAGGUAACUAACAGACCAUGCAUUGUUAUAUACUCGUGUUAUGUGGGCAAAUUUUUUGUGAGGAUAUUAUUCUAGCCAUUGAUUGCUGAAGGGCGAAUAUAGGUAUGUACACAUGGUAAGCAUUGCAGUAUUUCACUACUUCCAAAUAUAGAGUUCUCCAUAUGCACAUUUACUUCCCUAAUGUAUGGUUAGACGAAACCAACAGUGUGGUGCAUGUUUCUACAAUCUUCUGCAAAACAAGGUCCGUCCAACUGACAUAGUAAUCUAGAUGACUUGGACCGCGAUGGUAAUACUCUAUAUAAUCCAAUGGAGGAAGGAUAAUCUCAUGGGAGGUCUGGAAGUUCACGAGCACCAACUUUUUACCGUCUUCUCUGAAGGCAGCCAUCUAGUGGGAGUUCAUGGCGACCCAGUACAUACCUGCCAAGAAGUUUCGGGCGAUGUUGAUCGGAUCGAUGUCGAGGGAAAUGAUGUACGGCGGCCCACUACAUACCUGCAAAGAAGUUUCGGCUAAUGGAGAUCGGAUUGAAGUCGAGGGGCAUCAUGCACGCCUCCGUAUCAUGGUGAUCCAAUCUCGCAAGACCAGAUAGCAGCAAGUAGGGUGUCUUGAAAAGCUUAGGGCUUGCUUCGAUGAUGGCCUUGUGCAUGUCUCUCGAGCAUGCAGCCAGCCGCAGGGCGCUCAACAUAUCCAUACACGAACAACAGAGGUCGAGGAUGUUAUUGGGGAGAUUGCUCCAAUCGCGGCUCAUAUGGAUGCUGUGCGGUUCGCGUUCGACCAUGGUGGAGUUUGGAAGGGGGCUUGAUUUACGGGGGAGAAGGAUGUCAGUGCUGGAGCGGCUAGCGAGGGAAUAGUGGUACUGGGGGAGGCGAGUGAGGCGACGGUACACGGGUGCACAGUGAGAUGGAGACGGAGACGGAGAAGGAGAUGGAGAUGGAGUGGUGCUAUGUGAGCGGAGAGGGAGAUGAGGCAAGGCGCCAAUGUGCUAUACAGCGGCGGUGACAGACUACACAGUGCACAGGGUGAGGCUGACUUUGGUAACCCGAACACGCCGCGUGGACUAGUGUCAGGCGCAGGGUGUUGUCUCUUCACUGUGAGGACUGGAUGAAUAGUAUUUUGACCAUCAAGUGUACCGCAGUAGUAGUAGUAGUAGUAGUAGUAGGAACAUGAGUACUCCAGUAUUGUAUAGCGGAAAUAGGUCUCCCGUGCUAGCAUGUCUGUUCACUUCAUCGUUCAGGUAUCAUCCAUAUUGCGAGCAGUACCAAAUUCUCGUGCAUGCCCAAUCAACGCCCUGCCGCGAUGCAUGCAGUGGUCGUUCUGGUGCAUCAAGGGCGGCAUGCAGAUCGUUCCACACUUGAGAAGAGGAAAAAUGGAAAGGUAGAACGCGGCAGCAGAGGAAGAGAACGUUGGCUAACGAGGCUGGGAGGGGAUCGAGCAGGAAGUUAAUGCUCCACGCCUAAAGGUUUUGGGAAAACCUGAUUUUCAUAAGGUGACUUAUACUCACCUAAACAGAGGGAGUAUUCCUUAACCAGAGAAUGUUGUGUCUCCCACUCACGCGCUCAAAAAACAACUAUGACACAUUUUUUAUCUGUUUGCAUAGAUCCCACCUAUCAGGAAGGAUGGGCACGUACACGAACAGGUACAACUCAUCAGUCUACCUGCAUAGCCUUUUCGUUUAGUCUACCUAGUCGUCUAAUCAACUGUCUGCACACCACUUCUCCCAUUUACUUCUCCAUCGGGAACCGAUUCUCCUCGGCUUCUUCACCUCCCCUUCGUCUUCAUUUGCAUCCAAACCCCACUGCGUUCACAUUGUUUUAACCUCUUUAAAUAAUCAUCUACUACUUCAGUUAGACUAGCCAUCUAAUCCUAAUUCUCCAAACCUCUUUAAAUAAUCAUCUACUACUUUAGUUAGACUAGCCAUCUAAUCCUAUCACUGCCUUGCCCUGCCUUUCCUUCGCUGACAGGUGGGACCCAAGCUUAUGGGUCCCACAUGUUAGUGAUAGAAUGGUAGGAUUGUUCGCGUUAGGGGAUCCUCAUCCCCCCGACGUGCCCCUCAUCCCUCUCGGCCCCACCGCUCCUCUGCCUUUGUCUGCAUGACAUGCGGGCCAGCUAAACUGCGGCGACCAUCAACUUUCUACCACAGACACACCCGAUUGGACGCGGUUUGCCUGCUCCACUGCUGUGCUCCGAUCUGUACUCCCGCACCAUCGAAUUUUCAUCCAGCGGCUGCGAGAAGCACCCUCGCCACGGCCACGCCACCACCGGCCGGUUCAUCUCGAAUGAGUGAAUCAUGAACCACGCCACCACCAUGAGAAUGACAUGUGGGUCAGCCGCAUUUAUGGUCCGCAUGUCAUUGACUCAUAGGCCGGGCACUAAGCCACUGAAGUUUGGUCCCGUGGGCCCCGAGAGGGAAAUGUAACUCCUGCGGCAGGCCUUGUGGUGCUCCCGCAGUACGAGCUCAUGCCAAAACUGGAAUUUGUUUCUUACUACUACCAACUAGUACUAGUAAGGUACACGUGCAUUGCACGCAUGAGAUUCUGGUGGUUUGUGCAUGUGGAGCUUUCUGGAUUCUAACGUGUGGCAAAAUCUGGUGGAAUGUAAGGUUAGGCAAGUUUGAUUAACUUAGGUGAGUGUUUGGUUCAAGCCACACCUUAGGCAAGCCACACUAAGGCCCCACAUGACAUACACACAAAAAAUGUGGCAAGAUUCCCUUAGGCUUGCCAACUUGUGGCUCUCAUUUUGAAGAACUAAUAACUUUGCCUAAGCUUAGUUGUGGCAAAGUUAGUCAUGAAUUAAGUUCAACCAUGGAGUCUUCUAGAUUAUACAUGUGCCAGAAUCUGGUGGAUGAUAUUCAACGGCCAGUAGUGCUCGGAUUUGCCAUCUUUGUACCGUCGGAUUGGCUUCAUCCAAUGACCAACUUUCAAAGUUUUUCACACACUAUAUAGGGGGUAUAGAUAUAUAUGUGCCAGUCUGUUGCAAUGGAUCCAAAGUAUAUCUAUUUAGUGGGGUGCACUCUAAACACAUUAUAUAUUUAUUUUUCUCUAACCUUCCGUAGCCAUGCAACCAAGCCACAUAAGCUUCAUGGGUGCCCCCCACAUCAUAUUAUUCGUACUACGUUGAUUGAAAAAAGAUAAAUCACCCAAAACAAGAUCUUCCCGUUUUUUAUUCCUACGAUGUUGUGCCGUGCAUGUACCUACUAGUUGUAUAGUGGUAGUACUAGUAAUAUAGUAUUAGGAGUACAAACUUGGUACUAGUAGGAGUAGUACUAGUACGGAAUGCUCCUACUCAAUCAACGAGCCCCGUCUGACACCAAAUUUCUUGGCUUCCGUGCUACAACUAGAUCUUCCCCUCGUUUCUGUUUUCCAACCCGGCGGCGGGCGGGUUGUCGGUUUGCUCAACGGCGGUCCCACAUGAAAGUGAAAAUGCUAGGCAACACGCCUUCCCUAAGCUAUGUGUCGUGACGGACGGGCCGUGUUGUACUCCCGAUUCCCGGGCUUGUGGGGGUGCGACGCGAACGCGGCAUGCCUUUUCCUUUUACCAGCAAUGUGCCCGUGCGUUGCGACGGAUCCAAAGUAGUAGAAUAGUAGUAUUUGUUCACAAACUUGAAAGAAAUCCAUAUUGUUUUAAUAUACUCCUAAUAUAUUACUCCCUCCGUACCUAAAUAUUUGUCUUUUUUGAGAUUUCAAAUGGACUAUCACAUACUGAUUAUAUAGACAUAUUCUAGUGUUUCUAGCAAGAUGCCCGCGCGUUGCACGAAGUUGAUGGAAAAGGGAAGCACAACUUAUAAAUUGACGGAUGGAGUACUAGUUACAGUGAUGCAUAUAAUUAAGCAAAGGCAUCGCACAUGUCGGUAUUGACUGGAACGAGAAUGCAACAACACAAUAAGAAUUAAGGCCACGAUGAUGCGAUCACAGUGGUGGUUAUAGAAGGCACGAAGAAAGAUGGAUGCACGAACGUACGACCUCCUCCUCCCCAACUUAGUGCGUCGGGCCACCGACCGGCGGCUAAGGAGCGGCGGCUUUUGUGGCGAGGCCGAGGUGCUUCUCAGCAAAGGCAUCCAAGGCUUCCGGCCGGUUGAGGAAGGCCAACGUCGUAGCAUCCUCACUGGCCUUGUAGAUACCUAUGUACACGAUUUCCUCGUACACGUGGAUGUGUAGGUCGAUGAAUUUCUUGCAGGGCGAGGCGCCCGCGGCGAGCGCGACCUCCAGGUGGACAUUCUUCGUGGCGUCGGCGGGCAGUCGCGGGGCUACCAGUGCUUGAAAGAGGUUCCGGCCAUGGAGGACGAUUAGGGUGGCAGGCAAUGAGGAGCCCGGGUGCACGGGCUGGAGGAGUACGGUGAUGUCGUCCGCGAGCUUCUUGAGGAUGGUGAACUUGUUGCUGGUGGCAUUGAUCAUCUGGUCCAACUGAGAGUCGUAGUUGGCGUCGACGGCGGCCAUCCACCAGCCGGUCUCCAGCACCGUCUGGAGAUGAUCCUCGGCGCCAUGCCGCAGGCCGACAUCGUGGACCAUCUGGCGCAGCCGCUGGCCGCUCACGCGCAUCACCGCCAUGGGUCUGGAGUGAGCUCUUUUGCGCUUAGUGUAGGUGCUUAGGCAAAUGCUUAUGUGCGCAUGAUGUGGUAGAUGCAUUGGAAUGGAGGGGCGCCUUUAUAUGAGGGCAAUAAGGGCAAACUGCGUUGCAUUCACAUCGUGCAGCCUCUUUUCCCGGACCUCCUCCCAUUACUUCCCUCAUGCAUUAAUUGAAGGAGGAUGCAUUGGCCGUUCAACAUAUCGGGAACCGCUACUCCCUCCCUCGUCUGCAUUAAAGCCGUACCGGGAACUGCGCCGCCCGCUGUCAAAUCGAAUACUCCCUCCGUCUAGGUGAGUAUUAAGUCAUCUUACGAAAACCAAAUAGUAAACACAUAGGCAUGGUGCAUUAACUCUCACGUUGUUUCUUAUUUUUUGACAUAAAUAGAGGAAUCAACCAAGAAGAGAUGUGGGGUUUGUAUGCUUUUAAUGACUUGAGACUAUCAAACAUGACAUGCAGUGGUCAGUUCGUUGCACAAGAACAAAUACAACCCACGUCAGCACACACGCAUCUUAUAUAACAUCACAUCCAAUGGCUAUAAAAGAUGAAUGAGACCAAAUUAUAUCUCAUCUAGAUGAGUUCUAGCAAAACUGUAUUAAUAAUACUUAGUACUCCUGGGCCAUGUAUCAUAUAUUAGUAUCAUGUAGUACUUUAUUUAUUUAUGAGUUAUCCAGAUGGCACUGCGCCGCCAAAAAAAAGAGGGUAACAUCAAAAUUAUGGACUACUUUUUUGAGUAUGUUGGUAAGGUACGGUCAUAGUCACUUGUUGAAAUCUCUAAAAAGACAAAUACUCCCUCCGUCCGGAAAUACUUGUCAUCAAAAUGGAUAAAAGGAAAUGUAUCUAGACGUAUUUUAGUUUUAGAUACAUCUCUUUUUAUCCAUUUUGAUGAUAAGUAUUUUCGGACGGAGGGAGUAGAAAAUAGAGUUAGUGAUGAUGGUGUGAGUGCCAUCCUGCAAUAUAGGCCGUCGGAUUUAUAUCUAACAGAUAGGAAAGAAACUAUGGCAAUUUUGCAAAAAUAUACCCACACGUCUCUCCGUGUUCGCAAAUAAGGCCUUCCCUCGUUCAACCUUUUCUCUCACAAGAUAAACUACUCAUACAAAUGCAUCUUGAGGUGUCCAUAGAAUCGAAGAGAGGGAUGAUGUGUGUGUGUGUGUGCGCGCGCGAUCGAUAAAGAGUGCCAUCGAAUUUGUGUGUGCCCACGUCAAAGAUAUAGAGUGGUUGGCCUACUGGAACAUGAGAUGGGACAUGUGCAGUUUGUCUCUAUGGCAUGGAUACCUACCUGCAGCGCUCGACUAUUGUUGUGUGGUGGGGGAAGAGGGAGGCCCAAUUAACUAUAGAGGUACAAUGGCUGGUAUGUGUGUGGAGGAGGAGAGAGGCCUACCUCAUGUAUUAAGGAGAUCGAUCUGCCUCAUGUAUUAAGGGAGAUCGAUCGGCAUCCAUGCAUAUGUGCAGGAGAGGAAUAAAGUUGGGAGAGAGACAGAGCUAGAUUGUUGGAGGGGGUGGUAGUGGAGUUGCUUCUAACAAAUGGUGGGAUAGGCUUGCUAGACAAACGGAGGGCACACCCGCAAUAUCAAUAAGAGAGGAGAUGGCUGCUUGUUGUCUGUGCACGUGCGUGUGAGAGACGGGUCAGGAGGCAUGCACAAAUGAUGAGGGGGACGAUGUGGCUGUGGUAAGCAGACAUAACUACAUAGGAAGAUCAAUUGCCCUUUGUUAGAGAAAGGAGAGACAUAACUUGUGAGGUACGUCGAUCGAUGGGGGGGUAGUUAAAGUCGAUCUAGGUAUAUGUUGGGAGAUCGAUCGGUAUACAUGCAUGUGUGUGUUAGAAGCAAAUGAGGCACGAGGAGAAGGAUAGAGAGAGAGGGAUGCAUGUAGGAGGUGGUACGAGAGGCAUACUAUAUCGAGGGGGGAGGAGUGUGCGAGUACGAGAACGAUGAAAAGAGUGGUGGGAGUGAGGCAUGGACGGUGACAAGAGAAGAGGGGAAGCUUGUGUUUGUGCUAGGCACACCUGGCUAGAGAGGCAUAUCGAUCGAUGUGUGCCGUAAAGAAGGAGCUGGGGGGCCUACACACACCAUGGGUGAACGACCUAAAGUGAAAAGACGAAUUUGCGCGAUGGAGCUAUAGAAUGCUGAGGGAGGGUGAGAGGGAUGCGAGCGUGUGCAUGCACAAGAGAAAGUUAGCGCUAGCUACAAAGAUAAGAGGGUUGUGGGUGUAAAAGACGAAUAGAGAUCAUAUAUACUUCAUUAUAAAAAGCGAAUUCGGAUAUUUGAAGAAUUUAUCAUAGUGUUUCAAACCGACGCAUGUGUGAAUAUAUAUAACGGUGAUACACAUGGUGUGGUUAUGAACAUGUUAUACUACAUUUAAUAUAUUUUAUCUCUACUCUUAUGAAAAAUGGAGUUGUUGAUGAUGGUGUGCCUGCCAUCCUGCAUUAUAGGCCGUCUGAUUUAUAUCUGGCGGAUAGCAAGGACACUAUGAUGGUUGAAGUUGGCAACAAUCAUGAUUGUAGAUUCUUAUUGAAAUAGAGAAACAAAUUCAAAUUUAGUUCGAGUUGCAGCGGUAGUAUAGACAUUUGGAAUGCACUCAAAUGUUGGUAUGAGUAGGUUACAUGCAUUAUACAGCAAGCGAAAAAAUUUAACCGGACAUAACAUGGAUUCAUACUCCCUCCUUCCAUCUAUAUAGGGCGUAAUGAGAUUUUUAAGACCGCCUUUGACUAUUGACAAGAUUAAUAGUACAUGACAUGCCCAACGUGAAAAUUAUAUAAUUGAAAGAACCUUUCACAGAUGAAUUUAACGGUGUGCUUUGUGUAAGUUGCAUGUCAUAUAUCAUUGCUCUAAUAUUUGGUCAAAGUUAGCAUCGAAAAACGCAUUAGGCCCUAUAUAGAUGGAAGGAGGGAGUAGCUUUGAAUAGCAUUUGUAUAGUAAAACGGGGCAAGACUCUCUCUUUGUGUGGUGUGAAUAGUUUUAUUUUUUCGUUUUCUUUUUGGUUGAGGGAAGUGCGAAUUGAUUUGGUACGUACAAGUACAAUAUUACUACACGUUAGGCUUGUCCCUAAAAUUCAGAUAUCGUGCUCCCAAAACUGGCGCCUUCACAACCAGCGCCUUGCUAUCCCGAAAUUACAACGCGCGCGAAAACUCCCUCCAGCUGCCAAAUCCCGACACGCGAAACCCCCCUUCUAACCCUGAGUCAAAAGGGCCGCUAGUUCAAAUCAGUGGGGGGUACUUUUGUAACACACCCUACAUUUUGGACAAGCGCGUCCCUAAGUCAUGCUUCACCCCCUCCCAUCGCCCCCUUCUCACCAUUCGAAAUCCCAGGCCGCCAUAACCUCUCCACUCCAGCCGCGAAACCCCACCCUCCUCCGUCCGCCAUGUCACCGCUGCACAGCCGGAGCCUCUUCCCCGAUGACGUCAUCCACCGCAACAGCUCGACGUCCCUCGUCCACCUCCCCGGAUGAGGAUCCGUUGUCCAUCUCGCCGUCCCGCCGGUUCAGCCGCCCCGUCCUCCACCUCCAAGGAGCUACUCCGACGGUCACCUCAUCUAUCGCGGCUGCUCCAUCCCCACAGCGCCGCCUCAACCUAAUCCACUGGAACCGCAUCAUCCUCACCGACUCCUCGGACGAAGCAGAGGCCUACUCGGCGCCACCAAAGAGGUUGUACACUCAUCGCAUCGCACCUUCUCCUUAACUCGACCUCCCGGCGUUGACGGUCCUCCAUCCCGCACCCCCAUGGAGCGGCUACCUUGAAGCCAGCGCCACGGGCGACAUCUCCACGGCGGCUCUCCCCCAGCGCGAGGCCCCUUCGGCGGCGGCGUCCAUACUAGCCGGAUCUGCUGCUGCUGCUCCGGCUCUCGCUCGCUCGCUCGCGCUGCUGCUGCUGCUCCGGCUCUUACUCGAUCGCUCACUCGCCCAGCUGCUGCUGCUACUGCUGCUCUCCCCCUCGCUUGUGCUGCUGCUCUGCUCUGAUUAAUCCACACUUCAGUCGACUGAAUCGACUUUUGGGUCAGUCAAUUUUCAGGGGUUGGGGGGCUCGCCGGAGUUAAGGAAGAACCACCCGCAGCUGGGACGGGGGCUCGCUGGAGAGAUACCCCACUAUCUAUCUUAGGGUUCAGGGUGGGGGGGGGGCCUAGAUGGCUGGCCGGGGCAGCGGUGGCGAGUUGUUUCGGGGCGGCGAGGCAGCGCUGGGGCCGGCGGUUCGGCCGGUGGUGGCUGGCGGCUCAGCGGGUGCAGGUUGAAGAUGAACUGCAAGCCCUCCCUAAACUACAUGCCAAGUGCCUCUCUGCUACCAUUGCAUUCAGUUUUGAUAGUAGCAUUCAGAUUCCACAGUAAAUUUCAGUUUUGACAGUUAAGUUCAGAGUCAACAGUUUUUACCUCAUAUGUUGUAGUCAGGUGGUUUUUGGUGAUGUUAAUUUUACAUCCAUUUUACAUCAUCUAUUGGAGAUGCUAUUAGAAUCCCACUUGAUAUUGACGAUGUCUGUCUUGUGCUGCUUCAGCCUUGACGUCUUACGGCUCACCGGUGCUGCUCCAACGACAGAACGAUCCAUCACAAUAGAGCAGUGCCCUGGACACCGUCUACAGAUUCCUCAGAUCUUCCUCCACACCUCCGACAGCCACCUCUGCCUCAACUGCUUCAGCGACCAACCCAAUGAUGCUGAGGUCGACACGGCUACGGCGAAGGGGUUGUACACUUGUUGCAUCACUUAUUACUAUAAAUUCACGUCGAUCCAUUAGGGCUAUUUUGGUUCAACGGAAAAACGCCGAUCCACUGGUUGUUACCAUCACUCUAAAUUUCUACAUGCUCUCCUUACAUAAUCUCACCAUAUUUUUUUCGUAUGCAUGUCAGAUAUUGUACACAGUCAUGCUGAACAUGUAGAGAAAACGAGAAGAGUUUUGCGCGGCAAUACAAUGUCAUGCAGACAUCGCUCCAUGGUGGGUUCAAUGGCAAACCCUCCCCCCUCUCCAGAUUAUAAUCCAGAGGAAGAUAUCUGUUCUGAGGCGGAUUCAGAUGCCGCUGACCACUCCUAUUUACCCCCAAGGUCUUUGCUCUACCUUGGCAUGAUGAUGUUAGUCAUAUCAUGCAUAUGUUGCCUUGCAGUGCCUACUUUUGACAUCAUAUAUGUCAUCUUCUUAGUUUAGACAUGUUCUGUAAUGCCACAUGUUUAGUUUCUAUAUCAUAUAUGGGAAUUAUGCAGUCUCAUGUCUUUUAGCUAGCCAUAAUAUAUGUGAAAUGUGCAACGCCAUCCUGUUUAACCAGGCAUCAUAUAUUUGAAUGAUAUCUUGCCCAUCCUUUUCUUCAUUACAUUUCCAUUUGUCGACAAUGUUUGUACAUUAAACUUCUCUUCCUAUGAAUCAGCCAUUUGGGUGGGAGAUGGAAAAAUCUAGAGUGAAAACAAGGCCUUUAGAGCAGACAGUGCUACCUGUCAAAGCAGAUCUCUUGUUGGGUCCCGAUAGCUCCUCAGAGAUGGAUUCAGAGACAGAUGACCAGUCCUAUUCCCCCACUGAGGUGUAUGCUCUAACUUGGCAUGGUUAUACUGCUCAUAUCAUGCAUACAGUGUCUUGCAUUGCAUAGUUUAGACAUCAUAUAGACAAUAUUCAACACCAUGUUCUUAGUUCAGACAUCAUAUCGAAUGCCCUCUGUUUAGCAUAUAAAUGACAUAUGUGAAUUAAAUGAUGCGAUCCUGAUUACUUAGAUAACAUGUAGGUGAAUUAUGUCAUGCGAUCAUGUUUAGUUAUUCAUCAUAUCUUUGAAUUAUGUUAUGCUAUGCUAUCCAGUUUAGAUAGACAUCAUAUAUGUGAAAUUAUGUCAUGCUAUCCGUUUUAGUUAAACAAUAUACAUGUCAACUAUUUCAUGCCCUCUUUUUCCACACUAUAUAUUGCAUCUGUAUCUCAUACAAUGUAUGUACAUUCAACUAUGUUUCCUGUUUAUCAGCCAUUUGAAUUGGAGCGGGUGAUGCCAGUAUCUAGCGGACUAAAAACACGGUCUUGAAAUAAAACAGUGCUACCUCUUGGUGGAGAUAGCACCCCGGUUGUACAUGCACAAGAACCAGCCCUACCACACAUAACCCAAACUCUCGCAGAUUGUACCCCUACUGUGAUGGACAGAGAACCAGCUUCACCCAAUCUAACCCCAACCCCAGCCGAUAGUAACCCAGUUCCUGUUGACACAACACCAUCUCCACCACAGAGCUCCCAAACAAGAGCAGUUAGUAAGGAAGCUCCAGUGCCCAAAGGGCCAGUACUAUCACGGCGAACCCCAACUCCACCAGUUAGUACGCCUAUUCCCGUGGAGGAAGCACAACCAGCUAGUCGUAGUUUAGCAUCUAUCGCAUUUGAUGUCGUUAAAUCGUAUGUGCGUAUAUUGCCAUCUUGGAAAUAUUAUACUGAAGAUGAAGGAAAAUGCCAGUUGCAGGUGUUUGUCCAGGAGUUAUGUGUAAGUAAUGUUAUUCAUGGCAAUUACUUUGCUUCGUCCCAUACAUCCUACCUCCAUGAUGGUUAUAAUACAACAAAUUUUCCCAUUUUUGUCUAUAGAGAAGGACCGAUUUGGAAACUCAGGAUGAGGUAACCUGUGCUAAUACCUUUGCUAUCUUCAAGAAUGCUUGGUGGCAGUAUCGGAAUUACCUAAAGAAAACGUACUUCACCGGCAAAGAAACUCAUCAAAUUCCCUUACGUUCUCCUGAGACACAUUUACUGGACGAUGACUGGGAAUGCCUUGUUCUGUACUAGUCCCGAACAAAGAAUGUGGUAAGGUCUAUGAGCUCAUUUUCUAUUUUUAAGUAUUAUAUUCUUGCGUCUUACUGUACUCUGUUCAUGUAGAACAAGUGCCUAAACCUGACGAAAAACUGUUCUAAUUUAAGAUUCCAUUGCUAUCAUAGUUCAAAAAAGCGCUAGGCAUUAAUUGUGCGUUUUGCCACCGCCCUGCGCUUUACUGACCAAAGCGCAUGCUUUUGCGUAGUUAUGCACAGAUUAUGCGUAGUUAUGCGCAAUGCGUUUUGCCAACGCCUAGAGCCUAGGCGCGCUUAAGCGCUCGCUUAGGCGCGCCUUUUUUAACUAUGAUUGCUUUGCUCUUGUAUCACUGUAUUUACUCAUACAAACUUAUUUUUAAAUUGAAGGAUCCAAUCGAAACUCCAAUGACAUAGCAGGUAUGUUCACACAUGCUUCUUUAACAGGUUUGCUCUUAUCAAUAGCUCUUUUGAUUUCAAUUUCAAUUGUGUAUACAGUUGACUUUCAUAUCAUGCACAUUACUAGCAUCACAACAGAGCCAAUAGUGUUGUUGGACAUGUAGACCCGUGGUACCCAUCUAAAAUCUUGUUGUGCCGUGUAGUUUCCCACGCUUUGUAUUCUCUCACUUCUGCUUUGUCUUGAACUGAUAUGAUUUGAACGAUGUCUCUAUUUUGAUUUGGCAAGACAAUGCAGUGACCAUAGGACAUAGAUAUAUGUUUCUUUGAUGCUUUUAUUAUGUCCUGUCCACCUUACUAAUGAACUAGUUCACCGAAAUGAGUUUCAUAUACUAGUACAUGCUAAACUUGUUAUGUGUCUGCUUGUUUCUUCUUUUAGAAUGCUGACAGAAUAUUGGGGAAGAGUGCCUUAUUAAGCAAUGGUAAAGGAAGUAAUGCAGAUAAGGUCCAGGAUAGUGACACAUCCUUGUUGGUCUCCAACAAAGCUGAUAAAACAGCUAAGGAAGACUAUCUUGAAGAUAGAGAGACAACCGCGAAGUCCUGUCUUGGUUUAGUGUUCGAGUUAUUGGCCACUACCGCUUGCACAAGCUAUUCAAACUCACUGUCUGAAUCAGUUCGGUUUCUUGAGUCUCAACUACAAGCUGAAAGACAUCGAUCAGCUAUGCUGCAACAAGAAGCGGAAGGACUGCAGAAGUCCCUGGAGCAUUCAGAUGCAUACUUUCUUGUGCAACAGCAAGCAUUGGAGGAUUUUAACGCCAAACAGGACAAAGCUAAUCGGCUUGCUAAGCUUAUUGCCAGCAUGAUGGAUACCCAGGAUAACGUUUCUUGAGCUCUUCUGAAGUUGUUUCAGUUAAGCUCUUGUUUUGCUGCCAUGUUUAUUUGCACUGGUGGCCAAUUUUGACGGCCAGUGUAUGUAAUGUGCUGCUUUGUCCCCUAUAUUUGCACUGGUGGUGAACUUUGAUGCCCACUGGAUGUAAUAUGUGUAAUAGCGGUAAUAGGCUAGCAUUAAUUGCUUGCUUAUUUAUUUCCUUAUUGUCUUGUUUAGUUGUUUGCUUGUAGUCACUGCAGUUCUUUUUCUGUUUUUUCUAGUGGCCACAAUAGCCUAUGGUAACUAGGCCAAAAUAAUCAUGGCAACAGACGGACUGUUGUAACCAUGGGCCUCCUGCAGGACGUAUGAUCCAUGGGCAUUCGUCCGGCCGUAGGAUCCAUCAGCCUUCUAUACGGGCCUUAGGGUCCAUGGGCCUUCUACGAUGGGCCUCAUACGGGCCGUAGGAUCCAUGGGCCUUCUACGGGGUGUAUCAUCAUUUCGCUAAUCAUGGGCCGUACUAUUCGUGGACCAUAACGGGCCGUUAAUAGGCUGUAUUUGAUAACUCUAUCAAAACAGCCCAACGGGUUUUUUGACAUGAAAACGGCCCAACGUAUUAACGGUCCGCAAAUGGGCCGACUGUAACAACGGGCUGAAUUUGGCCCACAAGCAGAAAAUGGCAAUAAUGGGCCGUAUGUAACCGAAUGCUGCAAAUGAGCCCAAUAAUCAAUGGGCCCUGAGAAUGCCGAAAGUUAACUUGGGCUGGAAACAACCCAAUGGAAUAACGGGCCGUUAAUGGGUAUAAAGUGAUACACUGUUCAUUAUGGGCCAGUUUCACCACGGGCCAUUAAUGGGCCAAGAGUUACAAAGAUCCUCAUAUGGGCCGAAAGAAGUCAUGGGCCAGAAGUCAAAACAGGCUGAAUCAUAUUGGACGGCCCAGAUGACGCUACUGGGCCUAAUUCAGAUAGGGCGUAACGGGCCCUGGGUUAGCGGGCUGUAAAUGGGCUAUAUGCGAACAGGCCGUUAACAGGCUUUACGUGGGCCGGCCCGACCAAGUCAAAUGAGUCGGCCUUUUCAUAGGAAUGGGCCUCUGUUGGGCCGUGCCACGUGUCACCGUAUCAUAGGCACCUUUGGUCCAAUGAGCGGAUGACAUCUGUCCCAAUGGUGAGCCGACACGUGUUUCCUCCAGCCAAUGAUGAUUUUACACGUGGAAAAUCCCCAUUGGUCGGGGCUGUUAACGGGUUAUCGGAUCCAAAACCCGACCCGAUAGCUUAGCGGCGUUCCGUUACGAUGGAUGCCACGUGUCGGUCACCCUUGACGAAAGCACUUCUGUGACGCGCGAUUUAUCGUCAUGGAAGUGGACACUUCCAUGAUGAUAAUUUUGGUAAUGUCAUGGAACACUUCUACGACAGCACAAGUAUGUCUAUCUUGAUUCUGUCAUAAAUUUGUCAUGGAUGUACAUGCAUGACAAAAACGCGACCUACUGUGACAAACACGUAUCAUCACGGAAGUGUAUUUUUUUGUAGUGUACUUCACCUAUCUGUGUUACUGAGAAGGAUUAUGAAUUCUCUGUUGAUCCUGGUAUAAUUACUUUGGUUGAAUCUGAUCCUUUUCAUGGCUAUGAAUCUGAAACUAUUGUGGCACAUCUUACUAAAUUAAAUGAUAUAGCUACCCUGUUCACUAAAGAUGAGGGAACUUGCUACUUUUAUAUCCUUAAAAUAUUUCCGUUCUCAUUAAAGGGUGAUGCUAAGAUAUGGUUUAAUUCUCCUGAUCCUGGUUGUGUGCGUAGUCCCCAGGAUAUGAUUUAUUACUUCUCUGCUAAAUAUUUCCCUGCUCAUAAGAAACAAGCUGCUUUAAUGGAUAUAUAUAAUUUUGUGCAAAUUAAAGAAGAGAGUCUCCCACAAGCUUGGGGGAAGCUUCUCCAAUUAGCUAAUGCUUUGCCUGAUAAUCCUCUUAAGAAAAAUGAAAUACUUGAUAUCUUUUAUAAUGGACUAACCGAUGCCUCCAGAGAUUACCUGGAUAGUUGUGCUAGUUCUGUUUUCAGGGACAGAACACCGGAUGAAGCUGAAAUUCUAUUGAAUAAUAUGUUGACAAAUGAAAAUAAUUGGACACCUCCUGAGCCAGUUCCUGAGCCUAUUCCUAAACCAACUCCGAAGAAGAGGGGUAUUCUAUUUCUCAGUCCUGAAGAUAUGCAAGAGGCAAAGAAAUCUAUGAAAGAAAAAGGUAUUAAAGCUGAAGAUGUUAAGGAUUUACCUCCUAUUGAAGAAAUACACGGUCUUAAUUUACCGCCUGUUGAAGAAACAUAUGAUCUUGAUCCAUCACCUAUUGAAGAAACUCAUGGUCUUGAUAACCCAACACAGGUAGUAAAGGUAAAUUCUCUCUAUAGAUAUGAUAAAGCUGAAAUCCCAUUUACCAAGUUUGCUAGCCCAUGCUUAGAUGAGUUUGAUAAAUUUAUGGCUAAGCAAGAAUAUUUAAUGCUUAUUUUGGUAGACAAUUGAAAUACAAUUCGAAUAUGCUUGAACACUUGGGUGAUUAUAUGGCUAAUGUCAAAGGUGAAUUCAGACUUAUUAGUAAACAUGCUUCUAUGGUUACCACUCAAGUAGAACAAGUACUUAAAGCUCAAAAUGAUUUGCUCAAUGAAUUGAAUAGUAAGAAUAAUGAUAAUGCUGUUAGAGUGGCCACUAGAACUAGUAGAAUGACUCUGGAACCUUUGUAUACUAAAGGCCAUCCUAAGGGAAUUGAGCAAGAUUAUCAGAGAAAUAAUAUAGAUGCACCUAGUCCUUCUAAAAGGAAGAAAAAGAAAAAAUGAUAGGACUUUGCAUGCUUCUAGUGAACCUAUUACUGAAACACCUGAGAAUCCAAAUGAUAUUUCUAUUUCUGAUGCUGAAACACAAUCUGGUAAUGAACCUGAAACUAGUAAUAAUGUUAAUGAUAAUGCUCAUGAUGAUGCUCAACCUAGUAAUGAUAAUGAUAUAGAAACUGAACCUGCUGUUGAUCUUGAUAACCCACAAUCAAAGAAUCAACGUUAUGAUAAAAAAGACUUUGUUUCUAGGAAACAUGGUAAAGAAAGAGAACCAUGGGUUCAGAAACCCAUGCCUUCUCCUCCCAAACCAUCCAAGAAAAAGGAUGAUGAGGAUUUUGAGUGCUUUGCUAAAAUGAUUAGACCUAUCUUUUUGCGUAUGCGAUUAACUGAUAUGCUCAAAAUGAAUCCUUAUGCUAAGUAUAUGUAAGAAAUUGUUACAAAUAAAAGAAAUAUACCGGAAGCUGAAAUUUCCACCAUGCUUGCUAAUUAUACUUUUAAGGGUGGAAUACCAAAGAAACUUGGAGAUCCCGGUGUACCCACUAUACCAUGCUCCAUUAAAAGAAACUAUGUUAAAACUGCUUUAUGUGAUCUUGGAGCCGGUGUUAGUGUUAUGCCUCUCUCUUUAUAUCGUAGACUUGAUUUGAAUAAGUUGACACCUACUGAAAUAUCUUUGAAAAUGGCUGAUAAAUCAACUGCUAUACCUGUCGGUACUUGUGAGGAUGUGUCUUUUGUAGUUGCAAACGUUACUAUCUUAACGAACUUUGUUAUUCUUGAUAUUCCCGAGGACGACAGUAUGUCUAUUAUUCUUGGAAGACCUUUUUUGAAUACUGCAGGGGCUGUUAUUGAUUGCACUAAAGGCAAUGUCACUUUUCAUGUUAAUGGUAAUGAGCAUACGGUACACUUUCCGAGGAAACAACCUCAAGUCCACAGUAUCAAUUCUAUUAGAAAAAUUCCAUUGAUUAUAUUUGGAGGUUUUGAAUUUCCUCUUCCUACUGUCAAGAAGAAAUAUGAUAUUCUUAUUAUUGGGGACGUGCAUAUCCCCGUUGAGGUAACACAGUGUUAUUUGAAAUUUCUCUGGUUCCAUGUGUUGGGGAACGUAGUAAUUUCAAAAAAAAUUCUACGCACACGCAAGAUCAUGGUGAUGCAUAGCAACGAGAGGGGAGAGUGUUGUCUAUGUACCCUCGUAGACUGGAAGCGGAAGCGUUAUAACAACGUGGUUGAUGUAGUCGUACGUCUUCACGGCCCGACCGAUCAAGCAUCGAAACUACGGCACCUCCGAGUUCUAGCACACGUUCAGCACGAUGAUGAUCCUCGGACUCCGAUCCAACAGAAUGUCGGGGAAGAGUUCCGUCAGCAUGACGGCGUGGUGAAGAUCUUGACGUUCUACCGUCGCAGGGCUUCGUCUAAGCACCGCUACAAUAUUAUUGAGGAUUAUGGUGGAGGGGGGCACCACACACGGCUAAGAGAUCAAUGAUCAAUUGUUGUGUCUAUGGGGUGCCCCCCUGCCCCCGUAUAUAAAGGAGCAAAUGAGGGAGGCGGCCGGCCUAGGAGGAGGGCGCGCCAAGGGGGGAGUCCUACUCCCACCGGGAGUAGGACUCCUCCUUCCCUUGUUGGAGUAGGAGAGAAGGAAAGAGGGGGAGAGGAACAAGGAAAAGUGGGCUGCACCCUUGUCCAAUUCGGACCAGAGGGGGGGGGGCGCCUCCUUCCUUUUGGCCUCUCUCCUCUAUUCCCGUAUGGCCCAAUAAGGCCCAUAUACUCCCCGGCGAAUUCCCGUAACUCUCCGGUACUCCGAAAAAUACCCGAAUCACUCGGAACCUUUCCGAUGUCCGAAUAUAGUCGUCCAAUAUAUUGAUCUUUACGUCUCGACCAUUUUGAGACUCCUCGUCAUGUCCCCGAUCUCAUCCGGGACUCCGAACUCCUUAGCUACAUCAAAACUCAUAAACUCAUAAUAACUGUCAUCGAAACAUUAAGCGUGCGGACCCUACGGGUUCGAGAACAAUGUAGACAUGACCGAGACACGUCUCCGGUUAAUAACCAAUAGCGGAACCUGGAUGCUCAUAUUGGCUCCCACAUAUUCUACGAAGAUCUUUAUCGGUCAGACCGCAUAACAACAUACGUUGUUCCCUUUGUCAUCGGUAUGUUACUUGCCUGAGAUUCGAUCGUCGGUAUCUCAAUACCUAGUUCAAUAUCGUUACUAACAAGUCUCUUUACUCGUUCCAUAAUACAUCAUCUCGCAACUAACUCAUUAGUUGCAAUGCUUGCAAGGCUUAAGUGAUGUGCAUUACCGAGAGGGCCUAGAGAUACCUCUCCGACAAUCGGAGUUACAAAUCCUAAUCUCGAAAUACGCCAACCCAACAAGUACCUUCGGAGACACCUGUAGAGUACCUUUAUAAUCACCCAGUUACGUUGUGACGUUUGGUAGCACACAAAGUGUUCCUCUGGUAAACGGGAGUUGCAUAAUCUCAUAGUCAUAGGAACAUAUAUAAGUCAUGAAGAAAGCAAUAGCAACAAACUAAACGAUCAAGUGCUAUGCUAACGGAAUGGGUCAAGUCAAUCACAUCAUUCUCUAAUGAUGUGACCCCGUUAAUCAAAUGACGACUCAUGUCUAUGGCUAGGAAACUUAACCAUCUUUGAUUCAACGAGCUAGUCAAGUAGAGGCAUACUAGUGACACUCUGUUUGUCUAUGUAUUCACACAUGUAUUAUGUUUCCGGUUAAUACAAUUCUAGCAUGAAUAAUAAACAUUUAUCAUGAAAUAAGGAAAUAAAUAAUAACUUUAUUAUUGCCUCUAGGGCAUAUUUCCUUCAGUCUCCCACUUGCACUAGAGUCAAUAAUCUAGUUCACAUCACCAUGUGAUUUAACAUCAAUAGUUCACAUCACCAUGUGAUUAACACCCAUAGUUCACAUCGUCAUGUGACCAACACCCAAAGGGUUUACUAGAUUCAAUAAUCUAGUUCACAUCGCUAUGUGAUUAACACCCAAAGAGUACUAAGGUGUGAUCAUGUUUUGCUUGUGAGAUAAGUUUAGUCAACGGGUCUGCCACAUUUAGAUCCGUAAGUAUUUUGCGAAUUUCUAUGUCAACAAUGCUCUGCACUAAGCUACUCUAGCUAAUUGCUCCCACUUUCAAUAUGUAUCUAGAUUGAGAUUUAGAGUCAUCUGGAUCAGUGUCAAAAUUUGCAUCGAUGUAACCCUUUACGACGAACCUUUUGUCACUUCCAUAAUCGAGAAACAUAUCCUUAUUCCACUAAGGAUAAUUUUGACCAAUGUCCAGUGAUCUACUCCUAGAUCACUAUUGUACUCCUUUGCCAAGCUCAGGGAAGGGUAUAAAAUAGGUCUGGUACACAGCAUGGCAUACUUUAUAGAACCUAUGGCUGAGGCAUAGGGAAUGACUUUCAUUCUCUCUCUAUCUUCUGCCGUGGUCGGGUUUUGAGUCUUACUCAACUUCACACCUUUGUAACACAGGCAAGAACUCCUUCUUUGACUAUUCCAUUUUGAACUACUUCAAAAUCUUGUCAAGGUAAUGUACUCAUUGAAAAACUUAUCAAGCGUCUUGAUCUAUCUCUAUAGAUCUUGAUGCUCAAUAUGUAAGCAGUUUCACCGAGAUCUUUCUUUGAAAAAACUCCUUUCAAACAUUCCUUUAUGCUUUGCAGAAUAAUUCCACAUCAUCUCUGAUCAACAAUAUGUAAUACAUAUACUUAUCAGAAAUGCUGUAGUGCUCCCACUCACUUUCUUGUAAAUAUAGGCUUCACCGAAAGUCUGUAUAAAACUAUAUGCUUUGAUCAACUUAUCAAAGCGUAUAUUCCAACUCUGAGAUGCUUGCACAAGUCCAUAGAUGGAUCGCUGGAGCUUGCAUAUUUUGUUAGUACCUUUAGGAUCGACAAAACCUUCUGGUUGCAUCAUAUACAACUCUUCUUUAACACAUCCUAUUAAGGAAUGUAGUUUUCUUUAUCCAUUUGCCAGAAUUCAUAAAAUGCGGCAAUAGCUAACAUGAUUCGGACAGACUUAAGCAUAGAUACGAGUGAGAAAUUCUCAUUGUGGUCAACACCUUGAACUUGUCGAAAACCUUUUUACGACAAUUCUAGCUUUGUAGAUAGUAACACUACUAUCAGCGUCAGUGAGGGAGUUCUGGAUUAGGAGGUGUUCGGAUAGCCAGACUAUACCUUCGGCCGGACUCCUGGACUACGAAGAUACAAGAUUGAAGACUUCGUCCCGUGUCCAGAAAGGACUUUCCUUGGCGUGGAAGGCAAGCUUGGCGAUACGGAUAUGCAGAUCUCCUACCAUUGUAACCGACUUUGUGUAACCCUAACACUCUCCGGUGUCUAUAUAAACCGGAGGGUUUUAGUCUGUAGGACAACAUACACAACAACAAUCAUACCAUAGGCUAGCUUCUAGGGUUUAGUCUCUCCGAUGUCGUGGUAGAUCUACUCUUGUACUACCCAUAUCAUCAAUAUUAAUCAAGCAGGACGUAGGGUUUUACCUCCAUCGAGAGGGCCCGAACCUAGGUAAAACUUCGUGUCCCUUGCCUCCUGUUACCAUCCGGCCUAGACGCACAGUUCGGGACCCCCUACCUGAGAUCCGCCAGUUUUGACACCGACAUUGGUGCUUUCAUUGAGAGUUCCUCUGUGUCAUUGCCGUCAGGCUUGAUGGCUCCUACGAUCAUCAAUAGUGAUGCGGUCCAGGGUGAAACUUGUCUCCCCGGACAGAUCUCUGUCUUUGGCGGCUUUGCACUGCGGGCCAAUUCACUUGGCCAUCUGGAGCAGAUCAAAAGCUAUGCCCCUGGCCGUCAGGUCAGAUUUGGAAGUUUAAACUACAUGGCUGACACCCGCGGGGACUUGAUCUUCGACGGAUUCGAGCCACUGCCGAGCAUGAUCUAGCUCUGCCACCUAACAGUGCCCUGAAGGCCGCACCCGCAUCGGCUUCGACCCUUAAUUCGGAGCCAACCGCGCCGACCGAGGAUGGGUGGUUGUACGCCGCCUCGGGGGCUGCGAUCCUAACAGAGAUCGAGCCGAACACCAGCCCCGCACUCCGCGAGACUCAUGAUUCCAAGGAGCCGGACUCCUCUCCGGACACCGAACCAUUCGCGCCUCUGCCGAUCGAAUCCGAUUGGGCGCCGAUCAUGGAGUUUACUACCGCGGACAUCUUUCAGCACUCGCCCUUUGGUGAUAUUAUAAAAUCACUAGAGUCUCUCUCUUUGUCAGGAGAGCCCUGGCCGGACUACGGUCAGCGAGAUUGGGAUGCGGAUGAUGAAGAAAUUCAAAGCCCACCCACCACCCACUUUGUAGCCACUAUCGACUAUUUAACCGACAUGCUCGACUUCGACUCUGAAGACAUCGACGGUAUGGACGCCGAUGAAGGAGACGAUGAAGAACCAGCGCCUAUUGGGCCCUGGAACGCCACCUUGUGAUAUGACAUAUACAUGGUGGACGCACCAAAAGAUGAAGACGAGGAGCGGAAGGACGCACCGAAGGCUUGUUCCCUCGAAAAGCAGUCAAAGUGGCGACGCAAGCGCCGCCCCAAAUCCCGCCUCGAUAGAAAUAGCGAUCACACAAACCCAGCACUGGAGCAGGGCGAACCGCUGCCGGACAACGGCAAUCCGGAUAAUCAAACCGAACAAACAAAUCCUAUCAAGGAUAAUGGUCCGGACGACAUAACACUGGACAGACACCCGGAGCAGCAGACUGCGCGUAAAAGGCUUGUUGCCACCGCGAGGAGUCUGAAAAAGCAGAAGCAAAGGCUCAAGGCCGUGCAAGACACACUCCAAACCAGAUGGAGUAAAAUACUCAACACUGCAACAAGGUACAACGACAAUCGCCCCUCCAAGAGCUACCCAAAGGGGAAGCUGCUACCCGAAUUCGGUGAGGAGGCCUCAGAACCCCCACAACCAAAUAUCAAAGCAGCCACCUGGUCGGAUAGACAACCCCUCUACCAACACAGAGCGGCAUACAAUGCCGCUCACAAGACAAUACGCGAACCAUGCGAGGGCUCGCACCCAAAGGACGGCGCAACAAGAUCCAUCUAUGGACCACGCAAGCGCGCCCCAGCAUACAAUGCAACACAACAAACUCCGAACAACACGGUACACCCAGCUAUAGGGGUGCCGCACACCCCCUAUGUUUCACCGAUGAGGUGCUGGACCAUAAAUUUCUAGAGGGAUUCAAGCCCGUAAACAUAGAGGCAUACGACGGAACAACAGACCCUGGGGUCUGGAUUGAGGACUACAUCCUCCAUAUCCAUAUGGCUCGAGGAGAUGAUCUCCACGCCAUCAAGUACUUACCCCUCAAGCUCAAAGGGCCAGCUCAUCACUAGCUCAAAGGCCUCCCCGAAAGCUCCAUUGGAAGUUGGGAAGAGCUCAAAGACGCCUUUCGGGCAAAUUUUCAAGGGACAUAUGUCCGACCUCCGGAUGCGGACGAUUUGAGUCAUAUAACUCAACAUCCCGGAGAGUCAGCCCGAAAGCUUUGGAACAUGUUUCUUACUAAAAAGAACCAGAUUUUCGACUGUCCGGACGCCGAAGCCUUGGCAGCUUUCAAACAUAGCGUCCAUGACGAAUGGCUCGCCAGACACCUCGGCUAAAAUAAGCCGAGAACGAUGGCCGCAUUGACAAACCUCAUGACCCGCUUUUGCGCGGGUGAGGACAGCUAGCUAGCCAUAUGCAGCACCAGCGACCCCAGUACAUCUGAAGUUAGAGAUGGAAACGAGAAAUCACGGUGCAACAACAAUAACAAACGCCGUAAUAAAGAAGACGACACGAAGGGCACGGCAGUAAAUGCCGGAUUCAAAAGCUCUCGGCCAGGUCAAAAGGCGCCCCCUAAAGGCACCAGGGAUGAACUGUCCAGCCUCAACAAAAUUGUGGACCAAGUAUGUCAGAUCCAUAGUACCCCUGGUAUACCUGCUAAUCAUACCCACAGAGAAUGUUGGGUCUUCAAGCAGUCUGGCAAGCUCAACGCCGUACAUAAGGGGGAGGAUACACCAAGUGAAGACGAGGACGAGCCUCCCAAGCAAGACACGGCGGAACAAAAGAAUUUCCACCAGAAGUCAAAACAGUAAACGUGUUACACGUGAUCGAGGGAAAAGACAACACGACACUCCCAGGAAAAUAUACCCAAGUGCCUGUCACCGCGAAGUCCUGCCACUGGUCGUCUCAACCAAUCACUUUCGACCAUCGCAAUUACUCAGCAAGUAUCCGACACGUAGGAUGGGCUGCCCUGGUAUUAGACCCAAUAAUUGGCGGAUAUCACUUCACACGAGUCCUGAUGGACGGCGGCAACAGCCUAAACUUAAUAUAUCAGGAUACAAUCCGCGGGAUGGGGUUAGACCCAACACAAAUUCGCCAUAGCAAUACUACCUUUAAAGGAGUAAUGCCAGGCCCAGGGGCUUGUUGUACGGGCUCCCUUCUACUACAGGUUAUAUUCGGCUCCCCCGAUAACUUCCGUCAUGAGCAUUUAACCUUCUACAUCGCUCCGUUUCAAAGUGGCUAUCAAGCACUGCUCGGACGCGAAGCUUUCGCUCGCUUUAAUGCAAUACCACACUACGUCUCCCUCACACUCAAGAUGCCCAAUCCACGUGGCAUCAUUUCAGUGGACGGAAAUAUCAAGCGAUCUCUGUGCGCCGAAGAGAGUGCGGCUGCCUUGGCAGCCGCACACUAAAGGCGCCCGGACCAGUGAAAGCAUCCAAAUAGGUCGUCAAGACCUUAGACACAACCAAUCAAGUUCGACGCCGCUAUUUAUACCGAAUAAGUGGUCACACCCCUAUUUGUCAAUACAAGGGGCUCAACGCGCACAGACAAGUGGCAAUUUCUUAUCAUCUUGAAUUAUACAUGGUUUAUUUAAAAACUAUAUUUUUGCACGACAACUUUUUCACUUAACUUCCUCUCUUUUACAGACGAUCAUCGUGCUAUACCCGUCCAGGAUACGGCACAAUGGAGACACAGGCGCAGACGUGCAGCUAGGACCCGCUCCAAGGAUUCUUUUUAGAUUAAGACCCUGCAUAAACCUUUUUUACUGUCUCUUGUUGAUAUAUAUCCACCGUUGAGAAGGUUGCUAGCGUCUUGGCAUGUGGCCACGCCAGAAUAAUGCAUGUACCUGGACACAAGGGGCUUCUUACAAAGGCCAUUAUUUAGGCCCGGUUUAUACCACAAAGACCGAAUACCUUAGGGAGUGUUCGGCGUCGCGAGUUUGGCCCUAUAUGCAUCAGCUCCGAAUUAUUGUCUUUGGUCAAAUGUUGGGUUUGCCCGGCUCCUGUGUUUUGGUGCCUUACGUUCCGCUUUACCGGCUAAGGUAGCACCAGGAGAACUACUGUGAUUGUGCCCUAGUUCAUCCGGACGAGCACCUCAGUAGAGAAAGCCGAAAACUGAUUGUCAUGAUAUAGCGUGAGACUGGUCAACCACUCGAUGACCUGUUGGAAUGUUAGAAUUCCUCCGCCUUAAUGAAGGGACGUUUUCCGGCCAGGCAUGUACGCACCCCGGAAUCGGGAGAGUGCGGAGCCACCGGGGGCUAUCUAGUAGCCCCACUGUCAAACUCCUAUGGCUAAGUGAAAGUGCUAAAGCAUUAUAGUCCGGUUGCCCCGCUCGCUCCGCUAUCACCUCCUUAAUAGGACCAAGACGUUGGGUUAAGUGUGAACGCGUGUUUUUGCGAGCACCUCCGUAUUAUAUGCGUGGGGGUUGAAGCCGACGACUGCAAUCUUUCAGGUUAUACACAUGUAUACAUAAACGGCCGCCCAGGAGGCAUCAUAUUACUUUCAGGCAAAAGUAUAAAAAUAGCCUUAUAAAAAUUUAUAAAAGCAUUUCGCUUACAAUGAGAUUACAUAUCACUCAAACAUAAUAUGUUUUGAGCACCGGGUCUCUAUCAAACGGGCACCCUCAAGAACUUCUUAAAGUAGUGCUCAGCAGUCUUUCGACCUAUAGCCGAAUCUCGCGCUGCAACAUUGGUAGCAUCCAUCUCCGCCCAGUAUGCCUUAACACGGGCAAAGGCCAUCCGUGCACCCUCUAUGCACGCCGACCUCUUCAUCGCAUUAAUGCGCGGCACCACAUCAAGGAACUGCUGCACCAAGCUGAAAUAGCUGUUCGGUUUUGACCUUUCCGGCCAUAAAUGAUCCACAACAGACCUCAUGGAGAGUCCGGACAACCUAUUUAGUUCGUCCCAUUCGGCUAAUUGGUCAGUCAAUGAAAGUGGAUGCUCAGGAGAAUGGAAUUGUCUCCAAAACAACUGGUCUACUUCACGGUCCGUCUGACCCUGGAAGUACUUGGCCGCAUCGGCAGCGCUCGCCGCCAAAUCCAUAUACACAUCCUCCGAACUCCACAGCCGAUCUAGAGGGCAUACCGUGGAUCUCCGAACUUCCUCCGCAACAUAAAGGAUUUCCCAGCUACAAUAUCCGCAGCUUCCCGCAGCUCCUCGUUCUUCGCCCUCAUAGCAGAGCAGAGGUCUUUUUUCGUCGCAGUAGCCUUCUCAAGGUCCAAUGCCUUCGCUUGGUUUUCCUUUUCAAGAACCUGGCAACGGUUGACGGCGGCUUUUAAUUCUAUGGCCAUCUUGGCCAUCUUGUCUCGGCUCUCGCCAUGCGCAACCUUCUCGGCUUGCAACUCUUCGGCCGCCUUCAAAGCAGCCGCAUUACCCAACCUCGCUUGUUCCUUGGCUCGGGCAAGUUCUGCCCGCAAGGCUUCAACAGUGGCAGCUCCAUCUACAGUCACAACAUAUUAAUUAUGCUGGCAUCAUGUUGCUCUUCCUAUUGUGGUGUUUACCAGAUAAUGACACUUACCCUCUGCCUCGUCAAGCCUUUUGUUAACAAGCUCGAUGUCGGCGUCUGCCGCAUCCAACUGUCGUUCUAAAUGGGCAAAUUCGCUAGUCCGGCUAGCCACCGGAGCUUCCGUCACCUGCACAGAGAGGCAGUAUGGUUAUUACCUAGGAAUAUGAUCCUCUGUUCGUCAUCGUUUCCAACGACAACCAGAGUCUCAGGGGCUACUAUGUACACAGGGCACACCUAGCAUGUGCAGGACUAUCAUACAUUCUUUUACGUACCUCAAAGCCUGUCAGUAGACUCAUAAAAGCUUCAUGCAAUCCGCUUUCGGCGGAUGAUAUUCUCUCCAUCACCGUAUUCAUCAGCACAUGAUGUUCAUCUGAGAUGGCCGCUCUCCCCACCAACUCCCUCAGAACAUUCGAUCGCACACUAGACGGUGCCGGACUCUUUUUUCUGCUCUCUUCGGGAGACGGACGCUGGGAGCUUCGGGGGUCAAUGGGAUUAUCUUCCGGCCUCACCGGACUCGGAGAGACCCUCCGCGAUGACACUUCAGGGUCGCCCGCUUCCGGAGCGGAGGAGUCUGGAGGAGGCGUUUCGCUCUCCAUCAUCUCUGGAAGAAGAUCCCCCGAAGACGAGCUCAUUUGAGAGGGGCUAAGGCCCGAACUGCAAUAAUAUAUGCGGUGGUUAUUCUCUCAGAAGAAAAAGAUGGCAUAUCUGUACUAUUAAAGUAUUUCGGGUCACUUACGACUCGCGGGAGAAUUGAUCCCCCGUGGGCUUUGUGCGGCAACAGCGCCCCCCAAGGUAGGACCCUCUGUGGGAGACUUCUUCUCCCGUUUGGAAGCUUCGGUUUCUGAAUCCCCGUGCGCAGUCCUUUUCCUCUUCUGGUCGUCUUCCUUCAUGGAGACGCUCGCUCCCUCGGUUAGAAUGGGCAGUGUUGGGGGCCCGCGUCCGUCCGUAUUAUCCUCCACAGUAUCUUCCUUCAAGGGCUCCGGGCAAGGUGCGGUCUGGAGCAUCUUUUCCAAUACCGGAUUUUCCAAACACUCAGGGAGGGGGGCCAACCACCAAAUCAGCUUUGCCUUUGUUAGCUAGUCCUGGUCAAAAAGCGAACUCUCAGAAAUAACUUCGUAACAAAGGAGAGAUAGUAUGUUCGGCCGGAAGAUGCCUUACCUGUUCGGCGGCGCGGUUACUACUCAGGCCCACGUCCUCGGUGAUUUCCGGACACUCCACCCGAGGUCCGAAGAUUGACUUGUACAUCUCCUCGUGCGUUAGGCCGAAAAAAUUUUAAAUGACACGCGGUCCCUCGGGAUUGAACUCCCACAGGCGAAGAGGCCGGUGUUUGCAAGGCUGGACUUGAUGAACCAGCAUAACUUGUAUUACCGCAACCAAACUAAAAUCUCCAUUCAAGAGAUCUCGAAUGCGGCUUUGCAGUAUAGGCACGUCCUUGGCUGGACCCCAGCUCAGACCUCUGCUGAUCCAUGACAUCAGUUGUGGUGGAGGGCCCGAGUGGAAAACAGGGGCGGCCGCCCACUUGGCACUUCUAGGAGCCGUGAUGUAGAACCACUCCCGUUGCCACAAUUCAGACACCUCUGGGAUGGAACCUUUGGGCCACGGACCUCCCGUCAUCUUGCGUAUUGAGGCACCUCCACACGUUGCAUGUUUCCCCUCGAUCAUCUUCGGCUUUACUUCAAAGGUCUUGAGCCAUAGGCCAAAGUGAGGGGUAACCCGGAGGAAGGCCUCGCACACGACAAUGAAUGUCGUGAUAUGAAGAAAGGAGUCCGGAGCUAGAUCAUGGAAGUCUAGCCCGUAAUAAAAUAUCAAACACCUGACGAAAGGAUCCAGAGCAAGGCCUAGACCUCGGAGGAAGUGGGAAACGAACACGACGUUUUCGUUGGGUUCGGGGGUGGGGACAGCCUGCCCUCGGGGAGGCAGCCGAUGCAAGAUCUCGGCGGUCAGAUAUCUGGCCUCCCUCAACAUUUUGAUGUCUUCCUUCGUGACAGAGGAAGGCACCCAUCGGCCUUGAAGGCUAGAUCCGGACAUGCCUGAAGGUUCGGAGCACCUGACCUAAACUUUGGGCGUUUCAGCUUGAGCUGGGGGAAGGAUUCGAUUGAGCACGGGAGGGAAAAAUAAAAGCCUUGUCCCUUUAUAAAGAGGGUGAAUAUCAAGCGUCCUCUCCGUGUCCGUUUGGACUUGCCUAUAAUCUAGGAGUCCUAGAAGCGGUUGGGUUACCCACGCCCGUAUUGAUGAGAAUCCCAGAAUAAGGGGACAUGAUCUUUGCUUUAACAAGACGUGCCAAGGAAACCGCCUCCCAUGACGCGCUGAGGUGGGAUAAUAAAACGACUCGGAUAAAGGCUUGGCCGUGGUGUGUUACACUACGGAAUACGUCAGCAGAUUAGAUUUGUGUAAAUAUUAUUCUCUCUAUGGCAAUAUGUGGAAACUUAUUUUGUAGAGCCGACACUAUCUUUGUGUUCAAAAUCUUCUAUGAAGUACUUGGAGGAGGAACUCGCCUUGCAAUGCCUAAGACAAUCUACGCGCCGGACUCAUCGUCAUUGAAGCCUUGUUCAGGGGCUACUGAGGGAGUCCUGGAUUAGGGGGUGUCCGGAUAGCCGAACUAUACCUUCGGCCGGACUCCUGGACUAUGAAGAUACAAGAUUGAAGACUUCGUCCCGUGUCCGGAAGGGACUUUCCUUGGCGUGGAAGGCAAGCUUGGCGAUACGGAUAUGCAGAUCUCCUACCAUUGUAACCGACUUUGUGUAACCCUAACCCUCUCCGGUGUCUAUAUAAACCGGAGGGUUUUAGUCUAUAGGACAACAUACACAACAACAAUCAUACCAUAGGCUAGCUUCUAGGGUUUAGCCUCUCCGAUCUCGUGGUAGAUCUACUCUUGUACUACCCAUAUCAUCAAUAUUAAUCAAGCAGGACGUAGGAUUUUACCUCCAUCGAGAGGGCCCGAACCUGGGUAAAACUUCGUGUCCCUUGCCUCCUGUUACCAUCCGGCCUAGACGCACAGUUCGGGACCCCCUACCGGAGAUCCGCCGGUUUUGACACCGACAGUCCGUCUUCCUGUUGAAGAUCCAUUUAAUCUCAAUGGCUCGCCGAUCUUUGGGCAAGUCAAUCAAAGUCCAUACUUUGUUCUUAUACAUGGAUCUCAUCUCAGAUUUCAUGGCCUCAAGCCAUUUCGAGGAAUCUGGGGUCAUCAUCGCUUCCUCAUAUUUCGUAGGUUCGUCAUGGUCAAGUAACAUGACCUCCAGAAUAGGAUUACGUUACCACUCUGGUGCGGAUCUCACUCUGGUUUACCUACGAGGUUCGGUAGUAACUUGAUCUGAAGUUACAUGAUUAUCAUCAUUAGCUUCCUCACUAAUUGGUGUAGUAGUCACAGGAACAGAUUUCUGUGAUGAACUACUUUCCAAUAAGGGAGCAGGUACAGUUACCUCAUCAAGUUCUACUUUUCUCCUGCUCACUUCUUUCGAGAGAAACUCCUUCUCUAGAAAGGAUCCAUUCUCAGCAAUGAAUAUCUUGCCUUCGGAUCUGUGAUAGAAGGUGUACCCAACAUUUUCUUUUGGGUAUCCUAUGGAGACGCACUUCUCCGAUUUGGGUUUGAGCUUAUCAAGUUGAAACUUUUUCACAUAAGCAUUGCAACCUCAAACUUUAAGAAACGACAACUUAGGUUUCUUGCCAAACCAUAGUUCAUACGGUGUCGUCUCAACGGAUUUAGAUGGUGCCCUAUUUAACGUGAAUGUAGCUAUCUCUAAUGCAUAACCUCAAAACUAUAGUGGUUAAUCGGUAAGAAACAUCAUAGAUUGCACUAUAUCCAAUAAUAGUACGGUUAUGACGUUCGGACACACCAUUAUGUUGUGGUGUUCCAGGUGGCACGAUUUUGUGAAACUAUUCCACAUUGUUUUAAUUGAAGACCAAACUCGUAACUCAAAUAUUUGUCUCUGCGAUCAGAUCAUAGAAACUUUAUUUUCUUGUCACGAUGAUUUUCCACUUCACUCUGAAGUUUUUUUGUACUUUUCAAAUGUUUCAGACUUAUGUUUCAUCAAGUAGAUAUCCCCAUACCUGCUCAAAUCAUCCGUGAAGGUCAGAAAAUAACGAUACCCGUCGCGAGCCUCAACAUUCAUCGGACUGCAUACAUCAGUAUGUAUUAUUUCCAAUAAGUCAGUUGCUUGCUCCAUUGUUUCGGAGAACAGAGUCUUAGUCAUCUUGCCCAUGAGGCACGGUUUUCAAGCAUCAACUGAUUCAUAAUCAAGUGAUUCCAAAAGCCCAUCAGCAUGGAUUUUCUUCAAGCGCUUUACACCAAUAUGACCUAAACGGCAGUGCCACAAAUAAGUUGCACUAUCAUUAUUAACUUUGCAUCUUUUGGCUUCAAUAUUAUGAGAAUGUGUAUCACCACAAUCAAGAUCCAACAAACCAUUUUCGUUGGGUGUAUGACCAUAGAAGGUUUUAUUCAUGUAAACAGAACAACAAUUUAUUCUCUUACUUAAAUGAAUAACUGUAUUGCAAUAAACAUGAUCAAAUCAUAUUCAUGCUCAACGCAAACACCAAAUAACAUUUAUUUAGGUUCAACACUAAUCCCGAAAGUAUAGGGAGUGUGCGAUGAUGAUCAUAUCAAUCUUGGAACCACUUCCAACACACAUCGUCACUUCACCCUUAACUAGUCUCUGUUCAUUCUGCAACUCCCGUUUCGAGUUACUACUCCUAGCAACUGAACCAGUAUCAAAUACCGAGGGGUUGCUACGAACACUAGUAAAAUACACAUCAAUAAUCUGUAUAUCAAAUAUACCUUUGUUCACUUUGCCAUCCUUCUUAUCCGCCAAAUACUUGGGGCAGUUCCGCUUCUAGUGACCAGUCCCUUUGAAGUAGAAGCACUUAGUCUCAGGCUUAGGACCAGACUUGGGCUUCUUCACUUGAGCAACAACUUGCUUGCCAUUCUUCUUGAAGUUCCCUUUCUUUCCCUUUGCCCUUUUCUUGAAACUAGUGGUCUUGUUAAUCAUCAACACUUGAUGCUCUUUCUUGAUUUCUACCUUCAUAGAUUUCAUCAUCAUGAAAAGCUCGGGAAUCGUUUUCAUCAUCCCUCGCAUACUAUAGUUCAUCACGAAGUUCUACUAACUUGGUGAUGGUGACUAGAGAAUUCUGUCAAUCACUAUUUUAUCUGGAAGAUUAACUCCCACUUGAUUCAAGUGAUUGUAGUACCCAGACAAUCUCAACACAUGCUCACUGCUUGAGCUAUUCUCCUCCAUCUUCUAGCUAUAGAACUUGUUAGAGACUUCAUAUCUCUCAACUCGGGUAUUUGCUUGAAAUAUUAACUUCAACUCCUGGAACAUCUAUAUGAUCCAUAACGUUCAAAACAUCUUUGAAGUCCCGAUUCUAAGCUGUUAAGCAUGGUGCACUAAACUAUCAAGUAAUCAUCAUAUUGAGCUAGCCAAACGUUCAUGACGUCUGCAUCUGCUCCUGCAAUAGGUCUGUCACCUAGCGGUGCAUUAAGGACAUAAUUCUUCUGUGCAAUAAUGAGGAUAAACCUCAAAUCACAAAUCCAAUCUGCAUCAUUGCUACUAACAUCUUUCAACUUAGUUUUCUCUAGUAACAUAUCAAAAAUAAAACAGGGGAGCUAAACGCGAGCUAUUGAUCUACAACAUAGAUAUGCUAAUACUACCAGGACUAAGUUCAUGAUAAAUUUAAGUUCAAUUAAUCAUAUUACUUAAGAACUCCCACUUAGAAAGACAUCCCUCUAAUCUUCUAAGUGAUCACGUGAUCCAAAUCAACUAAACCAUAACCGAUCAUCACGUGAAAUGGAGUAGUUUUCAAUGGUGAACAUCACUAUGUUGAUCAUAUCUACUAUAUGAUUCACGCUCGACCUUGCAGUCUCAGUGUUCCGAGGCCAUAUCUUCAUAUGCUAGGCUCGUCAAGUUUAACCUGAGUAUUCUACGUGUGCAAAACUGGCUUGCACCCGUUGUAGAUGGACGUAGAGCUUAUCACACCCGAUCAUCACGUGGUGUCUGGGCACGACGAACUUUGGCAACGGUGCAUACUCAGGGAGAACACUUUUAUCUUGAAAUUUAGUGAGAGAUCAUCUUAUAAUGCUACCGUCAAUUAAAGCAAGAUAGAUGCAUAAAAGAUAAACAUCACAUGCAAUCAAAAUAUGUGACAUGAUAUGGCCAUCAUCAUCUUGUGCCUUUGAUCUCCAUCUCCAAAACAUCGUCAUGAUUUCCAUCGUCACCGGCAUGACACCAUUAUCUCCAUCAUCUUGAUCUAUAUCAAUGUGUCGUCACAUGGUCGUCUCGCCAACUAUUGCUCUUGCAACUAUUGCUAUCGCAUAGCGAUAAUUGUAAAGCAAUUAUUUGGCGCUUGCAUCUUAUGCAAUAAAGAGACAACCAUAAGGCUUCUGCCAGUUGCCGAUAACUUCAACAAAACAUGAUCAUCUUAUACAACAACUUAUAUAUCAUCACGUCUUGACCAUAUCACAUCACAACAUGCCCUGCAAAAACAAGUUAGACGUCCUCUACUUUGUUGUUGCAAGUUUUACGUGGCUGCUAUGGGCUGAGGAAGAACCGUUCUUACCUACGCAUCAAAAACCACAACCAUAGUUUGUCAAGUUAGUGAUGUUUCAACCUUCUCAAGGACCGGGCGUAGCCACACUCGGUUCAACUAAAGUUGGAGAAACUGACACCCUCUAGUCACCUGUGUGCAUAGCACGGCGAUAAAACCAGUCUCGCGUAAGCGUACGCAUAAUGUCGGUUCGGGCCGCUUCAUCCAACAAUACCGCCGAACCAAAGUGUGACAUGCUAGUAAGCAGUAUGACUUAUAUCGCCCACAACUCACUUGUGUUCUACUCGUGCAUAUAACAUCAACGCAUAAAACCUGGCUCGGAUGCCACUGUUCGGGAAUGUAGUAAUUUCAAAAAAUUUCCUACGCACACGCAAGAUCAUGGUGAUGCAUAGCAACGAGAGGGGAGAGUGUUGUCUAUGUACCCUCGUAGACCGGAAGUGGAAGCGUUAUAACAAUGCGGUUGAUGUAGUCGUACGUCUUCACGGCCCGACUGAUCAAGCACCAAAACUACGGCACCUCCGAGUUCUAGCACAUGUUCAGCUCGAUGAUGAUCCCCGGACUCCGAUCCAGUAGAAUGUCGGGGAAGAGUUCCGUCAGCAUGCCGGCAUGGUGACAAUCUUGAUGUUCUACCAUCGCAGGGCUUCGCCUAAGCACCGCUACAAUAUUAUUGAGGAUUAUGGUGGAGGAGGGCACCGCACACGGCUAUGAGAUCAAUGAUCAAUUGUUGUGUCUAUGGGGUACCCCCCUGCCCCCAUAUAUAAUGGAGCAAGGGAGGGAGGCGGCCGGCCUAGGAGGAGGGCGCGCCAAGGGGGGAGUCCUACUCCCACCGGGAGUAGGACUCCUCCUUCCCUUGUUGGAGUAGGAGAGAAGGAAAGAGGGGGAGAGGAACAAGGAAAAGUGGGCUGCACCCCUUGUCCAAUUCGGACCAGAGGGGGGGGUGCCUCCUUCCUUUUGGCCUCUCUCCUCUAUUCCCGUAUGGCCCAAUAAGGCCCAUAUACUCCCCGGCGAAUUCCCGUAACUCUCCGGUACUCCGAAAAAUACCCGAAUCACUUGGAACCUUUCCGAUGUCCGAAUAUAGUCGUCCAAUAUAUCGAUCUUUACGUCUCGACCAUUUCGAGACUCCUCGUCAUGUCCCCGAUCUCAUCCGGGACUCUGAACUCCUUCGGUACAUCAAAACUCAUAAACUCAUAAUAUAACUGUCAUCGAAACCUUAAGCGUGUGGACCCUACGGGUUCGAGAACAAUGUAGACAUGACCGAGACACGUCUCCGGUUAAUAACCAAUAACGGAACCUGGAUGCUCAUAUUGGCUCCCACAUAUUCUACGAAGAUCUUUAUCGGUCAGACCGCAUAACAACAUACGUUGUUCCCUUUGUCAUCGGUAUGUUACUUGCCCGAGAUUCGAUCGUCGGUAUCUCAUUACCUAGUUCAAUCUCGUUACUGGCAAGUCUCUUUACUCGUUCCAUAAUACAUCAUCCCGCAACUAACUCAUUAGUUGCAAUGAUUGCAAGGCUUAAGUGAUGUGCAUUACCGAGAGGACCUAGAGAUACCUCUCCGACAAUCGGAGUGACAAAUCCUAAUCUCGAAAUACGCCAACCCAACAAGUACCUUUGGAGACACUUGUAGAGUACCUUUAUAAUCACCUAGUUACGUUAUGACGUUUGGUAGCACACAAAGUGUUGCUCUGGUAAAUGGGAGUUGCAUAAUCUCAUAGUCAUAGGAACAUAUAUAAGUCAUGAAGAAAGCAAUAGCAACAAACUAAACGAUCAAGUGCUAUGCUAAUGGAAUGGGUCAAGUCAAUCACAUCAUUCUCUAAUGAUGUGACCCCGUUAAUCAAAUGACAACUCAUGUCUAUGGCUAGGAAACUUAACCAUCUUUGAUUCAACGGGCUAGUCAAGUAGAGGCAUACUAGUGACACUCUGUUUGUCUAUGUAUUCACACAUGUAUUAUGUUUCCGGUUAAUACAAUUCUAGCAUGAAUAAUAAACAUUUAUCAUGAAAUAAGGAAAUAAAUAAUAACUUUAUUAUUGCCUCUAGGGCAUAUUUCCUUCACCAUGUUAUUCGGAAUGAGUUCGUUAACAAGACUUAAUCAACCUUGUUUGUGGAUUCCUUUUGAUGAUCAUGAGAUGGAUGGAACUAGAAGGCACAACUCUCUGUACCCUCCUUUUACUUUCUGUUAUUUAUAUUAAAUAAAAUAAAAAUAAAUAUUUUUCUGUAUGUUAUCUGAUUAUCCGUGCAAUAUAAAAAUACCCCGAAAAUAAAAGUUCUCCAAAUGCCAUGAAAUUUAAAUAUGAUUUUUUCUAGAAUAUUUGAGAAUAUUUGGCACUGAGAACACAGCAGGGGGUCAACCACCUGCCCACAAGGGUGGAGGGCGCGCCCUACCCCCCUGGGCGCGCCUCCUGCCUCGUGGGCCCACGUGGCCCUCCUCCACUAAUCCUUUCACCCACACACUCCUUCUUCCUCCCCCAAAAUACGAAUAUCCAGCUCAAGCACGAGUUCUAACUCAUUUUGCUGCCAUUUUUGAUCUCCUUGCUCAAAGCACCUCUCACAAAAAUGCUUGGGGAGAUUGUUCCUUUGUAUGUGACUCCUCCAUUGGUCCAAUAAUUUUCAUUCUAGUGCUUUAUUCAUUGCAAUUUUUUGCUGCUUAGGUGACCCUAUUCUAGACCUUGCAUGUCAAAUUUAUAUGGUCAAAAGUAGUUUUGAUGCAUGAUAUAGGCCCUAGGCACUUGUAGGAGUAGUUGCUAUCAAUAUUAUUGAGUUUGGUUUACUUUUAUUUGAAGUUACUAAAAGUUUUUAGAAUUUUUCAAAGAAAGAAAAAUGCUUAGGAAAAUGUUCCAAGGUGGUUCCUCAAGGAAGCAAGGACCCAGGCUUGCAAUGCGUGAUGCUGAUGAAGAGCCACCAAGAGACGCUCCAGUGCAUCCUUGUGAGUGGCCUUCUGAAAAUUUUCUGGAUCGAGUAGGAAAUAAGGAAGAAUUCAACGCAUAUUUGCGUAACGCCGAUCUGGUGAGCUUCGAGGAAGAGAAGUGCAGUCAGUAUCACAAUCUCACUAGUACCUUUGUGAGGAGGUUUGAAUUUUCAUCUUCACGUAAUUCUCCAACUGUCCUGUUUGAUCUUUAUGAAAUUUCUUAUACUAUGGACUUAGAGGAUUUUACCACUCCUUGCAAACUUCCACAAUGGGCUAAUAUAAGGGAUCCUUGCAAAUCUGAAUUUAGAGAUUUUCUUGCUAGCAUAACUGUGGGAGAAUCUAGAGAUAUAACACAAGCUACCAUAGGGAGCAUUCACUUUCCUGCUAUACAUUAUUUUGCUCUCUUCAUAGGUAGAUGCAUUAAUGGUAAAGAUGAGGCAUGUCACAUGUGUGUCCUUGACCCCAGUAUUCUUAGGAGUGCUGUGUUAGGAGAUAAAUCUUAUAAUUUGGGAGCCAUUCUUGCACGUAGGUUGCAUCUUAAUAGAUUUAAUGGAGAGUUCUUUGGAGGAAUCUAUGCAACCCGCAUAGCUAAUUUUCUUGGUAUAGCCAUACGCGCGGAUGAUAUUGAAUUACCUCCUGCUUACCUAGACUUUAAUGCUAUGGUUCACCACCAAUUUGUCGAGAGGAAUGAAUCACCUCUCCAGUAUCGAUUAAUCUUUGACAGACGCCAUGCUGUCCAUAUUACUCUCCCUGCUCCCGCCGUCUUUGAUCAUCAGGCAAAAGGAAGAUAUACUAUUACCAGAGAGGAGGCAGAUGAGUAUGAGAGGAGAGCGGAGGCUGCUCGUCGCCACGCUGCAGCUAAGCAGGCGAUAGCCGCUGCAUCGCAGUACGACACCAACUAUUAUUAUGGAUAUCCGCUACGCCAGCCGUGGCCAUAGACCAACUAAGGCCAAAAUCCUAAGCUUGGGGGAGUACGUAUUUCCCACCGACAUUACAUUUAUGUUCACACACUCAUUGCUAGAUUCGGUGCUCAUACUUUUUCAUUGUAUCAUCCAUGCUAGUUUAUUUUCCUUUUUAUGCUUUCUUCUUGUGUGUUUGAUAAACCUUAAGAAAAACCAAAAAAAAUUAGUUGUAGCUUCUAGCUAGUUUUAAUUUCCAUGCUUGUAGUAGUAAUUAAAAAGAAAACCCAAAAAUAUUUCCUGUUCUUCUUUUGCUUGUUGGGAGCUUUCCCGUGUAAAUAGUUUUAUUUCUUUUCUUUGGGGGUCGAUAGGAGAAGACCAUGAUUAAAUUGUUGAAGUGGCUCUUAUAUGCAUAAAUGUUGAUCUGACAAAAGAGCCCAUAUUUCCUUGUCUUAUCCUGUUUAUUGAAUGCUUGCAGAUUCCAGCUUAGUCCAAUGCACGCGCACUAUUAUUAUUAUUCACAUUGUUCAGUCGUGCAAGUGAAAGGCAAUUAUGAUGAUAUAUGAUGGACUGACUGAGAUGAGAAAAGCUGGUAUGAACUCGACCUCUUUCGUUUUUGUAAAUAUGAUUAGUUCAUCGUUCCUGAUUCAGCCUAUUAUGAAUGAACAUGUUUACAAUGACAACUAGAGAUCAUAGUUUCUUGUGUCAUGCUUGAUUAGCUAUGAGUUAUAAUGGUUUACCUUGCGUGCCAACAUGCUAUUGAGAUGGUUAUGAUGUGGUAUGAUAGGGUGGUAUCCUCCUCUCAAUGAUUUAAGUGACUUAACUUGGCGCAUGUUCACGCAUGUAGUUGAAACAAAAUCAACAUAGCCUUCACGAUAUUUAUGUUCAUGGUGGAUUAUAUCCUACUCAUGCUUGCAUUCGGUGUUGAUUAAUUUCAAUGCAUCUUCAUGACUGUUGUCGCUCUCUAGAUGGUCGCUUCCCAGUCUUUUGCUAUCCUUCACCUGUACUAAGCGGGAAUACUGCUUGUGCAUCCAAUCCCUUAAACCCCAAAGUUAUUCCACAUGAGUCCACUAUACCUACAUAUAACCGGUAUCUACCUGCCGUUCCAGGUAAAUUUGUAUGUGCCAAACUCUAAACCUUCAAAUAAAUAUCCUGUUUUGUAUGCUCGAAUAGCUCAUGUAUCAACUAGGGUUGUCCGUAUCUUCCAUGUUAGGUGGGUUAUUCUCAAGAGGAGUGGACUCCGCUCCUCACUACGAGAUAAAUGGCUGGUCACCGGGAUGCCCAGUCCCAUGCUUUAUGCAAACUAAAUCAAAAUAAUUGCAAACAAAACUCACCCUAGGACUCUUGUUAGUUGGAUGCACUCGUUGUUUCGAGCAAGCCAUGGAUUGAUGCUUGUUGGUGGAAGGGGGAGUAUAAACUUUACCAUUCUCUUUGGGAACCGCCUAUAAUGUGUGUAGCAUGGAAGAUAUCGCCAUCUCUUGGUUGUCAUGUUGACAACGUAAGUAUACUGCUCAAAAUAUUAUUCACUUCUGUUUCAAAACCGAGCUCUGGCACCUCUACAAAUCCCUACUUCCCUCUGCGAAGGGCUAUCUAUUUACUUUUAUGCUGAGUCAUCAUCCUCUUAUUAAAAAGCACCAGUUGGAGAGCACUGCUGUCAUUUGCACUCAUUACUGUUAAUUUACAUUGAGUAUGACUUGACCGGAUCUCUUUUAUCAUGAAUUACAAUGUCUAGACAGUCCUUGGUCUUUAAAGGUGCUCUGCAUUUAUGUUUUGCGGUCGCAAAAAGGGCUAGCGAGAUACCAUCUUGUUAUAUCAUAUUAUGAUUGUUUUGAGAAAGUGUUGUCAUCCGAGAUUUAUUAUUAUUGCUCGCUAGUUGAUUAUGCCAUUGAUAUGAGUAAACUUGAGACCUAAGCGUUAUUGCGAAUGUGGUUAGUUAUAAUCUUUGCUGAAAACUUGAAUGCUGGCUUUACAUAUUUACAACAACAGGAGCAAACAGAGUUUGUAAAAGUUUUUCUUUAUCACUUUCAGUUUGUCAACUGAAUUGCUUGAGGACAAGCAAAUGUUUAAGCUUGGGGAGUUGAUACGUCUCCGUCGUAUCUACUUUUCCAAACACUUUUGCCCUAGGUUUGGACUCUAACUUGCAUGAUUUGAAUGGAACUAACCCGGACUGACGCUGUUUUCAGCAGAAUUACCAUGGUGUUAUUUAUGUGCAGAAACAAACGUUCUCGGAAUGACCUGAAACUUCACGGAGCAACUUUUUGGAAAAUAUAAAAAAAUACCUGCAAAAGAUGAAGGCCAGGGGGGCCACCACCUCUCCACGAGGGUGGGGGCGCGCCCCCUACCUCGUGGCCCCCCUAGUGCCUCUCCAACUCCAACUCCAACUCUAUAUAUUGUGUUUCGGGGAGAAAAAAUCAAAGAGAAGAAUUCAUCGCGUUUUACGAUACGGAGCCGCCGCCAAGCCCUAAAACCUCUCGGGAGGGCUGAUCUGGAGUCCGUUCGGGGCUCCAGAGAGGGGAAUCCGUCGCCAUCGUCAUCAUCAACCAUCCUCCGUCACCAAUUUCAUGAUGCUCACCACCGUGCGUGAGUAAUUCCAUCGUAGGCUUGCUGGACGGUGAUGGGUUGGAUGGGAUCUAUCAUGUAAUCGAGUUAGUUUUGUUAAGGUUUGAUCCCUAGUAUCCACUAUGUUCUGAGAUUGAUGUUGCUAUGACUUUGCUAUGCUUAAUGCUUGUCGCUAGGGCCUGAGUGCCAUGAUUUCAGAUCUGAACCUAUUAUGUUUUCAUCAAUAUAUGAGUGUUCUUGAUCCUAUCUUGCAAGUCUAUAGUCACCUAUUAUGUGUUAUGAUCCGUUAACCCCGAAGUGACAAUAAUCGGGAUACUCACCGGUGAUGACCGUAGUUUGAGGAGUUCAUGUAUUCACUAUGUGUUAAUGCUUUGUUCCGGUACUCUAUUAAAAGAGGCCUUAAUAUCCUUUAGUUUCCGUAAGGACCCCGCUGCCACGGGAGGGUAGGACAAAAGAUGUCAUGCAAGUUCUUUUUCAUAAGCACGUAUGACUAUGUUCGGAAUACAUGCCUACAUUAUAUCAAUGAACUGGAGCUAGUUCAGUGUCACCCUAGGUUAUGACUAUUAUAUGAUGAACCACAUCCGGCAUAAUUCUCCAUCACCUAUCCAUUGCCUACUAGCUUUCCAUACAUUGGUCUUCGCUUAUUUACUUUCCCGUUGUAUUGCUAUCAUCACUACAAAACACCAAAAACAUUACUUUUACUACUGUUACCUUUUGCUACCGUUACCACUACUAUCAUAUUACUUUGCUACUAAACACUUUGCUGCAGAUAUUAAGUUUCUAGGUGUGGUUGAAUUGACAACUCAGCUGCUAAUACUUGAGAGUAUUCUUUGGCUCCCCUUGUGUCGAAUCAAUAAAUUUGGGUUGAAUACUUUAUCCUUGAAAACUGUUGCGAUCCCCUAUACUUGCGGGUUAUCAUGGAGCAUUGGAUGCUGACCAGAUAAUAUGGACUUGGAAGGAUCUGGUCGGAUUCGACGUAGUCGGAUCCGAGUCGAGAUAAGGUCCGAGUCGGACAGACCCAACUAUGAGAAGCAGCGAUAUGUCGUCUGUGAGUCUCUAGUAUAACAUACAUUCUAUGUCCUAAGACCUGAGCUGGCGCAUGUACUCGGGAUGGUAACAGACUUGCUUUGGGCCAACCAAACGCUACUCCGUGACUGGGUAGUUACAAAGGUAGGUUUCGGGCUUAUCCAGACCCAUGCUGCGAGACAUGGUCGAGCAAGAUGGGAUUUGCCCCUCCGAUUAGGAGAGAUAUACUUUGGGCCCCUCGUGUGAUACGACCAGGAUAAGCAUGGCCAUGCGGCAAGGAUUAUGAGAUAAUCUGAUUGUGGUCGGCAUCACUGGAACGAGAAAGAGAUCGGACUAGCACAAGGAUGAUAGACUUGCCUUGAGCCCAACAACAUAUAUCGUGUGGCAAAAGGAAUGGAAGUGUGAUGUACAGGUUCGCCUAACCAGCUUCAUCGUUUGCUUGGUGGUCGGCACGCCUUGAUAGAGGCCGCUACCAGCCAUGUACUCUGGAGGUGAUCCAAACUGCGACCAAGCUGGCUUGAACCUAAGGGGUCACGCGCUUAAGGGAGGGAACCUACAAGAUCGUAUCCGAGGACAUUGGUCGGAUGUGAUCCGAGCUGUAUUCGGAUUGUGGAGGAGUAGACUUAUGGGCUUUAGCGUCCAUGCGAGGCCCAAGUAUUGAGCCCAUGAUGGAAGCCUAUAUAAAGUGGGGUGCGGCACACUCAUGCUGUUGAUCGCUUCGGCGCUGUCACUAGGGUUUGCAUGUGUUGCGAAUAGACACCUCCACUUACCGCUGAAUGUGUGAUCGGACCUAGCAGUCCGCCGCACGAAGUUCCUCCUACACGCGCGGAUACCAUUAGAGGCGGUGCACUUGCGCCACUCCGGCGAACUUGUACGUGGGAUCUGACGACCGGCUAUUCAAGGGAGAUCGUACGAGGAGGAGACGAUCCACGCGGACGCGCUGCCCCAACUAUUCUUCCACUGCACGGCACUGCGCGUCUAGUGGUAACGAACUGUGAUCCAUCUCCCGUAGCAUGUUCUUGGUUGUUCCGCGCAUAGGAAAAUUUUAAUUUGCAGGCGACACACCCUACCGUAGAACCCAACAGAUGUGAUAUAAAAUAUGUUGGCCCACCGUCUUGUGUGGCUUACGCAGGAAGCUUUGUCGUCUAUAGUCCAUCGCCCCCGCUUGAACCACACUUGCGCGCUAGUUUCUCGUGACACCGAGCGAAUUUUUUUCCACCGCGGAAAUAUCUAUCUCCCCGCUCCCUCCCUCCCACCAAAAGCCACAUUUCCACUGUUCCUCCUUGCUUUCCAAGUUCAAACCUUCACUGCUGCCUACUGGCAGCUCAGCCUCCUCACCAGCAACCCUUCUUCUUGCAGCGCUGCCUCCUCGCCGGCUACCCUUCUUCUUGUAGUGCUGCCUCCUCGCCGACGACCCUUCUUCUUGCAACGCCGCCUCCUCGCUGGCGACCCUUCUUCUUGAUGUGCGGCCUCCUGGCCGCCGACCCUUCUUCGUGUUGCACGGCCUCGUCGAUAUGGUCAGGUAAUCCACACCCCACCCACACCAUCCUCCUCAUUUCCCGUCCCACAUGCCCCGACCGACGACGCGACACCUUCCACCGAAAUCACUGUCCCCCUCCUCCAAUGAAGUGCCGCCCACAACCAUUUUGCACGCAGUAUAACAUGGAGCUCAGUAGCAUGCAGCCGCACGCGCCCACGAGGUUGCUAUGGCUGCCAUGCAUGCCAAUCGCCAGAUCUUGGAGGAGCACCUCGUCUUCGAGGCCAUCGUCGACACCGCCACGCGGUUGUCUACUUUAAAAUAUAGUUCAUGUUGUUUUCUCGAGGCCACCGCCAGUGCCUUCUAGUGAUUUGUCCUCUAUAAUGUUAAUAUGCAUUCUGAUGUUCAGUUAAUAGUUUGGUCCUGUGAAAUGUAAUGUUCAGUUAACACUUUGGUCCAACAAUUGCUAUAUUUCGUAGUACUGUUCUCAAGCAUUAUUUGUUUUGCUAACUGUCUUAUCUUCUAGUACAUGUUUCUAUUCUGCAAUGUCGUGCUUAGUUAACUAUUUUGGUUCAUUUGGUUUGCUGUCCAUUACAUUAUUUGGUUUAGUUCUGUAAUUUGAUUUUCAUUCGCUGUGGGUACAAUUUUGUAUUGUUAUGCUUGUGAAACCAAUGCAAUUUGGCUAUACUCAAUGCAUAUUCUACUGAGAGUAUAACCUGAUCAAGAUCUUCCUUAUGUGUGUUGUAGGGAAACAAUGGGAGACACUGCAGUUUACCAUAGAGGUUUGUUCAAGCAUGGUCCUUUCGCUAAUAGCACAUUAUUGUGCAGUUGCAGGAAUCAUUCUAAUAUUUAGGUUUCUUACUAUUUGGUCUUGCACAUGUAGGUCCUGCUGUCAGAGGCUUAGACCCACUGUUUGACCCAUUUUGCAUAUGGGGAAAUGAGAUGUCCAUGAAUAUCGGUCAAGUCAAGAAACUCAGAAAGAUUGUUAGGAUGAAGAAACUUACGGCGAUUAACAGCAAGAUCUUUGUUUGCACAAUGACGAAGACAUCAGUCAACUAUAGGAUGGUACUAACUCUUUUACCUUGUGUUUACCCCUUGCACCAUUUCAAAUUUUAUAAUAGCGAUUUAUGCAUAUCUUUGUUUUCAGUACUUUUCAAAGCAGUUCACCGAUGAUUACCUCUCAAACCACCUGCAUGGUCAAGAGGCAAGGAAGGUAUUCAUUCAACACCCACGGUACAAUAUUGAUGUCUUGCCAAAGAGGACGAAGAUUGGGCGGGCAAUUAUCCAUAGCCACGGGCCUAAAGUUGCAAGGACAUUCAACAUCACUAAAGGCUCAAUAUUUACCUUCCGCUUCUGCAGUUUCCAAGAUGAGAUUCAUCUAUCUAUUUACCGUGUAUGAUGCUAAUUACCCUGCUUAUUGGGGUUUUCUAUUGCAGACGGUUACUCAGACAACACUGUGGGUGAUGAACUCAAAUAACCCGCACGGUUUCUAGAAAGUAGGCGUGUUCGAUCAACUAACAAUCACACACGGCUUCCGGCAGCGAACUGUUUGCGUUAGGCCACCUUGCACAAACGUCUCCACAUAAAGAAGUGCAUGUGAUAUACAUACCUAGGAAAAUGUUUCUCUGGGAUUCACCAUGUGGGAUGUACAUACCUAUGGAAAUGAUUGGGUUUCGAUGCCUCGCCCGAUCACACACGAGCUCAUUUGGUGUCCCAGGAGGGCCUAUCCCCAGCGGUUUUUGGGUCGUGUGGGAAGGACCCCCCUAUCCCCCACACUCACUUGGCAAAGGUUCCAAAUGCCGUCGCAGAAAGGGGUUAAAAACCGUUUGUAUAGCACAUAGAUGUCCCAGUGAUACAAUGAUCAUUGCCUGGAUAUCGUCAUGAUUAUUUGAAGUUCUAUCAAUUGCCCAUCAGUAAUUUGUUCACCCACCGUUUGCUAUUUUUCUCGAGAGAAGCCACUAGUGAAACCUACGGCCCCGGGUCUCUUCUUUAUUAUAUUUGCCUUCACAAUCUAGUUUUAUUUGCUUUUAUUUUCAGAUCUAUUAGACCAAAAAUACAAAAAUACCUUGCUGCACUUUAUUUUUUUGGCGAUCUAUCUAUCAAUUUAUUACAUCUUUCUCAAGUCCACUUGCCAAUUUCUGGAGCUGUUGCCCGAAAGGGAUUGACAACCCCUUUAAUACGUCGGGUUGUGAGUAUUUGUAAUUUGUGUGCAGGUGACAUUCAUGUAGUGUUGCAUGGUUCUCAUACUGGUUCGAUAACCUUGGUCUCAUCACUAAGGAAAAUACCUACCGUUGCUGUGCUGCAUCAUCCCUUCCUCUUUAGGAAAUACCGACACAGUUCAAGCAAACAUCUGUAGCGACCAGACCUCAAAUGGUCCAAUCUCUAUGCUCAGGUGUCAUCCCUGGAUCAAUAAUGCUGACACCACACAGUACUUGAAGGAUUUAUAACAGAGUAUCAAUCACACACUUAUUACAUCGAGUGUCUCAAAAGAGAACUUAUUACAAUAAAUAUGGCUUAAGGCCAUCUAAUAACGAUAAUAGCGGAAGGCUUGGAAGAUAAGUGAGUCCAUAAACUCUAACGACAUCACUGAGUAUAGAACCACGACCUAAAAGCACCUUAAUCGUCGUCUGAAAAGUCUGCAACAUGAACGUUGCAGCCCGAAACGGGUCAGCACAUGGAAUAUACUGGCAAUGUAACACAUAGAGAGUAAUGAAAGACAUAGGCUAUACUAUAUGCAUAUUUGGCUGGUGGAAAGCUCUAUGGUUACAGUUUUGCGAAAAGCCAUUUUUUCCCUACUGCAAAGGAAUAAAUUUUAUUUAACUAUCAUGGUAGUUGUUAAACAUUGAGAAUGGUUGACAUCAUUCUCAAUCCCAAUUAAGCAUCAUCAUUAAACAAAACCCAACAAAAUUAAUUUAGAGUAACAUGAUGAGAUUCACAUGAUAAUCUAGGUACUAGAUACUCAAGAUGUCCAUAACGGGGGACAUGCCUAACCAUGAAUAGUUUAUACACUCUGCAGAGGUUUGCGCACUUUUCCCCACAAGACUCGAUCUCCUCCGUUGGGAUUCUCGCACUACAUGGUGUUUGAGAAACGGAUGACCGAGACAUAGUCUUUCAGAAGCGCUAGCACCUUAAGAUCGGGUAGACUGUUACACCUACUUUCCCCUACAUCUGCUAGUCUACCACUAUAAGAGUUCGCAUGACUUAGUCAACUAUGCUAGAGCCCAUAGUAGCUUGUGGCUGCACACAGAAGUUUCUAGUAUGAAUAAUCUCAUGAUCCCUUUGAGCCUGGGUGGCGGUCCAAAAGAAAAACAGGCAAUCACUGGAAUACCCAGGUGCCUCAGUCCACCCAGAUGUGUAUUUCAGUAGCCACCUUAGAUAAACCAUUAAUUUAACAAUCUCACAUCUGUCAUGGAUACACUCACCCAAUCCACGUCUACUAGCAUAGCAUAACAUAAUAAGCAAACAUAGAAGUAACUCCCAAAGGUUUGAUAAUAAAACAGGUGAUAGGUACUACCUCAUCUACUUCCCAAACCCACAAUUUAAUUAGAUCCUAAACAUGCAAUGUGUGAGGAUUGAUCUAAUGCAAUAAAACUGGGUAAUUGGAAGUAUGAUCAAAGUGUUACUUGCCUUGCUGAUGAUCCGGGAAACCUAGCGAUUCGAAGUAGCAAGCGGCGCACUGUGGGUACUCUAUCGUAAACAAACAAGCAUACAAUAAGUACUCAUCUAAUGCACAGGUAAAACUCGAAUAAGAGAUCUAACCAAAAAGUUCAACUUAAGAACUCCGGUUGGCAAAAAGAAUCAAAUCGAACGAAGCAACGAAACACAAACGGCAAAAGAAACAGGCAUCGUUUACUAUUCUGGAUCUAGGACAAUUUUUACAGUGGCAAAAACUUGUUUGAGUUGGUUAAACGGAAAGAGGGUUUCAAGACGAAACUCUAGGCACUUGAAUCGCCCGAUUCCAAUAAACGAGUGAAAAGUUAUACUAAAACGAAAAUCGGAUCAGGAAUCAUGAUCAGAAAAAUCGCGGAUUUAAUCCGAGAAAAAAAAUGACGAACAGAUUAACGAACGAACGUUCGUUAUCUGGAUCUAAAUGAUGAACGCGUUCGUUAAAACGAGCGAACAAGAGAACGCUUGCUAAUUAAAUAGACUGGAAAAACCGAUCUAUAAAAAAACGAAUGAAACCGACGGAAAACCGAUUGGUUUUUCGAGGAAAAUUGGUGGCGGUGAGGUCUACCUCCGGCAAGCGGCGGGGCGGCGGUCCGGCGGGCGGCGGGGUNNNNNNNNNNNNNNNNNNNNNNNNNNNNNNNNNNNNNNNNNNNNNNNNNNNNNNNNNNNNNNNNNNNNNNNNNNNNNNNNNNNNNNNNNNNNNNNNNNNNNNNNNNNNNNNNNNNNNNNNNNNNNNNNNNNNNNNNNNNNNNNNNNNNNNNNNNNNNNNNNNNNNNNNNNNNNNNNNNNNNNNNNNNNNNNNNNNNNNNNNNNNNNNNNNNNNNNNNNNNNNNNNNNNNNNNNNNNNNNNNNNNNNNNNNNNNNNNNNNNNNNNNNNNNNNNNNNNNNNNNNNNNNNNNNNNNNNNNNNNNNNNNNNNNNNNNNNNNNNNNNNNNNNNNNNNNNNNNNNNNNNNNNNNNNNNNNNNNNNNNNNNNNNNNNNNNNNNNNNNNNNNNNNNNNNNNNNNNNNNNNNNNNNNNNNNNNNNNNNNNNNNNNNNNNNNNNNNNNNNNNNNNNNNNNNNNNNNNNNNNNNNNNNGCGGCAAAGGCGGCGGCGGCGGGGCGGCUAGGGCGGCUAGGGCGGCUAGGGUUUGGGGGGUCCGGCUGGGCCUUCCCCGACUUAUAAAGCUGGCCGGGCCUAGUGUCUGGGUCGGACACGGCCCGUUAGGUCGGUUCGCCUUUUUUUUAAAAUAGUUACGCUCAAAAAAGAAAACAAAAGGAAUACUAAACGGACUCCAAAUAUCCCGAAAUAAACUUUCCCCGGCUUCUAAAAUCAAGCCGCACAGGAUGAAAAUUUAUUUGGGGCCUAAAUGCAAUUUUGAAAAAUGCUCAUUUUUCCUAAAUUCAAAUAAAAUAGCAAAUAAAACCAAAAUAAAAUCUUAUUUGAUUUUCUUAUUAAAUCCUCAAUAUUUCUUUAUUUGGGAAAGUCAUUUUAUUCCCUCUCUCAUAUUUUUGUAAUAGAAAUAAUUGAAGAUAAAAUAAAUAAAAUCAAAUGAUCCUAUUUUCAAAAUUUGAGAAAACUCAAAUAUGAAAAUAACGAAAUCCCCAACUCUCUCCGAUGGUCCUUGAGUUGCGUAGAAUUUCUAGGAUCAGCCUAAAUGCAAUAAAUUAUGAUAUGCAAUGAUGAUCUAUUGAAUAACAUUCCAAAUUGAAUAUUUGGGAUGUUACAAACCUACCCCCCUUAAGAUGAAUCUCGCCCUCGAGAUUUGGGUUGGCUAGAAAAUAGGUGAGGGUGGUCCUUCAGCAAUUCUUCCUCUCGCUCCCAGGUGGCUUCAUCCUCCGUCUGGUGGCUCCACCGAACUUUGCAAAACUUGAUAACCUUGUUGCGGGUGACUCGGCUGGCAUACUCAAGAAUCUUGAAUGGUUUCUCCUCAUAGGUCAAAUCACUGUCCAACUGGAUUGCUUCCAGCGGCACUGUGUCUCUCAGCGGUAUAUCAGCCAUCUCUGCGUGGCACUUCUUCAUCUGGGAAACAUGGAACACGUCGCGAACUCCUGACAAUCCUUCAAGCAACUCCAAUUUGUAGGCCAAUUCUCCCAUACGCCCCAAAACCUUGUAUGGUCCUACAAAAUGUGGCGCUAACUUUCCCUUAACUCCAAAGCGCUUAAAUCCUCGAAGUGGAGAUACUUGAAGAUAAACUUGGUCUCCGACUUCGUAAACUGUCUUCUUGCGUUUAGAAUCUGCAUAGCUCUUCUUCCUGGAUUGGGCUACCUUGAGCCUAUCGCGAAUCAAUUUUACUUUCUGUUCAGACUCCUUAAUCAGAUCUGGUCCAAACAACUGACGGUCUCCAACUUCAUCCCACGACAAUGGGGUCCUGCACCUCCUUCCGUACAAGGCUUCAGAAGGGGCCAUCUUCAAACUGGAUUGAUAACUGUUGUUAUAAGAGAACUCUGCAUAUGGAAAAUUCUCAUCCCAACUAGAUCCGCAAUCUAGCGCACAAGCUCUCAACAUAUCCUCCAAAAUCUGAUUGACUCUCUCGGUCUGUCCAUCUGUCUGCGGAUGGAAAGCUGUACUGAACUCUAGCCUGGUACCCAAAGUUUAAUGCAACUGAUUCCAGAACUUUGAGGUAAACUGGGUUCCUCUAUCUGAUACAAUGCUCCUUGGAACUCCAUGCAGACAUACGUUUCUGGUCAUGUAUAUCUUUGCUAACUUUGCACUAGUAUAGGUAGUCUUCACUGGAAUGAAAUGAGCUACCUUUGUCAAACGAUCGACUACAACCCAAAUCGAGUCAUAGCCUGAACGAGUUCUGGGUAAACCCGUAAUAAAAUCCUUUCCUAGCUUAUCCCACUUCCAUUUGGGUAUCGGAAAUGGCUGUAGCAAUCCUGUUGGCUUCUGAUGCUCUGCCUUUACUCUCUGACAUACAUCACAAACUGCUACAUACUCCGCAAUGUCCUUCUUCAUUCUGGUCCACCAGAAAGUAUCCUUCAAAUCCAAAUACAUCUUGGUAUUUCCUGGGUGAAUCGAGUAUGGUGAAUCAUGGGCUUUCUGUAGAAUUAACUUCCUGAUCUCCGGGUCAUUAGGCACAUAAAUGCGGUCUUCAAACCAUAAGGUAUCGUGUUCGUCAUCACGAAAUCCUUUAGCUUUUCCUUUGCUCAUUUUCUCCUUGAUAGAAGCAAUCUCCUUGUCAGUCUUCUGGGCUUCUCUGAUCUUAUCCAUCAAAGUAGAAUGAAUCUCCAAUGCUGCUACAUAGCCUCUCGGAACUAUCUCCAAACAUAGCUCACGAAGAUUUUUGGCUAACUCCCUUGGUAAAUCUCCCAUCAUUAGUGUGUUGACAUGGCUUUUACGACUCAGUGUGUCAGCUACUACGUUAGCCUUUCUGGGGUGAUAAUGCAAUCUCAUGUCAUAAUCCUUGAUGAGCUCCAACAAUCUCCUUUGCCUGAGGUUCAACUCCUUCUAUGUGAAAAUAUAAUUCAAACUAUUGUGAUCUGUGUACACCUCACAAUGGUUUCCAAUGAGAAAGUGUCUCUAGGUUUUCAAUGCAUGCACUAUGGCUGCUAACUCCAAAUCAUGCGUAGCAUAAUUCAACUCAUGAGGCUUGAGCUGUCGUGAGGCAUAUGAAACAACUCUUCCUUCCUGCAUAAGCACUGCUCCAAGUCCUCGACGUGAAGCAUCGCAAUACACCUCAUAAUCCUUGGUCUGAUCUGGUAAAAUCAACACUGGUGAUGUAACCAAACAUUUCUUCAACUCCUGGAAACCGGCCUCACAUUCCUCGGUCCAUAUGAACUUGGUAUCCUUAUUCAACAACUCCGUCAUAGGCUUUGCAAUUUUUGACAAAUUUUCAAUAAAUCUCCGGUACUAUCCUGCGAGUCCAAGAAAACUCCGGAUUUCUCCAACUAUUGUUGGGGCUUCCCAAUUUGUCAAAGUGUCAACCUUAGUGGGAUCUACUGCUAUACCAACUCCGGAUAUAACGUGUCCGAGAAAUCCAACUUCCUUCAACCAAAACUCGCAUUUGCUAAACUUGGCAUAUAACUGAUGUUCUCUGAGCUUACCAAGUACCAAACGCAAAUGCUCCUUAUGCUCCUCUUCAUUCUUCGAGUAAACCAGGAUAUUGUCGAUGAACACUAUGGCGAACUUAUCCAAAAACUCUGUAAACACUUUGUUCAUCAUGCUCAUAAAAUAUGCAGGUGCAUUAGUCAGACCAAAUGACAUAACGGUAUACUCGUACAGCCCAUACCUGGUGGUAAAAGCCGUCUUAGGUAUAUCCUGUUCUCGAAUCUUCAACUGGUGGUAUCCUGAUCGCAGAUCGAUUUUGGAAAAUACCUUAGCUCCUUACAAUCGAUCAAAAAGAUCAUUGAUCAUCGGCAGUGGGUAUUUGUUCUUGAUGGUUACUUCAUUCAAUCCUCGAUAAUCAACAACCAUCCUUAACGACCCAUCCUUCUUCUCUACUAGAAGUAAUGGCGAUCCCCAAGGCGAAGAACUUGGGCGAAUAUACCCUUUAUCCAGUAACUCCUUAAUCUGAUUCUUAAUCUCCACCAAAUCCUUUGCGGGCAUCCUAUAUGGUCUCUUAGAUAUUGGCCAUGUGCCUUGCAAAACCUCAAUCAAAAACUCGAUAUCUCUAUCUGGUGGCAUGCCUGGCAACUCUUCCGGAAAUACAUCAGGGAAAUCCUUCACUACUGGUACUUCCUCCUGCACAACUCUUGUUAGACAAUUUACUUGAGUCUUCAUCGGCACAUUCCGGGAUACGUACUUGAUCCUUGUCCCUUCUGGGGUGGUAAGCAAUAUCGACUUACUGGCGCAAUCGAUGUUUCCUCCAUACAUCAACAUCCAAUCCAUACCCAGAAUUACAUCCAAUCCUUGUGAUUCCAAAAUGAUCAAAUCCGAGGGAAACACAUGCCUACCUAUACUCAAUGGCACUUGAAAACAUCCCUGGCUAGCCAUAUACUCCGCUCCUGGUGAGCUUACUAACAUAGGUGUUCUAAGAACUUUGGUGGGCAGGUUAUACUUAUCCACAAAUCCCCUUGAUAUGUAUGAAUGCGAUGCACCGGUAUCGAAAAGAACGAGUGCAGUAAAUGACUUAACCAAAAACUUACCGAUUACUGCAUCCGGCUGCUCUGCAACCUCCUCCACGUUAACGUGGUUCACCUGUCCCAUGUUGAAAGGGUUCGGCUUCUUCCCAGAGCUUCCAUUGCCAUUUCCAUUCUGGGAUUCAGGACAUUCGUUGGCAUAAUGUCCGGUCUUCUGGCACUUAAAGCAAGUGACUUGGCUCAGGUCUCUCUUGGCUGGGGUCGAUGGGUUGGUGCGGUUCUGGCUGUUGCUUCCUCCAUUCCCAUUACCAUUCUUGGUGUCGUUGUGAUUGUGCGAGCUACCUCCUCCACGGGUAUGCUGAAAAUGUCCUCCCGGUCUAGGGGUAAAACGUGGCUUCUGCUGAGCUCCAGAAUUGUACUUCCCUUGUCCAUACUUCCUCUUGCAGUUCUCAAUCUGCUGCUGUUUCCCUUCAAUCAUGAGAGCACGAUCUACCAACUCCUGGUAGUUCUUGAAGGUUGCCACCAUCAACUGCAUGCUCAACUCAUCAUUCAGUCCUUCCAGAAACUUCUCUUGCUUAGCUGCAUCCGUAGCAACGUCAUCUGGGGCAUAACGUGCUAGCUUACUAAAGUCCUGCACAUACUGGCCAACUGUCCGUCCUCCUUGGCGCAAAUUGCGAAACUCUCGCUUCUUCAUGGCCGUAGCUCCUGCUGAAACAUGGGCAGUACGGAAAGCCUGUUGAAACUGGUCCCACGUGACAGUGUCAACAGGGAAAGUGGUGGUGAAAUUCUCCCACCAUGAUGCUGCGGGUCCUUCAAGCUGAUGUGCGGCAAACUUCACCUUUUCCACAUCUGUGCAUCCUACCGUGGUCAACUCCCUUGCUGUCUUGCAGAGCCAAUCAUCUGCUACUAUCGGCUCGGUGCUACUGGAAAACACCGGUGAAUUUAGCCUAAGAAAACGGGCUAAGUGAUCAACAGGUGGUGGUGGGUUGUUGUUGUUGUUCCCCUGAUUCUGAUUCUGGACUAGCAACUGCAUCAAUGUGUUCUGCUGCUGGAUCAACUGGGUGAGCUCCGGUGGGAAGGUAAAUCCGGGGUCACGUCUCGGAGGCAUCUGAGGGUUUAGAAAAGAUGAGAUUUAAGAAUAGAGAGGGGUCUAGAGAGAAAACACUACCCAUAUGCUCAUGAGGCAAAAGCAAACAAUUCACUUCAUUCAAUCAAACAAGGGCAUACAAUCAUCUAACUAUCGCAAAAGUGCUCGGACUACUAUAUUUACAUGGUGAACUACUACUACUGAUGGGGUGGUCUACUAAAAAUACUCUUCGGUUGCAAACUCCAUGAUAUCUGCUCCAGCUUCAUCAACAUAGUCAUCAUCCCUAUCAUCUGGAUCCGAGUCGGUGUCGUCGAUGAUGAUGUAGUCUUCCGGGUGAAUCUCCUUGGGUACUUCGUCUUCUUCUACUGGUGUAGGGCCUCCCAUAAAUAUUCCAAUCUUCUUGAUCAGAUCGUCAUUCUUAUCCACUAAUACUUCAAUUUCCUCUUCAUAAUCUUCACGUGUAGCCUUGAGUUCUUCCUCCAAUUCCUUGAUUCUUGUCCUUGCCUUCUUCAGAUCUAUCAUGUCGGCGCACAUCUGGUUCUCCUGGCGUCGAAUGUGCUGGUUUAACUCCUGGAUAAAAGCUGCAAUUGAUCUAUCCUUCCUGGUACUGAUCAUCUCCCAGUGCUCAUCUCGGCGCCCACAAAUCUGGUAGAUAGUAUUCUUGAGAUCAUUGCGGUAAACUGCUCCAAUGCAUCCCAUGGCGAUGUGAGCUGCCAUGCUCUUUCCUAGACUCCACGUCGGUGCAUCAAAGGAAAACUCUAUGGGCUCAGUGACUGGCAUGAACGUCCUUCCUGGAACUUGAACUUGAAUCAUCCAUCGCUCCUCUUCAGGUAAAGUGGCAUUGUAGGUCCCGGUGAAGCUUGGUACUCCUAUGUUCAGAUAUCUAGUGACUUCCUUCAAGUGACGUAUGAAGGGUGUAUCUUCAUCCGGCUGCGUGAACUGGUUCCUUGCAUCCGCCAUCCUAAAAGAGUAAAAAAGAUGAGAAGUCAGAAUGAGAAGAGAGUGAGUAGUGAUCUAGGUCUUUUAGCUUAGUGGUCGUGUCCUACAGUCAGUGUGUGCUCUGAUACCAUCUUGUAGCGACCAGACCUCAAACGGUCCAAUCUCUGUGUUCAGGUGUCAUCCCUGGAUCAGUAAUGCUGACACCACACAGUACUUGAAGGAUUUAUAACAGAGUAGCAAUCACACACUUAUUACAUCGAGUGUCUCAAAAGAGAACUUAUUACAAUAAAUAUGGCUUAAGGCCAUCUAAUAACGAUAACAGUGGAAGGCUUGGAAGAUAAGUGAGUCCAUCAACUCCAACGGCAUCACUGAGUAUAGAACCACGACCUAAAAGCACCUUAAUCAUCGUCUGAAAAGUCUGCAACAUGAAUGUUGCAGCCCGAAAUGGGUCAGCACAUGGAAUAUGCUGGCAAUGUAACACAUAGAGAGUAAUGAAAGAUAUAGGCUAUACUAUAUGCAUAUUUGGCUGGUGGAAAGCUCUAUGGUUACAGUUUUGCGAAAAGCCAAUUUUUCCCUACUGCAAAGGAAUAAAUUUUAUUUAACUAUCAUGGUAGUUGUUAAACAUUAAGAAUGGUUGACAGCAUUCUCAAUCCCAAUUAAGCAUCAUCAUUAAACAAAACCCAACAAAAUUAAUUUAGAGUAACAUGAUGAGAUUCACAUGAUAAUCCAGGUACUAGAUGCUCAAGAUGUCCAUAACCGGGGACACGCCUAACCAUGAUUAGUUUAUACACUCUGCAGAGGUUUGCGCACUUUUCCCCACAAGACUCGAUCUCCUCCGUUGGGAUUCUCGCACUACAUGAUGUUUGAGAAACGGAUGACCGAGACAUAGUCUUUCAGAAGCACUAGCACCUUACGAUCGGGUAGACCGUUACACCUACUUUCCCCUACAUCUGCUAGUCUACCACUGUAAGAGUUCGCACGACUUAGUCAACUAUGCUAGAGCCCAUAGUAGCUUGUGGCUGCACACAGAAGUUUCUAGUAUGAAUAAUCUCAUGAUCCCUUUGAGCCUGGGUGGCGGUCCAAAAGAAAAACAGGCAAUCGCUGGAAUACCCAGGUGCCUCAAUCCACCCAGAUGUGUAUUUAAGUUGCCACCUUAGAUAAACCAUUAAUUUAACAAUCUCACAUCUGUCAUGGAUACACUCACCCAAUCCACGUCUACUAGCAUAGCAUAACAUAAUAAGCAAACGUAGAAGUAACUCCCAAAGGUUUGAUAAUAAAAGAGGUGAUAGGUACUACCUCAUCUACUUCCCAAACCCACAAUUUAAUUAGAUCCUAAACAUGCAAUGUGUGAGGGUUGAUCUAAUGCAAUAAAACUGGGUAAUUGGAAGUAUGAUCAAAGUGUUACUUGCCUUGCCGAUGAUCCGGGAAACCUAGCGAUUCAAAGUAGCAAGCGGCGCACUCCGGGUACUCUAUCGCAAACAAACAAGCAUACAAUAAGUACUCAUCUAAUGCACAGGUAAAACUCGAAUAAGAGAUCUAACCAAAAAGUUCAACUUAAGAACCCCGGUUGGCAAAAAUAAUCAAAUCGAACGAAGCAACGAAACACAAACGGCAAAAGAAACAGGCUUCGUUUACUAUUAUGGAUCUAGGGUAAUUUUUACAGUGGCAAAAACUUGUUUGAGUUGGUUAAACGGAAAGAAGGUUUCGAGACAAAAUUCCAGGCGCUUGAAUCACCUGAUUCCGAUAAACGAGCAAAAAGUUAUACUAAAACGAAAAUCAGAUCAGGAAUCGCGAUCAGAAAAAUCGCGGAUUUAAUCCGAGAAAAAAAAUGACGAAUAGAUUAACAAACGAAUGUUCGUUAUCUGGAUCUAAACGAUGAACGUGUUCGUUAAAAUGAAUGAACGAGUGAACGCACGCUAAUUAAAUAAACCGGAAAAACCGAUCUAUAAAAAAACGAAACUAAAAAACCGAACGAAACCGAUGGAAAACCGAUCGGUUUUUCGAGGAAAACCGUCGGCGGCGAGGUCUACCUCCGGCGAGCGGCAGGGCGGCGGGGUCCGGUGNNNNNNNNNNNNNNNNNNNNNNNNNNNNNNNNNNNNNNNNNNNNNNNNNNNNNNNNNNNNNNNNNNNNNNNNNNNNNNNNNNNNNNNNNNNNNNNNNNNNNNNNNNNNNNNNNNNNNNNNNNNNNNNNNNNNNNNNNNNNNNNNNNNNNNNNNNNNNNNNNNNNNNNNNNNNNNNNNNNNNNNNNNNNNNNNNNNNNNNNNNNNNNNNNNNNNNNNNNNNNNNNNNNNNNNNNNNNNNNNNNNNNNNNNNNNNNNNNNNNNNNNNNNNNNNNNNNNNNNNNNNNNNNNNNNNNNNNNNNNNNNNNNNNNNNNNNNNNNNNNNNNNNNNNNNNNNNNNNNNNNNNNNNNNNNNNNNNNNNNNNNNNNNNNNNNNNNNNNNNNNNNNNNNNNNNNNNNNNNNNNNNNNNNNNNNNNNNNNNNNNNNNNNNNNNNNNNNNNNNNNNNNNNNNNNNNNNNNNNNGCGGCGGCGCGGCGGUCCGGCGGCGGCGGCUAGGGCGGCUAGGGUUUGGGCGGUCCGGCUGAGCCUUCCCCGGCUUAUAAAGCCGGCCGGGCCUAGUGUCCGUGUCGGACACGGACCGUUAGGUCAGUUCGCUUUUAUUUUAAAUAGUUACGCUCAGGAAAAAACAAAAUGAAUACUAAACGGACUAUAAAAGCCCGAAAUAAAUUUUCCCCGGCUUCUAAAAUCAAGCCGCACAGGAUGAACAUUUAUUUGGGGCCUAAAUGCAAUGUUGAAAAACGCUCAUUUUCCUAAAUUCUAAUAAAAUAGCAAAUAAAACCAAAAUAAAAUCUUAUUUGAUUUUCUUAUUAAACCCUCAAUAUUUCUUUAUUUUGGGAAAGUCAUUUUAUUCCCUCUCUCAUAUUUUUGUAACAGAAAUAAUUGAAGAUAAAAUAAAUAAAAUCAAAUGAUCCUAUUUUCAAAAUUUGAGAAAACUCAAAUAUGAAAAUAACGAAAUCCCCAACUCUCUCUGAGGGUCCUUGAGUUGCGUAGAAUUUCUAGGAUCAGCCUAAAUGCAAUAAAUUAUGAUAUGCAAUGAUGAUCUAGUGUAUAACAUUCCAAAUUAAAAAUUUGGGAUGUUACAACAUCAAAAGGAAUUUCCGGCGACGUUGCCAGUGAGACAUCAUCAACAUCUACAAGGUUCCUAAUCACAAAUCUCUUCUCUUUGCAACUUGUAUUAUUUGCCAUUUGCCUCUCGUUUUCCUCCCCCCAAUACCAACAACAAUGAUUUUAUGAGCACUCCGAUUGCUCCCCCCGCCACUAGUGCAGAGUCUUGUGAUAUUAAUACCGCUUUGCUGAAUCUUGUUAUGAAAGAUCAAUUUUCCGGUACUCCUAAUGAGGAUGCCGCGUCCCAUCUUAACACAUUCGUUGAAUUAUGCGAUAUGCAAAAGAAAAAAGAUGUGGACAAUGAUGUUGUGAAGUUGAAAUUAUUCCCGUUUUCUUUGCGAGAUUAUGCAAAAUUUUGGUUUUCUUCUUUUCCUCGCAAUAGUAUCGAUUCUUGGGAUAAGUGAAAAGAUGCUUUUAUUACUAAAUAUUUUCCGCCCGCAAAAAUUAUUUCCCUUAGAACCCAGAUCAUGAAUUUCAUGCAACUUGAACAUGAGCAUGUUGCACAAUCUUGGGAAAGGACGAAACUGAUGCUAAGGAAUUUCCCAACUCAUGGGUUAAAUGUUUGGAUGAUCAUACAAAUUUUUUAUGCAGGGUUGAAUUUUGUUUCUCGUAAUCUUUUGGAUUCCGCUGCGGGUGGUACUUUUAUGGAAAUUACUUUGGGUGAAGCCACCAAAUUGUUUGAUAUUAUUAUGGCAAAUUAUUUGCAAUGGCAUACCGAAAGAGGUCCUACUAGUAGAAAAGUUAAUUCGGUUGAAGAAAUUUCUUCUUUGAGUGAAAAAGUUGAUGCUCUUAUGAAAUUGGUUGCUAAUAAAAGUGCUCCUAUUGAUUUUAAUGAUGUGCCUUUGUCCACUUUUAUUGAGAAAAAUAGUGAUGCCAUUGAUGUGAAUUUUAUCUCUCGAAACAAUUUCAAUAACAAUGCUUAUAGAGGUAAUUUUAAUCCUAGGACUUUUCCUAGUAAUUCCUCUAAUAAUUAUGGUAAUUCCUAUGAUAGUUCUUCUUAUAAUAAUAAUAGGAACACCUCUGAUCUUGAGAAUAACAUUAAAGAAUUUAUCAGUACUCAAAAAGUUUUCAAUGCUACAAUAGAAGAAAAGUUGAAUAAGAUUGAUGAUAUGUCUAGAAGUUUUAAAUGAUAGAAUUUAUCAUGAUGUAGAAAAUCUGAAGAUGAAAAUUUGUGUGCCUAAGGUUGAGGAAUCAAUUAAGGCUCUUUAUGUUUCUAUGGAUGAAAGUAACAAAAGAACCACUAUGCUUAGAGCGAGAAGAGAAUUUUUAGAAAAAGUGUUUUCUAGUGAUUGCUUUCAUAAAAGUGAUGAAAAUCUUAAAAUGAUUGGUGUUUCCUAUAUUGAUUCUUUGUUUAUUAAAACUAAUAUUGAUAAUAAAGGGACUGAAGAAGAGUCAACUUUAGCUAGACACCACUAGGGAAAACCUUAUACACAGAGGUAUAGCAGUAGCGCUGGUCAAAACACGACGCUAUUGCUACUUAUUAGUAGCGCUUGUUACAAAAGCAUACUACAACCAUUGUUGUAGCAGUAGUGCGUCUGCGCGGAAAAGCGCUACUACUAUAAUUCCCUCGCUGGUGCUGGUAGGCUAGGAAUAGUAGUAGCGAUUCUUCCAGAAGUACGGUACUGCUAAAAACUUUGUAGCAGCCCGUUUAUGCUGUAGAGCGCUACUGCUAUGAAAAAGAAAAUAAAUAGAAAAAUAAGUAGAAAAUAAAUGAAAAUGAAAGAAAUAGAAAGAGGAGAAAUGAAAAAAAGAAAAUGUAAAGAAAACAAAAGAAAAAGAAAAAGGAAACAAAAAGGAAUAGCUAUAGCACGUUUCGCUGGAAAACGCUAUAGCUAACUUAGCUAUAGCGCGUUUGGCAAAAUGCGCUACUGCUAGGUUGACUUAACCCCGGCCGCGCGGGCUCAAAAUUUCGCUAAGUCCUUCCCCCACCACUCCCCCCUCUCCCCCAACUGCUCCAUCGCCGUCGUCACCCUACUGCCUUCGACCACACCGCCGCCGCCCGAGGCCGCCUUCGACCACACCGCCGCCGCCCGAGGCCGCCCUCGACCUCAUAGCCGCCGCUCGAGGCCGUCGUCGACCUCACCGUCGCCUCCCUCGAGCUCACCGCUGCUGCCCUCGACCACACCUCCGCCGCCCGAGCCAGAGCCUGCCCUCGCCGUGGACCGUAAGGCUCUGCCUCUCCUCUCCCCUACCCUCUUCUCUCUCUUUGCUAGGGCAAUUCAUAUAUAUGUUGAUGCUGUGUUGAUGUUCAUCUGAACUCUAGGCGUUCAUAUGAACCCUAGAUUUGUUUAGGGCAGUAGGCAUUUUUUAGCAUUUAGGAAAAACGAUUAGCAAUUUUUUUAGGAAAUUAGCUAGGGCAAAUUUUUAUGAAAAUGCCUAAAUAGUAAUUCCAUUUAGCUUUAAAUUAAUAGAUGGUAUGUAAAUAAUAGUAGCAUUUAGAUUUAAAUUAACAAAGGCUAUAAACAAAAAACACUUAGCUAUAAAAAAUUAUUUGGACUAUGGACCUGAAUCUGUUCCAAAUUUCAUUCAAAUGAAAUUUGAAUUAUUUGGACUAUGCACCUGAAUAUUUUUUAAGAAAUUGGUUGUAGGUACUAAGGUCUUGCUGUGGAAAUUUUGGUGAGGUCAGAAGGGUUAGAGAAAAUGGAGUUCCUAGACUCUUAGCUUUAGACAAAAAACAAAAGUAUUUAGCUAUAAAUAAAAAAGAGUACCUAUGGCAUUUAGCUAUAAACAAAAAACAGAAUUGUUUUUCUUUUCAAAAACUUGGUUAAACUAAUUUUUUCUAUGUAAACAAAAAACAAGAUUGUUAUUAUAUGAUAUAUGUCAUUGAUGUUCAUUUGCGUAUUCCAUUAUUGUUGAUUAUAUUUUUUCAUUAAAGUGGCCAUGUUAUAUGCAAAUUCCUCAAUAGUGUUUGCUCAUGUUAUAUCUUUUCAUUGAAGUGGUUCGAUUGUGCCCAAGUGGCUUUGUUUCUUCCAAGAAAUGAAGCUGAGUGGCCUAUGUUUUGCCGGAAUGUUGAUUCAUUUCCGUUCCGGCAAAUUUCAGGUUCUCGAUUUGUCUACAUUUUUGUAGGAUCGAAAGUAUGUCUAGAGGGGGGUGAUUAGACUACUUGACCAAAUAAAAACUUAACCUUUUCCCAAUUUUAGUUCUUGGCAGAUUUUAGCUAUUGUAGGACAAGUCAAGCAAUCAUCACACAAUUCAAGCAAGCAUGCAAAGAGUAUAUUGGCAACGGAAAGUAAAGCAUGCAACUUGCAAGAAUGUAAAGGGAAGGGUUUGGAGAAUUCAAACGCAAUUGGAGACACGGAUGUUUUUCCCGUGGUUCGGAUAGGUGGUGCUAUCCUACAUCCACGUUGAUGGAGACUUCAACCCACGAAGGGUAACGGUUGCGCGAGUCCACGGAGGGCUCCACCCACAAAGGGUAACGGUUGCGCGAGUCCAUGGAGGGCUCCACCCACGAAGGGUCCACGAAGAAGCAACCACCCAGAAAGGGUCCACGAAGAAGCAACCUUGUCUAUCCCACCAUGGCCAUCGCCCACGAAGGACUUGCCUCACUAGCGGUAGAUCUUCACGAAGUAGGCGAUCUCCUUGCCCUUACAAACUCCUUGGUUCAACUCCACAAUCUUGUCGGAGGCUCCCAAGUGACACCUAGCCAAUCUAGGAGACACCACUCUCCAAGAAGUAACAAAUGGUGUGUAGGUAAUGAACUCCUUGCUCUUUGUGCUUCAAAUGAUAGUAUCCCCAACACUCAACUCUCUCUCAUAGGAUUUGGAUCUGGUGGAAAGAAGAUUUGAGUGGAAAGCAACUUGGGGAAGGCUAGAGAUCAAGAUUCAUAUGGCAGGAAUGGAAUAUCUUGGUCUCAACACAUGAGUAGGUGGUUCUCUCUCAGAACAUAUGAGUUGGAAUUGUGUAUGUGUUCUAGUGGCUCUCUCCAUGAAUGAAGAGGAGGUGGAGGGGUAUAUAUAGCCUCCACACAAAAUCCAACCGUUACACACAGUUUUCCAAUCUCGGUGGGACCGAAUCAAAAAACUCGGUCGGACCGAAAAGGUAAACCUAGUGACCGUUAGAGAUUUUCGGUGGGACUGACAUGCAACUCGGUAGGACCGAUAUGGUUAGGGUUUGGGCAUAACGUAAUCUCGGUGAGACCGAUUACACAAACUCGGUGAGACCGAUUUUGGUAAUUAGCUAACCAGAGAGUUGGUCAGGCAAACUCGGUGGGACCGAUUUGCUCUUUGGGUGAGACCGAAAAGUUACAAAAAGGAAACACUGAGUUUACAUUGCAAUCUCGGUGGGACCGAUUCAAUCUUUCGGUGAGACCGAAAAGUUACAAAAGGGAAACAGAGAGUUUGCAAUCCCAUCUCGGUGAGACCGAGAUCCCUAUCGGUAGAACGGAAUUGCUAGGGUUUGGCAGUGGCUUAUGACAAGUGAAACUCGGUGGCGCCGGAUAGAAAGAAUCGGUAGGACCGAGUUUGGCUUAGGGUUUAGGUCAUAUGUGGAUAUGGGAAAGUAGUUGAGGGUUUUGGAGCAUAUCACUAAGCACAUGAAGCAAGAGGCUCAUUAAGCAACACCUCAUCCCUCCUUGAUAGUAUUGGCUUUUCCUAAAGACUCAAUGUGAUCUUGGAUCACUAAAAUAUAAAAUGAAGAGUCUUGAGCUUUUGAGCUUGAGCCAAUCCUUUGUCCUUAGCAUUUUGAGGGUUCCACUUUCACAUCCAUGCCAUGCCAAUCAUUGAGCUUUCUUGAAAUAAUCAUCUUGGAAUAGCAUUAGCUCAAUGAGCUAUAUGUUUUUAUGAAUUACCAAAACCACCUAAGGAUAGUUGCACUUUCAAUCUCCCCCUUUUUGGUAACUAAUGACAACAUAUAGAUCAAAGCUUCGACAAAUGGUAAUAAGCAUGAAAUAUAUCGUCGCUUUGAGAAGUAUGUGACAAGUGAGAGCUCCCCCUAAAUUUGUGCAUAUUUAAAAUUUGCUUUGGACUUUAAAUGCACAAAGAGUUAGAGUCAUGGGUUACUCUUCCAUGUCACAUACAUCUUGGUGGAGCACUUAAAAUGAUAAGAAUGAAAUACAUGCACUCAUCACCAAGAAUAGUGAAUGAUCAUAUAAGAUAGAUAAGAUAUAUCAAGCAUGCAUAAGUGUAGCUUAUGAUCAAACACAUGAUCAUCAAUGUCUCACGAGCAAUGACAUAGUAUCUCAAGCACUCAAAAGCAAACAAAGUUUGAAAAACCACCAAAUAAAGCAAGAGAGAAAAAAGCAACACUCUCUCUCUCGAAGCCUAUGAUCUAUACAUUUUCUCCCCCUUUGGCAACAAGUUACCAAAAAGUUCCUAGAAAAUGCAUAGUGCUAAGUCGACACUCAGGCUUGAUCUUCAGGUGGUGGUGGAGUCCGGAGCACUCCAAGGACGAAGCCUUCUGUAGACGUGGUUGGAGUUGAGGCUGAAGUGGACGCUGGAGCUGGUGGAACUGAGGCUGUAGCUGGUGCAGAAGUGGUGACUCUGGUGUCAGCAACUGUCACUGCAUAUGAUCUCUGAGCUCUUGAGUUGGCAUCUUGGCAGCUUUCUCCUUCCUUGCCUUCUCCUUCUUUGCUUGUGCUUGUGCAGAUGAUGGUUCAUUCUCAGUCAUGACCACUUGAUUAUCUUCAAAAUCUGGACGGAUGGGCAGGUGUUCCUUGUCCAGUAAGUAUAUGCUUGUGCCCAUCUUUGAGUUGAUGAGCUCUUGAAUCUGUGGGGCAUAUCCACAGCUCCUCUUCUGGUCUGCUGCUGUCCUCUUGAUUGUUUCAAUCAUAAGGCUCAUGACUUUGAAUUUCUGUGGCACGUCAAAGAUAUGAAGCAAGUUGAUCGCAUGGCCCCUGAUCAUCUUGUGAUCUCCAGACUUGGGCAAUAGGGUGUGCCUAAGAAUCUAGUUGAUGGUUGGCAGCCCUGACAGAAGAUAGUGUACUGAGCCAAACUUGAACGUAUCAAGUGCUUCAUUUGGAAUCUCCUUGUACAUGUUUGACAUUGAGUUGUGGUCCAUCUUCUUCUUGGCAUAAAUGUCCAAGUCAUCGUCAUGCUCUUCUGGGGCAUUAAUCAGCUGAGCCCAUUCAGCAACUGUAGACUGGUACCUCGUACCCUCUGACAUCCAUACAAUCCUGCCAUCUGGAUAGAAAUGGGCUGUGGAGUAGAACUGCAUGAUGAGUUCCUCGUUCCACUUUCUGAGCUUCUGCCCAACAAAGUCCUCUACUCCACAUGCCUUGAAGUUAUCCUGCGCUCCAGGGUAGUAAUCUUCAUUGUCCUUGAUGUAUUGCCAAUCAACCCAUCUCAUAUCACAGACAAUUGGCUUCUUGUCUAGCAGUUCUAUCUCAUAAAAGUCUUGUUGCUCCUUGGUGUGAAACCUGUAGUCAACUGCAGUCCUUCUCCUUGAAGCAUACAGGUCUGCUUCUCUCCACUUCCGGAGCCCUGAAUCUCUCCUGAGUUUCAUAUCCUCAGCCACAGGAUGAGCAUCAUUGUGGUCUGGGAUCUUGGGUUUAAGCUUUCUAAGAACAUUCUCUUCUUCUUCUUCUGCAGCUUCAGGCACUGGGGCCUUGUUCUUCUCAGUAGCUGGGAUGCUUCUUGUGUUCCUCUUUGGCUUUGGCUUUGGAGCUGGCUUGGCCUUGGAAGCAGCUUCCCCUGUUCUUAUGGCAUCACCCAUCAGCUUGGGUGCCUUAGGUGCUGGUGCAGCUACCUCUUCUUCUUCCUCCUCAUCUUCCAUGAUGGAAGCCUUGCCAAGCACUCUGGCUACAGUUUUCUUCACCCUUUCUUUCCUCUUCUUGCCUUCAGCAGCAACUGGCUCAAUGGGAGUGGGCUUCUCAGUUGAAGCUCUGGCCUUUGACAUAGGCUGCCUGCCUGCUGGCCUUUUGAUCUUUAACCCUGGCUUUGUGCCCUGAGCUGGCUCAAUUCUCUUGGAAGUUGCUUCCUCUUCCUCUGCCACAUAAUCUUCAUCCUCAGAAUCUGAAGUUCUCUUCUUCCUCUGUCUGGUGGCAGCUUUUGGCAAAUUCCUUGGGGUACUUCUGCUGCCAUCAUCUGAGGAACUUGAGGGACUAGUGCCCUCACUCAUCUGCACUUGCUGCUCUGACAAGUUCUGGCUGUCACUCUGAUCAAACAUGUUGCAAACUCUGACUGCUGACCCUGUGAAUAGGUUAUAGAUGAGAUAGAGUGGAUGAGCAUCACAAAAUGCAGAGAUUUUUGCAAAAGAAUGACUCAAAAACUUAGUUUUAGUUUCCCACUGAAAUCAUCUCGGAUCUACCGAUUUUUAAACACGAUGAUACCGAAGCAGUUUUGGAACCUAAACUAGUGAACUCGGUCAGACCGAGUCACAGUUCGGUGGCACCGAGACUGCUAGGGUUUCACAGAGUUCCAAAAUCGGUCACACCGAUAAGUAAUUCUCGGUCAGACCGAGUCUCACUUGUGCAAUGGCAUAAGCCAAAUCGGUGGGACCGAGUUUUUCAACUCGGUGGGUCCGAGAUGGUUUCGGCGGAAACCUAACCCUAAAAUUUUCAAAUCAAAACUAAUCUAUGAAUGCAUUGACUGGACAGGAGUGUUUCAAUCGUGGCAAGAAUCAUGAUGAUCACAAUGUGCUAAGAAUCAGAUUGGGGAAUAGCACAAAGAUCGAGUCCAUACCCUAGUUCGGUGGAGACUCGCUACGGCGGCAACAGCGGGGUAGAAUUCCGUUGACGGCGAUGGAGACCAGCGACGGGAGGCGGCUGGCGGCGAGGAGACGAUCCGGAGACCAAGUUGGCAGAGCAGGCUAUCGCGCGGGCGAAGGGGUUCGGAGAAAUUUCCAAUUUUUUUGGCCGUGACUAUAUAUAGCCCAACCCUGUCGGUGUGACCGAGUGGAAUGACUCGGUGGCACUGAGAUGCAAAACUGUAUACAGUUAUUGCAACUCGGUGUGACCGAAUGGUUCUAAUCGGUUGCACCGAGAUCGAAAACAUAGAUCAACUUAAUGAUCUCGGUAGGACCGAAAGUAGGGUAUCGGUCAGACCGAGAAUCAUAAAGAGGUUUUGGAAGUUUAAGUCUAUGACGAAUCGGGGACUCCGAGCGCUCCUCACACAGAGUGGUUUGAAUCUGACUUGAUCAAAUUUUGUGAUGUAGCAUGAAUAGAGUUUGAGACGAGAAAAGCAUAGAUAGCUAGAGGAGGUUCUUAGGCAUUCUUGUCCAUCCACUUGGCAAAAGGAAAUAAAACCGAACAAUCAAAACAACAAGUGGAUGUCCUAAAAUGAGUAAAAUAUGCAACCAGUAUGCUCACACAAUAAGAUGGCAAAUGAAAUAUGUGACAAGGCAUGCACAGCCAAUUCUAGCAUCUACCAAGCAAUUUGCGAUGACAAGGUUAUCUAUAUAUGAGUAUAUUGACUUAGGAGUCAAGUGAGAACACUUGAUCAUAGGUAAUACUCAUCGUUUAAGCUCAAGUGGGGUUACCACUUUUACAUAAAGCAUUGUUGUGUUCACAUCUUUAGAGUUGCUUUAGCUCAAGUCUUAGAGUAAAGCUCCCCCUAGAUGUGAUAUCCCCCCUUAGAGGGAUGAACUAACCUCGGGUUUUGUCGAUGAUGACUUCAUGUAGAUGUUGAAGAUGUGGAUGCUCAAUGUUGAUGUAGAUCACUUGGAGCUAUCCCUUUGAUUGAAUUGCACGUUCAAUACCUACAUGGGUUAGUCCCGCAAGGAACAAACAAGGAUAUCCAUAGACAUAGAGUGAUGCACACACAAGAUGAUGUCCAUGAAAACUUUUAGGUUACCUGGUCCCUUGUCUUACCAACAAGAGGGUUUGUGACUCCUUGAACUAGUGUAAGAUGUGGAAGUUGAUUGCACUUGUUCUUGCCAAAAUGAUAAGAGUGAAGUAUGUUGGCGGAGUCACCCUCAAGAACUCUCUAGUUCUUCUUCUUUUGGAUCCACACCAUCUUGAUGGGAAUCCUUGGAGUUGUAGUCGUACUUGAUGAAGUGGAACUUGAAGUAGUCUUGGGAAUCCACUUGACUAAGGUCUUAGGAGCUUCUUCAAAUGCAUCAAUUUCCUCUUGAAGCUUGUCCUUGCCUUUUUGCUUGUAUUCUUGUGGUGGAAGAUCAUCUUGAGCUUGUGUCCCCUUGAAAGAAGUAUCAUACUUUUCUUGUUGAGGAACAAACUUUGUCUUGGGGUAUUGAUCUUCUUCCCACUCAACUCCAUCGGCAUUGAACUUUCGUUCAAAACCAACACCUUGAUUCUUCCGGUGCAUUCCUUGCUUGCGCACAGUUUCCUCGAAUUGCUUACUCCCGGCAAGGCUUUUGUACACUCCUUUCUCUAUAAUUCCCGUCAAUAAGCUAUUUUCUUGCUCAAGUGUAACUUGGCUAAGAGAAUCAUUAGUGGAAUCAAGAGAACUACUAGAAGCAACAAUAUUGGAUUUAGCAUGAUCAUUGUUACUGCUAGAGUAAGAAUCUUUCUUGUUCUUGUUACUAGACUUGACUUGAGGCAUAUAAGUGGAUAAGAGUAAACGCUUGGCAAUGUAAGGAGAAAAUUUCUUGCGGAGAUCAUCAUUGAUUGCUUUUAAGAACUCAUGCUCUUGCUCAAGAUUGAGCUUUUCAAAGCGUAAUUUCUCAUGAGCUCUUAAAAGUUCUCGAUGAUCUUCGAAGAUAGUUUCAUGAGCUAACUUAAGAGUGUUUAGUUCUUUAGUUAGAGCCUCAAUCUUCUCCUUAUCAUUGUCAUUUGUUUUAUCUUUCUUAGCAUGAUUAGUUGACGUUUCAUCAUAGUAUUCAUCACUGGAGUUGUCAACAAGCAAAUCAUCACCUAACAAGUCAUCUUCAUCACUAUUGAAAUCAACAUACUCGGGGUGUGUUAUCUUAGGACCUUUGGUCAUGAAGCAUCUUCCAAUUCCUUCAUUUGGUGAGUCAAUGAUGUCGUAGGAGUUGGUUGACACAAGUGCUAGACCGGCAACACCUUCAUCUUGAGUAUCUUCGGAGUCGGAGUGAUAACUUCUCUCGGAGUGGCUGUCGGAGUCGGAGCCGGAUACCCAUUCACCAACAUGAGCUUGAUGUCUUCGUUUUGUGUAGCUCCUUGAUGAUUUUUCCUUCCUUUCCGAAUCCUUGCUUCUCCGUGAGUAUCUUCGUUCAUAACGAUCAUCUCUACUCCUUCUCUCUCUUGGUGGUGAUUCUUUGCUUCUUCUUUUUGGAGAAUCUUCUCUUCUCUUGUAGGGAGCCGUACACUCAUUGGAAUAAUGUCCGGGUCUUCCACAACUGUAGCAGUUUCGCUCUCGACUAGAAGAUCUUUUGUCAUUGUAGGACCUUGACUUGAAGCUUCUAUCUUUGCUUCUACUCUUGUAGAACUUGUUGAAGUUCUUCACCAUUAAGCUCAAUUCUUCAUUGAAGUUUUGUUUCUCACUUGAUGAUGUAGGGGCUUCACAUGAGGCUUUGUAGGCACUACUUGAUUUGUUGUGAAGUUCCUCUUUAUCCUUAAGUGACAUCUCAUGAGCAACAAUUCUUCCAAUCACCUCCGUUGGCUUGAGAUCUUUGUAAUUGGGCAUCAUUUGGAUCAAUGGGCACACGGUAUCAUAUUUUCCAUCCAAGGCUCUUAGAAUCUUCUUGAUGAUGAAUCUAUCGGUCAUCUCUUCACUUCCUAAGCCGGCAAUCUCAUUUGUGAUGAGAGCAAGCCUAGAGUACAUUUCAGCGACACCUUCACCAUCCUUCAUUUUGAACUUGUCAAGUUGACUUUGAAGCACAUCCAACUUGGAUUCCUUGACGGAGUCGGUACCUUCGUGCAUAUCAAUCAAAGUGUCCCAAAUUUCCUUUGCAUUCUCAAGACGGCUGAUUUUGUUGAAUUCUUCGGGGCACAAUCCGUUGAAGAGAAUAUCACAAGCUUGAGCAUUGUGUUGCAACAUCUUCAACUCAUCCGCGGUAGCUUCACGGUUUGGUUCUUUCCCAUCAAAGAAGUCACCUUGCAAACCACCACACAUAAUAGCCCAAACGACGGGGUUAUGUCCAACAAUAUGCAUUUUCAUUUUAUGCUUCCAACUAGCAAAAUUAGUACCAUCAAAGUAAGGACCUCUACGGUGAUAAUUUCCCUCGCUAGACGCCAUACUCUCCUAGGUUGUGAAACCAAGGCUAUGACCACCAAAAGCUAUGGAGAUCAAAGCAAAUGGAGACCAAAGCUCUGAUACCACUUGUAGGAUCGAAAGUAUGUCUAGAGGGGGGGUGAUUAGACUACUUGACCAAAUAAAAACUUAACCUUUUCCCAAUUUUAGUUCUUGGCAGAUUUUAGCUAUUGUAGGACAAGUCAAGCAAUCAUCACACAAUUCAAGCAGGCAUGCAAAGAGUAUAUUGGCAGUGGAAAGUAAAGCAUGCAACUUACAAGAAUGUAAAGGGAAGGGUUUGGAGAAUUCAAACGCAAUUGGAGACACGGAUGUUUUUCCCGUGGUUCGGAUAGGUGGUGCUAUCCUACAUCCACGUUGAUGGAGACUUCAACCCACGAAGGGUAACGGUUGCGCGACUCCACGGAGGGCUCCACCCACAAAGGGUAACGGUUGCGCGAGUCCACGGAGGGCUCCACCCACGAAGGGUCCACGAAGAAGCAACCACCCAGAAAGGGUCCACGAAGAAGCAACCUUGUCUAUCCCACCAUGGCCAUUGCCCACGAAGGACUUGCCUCACUAGCGGUAGAUCUUCACGAAGUAGGCGAUCUCCUUGCCCUUACAAACUCCUUGGUUCAACUCCACAAUCUUGUCGGAGGCUCCCAAGUGACACCUAGCCAAUCUAGGAGACACCACUCUCCAAGAAGUAACAAAUGGUGUGUAGGUAAUGAACUCCUUGCUCUUGUGCUUCAAAUGAUAGUCUCCCCAACACUCAACUCUCUCUCAUAGGAUUUGGAUCUGGUGGAAAGAAGAUUUGAGUGGAAAGCAACUUGGGGAAGGCUAGAGAUCAAGAUUCAUAUGGUAGGAAUGGAAUAUCUUGGUCUCAACACAUGAGUAGGUGGUUCUCUCUCAGAACAUAUGAGUUGGAAUUGUGUAUGUGUUCUGAUGGCUCUCUCCACGAAUGAAGAGGAGGUGGAGCGGUAUAUAUAGCCUCCACACAAAAUCCAACCGUUACACACAGUUUUCCAAUCUCGGUGGGACCGAAUCAAAAAACUCGGUCGGACCCAAAAGGUAAACCUAGUGACCGUUAGAGAUUUUCGGUGGGACUGACAUUCAACUCGGUAGGACCGAUAUGGUUACGGUUUGGGCAUAACGUAAUCUCGGUGAGACCGAUUACACAAACUCGGUGAGACCGAUUUUGGUAAUUAGCUAACCAGAGAGUUGGUCAGGCAAACUCAGUGGGACCGAUUUGCUCUUUCGGUGAGACCGAAAAGUUACAAAAAGGAAACAUCGAAUUUACAUUGAAAUCUCGGUGGGACCGAUUCGCUCUUUCGGUGAGACCGAAAAGUUACGAAAGGGAAACAGAGAGUUUGCAAUCCCAUCUCGGUGAGACCGAGAUCCCUAUCGGUAGAACCGAAUUGCUAGGGUUUGGUAGUGGCUUAUGACAAGUGAAACUCGGUGGCGCCGGAUAGAAAGAAUCGGUAGGACCGAGUUUGGCUUAGGGUUUAGGUCAUAUGUGGAUAUGGGAAAGUAGUUGAGGGUUUGGAGCAUAUCACUAAGCACAUGAAGCAAGAGGCUAAUUAAGCAACACCUCAUCCCUCCUUGAUAGUAUUGGCUUUUCCUAAAGACUCAAUGUGAUCUUGGAUCACUAAAAUAUAAAAUGAAGAGUCUUGAGCUUUUGAGCUUGAGCCAAUCCUUUGUCCUUAGCAUUUUGAGGGUUCCACUUUCACAUCCAUGCCAUGCCAAUCAUUGAGCUUUCCUGAAAUAAUCAUCUUGGAAUAGCAUUAGCUCAAUGAGCUAUAUGUUGUUAUGAAUUACCAAAACCACCUAGGGAUAGUUGCACUUUCAAUUUUAGCAAAAGUCAUGCCGAAAUUUUCCGUGAAUUUCGGCAUGACUUGUGCUACAAACUAGGACAUAUUGAGUGCCCGGGAUCUGCCGCACCGGGAAUGAGUCAACGUUCCUGCAAAACAUAGGCCUUUUGUAUGUCAUUAUUCAUUUUAUUUGGUCUAGAAUUAAUUUACUAGAUCUAAUCAUAGGAAACAUGGCUAGCAACGAUGAAGGACAGGGUUCUGGUGAUUGUGACGAUGUCUACCUGGCGGCAGAUGAAUUUUUGAGCCUUGCCGAUGAUCAACCGAUGUUUUUGCUGGGCCCACCGCUCGCAUCAGGGAUUGAGACCGACACGCAGACCGGCGCUGAGACUCAGACCGACAUCGAGACCGGCGCUGAGACUGAGACCGGCGCUCCCUCGGGGAGCGGAGCAGGAAUAGAACCAAAAGCAAAGAGGCGACAACUUCCUAACAAGCUCAGGACUACUAGACUAGUGGUCACUGUCGGUGUUCUGGGAACGGGGGUCCCCAGACUUGCCUGCCUGCAGCCUGCGGCAUGGCUCAAGCGGGCCCCAGUGCGGCCCAUCUUCAUCAGCUCAAGCUCAAGACCCUCAUGAGGGGCCAAGCCUCGCGGGGCGGAUGACAGGAAGCUUCCUCAGAGGCAGCCUCAUCAGGCAGGCUCAUGAGGAGGCUGAGAGAUCAAGGCAGGGGUACCUCGCGAGGAACCCGUGACGCAAGCCAUGACGAUCGAGACCAGGCGGGCGCCGGGUGGGCGCAGGCCUGUGUAGUGUCCUUGUUUCCCCUUUGGUGCAAAGGGGGCAAGCACAGGCCAAGGCAUCAGUCAAAGGUUGCCAUUCCGGUGCAACAAGACCAAGACCAGCAGAGCGGCAUGACGGAGGUCACCGUGGAGCUCAAGACGGCGUCAUCACCAGCACUUUUGGCAGCCGAAGACCACCUUUGGUCAGGAUAACAUGUACUACAUGUUCCCCUUCAAAAUGGCCAAUUGUUGGCGCCCUUCCCGCUCAUUAUUUGGGGAGAGGCCCAGGGCCUCUAUAAAUAGAGCUAGCCACCACAGAAGGAGAGAUGGCGGGAAAUCUGGUAGAACCAUAGCAGAGAGAGAGGAAGAGGCGACUGAACUCACCCUAGCAGUUCAUCGCACCAGCUCAAGAACACCUCUCACGAGGCUGCUCUUCCCUUGUACUAUUCAUCAUCAACCCCAGAGGCAAUCCACCACACCACACACUGGAGUAGGGUAUUACACCACAAUGGUGGCCCGAACUAGUAUAAACCUCGUGUCUCUUGUGUUGUUCAUCAUUUUCAUCUUAGUUCGCAUGAGAGUAUCAGACGUAGAUCGGUAGGGGAGAGAUCUCCGCGCGCACCCCAGUGUUCGAACCUCAAGGGUCUGCCGGAACCCGAAACCCGACAUUUGGCGCGCCAGGUAGGGGUGCGCCGGAGUCCUCCCUCCUGACGACUUGCUCUCCCCCGACAUCGCAUCCUGCCCUCAUGGCGGACAACGCGCCGCCCGGUCCAGCAACGGAUGCCGACACUGGGGUCAGGGGGCUCUGGGCCUUGGCCCCCGCCUUGCGGCAAGUGCAGUGGCCGCGCAAGUUCAGGCCCGAGAUGCCGCCGCGCAAUGACAGCGCGACGGACCCGAUGAUUUUCCUGCUGGCGUACGAGGAGGCCGUCCUCGGAGCCGGGGGCGACGAUCGGGUGAUGGCCAACUGGUUACCCAUGGCCCUCACCGGCAUCCCGCGCGCGUGGCUCCUCCACCUUCCGACGGCCUCUGUCACCUCUUGGGAGGAGCUGCGCGACCUCUUCCUCGCCCGUUUCGCCGCACCAGCGCCGCCCGUCGUCGCAGCUCUCCUGGGUGGCUCCCAGGCUCCACCCUCGAGUCAUCACGUCAAGCCGUUCGCCCGCCGGAUCAGCACCGCCUCCAGGCGCCAAGAAGCCCCCCUGGGCUAGGUGGCGCCCGAGGCCGAUCUAACCUUCGACUCGGAGGACCACCCCUUCAACCCCAUUGGUUCGGGCGCGCUCCCGAUGCUGUGCACCCCCACGAUCUGCCAUGUGGCUGUCACCAGGACCCUCAUCGACUGUGGUGCCGGCCUCAAUGUGCUCUCGGUGGAGGCCUUCAGCCUACUCCACGUGCCGCUGGAGCGGCUCCAACCCAGCAGGCCUUUCUCGAGCGUCGGAGCUGGUUCCACCGCCUCCUUGGGACAGAUCCGCCUCCCAGUGACCUUCGGCACCUGCGACAACUUCCGUACGAAGCUGAUCGACUUCGACAUCGCCCCCAUCGGCCUCCCCUACAAUGCCAUCCUGGGCUAUCCGGCCUUGGCUUGGUUCAUGGCAGCAACUCACCCGGCGUACAACGUCAUGAAGGGAGCAGGGGCGUCCUCACCAUGUCAGGAGACACAAGGGAUGCGCUGCAGGUGCUCUGGCUUGUUUUCAGGGCGGCCGCGGUGGCGCAGCCCACUAGCACCGACGCCCUUGAGCCAAAGGGGGCUGCGCCGGCUAAAAAGAAGUAGUUGUUCACCCAAGACAAGGCAGAAACCAAGCAGGUACCAGUCGACGAGGAUGGGUCCACUGGCGCCACCUUCACCAUAGGGGCCAACCUCGAGCCUGAGCAGGAGAAGGCCCUAAUCAGGUUCCUGUGUGCGAACAAGAAGGUGUUCGCGUGGGAACCAGAUCAGUUAGCGGGGGUCCCAAGGGAAGUGAUUGAGCAUCACCUCAACAUGUGCCCCAAUGUACGCCCCAUGAAGCAGAAGGCAAGGCGGCAGUCUACUAAGAAACAGGCUUUCAUCGUUCAAGAGACCCGGAAGCUAGAGGCGGCAGGGGUUAUCCGCGAGGUCCGCUACCCCGAUUGGCUGGCUAAUCCUGUUGUCGUGCCAAAGAAGGGGGGAAAGAGCGCAUGUGCAUUGACUUCACCAACCUCAACAAAGCCUCCCCGCAGGAUCCAUUUCCGCUCCCGCGCAUCGACCAGAUAGUCGACUCCACCGUAGAGUGUGACCUAUUGUGAUUCCUGGAUGCCUUCUCGGGCUAUCACCAGAUCAAGAUGGCGGUAGAAGACGUGGAGAAGACGGCUUUCCUGACCCCGUGUGGAGUGUACUGCUAUACGUGCAUGCCGUUUGGGCUGCGCAACGCAGGUGCGACCUUUCAGCGGCUGAUGCACAUCGCCUUAGGCCGGUAGCUCGGGAGGAACGCUGAAGCUUACGUCAAUGACAUUGUGGUGAAGUCUCGUGAGGCAAGAACCCUGAUACAGGACCUGGAAGAAACCUUUGCCAGCCUCAACGAAGUGGACCUAUGGCUCAACCUAGAGAAGUACAUAUUUGGAGUCCCCUCGAGCAAGCUCCUAGGUUUCCUCAUAUCCCACAGGGGCAUCGAGGCCAACCCGGAGAAGGUCAAGGCAGUCAGAGAUAUGAGCCCGCCAAGGACCCUCAGAGAAAUGCAGAAGCUCAUCGGGCGUGUGACUGCGUUGGGGCGCUUCAUCUCCAAGCUGGGCGAACGAGCCCUGCCCUUCUUCAAACUGAUGAAGAAAAAGGGCCCCUUCGAAUGGACUGAAGAGGCCGACAAGGCAUUCCAAGACCUCAAGAGGUACCUUACCAGUCCGCCAGUGAUGGUAGCUCCGCGUCCUCGGGAGCCCCUGGUGCUCUACCUUGCCGCCACCCCCUACUCCGCCAGCGCAGCCCUGGUGGCGGUCAGGGAGGAGCGCUAUGCCAAGGCCGCAUCGACCGUCUGAACUAAAGCAAAGCAGAGCCAGGAGGGCCUCGCGAAGGCCGCAACCACAGCCGAAAAGGAACAGCCGCAGCAGGAGAACGCACCCGGAGCAGGAGAGGCCUCUUCUGGUGACCAAGCCCCGGGAGCUCCGUCGUCUCCAGAGAUGCCUCGACCUCUGGAGGACGCAAGCAGCACCAACACCCUCAACCUCGUCGAGCAUCCUGUGUAUUUCGUCAGCAUGGUGCUAUGGGACGCAAGGGCACGGUAUCCCAUGCCUCAAAAACUCCUCCUCGCACGACUAGUGGCCUCGCGCAAGCUGCGCCACUACUUCCAAGGACAUCCCAUCAAGGUCGUCUCAGCAUACCCCUUAGAAAGAGUGCUCAGGAGCCCCAACUCAGCUGGAAGGGUCGCCGAAUGGAACAUUGAGCUACAGGCAUUUCAGCUAGAAUUCAGCAUGACCAGAGUUAUCAAGGGAGCCGCACUUGCAGAUUUCGUGGCAGAAUGGGCAGAAGCGCCGGGUCUUGAGGCAGGCGAAGACCGGUCACUUUCCCCGGGAAGUGAAGCACCGGACGGCUGGGUCAUGUACUUCGAUGGGGCAUUCUCCCGACACGGUGCAGGAGCUGGCGCAGUGCUUGUGUCCCCUACCCAGGACAAACUCCAUUACGCCGUGCAACUCUGCUUCCAGCACGGAGAGAAGGUCUCCAACAACAUAGCAGAAUACGAAGGCUUGAUAGCAGGCUUGAAAGCCGCAAUCGCCUUAGGGGUAAAGUGCCUCACCAUCAAGGGUGAUCCACAGCUCCUCGUCAACUUCUCCAACAAGAUAUACGAGCCGAAGGACGAGCACAUGGAAGCUUACCUCGCUGAAGUCCGUAGGAUGGAGAAACAGUUCUCGGGGUUGGAGCUGCAGCAUGUGCCUCGCGGCACCAAUCAGGAGGCUGAUGACAUUGCCAAGAGGGCAUCUAGGCGGCUGCAGCAGGAACCUGGCGUCUUCGAGGAGCGGCUCUUCAAGCCCUCGGCGGCGCUGUUGCUAUCAGGUGCGGUGCAACCAAGGGAGGAGCCUCCUCAGCCGCCUGCCUCGGGAGCUCCGGUCUGCGGCCCGGCCUCAGGGGCACGCAUGUUCCUGGUGUUGGAGCCUCAGGAGGGAUGUUGGAUCCCAGAGCUCAAGGACUACCUGAUGCAAGGGAUUGUGCCGGAGAACGAGGAGGAGGCGGAGCGUGUGGCAUGGCAGGCCACGGCUUAUUGCAUCCAGGAUGGCAAGCUCUACAGGAAGUGGCCAAAUGACGUGUCCCUACGUUGCAUUUCCAGGGAGCAAGGAAAGGAACUACCGGCGGACAUACACAGCGGAGACUGCGGGCACCACUAGUCGUCACGAACCCUCGUCAGCAAGGCGUUCUGCAGCAGGUUCUACUAGCCCACAACACUCAACGAUGCCGUUGAGCUGGUGAAGGCUUGCGAGGCCUGACGGUUCCACACUAAACAGAUCCAUCAGCCUGCGGGGGGUCCGUAGACCAUACCCCUCUCAUGGUCGUUCGCAGUUUGGGGGUUGGACAUUCUAGGCCCAUACUCUCGGGCGCCAGGGGGCUAUCGCUACCUCUACGUCGCUGUGGACAAGUUAACCAAGUGGGCCGAGGUGGAAGCUGUCCGCACAAUCCCGGCAGGCUCGGCAGUCAAGUUCAUCAAGGGCCUCGUGAGCCGGUUUGGGGUGCUUAACCGCAUCAUCACUGAAAAUGGUUCGCAAUUCACCAGUAAUCUCUUCAAAACGUACUGUGCUAACCUUGGAACGCAGAUAUGCUACGCUUCGGUAGCACACCCCCGGAGCAAUGGCUAGGCUGAACGAGCCAACGUGGAGGUCCUGAGGGGCCUCAAGGCCAGGACCUUCAAGAAGAAGCUGGAGGCCUGUGGCAGGGGCUGGCACGACGAGCUCCAGUCCGUGCUAUGGUCAAUCCGCACGACAGCGACCAAGCCAACUGGCGAGACCCCGUUCUUCCUCGUCUAUGGAGCGGAGGUUGUUCUCCCUCACGAGGUCAGACGUCACUCCGCAUGGGUCCUGGCAUUCGACGAGGCUCAGCAGGACGCCAUGCGGGGGACGGAUCUCGUGCUGGGGGAGGAACGCCGUCGGGAAGCCGCACUGCGAGCGGCAAGGUAUCAACAGGCACUACGACGAUACCACAGCCGCAACAUCUGCCCCAGGACCCUUGAGGUAGGGGAUCUCGUGCUCAGAAGGGUUCUCUCCAAGGAGGGGCUGCACAAGCUCUCUCCCAUGUGGGAGGGCCCAUUCAAGGUUGUUCAUGUUUCCAAGCCUGGCUCCGCGUGCUUGGAGACUCCGGAGGGAGUACCCAUCCAGAACCCAUGAAACAUUCAACAUCUCCGAAGGUUCUACCCCUGAGUGAAGCCGCUGCGUUUUGGAAAAGGCCCGGUGCCUGUGAAGAAGGCGAAUGCCUGUGAAGCCGCUGCAUUUUGGAAAAGGCCCGGUGCCUAUUAAGAAGGCGAAUGCCUAUGAAGCCGCUGCGUUUUGGAAAAGGCCUAGAGCCUGUGAAGAAGGCGAACGCCUGUGAAGAUGCCGCAUUUCAAAAAAGGCCCGGUGCCUGUGAAGAAGGCCAAUGCCUGUGAAGCUCGCCGCCCGUGACACUUUCACGUAAUAAUGAGUGGGGCUGUACACGCCCGGAGUCUCCGGAGUGCCGCCCUCGGGCCUCGGGGGCUCCCGCCCACGCCCAGUGGCAGCACUUAGCUCCGCGCUGGUGAGAAGACGUCGAAGACUAGAAUAGGUGCCGGAUGCGGCUUUCCCAUUUGCUUUCUGCAGUUGGCUUGUUUAUUCCGGUUUGAAGUUUUUAUUGGAGUUGCUGACAUUCCUAGCUUGUGGCUCUUUGUCUUUCUCGCUCGCUCGCCUCGUUUUCUCUCGCGAAGUCUCGCGAGGGAGGAUCGCAGGCGCCCUCGCGAUUGUUUUCUGCCCCGAUCAUUUGUAGCUUUCCUAUUCGAGUCCUCUGUGGGAGCACCCCUCCCAGUCCGUGCCCCACGGGCAUCGUGACACGAGCGCAUGACCUUGGCCAAUCACCCCCACAGCUAAGAUCAUAAGUUACCCCUCCUACUGAUCCUUGCAGGGCACAAAGCGCACGAGGAGGCCACGACCUCGGGAGGCGAGGACCAUGCCAAGCCCCACUGAGCUAAAAUAGUUCCCGCACAUGGGAGCGCGACGCAAAGCAUGGCGCAGAAAUAGCGGAAACAGCGCGAUGGUUAAACAGCAACAAUUCUAAUACACCCCCGCGGGGCCCUACAUUACUUACUAUUUUUGCGCAGGAUAAGAAAGAAAACAAAAUGGGCGCGAUUCGUCCUGCGCCAACCCACAGCAAAGGCUCGAGCUGCUCCUGGGGCUCAGGCGGAUCCCUCCUCUCGCUUCACCAGGGCACGACGGCGGGCUGACCCGCUACCUUCACCCAAGCGGGCGCGACGGCGAGGAGGCUGGUCGCGGCCACCGCUGGAGGAGCUGCUUCCUGAGAGGGGAUUGCCGAAGCUCGGCGAACCCCGAGCACCGCCGCCUGUACGCCAGCCGCCAUCUGCAUCCUGGUCAGAGCCAGGGCUGGGCAGGCGGCUGCAGUCGUCGUCUUCAGGGCAACACCCAACAUGGCGACUGUCUUCCCCGAACACCCUCACGUAGAGGGUGGCGUCGCCAUCAAACUUGAAGUACAGGGUGCACCACCGGCUCAGGCCAUGCGCGCGGGAAAAUGUUUGCCAGCCGCGUGUCAGAGCCCCGUUCCCAGAAACGGAGACCUCCAGCGACGCCCAGGAGGCCCUGCUGCAGCAUCCGUUUGCUUGGAGCCAGAAGCCGCACCGGGCGCUGGCCGGCAGUUCAUCUACGAAGAAACAGGGGAGCUGGAGCUUGGUGCUGGAUGGGUCUGCCGACCACACGACGAACUCCGGCAGCACCUCCGCAGAGCGAAAGCGUGGCCUAGGGGGGCGCACACCCAUGGCGUGCCCCCCGUCGGCAACCGGGCGCUCACCACCGCGCCGGGAACCGCCUCCAUGGAUGCGGGAGGCCACCACGGGGACCGUGGUAUACUUGCAAGGGCGACCUCAACCGCGCUUGGCCGGGGGGGAGUCAGGCCCAGCCUGAGGGGCCUUUCCUUUCUCCGCGGCUGAGAAUCUCUUUGGAGCCAUGGGAGCGACGAGUAAUCGAGAAGAAGGAAAGGAGCAGCAAGGAGGUACGGGCCGAAGGGGGUCGCCCAGCCCUGUACAUAUAGCCGGAGGAGGCCAACCGCCAUGCACCACGAUCGCAGGUAAUCAUGACCGGUUUCUCUGCAUGUAGGGACUUAUCAAGUCAUGUCGUCGCCGAGACGUCGUGGGGAAGCGCAGUCGCCCACGUCCAAUCAAUCGCCACGCGGCGCCCAAGGCCGCAGGGUGUUAGGGCCCGCGGCGCUUCGCGCUUUCCCUUUCGCUUUCCUACUAGGCCAAGCCCAGGCGCGCCUUGGGCUCGGGGGCUACUGUCGGCGUUCUAGGAAUGGGGGUCCCCAGACUUGCCUGCCUACGACCUGCGGUGUGGCUCAAGCAGGGCCCAGCGCGGCCCAUCUUCAUCAGCUCAGGCUCAAGACCCUCGCGAGGGGCCAAGCCUUGUGGGGCAGAUGACAGGAAGCUUCCUCAGAGGCAGCCUCAUCAGGCAGGCUCGCGAGGAGGCGAAGAGAUCAAGGCAGGGGUACCUCACGAGGAACCCGUGACACAAGCCAUGACGAUCGAGACCAGGCGGGCGCCAGGUGGGCGUCGGCCUGCGUAGUGUCCUUGUUUCCCCUUUGGUGCAAAGGGGGCAAGCACUGGCCAAGGCAUCAGGCAAUGGUUGCCAUUCCGGUGCAACGAGACCAAGACCAGCAGAGCGGCAUGACGGAGGUCACCGUGGAGCCCAAGACGGCGUCAUCACCAGCACUUUUGGUAGCCGAAGACCACCUUUGGUCAGGAUAACCUGUACUACAUGUUCCCCUUCAAAAUGACCAAUUGUUGGCGCCCUUCCCACUCAUUAUUUGGGGAGAGGCCCAAGGUCUCUAAAAAUAGAGCUAGCCACCACAGAAGGAGGGGACGACGGGAAAUCUGGUAGAACCAUAGCAGAGAGAGAGGAAGAGGCAACUGAACUCACCCUAGCAGUUCAUCGAACCAGCUCAAGAACACCUCUCGCGAGGCUGCUCUUCCCUUGUACUAUUCAUCAUCAGCCCCAGAGGCAAUCCACCACAACACACACUGGAGUAGGGUAUUACACCACAACGGUGGCCCGAACCGGUAUAAACCUCGUGUCUCUUGUGUUGUUCAUCAUUUUCAUCUUAGUUCGCACGAGAGGAUUGAACGUAGAUCAGUAGGGGAGAGAUCUCCAGUGUUCGAACCUCAAGGGUCUGCCGGAACCCGAAACCCGACAGUCACGAAGGUGGACGACGACAAUUUUGAGCCAAACGCGCCCGAGGAAGCACGCACGUGCUACAACAAUUAAAUUGGCUGCAUCAUAUGAACAACCGCCACCAUCAACGAUGAGAAACUAAACAAGAUAGAUAAUAUGAGGCCCUCCCUCCUAAAGAACUUGCACCCGAUAUUCUUGUUCCUGAGCCGGAAUGAAAAGGUUUAUAAAGAUCCAGAUAAGGACCUGACAAUGAAGAAGAUAAACAAACACGCCAUGAGCAAGUUUAGCGACGCAUUGGCUGCCUAGAAAGCAAGGGUGAAAUAUCGGAUCGUCAACGAAAAGGAACCCUACUCCGAGAUUCUAAAGGAUAAUCCGAUAAUCACGAGAGAGCACUUUGAAAUAUUCAAGGCGGCUCGCGAGGCUGAAGAUGCCAAAAAAAUUCAGAGUACAUGAAGGGGCUUCAACAGAAGAACAUUGGGUGCCACCACCUCGGAUGCCAUGGUUACAGCGGGAAGAGGUCCAUAUGGGCCAAGGAGGACGCGGAAGCCGCGAGUCUAGGCAUCCCAGACCCCUUGGCGGAGUUCACCGUCCCGCAGGAGCGUGACGUCCUCAGGGUCCGACACCAUUGGGACCCAGUGAAGAAGGUUUUCAAAAAGAACGCGGUCACGAUGGAGUUCAUUAGACUGCUAGUAAUUUUAGUUCCUAAUCAAUUCGACUGCACAUUAGUCAUAUUUGUAAACGAUCCUUGUGCCUUUUGCAGAGAGAGCAGCACAGGAUUGCGGCCGAAAGCGACUGGCCGUCUGAGGCGUUGGCGAGGCCCAAGUGGGACACUCCAUUCAACCGGGCAUUGAACAUAUUGAAAGGACUCCCGGUGGAGACUCGACCGUCGUAUGGACGCGCGCACGGUGUCAGAGACGGCGCCAUGUGGAAGAAGUACUACCGUGAGACCACGGAGGAGAGAAAAUAAAGACGGAGGUUAACUGAAGAAAACAUCGACAAGAAGGUUGAGAUUGCGGUUGAAAAGAAAUCGAGACAGUCGCAACAAUGGUAGCUACCGCAAAACAGGUGCUUGUAGAUAUGUCUACUAACUUGGUUCCGGACGUUUUCAAUUGGAGCAGGCAAAAUCCAGAAAAAAAUGCAGCGGACUUUCCCCUUGCUGACUUCCUCAGGAGCAGCUCGACUAGCGUUGCACCAGCACCUACACCUGCACCUGCUCCCGCCCCGGCUCAUGCACCUGCUCACGAACCUGCUCCGGCACUAGCUCCUGCACCUGCUCCCGCACCGGCUGCUGCACCUGCUCCCGCACCGGCUCCUGCACCUGCUCCCGCACCGGCUUCGGCACCGGACGUGCUCGGCGGUGCUUCGUCUUUGGUUGAGCUCGACGCCCUCACGGUAUCUGUCACACCGGCCCCCUCCAAUAAAUGUAUAAUCUCCCGUUUUCGUUGCCUUUUAGAUGUCUCACGUCGCAGACUUUUCUUUGCAGGCCGACGAAACCCCGUGCACCAUAUUGUACACCAUCGGCGACCAGAAGCUGGACGUGGGGAAGGCGACGAUAAUGGAGCCGAAGGAACCAUUGUUCCACAGCCGACCGAUCCCCCCGGAAGUCUUCAAGGUUUCCUUGGCCAGUGUCAAACCAGGCCACGAGAAUUUGGCUCCUUUGGUACUAUUGGGGAUGACGACGAGACCCCGCGACGGCUUGGUGAUUGUUGCAAUGAGUGUGUCUUGUUGUGGCCAAAGAGUCUGCUUCGUCUAGAGGCAGCCGGGAGCACACCCACGAGCACGUAGUUAGGUAUGAACAUCAACACCUUGCCUACUCCAUUAGUCGCUAGUGUCGUCGCCAUAGAUAAGGAUGAGGAUGACGAUGACACUCAAGAGUAUGUCUAUACUGGUGCCUACUUAGGGUUUGAGCGUCAUGAGUUGGUGCCUGAAUUGCCGCCUCCGGAGUCUAAACGUAUUAUGGACAACCUUCUGGUAGUAAAGAAGUCUAGGAAGAGACCGAGGAAAGGCAAAAAAGCUGCUCCUGUGAUCCAGCCGCCUCAGCAGCCUCAGGUUCAAGACCGUAUAGAUAUCCUCGGUGCGGCAAAAUGGCAUAUCCCCGAUCAACCAAUCCUACCUGAAGCAGUGCUGGGGGCCAGAUUCAGCGAUUUAAGGAGACUUCAUGACGAUGUGCUGCGGAUAGAGAAAGACCUCAUUGCCUCAAAAAAUCCAGGAUACCCACUCUACGUGGUUAACGUGCCGCGGGGAUUGUCAUACAUCGACACAUUCCCCACGGAGAAGUUCUUCCUUUGAUUUGAUUACAUCUUCGACAUGUUUCACUUGAAGAAGCUGGAUUUUGCGUUUGUCUGCCUUUAUGCUUUGCACAUGAACUACCUCAUCGGGGUUGAGCAGAUACCUCAUAUCUAUGUUGCUGACCCGUACUUCAUGCACGAGGCCUUCUUGGGAGUCUGCGCAAAGCACUAUGAAUACGCGAGGGAAUACGUUGUCAAUUUCAUGCUCGCUAAUAAGGAAAAGGAGGCUAUUCUUGUGCCUUAUCAUCCCAUGUAAAUCAUCCGCGUGGAUAUCCUUCCUUUGAUUUCAAUCAUUCAUUUGCAUGGUGGAGGCUAAAUAAUUUGAGGUGUACUUAUUUUGCGCAGCGGCGGGCGCGCCGUCCUCAUCAUCCUCUACCCCCGAUACUCCCACGCUCUUUACUUGGACCCAUCGAAGAACAUUAACAAAAAGGAUUACACCCACAUCAAGUAUGUACUCGAUAGUGCUAUGUUUUACUACGGAGCAUGGGGUGGAGAGGUCAAGGACAAGAAGAAAAAGGACGGCAGGCCCGCCUUCGGCCAUAAGACCGACUUUUGCUGCAUCCAGCAACAGAGUGAUUCUCUUAAUGAUGGAUUCUAUCUCCUACACCAGAUGCUGGAGUACAGACGGGAUCACCAGAACCUUCGCAUGUCACCUACAUCCGGUGAUGCCCAUAUUUUGCAAUGGGCAAAGAACUUAGGAGAUAUCGAGGAUCAUCGACUUCGAGUUGUGUUCUAUCACAUCUAGCGCGAACUUGCCCAAAUCAUCAUGAAGGAGGUCAUCGAAAAAACAGGGAUGUUCUACGAAGAAGGACAAAUGUCGCGGGAUGACAUCCGAACACGCGUAGCCGCUCAGCAUCUCGACCUGAAGCCUUUCACUAAGCUCGGGGACUAUCUCUUUGACUUGGAUGGAUGGCACGACAUGGAGUGAUUGUCGAUAUAUGACAAUGUGUCCGUUUAGUCCAUACUAUCUGUAUGAUGAAACUUUGACUAUGCACGAUGGAACUUUAUUUGUGAUGUAAUUAAACCGUCCUCCUCGACUAGCGAAGAUCACUCUAGUUAGGGCAUUUUGGGUACGAUGAACUUUGUUAUUUAUGCUUAUGAUAUGUUGCUUCUAUUUUUGCCAAGUCUGUCUCUUUCUGUUGCUCAACUAUAUAUGUUGCAUAUCAUCGACUCAUGUGACGAUGCAGGUGUAUAGAUCAUCGAUGGUGAAGAAGUGCUACGCCAGGAGUAUACGACGAGUGGCCAGAAUGUCAGGCCCAGGUGUACCGGUUUCUGGUUUCCGGGCGACAACCAGUAGUUAGUUUAGGUUCACGCAAAGUGAUAGCUCUUCUCGCAUAUAUCAUUGUUUAGAUGGUUGACGAUGUAGUUGCAAGUAAUCAAGAUUUGUAUCACUAUUUUCGAGAUGAUGACAAGAGACCACUUUGUGUUGGAUGAUGAUUAUGACGAUGACAUGAUUUGAUGAGACUAUUUGUAUGUAUAUGCUAUGAUUAAAUUUGUAUGUGUAUCAUAUGCUAAAGAUUAUUGUAUAAAGCCUAUUCAAAUACAAAACAAAUAUGCAGAAAAAAAACUACUAAAAUUAGCAGUAGCGAGUGGAGAAAAGUUAGCAGCAACACCACAGUAGCAGUAGCACGUCCAGGCAAAGCGCGCUAGAGCUAUUAGCAGUAGCGAGCUUCCACGAAGCACGCUGCUGCUACACUUGUAUAGCAGUAGCGCGGGUGUGCACGCGCUACUACUACGGGUUAGCUAUAGCGCCUUAUUAGUAGCGCCGGUCCCCGCGCUGCUGAUAUACCUAGAACCCGCGCUGCUGCUAGCCUUUUCCCUAGUAGUGAGAAGGCAUCCCGAUAAUUCGGAGGGUGAAAGUCUUGUUGAGAAAAUUGAUAAAAGUUGGUUUGAAGAGGUCAAAACUUUAAGUAGUGAUGUGCCCACUCUUUUGGAUUACAAAGACUUUAAUUAUGAUAUUAUCUCUUUGAUUGAUUGUAUUUCUUUGUUGCAAUCCAUGAUAAAUUCGCCCCAUGCUUAUGAACAAAAUAAAGCUUUUACUAAACAUAUUGUUGAUGCUAUGAUGAAAGCUUUGGAAGAAAAAUUGGAAUUAGAAGUUUAAAUUCCUAGAAAAUUACCUGAUGAGUGGGAACCUACUAUCAAAGUCAACAUUAAAAAUUAUAAGUGUUUUGCUUUAUGUGACUUGGGUGCUAGUGUUUAUACAAUUCCAAAAUAUUUAUGUGAUGUGCUUGGUUUUACCGAUAUUGAAGAAUGUUCCUUGAAUUUGCACUUGGCGGAUUCUACUAUUAAAAAGCCUAUGGGAAGAAUUAAUGAUGUUCUCAUUCUUGCAAACAGGAAUUAUGUGCCCAUAGAUUUUAUUGUUCUUGAUAUUGAUUGCAAUCCGUCUUGUCCAAUUAUUGUUGGUAUACCAUUUUUACGUACUAUUGGUACCGUGAUCGAUAUGAAAGAAGGCAAUAUUAAAUUUCAAUUUCCAUAGAACAGUAAUUAGUCCAUCAUAUGAAUCAAUCAUGAGGGCAUCUUAUGGAUCUAGAAACAAAGAUGACAAUACUUAGAUCCUUGCUUUAUGCCUAGCUAGGGGCGUAAAACGAUAGCACUUGUUGUGAGGCAACCCAAUGAAUAAAAUUUAUUUUUGUCUUUUGCUUUCUAUAAUUGAGUGUUUUCACAAUGAUGCUACUGUUAUGAUUGUGUUUUUUGUGUUUUAGUUAGUGUAUGUGCCAAGAAAAGCCUUUAGGAUCAUGUUGGGUGAUAGUUGAUUUGAUCUAGCUAAAAAACAGAAACUUUUAUGCUCACGAAAAUAAUUCUUAUUUAUAACAGGAGUGUGAUAAAAUACCAAUUUUUUCGCAGAAGAUUUAUAUACAAAUGUCUCACGUGGUCCUAAUUUUUGAUAAUUUAUAGAGUUACAUAAGUGUUUGAAAUAUCCAGAUAGCUACAAACUGUUCUGUUUCUGACAGAUUCUGCUUUUUUUGUGUUGUGUGCUUGUUUUGAUGAUUCUAUGGUUUCCUUUGAAGAUUUUUUAUCAUAGAAAAGUUGGAAUACAGUAGCUAUAAUUCAAGAAUAAAAUAUGAAUGGGUUUGCAACAAUACUUAUAGUAGUGAUUUGUUUUCUUAUACUAACGGAUCUCACGAAGGUUUUAUUGAGUUUUGUGUGAUCAAAGUUUUCAAAUUUUGGGUGAUGUUACGAUGGAUGAAAGAAUAAGGAGGGAUGCCCAUGGCACCCCAAGCUAUUAUCCAAAGAGAAGCAAGCAACUAAGCUUGGGGAUGCCUGAGUGGCAUCCCCUCUUUCUUCCAACAAUCAUCGGUAUUUUACUCGGAACUAUAUUUUUAUUCGUCGCAUACUAUGAGUUUUGCUUGGAGUGUCUUGUAUGAUAUGAGUCUUUGCUUGUUUUUCCUUUUGUUUUAAGUCUUGAAUACUUGCUGGACACACCUAUUUGAGAGAUCUAAAAUUAUGCCAUGACUUGUUAGAAUUGCUCUCUAUGAUUCACUUAAAUCUUUAUGAGAUAUGGAAUUGCACUAGUGCUUCACUUAUAUCUUUUUUAGCAUGGUGUGCUUUAGUAUUUUUGAAGAAAUGCUCCCAUGCUUACCUUAGAUUUAUUUGAGAGUUAGUAAUUUUUAAGAAAUUCUCUCUUGCUCACUUAAAUUAAUUUGAGAGAAAGAAAUAUUAUGCUCAUGAUCUCUAAUUAUAUUUAUUUGAGCUUAUUAAAAGAGCAACAUAUAAAACCAGUCCCAAAGUGAUAGAUAUCCAAGGAGGAUAUAAUAAAAACUUUCAUGAAGAUCAUUGGACAAAAUAAUCUUGAUUCCUUGUAAUAGUUUUGAGACAUGAUGAUGUGAUAUGUGAGUCAUGUUGAUGAGUUAUCAUGAUUUAGUAAGAAUAUUGGUGUUAAGGUUUGUGAUUCCCUAUGCAAGAACGAAAGUCAAUAGUUAUGCAAUGAAAUUACAUCCUACUUGUGGUGCAUUAUUCGGUGUUAAUUAUGCUCAAUGCUCGCUUAUGAGAUUUUUCGUUUCUUGGUUGUUCGCUUCUCAAUCUUUUGCUAGCCUUCAUUUUGCAGUAAGUAUGAUCACUACUUGUGCAUCCAAAAUCCUUUAUACCAAUUUUGCCACACGAGUCCACCAUACCUACCUAUAUGCGGUAUUCUUUUGCCGUUCUAAGCAAAUUUGUAUGUGCCAUCUCUAAUUUUCAAAAUAAAAUUAUGUUUUGUGUUCUCAUAUCGCUCAUGAAAUGGUAGGGGGUGGCAAAUAUAUUUCCAUGCUAGAUAUGUUAUUCUCAAGAUGAGUGUUUAUUCACUUUUCAGUGCACGAGAGUAAGGCAAAGGUAUUAGGGAUGCCCAGUCCCAAAAUGAAAAAUGAACUUACUUUAUGUUGUCAAAUAAUAAAUUCCUUGGAAAGUGUUGGUAUGGAAGGCACUUGUGGAUAUGGCUAGCCAUGGAAAGUGAAAGUAUGGUUGAAAAAGGAAUAAACUUUAAUUUCUGUUUGGGAACCGCCUAUGAUAUAUCUAGCAUGGAAAGUAUUGGGAACUACUCAGUCGUUCUCGUUGACAGGAAAAGCAUGCUUCCCAAAAUGUUUUUAUCUCUAUCUUUUUCGCUUUGAGCUCUGGCACCUCUACAAAUCCGUACUUCCCUCUACGUAGGGCCUUUCUUUUACUUUAGGCAAUUUUUAUUUUUAAUUUGAGUCUCCAUCUUCUCUUAAAAAGCACCAACUAAGGGGCACUAUGAUCGUACUUGAGUAUUGGGUGUAGCUAAUAUGCGAGUAUGUUUCAUGAAUGGAUCAAUGACUGAGCAUAAUAGGCUAGGGAUAACUUAUUUUAGCGUUGGUAUUUUGAAAGACAUGGUUGCUUGUUGAUAUGCUUGAGUAUCUAAGUCUCAUGUCAAAACUAGACUAUUGCUUUGAACCAUAUAAAAGUCCAAAUGUCCAUGCUACAAAGAAAAGAAUAUGUGAUGAGUAUGUUAGGCAGCAUUCCACAUCAAAAAUUCUGUUUUUAUCAUUUACGCUUGUGGAUGCUGAUACGUCUCCAACGUAUCUAUAUAUUUUUAUUGUUCCAUGCUGUUAUAUUAUCAUUCUUAGAUGCCUUACAAUAAUUUUAUAGUCAUUUUAUAUCACUUUUUGGUACUAACCUAUUGACAUAGUGCCCAGUGCUAGUUGUUGUUUUCUGCAUGUUUUUUACAUCGCAAGAAAUCAAUAUCAAAAGGAGUCCAAACAUAGCGAAACUUUUUGUGGAUUUUUUUGGACCAAGAGACAUCCUGUGGGCCAAAGAAGUACCGAAGAGGGAGCUUGAGGUGAGCACAAGACACCAGGGCGCGCCUGGAGGCCGAGGCGUGCCCUGGUGGGUUGUGCCCACCUCGGUGGCCUCCCAAACCGCCUCUUUGCUCUAUAAAUACCCCAAUAUUCCAGAAACCCUAGGGAGUUGACGAAAAUCAAUUCCAGCCGCCGCAAGUUCCAAAACCACUAGAUCCAAUCUAGACACCAUCAUGGAGGGGUUCAUCAUGUCUAUUGGUGCCUCUCCGAUGAUGCGUGAGUAGUUCUUUGUAGACCUACGGGUCCUUAGUUAGUAGCUAGAUGGCUUCCUCUCUCUCUCUCUCUUUUGAUUCUCAAUACAAUGGUCUCUUGGAGAUCCAUAUGAUGUAAUUAUUUUUGCAGUGUGUUUGUUGGGAUCCGAUGAACUUUGAGUUUAUGAUCAGAUCUAUCUUUUUAUCCAUGAACGUUAUUUGAGUUUUAAUUGAUCUCUUAUAUGCACGAUUUCUUAUAGCCUCGUAUUUCUUCUCUGAUAUUUGGGUUUUGUUUGGCCAACUUUAUCUAUUUAUCUUGCAAUGGGAAGAGGUGCUUUGUGAUGGGUUCGAUCUUACGGUGCUUAAUCCCACUGACAGAAGGGGAACCGACACGUAUGUAUCAUUGCCAUUAAGGAUAACAAGAUGGGGUCUAUUUCUACAUAAAUAGAUCUUGUCUACAUCAUGUCAUCGUUCUUAUUGCAUUACUCCGUUUCUCCAUGAACUUAAUACACUAGAUGCAUGCUGGAUAGCGGUCGAUGUGUGGAGUAAUAGUAGUAGAUGCAGGCAGGAGUCGGUCUACUAAUCUUGGACGUGUUGCCUAUAUAAUGAUCAUUGCCUAGAUAUCAUCAUGAUUAUUUCAAGUUCUAUCAACUGCCCAAUAGUAAUUUGUUCACCCACCGUUUGCUAUUUUUCUUGAGAGAAGCCACUAGUGAAACCUACGGCCCCGGGUCUCUUCUUUAUUAUAUUUUCCUUCACGAUCUAUUUUUAUUUGCUUUCAUUUUCAGAUCUAUUAAACCAAAAAUACAAAAAAUACCUUGCCUCACUUUACUUUAUUUGGCGAUCUAUCAAUCAAUUUAUUACAACUUUCUCAUGUCCACUUGCCAAGUUCUGGCGCCGUUGCCCGAAAGGGAUUAACAACCCCUUUAAUACGUCGGGUUGUGAGUAUUUGUUAUUUGUGUGCAGGUGACGUUCAUGUAGUAUCGCGUGGUUCUCCUACUGGUUCGAUAACCUUUGUCUCAUCACUGAGGGAAAUACCUACCGUCGCUGUGUUGCAUCAUCCCUUCCUCUUUGGGGAAAUACCGACGUAGUUCAGGCAAACAUCAGGGCCCAAGGCCCACACACCAUCAAGCCCAUGCUCAUCCUCCUCCUGUUUCCUAUGUCAGCACCGCCAGGAGGAAUGGGACCGCGCUCAUCCACCAGAUCCUGUGACAACACCCAUCACGCCAGCCCCGACCACCGUUAGUGAAGAGGCACCGCCCCUGCGUCCCGGUUCUCCCUCUCCUUCCUCCUUUCCCACGGGAUAUCGACUAUGCUCCCGGCACGUGCCUUGGCUCACGCCUGGCUGCCAAGCGCUGGUCUGCUCCUCUGGCCCACUGUUGGAGCGCCGACCUGCUCCGAUGCCCCGUCGUCCCUACUGUCCAGCCAUCUCUCCAUCCCCCCCUUAGCAUCUGCCGCCGCCACCAUGCCCAUCAUCAGCCGACGCCACUGACUACCCUACCUGAUGUCGGCAUUGUUCCUAGACUUCAUGAACCGUCUCGGAGGACGUGUCGCAUCGCGGGGGUCACUCCGGUGGUCGUAGCUCUGCCAUGGGUGGCUUGUGCCGCCGAGACGAGCGCCCGAGAUCCUCUUUGUCCUGUGGGCGAGCGACGGAGGAAGGAGAUAGGUCUGCUAGGCGGGCCUCGCCUCCUCUAGGCCCCACCCAUCAAUCUCAGUCGCACCUGACAAGGGGGGCCCACCGCGGGUCAAAACCACUAUUGACCAAUGCCACGCCAACAACAAGUCGAGACAAACCACCUAGGGAGUUCGUUCAUCCGGUGUGGGUUUGUUUAGGGGGUGAAAGGAACAGAAAAAUAGAUGAGGGGGUAAUGUGAACCACCAACUUAAUUCAAGGUAGUAAAAUGGACUUCUUUCAAACUCAAAUACUUUAAAUUGUUUCCACAUUAAAAGAGUAAUGUUAAGUAGAAUGGUAAUCAUAAUUAUGACAAGUUUUAUAAAGAUAAUCAUCACUACUUUUUAUAACAUAAGUAUCAUCACAAUAAUCAUCAUAAGUAGCAACUUUUUCUCACCAUAAUCAUUCGAAACCUAUUUCAGAAUAGUGGAAUGUUUACUUAAUAAAUUCAUGACCUCUCGAAAUCCACUUUUAUCGUUAUAAUAAGAUUCAACUCCAAAAUUGUGGGAUAAUUAUUAUCUAAAUUAGAAACUCUUCCAAACCCACUUCCAUAAAUAUUGUAAUAAUCCUAAAUAGGAGGCAUGCAAUCACCAUAACAAAUUUGAUCAUUAAAAUUAGGGGGACUAAAAAGAACAUCUUCAUUAAGCAUAGUAUCCACAAGCUCGGGAUAAACAUUAUUUGCAGGAAAUAAAUUCUCAAGCAUGUCAUUCUCAUCAAUCAUAGCAUCCCCAAGCUUGUCGCUUUGCGUACCAUUAGCAUAAUCACUCUUAUCAUUAAUAGCAUGAAUAGCACCGAUAAUACAAUAAUUAUUAUCACCAUUAUUUUCCAAGUUGGUGCCAAAAAAAUUUACAAGAUUAUAAGAAGUAUCAUUAUCUUCCCAAUCAUAAUUAUCACAACAAGUAAUAGGCAUAAAAAAUCAUCCUCAAUCCUUCAGAAAUUGUGCCAUAAGACCAAAAAAAAUAUCAUGAUCAAGCGUAUCAUCUUCUACAAUUAUUUUUGAUUCAUUCUCAUGACACACAACAAUAAUAGGAGCAACAUUAUUCGGGAGAGAUACCUUUUUUCCUCUAUUUUUGUUCUUCUUUUCUUCUUCUUCACCACAUCAUGUGUGGGUUUAAUUAAUUUUUCUGGGCUCCUUAUUAAAGAGGUUGGUUGGAUAGGAAGUUCCUCCUCGUCACCUGAUUCAUCACGAGAAACAAUAGGAGGGUAUUGGACGGGAAAUCUUUACCCCUCCGUUAGUAUUUCUUUCAUAUUCUAUUGGUUUUCUCGUCUAUCUAUAAUUGGUGAUAUAAGCAUUCUCAUUGCAAUUUACCACACAAAACAUGUAGAUUUCCUGUAGAUUAGUUUUAGUAUAGUCCGUGAACAUCAUUCAAACCAAGUAUUUUUAUGUGUCAAUUCUUCACACCCCAAAAAUAGACAAAGUUCACUAUAAAGUUCAAGGGUGAUCAAGUUAUUAUAAUAUUUAGCCAUGAUUUGAGCAUGAAAAAGUAUGCAUUGGAAAUUAAGAUGACCAACGGUAUUGCAAAUUUCACAAGUAAUGGGAUAAAGAGAGCAUAAUUUUGUAGCAAACUCAUCUAUCGCUUCAAGCCACCAAUUGGUUUUAUCAUGUUUAUGCUUCUUACAAAAUCUAUCAUCCCUAUAAGGCACGUCUUCGCAAAAUUUAUGCACUCCUCAAAAAUUGACAUGGUUAUAAGAAAACUUUUUAUCAUGACUAGUGCAAUUAUCAUUAGAAUUAUGGAUAUUCCUAGAGAGAAUACUAACAACAUUGCAAUCAUGCUUAUCAUUCAAGAUUUUAUGCCAAACAUUUUAUUGAAUUCUUAUUCUAGCACUUUGGCACAAUUUUCGAUCCAUCAUUUUCAAGAAAGACAUCAUAAAGGUAAAGCAUUUGAUGCAACUUCACUUUCAUUUUUUGUAGUUUACUUCUAUAAACCAAACUAGUGAAAAACAAGAAACUAAAAAAUUCAAUUGCAAGAUCUAAAGAUAUAGCUUCAAGCACUCACCUCCCCAGCAACGACACCUCCCCAACAACGGCGCCAGAAAUAGGCUUGAUGUCUAUGUUGGGCCUCCAAGCCCAGAGUUUUGUAGGACAAUGAUACACUGGUACGGCGAGCUGCUAUACAAACGGUUUUAACCCCUUUCCGAGAUGACAUUCUGAACCGUCGCCAAGUGAGUGUGUGUGAUAGGGGGGUCCUUCCCACACGACCCAGAAACCGCCAGGGAUAGGCCCUUCGGUCACACACGCUGCGCAAAAUGAGAUCAUGUGCGAUGGACGAGCGAUCAAAUACAAUUAUACAGGCCCAAUUGGUUUCAGUCUUAAGUACAUCCCACACAGUCAAUCCCAGACAAACUUUUUUGUUUGUUAGAGCAUCCCCAGUAGGCGCAUAAAAGUUUUCCAUGCUAAAAUAGUUUUAGUGCACCACCGUAGCACUUUUAGUGUGCCAGAUGCAACAUCAGUUUAGUAGAUGCCCAAAAACACGCGCCCAAAAAAACACUUAGUGUAAAUUGUGAAGCGCACACAAUCCGGCAUCCCAAAUUUGCAACUUCUAAUAGUGUUUUUAGCGCGGUACCAAUCCUUUUUUGCGCAUGCACUAUUUUACAGCUUCUGCUAGAGUUGUCCGGCGCAAAAAAACCCCUGAAUUUUAGAGCGCAGAGCAGUUUUUGUGCGCCUGUUGGAGAUGCUCUUAUGUACAUUCCACAUAGUCAAUCCAAGGAAUACGUUUCCAUUCUUAUGUACAUCCCACACAAUCAAUCCAAGAAGUACGUUUCCGUUCAUAUGUACAUCCCACACAGUCAAUUUAGGGAAAACUUUUCUGUUCGUAUAUACAUCCCACACAGUUUUAUGUAUACCCUCGUGUGUGAUAGGUGUAACUAUCACACACACUCUGCCUUGGUUAACCAUUUGCUUUUAUUCAACUACAUCACACACGAUUUGAUGAAGAAAACUGUAUGGCAUUGGGCUAUCCAUCACAACCACUUUUACUGCUAGAGCACUUUGCAAAGUUCCAUGACCCAUUUAGCAGGUUUAUUAGUUUACAAUUAAUAAUCCCAGUAUUACGCAAAUUCACAUUUCAUAUCGAACAACUAUUUGCCAAUUUCAUAUCAGGCACAUAAAUAUAUUUUAGCAUCACAGUACAGUAGCUACGGAGUCCAAACGCAACAAAACUUUUUGUGGAUUUUUUGGGACCAGGAGACAUCCAGUGGGCCCAAGAAGUACCAAAGAGGGAGCCCGAUGUGAGCACAAGACACCAGGGCACGCCUGGAGGCCCAGGCGCACCCUGGUGGGCUGUGCCCACCUCGGUGGCCUCCCAAACCGCCUCUUUUCUCUAUAAAUACUCCAAUAUUCCAGAAACCCUAUGGGAGUCGAUGCAAAUCAAUUCCAGCCACCGCAAGUUCCAGAACCACCAGAUCCAAUCUAGACACCAUCACGGAGGGGUUCAUGAUGUCUAUUGGUGCCUCUCCAAUGAUGCGUGAGCAGUUCUUUGUAGACCUACGGGUCCGUAGUUAGUAGCUAGAUGGCUUCCUCUCUCUCUUUUUAUUCUCAAUACAAUGGUCUCCUGGAGAUCCAUAUGAUGUCACUCUUUUUGCGAUGUGUUUGUUGGGAUCCGAUGAACUUUGAGUUUAUGAUCAGAUCUAUCUUUUUAUCCAUGAAAGAUAUUUGAGUAUUCUUUGAUAUCGUAUAUGCAUGAUUUCUUAUAGCCUCGUAUUUAUUCUGUGAUAUUUGGGUUUUGUUUGGCCAACUUUAUCUAUUUAUCUUACAAUGGGAAGAGGUGCUCUGUAGUGGGUUCGAUCUUAUGGUGCUUGAUCCCAGUGACAGAAGGGGAACCGACACAUAUGUAUCAUUGCUACUAAAGGAUAAAAGGAUGGGGUCUAUCUCUACAUAGAUAGAUCUUGUCUACAUCAUUUCAUCGUUCUUAUUGCAUUACUCUAUUUCUCCAUGAACUUAAUACACUAGAUUCAUGCUGGAUAGCGGUCAAUGUGUGGAGUAAUAGUAGUAGAUGCAGGCAGGAGUCGGUCCUAAUCUUGGACGUGAUGCCUAUAUAAUGAUCAUUGCCUGGAUAUCGUCAUGAUUAUUUGAAGUUCUGUCAAUUGGCCAGCAGUAAUUUGUUCACCCGUUGUUUGCUAUUUUUCUUGAGAGAAGCUGAAAGGAUCGAGAAGAGGUGUCUAGAGGGGGGGGGGGGUGAAUAGACUCCUAACAAGGAAAAGUUGUAGUUUUUAUUUUGUUCAAGUUAAGGUAGAGUUUUAGCACAAGUGUAAACAUUCAGAAUACAUUCAAGCAAGCAUGGCAAGAGUAUAUGAGCAGCCGAAAGUAAAGCAUGCAAUUUGCAAGGAAGUAAAGGGAUGGGAUUGCAGUGUGCAAACGCAAUUUGAGACAUGGAUAUUUUGGCGUGGUUCCGAUAGGUGGUGCUAUCGUACAUCCACGUUGAUGGAUACUUCAACCCACGAAGGGUAAUGGUUGCGCGAGUUCAUGGAGGGCUCCACCCACGAAGGGUCCACGAAGAAGCAACAUUGUCUAUCCCACCAUGGCCAUCGGACACGAAGGACUUGCCUCACUAGGGUAGAUCUUCACAAAGUAGGCGAUCUCCUUGCCCGUACAAACUUCUUGGUUCAACUCCACAAUGUUGUUGGAGGCUCCCAAGUGACACCUAACCAAUCUAGGAGACACCACUCUACAAAAGGCAAUAGACGGUGUGUUGAGGAUGAACUCCUUGCUCUUGUGCUUCAAAUGAUAGUCUCCCCAACACUCAACUCUCUCUCACAAAUUUGGAUUUGGUGGAAAGAUGAUUUUAGUGGAAAGCAAGUUGGAGAAGGCUAGAGAUCAAGAUUUAUGUGGUUGGAGUGGAUUAUUUUGACCUCAACACAUGAGUAGGUGGUUCUCUCUUAGAAAAUGUAUGCUGGAAGUGUAGGCAUGUUCUGAUGGCUCUCCUCACUAAUGAAGAGUGGGUGGAGGGGUAUAUAUAGCCUCCACACAAAAUCUAACCAUUACACACAAAUCACCAAACUCAGUGGGACCGAAUCAGACAACUCGGUCUGACCGAUUUAGUUCAUAAUCUGACCAUUAGACAUUUCGGUGGGACCGAUGUGAUCAACUCGGUGGGACCGAUGUGCUAGGGUUAGGGUAAAACCUCAUCUUGGUUUGACCGAUUAGACAAACUCGGUGAGACCGAUUUUCGUAAUAAGCAAAAUAGGGAGUUAGUCAAGCAAACUCGGUGGGACCGAUUACAUAUCUCGGUGGGACCGAAAUUAUUGCAAUAGGUGAAAGAGAGUUUGCAAGCCCAUCUUGGCGGGACCGAGAUCCCAUCAGUGAGACCGAAUUGAUUAGGGUUUGUGGCAGUGGCUAUGUCAAGUGAACUCGGUGGCGCCGGAUGGAAAAUUUCGGUGGGGCCGAGUUGGACUUUUGGUUUGGGACAUAUGUAGAUAUGGGAAAGUGGUUGAGGGUUUUGGAGCAUAUCACUAAGCAUUUUGAGCAAGCAAUCCAUUAAGCAACACCUCAUCCCCUUUUAAUAGUAUUGGCUUUCCUAUGGACUCAAUGUGAUCUUGGAUCACUAAAAGCAAAAUGUAGAGUCUUGAGCUUUAGAGCUUGAGCCAAUCUUUUGUCCUUAGCAUCUUGAAAGGGUUCCAUAUCCUAUUGUCCAUGCCACUCCAUCUGUUGAACUUGUCUAAAAUAUACUAGAUGAAAACAUUAGUCCAAGAAGAGAUAUCUUGACAUUAAUUACCAAAACCACCCAGGGAGCACUUGUGCUUUCAAUCUUCCCCUUUUUGGUAACUAGGUGAUACCCCGCGCUUUGUUGCGGUAACGUUCCUAAAUAAAUGUAUAAAUAGCUGCUACAAAAUCAAGUAAAAUCAAUGCAAAGCAAAUGUAAUGUUUCCUCAAUUUAUUCAUUAAAAAAUAAAAACAUGAAGCAUGUAACGAAAUGGUGUAUACAAAGUGCAAAGAAAUAGUUAACGAAAUUUCAUUUUCUUUCAAAAAGGAAAACAUUAACUACAUACAUACUCCGACCAUUCAACACACUCGUCCAUGACAACUUUAAAAAACUGCCACACGUUAUCUUAAAUAAGGUAUUCAUCUGGAUAACAAAUUUGUAGCCAAUAAAAUGAAACUGACCAUGCAAGAAAGAGAACAAUACACAUAUUGUUAGUGCAUUAGCUGAUUUCUUAAGUGGGCUCACUGUAGGCCCAAACAAAAUAAUACCAAAGCAACAUGCAAGAUUUUUUUUUAUCAUACUGAUCAAUUCCCUGUUAACUCGUUCCGCACUAUUAUCAUUUUUGCCAACCAUCGCCCUCUUUUUCUAUGAUAGAAAAAGAUACUCUCAUAAGUAUCAUUGUUUUUUUGCAGGUGAGAAAUAUCAUUAUUGAUGGGAGAAAAUAUCUUUACAUGCAUUUGCGUGUGUAAGCAAAACAUCAAUCAACAACCAUACCUUCGAUUAUGAAAUUUAGUCAAUUUUGGAUGCACGCUCCAUAUCCCCAGCACAAAGCUAGUGUCCCAGUACCUGAAAGACAUGAAACAUGUAUGUUAUGAUUAGAGAAUCGACUCGACUUGCUCCAGGCAUAAAACUAAUAUGAAAAAUUUUAACUUCCAGAAAAUGGUGGAGUUAAAAUGUGAGAAGUCAAUAAAUAUAACAUGAUUUGAGGAGGGACGGUUGGUGGUUGAUAUGUUUGCAUGAAUAUUUCUUUUAUUGAUUUACAACACCAUGGAGGGAGAAAUUUGAUCUUCAUUAGCAUAUACUGUGAAUAUUUCCAUGCAUAUGUUGUUGAUUCCUGGAUGUGAAGAAAAUAAUAGGUGGCAUUAGUGACAAAAAGAUAUCAGUGGAUACAAAAGAUUUAUAUGGUGUGUGUAAUAAGUUGUUACCAAGGACAUAGAACUUUUCAAAUUUGGGUAGGAGAUCGAUAGGCAGCAUACAUACCAAAUAUUGCAGGAUAGUUGUGGAGACCACAAUUCAAGCGGAAGGAAUCCUAUAUGGUAAUGAAGUAGAGAACUGUUGUCAUGCCAACAUGUGACAAUAAAAGUAACAAACAAUAAACUAAAACAGUUGAUAAAAAUCUAGUCUGUUUGUUGAACACGUUAAUAUGAUUACCCAUGAAAAAGAGGAACACGUGUUGAUAUACAUAAACAUGCCAACUUAUAAUUCCUAGUUUAGAUAUAUCUGAAAAUUACAUGCCUCUAUAGAAUUGGUUGAAACAUUGCAGUAUUUAUCCUUAACAAACAGCCUGUAUAAAAACUUCACCCACCUUUUUUAGUAUAUGACAUUUUAGCAAAUAAUUGAUGUGCUUGCCAGCAAGCAAGACCUUGAAAAUCAAAAAGGCCACUUGGCAUCUUUUACCAAUCUGACGGAUACUUGGACAAUCUGAAGUUAUUAGAUGAAUAAAUAAACUGUAUUAUAGGGGGACUUCAACAUGGAGAAUCUGAAGAAUUAGCCAACCGCAAGUCUAAAUGAGAUAUGACAGAAUCUUAAGACCUGCAUGUUUUCACUCGAUCAAAAGGGGAUUCAGAUUUGCAGGAGCAUGUGUUAAAUCAACCAAAAUUUGGUAUUGUACGUCAGUUUGUGGCACCGGCAACCGGCGGAGGAGCGUCGGUCGUGGCGGCGGCUAAACGGGAGACUGGCCUGGAAGCGACCGGCGUGGCGGCGGCUGGACGCGGAGCGGAGUCGACGGCUGGUCUUGGGACUGGGCGGGGAGCACCGGUCGUGGCGGCGGCUGGACGGGGCAGCAUAAGGUGGAAUGGUCCAAAUCCCCACCAACGAUCAAAGAGCCCAGCCCACCUACAAAAGCUUGGCUCGGAUAGACAGGACACACGAAAUGUUAUUUUGCACUUAACGGUGGCAGCCCCCCGUAAAUUUCAUCACCUCCUGAUCAGACGGCUGUAGACUGUUGUGCCAUACUGGAUCAGUGGCUAGAAUAAUUCAGAUGACGUGGCUCGCUGUGGAUGCAGAGAAAUAAGGUAGUGGGGAUCCCCUAUUUAGAUAUAGUAGAUUGAUGACAACAUACAUCAAAGCUUUAGAUAAAGAUAUACAAAGAAUAACAAGUAAGCUUUGGAAAGACAUGUAACAUGCAUAGGCUCCCCCUACAUGUAUGCAAUCAUGUCAAUAUGAAAUGUAAGAGCAUGUGAAUGCAUAAUCAUUUCAGAGCAAGCAAUGUGUUACAUGUAUCUUGGCUAUAUGCAUCAGAGCAAAUGAUGUCAAUAUGGGAAUUGUAACUUCAGGUUCAUGAUUCCUUCUUGCAAACAGUAUGUACAUUAGCAAGAAAUCUUCAUGCACAUGAGUGUGAUGCAUAUACUUACCUUGUGGUCUUGAGCUGGCUUAGGAAGAGAUGAACAUGAGUAAACAAGGUUAGAUAACAUAGAUACAUCUACUAGACAGAGCAAACAAAAUAAGCCACAAGAGUACCAUGAUUGGGAUGACUUGUAGAGUGUGAGUACUGGGUACUCUAUUGGAUAUAGACAAGUCCCCAAAGGUAAAUAUAUGCAAUGAAUUCAAAGACUUCCUUCCCUAGUAGUCUUUCUCCCCCUGAAUCUUGUAUUGGAUAAUGGGAGAACAUAGGGAAACAAAAUCAGAGCAAAACAGAUCAUAAACAUAAACAUAACAUAGAGAUGUCUUUCCCCUCUUAAAGACAUGUGACUUCUCUCCUCUUGAACAACAAGCAUCUGGGGCCUUUGAUGUGAUUACCUCUCUCUCCCUUUUUCUUUGACUCCCCCUUUUGAAGAGAAUGAGCUUUGAUGUGAUCUCUCUCUCCCCCUUUGACAUCAGUUUCCAAGAAGGGGUCUUAUGGAGUGUGAGUCAAAAUAGGUUUGGUCCUUGUGUCACAGAGCAAAGCAGCAUAUAGAUUGUGAUGCUGGUAGAGGACAAGAAUCAUCGAGUGGAGCUGGAACAAAAAUGCAGGAACAAGUGGCAAAUUGUCUUUUCUGUAGUUAAAUCGGUGGCACCGAGUUGUGUUCUUCGGUUGCACCGAAAGGAUUUGAUUGGACCGAAAGUAGCACACUGGCGUGUCCGAGUUCAACACAGAAAAUGAGCAAUAGUCACCUCAGCUCACUAGGCAAAUAAGAUCUCACAAAGAUUUGCAAGGAAUUAACUGAAGGAUUUGCAAUGAAUUGGAUGCAGGGAAUGCAGAACAAAAACAAAACAAAAAUAAAAUCUAGAUGAAGUUUUUUUUGAUAAAGGAAGGGGAAUAAAUAUGCAAGGGACAAAUGCAAAGACUCAGAGAAACACUAGAGAACUUCAUCUAGAAUUGGGCGGUGACAAAGUCACCUAUGUUAGAGUAUAUUGACUAAGGAGUCAAGUGAGAACACUUGAUCGUAGGUCAUACUCAUUGUUUAAGCUCAAAAUGGGGUUACCAUUUAUCGUUCAAGCUUUUGAUGUAUCCACAUCUUGUUGGGUUGCUUUAACCCAUGAGUCGGGGUAAAGCUUCUCUAAGAUGGAAUAGCAUACCUUGGGUGGUGGUGUUGAACUUGAUCAUGUAGUUGAACUUGCGUGGGGUGCUCAAGGUUGAUCUGUAGUGCAUGAAUGGUUGGGAUCACCACUUGGAGUUGAGUUCAUCUACCUACGUGGGUUAGUCUGGCAGGGAAGAGCACUUGUGUAUCAAAAAUGACAAUCAUGAAAUUUGAUAUAUAGAAUUUGUCAAAGGAUAUGUUGAGGGGUUUCAUGCUUCCUUGUCUUCAACCACCAUUGUGUAGAGACUUGGUGAUGUAGAGAUUGCUCAAGAUGUGAGUGAGUUGAAAUCUCAUGGAUUUAGAUUCAUCCAAGUACCUACAAAGGGUUACAUAGCAUGCAAGAGUACAAAUGUAUCCAAGACAUAUGAUCAUCAUCAUAGGAGAAGAAGUCGAGGAUUAGUCAAAGACUUAUGCCAUGCAUGUAUCCAAAUGGAGUUUCUACUCCAAGUUUGAAGCAUCAAUGAUGUUCAAUUCACCUCUCAAACGGCAAAAUACUUUCUCAUCAAGAGGUUUGGUAAAUAUAUCUGCCAAUUGCUUAUCGGUACGAACAUGCUUAAGGUCAGUGUCCCCUUUAGCAACAUGAUCUCGAAUGAAAUGAUGACAAACUUCAAUAUGAUUAGUUCGAGAAUGUUGCAUGGGAUUGUGAGCAAUCUUAAUAGCACUUUCAUUGUCACAAAGCAAUGGAACAUGUUUCACCUAGAUCCCAUAAUCUUUAAGAGUUUGGGUCAUCCAAAGUAACUGAGCACAACAUGAACCGGCGGCAAUGUAUUCUGAUUCGGUGGUGGAUAAGGAUACCAAGUUUUGUUUCUUGGAGGACCAAGAUAGAAGAGAUCUACCAGGAAAUUGGCAAGUACCCAAAGUGGACUUUCUAUCAACCUUGUCUCCGGCGUAGUCUGAAUCAGAGUAGCCAACAAGAUCAAAAAAAGACCUCUUAGGAUACCAAAUGCUAAAAAUUGGUGUAUGUAUUAAGUAUCUCACUAUCAUUUUCACAACCGUAAGAUGACAUUCUUUGGGGGCUGCUUGAUAUCGUGCACACAUGCACACACUUAACAUGAUAUCGGGAUGGGAUGCACAUAGAUAUAACAAUGAACCAAUCAUAGAGCGAUAACCUUUUGGUUAACCGGUUUGCCAUCCUUGGUCAAGUCAAGAUGUCCACUAGUAGGCAUGGGAGUUUUCAUACCUUUGCCUUCUUGCAUGUUGAACUUCUUGAAUAAGUCCUUGGUAUACUUUGUUUGAGAAACAAAGGUGCCUUCCUUAGUUUGCUUGAUUUGCAAACCAAGAAAGAACUUGAGUUCACUCAUCAUAGACAUCUCAAACUGCUCCGACAUUAGCUUUCCAAACUUUUCACUAAAAUGAGGGUUAGUCGAACCAAAUAUAAUAUCAUCAACAUAAAUUUGGCACACAAAUAAUUCACCAUUAACCCUUUUAGUAAAAAGACUAGAAUCAAUCUUUCCAAUCUGAAAACCUUUUUCAAUAAGGAACUUGGUCAAGCAUUUAUACCAUGCUCUAGGACCUUGUUUAAGACCAUAAAGAGCUUUGUGAAGUUUGUAAACAUGAUCGGGUUUCUUAGGAUUAACAAAGCCGGGAGGUUGCUUAACAUAAACUUCCUGCUCUAUUUCACCAUUUAGAAAAGCACUUAUAAUAUCCAUUUGGUACAAUGUGAUAUCACAGUGAUUAGCAUAGGCAAGUAAGAUGCGAAUGGACUCAAGUCUAGCAACGGGGGCAUAUGUAUCACCAUAGUCCAUACCUUCGACUCGAGUGUAGCCUUGGGCGACGAGACGAGCUUUGUUGCACGACUUGACCAUCUUCGUCUUGCUUGUUGCGAAACACCCAUUUGGUACCGAUGAUGUUGUGGUUGUUCUCGGGCUUCUCGACCAAUGUCCACACUUGAUUUCUCUCAAAGUUGUGUAGCUCUUCACGCAUAGCAUUUAUCUAAUCCGGUUCUUCCAAUGCUUCUUAAACCUUCAUAGGUUCAAUGCUAGAAAUGAAUGAAUAAUGUUCACAAAAAAUAGCCAAACGAGUUUUAGAGCGAGUGAUUCUCCCGGUUUGGAUAUCAUUGAAGAUUUGUUCGACGAGAUGGUCUCUUGAAACUCUUGCUCGAACUCAUGGGAGCUUUUGUUUGGGUCAGGGUGGAGCAUGUUCUUCAUCAUCUCAUUCUUCUUCUUGGCCUUCUUCAUUGUUGACGCUGUCUUUCUCUCGUCGUGGUGGAGAAGGAGGUCGAUGAGGUUCAUCUUGGUGCACUUCCUCGUUUUAUUCAUCUUGGCGUGUCCCACUUGUGGAUGCUUCCAUGUCAACUCUUGGUUCACCUUGUCAUGAGGUAGACGCUUCCACUUGGACGGAUGAGGUACUCUCCUUCACCUCUGUUGGACGAAUCUUGCCAAUAGACAAGUCUUGGAUUGCUUCUGAAGGUUCUUUGUCUCCUACAUCAAUUGGCAAUUUCUCUACUUGCAAGCCGUUAGAUUCAUCAAACUUCACAUCUACCGUCUCUUCAACCUUUCAGGUGAAAUUGUUGUAGACACGGUAAGUGUGAGAGUUUGAGCCAUAACCAAGUAGGAAACCCUCAUGAUAUUUAGUAGCAAAUUUAGAACAAUGAUGCUUGUCAAGAAUGUAACACUUUGAGCCAAAUACUCGAAAGUAUCCAACUUGGGGUUUGUUACCGGUGAGGAGCUCAUAUGCCAUCUUGCCGAGUAGCUUGUGAGGAUACAAGCAAUUUGUUGCAUGACAAGCCGUCUCAACCGCUUCCGCCAAAAAGUGUUUUGGAGUCUUGUACUCAUCAAACAUCAUUCUUUCCAUCUUGAUAAGAGUUCGGUUCUUGCUCUCAACAACUCCAUUUUGUUGAGGCAUGUAUGUAGCUGAGAACUCGUGUGACAUCCCUUCUUCGUCAAGAAAGGUAUCCACAUUUGCAUUCUUGAACUCCGUUCUGUUGUCGCUGUGAACCUUCUUAAUCUUCACUUCAAAUUGAUUUUGGGCCUUCCUAGCGAAGUUCUUGAAGAUCUUUUGGACCUGCGAUUUGUCAUCAAGAAAGAACACCCACAUAAAUCUUGAAAAAUCAUCGACUAUAGCUAGACCAAAUGAGUUUCCACCAAGACUUUUGUAGGCAUUGGGACCAAAGAGAUCCAUAUGAAGUAGCUCGAGCAGUCUCCUCAUGGUCAUGAUGUUCUUCAUGGGGUGACUUCCUCCGACUUGUUUUCCUACUUGACAAGCACUGCACAAUCUAUCCUUGUCAAAUAUAACAUCUUUUACUCCAAGGAUGUGAUCACCUUUAAUAAGCUUAUCAAGAUUUCGCAUGCCCACAUGACCUAACCUUCUAUGCCACAACCAACCUUUUGAGGAUUUAGCAAUUAGGCAAGUUCUAGGUUGAGCCUUUCUAGUGAAAUCAACAAUAUAUAGAUCACCUCUACGUGUACCGGUAAAGACCAUUUUAUGAUUAUCUCUACGAAACACUUGGCAAUCUACUUCAGUAAAUAGGACAUUGAAACCAAAGUCAGCAAGUCUAGAUACAGAAAGUAAAUUGUAGCCAAGAGAUGCAACGAGCAUAACAUUUGUAUAGAGCUAUCAUGUGAGAUGGCCACCUUACCAAGGCCAACCACCUUACCCUUUGAGUUAUCACCAAAAGUGACAUACUUCCGAGGGCCGUCGUUCUCAGCAAGUGUCGGUGUACAAAAGUAGGGGCUCUCCUUUUUCACCCCUUAACUUGUGCACGUGCAGUCAUAGCCGCGCCCAUGGCCACACUAAGUAGGGCAGGGGAGGGAUGCCAAAGCAAUGCCAAGACCAGAGACGCAAAGAGAUCAAGAGGGCGAGGUGGACUCCCCCGUCAAGACUCUUGCCGGGGUGGCUUCCGCAGCCUUGGCAAGAUCCUUGCUGAGGAAACUUUCUUGACACCAGCAGAGCACGCCAUCCUCGAGCCUAAGGGGUUCCUAUGCCAUAUUGGAAUCAAGGCUCGGGAUAGCCUCCAUGGUGGCAUGCAAAUCUUUGUAGAGAUCAUAGACACGCAAGAUCAUAUGGAAACCAGAAGAUGACGAUCCUUGGCGAGAUCUUUGCCAUGGAAAUCCAUGAGACCCCCAGCAAGGUCCUUGCCGGGGAUGACGUGGUGCCAUAGCGAGACCCUUGCCGAGCCCUCGGCAAGACCCUUGUUGUCGGUGUCAAAACCGGCGGGUCUCGUGUAGGGGGUCACGAACUGUGCAUCUAAGGCGGAUGGUAACAGGAAAAAAUACACUUCCGUGAUGAUACAUGUUUGUCACAGUAGGUCGCGUUUUUGUCAUGCAUGUACAUCCAUGACAAAUUUAUGACAGAAUCAAGAUAGUCAUACAUAUGCUGUUGUAGAAGUGUUCCAUGACAUUAACAAAAUUAUCAUCACGAAAGUGUCCACUUCCAUGACGAUAAAUCACGCGUCACAAAAGUGCUUUCAUCAAGGGUGACCGACACGUGGCAUCCACCGUUAUGGAACGCCGUUAAGCUAUCGGGUCGGGUUUUGGAUCCAAUAACCCGUUAACAGCCCCGACCAAUGAGGAUUUUCCACGUGUAAAAUCAUCAUUGGCUGGAGGAAACACGUGUCGGCUCAUCGUCGAGACAGAUGUCAUCCACUCAUUGGACAGAAGGCGCCUAUGAUACGUUGACACGUGGCACGGCCCAACAGAGGCCCAUUCCUGUGAAAAGGCCGGCCCGUUUGACUUGGUCAAAAGGUGGCGGGCCGGCCCAUGGAAAGCCUGUUAACGGCCUAUUCGCAUAUAGCCCAUUUACAGCCCGCUAACCCAAGGCCCGUUACGCCCUAUCCGAAUUAGGCCCAGUAGCGUCAUCUGGGCCAUCCAAUAUGAUUCCAGCCCAUUUUCACUUCUGGCCCAUGUAUGGCCCAUGACGUCUUUUGGCCCAUAUGAGGCCCUAUGUAACUCUUGGCCUAUUAACGACUCGUGGUGAAACCGGCCCAUAAUGAACAGUGUAUCACUUUACACCCAUUAACGGCCCGUGGUGAAACUGGCCCGUAAUGAACAGUGUAUCACUUUAUACCCAUUAACGACCCGUUAUUCCGUUGGGCCAUCUCCAACCCAUGUUAUCUUUCGGCCUUCUCAGAGCCCAUUUAUUCUUGGGCUCCUUUCCAGCAUUCGUUUACUUACGGUUGUUACUGUCAUUUUUUGCUUGUGGGCCAAAUUCAGCCCGUGGUUACAGUCGGCCCGUUUGUGGUCCGUUAAUACGUUGGGCCGUUUUCAUAGCGUCAUCAAAUACGGCCUAUUAACGAUGACCCGUUAUGGUCGGCCCAUGAACGGACGAUUCCAACUCUACCCUGUUUACGGCCAGAAUGCGGUCUGUUUGGCCCAUGUUUGGCCAAUCAAUCAUAUGACCCGUAUAAGGCCCAUUGAUGAUACAACCCAUAGAAGGCCCAAUGACGAUACGGCCCGUAGAAGGCCCAUUGUUUCUACGGCCCGUAGAAGGCCCACUGUUUCUAUGGCCCGUAGAAGGCCCACUGUUUAUACGGCCCGUAGAAGGCCCACUAUUUCUACGGCCCGUAGGAGGCCCAGUGUCACUACAGUAAAUAUUAGCCCGUGGUUAUUGUGGCCUAGUUUUAAAAAAUAGGUUAUUGCAGCCACUAGCAAACCGCAGAAAAAGAACUGCACUGACUACAAGCAAACAAAUAAACAAGACAACAAGGAAAUAAAUAAGCAAGCAACUUACACUGGGCUAUCACGGCUAUUACACAUAUUACAUCCACUGGGCACCGAGUUCGCCACCAGUGCAAAUAUAGGGAACACAACAGCAUAUAAACGCCGCAACAAAACAAGUCCAGAACUGAAACCACUUCAGAAGAGCUCAAUAAACAAUAUCCUGGGUACCCAUAAUACUGGCAAGAUGCUUAGCAAGCUUAUUAACUUUCUCUUGUUUGGCGCUUAAGUCCUCCAGCGCUUGCUGUUGCACCAGAAAGUAUGCAUCUGAAUUCUGCAGGGACUUCCUCAGUCUUUCAUCUUCCUGUCUCAUAACUUCUGAUCGAUGUCUUUCAACUUGAAGUUGAGAGUCAAGAAGCCGAACUGAUUCAGGCAAUGAGUUCGAAGAGCUGGUGCCAGCAGUGGUAGCCAGUAACUCGAACACUACAUCAAGAUAGGACUUUGGGGUUGUCUCAGUGUCUUCAAUAUAGUUUUUAUCAGCUUUCUUGGAGACCAACAGGGAUGUCUCACUAUCUUGAACCUUAUCUGCAUUCCUUCCUUUACCAUUGCAUAACAGGGUACUCUUCUCCAAUAUUUUAUCCGCGUUCUAAAAGAGAAACAAAGAAACACAUCUCAGGUUUACAAUGUAGUAUAUGAAACUCAUUUUGGUAAACCAAUUUAGUAGUAAGGUGGACAGGAUAAUAGCAUGAAACAAACAUAUAUCUAUGUAGUAUGGUCACUAUAUUGUCGAUAUCAUUCUAGUUUAUUUUGCCAAAUCAAGAUAGAUACAGUUCGAAUCAUAUCUAUUUAAGACAAAGCAGCAUAGACAGAAUAUAAGUGUGGGAAACUACACAGCAAUAACAACACUUGUAAUGUGCAUGGCAUGAGAAGAUAACUGUUUAUUCAAUUGAAACUAAAAUCAACAUAGAGCAAGUUACAACAGCAAACAACCAAACACAUUGAAGAAAUAGGUUUAAAACAUACCUGUUGCGCCAUUGGAGUUUCAAUUGCAUCCUUCAAAUUUGAAAUUAGUUGGUAUCAGUAAAUACAGUGAUGCAAGAGCAAAGUACUAUGAACCAUAGCUACGGAACCUGACCUGAGAACAAUUCUUCUUCUGCUUUAAGCGUUGACUUCGGGUUCGGAGUGGUGGUCCUCGUGAUUUGGGCAUUGUAGUUGCCUUACUAACUGCUCGUGUUUGGGUGCUCUGUGGUGGAGACGGUGCUGUGUCAACGGGAACUGGGUGUCUAUCUGCUGGGGUUGGGGUUAGAAGGGGUGUAGCUGGUUCUCUGUCCAACUGGGUAGGGGUACAAUCUGCAUGAGUGUGGGUUAUGUGUGGUGGGGCUAGUUCUUGGGCAAGUACAACCGUGGUUCUAUCUGCAUCGACAGGUAGCACAAUCUUUUCUGAAGACCAUGUUUUUACUCCCACAGAUACUGCCAUCACCCCCUCCAAUUGAAAUGGCUGAUAAACAAGAAAAGUAAUUGAACGUACAGACAUUGUAAGAUAGACAGGUGCAAUGGAUAGUAGGGAAGAAAACAGGGCAUGAAGUAAUUCACAUUUAUGUUGUCUAAGAAAACAGAAUAGCAGGACAUAAUUUCACAUAUAUGAUGGCUAAUUAAAUAGGAUAGCAUGACACAAUUUCACGUGUAUGAUGGCUAACUAAAUAGGAUAGAAUGACAUACUUAAAAAUAUGAUGACUAUGUAAACAGGAUGACAUGAUAUAACUAUACGAUGUGUCUAUUAAAGUGGUUGGCAUGCCAUAAAUCACAAACAUGCCGUUGAUGGAAACAUGAUGGCCUGAUAUAAUUCACGGAUAGAAUGACAUAAUUUAAAUAUGAUGACUAUGUAAAUAGGAUGAGAUGAUAUAACUAUAUUAUGUCUUUAGAAAAUGGGCUGGCAUGCCAUAAUUCAGAUACAUGCUAUCUAUGUAAACAUCAUGGCAUGACAUAAUUCAAAUAUAUGAUUUAUAUACUAAGGAAGUGAGCAGAGGGCAAUCGCAUAUAUGAUGUGUCAACUAAGGAGAUGGCAUUCAAUAUUGUGUAUAUGAUGUAAAAACUAAGCAUUGCAAUACAACAUAUGCAUUAUAUGAGUAAUAUAACCCUGCCAAGUUUGAGCAUACACCUCAGGGGGAUAAUAGGACUGGUCAUCUGCCUCUGAAUCCUCCUCUGAAGAGCUAUCUGUAACCAGUAAGAUAUCUGCUUCAGCAGGUAGCAUUGUCUGCUCUUGAGACCUUGUUUUCACUCCAGAUUUCUCCAUCACUAAUUCAAAUGGCUGAUGCACAAGAAGAGCAGUUGAAUAUACAAACAUUGUCAACAAAAGCAAUGAGAAAUACAAAAAAAGGACAGCAUGAUAUAAUUCACAUAUAUGACGCUUGCCUAAACAGCAUGGCAUUGCAUAAUUCACAUACAUAAUGCCUUGCAACAAGAUAACAUUGCAUAAUUCACAUAUAUAAUGUCUUGCAACAAGAUGGCGUUGCAUAAUUCACAUAUAUGGUAAUUAGACACUAAACAGGUGGCAUUCACACAAAGCAUGUCUAAACUAAGCAAAUGCCAUAGCAAUGCAAGAUACCAUACGCACGAUAUGAGCAACAUAACCCUGCCAAGUUAGGGCAUGCNNNNNNNNNNNNNNNNNNNNNNNNNNNNNNNNNNNNNNNNNNNNNNNNNNNNNNNNNNNNNNNNNNNNNNNNNNNNNNNNNNNNNNNNNNNNNNNNNNNNNNNNNNNNNNNNNNNNNNNNNNNNNNNNNNNNNNNNNNNNNNNNNNNNNNNNNNNNNNNNNNNNNNNNNNNNNNNNNNNNNNNNNNNNNNNNNNGUAACCAGCAAGACAUGCACUUCGUCAGAUAGCAUUGUCUGCUCUGAAGACCUUGUUUCCACUCCAGAUUUUUCCAUGACCGUGCCAAAUGGCUGAUGCACAGGAAGAGUAAUUGAAUGUACUAACAUUGUUGACAAAUUUAACACGUAAUAAAAAAAUGAUGGCAUGAUAUAAUUCACAUAUAAGAUGACUGGCUAACCAGGGUGGCAUUGAAAAAUUCACAUAUAUGAUGUAUGGCUAGACAAGAUGGCAUUGCAUGAUUCACAUAUACGAUAAAGAAACUAAACAGAUGGCAUUGACACAAAGCAUGUCUAAACUAAGCAGAUGCCAUCUUUAAUGUAUACAGUAAGCAAUGCAAGGCACCAUAUGCAUGAUAUUACCAACAUCAGCAUGCCAAGUUAGAGCGAAGACCUCAUGGGGUAAAUAGGAGUGGUCUUCUCCUUCUGAAUCCCCCUCAUAACAGUUAUCUUCCUCUUGAUUACAAUCCGAAAUGGGUGGAGCGGGGCUGCCUUUGCGGCCACCAUGGAACGACGUCUGCAUGAAAUUUUAUUGCCAUGCAAGGCUCGUCUCUUUUGCUCUACAUGAUCAGUUCCAUUGUGUACAAUAACUGGCAUGCAUAGGAAUAAAACAUAGUGAGAUUAUGUAAGGAGUGCAUGCACAAAUCCAGAGUGAUGAUAGCAAACCAAUGAUAGCAGGCAGAUAAUAGCUUUAGUUAAAAAAUACAGAUAAUGGCUCCUUUAAUGUUUGUUUUGCACCCAACAUGAAACUCAGAGUAGACACCGGAGAUUAAACAGAUAGUAGACAAAUAGUACUAAUUGCUGCCCCAAUAUGUACCCCACAACCAUUUAAAAACUCAAGUUUCAUCAUUAGUUUGGACCUGACUCGGAGUCUAAUAGGUGAACACGCCGAUAAUGUAGCUUGUCAUCAUAUUAAGCGACGCAUAACGUAAGCAGACACGGAAGAGUGAGACCUCUCUUGCGGACCCGUGUAGUCCUCAAGGUCAUCUGCUCAGUUGAUGAUGGUAAUGUAGUUGCCAUGGCUGCCGGCUGCGAGGAAGAAGAUCUGAGGCGGCGAAAGACAGUCUGGAGAGUGGAUCCAUGCUGUGGUGAACCCUUCCAUCGUUGGAGCAGCUGAGUUGGGGUGGAACACAGCGCCGCAGGAGCAGGACAAACCACACAAGGUUUUGUUUGACACAUAUCUGUAACAGAAGUAAUUGAGUAAGGGCUUGUUUGAAUUUGAGGAUUCUAACAAUGCAGGGAUAGGAAAUAGACAGGAAUAGGAUAGGAAUGCACGUGCAAAACAGAGAAUUUAAAAACACAGGAUUUCUGCCAAUCUGGGUGUUUGAUUCACAACAAUUGGAAGAUCACAGGAUGCAAAAAAGCAUGGUGAGAUUAAGUCAAACCACAAGAAAAUGUAUGGUUAUAAUGCUAUUAUGCUACUAUCUCUUAGUCUUGUGCUUGAUGAAUAGGAAUAUGAAAAGGAGGAGAAGUGGAAAUUAGAAUUCCUACGGUUUUUCUUUCAAGGAGACACUAAAGGAACAAAUCCUACAGUUUUCCUUUGCUCCAUUCCUUUGCACCAAAUUCAUGAAAAGUAGUACCAUAGGAAACUUUCCAAUUCCGAUGUUUUUCAUUCACUUUUCCUUUCAAGCACUGGCGAUUCUAGUAGGCAGGCUUGAGCAAGGAAAAUCCUACACUAAAAAAAUGUUUCUGUGCUACUUCUAUUACUUUGGACCUAGGCCACUGCCAUACUAGCUCAACUCCCAGGCCCAUCGACAAAUGCACAACUCAAACGCGCAGAGAUAAAUAAUGAUGGCAUUCAAGAGAGUCCAUCACAGAUAGCUAAGUUGCCUGGUACCUCACUGCUUGUCAUAUACUAGGAUAAAAUAAUCGUAUUUCCCGUUACUAUGAGUGCUCAGUGGACAAUAUAUACAUAUAUAUAUAUAUAUAACAUGUAGAGUAAAAAAGAGAUGCAACAAGUGUACAACCUCUUUGGCGAAGCCAUGUCAAUCUCAGCGUGAUUGGGUUGGCCGGUGAGGAUCCUCCGGCUGACUUGGCUGUCGGAGGAGGGGAAGAAGAUCUUAGGCAUCUGGAGAUAGAGCCCGAGGUACUGCUCCGCUGUGAUGGAGGGUUUCGUCGUUGGAGCAGCUCCGGUGAGUUGUACGACGCCGAGGCUGAAGCAGGACAAGAGAGACAACGAACAACGUUAACCUGAGUGGAAUUCUAAUAGAAUCUCCAAUACAUGACAUAAAAUACAUAACCACAAAGUGCUAUAUGUAAAAUACAUCAGCCACUCAUCUCUGAACUUAGCUGUCGAAACUGAAUUUAACUGUCGAAACUGAACUUAACUGUCAAAACUGAAUUUUGCUGUCGAAACUGAAUUUUGCCGUCGAAACUGAACGCACUAGCAAGGUGAGGCUACACAUCGGUCGACUGACUUUUUCAUCUCUGGUCAGUCGAUUUUGCAACCGUUGGAUAAGAAAUCAAGGGCCUGCGGUUCAUCUUCAACCUCCACCCCCCUGAGCCGGCAAAAUAGCAGCCCCCCGCCGCCCGCGGUCGGCGGUGCACCGCCCCGCCCACCCCGAAAACAAUCCCCACCGUCGGUCCGCCGCCGCCCCGGCCAUCCCUCUAGGCCCCCCGUGCCGAGCUUUUUCUCCGGUGAUCCCCACGCCACUGCCCCGCCAACGCCGGCGACCACCGCCCCCAUCCUGAACCCUAAGAUAGAUAGCGGGGUACCUCUCCGGCGAGCCCCCCUCCCUGCUGCGGCUGGUUCUUCCUUCACCCCGGUGGCAUCGGAGUGAAGUGUAGCUAAAUCGGAGCAGCAUCGCAAGCAAGAGCAAGAGCGAGAGCAUCAGCGCGAGCAAGAGCAAUAGCAAGAGCAGACCAGGCAGGGGACCAAGAGCAAGAGCAGAGCAGCAGAACGAGCGAGAGCUAAAGCAGCAGAAGGUCCUACUGAUGUGGACGUCGCUGCCGAGGGAGCGACGCGGUGGAGGAAGUGGCCGGCGAUGCCGCCGUGGAUGGAGCCGCGCCGUGUCGGCUCGGGACCGAGCGCCAGCAGCACCGUGAGAUCGAAUCAAGAAGAAAAUGUGGCGAUUAGUGUACAACCUCUUUGGUGGCGCCGAUUAGGCCGCAGCUUCAUCCGAGGAAAUGGUGAUGAUGAUGCUCUUCUGGUGGUGCAGGUGAAGACGGCGGUGUGGGAAUGGAGGUGGCGCGAAAGACGAGGGGAACGUCGGGGCAGCUCCUUGGUGGUGGAGGACGGGGUGGCUGAACCGGCGGGAUGAUGAAAUCGAUGACGGAUCCUCAUCCGGUAUGGUGGAUGAUGGGCAUCGAGGUACUGCUGUGGAUGACAUCGUUGGGGAAGAGGCUCCGGCUGGGUGGCGGACGAAGCAGGGUGUGGGGUUUCGUCGCGGGUUUUCACGGCCUCGGUGUAUGAAUGGGUGGGCGGAUGGGAUGGCAGUGGGGAACCAUGGCUUAGAGACGCGCUUGUCCGAAAUGUGGGGUAAGUUACGAAAGUACCCCCACCGAUUUGAAGUGGUUCUUUCGGUUCAGGGGUACCACGGGCAUUUCACGUGUCGGGAUUUCACAGGAGGUGGGAGUUUUCGCGUGCGUUGUAAUUUUGGAAUAGCAAUGUGCGGGUUGAGAUGGAGGGAGUUGUCGGAGCACAACGAGACAAAGAUAUAUCUUAAAUAUUUCGGGCUAACAAGGCGCGGGUUGAGGAGGCGGGAGUUUCGCAGCACGAUAGACAGAGACGCUAGCUUGAAUUUUCGGCAUAACAAGGUGCGGGUUUGAAAUUUCGGAAGAACAAGCUUAACGUGUACCAAAAAAGACAAUUUGCACCUCAACACGCACAACACACACACAAACACCAUUUAGACUAGAGUAAGGUACACGUGCAUUGCACGCAUGAGAUUUGGCAACCAAAUUAUGAAUAAAUACCACAUUAUAGCAUGCAAGCUUUGAGUCAUAUAUGCAUGAUGUAGAUGUUCGUUUAAUUCUUAUAGUUCAUUUCAUUCAAAAUCGUCUAGUUUUUAUAAGAAAGCUAAUCUAUUUUAAGAUUCAUGGAAUUGUGCGUCGUAAGACAUAAAGUAAAAACAAAUAAUGGCAAAUCAUGUAGAAAAACAUUUGGGCAAUUUUGAUACGGAAGAUUCUAGAACAAAUAAGAAGUGCUUGUGUUUUGAUGUUUGUGCAUUAUGCUUAAGUUCAACCAUGGAGUCUUCUAGAUUAUACAUGUGGCGAAAUCUGGUGGAAUCUAGAUGAUAUCCAACGGCCAGUAGUGCUCAUAUUUGCCAUCUUUGGACCAUCGGAUUCGCCUCAUCCAACGACCAUCUUUCAAAGUUAAAGUUACCCGCACACAAUAAAAAAAAAUUAUAAAAUAUAAUAUAUAUAGGGGUAAUAUAGAUAUGUGAUGCAAAAGCCGCCCAUCAUCUCCAAUUAGAAUAGUGUGUCCAUGCACGGAUGCGGCGUGGCCAAAUGAUGUCUGCCAUCGGUAUCUCAAAUUCAAAUCAGUCUAACCUUGUUCAAUGUGUAUACAUUACAACAUGCUCGUUUCCAAACCACACCACGCAGAUCUCCGUUAUAUUCAUGCAUGCAUGGGUUUCAAACAUCAGGAUCUCUUAUUCAAAUAUUUGAAUUCAACUUUACAUUGAUUGUGACCUCACCUAUUUAGCUAUUCUUUUACACCCACAUGGUAGUCUUCUCUUUAUUAUUGUACCACUAACUUUCUCUCAUGCAUGCAUGCACACACACUACCAGUCGACAUUAUCCAUCGCACGCAUGCAAUCUUUUUCUUCAGGUCGGUCUCCCAUGAAGGCACACACCAACACACAUCCCCCUCUCCAUCAUAUCGGGCAUUCCUUAUCUCUCACGCGUGCAUGCGCAACGAUCGAUGUUCCUCUAUGUAUGUGUGUAUAUAGCUAGGUAUUUCAUAGUUUUCCACACAAACUGAUCAAUCGAUAUAUCCAGUGAGGUCUCACCCUCUUUCCCACGUCCACAUCGAUCAAUCUAUACCUCUCUAUAUAGGAUUAACAUAUAUAGCUAAUACACCCACAUUAAUUAUGUAUCCGACGUCCCCCUCUCAUCAUCCAUGCCUUCCGCUUCAUCUCUCAGACGCGUGCACAAUGGCGAAGACAGGGGGUGGUAAGGGCCCUGCCCCCUCCCCCCCUAACAUCACUAUAUAUCAAGGCUAAUAUGAAUAUGAUCAUUAGACAAUUGCUGCUAAAUUUUUUUUAAGUUCAUGAAUUGACCCUCCUCGUAAAGGAUUAGCAAUGCUUGACCCCCUAGCUCAUUUAUUUUUCAUGGCUCCGCCACUGCGCGCAACAACGCACGUGUUUGCCCCCUGUCUCUAAAUAUCGAUCUCGCACUUGUGCAUUCCUUCAUAGUCUCCCUCCACUCGGCCCCUCGCACCAUCUUCUAGCCCCCACCGGAUUUUGCCACAUGUACAAUCUAGCAGACUCCAUGGUUGAACUUAAGCAUAAUGCACAAACCUCAAAACAACAGUCGUUCUCUUUUGUUCUAGAAUCUUCCGUAUCAUAACUGCCCAAACUUUUUUUCUAGUUGAUUUGCCAUUAUUUGUUUUUACUUUAUGCUUUACAAUGCACAAUUCCAUGAAUCAUAAAAUAGAUUAAGGGCUUCUUUGAUUCAAAAGAUUCUCAAAGGAAUUUUGGAGGAUUCUAAUCAUUAGUAAUUUUUCAUAUCUUGGUUGUUUGAUUCGUAGGAUUGUAAACCAUAGGAAUUUUUCCAUAUGAUUCAUUUGCACUAGAUUUCAUAGGAAACAUCCCAUCCACUCAAACCUCUUUGAAAGAAUUCUGUGUUUUUCUAUGCACAAUCAAACACUCAUACAAUCAUGUAGGAUUCAAGAUGACAUUCCACUAUAAUCCCAUGUUUUUACUAUUCCUGCGUUCUUAGCUUUUUUAUAAAAGCUAAUUGAUUUUGAAUGAGAUGAACUAUAAGAAUUAAAUGAAGGGCUACAUCAGGCAUAUAUGACUCAGAGCUUACAUGCUAUAGUGUGGUAUUUAUUCAUAAUUUUGUUGAAAAAUGUGAUGUGUGCAAUGCACGUGUACCUUACUAGUACUUUGAGUAUGUGCAAAACACGUAAAUUAGAAUACCAAUGGCACGCUACACAGUGUCUCUCUUACAGUUCAUGAAGCCACAUGGCACAUGUGUAGGCGUUGUCGCGACCUCCUUGAGUGGAUUGAUCAUAGUGACAUGCUGCUGGUUCCAGAAGAAUGUACUCGUCCUCCCUGAGCCAUACUGGGGGUACAUGCACGAACCGAAGAUGUGCACGCAUGCCAUGCACACACUCAUUCCUCGCACGCACACGCGGGUACACAGGCAGAUGCAAUUUUGUACCAAGAUCCACCCCAUGUGAUAAUUUGACGCGUGUAAAGUCGUUCACUUCAUUGAUGGUCAAUUAAUACAGCGCAUGCAAAUUGAGUGGACGUGAGGGCGGAAGAAAGACAUUAUUACUCCACUGCACGCAUGCGAGUAGUUAAAUCGUGGGUUGCUAGUAGUACUUCCAUUGUCUCCUUCGUAUUUUGUGCCAAUUUUUGACAGUAACAUAAUAUUUACGCAUUUGAGGAGUGUAGUACUUGAAAUUUAUGUUCCGCUAAACUCAUCGGGAGCCAUUUCGGGCCUCGAAACCAAAACCAUCAAUUAAUCUUUACAUUGUUCCCAUCACAUUCGAAAGCCUGCUCACACCUACUAGUAGUACGUACCAAACCUGAACGUGUUCCCACUAUGCAGGUAUUAGUACUAGUGCUAGUACUUAGGUUAUAAAAAGGGGAACUACCUAACUGAAAAUCACUCUACCUUUCCUCCUGAUAAGUGCUUCUUCUUCGUCCGUCGUUGACAUGGCCGGUGAGCAGAGCUCUAGGUCAAGAACUACUCGUAACAAGGGAGCCGCAACCAAGGCUGCAGAAAAAAGAGAGGGCUCUCUGCCACGCAGAGACCUCGAAAGAUCUCUCACGGGCAGGCGAUGGCUCCCAGGAGCGCCCUAGCCGCGGAGGCGAACAUGCCGAGCUGGCGGAGCUGGAGUCGUUAUCCCUCGACGGCAUGCCCGAUCAGCUCAAUAAGCAGAAGGAGUUCAUCCAAGGCUUGCUGGAGUUGCUGAAGGAGAGCCUCGACGACAUGCCCGCUCAGCUUAAUCAGCAGGGGGAGUUGACCGCCGGCUUGGUGAUGCUGCUGAAGAAGAGCAUUGCGUCGGAGAAGAAGGCGACCGGCGAAAUCCUGCGACUCCGGGAGGACAAUGCGAAGCUCUGCCACGAGAUCGACCUGUUGAAGGAGAAGAACGCCGGCUGGAAGAAGCUGCAUGAGAAUAGUAGUUCGUCGAUGAAGAUGCUGUAGGCCCUCGCCAUGGAACAGAAGGAAGAGUUGGAGAAGCUCCGCAUCGAGCACCCGACUGCUGUCAAGGUAUGUAAUAUGGCCAUGGAACAGAUGAUGAAGGCUCGCGUCGAGAAAUGCCGCGUCAUGGACACAAUGAUGAAGAUGGCAGAGGAGACGCGCAAGGAGAUGGAGGUCGUGGAGGCGAUGAAGAAGCAGUUACGACUCCACAGCGAAUUAGAUCAUUUGGGGUGAUAAUCUUCCUUCUUCUUUUGCUCCUGUGUUUCAUCUUUUGCUUCGGGUGUUUCACCGCACGUGGCACGUUCUCUGCGAGGCAUGAAUAGAACAAUGUUUUUUGAGGGAAUGAAUAGAACAAUGCUAACAAUGAGAUGACUAGCAAAUUAGAUCAUUUUUUAUCGCCAUAUGGCACUGGGCUGCCAUGUUUCGUGCUCCUCCGUCGCAGUACUACUCUAGUGGAAAACUUGAGUAUACCGCAUGGUUCUAUGCUCCUCCUCGAUCAGGUCGUCGGCGCAUUUCUGUGAGCAGUCAAAUCACAAGGCCCCGCCUUCCAGCAGUAAUGAGCUAUCAAAUCAGAAAGGACCUCACCUCUCGUGAAACCGACCAAGCUAGAUUGCCCCGCCCUCUAGCCUUUUAAAAAAUGUAUACUUUUGUACAACAGUAGUAUCGAUGGAUUGCGCCAUGGAGCAAAACUUGAAAUUAAAAAAAAGGUGGUACAUAUAGAGAGCGCUCGUCGCCAAAUUAUGCAUAUAGUACUAUUAAAAAGGCUAGUCACAAUAAUGGUGUCCAGCACAACCCACCCCUCAAAUAAAACUAAGAGGGUGCGUGGAUACGUUUUAGUCCCAUGACUAAAAGUAGUGGGACUAAAACAUGCUAGCCUCACCCAUGCUUGGAUCCAAAUACUAAAAAGGCUAAAAUCAAGUUAAUGAGCAUUUAUUAUCCUCCAAACCCUCCAAUCCAGAACUCGAUGUGUUAAAGGAGAGGAGUUAAAUGAGUAGAGAGAGGACUAAUCCACAUUUUAGUAGGGGUGCCCCUGACUAAAAAAUUUUAGUCUCAAGACUAGUUUUAGCCUCUCUUUAGUCAGGAGUGCUUGGAACUUUAGCCUCUUAAAGAGACUAUUUUUAGUCAGACUAAAAUAAGUCCCUUGGAUCCAAGCACCCUCUAAGCAUCUUGGAAUUCUUUAACAAAACUAAGCACCCUGAAAUUCUUUGACAACUAAACUGCUAGCUAUAUGAUGUUGGCCAUAUAUAUUGUACGUAUACAAUGUGAAGAAACGAGUGGUAGUACUAUACCAACUAAAAGAUGAAAUGUAAGAAAUACUAGUAUGUACGUACUGAAGAGUUAAAGUAACGAGAAGAAACAUAACAUAGUUCUGCUGGGGGCUCAGCACAACACACCCCUCAAAUUAAAUUAAGCACACCUGAAAUUAAAAUUUGCAACUAUUCCGGUAGACAUUGCAUUAGAACCACCAUGAGCAAUGACACUGCCACCUUACUCGGAGUCAUUGUCCAUGUCCUCGACUUCGUCCUUGUCCCUCUUCCUCUUGGCCGAUACUUCUUUGCUUGGACCACACACUUGGCUAUUGCUCUUCAUCCAACCCUUGUAGAUAUUGAAGCAAAGGUAGCCAUCCAUUGCAGCGUAGUGGAUGUGGUCUAUAUCUAGUACAUUCCGGUGCCAUGCAUGACGAUGAAACGUGUAAUGAGGUUUAUCCAGUUUACCGUACGAAGGAUGAACCAUGGCUCCUGCCAGGGUCAGCAUUGAAGGCUGAGGAGAGGACACCAGCCAAUUCUUCUAGAGGUCAAAGGUGUUGCCUACAACGAGGCCUAUCCGACGCAGGACUUCUUUGUCGUUACCAAAGUCUAUAGUAACGAAUUUCACUGUUUUGUCCUUGAGGAAGUUCUUAAAAUCCUGGCACUCAAUGUCGGCAUGGCAUAUGUGGUAGACCAAGAAAACAUUAUGUAUGUAAACCUGGAUCACGGCGGGCUUCUUCCUUUCUUUGUCCUUUAGAUCAUUCUCUCAUCUCAGGACUAUGGUGUACUCAACAUCUAGCCCAGUGACCCACUCAUCAUCUGAGUUUUCGAACAUGCGUCUGAAGCGAGAAAGCCAUCCUUUCACCGUCACGGAAGAACGGGUGUAGAUGACAUUGAACUCAUCGCCGGUGAUGGUUCUAACCUUGUACUCACCGCCGAUCGUGGAUAUUUGGGACGCCAUGGAUUUGGGAGGAGGGUUAGGAUUAGUGGAACUGCCGUAAUGUGAAUGGACGGGACGACUAGGAGCGAACCGCCGUAGUAUUGAAGGACAUGCGGGGACGAGUAGGAGCGAACUGCCAGCGUGCGAACGGCAGGGUAGUGGCUUUCCAUUCUCCCAUGAUACGGGCUUCCGAGAGCACUUGGAUCUGAGAUCGAACGGUUGCAUGGCGUGAUUCUAGACCUAUGGGUGAAUAUCCUAUCCUGGAGGGUUAUUCUGCAAAUUUUCAGCAACUUAGCAUGAGACCGUUUGAUCUCAGAUCCAAGGGCUGCCAGCAGCCCAUAUCAUGGUCGCGCCUACCACGACCGUCGUGUCGCUCACACGGUCGCGCCGUUGGAGAUUUAACAUGGUGCAUUAGGCUAUCUGAUGUUGGCAUGUCAUACAUAGUCAUCACUUAGUCACUCAUACUACAACAAGGUUGGCUAUAAGUGUAUUUUUAGUCCUCUCUAUCUCUUUCUUCGUAUUCAAGGAAGAAACGGUGCUAAGCGCGUGUAUUUAUUGCAUUUCCCAAGGAGUGACCUCUUCCAAUGAAAUGGUGUUGCUAAGUUUGCUUCAUUUAAUUAGCUAUAGACUCAAAAUUGUCUUUUCACCUAGGUACACGCGCUUAGCACCAUUUCUUCCUUGGGUCACCAAACUAGUCUCUCUCUUCUUGAUUAACUUGCCACAUCAGACUUUAUGCCUAUGUGGCAAGCUUAAGCACCUGUAGGAGCAAGUAAAAGUAAGUACAAUAGUGCGCUUUACAUGGCAUUUUUGCAUAUGUGGAGGAAAGAGAGGCAAGGAAAAAAAUGGAGAAGUGGGCUCUCAUGCAAGAGCCAGCCUCUACUUCAUGGUGGAGCAUUGGGAGAGGCACCUGUAUGGAGGUGGUCAGGAAUCUGGGAGACUCACGCCGGUCGUAGCGCCGCAGUUAAAAUGAUAAUGGCAAGUCAAAUCACGGGGCCCCACCUGUCCAGCAGUAACUCGCUGUCAAAUCACACAGCCGUACGUUUGCAGCAGCCUACUCCCUCGUCUUCUCGCGUCUCUGUCGAACCGACUAGGCGGAACUGCCCCGCCGCCUACUGCGCAGGAAAAGCCCCGCCCUCGACUUUUAAAUAGUAUAUAGUAUACUAAUUUUGUAUCCAUGGAUUGCGCCCGCGCCAUGGAGCAAAGCGUCUAGAAAAUGGAGGAGAGACGGUGGCCUUGCAAUAGAGAAGAGGGAGGGGUGAGACAAUGGUUUUGGAAUGGAGAUGAUGGAUAGGAGAGGAGGUGGUUUUGCAAUGGAGAGGAGGGAGAGGAGCGUGCGACAGCGAUUUAGGAUUGGACGAGAGGGCCGGCGCACUCUGACUGGAUCAAAAUCAAAAUCAAUUUAACCCUUCAAUUAAGAAAGCGACCCCACAUUAACUAGUCUCCCUUUUAUUCUGGUCAUAAUUGACCAUGAUUUUCGCACAUAAAAUAUAUGUUAUACAUUGUAUACAAGGCCACUAUCAAAAUUACAAUUUGCAACUAUACAAGGCCACUAACAUUAAUCGAGGCAAAAUUGACGGCGUUUGCUUCAUACUAGCACCCGAGGACAAUAAUAUCCCUUGUGUGCAUGCGGGAGUGAGAAGGUUAGCUUGCAUUCCCAACAUUAAUCAACCAAUGAGGAGUAAGAGGGUUGGCUUGUUGUGCUUGGGAGAGAAAAACCACAUUAAUUAACACGACAAUCAAGGUGACAAGCUAGCUUGCAACGUUGACUUAAACAUAGCAUAUAUUUGUACCUUGGUACCUGUAAUAUGAGUUUGUGGCCUUGUAUAAAAAAAUGGAGGGAGUACAAUUUGAAAGUACAUUCAGAUACAAACCAAACGAUACAAUUUUUGGUGACAUGCAUUCACAUUUUGCUUGUCAAAUACAGUACGUGGUCAAACUUUGACCCAAAAUAUGCGAAACAACAAAAAAAUACUUCCAAGACCAGCGCCGCUCUUCCGCUCUUCUCCUCUUAAACCACCGCCGCUCCUCUCCUGUUCCAAUCUAAAUGCAGCGCCGCUCCUCUCCUCUUCCAUUUCAAAACCACCGCCCCUCCUCUCCUGUUCCAGUCCAAAACCAGCGUCGCUCCUCUCCCGUUCUAAUCCAAAACCAGCACUGCUCCUCUCCUCUUCCAUUCAAAUACCACCACCGGUGAGUGAAGGUGCUGUGGUGAAGUAGAUCGAUGGAGGAGUACAACCGAUAUGUGAGGAUUGCAGACGGCGACCCUGUGAAGCUAGCUAGGAUGUUGGAGAUACAGUCUUGGUUUGACAACAAGGACCAACUAGCGGCGACGGCGACAUCCAUGGCUAAAUAUCUGCAACAGAGCGAAAAGGCGGCGAUAUUCCCGGAGGGAGUUGCGCCGGAGUACAUAGAGCUGCUCCUGUGGGCCAUGGAGCAAACAGAUUCACCGAAUCUGAUUGUGAGGGAGCGGUGGUGGGAGUAUCGAUCCCAAAUGGAGCAUCCACUAGAGAUUGAAGGAUCGAGCAUCUACAGGGUGCCGUUUGUGAGGGUGUCCUGCCAGAGCGAGCCGGUGGAGUCUUCGUCGACCGAACCCAACUGUAAGAGGUGAAAAGCAGUUGGGCCGACAACGCUUCCCCGCCAUCGUCUCCCUCGCCGUUUACAUCGUCUCAUGGGGCGGAUGUCUGCCGCCGAGGAAUAGGAGGGGGCUACCCCCCAGCCCAAUAGUCGGUCAAGUUGUGAAUUGUCAGGAGGAGGUUAGGGUUGUCAGUUUUGCAGGUUGUGAAUUGUGUUUUGUGUUGUGUAUUUUGAGAGUACUUUCAGAUAUGAAUGUCUUUUGAAUUUCAGAUUUGCAGUAUUGAGCAUAUAAAGUAUUUUAUGAAUUCUAGAGAUAUAUUUUUAGCACUUAAAAAAAUGUAGUUUCAUAGGAGUAUAAAAGUGCAGACAAUGUGAUUCUCACAGAAGAAACUGCAAGUUUCAGUUUCAGAUAAGAAACUGCAAGUUCAGUUUCAGAUAAGAAACUACAACUUUCAGAGGCAGAGCAUUUAUAUUAACACGACCUUUUCAAACAGGGUUAACAUCAUGUUGGAAGUUUUAUUCAUGGUCGAAAAUGGAACUACCAGGCAGUUAACAUCAUGCUGAUCAACAUUCAUGCAUAGCACAUCUUCAUAUGAUGCACAGUCAAAAUGCCCACACAAUGUCGAGUGUGCGAAACACAGAGAAAACGAGGGACGAAGUUUUGGCAAGUGUUAGACGUGGUUUUGGGCUGCCCCGUCUAGGCUUUCAUUUUUAACAUGCGUAGCCCACAACCUCGGAUGGGAGGUCCAUAGGCCUGUUUGUAUUUUCUUAGGGUCGUCAUGUAUUGACCGGCCUAUGGACCUCCCAUCCGAGGUUUUAUUUUUGGCAGCCCAAUUUAUGUAUUUUUUAAAGAAAACGCAGAGGUCUGUUAUAUUUUUAUAUAUAAGAAUAGGAACACCAGGUCCAACUUAUGUUUCCCUUCUAACUAUAUUAUAUAUAUUUAAAUUAUUUUAUAAGUUGACUACUUAGUUCACAUACUCCCUCCUUUUCGGUUUAUAGGGAUUAUCUGAAAAUUUUAGUUUUUCCAUUUUAUAAGGCUCAGUUUGGUUGUUUUCCAUCACAUGUUCAGAUUCCAAGGUGCAUUAAAUCAUUGCAUGCAAGUAUUAAGAGAAAAUUGACCAAUGCAUGUACUUUAUGCAUGCAUGCAUUGCAAUUUAUGCAUUGAUAAACAUAAUUUUUUGAGGAAAACAAGUGCAUUAAUUAGGUGCUUUUGCAAACUACAAAAAGUAUUCCACCAUUCAUCAUCUACCUUGGUUGGUGAGAUUUUUGAAUUGAGACCUAUAAACAGAAAAGGAGGGAGUAAUUGGCAAAUAGAUCUUGCUGCCACCCCUAGGCUCCUGACUCCGGGCGCGCCUGCCCCCCUCAGCAAGUCCGCUCGUGCGCCCCAUGGAGUCGCCGGCCAUAUCCACGAGGGAAUGACUGGAAGACAGGCAGAUGUACAAGAUGCAUCUCCCACAUGUCUACAAAGCCUUCCCGCGGAUGCUCCAGCCGCUCGACUUCGUCGCGCCGGCGGUGCUGCGGGAGACUCGAGGGAGGAGAUGGAAGGAGCGGGAGAUGCGGAUCCGCGACGACGCUCUCUCCUGGACCCAGUGCAUGCGCGAAUGGAGGGAAGCAGAGGAGGAAGCUGCGAGGGAGGAAGCCGAGGAGGGACCGAAUCUGUUCUCUCACUCGCGCAGGUAUGCUCGGAUGUGCAAGGAUCAUGUGGAUUCGGAGCUGCUGAAUCUAGCCCUGCGGAUCUACUUCGAAGAAGAUUUCUCGGAGAAGCACAGGAUGCCCCACCCCAGUGAGCCGCUGAUUGCGUUCGUUCGAUGGGCGAAAGGAGAAGUGAAUUUAGGAGAUCCACGCCGUGCUGCGAGAUGGGAAUGCUUGACUGGACCCCUGCCCACCAGCAUGCCACCGGAGCCGGAGCAGGUGGAUCCCCUACCUUACCUCUCCCCCAAACCUGCAAAAGAUUGAAAUUAGCCUUGCAAUCUGCUUCAAUUGAGUUGUCUGGUGGUUAUUUCUGCUUCCUGAGAGACAACAUCUGGCUGGAGGAUGAGAAGGAACCAGGAACUCCGAUGAAUUUCCCCUAUCACAAUGGGGGGAGCGCUGGUUGGGCAGUGGUACGGCCAACCUCCGCCCCAAAUGGGGGCACAAUCUGAGCAGGCUCCUGUAAUUGCCCAAGAUCAAUCUGCUGGUGGUUCUGACUCUCAGAUCAGUGGGAAAUCUCAAGGCAAGAAUCAACAAAAGAACAAAUAGGACAUCCAGAAAACUGCUCCUGCCCUUGCUUCGGGCCUUAUGGCAUACUCAGAGGUGAUCUGCUACAACUAUGGGGAACCAGGGCAUCAUUUGGAUAAAUGUGUCAAGCCCAAGAGUUGUUUUAUCUGCAAAAUGGUUACCCAUAAAGUUGAGAAUUGCCCUGUUAGAAGGAAAAUCCACAGUUCUGCUAGAUAUGUUGGAAGUGCUGCUCCAGGAUUAUGUCCACCAUUGACAGAAUUUUCUAUGACACAUAAUUAUAUAGUUUCUUUCCCCUUUCUAUUUGUAGAGCUCUGCCCAGAUGUGGUAGUGACCACACUCCUUUGCUCUGGGACUCUGGUCUUAACCAAACUCCAAAGAGCAAUAGUUUUAAAUUUGAAAAGUGGUGGUUGCUCAGAGAAGAUUUUACUGAGCUAGUCAGGAAAAUCUGGAAUGAGCCUACUGGGAGCAGCUUCCCCCUAGAAAAUUGGUAGAUCAAAAUCAGGAGAUUUAGAAGAACCACCAAAGGGUGGAACUGCAAUGAGGAAGCUAAUCUUAGAAGAUACAAAAGGCUUCUCCUCGUUGAGUUUGAUUCGCUAGAUAUUAAGGCAGAAACCACUGACCUCUCUGAGGCUGAGACUAAUAGAUUAAACUUUGUCCAUGGAGAGCUCAAGAAAAUUUGGCUUCAAGAAGAAAUCAAAGCCAAACAAAGGUCUAGAGAUAGGAACAUUAAGGAGGGUGAUAGAAAUACUCCUUACUUCCAUGCAGUAGCUAACCAGAGGAGGAGGGAAACCCUCAUUCACUCCCUUGAUGGCCCUAAUGGCCCUGUUACUGAGGUAGAUGAGAUGCUGAAAGUGGCUAGUGACUUCUACAAAGACCUGUUUAAGAAACAAAACCCUUCUGGGUUCUCUCUACAAAACAUUUUUUUCUCUGGUUCUGGAAAAGUCUCUCGUGCUGAAAAUGAGCUGCUAGAAGCCCCUUUUUCAGAGACAGAGGUGAAGGAAGCCAUGUUUAGCUCUUAUCCUAAUGGGUCUCUUGGUCCUGAUCGGAUUCCCUUCUUGUUUUACAAGCAUUUUUGGAACUUGGUGAAAAAUGAUCUCUUAGAUCUUUUCCAAGCCUUUCAUAGAGGAGAGUUGGAUCCAGCAACUUACUCAUGGGGGGUCUGUUGGGGUCAAGUUAAAUAACUGUGAAAGUGAUUUUUUCCUUGCUAGUAAAGGCCUUAGGCAAGGUGACUCUAUCUCCCCGCUUUUGUUUAAUUUAGUAGUGGACGUUCUUACUAAAAUGCUGAGCAAAGCUGCUGAUCAUAGUCUAAUUGCAGGGCUCUGUCCUGAGGUCUGCCCUAGUGGCAUCAUCUGCCUUCAAUAUGCAGACUCCACACAUGCUAGCAAUCUAAAAACUGUUCUAACCUGAUUUGAACAAGUCUCAGGCAUGAGAAUCAACUACUCUAAAAGUGAACUCAUCCCUAUCAACAUGGAUGAUCAGGAGUUAGCUGACUUCCUCUGUAUUCUAGUCUGUAAUAAAGGUAAGUUCCCCAUUAAGUACCUAGGUAUCCCUCUCCACUAUGAUAAACUGAGGAGAGAGGAUAUCCAACCCUUCUGGAUAAAAUCAUUAAAAGGAUUGCUGGGUGGAGGGGCAAACUUCUCUCUUACAGAGGUAGAUUGAUCCUCAUACAAGCUUGUUUGGCUAGCAUUCCAGUGUAUCUCCUCUCCUUCUUCAAGUUCCCUAAAUGGGUAGUGAACCUCAUCAAUCCUUAGAUGUCUCAUUGCUUGUGGAAUGAUUUUGAGGGAAAUAGGAAGCUACACCUUGCUAAUUGGGCCCUAGUCUCUAUGAAAAAAGAUUUUGGAGGCCUAGGCAUACCUAACCUCCAAGAAAUUAACAUCUGUCUUCUAGGGUCUUGGAUUAAAAGAUUCUACGAGGAAGACCUGAAACCCUGGAAGCUUCUUAUUGCCCAUAAAUACCUAGGAAAUAAACCUAAUAUUUUUGUACCUUCCUCCAACCCUAAGACCUCUAGAUUCUGGAAAGGAUUAAAAUCUAUUAUGCAUGCUGUGAACUUUGGCUACAGAUGGAGCAUAGGGGAUGGGAGCAGAACCAGGUUCUAGGAAGAUACUUGGUUUGGCACAUCCCCCCUAGCAGUCCAAUUUUGGCCUAUUUACUCUGUCCACAAUGAGCUUAACAAAAGUGUCAAUGAAGUUUGGGACGGUCAAUGCCUAAAACUCUCUUUUAGAAGUAACUUUAGUGAUAGUCUCAUGGAACAAUGGUUCCAGUUGGAGGAAAUUGCCAAAAGCAUUACCUUUACUGCCGAGCUGGAUGCCCUGAUUUGGCAGCUGGACAAUAAGGGGAAGUAUUCCUCCAGCUCCCUCUAUCAUGUUAUCAACUUUAGAGGGGUUCAACCCGUGUUUAUCCCUGCUGUCUGGAAAUUGAGAGUUCCCCCUAAAAUUCAUGUAUUUCUCUGGCUUCUCUCCAAAAACAAAUUGAUGACUAGGGAUAACCUUAGGAAGAGACACAUCAUCAAACCCCUUGAUUGUGUUUACUGCUUGGAACAAGAGUCUUGUUCUCACCUAUUUUUUGAAUGAAUAGUUGCUAAACAUCUCUGGGGCCACAUUGAGGAAUAUUUCUCUAGUCAGAUUGGCUCAUUCUUCGAAUCUGUCGCCAGAUUCUGGAUUGCUACCAAAAAGUGCUCAGUUUUAAACACUGUUAGCUCAGCUGUCCUUUGGUGCCUCUGGAAAUAUAGAAAUGCUAUGAUUUUCAGUAACACCUCCUGGAUUUCCAUUCCGCAGGUCUUGAAGUUGAUUAGGAACAUGGUGAGGAACUGGGCGAUUCUCUCCUCCGGAUCGGACAAGGACAAGUUGACGAGCUUCGUGGAAACCCUAACAAGAUCCCUCCAGAAACCGUUGGCGAUCACUUGUGGCUGAACAAGGCUCGACCUGCUCUGGGGCUGGACCCGUGGGCUCGUCUCAAGAUCUCUGAUGAAGAUGAUGGGCUCCCGGUGCCGAAAAAGAGGGACAUCCACCAUGCUAUGCCUUCCAGCCCGGUGUCUCCGCUUGCUUACUGGUCGCCGCAAGCUGACACAGCCCCUCAGCUGAAGACCAUGAAGGCUUCGCUGGACCCUCCUUGUGUCAUUUGAGUGCUCUAUCCGCUCUGCCUUUGGCACCGCUCGGGUGAUUUAUGUUAUUCAGAGAACUUGUUCAUCCACCCCUCUAGUUUGUAGCUUUUCUACCUUUGCUUUCGAACUGCUCUUUGAGAUGUUGUAUCAGAAUAUGUUGUGGUUUCGUUCUCAGCAAUGGAACCGGGGAGAUGCUCCCCGUUUUUAUAAAAAAUAUAUUUUAUAUGUUAUUAUAUAUUAUUUUUAUUGUCAUCAUAUAUUUAACAGAUACUUACAUAUGUAAGAAAACAAUAUCCCACAUCUUAUUAACUUAUAAAAAUAAUUUCUUAACAAAUAAAAUCCUGGAUUGUUUUGGCACGAAAAUCCUAGUGGUUGUGUACAAAAGCUUGGUAAGAUUUAAGGAUGAAUGUAAUAAUAUCACUUAUUAUUUAAAUAUAUUUAUAACAAAAUGCUCAGCCCCUUUUUAUUUUUUGAUAACAUUGCUGGCCCAACCCAACAUUAUAAUUAGAAUCAGCCCAGCAAAAUCGUGUAUUUCGAGAAAGUGCAAAUGGCCUGUAAUUUUUUAGGAAAUAAAAUAAACGGGCCGCAUGGAUGCUACAUUAUUUGUUCACCCAGCCCAGCUAAUGGCUGUAAUUAAAAAAAGAUCAAAUUGACUAUAAAUUCUACCGCGCAAAAGAAGACUGUAAAUUCUGAAAAAAUGGGUUGAAUACAUGCCACAUUUUUGGAGGCUGAAAUGUGGGCCAAUAGGUCGAAGCCAAUGCAAGUCGUUGUCAAUUUAGUCAACAAAUGAUUCUGACAUGUUAGCCGUUGGAUUUACAUCCAACGACCGGCAUCCUUCUUCAAUCUCUCGUCUUCUUCCUCUAGCGUCACCGGGACCACCUCCCGCCUCCUGCUGCUAGCAGCUCUGCUUAGCGUGCUUUGCUAUGAAGCGCUACUCCACCGUUGGCCAGGCCAUCCCUCCACCACUCCACACCUCCUGUUCUUCUCCACCGACCGCCGAACCACACCGCACUAGAACCAGCUAACCCUCGUACACCUCUCUGUCUGCGACUCUACUCCCGCGUCUUCCCAUCUCCGUCUCGUUGUUGUCCGGGGCCUCGUUGUCGUCCACCACCUUGGAGGCGCUCGGCACAGCGUGGUCAACGUGGUCAACGAACGACACCAUUGGAACUAGACUGUGCGUGGAGAGGCUGACAGCUGGGUCCACAGCCGCACACAAGGAAAUGCCUCCUUAUUACGCGCAAAAUAAUGAUUCCUCCUCCUGACAUCUGGGACCCACCGGAAGGGCCUUUGUAUUUCGUGAAAUAAAGUGCCCCCUGCUGACAUGUCGGACCCACCAGCUAUCUUCGCACGCAAGGAAGUGCCUCCUUAUUAUGCACAAAAAAUGAAUAUUGCCCCUGCCAGCUGGAACCCAGCAUCGUGGGAGGCUGACUUGUGGGCCUACCAAGUUGAUGGGACGGAGGGCUUUGUCAACUUAGUCAAUAUGAACGAUUCUAGCUCCUUUUACCGUACGAUGUUCAUCCAAUGGCCGUAGUGCUUCUUCAACCUCUGGUCUUCUUGCUCCAGCCGCCCAAACCAGUGCCGGUCGUGCUGCGUGCUCCUAUCUCCCGUUGCCAGCUGUGAUGCCGCGGAGACCUCACCGCCCCCUACUACUCCCACCGCUGGCCAGGCCAUCCCUCUACUCACCUGACACCGCAGUCGAACCAGUGAACCCUUGUACUCCUCUUCGCGUGGGCAUCCACUGUUGCGUCUUCCCCGGCUCCGAGUCGUUCCCUUCCUAGUCCUCGCCGUCGUCCACCGCCCUGGUGCUCUCGGCGUGGUGUGGUCAACGACCGACUUCCAUCCGAAUAGUACUGUACGUGGAGAGGCUGACAGCUGGGUCCACGACAGCCGCAAGGAAGUUCCUCCUUAUUACGCGGAAAAUAAUUAUUCCUCCACCUAACAGCGGGUGCUACAUCUUGAGCUUGCGUUGGUUUUCCCCGAAGAGGAAGUCAGAGUAGCGCAAGUAUUUCCCUCAAUUUUUGAGAACCAAGGUAUCAAUCCAGUAGGAGGCCACGCUCAAGUCCCUGGUACCUGCACAAAACGAUAGCUACUCACAACCAACGCGAUUAGGGGUUGUCAAUCCCUUCACGGUCACUUACGAGAGUGAGAUCUGAUAGAUAUAAUAUUUUUGGUAUUUUAAAGAUGCAAAGUAAAAAAGUAAAAGCAAAGUAAAAGGCAAAGCAAGAUUAAAGUGAUGGAGAUUGAUAUGAUGAGAAUAGACCCGGGGGCCAUAUGUUUCACUAGUGGCUUCUCUCAAGAGCAUAAGUAUUCUACGGUGGGUGAAAUAAUUACUGUUGAGCAAUUGACAGAAUUGAGCAUAGUUAUGAGAAUAUCUAGGCAUGAUCAUGUAUAUAGGCAUCACGUCCGUGACAAGUAGACCGAAAUGAUUCUGCAUCUACUACUAUUACUCCACUCAUCGACCGCUAUCCAGCAUGCAUCUAGAGUAUUAAGUUAAAAACAGAGUAAUGCCUUAAGCAAGAUGACAUGAUGUAGAGAGAUCAAUUCAUGCAAUAUGAAAUAAACCCCAUAUUUUUAUCCUCGAUGGCAACGAUCCAAUACGUGCCUUGCUGCCCCUUCUGUCACUGGAAAAGGACACCGCAAGAUCGAACCCAAAGCUAAGCACUUCUCCCAUGGCAAGAACUGCCAAUCUAGUUGGCCAAACCAAACGGAUAAUUUGAAGAGAUUUGCAAAGAUAACCAGUCAUACAUAAAAGAAUUCAGAGAAGAUUCAAAUAUUAUUCAUAGAUAGACUUGAUCAUAAACCCACAAUUCAUCAGUCUCAACAAACACACUUCAAAAAGAAGAUUAGAUCGAAUAGAUCUCCACAAGAGAGGGGGAGAACUUUGUAUUGAGAUUCAAAGAGAGAGAAGAAGCCAUCUAGCUACUAACUAUGGACCCGAAGGUCUGAGGUAAACUACUCACACUUCAUCAGAGAGGCUAUGAUGAUGUAGAAGCCCUCCGUGAUGACGGCCCUCUUCCGGCGGAGCUCUGGAAUAGGCCCCAAGAUGGGAUCUCAUGGACACAGAAAGUUGCGGCGGCGGAAUUAGGUUUUUGGCUCCUAUUCUGAUUGUUUGGGGGUACGUAGGUAUAUAUAGGAGAAAAGAGUACGCCGGAGGAGCACCGAGGGGCCCACGAGGCAGGGGGCGCGCCCUAUGGGGGGCACCCCCCACCCUCGUGACCGCCUCUUUUAUUCCUUGGAGCAGGGUCCAACUCUCCUGGAUCACGUUCGGUGAGAAAAUCAAGUUCCCAAAGGUUUUAUUCCGUUUGGACUCCGUUUGAUAUUCCGUUUCUUCGAAACACUGAAAUAGGCAAAAAAACAACAAUUCUGGGCUGGGCCUCCGGUUAAUAGGUUAGUCCCAAAAAUAAUACAAAAGUGGAAAAUAAAGCCCAAUAUAGUCCAAAACAGUAGAUAAUAUAGCAUGGAGCAAUCGAAAAUUAUAGAUACGUUGGAGACGUAUCAGGCAUCCCCAAGCUUAAUUCCUGCUCGUCCUCGAGUAGGUAAAUGAUAAAAAGAGAAUUUUUGAUGCGGAGUGCUACUUGGCAUAAUUUCAAUGCAAAUCUUCUUAAUUGUAGUACGAAUAUUCAGAUUAGAAAGAUUCAAGACAAAAGUUUAUAUUGACAUAAAAAUAAUAAUACUUCAAGCAUACUAACAAAGCAAUCAUGUCUUCUCAAAAUAACAUGGCCAAAGAAAGUUAUCCCUACAAAAUCAUAUAGUCUGGCUAUGCUCUAUCUUCACCACACAAAAUAUUUAAAUCAUGCACAACCCCGAUGACAUGCCAAGCAAUUGUUUCAUACUCUAACUUCUUCAAAACUUUUUCAAUCUUCACGCAAUACAUGAGCGUGAGCCAUGGAUAUAGCACUAUAGGUGGAAUAGAAUGGUGGUUGUGGAUAAGACAAAAAGGAGAAGAUAGUCUCACAUCAACUAGGCGUAUCAACGGGCUAUGGAGAUGCCCAUCAAUAGAUAUCAAUGUGCGUGAGUAGGGAUUGCCAUGCAACGGAUGCACUAGAGCUAUAAGUAUAUGAAAGCUCAAAAAGAUACUAAGUGGGUGUGCAUCCAACUUGCUUGCUCAUGAAGACCUAGGGAAAUUUUAGGAAGCCCAUCAUUGGAAUAUACAAGUCAAGUUCUAUAAUGAAAAAUUCCCACUAGUAUAUGAAAGUGAUAACAUGAGAUACUCUCUACUAUGAAGAACAUGGUGCUACUUUGAAGCACAAGUGUGGUAAAAGGAUAGUAACAUUGUCCCUUCUCUCUUUUUCUCUCAUCAAUUUUUUUAUUUGGGCCUUUUCUCUUUUUUAUGGCCUCUUUUUAUUUGGGCUUCUUUGGCCUCUUUUAUUUAUUUAUUUUAUUUUUCAUCCGGAGUCUCAUCCCGACUUAUGGGGGAAUCAUAGUCUCCAUCAUUCUUUCCUCACUGGGACAAUGCUCUAAUAAUGAUGAUCAUCACACUUUUAUUUUUCUUACAACUCAAUACUUAGAACAAAAUAUGACUCUAUAUGAAUGCAUCCGACGAUGUACCGGGAUAUGCAAUAUGACAAUGAUGAAUGUGUCAUGAUGAACUAGAUGGUGGAAAGUUGCAUGGCAAUAUAUCUCGGAAUGGCUAUGGAAAUGACAUAAUAGGUAGGUAUGGUGGCUGUUUUGAGGAAGGUAUAUGGUAGGUGUAUGAUACCGGCGAAAGGUGCGCGGUAUUAGAGAGGCUAGCAAAGGUGGAAGGGUGAGAGUGCGUAUGAUCCAUGGACUCAACAUUAGUCAUAAAGAACUCAUAUACUUAUUGCAAAAAUCUAGAAGUUAUCAAAGCAAAGUAUUACGCGCAUGCUCCUAGGGGGAUAGAUUGGUAGGAAAAGACCAUCGCUCGUCCCCGGCCGCCAUUCAUAAGGAAGACAAUCAAUAAAUAAAUCAUGCUCCGACUUCAUCACAUAACGGUUCACCAUACGUGCAUGCUACGGGAAUCACAAACUUUAACACAAGUAUUCUUUAAAUUCACAACUAGUCAACUAGCAUGACUUUUAAUAUUAUCACCUCCAUAUCUCAAAACAAUUAUCAUGCUUCAAUCUUUUCUUAGUAUUCAACACACUCAAAAGAAAGUUUCACAAAUCUUGAAUACCAAGCAUAUUAUUAUUAAGCAAAUUACCAUGCUAUUAAGAGACUCUCAAAAUAAUUUAAGUGAAGCAUGAGAGAUCAAUAGUUUCUUUAAAACAAAUCCAGCACCGUGCUCUAAAAGAUCUAAGUGAAGCACAUAGAGCAAAAUUAUAAUGCUCAAAAGAUAUAAGUGAAGCACAUAGAGGAAAACUACUUAGCUCAAAAGAUAUAAGUGAAGCACAUAGAGCAAAACUACAUAGCUCAAAAGAUAUAAGUGAAGCACAUAGAGCAAAACUACAUAGCUCAAAAGAUAUAAGUGAAGCACAUAGAGCAAAACUACUUAGCUCAAAAGAUAUAAGUGAAGCACAUAGAGCAAAACUAGAUAGAUCAAAAGAUAUAAGUGAAGCACAUAGAGAAAAACUACAUAGCUCAAAAGAUAUAAGUGAAGCACAUAGAGCAAAACUACUUAGCUCAAAAGAUAUAAGUGAAGCACAUAGAGUAUUCUAUCAAAUUUUAAUUCAUGUAUGGCUCUCUCAAAAGGUCUGUAUAGAAAGGAUGAUUGUGGCAUACUAGGACACAAAGACACAAAUAAUACAAGAUGCUCCAAGCAAAACACAUAUCAGGUUGGUGAAUAAAAAUAUAGCUCCAAGUAAAUUACCGAUGGAAGUGGACGAAAGAGGGGAUGCCUUCCGGGGCAUCCCCAAGCUUUGAAUUUUUGGUGUCCUUGGAUUAUCUUGGGGGUGCCAUGGGCAUCCCCAAUCUUAGGCUCUUGUCACUCCUUGUUCCAUGAUCCAUCAAAAGAAUUCGCCCAAAACUUGAAAACUUCACAACACAAAACUCAAAAUAGAAAACUCGUGAGCUCCGUUAGCGAAAAAAACAAAAGACCACUUCAAGGUACUGUAAUGAACUCAUUAUUUAUUUAUAUUGGUGUUAAACCUACUGUAUUCCAACUUCUCUAUGGAUUAUAAACUAUUUUACUAACCAUAGAUUCAUCAAAAUAAGCAAACAACACACGAAAAACAGAAUCUGUCAAAAACAGAAUUGUCUGUAGUAAUCUGUAGCUAGCGCAAUAUAUGGAACCCCAAAAAUUCAAAAAUAAAUUUAUGGGCGUGAGUAAUUUAUAUAUUAAUCAUAUUCAAAAAUAAUUAACUAAAUAUCACUCUUCACAUAAAAAUGACAGCAGUUCUCGCGAGCGCUAAAGUUUCUGUUUUUUUACAGCAAGUUCAACAAGACUUUCCCCAAGUCUUCCCAACGGUUCUACUUGGAACAAACACUAAUGAAACACAAAAAACACAACCAAAACAUAGGCUAAAUAAUUUAUUUAUUACUAAACAGGAGCAAAAGGCAAGGAAUAAAAAUAAAAUUGGGUUGCCUCCCAACAAGCGCUAUCGUUUAACGCCCCUAGCUAGGCAUAAAAGCGAGGAUAGAUCUAGGUAUUGCCAUAAUAGUAAGAUAGAUUAUUAAAACUCAUUUCAUAUUCUCUACGUUCGGAAGAAAGUUUUCAUUGAGGCAAGAAAAAGUAAUCAAAAGGACUAAAUUUAACGGGACAGAAGUCCCCAAGAUCAACCUUGGGAGGUAUAGGUUCCUCCUUUGGUCCUUCAUAAUGCACAACCAAUUCAUCAUUAUAAGCAUUCUUUUGACAGAACUUUGUAAGCCUAUAUUCAAGAGAAUAUCCUAGUUCAUUAUUUCGAAUAGCCAAAUCAUAAUUAAGUUCAGAAAUUCUAUCAACUAAAACAUUGGUAGGAACCCUUUUUCUAAGAUUUUCAUUGAAAGCAACAUAAUCUAGAGAUUGAAAACACAUUAUUUCUUCUUGAUCAAAGAGGAUAGACUCUAUGGGAGGACGGCAAGCGUCCACCCUAUAAUGUUCAAAGAUUUCUUUGGCUUCUUUUAUUAUGAAUCUAAACUCAUGAACCAAAAAGAUAGUAGCGGCACGCUUAACAGAAGAAUGCUCAAUAUUAGAAAAUUCCAGAAAAAUCCUUUGUAUAGAAGGAUGCAUGUGCAUGAAUUGUCUUUCAAGUUCAACUACAAGCAUGGCAAUAGCGUCCGCAAGACUACUAGUUAUGUGAAGGAUAGAACUACCCAUAGAAGGUAAAGCACCGGCACAAGUAAAGAAAUCUUGAAUAAUUCCUUUUCCAAUAAUAUUACCACUACCAACACGGAAUUUUUUUGUAUGAAAGAUGGUAGGUUCUUUAGCAGGAGCAUCAGAAUUUCCCAUGAUAUUGUUAUCGCCCAUAUUGGCGAUAACUUCCCAAUUUCAGACAUAACGACAAGCAAGCAAACUAGUGCACGAGCAAACAAAAAGCAAGCGGGCAAAAGAGGCAAAUAGAGAGGGAGGAAAGAGAGAGAGAGAGAGAGAGCGAAUAAAACGGCAAGGGUGAAUUGGGGGAGAGGAAAACGAGAGGCAAAUGGCAAAUAAUGUAAUGCGAGAGAUAGGGAUUGUGAUGGGUACUUGGUAUGUUGACUUUUUGCGUAGACUCCCCGGCAACGGGGCCAGAAAUACUUCUUGCUACGUAUUGAGCUUGCGUUGGUUUUUCCCGAAGAGGAAGGGAUGAUGUAGCAGAGUAGCGUAAGUAUUUCCCUCAGUUUUUGAGAACCAAGGUAUCAAUCCAAUAGGAGGCCACGCUCAAGUCCCUCGUACCUGCACAAAACGAUAGCUACUCGUAACCAACACGAUUAGGGGUUGUCAAUCCCCUCACGGUCACUUACGAGAGUGAGAUCUGAUAGGUAUAAUAUUUUUGGUAUAAAGAUGCAAAAGUAAAAAGUAAAAGCAAAGUAAAAGGCAAAGCAAGAUUAAAGUGAUGGAGAUUGAUAUGAUGAGAAUAGACCCAGGGGCCAUAUGUUUCACUAGUGGCUUCUCUCAAGAGCAUAAGUAUUCUAUGGUGGGUGAACAAAUUACUGUUGAGCAAUUGAUAGAAUUGAGCAUAGUUAUGACAAUAUCUAGGCAUGAUCAUGUAUAUAGGCAUCACGUCCGUGACAAGUAGACCGAAACGAUUCUGCAUCUACUACUAUUACUCUACUCAUCGACCGCUAUCCAGCAUGCAUCUAGAGUAUUACGUUAAAAACAGAGUAACGCCUUAAGCAAGAUGACAUGAUGUAGAGAGAUAAAUUCAUGCAAUCUGAAAUAAACCCCAUCUUGUUAUCCUCAAUGGCAACGAUACAAUACGUGCCUUGCUGCCCCUUCUGUCACUGGGAAAGGACACCGCAAGAUCGAACCCAAAGCUAAGCACUUCUCCCAUGGCAAGAACUACCAAUCUAGUUGGCCAAACCAAACGGAUAAUUCUAAGAGACUUGCAAAGAUAACCAAUCAUACAUAAAAGAAUUCAGAGAAGAUUCAAAUAUUAUUCAUAGAUAGACUUAAUCAUAAACCCACAAUUCAUCGGUCUCAACAAACACACCGCAAAAAGAAGAUUACAUCGAAUAGAUCUCCACAAGAGAGGGGGAGAACUUUGUAUUGAGAUUCAAAGAGAGAGAAGAAGCCAUCUAGCUACUAACUAUGGACCCGAAGGUCUGAGGUAAACUACUCACACUUCAUCAGAGAGGCUAUGAUGAUGUAGAAGCCCUCCGUGAUGACGGCCCUCUUCCGGCGGAGCUCCGGAAUAGGCCCCAAGAUGGGAUCUCGUGGAUACAGAAAGUUGUGGCGGUGGAAUUAGGUUUUUGGCUCCUGUUCUGAUCGUUUGGGGGUACGUAGGUAUAUAUAGGAGGAAGGAGUACGCCGGAGGAGCACCGAGGGGCCCACGAGGCAGGGGGCACGCCCUAGGGCGGGGGGCGCCCCCCACCGUCGUGACCGCCUCUUUUGUUCCUUGGAGCAGGGUCCAAGUCUCCUGGAUCACGUUCGGUGGGAAAAUCACGUUCCCGAAGGUUUUAUUCCGUUUGGACUCCGUUUGAUAUUCCGUUUCUUUGAAACACUGAAAUAGGCAAAAAACAGCAAUUCUGGGCUGGGCCUCCGGUUAAUAGGUUAAUUCCAAAAAUAAUAUAAAAGUGGAAAAAAGCCCAAUAUAGUCCAAAACAGUAGAUAAUAUAGCUUGGAGCAAUCAAAAAUUAUAGAUACGUUGGAGACGUAUCAGCGGGGACCCACCGGACAGGCCACCAGUAUUUUGCAAAAAAAAUCGUUUCCCCCUGACUGCUGGGACCCACCGGACGGGCCACCGUAUUUCGCGAAAAAACGUUCCCCCCGCUGUCAGCUCAGACCCAUCGGAAGUGCCUCCUUAUUACGCAAAAAAAUGAAUACUCCCCCGGCUAGCUGGGACCCACCUUGCUGGGAGGCUGACUUGUGGGCCUACUAAGUUAACGGGGAUGAAAGGCUUUGUCAACUUAGUCAAUAUGAACGAUUCUAGCUCUAGUGACCGUACGAUGUCCAUCCAACGGCCGUAGUGCUUCUUCAACCUCUGGUCUUCUUGCUCCAGUUGCCCAAAGCAGCGCCGGCCAUGCCGCAUGCUCCUGCCUCCCGUGGCCAGCUGUGCUGCCGUAGAGGCCUCACCGCCCCCUACUAUUCCCACCGCUGGCCAGGCCCUGCGGCGACGGCAGCCUCACACCGUAGCCGAACCAGUGAACCCUCAUAGUCCUCUCCGCGCGGGCUUCCACUACAGCGUCGUCCCCUUCCUAGGCCUCGCCGUCAUCCACCGCCGUGGUGCUCUCCGCGCGGCAUGGUCAACGUGGUCAAGGAAUGACUUCCAUCGGAAGAGUAUUGUACGUGGAGAGGCUGACUGCUGGGUCCACGGCCACAGCCCAAUUUUUUUGUGAUUUCCCAAGUAAGUCGCUUUGUCAGGCCUGUUGGGAUGCAAAUCUUUCAAGACGAGGAGAGCUUUCAUUCGGCUGGCCGAGAAAAUGGCCCAUCAGUAAUGAGAAAUGGGUUGUACAUUUUUAAAACACAUCAAACCGGGAAGUAGUUUCAAAUAUCUUUUUUUCAUUUCAAGAUUUUAAAUUACAUUAAUUUUUAUGCAUGGAGAAUUUGUUGGAUUUUAUAUUGAUAUACAUUUAUUUUUAAAAUCAGUUUGAAUGUGAGUCGAAAUUUCGGGAUUAAAAAUAGUUCGGACCGCACUGAAACAUGCAAAAUUUCGUAUAAUUUUUUAACCGUUGCCACAAUAUGGGCUGUAAUGCUAACAAAAAGAAUAUGGGCUCCAAAAAACCUUAAGAAUUAGCAAAUGGGCUGUAAAUUAUUAGAAAUGAUGGCAGAUGGGAUGUAUGCUGUUUUCCACAGAUUUGAGGCUUUCCGAAGAAAAGGUUGACGCACAAGCACUGACUGUUGGAUGUCCCUCCAACAGCCGUCGUGCUUCUUCAAUCUCUGCUCUUCCUGCUCCGGCCGCUCAAACAAGCGCCGUCGGGACUGCCUGCUCCCUCCUCCUCGCGGCCGGCUGUGCUGCAGCGCAGGCCUCACCGCCCGACCGUACUCCCAUCGCUGGCCUAGCCAUCCCUCUACUCACCCACACCUGCUGUUAUUCGCCGGCGAUGGCAGACGAACCAGUAAACCCUCGUACAGUCGUACUCCCCUCCGCGUGGGAAACAACUGCCGAGUCUUCCCUGCCUCUGCAUCGUCCCCUUCCUAGGCCUCGUCGUCGUCCACCGCCCUGGUGCUCUCGGCGCGACGUGGUCAACGUGGUCAAGGAACGACUUCCAUCGGACGUGGACUGUACGUGGAGAGGCUGACAGCUGGUCCACGGCCGCAGCAAGGAAGUGCCUCCUUAUUACGAAGAAAAUAAUGAUUCCUCCACCUGACAGCUGGGACCCAUCGGACGGGCCAUUGUAUUUCGCAAAAAAAAUGUUUCCCCCUGACUGCUGGGACCCACCAGCUACAUCUUCGCACACAAGAAAGUGCGUCCAGGCAAAAAAACGACUCGCCCCCUGACUGCUGGGACCCACCAGCUACAUCUUGGCAGGAAAGGAAGUGCCUGACAGUCGGGACCCACCUGGUCGAAGCGUACGUAGCGUUGCCAUUCUGGUCGCGAACGUGUACGUACAUACUGGUUGAUGUAGAGGCGCGCACGUGUCGUAUUAGAGGCGCGCACGUGUCAUAGUAGAGGCGCGCACAUAGCAUUUACACGUACGUACAUCGGCCAGGGUGCAAGAAAGAAAAUACGGCCACAUAUGUGUACAUACGGGCGGGGUCUCGAAAGCCUACUCGCGCAUACGUACGGCCAGGGCUCGUGUACAUGGCUGGGUCAGAACGGAGAAACAAUGUCAUCGUCGUGUUCAUGGGGAGGCAACAGAAUGCGUCGUGUUCAUGGGGAGGCAACGGAAUGCGUCGUGUUCAUCAGGAGGGCUUGGACGGAACAGGCGAUGGAAACGAGGCCUGGCGUACCGCAGAACGGAGGAAACAACCUUGUGUUCGACCAGCCAAGUUCGGAACGGGAUCCUGUUCAUUAGGAGGGGUCUGGCGUACCGCAAAAUGAAGGAAACGGACCUCCUACGGUCGAAAUGGGGGUCCCGUUGAUCGGGAGGAGUGUGGCGUACCGCAAAACGGACGAAACGGACUUGUGUUGGAGCGCUACGGUCGAAACGGGGGUCCUGUUCAUCGGGAGGGGUGUGGCGUACCGCAAAAUGGGACUCCACGGGAUACUGUUCAUCUCCACCGUCGACCUCCUCCUGCCUCCACGGCCUCCUGUUCAUCCAGCCUCCACGGCCUCCUGUUCAUCCAGCCUCCACGGCCUCCUGUUCAUCCAGCCUCCACCGCGCGCUACUCCACCGGCUACUGUUCAACCACCCCUCCACCGGCUAAUGUUCAACCACCCCUCCACCGUCUACUGUUCAUCCAGCCCUCCACACCACGGGGUCCUGUUCAACCACCCCUCCACAGGCACCCCUCNNNNNNNNNNNNNNNNNNNNNNNNNNNNNNNNNNNNNNNNNNNNNNNNNNNNNNNNNNNNNNNNNNNNNNNNNNNNNNNNNNNNNNNNNNNNNNNNNNNNNNNNNNNNNNNNNNNNNNNNNNNNNNNNNNNNNNNNNNNNNNNNNNNNNNNNNNNNNNNNNNNNNNNNNNNNNNNNNNNNNNNNNNNNNNNNNNNNNNNNNNNNNNNNNNNNNNNNNNNNNNNNNNNNNNNNNNNNNNNNNNNNNNNNNNNNNNNNNNNNNNNNNNNNNNNNNNNNNNNNNNNNNNNNNNNNNNNNNNNNNNNNNNNNNNNNNNNNNNNNNNNNNNNNNNNNNNNNNNNNNNNNNNNNNNNNNNNNNNNNNNNNNNNNNNNNNNNNNNNCAUCCAGCCCUCCACACCACGAGGUCCUGUUCAACCACCCCUCCACCGUCCACUGUUCAUCCAGCCCUCCAAACCACGGGGUCCUGUUCAUCCACCCCUCCACGGGCACCCCUCCACCGUCUACUGUUUAUCCAGCCCUCCACCACACCACGGGGUCCUGUUCAUCCAGAGGCAAUGCCACCGCUCACUAUUCAUCCAACCUCCCCCCCCCCCGCAAUGCUCACUAUUCAUCCCAUCGAUCGGCUUCAGCUAGCAGUAGUAGCGAAGGAAGAGCUGUUCUGCCGGGGAUACUUCCCUCCGGGAGGGGGAAAUCAUCACCAUCGUCAUCACCAACGCUCCUCUCAUCGGGAGAGGGAAAUCUCCAUCAACAUCUUCACCAGCACCAUCUCAUCUCCAAACCCUAGUUCAUCUCUUGUAUCAAAUUCUUGUCUCAAAGUCCGGGAUUGGUGCUAGUAGGUUGCUAGUAGUGUUGAUUACUCCUUGUAGUUGAUGCUAGUUGGUUUAUUUGGUGGAAGAUCAUAUGUUCAGAUCCUAUAUGCAUAUUAUUACCCCUCUGAUUAUGAACAUGAAUAUGCUUUGUGAGUAAUUACGUUCGUUCCUAAGGACAAGGGAGAAGUCUUGCUAUUAGUAGUCAUGUGAAUUUGGUAUUCGUUUGAUAUUUUGAUAAGAUGUAUGUUGUCUAGCCUCUAGUGGUGUUAUAUGAACAUCGACUACAUAACACUUCACCAUUAUUUGGGCCUAGAGGAAGGAAUUGGGAAGUAAUAAGUAGAUUAUGGGUUGCUAGAGUGACAGAAGCUUAAACCCUAGUUUAUGCGUUGCUUCGUAAGGGGCUGAUUUGGAUCCACAUGUUUCAUGCUAUGGUUAGGUUUACCUUAAUACUUUUGUUGUAGUUGAGGAUGCUUGCAAUAGAGGUUAAUCAUAAGUGGGGCGCUUGUUCAAGUAAGAACAGCACCCAAGCACCGGUCCACCCACAUAUCAAAUUAUCAAAGUAUCGAACGCGAAUCAUAUGAACGUGAUGAAAACUAGCUUGACGAUAUUCCCAUGUGUCAUCGGGAGCGCUUUUCCUAUUAUAAGAUUUUGUUCUGACUUGUCCUUUGCUACAAAAGGAUUGGGCCAUCUUGCUGCACUUUAUUUACUUUAGUUACUUGUUGCUCAUUACAAUUUAUCCUAUCACAAAACUAUCUGUUACCACUUAUUUCAGUACUUGCAGAGAAUACCUUGCUGAAAACCGCUUAUCAUUUCCUUCUGCUCCUUGUUGGGUUCGACACUCUUACUUAUGAAAGGACUAUGAUAGAUCCCCUAUACUUGUGGGUCAUCAAGACUCUUUUCUGGCGCUGUUGCCGAGGAGUGUAGCGCCUUUGGUAGGUGGAAUUUGGUAAGGAAAAAUUUAUAUAGUGUGCUGAAAUUUACUGUCACUUGUUACUAUGGAAAGUAAUUCUCUGAAGGGCUUGUUUGGGGUAUCUUCACCCCGUCUAGUAGAGCAAAGAGUUGCUCCUCAACCUACUGAACCUAUUGAAAAUGAAACUCCUUUCGAAUUUCCUUCGGGUAUGAUGGAAAAACUGCUAGCUAACCCUUUUACAGGAGAUGGAACAAAGCAUCCUGAUGAGCACUUGAUAUAUGUGGAUGAAGUUUGUGGAUUAUUUAAGCUUGCAGAUAUACCCGAUGAUGUUGCUAAGAAGAAGGUCUUCCCUUUAUCUUUGAAGGGAGACGCAUUGAUAUGGUAUAGGCUAUGUGAUGAUAUGAGAUCAUGGGACUAUAAAAGAUUGAAGCUAGAAUUUCAUGGAAAGUAUUACCCUAUGCAUCUUGUUCAUCGUGAUCGCAAUUAUAUAUAUAAUUUCUGGCCUCGCGAAGGAGAAAGCAUCGCUCAAGAUUGGGGGAGGCUUAAAUCAAUGUUAUAUUCAUGCCCCAAUCAUCAGCUCUCAAGAGAAAUGAUCAUUCAAAAUUUUAAUGUCGGCUUUCUGAAAACAAUCGCACCAUGCUCGAUACUUCUUGUGCUAGCUCUUUUAUGAUGAAGACUAUUGAAUUCUGAUGGAAUUUAUUGGAUAGAAUUAAACGCAACUCUGAAGAUUGAGACCUCAACGAAGGUAAGGAGUCGGGUAUGACACCUAAGUUUGAUUGUGUUAAAUCUUUUAUGGACACCGAUAUUUUCUAUAAGUUUAGUACUAAAUAUGGACUUACUCUGAGAUAGUAGCUUCUUUCUGUGAAUCCUUUGCUACUUAUGUUGAUCUCCCUAAGGAGAAGUGGUUUAAAUAUCAUCCUCCCAUAGAAGUAAAAGUAGCUGCACCUAUUAAAGUUGAAGAAAAGACUGUCACUUAUAAUGAUCCUAUUAUUCCUACUUCUUAUAUUGAGAAACCACCUUUCCCUGUUAGAAUAAAGGAUCAUGCUAAAGCUUCAACUGUUGUUCAUAAAAGCAAUAUUAGAACUUAUACACCUCCGGAGCAAGUUAAAGUAGAACCUAAUAUUGCUAUUGUUAAAGAUCUCUUGUCUGAUAAUAUUGAUGGGCAUGUUAUCCUGUUCGAAGGUGAAACUGCUAGAAUUGCUAAACCUUGUGAUAAAGAUAAACAUAGACCUGUGGUAGGCGUGCCUAUUAUUUCUGUUAAAAUAGGAGAUCAUUGUUAUCAUGGCUUAUGUGAUAUGGGUGCUAGUGCUAGUGUAAUACCUAUUGACUUAUACGAAGAAAUUAAGAAUGAAAUUGCACCUGUUGAGUUAGAAGAUAUUGAUGUUACUAUUAAAAUUGCUAAUAGAGAUACUAUUGCACCAAUUUGAUUUGUUAGAGAUGUGGAAGUAUUGUGUGGGAAAACUAAAUAUCCUGCUAAUUUUCUUGUUCUUGGUUCCCCACAAGAUAGUUUUUGUCCCAUUAUAUUUGGUAGACCCUUCUUAAAUACUGUGAAUGCUACCAUAGAUUGCACAAAGAAUGUUGUUACUGUUGGCUUGGAUGAUAUGGUUCAUGAGUUUAAUUUCUCUAAAUUUAGUAAACAACAUCGUGAGGAAGAAUUAUCUAGUAAGGAUGAAAUUAUUGGUCCUGCUUCUAUUGACGUACCUCCUAGUGAUCCUUUAGAACACUAUUUGCUAGACCAUGAAAAUGAUAUGUUCAUGAAUGAAAGAAGGGAAAUAGAUGAAGUAUUCUUUAAACAGGAACCUAUGCUGCAACAUAAUUUUCCUGUUGAAAUUUUAGGGGAUCCUCCUCCACCUAAAGGUGAUCCCAUGUUUGAGCUUAAACCUUUGCCUGAUAAUCUUAAAUAUGCUUAUCUUGAUGAAAAGAAGAUAUAUCCUGUUAUUAUUAGUACUAACCUUUCAGAGCAUGAAGAAGAAAGAUUAUUGAAAACUCUAAAGAAGCAUCGUGCUGCUAUUGGAUAUACUCUUGAUGAUCUUAAGGGCAUUAGUCCCACUCUAUGUCAACAUAAAAUAAAUUUGGAAGCAGAUGCCAAACCAGUUCGUGAUCCUCAACGACGUCUGAAUCCUAAAAUGAAAGAAGUGGUAAGAAAAGAAAUACUAAAGCUUCUGGAGGCAGGUAUAAUCUAUCUCGUUGCUGAUAGUGAGUGGGUAAGUCCUGUCCAUUGUGUCCCUAAGAAUGGAGGUAUCACUGUUGUUCCUAAUGAUAAAGAUGAAUUGAUUCCACAAAGAAUUAUCACAGGUUAUAAGAUGGUAAUUGAUUUCCGCAAAUUAAAUAAAGCUACUAAGAAAGAUCAUUACCCCUUACCUUUUAUUGAUCAAAUGCUAGAAAGAUUAUGCAAACAUACACACUAUUGCUUUCUAGAUGGUUAUUCUGGUUCCUCUCAAAUACCUGUGUCGGCUAGAGAUCAAUCAAAGUCUACUUUUACAUGCCCUUUUGGUACUUUUGCUUAUAGACGUAUUCCUUUUGGUUUAUGUAAUGCACCUGCUACCUUUCAAAGAUGCAUGAUGGCUAUAUUCUCUGACUUUUGUGAAAAGAUUUGUGAGGUUUUCAUGGACGACUUUUCCAUCUAUGGUUCCUAUUUUGAUGAUUGCUUGAGCAAUCUUGAUCGAGUUUUGCAGAGAUGUGAAGAAACUAAUCUUGUCUUGAAUUGGGAAAAGUGACACUUUAUGGUUAAUGAAGGUAUUGUCUUGGGGCAUAAAGUUUCUGAAAGAGGUAUUGAAGUUGAUAAAGCCAAGGUUGAUGCUAUUGAAAAGAUGCCAUGUCCCAAGGACAUCAAAGGUAUAAGAAGUUUCCUUGGUCACGCCGGAUUUUACAGGAGGUUCAUUAAGGACUUCUCAAAAAUUUCUCGGCCUCUGACUAAUUUAUUGCAAAAAGAUACACCAUUUGUCUUUGAUGAUGAUUGUGUAGAAGCAUUUGAAAUACUUAAGAAAGCAUUAGUCUCUGCACCUGUUGUUCAGCCACCGGAUUGGAAUUUACCCUUUGAAAUUAUGUGUGAUGCUAGUGAUUAUGCUGUAGGUGCUGUUCUAGGGCAAAGAGUUGAUAAGAAAUUAAAUUUUAUUCAUUAUGCUAGUAAGACUCUAGACAAUUCUCAAAGAAAUUAUGCUACUACUGAAAAAGAGCUUUUAGUAGUUGUAUUUGCUUGUGAUAAGUUCAGGUCUUAUAUUGUUGAUUUUGAAGUAACUAUUCAAACUGAUCAUGCUGCUAUUAAAUAUCUUAUGGAAAAGAAAGAUGCUAAACCUAGACUUAUUAGAUGGGUUCUCUUGCUACAAGAAUUUGAUUUGCAUAUUGUUGAUAGAAAGGGAGCUGAGAACCCCGUUGCAGACAACUUGUCUAGUUUAGAAAAUAUUCUUGAUGACCCACUACCUAUUAAUGAUUGAUUUCUUAAUGAACAAUUAAAUGUUAUAAGUACUUCUCGUAGUACUCCAUGGUAUGGUGAUUAUGCUAAUUAUAUUGUUGCUAAGUUUAUACCACCUAGCUUCACAUACCAGCAAAAGAAAAAGUUUUUAUAUGAUUUAAGACAUUACUUUUGGGAUGACCCACAUCUUUAUAAGGAAGGAGUAGAUGGUGUUAUUAGAUGUUGUGUACCUGAGCAUGAACACGAACAGAUCCUACGCAAGUGUCAUUCCGAGGCUUAUGAAGGACACCACACUGGAGAUAGAACUGCACAUAAGGUAUUGCAAUCUGGUUUUUAUUGGCCUACUCUCUUCAAGGAUGCCCGUAAGUUUGUCUUGUCUUGUGAUGAAUGUCAAAGAAUUGGUAAUAUUAGUAGACGUCAAGAAAUGCCUAUGAAUUAUUCACUUGUUAUUGAACCAUUUGAUGUUUGGGGCUUUGAUUAUAUGGGACCUUUUCCUGCCUCUAAUGGAUACACACAUAUUCUAGUUGCUGUUGAUUACGUUACUAAGUGGGUAGAAGCUAUUCCAACUAGUAGUGUUGAUCAUAACACUUCUAUUAAAAUGCUUAAAGAAGUUAUUUUCCCAAGGUUUGGAGUCCCUAGAUAUUUAAUAACUGAUGGUGGUUCGGACUUUAUUCAUGGUGCUUUCCGUAAAAUGCUUGCUAAAUGUGAUGUUAAUCAUAUAAUUGCAUCUCCUUAUCACCCAUAGUAUAGUGGUCAAGUAGAGUGAGCAAUAGAGAGCUCAAAUUAAUUUUGCAAAAGACUGUUAAUAGGUCUAGAAAGAAUUGGUCCAAAAAACUUGAUGAUGCAUUGUGGGCUUAUAGAACUGCAUACAAAAAUCCUAUGGGUAUGUCUCCGUAUAAAAUGGUUUAUGGAAAAGCAUGUCACUUACCUCUCGAACUAGAACAUAAGGCAUAUUGGGCUAUUAAAGAGCUCAACUAUGAUUUUAAACCUGCCAGUGAGAACAGUUUAUUUGAUAUUAGCUCACUUGAUGAAUGGAGAACCCAAGCUUAUGAAAAUGCCAAGUUGUUUAAAGAAAAAGUUAAAAGAUGUCAUGACAAAAGGAUACAAAAGCGUGAGUUUAAUGUAGGUGAUUAUGUAUUGCUAUACAAUUCUUGUUUAAGAUUUUUUGCAGGAAAACUUCUCUCUAAAUGGGAAGGCCCCUAUGUUAUCGAAGAGGUCUAUUGUUUCGGUGCCAUAAAAAUCAACAACUUCGAGGGCACAAAUCUGAAGGUGGUAAACGGUCAAAGAAUCAAACAUUAUAUCUCAGGUAAUCCCACAAAUGUUGAAACCAAUAUUAUUGAAACCGUAACCCCGGAGGAAUACAUAAGGGACACUUUUCAGAAUGUUUCAGACUCCGAAAAGGAAUAGGUAUGUGGUACGGUACGUAAACCGACUCCAAAACAAUUUUUAAGGCAAUAUUUCUCCGUUUUGGAAUAUUUAGAAAAAUAGAAAAAUAAGUAGCAGUCCGGGAAGAACACGAGGGCCCCACGAGGGUGGUGGGCGCGCCCUACCCCCCUGGGCGCGCCCCCUACCUCAUGAGCACCUCGUGUGCCUCCCAGACUCCGUUUUCUUACACGUUACGUAUUUUGGUCGGUAAAAAGUCAUUAUAUAACAUCCCGAAGGUUUUGACUCCUGUAUCACACAAACCUCCUCUGUUUUUGUUUUCGAGCUGUUGCUGCUGCAGAUUAGAACAAGAUGUCUUCUCAAGAGUCAAUCGGGGAGAGCCGGGUAUAUAAUCCGGCACCAGAACCAAGGGCAAACAGCGACGCUGACCACUUUGGGCCAGCAACGGAGGAAGGGAUGGAGGCUAACUUGAUGAGAGUAGAUGCCAUGGAGGAUGAAGAAGUCACCUCUCGCCUCCGAGCUAGGCUCACGAUGGGGGAACUACAGAGCUCAACUAUUCCAAAUUCGGUUAUCCCUUCUAAUGUCAGAUUUCUUUCUUAUGAAAAUAUGAAGAGGAGUGUCACUUGUUCUCCCGCAGCUAUGUAACACCCUUGGGUGCAAGGAGCUUUAGCUAUCAUAGGAAAGCUUCGUAGGGAAAUAAUGGACCUCAAACAACAAGUCAAUAAACUCGAAGAGGAAAACCGCAUCCUGAGGGGAAUAAUUGCCAAGAAUAUUACACCAACAACAAAGAAGGAGAUAUAAUCACAUGGGUAUGGGCACUCCCCUUGGCAACUGCCAAGCUUGGGGGAGGUGCCCCGGUAUCAUAUCACAAUCACAACUCCUAUCUUUACCAUUUUUCUUAGUUCGAUCCUAUUAGUAGUAUCUUGAUCUAGUAGAAUAAAGUUUAUGGCAUGAUCUAGUUUUGAGUUUGCUUUAUGAUCUCUCUAUGUAAUCGAGUCCGUGAGCUAUAUAUAAUAAAGAUUAGUGUUGAGUCAAGGGCUUGAUUAUUUUUCCAUGAUCUUGGGUGAAUAAAAGAAAAGAGAAAAAGAAUAAAAAGAAACAAAAAGUUCAUAUUGAUCUUAUUGAGAGUAAUGACUUCAGAUAGAAAGAUUAUGAUGAUUAAAAGUUGUUGGGAGUUGGCAAGCAUAGCUUUGGUCAUUGUUGCAAUUAAUAGGAAGUAAUAAGGAAAGUGAGGUUUUCACAUAUAGAUAUAUUAUCAUUGAUAUCUUUUAUGAUUGGGAGCACUCAUUAAAAUAUGACAUGCUAAAGAGUUGAUGUUGGACAAGGAAGACAACGUAAUGAGUUAUGUCUUUCUUAUAUUUGAGAUAAAGUAUGUUGUCAUGGAUUCUCUAACUUGUUGAGCUUACCUUUCCCCCUCAUGCUAGCCAAAUUCUCAACACCAAGUAGAAAUACUACUUGUGCUUCCAAAUACCCCUAAACCAGUUUUGCCAUGAGAGUCCACCAUAUCUACCUAUGGAUUGAGUAAGAUCCUUCAAGUAAGUUGUCAUCGGUGCAAAGCAAUAAAAAUUGCUCUAAAUAUGUAUGAUUGAUUGGUGUGGGAGAAAUAAGCUUUAUACGAUCUUGUGAUGUGGAAGUAAUAAAAGCGACGGACUACAUAAUAAAGGUUCAUAUCACAAGGGGCAAUAUAAAGUGACGUUCUUUCGCAUUAAGAUUUUGUGCAUCCAACCAUAAAAGCGCAUGGCAACCUCUGCUUCCCUCUGCGAAGGGCCUAUCCUUUAUUAUUAUCUUAUACCUUAAGCAAGAGUCAUGGUGAUCUUCACCUUUUAUUUUUCAUUUUAUCCUUUGGCAAGCUCAGCAUGUUGGAAAGAACAUGAUAUAUAUAUAUAUCUAAUUGGAUGUAGGGGAGCAUGAACCAUUAUUGUUGACAUUACCCUUAAGGUAAAAGGUUGUGGGGCAAAACUAUAAGCCCCUAUCUUUCUCUGUGUCCGAUUAAAACUCCGUAACCACAAGUAUAGUGUGAGUGUUAGCAAUUAUGGAGGACUAAAUGAUAGUUGAGUAUGUGAACUUGUUUUUUAGCUCUGACAUAGACUCUUUCCGACGUUAUGAUAAAUCGCAAUUGCUUCAAUGACUGAGAUUAUAGUUUGUCGGAGCCCAAUAAGGUUUAUGAUUUAUACUUUUGCAUUGUGAAUAGAUCAUCACUUGAACAUAAGUAAUCAUAUGACAAAAUCUAUAUAUGUUGCUGCUAUGAGAAUAAUCAUGAUGCCUUCAUGUCCGUAUUUUAUUUUUAUUGACGCCUCUACCUCUAAACAUGAGGACAUAUUUAUUGUUAUCGGCUUUUCGCUUGAGGACAAGCGAGGUCUAAGCUUGGGGGAGUUGAUAAGUCCAUUUUGCAUCAUGCUUUUAUAUCGAUAUUUAUUGCAUUAUGGACUGUUAUUUCACUUUAUGUCACAAUACUUAUGGCUAUUCUCUCUUAUUUUAGAAGGUUUACAUAAGGAGCGAGAAUGCCGGCAGCUGGAAUUCUGGGCUGGAAAAGGAGCAAAUAUUAGAGACCUAUUUUGCACAACUCCAAAAGUCCUGAAACUCCACAAAACAUCUUAAAAUAAAUAAAGAAAAAUCCUCGCUAAAGAUGAAGGCCAGGGGGUCCACACCCUGCUCACGAGGGUGGGGGUGCCCCCCCUAGGGCGUGCCCCCUACCUCGUGGGCCCCCUGGUGGCUCUCCAACGUCCAUCUUCUCCUAUAUGAAGUCUUUCGAUGAGAAAAAAAUAGAAAGGAACUUUUCGGGACAAGACUGCGCCGCCAUGAGGCGGAACCUUGGCGGAUCCAAUCUAGAGCUCCGGCAGAGCUGUUCUGCCGGGGAUACUUCCCUCCGGGAGGGGGAAUUCAUCACCAUUGUCAUCACCAAUGCUCCUCUCAUUGGGAGAGGGCAAUCUCCAUCAACAUCUUCACCAGCACAAUCUCAUCUCCAAACCCUAGUUCAUCUCUUGUAUCCAAUUCUUGUCUCAAAGUCCGGGAUUGGUGCUAGUAGGUCGCUAGUAGUGUUGAUUACUCCUUGUAGUUGAUGCUAGUUGGUUUAUUUGGUGGAAGAUCAUAUGUUCAGAUCCUAUAUGCAUAUUAUUACCCCUCUGAUUAUGAACAUGAAUAUGCUUUGUGAGCAAUUACGUUCGUUCCUGAGGACAAGGGAGAAGUCUUGCUAUUAGUAGUCAUGUGAAUUUGGUAUUCGUUUGAUAUUUUGAUAAGAUGUAUGUUGUCUAGCCUCUAGUGGUGUUAUGUGAAUGUUGACUACAUAACACCUCACCAUUAUUUGGGCCUAGAGGAAGGCAUUGGGAAGUAAUAAGUAGAUGAUGGGUUGCUAGAGUGACAGAAGCUUAAACCCUAGUUUAUGCGUUGCUUCGUAAGGGGCUGAUUUGGAUCCACAUGUUUCAUGCUAUGGUUAGGUUUACCUUAAUACUUUUGUUGUAGUUGCGGAUGCUUGCAAUAGAGGUUAAUCAUAAGUGGGACGCUUGUUCAAGUAAGAACAACACCCAAGCACCAGUCCACCCACAUAUGAAAUUAUCAAAGUAUCGAACGUGAAUCAUAUGAACUUGAUGAAAACUAGCUUGACGAUAUUCCCAUGUGUCCACGGGAGCGCUUUUCCUAUUAUAAGAGUUUGUUCCGGCUUGUCCUUUGCUACAAAAGGAUUGGGCCAUCUUGCUGCACUUUAUUUACUUUUGUUACUUGUUGCCCGUUACAAUUUAUCCUAUCACAAAACUAUCUGUUACCACUUAUUUCAGUAUUUGCAGAGAAUACCUUGCUGAAAACCGCUUAUCAUUUCCUUCUGCUCCUCAUUGGGUUCGACACUCUUACUUAUCGAAAGGACUAUGAUAGAUCCUCUAUACUUGUGGGUCAUCAUCCGGCGCGCAGUUUUGUCUUCGGCAUUGGAAGGCGGGUUCCUCCUCCGAAUACUCCUUGGAAGAUUUUGAACACAAGGAUAGUGUCCGGCUCUACAAAACAAGUUCCACAUACCACCGUACAGAGAAUAAUAUUUCCACAAAUCUAAUCUGCUGACACGUUUUGACAGCAUGACAUCAUGCCAUGUCCCGGUCAUUAUUCGAACCGUUUUUCUCAACCAGCACCGCACAUAUUGCGAGGCAGUUUUCUCGACACGUCUUGUCAAAGCAAAGAUCGUGUUCCCCUUAUUACGGGCUUCUCAUCAAUAUGGACGUGGGUAACCCAACCGCUCCAUCAAUUACGGUGCUUGGGGAAUAAGCGAUUUUAUCAGGUAAGUGGGGAGGCGCAUCGCUUCUUCCACCCUUAUAAAGGGAUUAGGAUUCACUCUUUUCAUGCACGCCUUCUUCCUCCUUGCUUUCCCAUUCUCGCACACUCGAGUUGCUACGCCCAAGUUCACGUAUUUCUUCUCAAACCACUCCAAGCAUGUCCGAAGCGGGAGGCAAGUGGAUGGUCUCCUCCGUCACGGAGGAGAACAUCACAAAGUUACGGGAAGCCAGAUAUCAGGCAACGGAUAUCACGCACCGGCUGCUAGAUGUAGGGCAGAUCAUCCCUACGCUCGAACCCCAUGAGAGGGUAGUUUUUCUUACCCACUUUGUCCGCGAACUGGGAUUUCCUCUCCACCUGACGGUGUCCUGGACUAGGGGGUACUCACCACGUCAUCUCCCGAUCUGUUAGAUUGGGCUGAGGACCCCCAUGGCCGUAUAGUCAUGGGCCAGUUCGGACAGCUGCCGCAUACAUGGAAGAUUCUACAAAACUUGGUGAUCAAGACAAGGACUGCUCUCCACCGGCGUAUUCGGCUAGGACUCUUGUUAUCCUAGGCCUCUGGUGCAUUAUAUAAACCGAGGCCAGGCUAGUCGAUAGAGAUAUACAUACAAUCAUACCAUAGGCUAGCUUCUAGGGUUUAGUCUCUCCGAUCUCGUGGUAGAUCAACUCUUGUAAUACUCAUAUCAUCAAGAAUAAAUCAAGCAGGACGUAGGGUUUUAUCUCCAUCAAGAGGCCUCGAACCUCGGUAAAACAUCGUGUCCCUGCCUCCUAUUACCAUCUGCCUUAGACGCACAGUUCGGGACCCCCUACUCGAGAUCCGCCGGUUUUGACACCGACAUUGGUGCUUUCAUUGAGAGUUCCACUGUGUGUUCGGCAAAAGAUUGAUGGCUCGCCUGCAAAACAACUGUGACUUCAGCAUCUUCGUCACCAGCUCGACUAGUCACCCUAGUUUGACCAAGGACUGCGCCCUACCUCCGAUCGUCAUGUUCGGAUGAGGGCCUUUAUAAACAUCAACUCCGAUCUCUAUCAAGAUCAUGGAGGAAUCAUCUAGGGAGCCCGGGGGCUCAACGUCAACAUUGCCCUCGGGUGACUGUGCUGUUUUUCUGGACAGCAAACUUGUGUCCGCCGCCACCGCCUCCUCAAGUGUCUUUUUAACGAUCACUUUGGUGGAAUUGUGCGGAAUUGAGUCUACAACAACCCUUGAAAAUUUCGUCGAGUUCCGUUGGAGGAAUCUCUGGCAAUCCACGAUAUACCGGAGCCCUGUCAAAUCUGGACGGGAAUUUGGAUGAGUUUAGGGUGUGGUGUCCACCUUCUAUCUCGGACGUCCUUUGGAAGAUCCAACCGUCGAUCGGCUGCAAAAUUCCUAUAUCUACCACCUCUCCAAAUUUCAGCUCGAUCCUACCGUCCAAACUCCGGGAACUUCCGAUUAGUGCAUCACUUUUCGGAUCUCUUUUUUGCGCGAAAACGAAUCCGAACCGAGUUUGUCUUUUUUAUGAACGGGAUUUCGGACAUCCCUUUUGAAGGAAGUUUUGUAUGGGGUAUUGUGUUUUGUUUCUGAACACACCCCGCUAACUUUAAGAUCUUUUGAUCAUGCUGGUGUUAAACCAGUCCGGCAAUAUUGCUCCACAGCUGCCGACCAGCGCUAGACAUGUAGUCACUUUGUUGAGCCGAGCUCAACUUUUUCGGAUCAUCAUCUCGGCAAGCCGAACAGGAAUCCGGUAUCGCGAAGGAUAAAUCAUCACCAACAUCGCCGCCCCACGGAUUACAUGGAGCGGGCAUACCAGCAUCGCCGCACGGUCGCUUCAUCAGGCCGGCAUCGACCACGUCACGACCUGCAUCGGCAGGGCCACACUAUUGCUUCUUCAAGCUGGUGUCCAUCACGCCGACCUGCUUCGACUCAUCGGCUGACAUCGAGGCUUCGACAUCUCGGCUGGACCAGGGGCUUCGCCAUCUCUUCAUCAACCUACUCCGGACACUUUGGCGUCACUAGCCGACAAGCUCCGUCACGUUAGCUGGACCGAGGGCUUUGCCUCGGCGAGCCAACCUUUGCCAGCAUUGCCAUGCCGUCGUUUUAUCACCCAUCAGGCAAUGGGUGUGCGGAUCGAGUCCCAAUUUUGGGAAUCACCUUCCUUCGGAUUGCUACAACAAAUAAACCAGGUGCAAUUAAUCCCAGUAUUUUUUGCUUGUUUGGGUUCAUUUUUCCCAAGGAAUUAUUACUCUGAUUUGUCCAUCAUAUGUACACAGGUCUAUCAAAUGGUGGCCGCAUUAACGAUAGUCGCAUGGUGGUUCGGUCAGUUUCCGUACAUAGUUUGGCGAACGCCGCAUCCGGAGCUCAGACCGACCUAUGAAUUCAGGCUUUGCAACGCCUUUACCGCAUCACGCCGAUGCCCUGCAUCAACAUUAACUUCGGCGCCAGACCAUAUUUCUUUUAUUAGUCACUUUGCAUAAAUUAUUUAUUAUGCAACGAUUUUUUUAAUUAUCAUUAUUACUAUUAUCUCUGGUUUGCACUAUUUUUUGUGCAUAGGAAAAUGAUCCGGGGACUUUGGCGUCACUCUGCCGGUCUGCAUUGACCGUGCUAUGUCACCACUUUGGUGUGUCGAGCUCGCCGCUCCGCCACCUCGGGACCGGCUUGGGGGAUGGAACCUUGUCCCGCAUCAAGCUCGGACCGCGUCAUCUAUACCGAACACAUUAACCAGCUAAGUCACUUUCAUGCUCAAAGCUUUAAUUUCUAACUUGUGUUCGGUUCGACCAAGCAUUAUACUUUUUUGGAAAAAAGUUGCUUGUAAAAAAUUUCCUUGCCCAAACUUUGUUUGUGACGCAUAAAUUCAAAUACCCAAUUCAUUUGGGGGCUUCCUUCAUGAAGCUUUUCCUCUUGCAUAUGAUUAUACUUGUACGGCUUCAUUCCUGGUUCAUGUAUUACACCACAAUAUGCACCAUAUUGACUUAAGCGAUUUGCAAGCUGGGUUGCCUCGCUCCUGUGUUUACCCCUACGUUCCCGAUUGUUCGACUAGGGAGUAAAGGGAGCACCUCUACGAUUGUCAUGAUCGGGUCAUCCGAGCCGGACCUCAGACUGGGUGAAGCCGAAAGCUAGCGCUCUUAUAGUUUUCAAUGAUGGUCGGCACACAACGGAACUCAUGAGUACAAAAAAUCUAUUGCACAAGUCUCAUAAUAACAAUGAGCACCGAAGAAAGGUAUCGAUGGGGGUACUAUUUUCUUCGAAGAUGCUUCUUACACUUCGCAGUAAUAUAGCAUAAGUUCCCUGAGCGCGCUUUGUCUGUUACAGCCUUAUGGCCUGAUUGCCUGGUUAUUGGAAACACCAUCGAUAUUCUCAACAGAUGGAGUACAUAACACUUUUCGGUCCUUGACCGAAGAGGGAGAAGCCGAUGGUCGGUUAAGACGCGUUUAAAGUUCGGUUGAACAUAGAUAUGAUAUAAGUACUUCGGUACAUGCAAUCAUUCUUUUACCCAAGUCACUUGGGGGCUCUUAAAUUUAUGUGAGCCGUUUUAUGAUAAGUGUUCUUCUUCUUAGUCGUUCCAAAGUUUUAUUAUUAUUAUCAUUAUUAUUAUUAUCUAUCACUCCUUUUUUCGACACGAGCGUGUGGUCACUAGCCGGGGAGCCUAAUUUCUCUCUCAAUGCCGCUAGAGUUUAGUUUGCUAAAGUGGCCUAAUGAGAAGUACUUCGCCCUCGGGAUAGGAGGUUGAAGCCAUAGGCUGACCCGCUUGAAGUCUUGAGAUAGGAUGUGUCAUGUUAAAGCACGACAGAAGCACUUUUUUUGCCAAUUUUCGGAUUGGCACCGAACACGUGAUCUUGCUUGGAUGUCAAGUUUUUACUGACGUUUUUUUGGUUUUCCAAGCUUGUGGCACUUUUAAACUAUUUGUGUGUUUUCAGCACAAGUCUCGUAGUGCAACACCGGACACCUUUAGAGAUUCGGCAAAAACAUUCUUGGAUAUUGCUAUAUAUGCAUCGGUUUCGAAUUGUGUCUUCGGUCAAUAGUUGGGUUGCCCGGCUCCUGCUCUUGCCUCUUAUGUUCCGCUUUGUUUGGCUAGGUGUGCAAAGGGAGAACCACUGCGAUUGUGCUUCCACCUGACAUGGUUAAGCACCUCAGUGGAGAAAGCCGAAAACUGACUGUCACAAUAAGCGUAAACUGGUCAGCGAUCCAAUGACGGUGUUAAAUGACGGGCCAUUAAUAACAAUGGACGAAGUGUUUACGGCUUGACCUCGACUGUCGCCGAACACUACCUGGGGCUAUUACCUGGCCUCCCAAACUAAAUCCUCAAUAUUUUGCUCUUACAUUAGAGCUGAGGUUUCAUGAUCAUGCUUAGCAUGACAACCCAAAGAAAGAAACCAAUAGCGGGACUAUUUUCUUUGGAAGACAUUUCUUAUGUUAAACCAUAAUAUAACAUAUCUCUCUGCGUACCUUUGUUUAUAAAACCGUAUGGCUAGAUUGCCUUGUUUGUCGUAAAUCUUUACCCUCAUAAAGGCUUUAUAAAGUAGGACAAACACUCCUCGGCUACUGGCCGAGGAGGUGGAAGCCGAUGGUCGGUCAACAAAGUUUUGUACAAUGCGGAUCCAAGCAUUAAUGACGUAAAGUACUUGGAUACAUAGAGUCAUUACACAUAAUUUGUGAUUUUACUAUGUAUAUUGAUCCUUAAUUCGGCCACCCAUGCCCGCAUUAAGGCUCGGGGGCUACUGGGCUCUGGGCUUAUUAUUUACAAAUAUUAAAGGGGCACAUCGAUCCCCUGAUCUGGUGUUGCCACCCGACCAGUGUCUCAGGGGCUACUGCAUUGCCUAUCCAAUGCAAAAAAUUUUAAGUGCAAUACAGUUUCUGAGGAGAUUUUGAUCCUUAGGUUGGUUGGCCGCACCCAACCCGAGUCUCGAGGACUGAGCAUGCCGCUUUUUGUGUCCCGAAGUAUCCUGCCGAGCUAGGACUUGAUCCUCAGGCCGAUUUUACAAAUCAACGUGAGUCUCAGCAGCUACUGGGAUCAGCGGUCUUACGUCAUCCUUCAGGUGCAUCUCGGGUUUUAAACCGACACACACCUUGAGGGAUACUGGCUAUAUAUCUCGGCAGAGAAUAAAUUGCACCAAUCAAAAAUAUUGAGAAAAAAUACCUCGAAUGCUAUCCGGCGUUAGAGGUCGGACGCAAGAGGACACUGCCUCCCGGGAACAACUUCAAACCUGAGGUGUGGCAUAAAAAUAACAAGGCAUUGAUAAAGGCCGGAAACUUAAAGAGGCUCCUGAGAUACCCGACGUGUAAACUUGUCGAAUGCAUUUCGGCGAUCCUCAAGAUCGAAGAUGGGAAGAUUUGUUGAACCAGUUUCCAAGACCGACAACCGAAGAUGAAGAACAGUUCGGAAGAAUCGAGGAGCGUCUCUAACUUGAAGACCAGUUCAGGGGGCUACUGACGGUGUCCUUGACUAGGGGGUACUCACCACGUCAUCUCCCGAUCUGUUAGAUUGGGCCGAGGACCCCCAUGGCCGUAUACUCAUGGGCCAGUUCGGACAGCUUCCGCAUACAUGGAAGAUUCUACAAAACUUGGGGAUCAAGACAAGGACUCCUCCCCACCGGCGUAUUCGGCUAGGACUCUUGUUAUCCUAGGCCUGUGGUGCAUUAUAUAAACCGAGGCCAGGCUAGUCGAUAGAGAUAUACAUACAAUCAUACCAUAGGCUAGCUUCUAGGGUUUAGCUUCUCCGAUCUCGUGGUAGAUCAACUCUUGUAAUACUCAUAUCAUCAAGAAUAAAUCAUGCAGGACGUAGGGUUUUACCUCCAUCAAGAGGGCCCGAACCUGGGUAAAACAUCAUGUUCCCUACCUCCUAUUACCAUCCGCCUUAGACACACAAUUCGGGACCCCCUACCCGAGAUCCGCCGGUUUUGACACCGACACCACCCGUUUGUCUGCGGGCUCAUGUUCUACUAUGGGCUGGAUUUUCAUUAUCUGACCCCCAAUUUCAUCCUCAACAUCUCGGCGUUCAUCGUCGUGUGCGAGGCCUUCCUCCACAUUAGGCCCCAUUUUGGCCUGUGGCUGAAGACCUUCAAUGUCAAACCGAAGGUGGUGGUUGGCCAGCAAGCAGAGUGCGGAGGCGCCAUGGUGGGAAAAAUGCUUAACGUCACCUGGCUCGAAGGCUCCUACAUGGAGACCAUAAAGGGGUGGCAAUCGGGUGGUUCUACAUCACCGAGCCGUGCGACACCAACUGGGUGGCGGCCCCCAUAUUUCUAUCCGGAAUCCCCACGCAGCUCACUUCUUGGAAAGAGUAGGGCUUGUCCUGGGGUUCUUCGGUAGAGCUGACCGGACUCCAGACCUGCAUCACGAACAUGAUGAGCAAGAAAAUCAAGCUCGUCAACGUGGUCCAGGUCAUGCUCUUCCACCGGAUUCUCCCGUGUCAACGACGGGCAUUCAAUUUGUGGGAGUUCGACCCGGCCAAGCACCAGAAGCUGCGAGAGCUCUAUGACACGACGCACAAGGAUGUAUGGAGGGUGCUGUUCAAGGGCGUCGAGGUACCUCCUUCCCUCACCGAGGACCGCGGACUCAGCGCAAAGCGUCGUGCCAAUCCGGUAAGUUUUGAUAUAUCACAGGGUAUUUAUUUACCCCAGUUAAAUCAUGUGAGGGAUCUAAGCUUCCAUGUCAUUAACAGGACUGGAUAAAGACAGCGGAAUAGCUCGAUUGCCCAGCCCGCUCCCUGAAGAUCCUGCAGAUGCUCUCCUAAUAGAGAUGCUGGCUCCGGCACCUUACGAGGUGCCGACAAAGAAGACCAAGAAGAAGGCCACGAGGACCCAAAAGGGUCUCCGGUGCAAGGUUGUAUCGGACUCAUCGCCCUAUGACUCCGACGCGCCCUCCUCCCAUGAAAAUGAGGAGGAGCAGGAGGAAAGCUCUCCCCCCAGCCGGGGGAGACAAGAAAAGGAAGGCCAACCCAACCGGGGAGGCCGAAGGGUCCAAGAAGGGAAGGACCCUCCCUCCGUACUGCUCCACGACGGCCGCCUACAGUGGCGACGAGUGGCUACCCAGGGUCAAGCCCCUGGCGAAGCCGUAAGUAUCCAGACACAUAGUAAUUCAUGGUAUGUUUUAUUGCACUACUUCUCCUCAUGCUGAACAUGAUUAUGCAGUCCGUCCCGAGCUUGUUGAUGGAGUCAUGUACCUAGGGUAGGGUCACAGACCUGAUCUAAGUACCCUGCCCAAGGACACCCUUAGAAGAGAUCACCUUCCAGUCGACCUACAAGGGACUCACUCGACUGACUUGAAGGACUCGACCACGAAGACUCACUCGACCACCAGAAGGUCAAGAGGCACUCUGCACUGCAACGGCCUGUAAUUAAGUAGACUUUAUGAUAGUAAAGACACUUUAUGUGGGGCGUUACCAGUAACACCCCGGACUUAAUGUACCUUAAACCCUUCAUUACGUGGGUUGGCUGGGGUCCUGGCGCACUCUAUAUAAGCCACCCCCCUCCACAGGCAGAGGGGUUCGGCACCUUGUAAUCCAUAUACACAUAAUCCACUCAACCGCCUCCGGGCUCCGAGACGUAGGGCUUUUACUUCCUCCGAGAAGGGCCUGAACUCGUACAUCUCUUGUGUUUACAACCUCUCCAUAGCUAGGACCUUGCCUCUCCAUACCUACCCCCCACUCUACUGUCAGACUUAGAUCCACGACAGUUGGCGCCCACCAUGGGGCGGGUGUUUUAGCGAUUUUGUGGAGAAGUUGCGAUUCUUCCAAGUACUUUCAUCAUGGUAGCUGCUGGAGUUUUGGUCGAGGGUCGAGAGAUUCGUCUCGGUGCCCUCACCUUCGUCGCCGACGACUCCGCCUGGCUCCAGGAGGCUCCACUCGACGUCGAUGCGCUCCCCAUCCGCGGUGCGACGCAUUUUCGCGCAUGUGUCCGCGGCGUUCUGCUGCGGCAACCGUCGACCCCAUAUCGGUCGACUCCCCUAUCGACCACCCUCCCGGUCCCCCGCCAGUGCAAGCGCUCGGGUCGGUCGAGGCUUUAGCGGUGGGUGAGACACGCGGUGGCUCGCCAGACGGCCACCACCCAAGUUGCGGCAAUCGAGCCCGACGAAUCUCUCUACGGCCUGUUCGAUCUGUCGACUGGCUCCGUAGAGACUGCAUCCGAAUGCGAUAGCAGUGAUCCAGCGGCAGAAAUCCUGAUGGUCGACGGGCCUCGCAGCCCCCCUGGCUUCGCCCGUGAUGGUGGGGCAGGCGACGGAGGCGACCCCGCACGAGACCACGAAGAGUACCAGCCCGAGCCACUCGACUCUCUGCAAAGAGAAGAACUUCGCCGCAGGAACAUGGAUGCCCUGCAUACUCCCAUCACAGGAGAAACCCCCGAGGCUCGCGCCUUGGAGGAGGCACGUUUGGCCAAUUUGGCCGAACGCGCUCGCCUGGAGAAUCUUCAGCGAGCACUCGACGAGCGCGCGCGGCAACGAGUUCCCGACGCCAGUCGACGUUAACUCUUCCCGCCGACUCAGGUAUAUCGAACCCCAAUCCAGAAUUUAGCAGCUGCGACCCGUAUAGCAGAGUCCAUCCAGCCCUCUCAGUCGGAAGCUGGCAGAGGCUUGAUGCAGAUCAAGGAUCUGCUCCGGGCAGCAGGAGAUCAGAAUUCAGCCGUGUCGCAGUCGCGCAACAGAAUUCACAGUCGAUCCGUCGCUGCGAAUACGGUUCAGUCGGCUCACAGUCCCAGAUCGCCUCCGCGGCGUGAGGGGCGCGAGAAUCGGCGAGACCAAUAUGGAGACCGACACGACCGAGAUGAUAGGUGUCGAGUGCCCACUUCCCCUCUGAGGGGUGGGUCUUACGCUCCUCGGCAGCAAGAUGACAGACGUCAGCUCAGUGCGGGGCGAAGAGUUCCAGUCGACCCCAGGGAACCAGGCUUCGACGCGUGAUCCAUUAUCGUGCAAGGCUUGGUCGACCGGAACAGAGCCCAUCGAGGUGGACUCGACAGAGAUGCGGCCACGAGCAGUCGAGUGCACGUUUCUGGUCCGGAAUGUUUCAGUAGAGCUAUCAGAGCCGCAGUGAUUCCUCCCAAUUUCAGGUUGGCAACAGGAGUCAGCAAGUUCACCGGUGAGUCUAAGCCUGAAAUUUGGCUUGAGGACUACCGAGUGGCAGUUCAGAUUGGUGGUGGGAAUGACGAGGUGGCCAUGAAGCAUUUGCCCCUUAUGUUGGAAGGUUCCGCCAGAGCGUGGUUGAAUCAGUUACCUCCUAGCAGCAUUUACACUUGGGAAGAUCUGUCCCGAGUGUUCGUCAGAACAUUUGAAGGAACUUGCAAGCGACCGGCUGGAUUGAUGGAGCUGCAAGUCUGCGUGCAGAAGACCAAUGAGACUCUCAGGGAGUAUGUUCAGAGAUGGAUCACUUUGCACCAUACUGUGGAGAAUGUGUCUGAUCAUCAGGCAGUCUGCGCCUUCAAGGAUGGUGUCAAGAACAGAGAAUUGAGUUUGAAAUUUGGUCGAACCGGAGACAUGACCUUGAGUCAGAUGAUGGAAAUUGCUACCAAGUACGCCAAUGGUGAAGAAGAAGACCGACUCCGAAGUGGCAAGCACAAGCCGAGCCAGUCGGAGAAGGGAAACACCAGUCGGAAACAGAAGUGGAAGGCUGAACCGGCAGCUCCUGGAGUGGCUCUGGCCAUGGCUCAUGGAAAGUUUAAAGGGAAACCAAAAGGAUCCUGGAACCCUAAGAAGGUAAAGGAUAAAGAAGGGAACGACGUGAUGGAUAUGCCGUGUCAUAUCCACACGAAGAAAGACAAAGAGGGGAAUAUCAUUUACCCAAAGCAUACCACUCGCCAAUGUCGACUCCUGAUCCAGCAGUUUCAAGGAAAACAGUCUAAAGACAAGGAAAAGGAGUCGGACAAGGCCGAAGACAAGGAGGACAGUGAGGAAGGAUAUCCGCAUAUCAACUCCACUCUGAUGAUCUUUGCAGAUGUGGAAAGCAAGAGUCGAUUGAAAGUCAUUAACCGCGAGGUGAACAUGGUUACCCCAGCAAAAGCAAAUUAUCUGAGAUGGUCCCAAACACCCAUCACAUUCGACCAAUCUGAUCACCCGACUCAUAUUGCCACCCCUGGGAGGCAAGCUCUGGUGGUCGAUCCAGUUGUCGAAGGCACUCGACUGACAAAAGUGCUGAUGGACGGUGGUAGCGGGCUGAAUUUGUUGUAUGCAGACACACUGAAAGGAAUGGGCAUUCCGAUGUCCCGACUGAGCACCAGUAACAUGAGCUUUCAUGGAGUUAUACCAGGGAAGAAAGCCGAGUCACUCGGCCAAAUAGCUCUGGACGUGGUGUUUGGUGAUUCGAAACAUUUUCGCAAAGAGAAGUUGACGUUUGAGGUCGUGGAUUUUCAGAGUGCAUAUCAUGCCAUCUUGGGGAGACCAGCUUAUGCACGGUUCAUGGCUCGACCAUGUUACGUGUACCUCAAAUUGAAGAUGCCAGGCCCCAAAGGAGUGAUCACUGUCACCGGUGAUCGGAAAAAGGCAGAAGAGUGCUUUCAGAAGGGCUCAAAGAUUGUUGAUUCCCAGGUGACAGCGGUUGAGUUUGAAGAAUACAAGCAAAACGCAGAUCCGAGUGAUUUGCUGCGAUCCAAGAAACCCACCACAGAAUCUGCAUUUCAGUCGUCCGGUGAGACAAAGCCUAUUCACAUUCACCCGACCGACCCCGAUGCAGCACCGACCCACAUCUCCACAACACUCGACCCGAAAUAGGAAGAAGCGCUCAUCCAGUUCCCCCGUGAGAACUGGGACAUUUUUGCAUGGAAGCCCGCUGACAUGCCAGGUGUUCCCAGGGGACUGGCUGAGCAUCGCCUAAGAGUCGACUCAUCAGCAAAACCAGUCAAAGAGCAUCUUCGGCGGUCCGCCGUCCAGAAGAGAAAAGCCAUUGGUGAGGAAGUGGCUCGACUGUUGGCAGCAGGAUUUAUCCGAGAGAUAUACCACUCCGAGUGGCUCGCUAAUGUCGUCAUGGUUCCUAAGAAGGACAAAUCGCUCCGAAUGUGCAUUGAUUUCAAGCACAUCAACCGGGCCUGCCCGAAAGAUCAUUUUUCUCUCCCUCGCAUAGAUCAAAUUGUUGACUCGACCGCGGGAUGAGAGAGAUUGUCUUUUCUAGACGCCUACUCCGGGUACCACCAGAUCCGUCUGUACGGACCCGACGAGGUAAAAACAGCUUUCAUCACUCCAUUCGGGUGCUUCUGCUAUAUCACCAUGCCAUUCGGCCUCAAGAAUGCCGGAGCCACAUUUAUGCGAAUGAUUCAGAAGUGUCUACUCACUCAAAUCAGUCGGAAUGUGGAAGCGUAUAUGGAUGAUAUCGUCGUCAAGUCACGAAAAGGUUCCGACCUGCUCGCUGACCUCGCCGAAACAUUUGCCAACCUCAGAAGGUAUGAUAUCAAGCUCAAUCCAUCAAAGUGCACAUUCGGAGUUUCUGGUGGCAAGUUACUCGGUUUUCUCGUUUCCGAGCGAGGGAUCGACGCUAAUCCAGAAAAGAUCGGCACCAUUCUCCGAAUGAAACGCCCUGUGCGAGUGCACGAUUUCCAGAAGCUUACUGGAUGCUUAGCCGCAUUAAGUCGAUUCAUCUCACGACUCGGUGAAAAGGCAUUGCCUCUUUACCGACUGAUGAAGAAGGCAGACAAGUUCGAGUGGACUCCAGAAGCUGAUGCAGCAUUUGCCGAGCUAAAAGCUCUGCUCUCCACCCAGCCGGUGCUUGCUGCUCCAAUCAGCAAAGAGCCUCUGUUGCUUUAUAUCGCAGCCACAGGACAAGUCGUUAGUACAGUGCUUACGGUCGAGCGGGAAGAAGAAGGAAAAGCUUUCAAAGUUUAGCGCACAGUGUAUUAUUUGUCUGAAGUCUUGACUCCAUCCAAGCAGAGAUAUCCUCAUUAUCAGAAGCUUGUGUAUGGAAUAUACAUGACCACAAAGAAGGUUGCUCAUUAUUUCUCUGAUCAUUCCAUCACAGUCGUCAGCGAUGCUCCACUAUCAGAGAUUUUGCACAACAGAGAUGCAACUGGUCGAGUGGCGAAAUGGGCGAUUGAACUUCUUCCCCUUGAUAUCAAGUUUGAGGCAAAGAAAGCCAUUAAGUCCCAGGCAAUAGCAGAUUUCCUCGCCGAGUGGAUUGAACAGCAGCAGCCGACUGAAGUCCACUCGGAGCAUUGGACCAUGUUUUUUGAUGGCUCUAAGAUGUUGAAUGGUUCCGGUGCUGGGGUUGUCCUGGUUUCCCCCAGAGGAGAUAAGCUCAGAUAUGUGCUCCAGAUUCACUUUGAUUGCUCCAACAAUGAGGCAGAGUAUGAGGCCCUCUUAUACGGAUUGCGCAUGGCCAUUUCACUCGGCGUCCGUCGCCUGAUGGUCUAUGGCGAUUCAGAUUUAGUGGUCAACCAAGUGAUGAAGGAGUGGGACGUGAGAAGCCCAGCCAUGACUGGAUACUGCAGUGCAGUGAGGAAGCUGGAAAAGAAGUUCGAGGGGUUGGAGCUCCAUCAUAUACCCCGACUGAAAAAUCAAGCAGCUGAUGGUCUAGCAAAGAUAGGUUCCAAGAGAGGAGCCAUUCCGAGUGGUGUGUUCUUGGAGCAUAUACACACUCCGUCGGUCAAAGAAGAUCCUUUCACCGAAGAAGCUCCACAGCCCAAGAGUGCCACAGAUCCGACUGAGGUUGAAGUCCCAGCAGUGGUCGACUUAGUCAUGGAGGUCUUGGUGGUCAUUCCCGACUGGACAGUUCCGUAUAUCGCGUAUAUCCUGAGAAAAGAGCUCCCGGAGGAUGAGGAAGAGGCUCGACAGAUCGUCCAUCGAUCUAAAGCCUUUACCGUAAUCAAAGGACAGCUAUAUAGAGAAAGCGCGACUGGAGUUGGUCAGAAGUGCAUAACACCAGAAGAAGGUCGAAUCAUCCUUAACGAUAUCCACUCAGGAACCUGUGGUCAUCAUGCGUCCUCUCGGACCAUCAUGGCCAAAGCAUACCGAGCCGGAUUUUACUGGCCAAAGGCGAAUGAGAUGGCAAAGGAAAUAGUGGAUAAGUGCGAGGGAUGUCAGUUCUACUCGAAUAUGUCACACAAGCCUGCAUCAGCUCUGAAGACCAUUCCACUCGUCUGGCCUUUCGCAGUAUGGGGGUUGGACAUGGUCGGUCCUUUGAGAACAGGGCAAAGUGGCUUCACGCAUGUACUGGUGGCAGUCGACAAGUUCACCAAGUGGAUUGAGGCUAAACCAAUCAAGAACCUUGACGCCGGUGCUGCUGUUAGCUUCAUCAGGGAACUGAUAUUCAGAUAUGGAGUCCCGCACAGCAUCAUUACGGAUAAUGGGUCGAACUUUGACUCGGAAGAAUUCAGGGAUUUCUGCAACUCUCAAGGCACACGAGUCGACUACGCUUCGGUCGCCCAUCCGCAGACGAAUGGACAAGCAGAGCGAGCCAAUGGCCUGAUUCUCAAGGGAUUGAAACCCCGACUGAUGCGUGAUCUCAAGCAUGCAGCUGGAGCUUGGGUCGACGAACUUCCCUCGGUGCUUUGGGGACUGCGGACCACACCUAAUCGGUCGACCGGAAGAACUCCAUUCUUCUUGGUCUACGGAGCUGAAGCAGUCCUGCCGAGUGAUCUUCUCCACAAUGCUCCUCGAGUUGAGAUCUACAACGAAGCAGAAGCUGAACAAGCGCGGCAAGACGCAGUCGACCUUUUAGAGGAAGAAAGAGAGAUGGCUCUGACCCGAUCGACCAUUUACCAACAAGAUUUGCGUCGUGUCCACGCCAGAAAUGUGAGGGGUCGAGCCUUCCAGGAAGGAGAUUUAGUUCUCCGAGUGGAUCAGAAGAAACCUCACAAGCUUGCUCCUUCUUGGGAAGGACCCUUCAUUGUCACCAAAGUUCUCCACAACGGGGCGUACCGUCUUUAGAACGUCAAACAUAAUAUCGACGAGCCCCGAGCUUGGAACGCGGAACUACUCCACCCAUUUUACACUUAAGUUUAUCACUCGGAUGAGUUGCAAUAAAGUACUCCUGUAGUUCAUGGAUUUCAAAAUAAUAGUGUCAUAGUUCCUCCAUAAUUUUUGUCACUUUUUAUUUUUGUCCAAUAAAAUUUUCCCCUCAGUGGGUGACUUAGCCGCGAAUCCGUUUCGCCUAAGUUUGUAAAAAUCCUUACCGAGUGGUGAGCCAGACUCCCACUCGGAGGCUUAGCUGCGAAUCCGUUUCGCGUAAGAUUAAAUAAAAUCCUUACCGAGUGGUGAGCCAGACUCCCACUCGGAGGCUUAGCUGCGAAUCCGUUUCUCCUAAGAUUAAAUAAAAUCCUACCGAGUAUUAAGCCUGACUUCCACUCGGGGGCUUAGCUGCAGCCCAGUGCUCGCCUAAGUUAUAAAAAUCCUACCGAGUGGUAAGCCAGACUUCCACUCGGAGGCUUAGCUGCAGUCCAAGUACUCGCCUAAGUUAUCAAAAUCCUACCGAGUGGUAAGCCAGACUUCCACUCGGGGGCUUAGCUGCAGCCCAGUGCUUGGCUAAGUUAUAAAAAUCCUACCGAGUGGUAAGCCAGACUUCCACUCGGAGGCUUAGCUGCAGUCCAAGUACUCGCCUAAGUUGUCAAAAUCCUACCGAGUGGUAAGCCAGACUUCCACUCGGAGGCUUAGCUGCAGUCCCAGUGCUCGCCUAAGAUAUAAAAAUCCUACCGUGUGAAGAGCAAACCUCUCACUCGGAGGCUUAGCUGCGGUCCAAGUACUNNNNNNNNNNNNNNNNNNNNNNNNNNNNNNNNNNNNNNNNNNNNNNNNNNNNNNNNNNNNNNNNNNNNNNNNNNNNNNNNNNNNNNNNNNNNNNNNNNNNNNNNNNNNNNNNNNNNNNNNNNNNNNNNNNNNNNNNNNNNNNNNNNNNNNNNNNNNNNNNNNNNNNNNNNNNNNNNNNNNNNNNNNNNNNNNNNNNNNNNNNNNNNNNNNNNNNNNNNNNNNNNNNNNNNNNNNNNNNNNNNNNNNNNNNNNNNNNNNNNNNNNNNNNNNNNNNNNNNNNNNNNNNNNNNNNNNNNNNNNNNNNNNNNNNNNNNNNNNNNNNNNNNNNNNNNNNNNNNNNNNNNNNNNNNNNNNNNNNNNNNNNNNNNNNNNNNNNNNNNNNNNNNNNNNNNNNNNNNNNNNNNNNNNNNNNNNNNNNNNNNNNNNNNNNNNNNNNNNNNNNNNNNNNNNNNNNNNNNNNNNNNNNNNNNNNNNNNNNNNNNNNNNNNNNNNNNNNNNNNNNNNNNNNNNNNNNNNNNNNNNNNNNNNNNNNNNNNNNNNNNNNNNNNNNNNNNNNNNNNNNNNNNNNNNNNNNNNNNNNNNNNNNNCUACCGAGUGAAGAGCAAACCUCUCACUCGGGGGCUUAGCUGCAGCCCAGUGCUCGCCUAAGAUAUAAAAAAUCCUACCGAGUGAAGAGCAAACCUCUCACUCGGGGGCUUAGCUGCAGCCCAGUGCUCGCCUAAGAUAUAAAAAUCCUACCGAGUGAAGAGCAAACCUCUCACUCGGGGGCUUAGCUGCAGCCCAGUGCUCGCCUAAGAUAUAAAAAUCCAACCGAGUGAAGAGCAAACCUCUCACUCGGGGGCUUAGCUGCAGCCCAGUGCUCGCCUAAGUGGAUUAAGGAAUAAGUCGACUGCGGUGAGCGUCUUGCUUGAACCUGCAAAAGACAUUUCAAGCCAAAAGCAAUCAUAUUCAAACAUCAAAUUCAAGUUCGGAACGACACCUAAAGGAACCGAAAGUGCUCAGGCGCUAAGCCUGUUAAGGUUUAUCGGUUACAACUCCACUCGGCAUACCGAGGCAAAUUUAAAGCGUCGAGCUUAAAAGAAGUUUUUUACUCCUCCUGUGAAGGGCUGGAAGGUGCAACAAAUUCAUCAAGAUCAAUCCCGUCAGCGAUCCGAGUGGCAGCAGCAAUGAAAGUUUCCAUAAAGGACCUGAAGUCGUGUUUCUUGGUGUUGGCCACCCGGAGGGCCGCCAGCUUGUCUUCUCGCACAUCUUUGUAGUGGACUCGGGCCAGACACAGAGCAACAUCUGCACCGCACCGAGACGAGGACUUUUUCCACUCCUGCACUCGACCCGGGACCGUGUUCAAGCGAGCCACCAGCGACUCGAGGUCGUUCUGGAGUGUCUCCCUGGGCCAGAGCGUCGAGUUGAUGCGAGAUGUGGCGACCUUCAGCCUUGCAAGAUAGUCCACAACAGCUGCAACACGGGACUCCAGUCGGAAAACAUUCAUGGCAACUUCGUCGUUCACUGGAGAAUUGACAGGGUCAAGGUUUGGUUCUAGCCGGCUAGUCUCUUCUUCAAAGUCUUGACAAAAUUCUCCAAGGAUGAUCACCGAGUCAAGGCAAUGGUCGAAUGGAAAAAUCAUAGUUGAAAAUGAUUGUUGAGCAUAAAGGUUUACCUUCAAGCAUAAGGAACAGCUUCUUGGCAAGAUCACUCAGGAAGGCCUCGAGAUCAUUUUUCUUCUCAAGAGAAGCUUUCAGAUUGGUAUUUUCUUGUUCAAGCUUGGUGGCUGAAGCUAACUUCUCGUCGGCAAGCUUGAUCCUCUCAGCUAGUUCAAGGUCUUUUUUCUGUUGGGCCUCCUUUACCUUACCUGCAAGUUACAGCAAGAUCAGAUUUCGAAACAAGUAAAGGGAAAAAACAGUCGUCGAGAUCUCACCAAACAUACCUUUAGUCUCCUCCUUUGCCUUCGUCAGAUUCUCCUGAGCCAGCUUCAAAUCCAGCUCAAGCUGAAUGUGUUUGUUUUCCAGCUCAGUGUAGCGAGCCGCAAGGUCACAGGAUCUCUGCGAAGAAUCAAUCGACUAAAUGUCAAAGAUAAUUCACUUCCGAGUGAAAAAGGAAAAAUCAUGCAUUUCUAAGACUACAGUCGAAUACAAGCAUUUGACCGUAGUCUCGGGGACUACACCCAGUGGGUGCACUCAGCGUGCCCCCACUAAUCCUGUUGAAGACAGAGUCGACCAGUCGACCUCAAAAAAAAACAACAUGUAUUCUUUAAGACUGUAAUCGACUGCAAGCAGUCGACCACAGUCUCGGGGACUACACCCAGUGGGUGCACUCAGCGUGCCCCCACCGGUUUGCGAAAUCCAGUCGCCAUAGUCGAAUGACGGAAAGACUGAACUUAUAAAGCCUAAGGCCGACUGCCAGCAGUCGACCUUAGACUUGGGGACUACACCCAGCGGGUGCACUCAGCGUGCCCCCGCUAACACGGAGUUUAAAUCGACACACCCACUGGGUGAUUACUAUAAAUUCUGGAAAGAAAACAAGCGGUGGUCGACUGACCUGAACAUUGCUUUGAAGGGCGGAACUGGCGUCGUAAGCUGCCUGGCUCGCAUCCCGGAUGGUCUUCAACUGCUCCAUCAUGAUCCCUGCCUGGCGUAUCGCCUCCUUCGUGGCAUCAGCUUGGUCCUCUGGGACGUGGUGCGUCGUGAAGAGGGAGGGCUGCAGAGCACUCGUCAGUGGAUCUGCGAAGGACACAGUGUGUCGAGUGGUGUUUUCCUCCUCUGCGACCAGAGUCUCAGGCACCGUCACAUCCUGGGGCACCCUGCCGGCAGACGCUUUCCUACUCCUUCUGUGCUUCAGCGGCUCCUCAUCUUCAUCAUCAUCAGGGAGAGUGAUAACAACAUUGGAUGGAGCUACAGAAAAGAAUCAGAAUUAGAGAUCAUGAGUCAGUCGACUAGAAACGGUGUUAAGAGCAUAGUACCAGGUUUUGAGGUUGCUGCGUCCUCCAUCUCAUGGUCGUCAGCCCGGGCUGAGGUCUCAGAAGUAGCAGCACUGCAACUCCAAAGAUUCAGUCGACUAACUUCAGCGCCAACCAGAGAUAAUGUUCGCACAAAACAAGAAGACUCAAGCAGCAUGAUUACCCUGAUAUGGUGGGGAUGGACACCUUCAUCUUCGGCAGGAGCUUGGUCGGCUUUGACGGGGCCGCCCUGGGCUGCUUCGACGCCUUUUCAGUCGGCGCCGGAGAGGUGGUCCGAGGGCGCUUGGUCGACUGUGUAACAGUCGCAACCCCCUUGCCACGUUCAGUCGCAGGGUCAUGGACAAGUUUCGACCGCCUUUCCGAGCGCGGUGGUGCGACCUCCUCCUCCUCCUCCUCUUCCUCGUCCUCAUCGUCAUCAUCAUCAUCGUCAUCAUCAUCAUCAUCAUCCUCAACGGCGUCCGAGUCCCACUCCUCCUCCUGGCUCUCGCCCCCGCUCGCUUCUCCCUCCUCGGUCGGAGCCUGUGCUCCAUUGGGCAUCGAGUACAGCUCAGUGAGGGCCUGAUAGACAUCAAGACAAAGAUCAGUCGACCGAUCGGCAGAGCAAACAGAAAUAAAUGUGGCGAGAGUACAAUGGGAAGUGGAGCAGACAUACCUUGUUUGGAUCACUGUGGCAGUCGAGUGGAGGAAUCCUUCUGGCUCCGCGAGGGUUAUCCUUGUUCCCAGUAACAGCCGCCAUCCACCUUUCCAGAGUGGCAUCGUCGACUGCUUCUGGGUUGACCCGAGUCACCUCCUCAGUCCCGCAGUACAACCACAUGCAAUGGCUCUGGAACUGAAGAGGCUAGAUACGACGCCUAAGAAAAACCUCCAGGAGAUCCAUACCCGUCACUCCCUCCCGAACCAACUGAACUACACGCUCCAUCAGCAUCUUCACGUCAGCUUUCUCCUCCGAAAUCACCUUCAGAGAGGAGGGCUUGUUCACUCGGCCCAUGGUGAACUGAGGGAGUCCACUCGACUGCCCCGGCAUCGACUGAUCCUGGCAGUAGAACCAGGUCGACUGCCAGCCUCUGACUGAUUCGGGAAAUGUCAUGGCUGGGAAGGUGCUCUUGUUCCUCAUCUGGAUCCCCAGACCCCCACACAUUUGGACAACUCGGGUUUUUUCGUCGCCUGGGCUCGCCUUCUUCACGGUCUGAGAGCAACACAUGAAUAUGUGCUUGAACAAACCCCAAUGCGGUCGACAACCCAGGAAACUCUCACACAUGGACACAAACGCGGCAAGAUAGGCGAUAGAAUUCGGGGUGAAGUGGUGGAGUUGCGCUCCAAAAAAGUUCAAGAAACUACGGAAGAAAAUGCUCGGCGGCAAAGAAAAUCCGCGGUCGACAUGGGUAGCCAGAAGCACGCACUCACCCUCUUCCGGCUGGGGCUGCCACUCUUUCCCCGGAAGCCUCGCAGCUCCAUGGGGGAUCAGGCCCUCGUUGGCCAUGUCGAGGAGAUCCUUCUCCGUGAUGGUCGACUGGAUCCAAUCUCCCUGGACCCAGCCUUUCGGCAGGCGAGAUCUAGACGAAGACCCGCCACGACUGGUGGAUCUCCCCUUCGCCUUCUCCGUCGCUAACGCCUUCUUCGCGCGUUCCAACGCCGCCGUCUUCUCCUUGACCAUGGUUGCCGGCGGGACGCGCGAGGGGAGGUUGUGCGGAGGCGGGAGCGAGCGCGUUAGGCGGAGACGAAGGGAACAGAGGGAGAAUGCUGAGGCACUGUUCAAAAAACCCUCGCCGGGCGCAUUUAUAAGAUCCCUUCUGAGUGGAUGACAGGUGGGCCCGGUCGAUCUAAUCAUAUCCUGAACAGUUACGCGAACGCGAUACGUGGCAAAAAAAGCGGUGCGGGGAUCGAGGCGUCUAUGCCCUGUCCCGUCCGAACACCGCGGUCCGCCCCGCUUCACGCGCUUCCCCAAAUUUCGCAUCCUGCGGAAUCCGCGAACGGCAGAUCGGUCUACCAAACGCGGGAUUUCCUACGAUCCGUCGCUCGGAAAUCGGCGAAGUCCAAAAGAUCACUCGACGAAGGAAAAGAAUGGAUCGAGUCGACUGAAGAAAAGUUGCUCACUAUCAACAAAGAGAUUUUUUCAAAACAACGCACGACCAGUACGCGAAGGCUAAUCGGAAACAACAUCAACACCUACAUCACUCGAGCCUCAAUCCAUUCGGGGGCUAAUGAUGGAGUCAUGUACCUAGGGUAGGGUCACAGACCUGAUCUAAGUACCCUGCCCAAGGACACCCUUAGAAGAGAUCACCUUCCAGUCGACCUACGAGGGACUCACUCGACUGAUUUGAAGGACUCGACCACGAAGACUCACUCGACCACCAGAAGGUCAAGAGGCACUCUGCACUGCAACGGCCUGUAAUUAAGUAGACUUUAUGAUAGUAAAGACACUUUAUGUGGGGCGUUACCAGUAACGCCCCGGACUUAAUGUACCUUAAACCCUUCAUUACGUGGGUUGGCUGGGGUCCUGGCGUACUCUAUAUAAGCCACCCCCCUCCACAGGCAGAGGGGUUCGGCACCUUGUAAUCCAUAUACACAUAAUCCACUCGACCGCCUCCGGGCUCCGAGACGUAGGGCUUUUACUUCCUCCGAGAAGGGCCUGAACUCGUACAUCUCUUGUGUUUACAACCUCUCAAUAGCUAGGACCUUGCCUCUCCAUACCUACCCCCCACUCUACUGUCAGACUUAGAUCCACGACACUUGUCUCGACGUAUCUUCGUCGAGCGGUUCAUUGGACUCGUCAGAUAUGAAUAGCGGUUCUCUUCCGACCGCCUCCACCCCUCGCACUAUGGACAACGUUGAGGUGUUGUCUCGAAAGGCACCAAGCCGGGGGGAGGUGGUCCUGGGGGAUGUAAGGCCCCAGACACACCCGUCGGUGGUCGUUACUCCUGGCGGCAUCUAGACUGGCCCCACAGAUCAAUACUAGUCUUUUCUGUGCACUUUGUCCUCACUCAUGCACACCCGGGAGCAACUUCCCGGUCGGUCACCCAACCUGGCACUACUCCAAGCUGAGCACGCUUAACUUUGGAGUUCUGUCCGAAUGGGCUCCCAGAAAAGAAGGAAUUCCUUAUUGAUAUGAGUAGUCUAUCAUCCCUAAUAAGCCAGGCCAUUACAUACACCCCCACUCAGAGGAACCGAUGUCCUCGUCGGGCCACAGGAAUGUUCCCUCUUGGCACAUACGUCUGUGCUUCCAGUCCAGUACAUGUGCCAUGCCGUGUGCCAUGACGGGUCACAAACAUCAUGAACAACAUGACCACGCACCUGUCCGCAACCAUCCGUGUAACCGCGAGGGUCGGCUCUGAUACCAACUUGUAACGCCCCGGAUACACCCGCCGGUGGUCGUUACUCCUGGCGGGAUCUAGACUGGCCCCACAGAUCAAUACUAGUCUUUUCUGUGCACUUUGUCCUCACUCAUGCACACCCGGGAGCAACUUCCCGGUCGGUCACCCAUCCUGGCACUACUCCAAGCUGAGCACGCUUAACUUCGGAGUUCUGUCCGAAUGGGCUCCCGGAAAAGAAGGAAUUCCUCAUUGAUAUGAGUAGUCUAUCAUCUCUAAUAAGCCAGGCCAUUAUAGGAGCGCCUCGAGGCGACCUCCCAGACCCUGGGCGCAAAGGGAGCAAAACUCCCACGGGCUCCGAGUUCGGCCACCAGCUGAACACUGCACUAGAACCUUCGAUGGUUCCAGACUCCGGCAGGCGAUCCCCCGUUAAGGGGGGCCAGCCGCCCGUGCUGGUGUCCUCUGUCCAUCCAGAGGCACCAGACAACUUGCUGGAAGCGCUUCGCGGCGCUUCCAUCGACGAAGAGCACUGCACUAUCAUGAGUGCAGUGAUCGAGAAAGUUCAGUCCACCAAAAACGGACUGACCGAAGCUUGCGGCAGCCAACUAACAGGCUUUGAGGUAAGCAAUCAAAAUAUAUAUAAAGAAAUAUUACCGCAUAGAUAGUAGCCCCUGAUGCUCUGUUCAGCGUUCAAGAAGAAAGGCCGAAUAGAGGAUCAAAUGAUAACUUAGGAGUCUAAUCAGAAUAUAUCUAUGUGUAUGUGCAGGCUUCACUGCUGGCCGCUGCCGCACGUACUGCGAAGGUCUCUGCACUGAAGCAGGACCUGGAGCGGUCCGAGAACGAGCUCGGCCUUACCAAGAGGUAGCUCGACGAGAGCAAAGGUAAGCAAUACCUUGUCUACGCUUUUAAAAAGAAGUUCAGUUGUAAAAUAAUAGGAUCAUCAUGCAUUUGCCAGAGGCCACGACCAAGGUGGCGACCCCGAAGAAGGCAUUGUCCGAGGCCGAAAACAAAGCGGCCAAGGAGCUCCUUGAGCGGGAAAAGCAAGAAGCCCGAGUAGGCGAGGUGCAGCAAGAGCUCGAGGAUCUCGCCAAGAAACACGAGUCCUUGGAGCUUGACUCUAAGACGCGAGAGUCCGAGCUUGAGAAAGCGCUCGAAAGCGCCCGGAGCGCUAAGGAUGAAGCCCACAAGGCCCUCCAGGAUAUUGAUGCGGUGAAGAAGAUAGCAGCGGGUAAGGCAUCAUUAUGCAAAGCAAGCAUGUGAAGGAAACUUUCCUUUUACUUACCCGAGUUCGGAGCUCUACAGUAGUGUUCGUAGAUCUUCCUCACAGUGUACUGGAUGCCUCAGAGUUUUACCGAGCUCAGGAGGGGAGCUCGACGGAAAAGUUGUUCUGGUCUCAGUAUACUGGGACCAAACACCCAAUGCCUUUGAGUGACCAACUGAAGCAAUUGGUCGAGCUUCACAAGGCGACCGAACAGGCCAUGAGGGGCCUUAUAGUCUGGAUGUGGCCUGGCGAGCCCUGUCCGGCAGCUACUUCGGUCUGGUGAGGCGGCUUGUGGAGGCCUGCCCACGGCUUGAAGUCAUAAAGCGGUCUGUCUGCAUCAAGGGUGCAUGCAGGGCUUUUGCCCGGGCGAAGGUGCACUGGGCGAAGCUGGACGCCGUGAAGCUGGUGAAGGAGGGGCCGGCGGAGGACAAGGAGCAUCGCUGCCCCGAGAUGUAUUAUGAGAGUGUCCUAAAGGGUUCCCGCCUUGUGGCGGAUGAAUGUGCUAGGGAUGUAAUUUUUGAAUGAACAUGCUCAUGUGAUCCUGUAAUGUGAAACAAGUUCAUCUGCGCUAUGUAACACUUUUUUAAUUUAAAAGAUUACCUUUUAUGCGGCCGUUUAUAAAAUCUGAGAGUUGGCCAGUCGUCAGCUUCUGCCCCCAUGAAACUCAUACUGGGGUGUACGGGAUAAACCUAAGCACUCUUUACCCCUAUUUUGGGUCCUUCAAGGGAGGUGUUCAGUGCAACAAACCAGGCAAUCGGACUAUAAGGCUUUAUCACUCUCACUUAGCCAUAGAAGUAUACAUGCCGAAGCCGGGCAAGUCCGACUCCUCGCCCGAAGUAGAAAAAGUCUUUAUGGACUUGAGACCUCUCAAACAGCGACCAGUCUCUCGCCUUAUCAUGAGAGUUAGUUUUCGGCUUUCUCUACUGAGGUGCUCGUCCAAAAGAACCAGGACACAAUCGCAGUAGUUCUCCCACCGCUACCUUAACCGAUAUAGCGGAACGUAAGGUACCAAAGCAUGGGAGCCGGGCAAACGCAACUAUUGACCCAAGACAUGAUUCGGAGCUGAUGCAUAUAAUGCUAUAAGUUCGGGGUGCCGCACUGUCGAAAGCCACAUUGUGGGACGUGCCCUAAUCGUGCCCCCGCCUAUAUCCAUGGUAUUUUCAGUGCGUAAUUAUGUACGCGUGGCACGGAUUUCGUUGCUUGACCGGGACUGGGACGGGGGCCGAAUUGCUAGGUGAGCUCUGCGCGUGCCAGGCGAUCCUGUUGCAGCUUACUCCGGACUCGCUUGAAGGUGUCCGGGGGUUGUAUCGUUGAAUUAGUGGUUUGCCUUAAAAGGCUGCUUUGUGCUUCUGCUGCAAGGACUGCAGUGUGUUCCUCCAUGCGGAGCGAGCGUUCUGUGUUUCCAUUCCCUGUUAUGACCCCCUAGGCCCUGGCAUCUUGAGCUUGAGGUAUGCGUAAUGCGGUACUGCAUUGAAUUUUGCAAAUGCGGUUCGCCCGAGCAGUGCAUGAUAGCCACUACGAAACGGGACAAUAUCGAAGAUUAACUCCUCGCUUCGGAAGUUGUCCGGUGAUCCGAAGACCACUUCCAGUGUGAUUGAGCCCGUGCAAUGGGCCUCUACACCUGGGAUGACGCCCUUAAAGGUGGUUUUGGUGGGUUUGGUCCUCGAGGGAUCGAUACCCAUUUUUCACACUGUAUCCUGAUAUAGCAGGUUCAGGUUGCUGCCGCCAUCCAUAAGGACUCGAGUGAGGUGAAAUCCGUCGAUGAUGGGGUCUAGGACCAGUGCGGCGGACCCGCCAUGACGGAUACUAGUGGGGUGGUCCCUGCGAUCAAAGGUGAUCGGACAAGCGGACCAUGGGUUGAACUUUGGGGCGAUGGGCUCCAUCCCAUAGACAUCCAUUAGUGCACGCUUCCACUCCCUCUUGGGAAUGUGGGUUGCAUAUAUCAUGUUCACCGUCUUCACUUGUGGGGGGAACCUCUUCUGUCCUCCCGUGUUCGGUUGCCGGGGCUCCUCCUCGUCAUCACUAUGCUGCCCUUGUCCUUGCUUUCGGCAUUUAACUUGCCGGCCUGCUUGAACACUGUCGGUGUCAAAACCGGCGGAUCUCGGGUAGGGGGUCCCAAACUGUGCGUCUAGGCCAGAUGGAGGUAAAACCCUACGUCCUUCUUGAUGGAGGUAAAACCCUACGUCCUUCUUGAUUAAUAUUGAUGAUAUAGGUAGUACAAGAGUAGAUCUACCACGAGAUCAGAGAGGCUAAACCCUAGAAGCUAGCCUAUGGUAUGAUUGUAUGUUGUGAUUGUUGUCCUAUGGACUAAAACCCUUCGGUUUAUAUAGACACCGGAGAGGGUUAGGGUUACACAAGGUCGGUUACAAAGGAGGAGAUAUCCAUAUAUGUAUCGCCUUGCUUGCCUUCCAUGCCAAGUAGAGUCCCAUCCGGACACGAGACAAAGUCUUCAAUAUUGUAUCUUCAUAGUCUAACAGUCCGGCCAAUGGAGAUAGUCCGGCUGUCCGGAGACCCCCUAAUCCGGGACUCCCACAGUAGCCCCUGAACCAGGCUUCAAUGACGAUGAGUCCGGCGCGCAAUAUUGUCUUCGGCAUUGCAAGGCGGGUUCCUUCUCCUAAUACAUCACAGAAGAAUUUGAAUACGAGGAUAGUGUCCGAACCUACAAAAUAAGUUCCACAUUCCACCGUAGAGAGAAUAAUAUUUUCGCAGAUCUAAUUUGCUGGCUUGUUUCGGCAACAUGACGUUACGUCAUGGCCCGGUGAUUAUUUGAACCAUUUCUUUUAACCAGACCCGCACAUAACGCGAGGCAGUUUUUUGACAUGUCUUGUCAAAGCAGAGAUCGUGUCCCCUUAUUACGGAAUUCUCAUCAAUACGGGCGUGGGUAACCGAGUUUUACCAGGCAAGUGUGGACGCUUUGUUUUGUCCGCCCAUAUAAAGGGAUAAGGAUUCACCUUUGUAUCCCCCCUUCUUCCUCCUUUGCUCAUCCGCUCCCGCACACUCGAGCUCUAGCGCCCAAGUCCUCACUUCCAUCUCAACCUUCUCCCACCAUGUCCGGAGCGGAGGCAAGUGGAUGGUCUCCUCCGUCACGGAAGGAGACAUCAAGAAACUGAGGAGAGCCGGAUACCUGCCUGACGACAUCGCGCACCGGCUCCCAGAUGAGGGGCAACUCAUCCCCACCGCCAGGCCCCAUGAGAGGGUGGUAUUCCUCACCCAUUUCCUCUGUGGACUGGGAUUCCCUCUCCAUCCCUUCGUCCGGGGGCUCAUGUUUUAUUACGGCCUGGAUUUUCAUGAUCUGGCCCCGAACUUCAUCCUCAACAUCUCGGCGUUUAUCGUCGUGUGUGAGGCCUUCCUCCGCAUCAAGCCCCACUUCGGCUUAUGGCUGAAGACCUUCAACGUCAAGCCGAAGGUGGUGGGCGGCCGCCAGGCGGAGUGUGGAGGCGCCAUGGUGGGCAAGAUGCCCAACAUAACAUGGCUCGAGAGCUCCUUUGUGGAAACCAUAAAGGGGUGGCAAUCGGGGUGGUUCUAUAUCACCGAGCCGCGUGACCCCGCAUGGGUAGCGGCCCCUGAGUUCCAAUCUGGCAUCCUCAUGUGGCUCACCUCCUGGAAAGAGAAGGGCCUGUCCUGGGGUAGUUCGAAAGAGCUGACCGGACUUCAAACAUGUAUUCAAAACAUGAUGGACAAGAAGCUCAAGCUUGUCAACAUAGUCCAGGUUAUGCUCAUCCGCCAGAUACUCCCGUGCUAACAACGGGAGUUCACCUUGUGGGAGUUCAAUCCGGCGCAGCACCGGACUCUGAACAGGCUCUUCGACAUGACUCAUGAAGACGCCUGGAGGGUGCUAUUCAAAAGUGCCGAGGUCCCUCCCCCUAUCACUGAGGAUCGCGGAUUCAGCGCGAAGCGCCAAGCUAGUGCGGUAAGCUGCUUUACCUUUCACAGGAUACUUAUUUUUUAUAUAGAUUGGCUCUAUGCGGGAUCUAAACUCCCGGACCUUUGACAGGACAGGCAGAAGAUGGCCGGACAAAUCAAUUGUCCGACUCCUUUGCCCGAAGGCCCCGCAGACGCUCUUCUGGCGAAGAUGCUCACUCCGGCCCCUUAUAAGGUGCCGGAGAAGACCAAGAAGGCCAAGGGAACUCGAAAGAGUUCCCGAUGCCAGGCGUCGUCGGACUCACCGUCCGAUGACUCUGCGGCGCACUCUUCCCCAGAAGACGAGGAAGAGGAAGAAGAUGCUCCCCCACGGACUGGAGGAGACAAGAAAAGGAAGGCCGCCCCAACUGGGGAGGCCGGACGGUCCAAGAAGGGAAGGACUCACCUUCCGGACAGCUCCACCACUGCCGACGAAAGCGAAGACGAGUGGUUGCCCAGGGCCAAGCCCCUGAGGAGAUCGUAAGUAUUCGGAUACCAAAGUUACCCAUAUGAUUCCUUUUUCGCACUACUUCCCCUAACGCCGAACACAAUUAUGCAGGCCGCCCCGAGCCAAUAUCGAGGUAUCAUCGGACGACUCCCUAGGCUCGUCGGACAUGGAUUGCGUUCCAGUCCCGACCGCCACCUCCCCUCAUCCCGCCGAUGACACCGAGGUGUUGUCUCAAGAGGCACCGGAUUGAGGGGAGACAGUCCUGGAGGUGCCUCAAGGCGACCUUCCGGACUCCGGGAGCCGCGGGGAUGGGGCCCCCAAGAGCUCCGAGUUCGGCCCUCAGCCGAACACCGCGCCGGACCCUCCAGCGGUUCUGGACUCGGGCAGGCAGCCUCCUUCUAAGAGGGGCAAAAUGCCUGUGGCGGUGACCUCUGUCCAUCCAGAGGCACCGGGCAAUCUGCUGGAAGCGCUUCGCAGCGCUUCCAUCAACGAGGAGCACCGCACUAUCAUGAGUGCGGUGAUCCAGAAGGUUCAGUCCGCCAAGAGCGGAUUGACUAAAGCCUGUGCUAGCCUUCUAACCGGCUUUGAGGUAAGUGUGUUUAAAAUGUAAUAGAAAUAUUACCGCAUAGACAGUAGCCCCUGAUGGUUUGUUCGGUGUUCACAAAGAAAAGCCGGACAGAGGAUGAAAUAAUAUCGCAGUAGUCUAAUAUAAGUAUGUCAAUAUGCAUAUGCAGGCUUCGCUGCUGGCGUCCGCCGCACUAACUGCGGAGGUCGCCGUACUGAAGCAGGACCUCGAGGGGUCCAAGAAAGAGCUCGGCCUUGCCAAGAGGCAGCUCGAGGAGAACAAGGGUAAGUAAUACCCCAUCUAUAGAUAUGUAUAUAUAAAAAGGACGUGAUUGCAAAAUGACAGGAUCGUUGUAUGUUUGCCAGGGGCCUCGACCGAGGUGGCGACCCUGAAGCAAGCGCUAACCAAGGCUGAAGAUACAGCGGCCAAGGAGCUCACCGAGCGAGAGAAGCACGAGGCUCGGGUGGGCGAGGUGCAGCAAGAGCUCCAGGCUCUCGUGACAAAGCACGAGGCGUUGGAGCUUGACUCGAAGACGCGGGAGUCUGAGUUUGCCGCGGCCCUUGAGAGUGCAAAGAGUGCCAAGGCCGAGGCCCAGAAGGCCCUCCAGGAGAUCGACGCGAUGAAGAAGAUAGCGGCGGGUAAGGCUUUCUAUAUGCAAAGCAAGCAUGUAAAAGUAAAUUAUCGAUUACUUACCCGGAUCCGGAGCUCUUCAGGAGCAUUCGCAGAUUUGCCCCGCAGUGUGUCCGAUGCCGCACAAUUUUACCAGGCCGAGGACGAAAGCUUGACGGAGAAGCUGUUCUGGUCUCAGUAUGCUGAGGCCGAACAUCUGGUGGCGUUGAGCGACCAGCUGAAGCAGAUGGUCGAGCUACAUAAGGCGGCCGAUCAGGCCAUGAAGGGAUUUAUAGUCCGGCUGUGGCCUAGCGACGCCCUUCCGAAUAGCUUCUUCAGCCUGGUGAGGCGGCUUGUGGAUGCCUGCCCACGGCUGGAGGUUGUCAAGCGAUCCGUCUGCAUUGAAGGUGCACGCCGUGCUUUCGCCCGUGUAAAAAUGCAGUGGGUCAAGCUAAACGCCAUGAAGCUGAUCAAGGAGGGGCCGCCGAAGGGCAAGGAGCACCGCCACCCAGAGAUGUAUUACGAGGGUGUUUUGCCGGGUGCCCGUCUUAUCGCGGAUGAGUGUUCGAAAGAUGUAAUAUUUGAGUAAACUUGCUCGUUUUAUCCUGUAUUUAUGAAAACUUGUUUCAUAUGCGCUGUGCAAUGCUUGUUUGAAUUUAAAAUAUUACCUUCUGUUUGGCUGUUUAUCGAAUCUGAGAGAUGGCUAGUCCUCGGCUUCUGCCCCCAUGCCGCUAGUGCUCGGGUGUUCGGAAUAAACUUGAGCACUCUUAUUCCCAUAUUUGGGUCCUUCGAGGGAGGUGCUCAGCACAACGAACAAGGCAACUGGACUAAUAUUGCUUUAUCACUCUCACUUAGCUAUAGAAUUCUAUAAUUUUAAAUUUUGGCGAAGCCCUGGUAUUCGGAAGGCCGAAUUCGGGGCGUGAUACACGCCUUUAAGCUGGACAGGGCCGUCCCCUCGCCCUAAGCGGCAUAAGUCUUUAGGGACUCGAAAAACCUCGCCGAACAGCGACCAGUCUCUCGCCUUAUCAUGACAGUCAGUUUUAGCUUUCUCUACUAAGGUGCUUAGCCCGGCAGAACCGGGGCACAAUCGCAGUAGUUCUCCUAGCGCUACCUUAGCCGAUAGAGCGGAACGUAAGGUACCAAAACAUAGGAGCCGGGCAAACCCAACAUUUGACCAAAGACAUGAUUCGGAGCUGAUGCAUAUAAUGCUAUAAGUUCGGGGUGCUGCACUUGUGAAAGUGUUCGGACUUUUCACACCGCAUUGUGGGGUACGUGGGCCCCUGGUGCUUUGGCCGUACCAAAGUGUACGGUUGCAAGGCGUCAUUAAUGAACACAGACACACACACACACACACACACACAUAUAUAUAUAUAACAAAAAUGCAAUAAUAGUCGUAAUGUCAUGCAUUGUAUAUUAAAAAAUUGCAUUAAAGCAGAGUGAUACAGAUAGUGCAAUAAGCAAAGAGUAGGGCUAUGUCCCUUCCAAGGGCGAGCUGAGGAAUGAUAUGAAAUCUGUAAUCAACCUGGGAAUUCCGUUGUAUAACGUAGUUGUCUGCCUCCUUGGUUGCUGUAUCAUGUGUUCAGCAAUAGAGCUGCCAGACAAUGUUUCCAGAGAUUAAAGUCCUGAAAGAAAAAGAAAAAUAACCCAAAUGGGAAGCCCCUAGUGCAGUUUAGGCCGCGUUUUGGGGUGUGCCGCAGUUGUGCCCCCCUCCCCACCUGUGCCCAUGGUAUUUUUAAUGCGUAAUUAUGUACGCGUGACACAAAUAACGCCGUUGGGCUGGGAUUGGGGUGGCCGCCGUAUUGCUACGCGAGCUCAGAUCGCGCCAGGCGGUCCGUCUGCCGAUUGCCCCGUGCGCGCUCGAAGGUGUCCGGGCUUUGAAACGCCGAACUGGUAGAUUGCCUUGAGAGGCUGCUUUGCGCUUCUGCUGGAAGGGCCGCUGUGUGCUCCUCUGUUCGGAGAGAGCGCUCUGUGUUUCCAUUGAUUGUAAUAACUCCGCGAGGUCCUGGCAUCUUGAGCUUGAGGUAUGCAUAAUGUGGUACCACAUUGAAUCUAGCAAAUGCGGUUCGUCCGAGCAGCACGUGAUAACCACUGUAGAACGGGACUAUAUCGAAGAUUAACUCUUCACUUCGGAAGUUAUCCGGGGAUCUGAAGACCACUUCCAGUGUAAUUGAGCCUGUGCAGUGGGCCUCUACGCCUGGAAUGACGCCUUUAAAGGUCGUUUUUGUGGGUUUGAUCCUUGAGUGGUCUAUACCCAUUUUGCGCACUGUGUCCUGAUAAAGCAGGUUCAGGCUACUGCCGCAUCCAUAAGGACUCGAGUGAGGUGAAAUCCAUCGAUGAUUGGGUCUAGGACCAGUGCGGCGAAUCUGCCAUGAUGGAUACUAGUGGGGUGGUCCCUGCGAUCGAAGGUGAUCGGACAGGAGGACCAAGGGUUGAAGUUUGGGGCAACUGGCUCCAACGCAUAUACGCGCCUGAGCGCACACUUCCGCUCCCUCUUGGGGAUGUGGGUUGCGUAUAUCAUGUUCACCGUCCGCACUUGUGGGCAAAACCUCUUCUGUCCUCUAGUGUGCGGCUGCCGGGGUUCUUCCACGUCAUCGCUAUGCGGCCCCUUGUCUUUGUUUUCGGCAAUUAACUUGUCGGCCUGCUUGAACACCCAACAAUCCUUGUUGGUGUGAUUGGCUGGCUUGUCUGGGGUGCCGUGUACUUGACACGAGUGAUCGAGUAUACGGUCCAAGCUGGACGGACCCGUCGUACUUAGUUUGAAUGGAUUUUUCCACUGACCGGGUUUAGAGCCUUUGAAUCCGGCAUUGACUGUCGUAUCCUCAGUACUUUCGCUGUUAAUGCGGCACUUAUGCUUGUUGCGAUGUGACCUGCUUUGCGGUCCUUGGUAUCGGAGGUACCAUGCUUCUUUGAUAUGUUAUUACUGCGAGCCAACCAGCUGUCUUCCCCCGCACAAAAGCGGGUCAUGAGCAUCGUGAGAGCUGCCAUAGAUUUCGGCUUUUCCUGACCAAGGUGCCGUGCUAGCCACUCGUCUCGGAUGUUGUGCUUGAAAGCUGCUAAGGCCUCCGCAUCCGGACAGUCGACGAUUUGAUUUUUCUUUGUAAGGAACUGAGUCCAGAAUUGCCUGGCCGACUCUUCUGGCUGCUGAAUUAUGUGGCUCAAGUCAUCGGCGUCUGGUGGUCGCACAUAAGUACCCUGAAAUUUUUCGAGGAAUGCGGCUUCCAGAUCUUCCCAACAGCUAAUGGAGUCCGCUGGCAAGCUAUUAAGCCAAUGCCGCACUGGUCCUUUGAGUUUCAGUGGGAGGUACUUGAUGGCAUGUAAGUCAUCACCGCGGGCCAUGUGGAUGUGGAGGAGGAAGUCCUCAAUCCAUACUGUGGGAUCUGUUGUGCCGUCGUAUGAUUCAAUGUUUACAGGUUUGAAACCUUCUGGGAAUUGAUGUUCCAUUACUUCGUCUGUGAAGCAUAAGGGGUGUGCGGUGCCUCUGUAUUGGGCUAUAUCGCUACGCAGCUCGAAUGGGUCCUGCCCGCUAUGUUCAGCCCGACCAAAUUUGCUUUUAUUGUAUCCAGCGUGACGUUUACCGUCUCGUAGAGUGGUGCGCCCUCGUGAUCCGUAGAACGAUCUUGAAUGCUUUGCUUUGUCCUCCAAUUUGUCUCGCAGGUCUGGCGUAUCUCCCCAUGCCUUUUUAUUUGGAUGGCGUUGGGGUGGAGGCUGAGCUUUUGGCUGGAAUGCCUCUCUGUCGCAGCCACGAGGUGACCGAUCAUCCGUAUCAUACACUUCUUCCUCCAGUCGUGGUAGUAACCUGCGCCUUGGGUAACUCUUGGAGGGACGCUUGAGUUUAUAUUCCUCGGCUAUGAGGACUUCAGUCCAUUUGUCAGCUAGAAGAUCUUGAUCAGCUUGAAGCAGCUGCUACUUUUUCUUCAGGCUAUUUGCUGUGGCCAUAAGCCUGCGCUUGACGCGCUCUUGUUCGACGGGAUCCUCUAGUACGGCGAAUUCAUCGUCGCCGAGGCUUGCCUCGUCUUCGGAGGGGGGCAUGUAAUUGUCAUCCUCCUCCUCUCCGCCGGCCGCUCUCUUAGGAGAGCUGGCUCCUUCAUCCUCCUGCUCUAAAUCUUGCUGGAGGGGAUUGUUGUUGUCUUCGGCGCUAUCCGGAGUGUUAUUAUCUCCUGUGCUGGUAUAACCACUUUUUCUUUGGCGGGACUUAGAGCGGCGCCACUGACGUUGGCGCUUGGGUUGCUUCUUGGAGGGGUCAUCCUCGGCUAUCUCGUCGCCAUUGCCUUCAUUGGGUGUAUCCACCAUGUAUAUGUCAUAGGAUGAGGUUGCUUUCUAGUGCCCUAUAGGUGCUAGUUCAUGUUCGUCUCCUACAUCAUCGUCCAUACCGUCGAUGUCUUCGGAGUCGAAGUUGAGCAUGUCGGUUAAAUCAUCGACAGUGGCUACAAAGUGGGUGGUGGGUGGGCGUCGAAUUUCUUUGUCGUCCGCAUCCCAAUCCUGUUGGCCAUAAUCUGGCCAGGACUCUCCUGACAAAGAGAGAGACCUUAGAGAAUUCAGAAUGUCGUCGAAGGGCGAGUGCUGAAAGAUAUCCAUGGCGGUGAAUUCCAUGAUCGGCGCCCGAUCAGAUUCGAUUGGCAGGGGUGCGGAUGGUUCGGGGUCCGGAAGGGAGUCCGGCACCUUGGAGUCACGGGCUGCGCAGAGGAUUAUGCUGGUGUUUGGCUCGAUCGUCAUCGAGACUGCAGCCCCUGAGGCGGUGUCUAGCCACCCGUCCUCGAUUGGCGCAGCUGGCUCUGAGCUAAGGGUCGGAGCUGAUGCGGGCGCGGCCUUUGGGGUACCGUCUGAUGGUAGAGCUAGGUCAUACCCAUCGUGACAGUGCGGCGCGCCCGGCUGUGGCUCGAAUCCGUCGAAGAUCAAGUCCCCACGAUGUUGGCCGUGUAAUUCAAACUUCCAAAUCUGACCUGAUGGCCAGGGGCGUAGCUUUCAAUCUGCUCCAGAUGGCCAAGCGAAUUAGCCCGCAGUGCAAAGCCGCCGAAUACGAAGAUCUGUCCGGGGAGAAAAGUCUCACCCUGGACCGCACGCUAUCGAUGAUAGUAGGAGCCAUCAAGCCUAACGGCGACGACACAGAGGAACUCUCAACGAGAGCACCAAUGUCGGUGUCAAAACCGGCGGAUCUCGGGUAGGGGGUCCCGAACUGUGCAUCUAGGCCGGAUGGUAACAGGAGGCAAGGGACAUGAAGUUUUACCCAGGUUCGGGCCCUCUUGAUGGAGGUAAAACCCUACGUCCUGCUUGAUUAAUAUUGAUGAUAUGGGUGUUACAAGAGUAGAUCUACCAUGAGAUCAGAUAGGCUAAACCCUAGAAGCUAUCCUAUGGUAUGAUUGUAUGUUAUGAUUGUUGUCCUACGGACUAAAACCCUUCGGUUUAUAUAGACACCGGAGAGGGUUAGGGUUACAAAAGGUCGGUUACAAAGGAGGGGAUAUCCAUAUACGUAUUACCUAGAUUGCCUUCCACGCCAUGUAGAGUCCCAUCCGGACACGAGACAAAGUCUUCAAUCUUGUAUCUUCAUAGUCUAACAGUUCGGCCAAUGGAGAUAGUCCGGCUGUCCGGAGACCCCCUAAUCCAGGACUCCCUCAUCGAGCAUGUCGGUUAAAUCAUCGAUAGUGGCUACGAAGUGGGUGGUGGGUGGGCUUGGAAUUUCUUCGUCAUCCGCAUCCCAAUCCUUUUGUCCAUAAUCCGGCCAGGGCUCUCCUGACAAAGAGAGAGACCUUAGUGAAUUAAGAAUGUCGCCAAAGGGCGAGUGCUGAAAGAUAUCUACGGCGGUGAAUUCCAUAAUCGGUGCCCAAUCGGAUUCGAUUGCCAGGGGCGCGGGCAGUUCGGAGUCAGAAAAAGAGUCCGGCACCUUGGUGUCACGGGCUGUGCAGAGGAUUAUGCUGGUGUUUGGCUCGAUCGCCGUUGAGACUGCAGCCCCUGAGGCAGUGUCUAACCACCCGUCCUCUAUUGGCGCAGUUGCCUCCGAGCUAAGGGUCGGAGCUGAUGCGGGCGCGGCCUCUGGGGUACUGUUUGGCGGCAGAGCUAGGUCAUACCCAUCGCGACAGUGCGGCGUGCCCGGCUGUGGCUCAAAUCCGUCGAAGAUCAAGUCUCUGCGGAUGUCGGCCAUGUAGUUCAAACUUCCAAAUCUAACCUGAUGGCCAGGGGCGUAGCUUUCAAUGUGCUCCAGAUGGCCAAGCGAAUUAGCACGCAGUGCAAAGCCGCCGAAUACGAAGAUCUGUCCGGGGAGAAAAGUCUCACCCUGGACUGCAUCGCUAUCGAUGAUAGUAGGAGCCAUCAAGCCUAACGGCAACGACACAGAGGAACUCUCAAUGAAAGCACCAAUGUCGGUGUCAAAACCGGCGGAUCUCGGGUAGGGGGUCCCGAACUGUGCGUCUAGGCCGGAUGGUAACAGGAGGCAAGGGACACGAUGUUUUACCCAGGUUCGGGCCCUCUUGAUGGAGGUAAAACCCUACGUCCUGCUUGAUUGAUAUUGAUGAUAUAGGUAGUACAAGAGUAGAUCUACCACGAGAUCAGAGAGGCUAAACCCUAGAAGCUAGCCUAUGGUAUGAUUGUAUGUUGUGAUUGUUGUCCUACGGACUAAAACCCUUCGGUUUAUAUAGACACCGGAGAGGGAUAGGGUUACACAAGGUCGGUUACAAAGGAGGAGAUAUCCAUAUACGUAUCGCCUAGCUUGCCUUCCACGCCAAGUAGAGUCCCAUCCGGACACGAGACGAAGUCUUCAAUCUUGUAUCUUCAUAGUCUAACAGUCCGGCCAAUGGAGAUAGUCCGGCCAAUGGAGACCCCCUAAUCCAGGUCUCCCACAAACACCCAGCAUUUUCUGUUGGUGUGAUUGGCUGGCUUGUCGAGGGUGUCGUGGAUUUGACACGAGCGAUCCAGUAUGCGAUCCAAACUGGACGGAGCCGAAGUACUUCUUUUAAAUGACUUUUUUCGAUGACCGGAUCUAGAGCCUCUGAAUCCGCCAUUGACUGCCGUAUCAUCGGUGUUAUCGCCGUUGUUGCGGCACUUUGGUCUGUUACGACGUAGUCUGCCGUUGGCAUCUUUGGUAUCCGAAGUGCCCGGAUUCCUUGAUGUGUUGUUGCUGCGAGCCAGCCAGCUAUCCUCGCCCGCGCAAAAGUGGGUCAUGAGUGUCGUGAGGGCUGCCAUAGACUUUGGCUUCUCCUGGCCAAGGUGGCGGGCAAGCCACUCAUCGCAGAUGUUAUGCUUGUAUGCCGCUAGGGCCUCUACAUCCAAACAGUUGGCGGUUUCGUUUUUCUUGGUCAGGAACCAUGUCCAGAAUUGCCUGGCCGAUUCACCUGGCUGCUGAGUUAUAUGGCUCAAGUCAUCAGCAUCCAGUGGAUGCACAUAAGUGCCCUGGAAUUUGUCAAGGAAUGCGUCUUCCAAAUCCUCCCAACUGCCGACAGAGUCUACUGGCAAGCUAUUCAACCAAUGCCGAGCUGGUCCUUUGAGUUUUAGUGGGAGGUACUUGAUGGCAUGUAGAUCGUCACCGCGAGCCAUGUGGAUGUGAAGGAGGAAAUCCUCGAUCCAUACAGCGGGAUUUGUUGUACCAUCAUACGAUUCGAUAUUAACGGGUUUAAAACCCUCCAGGAAUUCGUGAUCCAUAACUUCAUGAGUGAACCACACGGGGUGUGCGGCGCCUCUGUGCAGGGUUAUAUCACGACGCAGUUCAUAUGAGUCUUGUGUGCUGUAUUCGGCCCGGCCGGAUUUACCUUUGGUGUAUCCGGCGCGACGAUCAUCGUCCCGUGUUGGUGCGCGUGCCCGUGACCCGUAUAUUGACCUUGCAAGUUUUGCCCUGGGGUCCAAUAUGUCUCACAGGUCCCGUGUGUUGCCCCGGGCCUUGGUAUUUUUGAUUGAGUGGCGGCAGGGUGCAGGCUGAACUUCAGGCUGAAACGCCUUUCUGGCUCGGCCACGCGGUGGCCGGUCAGCCGCAUCGUACACUGGUGAUGGAGGUUUCAAUGCUUCCUCCUCUAGGUGAGGUAGCAACCUGUGUUUUGGGUAACUCUUGGAGGGGGCACUGAAGUUCGUAUUCCUCGGCCGCAAGGACUUCGGUCCAUCUGUCAGCUAGCAAGUCUUGAUCAGCUUGAAGCUGUUGUUGCUUUUUCUUCAGGCUAUUUGAUGUGGCCAUAAGCCGACACUUGAAGCGCUCCUGCUCAACGGGAUCCUCAGGCACGAUAAAUUCUUCAUCGCCAAGGCUCACCUCGUCUUCGGAGAGAGGCAUAUAAUUGUCCUCCUCCGGUUCUCCAUCUGCCGCCUGCUCUGGAUUGCUAGCUUGUUCGGCCUCCCGCUCUACAUCAUACUGGAGGGGAUUGUGGUUGUCUUCAGCACUAUCUGGAGUGUUAUUAUCUCCUGUGCCGGUAUCACAACUUUUGCUGUGGCGGGACUUAGAGUGGCGCUGCUGACGUCGGCGCUUGGGUUGCUUCUUGGAGGGUUCAUCCUUCGCUGUCUCGUCGCAAUUGCCUUCGACAGUGGCUACUAAGUGGGUGGUGGAUGGGCAGCGGAUUUCUUCGUCGUCCGCAUCCCAUUCUAGCCGGACAUAGUUCGACCAAGGUUCUCCUGACAAGGAGAGAGACCUUAAUGAAUUUAGCACAUCGCCAAAAGGCGAGUGCUGAAAGAUAUCUGCGGAGGUGAACUCCAUGAUCGGCGCCCAGUCUGAUUCGAUGGGCGCGGAUGUAGGCGGCUCGGAGUCCGUGGCCGGAGACGAAUCCAGUGGUUCGGCGACACGGCUCUUGUAAGGGGUGAAGUUAGUAUCCGGCUCUAUCACCGCUGAGAGUGCGGGGUCUAUCCCUCCGCCCUCGGAUGGCGCGAUUUGCUCCGGAUUGACGGCUGGAGUGGUUGCAGAUGCGAUCUCCCGAACACUGUCCGACGGCGGAGUUACGUCAUGCUCAUCGUGAUUGUGCGGCGCACCUGGCAUGGGCUCAAAUCCGUCGAAGAUCAAGUCUCCACGGAUGUCGGCAGUGUAGUUUAGGUUUCCGAACCUGACCUGAUGGUCAGGGACAUAGCUCUCGAUCUGCUCCAGAUGGCCAAGCGAAUUGGCCCGCAGUGCGAAGCCGCCGAAUACAAAGAUCUGUCCGGGGAGGAAAACCUCACCCUGGACCGCAUCGCCACCGAUGAUUGAAAGAGCCAUCAAGCCUUAUGGUGAUGACACGGUGGAACUCUCAAUGAAAGCACCAAUGUCGGUGUCAAAACGGGCGGAUCUCGGGUAGGGGUUCCCGAACUGUGCGUCUAAGGCGGAUGGUAACAGGAGGCAGGGGACACGAUGUUUACCCAGGUUCGGGCCCUCUUGAUGGAGGUAAUACCCUACGUCCUGCUUGAUUGUUCUUGAUGAUAUGAGUAUUACAAGAGUUGAUCUACCACGAGAUCAUAUAGGCCAAACCCUAGAAGCUAGCCUAUGGUAAGAUUGUAUGUUCUCCUACGGACUAACCCUCCGGUUUAUAUAGACACCGGAGGGGCUAGGGUUACACGAGAUGAAGUCUUCAAUCUUGUAUCUUCAUAGUCCAACAGUCCGGCCAAAUGAUAUAGUCCGGCUGUCCGGAGACCCCCUAAUCCAGGACUCCCUCACUUGCCAAGGACGCCUGCGGGGCCGCAGCCAGGCCCGCGUUUGCCAAAACCUCCACCGCUGCUCCCAUACUGCUGCCAGCUCGACCAGCUGAGUAGACGCCUGUGUGGCAGCACGUGGCCUCUACCUAUGUGGUGGCACGCAGAUCUUCGUGAAGGCUCCACCACCGCGCCAGCCCAGCAGCCAACCAACAUGGUGCAACGAUGCCUCACGGAGCCAGGCGAGGCGACGACAGCUGGGACGAGCUUCUUUGCCGUCCCCAUUAAAGCGAGAGGGGCACGUCGGCAUCGCAUUAAAUGCAUUUGUCCGGCGAUGCCAGGGGAUAGACUCAGCCCCUGUACACCUUUCCACCUCCUGUGUGCCACUCUGGUGACCCCUUUUGUCUUUAAAAGGAGGCUCGAGGCGUCCAGGAGAGGGAUUCGGAUCUUUUGGACUAGAGAGCCACUGCAGCUAGUUCAAGAACACAAGAACACCUCAAUACACAUAAAAGCAGGACUAGGGUUUUACAUGUCUCCGCGGCUUGAACCUGGGUAAACAAUUUGUGUGCUGACUGCCAUACACGCUCUUCACACAACGCCGCGCCUGCCAACCAUAGAAGGGAUCCCGGUGACCCCAUAGGUGUCGUUUCCCACCGACAUCUCUGGCAUGCUAGGUAGGGGCUGGCACAGUUGUGAGAAUCCGCCCUGGACGAAGCAACGGCUUCAUCAUGGUCGUCACAUCAAGCAAGGAGACGACUGAACAAAUGGCGUCCUCGAUGGACGCGACAAACACUCACGCAGCGACAGAAAAGCUAAGUCAUACAGAACCUUGAGUAAUUCCUUUUCAUAUAUAUGGUUGUCGUCCUCGGCGAUCUUACCCUAUGUAUGGUAAACCUGCACGCAAUGGGCCCCUGCCACUAUUGGCAACGCCCUCGUUCUGUUUCGAGUCCGCUCAACAGCUCGAGCGGCUGCAUCAAGAACGGCAGGGCAACCUUCUGCGAUUGGCAAUGCUCUCUUUCUGUCUCGAGUCCGCUUGACAGCUUGAGCGGCUGCGUCAAGAGCAGCGAGGUGGUUUACCCGGGAGCAAGCAUGCCUGGCAGGCCAUUGAGGAUCCGUCCUCAAGACGCCACCUGGGCUUCCGCGCCGGCAAACCUACUAGAAUAACGUAGGGCGGACAUACAAAGGGAAAUCAAACAGGAAAAUAACAUGCAUCAUUUCAAAGGUACUGCAGAGUUAUAUUACAUCAUUUGUCGUUGCGGUUCUAACUAAAGAUAAAAAUUGUCUUGGUCUUGACCUGCAGAGGCGAUAAGAAACGGGGUGCUUAGUCCCGGUGCUGGCCUUGUACCCUCCGAACUCCGUCAAUGCGGCCAAUGACGGGAUCGAUGCCCUCCUCGAGCGGCUUGGGGUCCACAUCAUUCAGCAAGCUAUCCAGUGAAGCUUAGAAGUCGAGGUCAGGGUUCCAGUAUGCCAUCUUGGUGAGGACCUUGGUCAUGGUGCCCCGGCAAAGCCUUCGGGCCUCUUCGGCAAGAGAGGCCACCCUGUUGGAGUGGAACCGCUCCAGGGCCCUGAGAACACCCUCGAAGAACAGAUUCAGCCUGGCGUUAGGGCUCAUAUUUGGCUCUGGGACGUACCUCACAUUUGGCAUCCCCAUGGUAGCCAGUUGCGUGGUGAUCCUGCCAGCGACAUCGGCGAGGCGGCUGAUCUAGAGCUUCUCGCCUGCUAUGAACUCUGUGUGGCUGGCGGCGUCGUUCUUCCGCAUCUGCUUCUCCUCCUCCAGACUCUUGGUCAGGGCCCCCUCCCGGGCCCUGACCUCUGAGAGCGUCCCUUCGAGGCCCUCCAGCUUCAGCUUUAGGUCCUUGAUGGAGUCGUUGGCCAUGGAGAGUAGCUCGGCCUUCUCGAGGACUGUGGCCCGCGUGUCAGCCAAAGCACCCUUGGCCGCGUCUCUCUCCCCCGUCAGCUCCUGGGCCUGCCGCUUCAGCUCGUCACGCUCCGCCUCCAGCUCGUUCACCUUGCCGGAGUGGACCUGGGCCUGAGCAUUGAGGGCCUCCUCGUGCCUAUGCUCCAGCUCCCGGGUCCGCUACAAGACGAGCUCCUGGACCUCCUCAUCCUUGCCACGGAGUGUCGCAGCGAGCUUCUCCUCGCGGGCGGCAAGUUACUCCUAUUGGGAAUUCAGCUCGGCCUGGUGCUGGAGCCGAGCAGCCUCCUCCUUGGCGGCAUGUCGAUCCGCCGUCUCAUGGGCCUUCUCGAUGUUGGCUUGCUUCAUGACGAGCUCCAGCUUGCGCUCGGCCAGCUGGUCCUGGGCGGCCUUGAAUUCGUCACAAGCCUGGCGGAACCAAGCCCGCGCCUCGGCGACACGCUCUUCGAGGUCCGCCUCCGCCUUGUCCACCACUGCCAUCCUGGACUUGGCCUAGUCCAGGCAGGCACGGUGAAGUGCCUGGAGCUUGUGGAAGCUGGUGCUCAUGCUCUGGAAGAGCCGCUCUUCCUAAUAACCGCCGCCACCGCCGCCGCUCGGUUCGUCGAUGACCUCGAGCCCUUCCCCCUCGGCGGGUGCCCUGGUGCUCGCCGUCCAUGGGAGGUGGACGGACAAGUCGCCCACCUUCAGAUACUUGCCCGAGCCGGGGGCGACGGAGGAGGAAGGCUGGUUGUCGACCUCCUCCUCCUUGGUAGCGGCCUUGUUUGCCUCCCCGGCAAGCCCCUUGCCGGCCACCUCGGCAGUGGCCUCACCGGGCUCCCCGGCGGACCCCUCAGCGGCGUCCUCGGCAACGUCCUUGGCGGCCUCCUCAGCGGCGAUCUUGUUAUCCUCGGUAGUGGCCCCUCUGGCGACAUCAUCGAUGACGGUAUCCACGUCCUCCCGGUCCGUCGAGAAAGGAUCUGGAUACCAAGAUGGAGAAUGAGGUGAAGCCAAGAGCAAGAUUUGAAAGAAUAAAACGAGUGGGAACGGGAGGCAAAAAACUUACCUUCGCCAAGCUGGGACGAAGUGGCCCCCUCCCCACCGGUAUUUGAUGCCGGGGCAGAGCCGCCGGCGCCCGGGUUCACCUCCUCCUCAUCCUCCUCCGUGUGCAUGGGCUCGGUGCUUGGCGCCCUUGCCGGGGACCCCCCUCGGGGUGGCGUGGUCAAUGGGGGUGGCGCAUUGGGGGUGGCCCUCAGUGGCAACUCCUGCUGCCAUUCUCCUCCUGCAUCCAUGACAAGGUCAGCACCGGGAAACCGUGCCCCAUCCCACGUCAAGGGGGAGCGAGUGAUGAACGCACGCUGGGGGCUGCUCUCCGGGAUGCUCUCCACCACCACCAGCGGCGUGCUUGAGGUGCCCGCCGGGGGCUGGCCGCCCGCCGAGGCCUUGACCCUCUUCGCCACCCUCUGGGCCAGCGUUUCCCUGUCCCUGGGAGCAUGAAGACAAGUCAAGAGAAGUGGCGCGGUCCGAAGGGACGAAGGUGAGGGAAGGCCACACACUUACUCAUCCUCCGCCUCUUCUUCCAUGGCUUUCCUCUUCCUCCUUGGUCUAAGAGACCCGAGGUCGAAGAAGACCUUCGAAUCGUCACCUGCCGGCGGAGGGGAAGCAGGUGGAGUUGGGGGGCGCUUGGACGAAGAAGGGGCAGCUGCUUUCUUCUUCACCACCACAACCCUAACCGCCUUCUCCACCACUGCGGCCCUUGUCUGGCGCAUGGGCGCCUCCGGAGGUUGUUGCGAUUGUGCAGCCCUGCUGGACCAGACCGGCUCACCAGAGAUGUCCCGCCACAGGAAACGCCCUCUCCUCGUGACUGGGGGCUUGACAGCCACGGCCUCCUCCUCAGACGACUCGGCGGCGUCACCUUCAAUGAGAGGGGCCCCGGUGCCGGCGCCGCUGGCCUCCCCAGCGGAUUCCGCCCACUGGGCAAGCACCUUCUCCUCUGCUGCCAUCGCGGCCUCGUCCUCCACGCCGCCAUCGCUACCGGCCUCCUUGGCGAGCUCCGCCUCCGCCGCCCUGGCGGCAAUGUAGUCUAGCUCCGCUGGAUGGUGUCCUCAAUGAGCCGUGGCUCCUCACAGACAUAUCCCUCCACCAAGGUGUCAAAGAACUCCCACACCCGGUCCUCCUCCGGCUCGGCCCAGUUCAGGUCGAGGCCGUGUGCGUUGAAGUCCGGCAUCAUGGCGAUGAUGUCGUUUCGGCGAGAGUUGUUGCUCAGUGGGACCAACCCCAUCGGCAAGCCGAACAAGGGCCCCUUGGCGACCUUGUCGGCCUUUUGCGGCCUUGCAGGCCCUCUCGGCCCUGCCGUCGCCACCCACGUCGAGCUGGAAGAGCCGCUGGCAGAAGUGGGCAUGCGCCAUCACCGUGGAGUUAUGGUUCAGGCUAGGGCGGAGCCGCAUGAUGUCGGCCACGUUGCUGAAAAGCCAAGCCGGCCUCCCCUGGUUGUGCAGAGGAGCGAUGCAGCGGCGGAUGAAAUACGCCCCGAUCAUCUCCAGGGUAAGCCCGGCAGUGGCAAGGCGGUGGAUCCUGGUGGUGGCGACCGUGAGCCUCACAUCCUGGGCGUCGAUGUUGCGCCAGUCAUCUCUGAGGACCGGCGGCGUCUGGCGAACUUGGCAAAACUCCAGAGGGUCCUCCUCCUCAAUCCAUCACCACCAGCUCCGCCAUUCCCCCCACCUCUCCUUCUGGGCACCCUCUGGAUACGUCCCCCUCUCCAGGGCCCUUGGGAUCCAAGUGACGCAACUAGAGAUGGUGCCUCCCUUAUGGAUCCGAGGGUAAAAGUAGUGGCGAAAGAGCAUCGUGCUGGGGAGCACUCCGGCAAAGCCCUCAAAGAGAUGGGCGAAAAGAGCCAUGCACGCCACGACAUCUAGAGUGAAUUCCAGAAGGUGGAAGCCGUAGGUGUGCAUGAUAUCGUUGAAGAAAUCACAGAAAGGGGGGCAGAGGUUGCUGGAGAAAUAAUCGACGAAGAAUGGGUACCGAUUCGGGGCGGCCUUGGUGCAAUUGGCGGGGAUGACGCGCGUGGCCGGGUGCCCCGUCAUCUCUCCCCCAUCUUGCACCCCCACAGGGGCCUGAAGUUGUCCCGGAGGUGGAUCGCGUCAACCGUUGAGGGGAAGUAGGCGAGCUGCGUCCGCCGCGCCGCCGAUUCACUCUCCGGCAGCUCCGCCCCCCGGCGUCCCUGGCCACUCCUUUGCUCUUGCUAGCCUUGGGUGCCAUGGAGGCUGCAGAAGUGAAGGAGGAAGGGCAGCGAUAACGCGGCGGCGGCGAGCGAGAGCAGAGGCGUAAGGAGGAAGAAGUAGGGGUCGGCGGUUCCAAGAUUGGAGAAGAUACAUGGGGUAAAUGAGCAGCGUGCCCGUGGUCGUUCCUUUUUACGAGGAAGGCGCGGGCUGCCUCUUUACCACGAUGUGACGCAUGCAUGCGGAAACCGCCCCACGCACGACCCCCAUGUCACGCAUGACCCUCCAUGCCGCGCGUUCAACACGGGUCAUGGGGAAGCGCAGCGGAUGGGAAAUUACUGUCAUAAAAAUCUGCCCACCUGCCAGCGCACCAUUUUGGGCCUAGCCCAACAACGCGUCGCGCUUAUGUGUGGCCCAGGCCCGGGGGCUCCUGUCGGUGUACAAAAGUAGGGGCUCUCCUUUUUCACCCCUUAACUUGUGCACGGGCAGUAAGAGCCACGCCCACGGCCACACUAAGCAGGGAAGGGGAGGGAUGCUGGAGCAAUGCCAAGACCAGAGAUGGAAACAGAGAAAGAGGGCGAGGUAAACUCCACUGGCAAGACUCUUGCCGUGGUGGCUUCCGCAGCCUCGGCAAGAUCCUUGCCAAGGCAACUUGCCUGACGCCAGCAGAGCACGCCACCCUCGAGCCUAAGGGGUUCCUAUGCCAUAUUGGAACCAAGGCUCGGGAGGCGCCUCCGUGGUGGCAUGCAGAUCUUUGUAGAGAUCAUAGCCACGCAAGAUCAGAUGGAAACCAGAAGACAAUGAUCCUUGGUGAUAUCCUUGCCAUGAAAAUCCACAAGUGUCACACCCUAGCUAGUCAUGCAUUAGAGUGUUGCAUCAUGUUUACUCUUUCUUCAGAAACUUGAAAUGGGGAUGACAGAACCCCCAGUCCCCUCUGAAACCAACUAGGGUUACUAAAAUAAUUUUUCAAUGAACCUGAAAUGCCCUUCUAAAAUGCCCAUCAUUUUUGUCUUGGUUCAGAACCUCUGCCAAAAAUGGUGCACAUUUUCCUAGGCCAUCCUAGGGUUUUUGAAUUAAAUCAUAAAUAUUUGAAUUUGGGCAUUUAAAAUAAUAUAAAAUAUUUAAAUGCUCAAAUAUCUCCAAACUAAAAUGUUUCAUGUUGGAAAUAAUCCAACUAUGGGCUAGGAAUAAUUUGGUGAUUUUUGAAGUUGCCUAGGUAUUUUAUUAAAUUCAACAAAGUUGCAGAUAUAUAUUAUAUAAAACAGAAACAGAAGAAAAGGGGAAAACUUACGUGGGCGCCUCCACUGUGCGGCCCAGCCAGCUGGCCGGCCCAGCCAGCAGCCGACCCAGCCCAACACUGUAGCCCUCCGUCGUCUUCCUCCCCUCGCCCCGAAGCUGCUGUGUGCUCGCGCGCGCACGGCCGCGCGGCCACCUCCUGCUUGCCGACGAGCUCCUGGCCGCGUGGACGACUCCCGCAGGCCGUCCCGAUCCCCCCUGCUCUCUCUCACUCUCCCCCGGCUCUUCCUUCCUCUCCCUCGCUCUCUCUCUCACACGGCCGAACACCACCGUCGCCACCGUUCGCCGUAGCAGCCAUCUCCGGCCACCCCUCUCUCCCCCGACUAGCUCAGAAGCUCCGCCACAACCCCCUCUUCCUCCCCACCGCUCCACAGCUCCCCGGAAGCCCGGCAUCGCCGCCACGUCGCCGUUCCCCUCUUCGGGCUCCGAUCAUCGUCGCCGUCGAAUUCGUCGUCUCCAGCGCGUCCCCGAGCCCGCUAACCAUCCCUGCAGCUCCGCGGUGAGCCCCCGGAUCGUUUCCCCCUUCUCCCCUGAUCUCUCCCGACCUCUAGGCCCUAGCCCCACCUUGGCCGAGAGCUCCACGCCGCCGGGGAUGUCGCCGUCGUGGCCACGGUCACGGUAGCACUCAACCGAGCGCACUAUCGUGCUCCCCACCUCACCAGGAGCACGCAGCACGCACUAACGCCUCCCCAAACACCCUGCAACGUCGAUUCCGACCGCACCCGAACUCCGGCAGCCGCAGCCGAGCUCGCCGCCGUCGACUCCGGCCACCCCAGGCCCAGCCACGGCCACCGUCCGACGCGCCGUCGAGCUAGCUGUCCAACGCACCUAGCCGCACGCCGUUUGGAGCACCACAGAGGAAACCCGAGGCCCCUGCACGCCGCGGACCUCGCCGGCGACUAACCGCCGGCGGGUUUGACCUGUCCGACCUGAGGUUUGACCCCCCCAGGGUCACUGACGCGUGGGCCCUGUCGGCCAGGUGGUUAGAUUAGCGCUAACUACUGUUAGUCAACCCCCCCUGACACUGACAGUGGGCCCCAGCGCCACUAAUCCCUAAUUAGGAUUAAUUUAAACCUGUUUAACCCCCCCUGUCACUGACGUGUGGCCCCCACACGUCAGGUUUGACUUCAGCCAGCCGCAGUUGACCACUGACGUCAUGCUGACGUCAUGCUGGCGCAAUAAUUAUAUUCUGGAUUUAAAUUAAGUCAGGAAAUUCCAGAAUAUUAUUUAAACUUCAAAAAUUCAUAACUUUUAUUCUGUAACUCCAAAUUGGACAAAUUAUAUAUGAAAAAUGAUCAGAAAAAUCCAAUCUAUCCAUCUGUACUAUUUUCAUGCAUGAUCAAACAAGUUAAAUUGAUGUUUUAAGCAGAACAAGGAAAAGCACUUAAAGAGGCCAUGUUUGAGUUUGAAAUUUGAAUCUUUGAUUCAAAUUUGUUCAAACCCUUCUGGUUUUAGUUGCAUUAGCCCAACACACUCAUAUUGCCAUGUUUCAUGCAUGCAUCAUAUUGUUGCACAUUGUUUGGUGAUGCUUGUGUAUCGAUGCCCUUUGCGACAGGUUCUGCCCCCGAGGAAUACCGUGAUUACCCUAACGAAGAACCAUAUCAGUGCAUCGAACCAUCAGGCAAGCAACCAACCAUUUGAUCAUAUCGAUACAAUCCCAUGUUCUCGCUCCUGCUCUCUUUUACUGCAUUAAGACAAUGCAAUUCAAACUGCUGUGUGCUACGGUAGUUGAACCCAUUUCCUCUGCAUGACCUGUCAUUGCCACAGUAACUAGAUGAAACCCACUAGCAUGUGUAGGAGUUGAUUGAGCCAUAUGUAUGUGUUGUUCCUACCUUGCUAUGCCUGCUAUGCUUAGAGUCGUGUCAGGUCUGGUUCAUCUGGGAGAUGGGCUAGAGUGAAAUGAUUAUGUCGGUAAUGGGAGUGGUGUGGUGAACACGAUUUGGUAAAGGUAUCGAUGAGAGGCCAUGUAGGAGUACAUGGUGGGUUGUUUCAUUGAAGCCGACCUUAAGCACUGAGAUCUGUAUGUGUGAUUUAAGAAUCAGCUACUACCAUGCAUUGGGCCCGAAACCAAUGGACCCUCUCGGCUUCUUAUUCACCCUAGUUCUCCGUCCAGGAGUUGCAAGUAGUUUCUGGUGUUUGUAGCCUACUGGAGGCCGUGGACAGCGCUGACCGUAGGGGUUGGCUGUGAUGCGGUAGGUACGUGGCCGGGUGUACCGAAUACCCGUUAGGUAUCUCGGGAACCCUGUUCACAUCGUUCGGGGCCGUAUGGGAAACCUCGGCCGGACUCCCUGCGGAUGGAACCUGAAUAGGCGAUAAACCUGGACUGGAGGCUUAGGUGAUUAGGUAGGUCAUGGCCGACACCCACGUUGGGCUUCCGCUUGAAGGUUGCCGAGUACAUGUCGUGUAAACGAUGGUAAGUGGUGAGAGCGUGUAUGAAGAAGUACACCCCUGCAGGGUUAACAUGAUCUAUUCGAAUAGCCGCGUCCGUGGUAAAGGACUACUUGGUUGCCUAUACAGUUCAUAGACAAGUAAAUGGAAACUACUAAAAGCCUCAAGAUAAGUGUGAGUGCCGAGGAUGGCUCUUCCGUAGGAAGACGGAGGUGGAUCCUCGGUAGUGUAUUGAAGUGGUGAGUAGUGGACUCGUGUGCGCAAAACAUUUCAAGUUGGAGUAUCGUAGGAUAGCCUAGCCAAGAGUCAAAGCUGGCUUGCUGCAAUAACUCCACCAACCCUUCUUGAUACUAUGCAUGUAUGUAGGAUCUGAUGUAAGUCUUGUUGAGUACCUUUGUACUCAUGUUGCUAUAAUCUACAUUUUUACAGAAGACGCUGCAACCCCUUCUGAUGGGUUCUAUGUAGACGUUGACAUCAAUGAGUAGGCUAAAGACCCAGGUGGUGACCCUGAGCUUGUGAUGGACCACGUAGUAUAGCUAGGCUUUCCAAGCCUCUUUUAGUUUACUAGUUGUCUGUACCCAGACAAUGUACUUCCGCUGCUGGUUUGUAUGACUGUAUGACUUGUAUGUUGGGUCGUGAGACCCGUACCUUUGUGUAUGUUAUGUAUGGCUCCCUGAGCCUUAAAUAAAGUACUUGUGUCAUAGAGUCAUGUUGUGAUGCUUCGUUGUAUUUGCACAUAUCGAGCAUAUUGUGUGUAUGAUUGAAAUGCUUGGUAUGUGUGGGAUCUGACUAUCUAGUUGUUUAUCUUUAGUAGCCUCUCUUACCGGGAAAUGUCUCCUAGUGUUACCGCUGAGCCAUGGUAGCUUGCUACUGCUCUGGAACACUUAGGCUGGCCGGCAUGUGUCCUUCUUCGUUCCUGUGUCUGUCCCUCCGGGGAAAUGUCACGCUUUGAGUACCGGAGUCCUGUUAGCCCGCUACAGCCCGGUUUACCGGAGUCCUGCUAGCCCAGUGCUACAGCUCGGACCCACUUGCUGAUGACCGACACGUUCGAAGCUGGGUCAUGGAUGCCUGUCCCUGUAAGUCUGUGCCACUUUGGGUUUACGACUAGUCAUGUCAGCCCGGGCUCCUUAUCAUAUGGAUGCUAGCGACACUAUCAUAUACGUGAGCCAAAAGGCGCAAACGGUUCCGGGAAAAGGUAAGACGACACCCGUGGGGAUACCGUGCGUGAGGCCGCAAAGUGAUAUGAGGUGUUACCAGCUAGAUCGAUGUGACAUCGAGUCGGGGUCCUGACAACAAGACCCCCGGCAAGGUUCUUGCCGGGGACGACUGCAGUGCCGCAGCAGACCCUUGCCGGCCUCUCGGCAAGACCCUUGCUGAGGACGCCUGCGGGGCCGCAGCCAGGCCCACGUUUGCCAAAACCUCCACCGUCGCUCCCAUACAGCUGCCAGCUCGACCAGCUGAGCAGACGCCUGCGUGGCAGCACGCGGCCUCUACACCGACUCAGCAAGCACCUGCGUGGUGGUGCGCAGAUCUUCGUGAAGGCUCCACCACCGCCCCAGCCCAGCAGCCAGCCAACAUGGUGCGACGAUGCCUCGUCAUCUUGGACGCGCUUUGGAGGCAUGCGAGGCGACGACAGCUAGGACGGGCGUCUUUGCCAUCCCCAAUAAAGUGAGAGGGGCACGUCGGCAGCGCAUUAAAUGCGUUUGUCCAGUGAUGCCAGGGGAUAGACUCAUCCCCUAUACACCUUUCCACCUCAUGCGUGCCACUCUGGUGACCCCUUUUGUCUUUAAAAGGAGGCCCAAGGCGUCCAAGAGAGGCAUUCGGAUAUUUUGGACUAGAGAGCCACUGCAGCUAGUUCAAGAACACAAGAACACCUCAAGACACAUACAAGCAGGACUAUGGUUUUAUGCGCCUCCGCGGCCCGAACCUGGGUAAGCGAUUUGUGUGCUGACCGCCAGACCCGCUCUUCACACAACCCUGUGCCCGCCAACCGUAGAAGGGAUCCCAGUGACCCCAUAGGUGUCGUUUCCCACCGACAGCAAGCUCAAGAAACAUAUCUUUGUCUCUAAUGAUAUGAUCAGUACAUCAACUAUCAAGGACCCAUUCCUUUCCUCCAUCCAUGUAGCCAUGAAGAUUAGCCAUAAGAUCACAGUUUCUCAUAGACUCAUCAAGAUCAUGGUCACUAUCAUCAUCCUCAUCAUAGUAUCCAUGUUCAACAUCGUCUUGUGAUGGAUCAAUUCCUAGAGAGGGUAAUUCAUUAGAUAAAUAGUCAUCAGAAUAGUCAUCUUUAUGAAUUCUAAUGGCUUCGGAGAUGAUAUUGCUAAUGAUUCCAACAUCUCCUUUGGCACGCGUAAGAUUAGCAAGCUCAAAUAGAAAAUCACCAAAUUUGGGAUCAUUGGAACUUGUCUUACUCAAGGCAAUAUACUUAAGAAGGAUCUCAUCUAAGUUUUUCAAGGAAUAGUUUGGAAAUUGUUCCUCAAGAAAUCUCCAUAUGGUGUAGGCACAAUCAAGAGCAGGCAAGCUAUCAAACAAGUUUCUAGGCAAUCCUUUAGUGAUUAAAUUGAUAGUUCUAAGAUUAUGGAUCACAUCAAUAGACUCAUCAAGGGUAGGAUGCAAAGCAUCAACAUGAGGUGCACAAGGGCUAGUAAUAUACUUGUUCAAAUGAUAUUCAUUGAAAAUCUCAAGCAUCUCAAUUUUCCACACAUGAAAGAACUCUCCAUCAAGUAUAGGCAGUCUAUGUCUAAGACUCCCCAACAUAGACUCAUACAUCUUCCUCCAAAGGUGUUUAAACCAAAGCAAUGGAGACCAAUGCUCUGAUACCAAUUGAAAGGAUCGAGAAGAGGUGUCUAGAGGGGGGGGUCAAUAGACUCCUAACAAGGAAAAGUUGUAAUUUUUAUUUUCUUCAAGUUAAGGUAGAGUAUUAGCAUAAGUUUAAACAUUCACAAUACAUUCAAGCAAGCAUGGCAAGAGUAUAUGAGCAAUGGAAAGUAAAGCAUGCAAUUUGCAAGAAAGUAAAGGGAUGGGAUUGGAGUGUGCAAAUGCAAUUUGAGACACGAAGAUUUUGUGUGGUUCCGAUAGGUGGUGCUAUCAUACAUCCAUGUUGAUGGAGACUUCAACCCACAAAGGGUAAUGGUUGCGCGAGUCCACGGAGGGCUCCACCCAUGAAGGGUCCACGAAGAAGCAACCUUGUCUAUCCCACCAUGGCCAUCGCCCACGAAGGACUUGCCUCACUAGGGUAGAUCUUCACAAAGUAGGCGAUCUCCUUGCCCAUACAAACUUCUUGGUACAACUCCACAAUCUUGAAGGAGGCUCCCAAGUGACAUCUAACCAAUCUAGGAGAUACCACUCUCCAAAAGGUAAUAGAUGGUGUGUUGAUGAUGAACUCCUUGAUCUUGUGCUUCAAAUGAUAGUCUCCCCAACACUCAACUCUCUCUCACAGUUUUGGAUUUGGUGGAAAGAUGAUUUGAGUGGAAAGCAAGUUGGAGAAGGCUAGAGAUCAAGAUUUAUGUGGUUGGAGUGGAUUAUCUUGACCUCAACACAUGAGUAGGUGGUUCUCUCUCAGAAAAUGUAUGCUGGAAGUGUAGGCAUGUUCUGAUGGCUCUCCUCACUAAUGAAGAGUGGGUGGAGGGGUAUAUAUAGCCUCCACACAAAAUCUAACCGUUACACACAAAUCACCAAACUCGGUUGGACCGAUUUAGUUCAUAAUGUGAUCGUUAGACAUUUUGGUGGAACCAAUAUGAUCAACUCGGUGGGACCGAUGUGCUAGGGUUAGGGUAAAACCUCAUCUCGUUUUGACCGAUUACACAAACUCGGUGAGACCGAUUUUGGUAAUAAGCAAAACAAAGAGUUGGUCACGCAAACGCGGUGGGACCGAUUACAUAUCUCGGUGGGACCGAAAUUAUUGCAAUAGGUGACAGAGAGUUUGCAAUCCCAUCUCGGUGAGACCGAGAUCCAAUUGGUGAGACCGAAUUGAUUAGGUUUUGUGGCAGUGGCUAUGUCAAGUGAACUCGGUGGCGCCAGAUGGAAAAUUUUGGUGGGGGCGAGUUGGACUUUUGGUUUGGGACAUAUGUGGAUAUGGAAAAGUGGUUGAGGGUUUUGGAGCAUAUCACUAAGCAUUCUGAGGAAGCAAGCCAUUACGCAACACCUCAUUCCCUUUUAAUAGUAUUGGCUUUCCUAUGGACUCAAUGUGAUCUGGAUCACUAAAAGAAAAAUGUAGAGUCUUGAGCUUUAGAGCUUGAGCAAAUCUUUUGUCCUUAGCAUCUUGAAAGGGUUCUAUAUCUCUUGUCCAUGCCACUCCAUCUGUUGAACUUGUCUGAAAUAUACUAGAUGAAAAGAUUAGUUCAACAAGAGAUAUGUUGACAUUAAUUACCAAAACCACCCAGGGAGCACUGGUGCUUUCAGAGGCCACUAGUGAAACCUAAGGCCUCGGGUAUUUUCUUUAGUAUAUUUGCCUUUGCGAUCUAUUUUUAUUUGGUUUUAUUUUCACAUCUAUUAACCAAAAAUACAAAAAUACAUUGCUUCACUUUAUUUUAUUUGGUGAUCUAUCUAUCUAUCAAUUCCUUACAACUUUCUCACAUCCACUUGCCAAUUUCUGGCACCAUUGCCCGAAAGGGAUUGAGAACCCCUUUAAUACGUCGGGUUGCGAGUAUUUGUUACUUGUGUGUAGGUGCCGUUCAUGUAGUGUUGCAUGGUUCUCCUACUAGUUCGAUAACCUUGAUCUCAUCACCGAGGGAAAUACCUACCAUUGAUGUGCUGCAUCAUCCAUUCCUCUUUGGGAAAUACCGACAUAGUUCAAGCAAACAUCAGUCUCCAUCUUCUCUUAUAAAGCACCAACUAAGGGGUACUAUGAUCGUACUUGAGCACUGGGUGUAGCUAAUAUGUGAGUGUGCUUCAUGAACGGAUUAAUAAUUGAGCAUAAUGGGCUAGGGAUAACUUGCUUUAGUGUUGAUAUUUUAAAAGACAUGGUUGCUUGUUGAUAUGCUUGAGUAUUGAAAUCUUUAUGUCAAAACUAGACUAUUGCUUUGAAUCAUAUAAAAGUCCAAAUGUCCAUGCUACAAAGAAAAGAAUAUGUGAUGAACAUGUUAGGCAGCAUUCCACAUCAAAAAUUCUGUUUUUAUCAUUUACCUACUCGAGGACGAGCAGGAAUUAAGCUUGGGGAUGUUGAUACGUCUCCAACGUAUCUAUAAUUUUUUAUUGUUCCAUGUUGUUAUAUUAUCAUUCUUGGAUGUUUAACAAUCACUUUAUAGCAACUUCAUAUCAUUUUUGGGACUAACCUAUUGACAUAGUGCCCAGUGACAGUUGCUAUUUUUGCUUGUUUUUCACUUCACAGGAAAUCAAUACCAAACGGAGUCCAAACGUAGCAAAACUUUUCGGAGAAUAUUUCUAGGCUAGAAGACAAACGAUGGGCCAAAGAAGUACUAGAGGGGUGCCCCGAGGGGGGCACAACCCACCCGGUGUGACAAAGACAAAAGGUAGGGGAUGGAGAGCUCACAGUGGUGGUGCACGGGGGCCCGGUGAGUGAACGGGAGCGCAGAGGCGACCGACGUCGACAGAGAUGGCGGCGAGGUACCGAGGAGCAAGACGGUUCGAGGCAGCAUCGUAGCAGCCUUCGGCUCCAAUGCGUCAGCGUGGAGGACGUAGCUGAUGGAGACAACCUUUGUGGACAAGACGACAUGACAGGAGGUAACCGGUGGCCGCGGUGGAGCGAGGCGGACAGUGCCGGGCGUGUCGGCGAGGCGGAUCUGGGAGAGGGGACGCAGGCGAGAGAGAGAGAGAGAGCGAGCGAGCGAGCGAGAGAGAGAGAGAGAGAGAGAGAGAGAGAAAGCGAGGUGGAGAUAGGAACAGCAUGGGCGGAGGGGGAAGAAUUACCUAGGGUUUGGUCCGGGGGAGGGGCGCCGGCUUAAGUAGGGGGCAGCGCCGGUGGAUGGCUACCCCGACGGCUGAUGUUUGCUUGAACUACGUCAGUAUUUCCCAAAGAGGAAGGGAUGAUGCAGCACAACAACAGUAGGUAUUUCCCUUAGUGAUGAGACCAAGGUUAUCCAUCCAGUAGGAGAACCACGCAACACUACGUGAGCGGCACCUGCACACAAAUAAAAAAAUACUCGCAACCCGACGUAUUGAAGGGGUUGUCAACCCCUUUCAGGCAUCGGCGCCAGAAAUUGGCAAGUGGACGUGAGAAAGUUGUAAUAAAUUGAUAGAUAGAUCGCCAAAUAAAAUAAAGUGCAACAAGGUCUUUUUGUAUUUUUGGUUUAAUAGAGCUGAAAAUAAAAGCAAAUAAAAAUAGAUCGCGAAGGCAAAUAUAAUAAAGAAGAGACCCGGGGCCAUAGGUUUCACUAGUGGCUUCUCUCGAGAAAAAUAGCAAAUGGUGGGUGAACAAAUUACUGUUGGGAAAUUGAUAGACCUUCAAAUAAUCAUGACGAUAUCCAGGAAAUGAUGAUUAUAUAGGCAUCACGUCCAAGAUUAGUAGACCGACUCCUGCCUGCAUCUACUCACUACAAAAAAAUACACUUUUGUGAUGAUACGUGUUUGUCAUAGUAGGUCACGUUUUCUGUCAUGCAUGUACAUCCAUGACGAUUUUAUGACAGAAUCAAGAUAGUCAUACAUGUGCUGUCGUAGAAGUGUUCCAUGACAUUACCAAAACUAUCAUCAUGGAAGUGUCCACUUCCAUGACGAUAAAUGUCGCGUCAUGGAAGUGCUUUCGUCAAGGGUGACCUUCACGUGGCAUCCACCGUAAUGGGUCGCCGUUAAGCUAUCAGGUCCGGUUUUGGAUCCGGUAACCCACUAACAGCCAUGACCAAUGCCGAUUUUCCACGUGUAAAAUUCUCAUUGGCUGAUGGAGCCACGUGUCAGCUCCGCGUUGGCACAGGUUUCACUCAUCCAAUGGGCGAGAUGUGCCUAUGAUAUGUUCACAUGUGGACCGGCCCAAAAGUGGCCCAUAAAGAUUAAAUGGGCCGGCCCAACUAAAGGCCCAUUAGAUUUAGCGGACCAUAAUGGGCCGGCCUAGCUAAAGGCCCAUAAGAUUUUGCAGACCAUAAUGAGCAGGCCCACCUAAAGGCCCAACAUUCUUAGUUAAGGCCCGUAUGGCUAGUGUCAAAUCGUCCCGUCAACGGCUCGUCCUAAACUUGUCAUCAUCGUGGCCCAUGGUCACUUCUAGCCCAUUAACAGUCUGCUAAGUAUUUGGGCCAAAUUACGACCCGGUGUGUUUCUAGCCUGUUAUAGGUUCUGCUUCAUUUGGGCCCAUUUAUAGGCCAUUGAAACUUUCGGCCCAUAAACGACCGUGAAUGAUUUGGGCCAUAUUUGGCCAUGUCUAACAUUCGGCCUGUUAGAGGCCCACUAUAGAUUUGGGCCACUUUCAACCUGUUAACGCCGGACAAAAUCCAUGGGCCAUAUGUGGCCCAACGUCACAUCAGGCCUACUAACGGCCCAUAUAAAAAUGACACUAAUCAUGCCCGAUCGAACUUCCGGCCUGUUAAAGGCCUGUGUAGUAGGUCAGCGCAUUUAUGACCCGUCUGAAUUUCGGCUCGUGAACGAUUCGCAUUGUAAAUGGGCCACCAUUUCGGCCUGCUAAGACCAGUGGGUUAUUUGGCACAACCAGGGCCUAAUCUCACAUUCUGCCUAUUAAAGGCCCAUGUUUUUUAUGGGCUCAAGAUAUUUACACCUGUAAAUGGCCUAUUGUUACUGAGGGCCCAAAUUAUGUUUAGGCCUGUUAAAGGCCCACUAUGGGCACAUGCCUACGAGAAAAAAUAUGAAAGAUUAUGAUGAUUUAAGCCCAGAUAUUUUUAGUGGGCUACAUGCAAAUUUUGGCCCAUAAUCGUUUUUAGCCCAAUUGGAAUGGGCCCGACGAAUGUUGGCAUGUUGGGCUCCUACGAAGAUUUUGGCCGAAAACUUUACUAAGAUAACCUACACUAUAUAAAAAAAUGGCAUCAUAAUUACUGCAGCCUUUGGGCGCAUCAUAAAUGCUAUAUCACAAAAAAAUAAAUUCCAACCAUACAACAAAAGGCAUGUUGGCAUAAAGUUUACAGUCCUUGCAGAUAAAAGCACCAUCAGAUGUAUAGAAGCACAAAUCAUUUGACUUGAGUGCUAAUGUUUCAGGCUAUAGAAUUUGAUAGAGCAGCAUGAUCUUCCCCUUUUCCCCGCCAUUGCUCUCGAACGGCGAAGCAAAUGUCUGAUAGUCUUGUUUCAAAACCAUUAAUAUCUUCACGACAUUUGUCAACCACUAUUCUUGUUUCUGAAACAACGCCCAUUAGGGAUUGGACUUGUGUCUGGAGCACAGAUAUAUCACUCUGUCUAGCCGGAAGAUUUUGUUCAGUAGGCGAUUUGGACGAGGUUACCUUGACAACCAACCCAAAAUGGCGCAGGAAGGUGCUUUUUGCACUGUUAGUGGAGAGAUACUAACGCACUGCAGCAAGAGGUGACAUUGUGCCUGUGGUAGCCUCGUCACCUUUAGGUGGUUGUGGCUAUUCAAUCAUUUGUUUCAUAGCUUGCUGAAAGUUUGAACUUGUAGAUUAGUAUACCAAAUAAGUUACUAAUGAGAAAAAAACAAAGUAGGUUUCAUGUUUAUACAUAACUUAUUUUAGUGAACUACUCUAAUACAUUAGCAUGUAUUGUAGUGCCAGCUACAUAAUAAAAUCACUUUUGGAACAUAUGUCCAUGUAGCAUGCCUACUGUAUUGUCUAUUUCCUCACAUUCGUUGACAUCUAAGGAUAAAGAGACAUGGUUUAAAGUAGGAUGAACAUAGUAUGACAUCAUUCAUAUCAUGGGCAAACAGAUAUAAAACAAACAUGCCAUUGUAUCAUUGUGUGCACACGUGAACAUCACAACUAGAUUAUAGAUCAAGACCAAAAGAAUAUUGUCGGUGUCAAAACUGGCAGAUCUCGGGUAGGGGGUCCCGAACUGUGCGUCUAAGGCGGAUGGUAACAGGAGGCAGGGGACACGAUGUUUACCCAGGUUAGGGCCCUCUUGAUGGAGGUAAAACCCUACGUCCUGCUUGAUUGUUCUUGAUGAUAUGAGUAUUACAAGAGUUGAUCUACCACGAGAUCGAAGAGGCUAAACCCUAGAAGCUAGCCUAUGGUAUGAUUGUCUCUUGUCCUACAGACUAAAAACCUCCGGUUUAUAUAGACACCGAAGGGGGCUAGGGUUACACAAGGUCGGUUACAAAGGUGGAGAUAUACAUAUCCGUAUUGCCUAUCUUGCUUCCACGCCAAGUAGAGUCCCAUCCGGACACGGGACGAAGUCUUCAAACUUGUAUCUUCAUAGUCCAACAGUCCGGACAAAGGAUAUAGUCCGGCUGUCCGAAGACCCCCUAAUCCAGGACUCCCUUAGUAGCCCCUGAACCAGGUUUCAAUGACGAUGAGUCCGGCACGCAGUGUUGUCUUCGGCAUUGCAAGGCGGGUUCCUCCUCCGAACACACCACGGAAGAGUUUGAAUACAAGGACAGUGUCUGACCCUGCAAAAUAAGUUCCACAUACCACUGUAGAGAGAAUAAUAUUUCCACAAAUCUAAUCUGCUGACACGUUUUGACAGCGUCACAUCACGCCUUGACUCGGUCAAUAUUCAAACUGUUUCCCUCAACCAGCGCCGCACAUAUCGCGAGGCGGUUUUCUUGACACGUCUUGUCAAAGCAGAGAUCGUGUCCCCCUUAUCUUGGGAUUCUCAUCAAUACAAACGUGGGUUACCCAACCCUGCCUGAUGGUAUGACUCCUAGAUCUUAGGUAAUUCCCAAAUGGCCACGAGGAGGACGCCUGAUAUUCACCCUCUUUAUAAAGGGGACGAGGCCUUUUCCUUUUCCCUCCCGUGCUCAAUCGAAUCCUUCCCCCGCCUCGAGUUCUAACACCCAAAGCUUAGGUCAGGUGCUUCAGACCUUCAACUUUGUUCGGAUCCAACCUUCAAGGUCGGUGGAUGCCUUCCUCCGUCAUAGAGGAGGACAUCAAGAAGCUGAGGGAGGCCAGAUAUCUGACCGCCGAAAUUCCGCAUAGGCUGUCUACCCGAGGGCAGGUCGUCCCUACUCCCGAACCCAACGAGAGCGUUGUGUUCGUCUCCCACUUCCUCCGAGGGCUAGGCCUCGCUCUGGAUCCCUUUGUUAGGGGUCUUAUGUUCUAUUACGGGCUGGAUUUUCACGAUCUAGCCCCGGAUUCCCUUCUUCACAUCUCGUCAUUUAUUGUCGUAUGUGAGGCCUUCCUCCGCAUUACCCCUCACUUCGGCCUGUGGCUCAAGACCUUCGAUGUGAAGCCAAAGAUGAUCAAGGGGCAGCAUGCAGCGUGCGGAGGUGCUUUAAUAAGGAAGAUCGCUGACGCUCCAUGGCCAGAGGGUUCCUUCCCAGAGGUGUCCGGAUUGUGGCAGCGGGAAAGGUUUUACAUCACAUCUCCCCGAAGUGCCAAGUGGGUAGCUGCCCCCGCCUUCCGCUCGGGCCCCCCACCACAACUAAUGUCAUGGAUCAGCAGGGGGCUGAGCUGGGGUCCAGCCAAGGACGUGCCAAUACUGCAGAGCCGUAUCCGAGAUCUCUUCGAGGGAGACUUCAGUCUAGUUAUGGUAAUGCAAGUUAUGCUGGUUCGUCAAGUCCAACCUUGCAAACGCCGGCCCCUCCGUAUGUGGGAAUUCAACCCGGAAGGAUCGCGAGUUAUUCAGCAUUUCCUCGGCAUGACGCACGAGAUGUACAAAUCGUUCUUCGGACCGCAAAUAGAGUGUCCGGACACCACCGAGGACGUGGGCCUGAGCUGCAACCGCCCUGCUGCCCAAGUAAGUAAUCCCAUGCCGAACAUGCUGUCCUUUCAUUUAUCAUGGCAUCAUUCUAAAGAGCCGCUCUUUGACCAGGACUAGAUAACAAAGGCGAUGAUGAUCAGGUGUUUUCCCCCCUUCCUGAGGGCUUGGACAAUCCGGUAUUGGACAAGAUGCUCGAGUCGGUGCCUUAUCCAGUGUCCUCAAAGGAAGAUGAUGGGGGGAAUAAAGAGGGCGAAAGCGGGCCUCACUCGCUACUUAUUCCAGCCGGGGAAUGAUCACCUCUACAAGGGAGGACAAUCAAAGGGAAGAACCUGACAUUCUCCCUCCCCGGGGAAGGAAGAGGACUACCUCUGAAGAUCCGGAAACUAAGGUUUCAAAACGGGAGAAGAAAUCUUCAUCAGAGGGUCCUGCCUCAGAGGGUAUUCUUGCCGCACAAUAUCCGCGCGGGGAUCAGCCCUCUACCGAGCUGUAAGUAAUUGAAAAGUACUUAGCAGUGAAAGUAUCCUACCUUACUUCCAAAGACAAUAACCGAUGCUUAUAAAUUGUAGUCCGGAUCGUAGCCCUUCUUGACAGAAUUCAUCUUCGGGGGAUCUUCUUCCGGAGAUGAUGGAGAGAGAAAUGCCUCCCCCGGACACCCCGCCUCAAGAAGCGGGCGACCUUGAAGUGUCGUCGCGAAGGGUAUCUCCAGAUCCACUAGGGCCAGAGGAUAACCCUUUGGCUGCCCGGAAUCCCCAGUAUCCGGCUCCUAAGGAGAGCGACAUCAAGGGUCCGUACAGUGUGCGGUCGAACGCGCUGAAGGAUCUUUUGGGGCAAGCGGCUGUCUCAGAAAUGCAUCGUACGCUAAUGGGUACGAUAACUGAAAGGAUUUCAUCCGCUGAAAGCGGUUUGCAUGAAGCCUUCAUGAGUCUAAUGAAAGGCUUCGAGGUAUGUGAAAUAAUGUAUGUUUUUAACAGUACCGCAUACGUUAGAUAUGCCCUAUGCAGAUAGUAGCCCCUGAGACUCUGGUUGUCGUUGAAAACAGCGGCAAACAGAGGAUCAUAGUCCUAGGUAAUAACCAGACCACCUUUAUGUGUAGGUCGCUGAAGCUCCGGUGGCUAGCCGGACUGAUGCUUUUGCCGAGCUAAAGCGGCAACUUGGUGCGGCAGACGCCGACAUCGUGCUUGUCAACAAGCGGCUUGACGAGGCACAGGGUGAGUGAUUUUUCUGGUGAUCGUCACAUAAUAAGAGUAGCAUGAUGCCAGUAUCUAUAAUGUGUUGUGACUGCAGAUGGAGCUGCCACCGUGGAGACCCUUCGGGUGGAGCUUGCCCGAGCCAAGGAGCAAGCAAGGAGUAGCAAUGCGGCCACUUUAAAGGCGGCUGAAGAAUUAAGGGCCGAACAGGCCGCGCAUUGUGAGAGCAAGGAAAAAAAAUAGCCAAGAUGGCUGUAGAGUUAAAAGAUGCCGCUGACCGUUACCAGCUUCUUGAAGAAGAGAACCGGGCGAAGGCGACGAACCUGGAGAAGGCCCGAGUGGCUGCCAAGGAAGCCCGCUCCAAAAUUAGAGCGACGAAGGAGGAGCUGAAUCAAGCUACAGAUAUCGUGUCUGGGAGGCCCUUCUUGUUGCAGACUAAGUUCGGAGAUCCGAAGUAUGCUCCUCUGGACCGGCUAUGGAGUUCUGCGGACGCAUACAUGGAUUUGCAUGCAAGUGCUACUGAUGUGGCCAAGUACUUCAAGGAUCAGAAAGGUCCUAAAGUGGAAAAGCUGUUCUGGUCACAGUUCCACGCUCCAGUCCGUCCGCUGUUGUUGAAUGAGUGAUUGGCCGAGUGGCCCAAGCUCCAUAGGUUGUCCGGACUUUCCAUGAGGUCCAUUGUGGAUCACCUGUGGCCGGGAGGGCCAAGGCCGAAUAGGUACUUUAGCUUAGUGCAACAAUUCCUUGGAGUUGUGCCACACAUCGAUCUUGUAAAGAGAUCGGCGUGCAUAGAGGGUGCGCGGAUGGCCUUUGCCCGUGUCAAGACAUACUGGGCGGAUGUCACAUCCCUAGCUUCUGGUAAUGCUCUAGGCUAGCUUCAUGUGUGCAUCAUGUCUAUAUUCCGAAAGUUGAAAUGAGGAAAUUGAAAGCCUCGGAAAUCAUUUUAAUAAAGGGGCAAGAAACCCUAAAAUUGCAAUCAGUAAAUCCAAAAUGCCCUAGAAAUAGCUCUGACAAUUUUGGCAAGAGUUAUAAAUCAAACCAAAAAUUUGGGACAUUUCUAAGGAAUUAUUUGGGCUCUGAUUUUAAAUCAAUAUUUUAUUUGAAUUUGGAGUUAUAUUCAUAAUAUAUAAUGAAUAUAUUUUCAAAUGCCCUGAGAUAUUUUAUGUUUAUGAGGAGUAGACCUUAAGUGACAUAAAAUUAUCCAGGGGAGUUUUGGCACUGUUUUCAAAUUUGUUUGAAUUUGAAUUCAGUGGCAAUUAAAUAGAAAGCAGAACAGAAAAUAUAUAAAAAAAAGAGAAGCCCAGUCACUUACCUGGCGCUCACCUGCAGUAGAGCCGGCCCAGCUUCUGUUCCGGCCCAGCCCACUACCGCCUCCCCCCCUGUCGUCUUCCUCCUCGCCAGAAGGACCGAGGCAUGGCGCGCGCCCGAGAGCCCCGGCCACCUCCUGCUUGCCGCUCUCCUUCCUCGACGCUCUGGAUGCCUCCCCCGAGCGCCACGCACCUCCCUGCCUCUCUCCCUCACUCUUCCGCGCUCUCGCCCCCUUCCCUGGAUCUCUCCCUUUCUCGCCCGACCGCUGCCGCCGCCGCCGUCCACUACCACUGCAGCCACUGCCGUCGUUUCACCCUACUAGAGAGUCCAUCGGCUCCGCCUAGUUCCCUGCUACCUCUCCGUUGAGACACGCGUCGCCGGAUGCCCUGCUGCCUCGCCAGCGACCCGUCUUCUCCACGCACGGCCGCCGGACGCCGUCUGUCGAUUCGCCGUCUCCGCCGCCUCCCCGAGCACGCCGACCUGCUCUGCAACCUCACAGUGAGCCCCCGCUCCGAACCCCUCUCUCCCCGCCGAAUUUCUCCUCCUCCAGCCGCCUUUUCCACCAAAGCCACGAGCUCCUCGCCGCCGGUGAUGGUGCAGACGAGGCCAUGGGCACUACAGCCCGUAUCUGAGCACACCAGUGUGCUCAGCGCGCCUCCACGAACCUGCAGCUACCAGUAGCUCCGCCUCCCGUGCCCUCUAGCACCAUACUCAGCUGCUCCCGAACGCCGGCCGCCGCCACGAGCUCGACUCCGGCGAGCUUGAUCCACCCCAGCCCCUCCCAUUUGGCUCUCCGGAUGCGCAAGAGCGAGGGCUAUGCCCUGGUGCCCUCAGCGCGCGAAUCCGAUGCCUCUAGCGCAAGUCCGGCGUGCCCCCGCCGUGCUCUGUGGUCACCGCCGGCCAAACUCCGGCGGGCUGAUGUGGCCACUUAGUUAGGGGCUAAUCACCCUAUGAGCCACUGCCAUGUGGGCCCCUGCACCUAAUUAGGAUUAGUAUAUUUUUCUGUUUAGUUAAGUCUAAUUGCAGUGGCCCCACGCGUCAGUUUUGACCGUGCUGACGUGGCCGUUGACUGGGCCCACACGUCAGCGGCACUAACCAGCCCCAGUCACUGACCAGUGGACCCCACUGGUCAGGUUUGACCAGCAGCAGCGUCUGUUGACCUGCUGAUGUCAUAGUGACGCAAUGCUGACGCAAUAAGUAUUUUCUGGAUUUAUUAUUAUUCAGGAAAUUUCAGAAAAUAGCUAAAACUUCAAUAAAUCAUAGAAAAUUAACCGUAACUCCAAAUGAAAUAAUUUAUAUAUGAAAAAUUAUCAGAAAAAUUCAAGGAAUCCAUCUGUACCAUUUUCAUGCAUGUUAGAACAACUUAUAGCUGCUGUUUAGCGCAAAUCAAUUAAAUGACAUUUGAAUAAUCACAUAUGGAGUUUGAAUUUGAAUCUUGUAUUCAAACCAACUUCAUUUAAUCUGUUGCUAGUUGCAUUAGCUCAAAACACAUUCAUAUUGCCAUGUCAUUAUCAUGCAUCAUAUUGUUGCAUCGCAUUGAUUGUGUUCUUCCUUGUUUGCCGGUAAUUGUCCCCUCUCGAUAGACGUGUACCGGCGAUGUGAUCGUUAACACUAAUGAAGACUCAAUGUUAUCGUCAGAAGUGCCAGGCAAGCAAAACCCCCUUGUUCAUUCCAAUACAAUCCUACUCUCCCGCUCCUGCUCUCUUUUACUGCAUUAGGACAACAUCGAUUCAACUGUUACUUGCUGCAGUAGCUGAACCCCUUUAUCCUUUGCAUGACCUGUCAUUGCCACAGUAAAUAGAUGAAACCCACUAGCAUGAGUAGGAGUUGUUUGAGCCCUGUUGUGCCUACUCAUUCAUGCUUGUUUGUCAUGCCUGCUAUUGCUUAGAGUUGUGUCAAGUCUGAUUCAUCCGGGAUGAAUCAGAGGUGUGUGAACAUGUCCUACUGUGUGUGAGCUAAGUGUGUGAACACGAUUUGGUAAAAGGUGUCGGUGAGAGGCCAUGUAGGAGUACAUGGUGGGUUGUCUCAUUGAAGUCGUCCUUAGGAACUGAGUUCUGUGUUUGUGAUCCAUGAUUUAGCUACUACCAUGCAUUGGGCCCUGAAAUAUGACCCCGCUCGACUUCUUAUUCACCCUAGUCCUCUGUCCAGGAGUUGCAAGUAGUUUCUGGUGUUUGUAGCUUACUGGAGGCCGUGGACAGUGCUGACCGUAGUGGUGGGCUGUGAUGCGGUAGGUACGUGGCACGGUGUACCGGAUGCCCGUUUGGUAUCUCGGGAACCCUGUUCACAUCGUUUGGGGCUGUGAGCGAAACUCCGGCCGGAUCUCCUCAUGGAUGGAACCCGAAUAGGCGAUAAACCUGGACUAGAGACUUGAGUGUUUAGGUAGGUCGUGGUCUACACCCACGUCGGCUUUCGCUUGAAGUCUGCCGAGCACAUGUCGUGUGCAGACGCUAAGUGGUGGAAACAUGUAUGAAGAAGUACACCCCUGCAGGGUUAACAUCAUCUAUUCGAAUAGCCGUGUCCGCGGAAAAGGACUUCUGGGUUGCUUAUAUCAGUUCAUAGACAAGUGAAAGUGGAUACCCUAAAAUACGCAAGAUAAGCGUGAGUGCUAUGGAUGGCGUUCUCGUAGGGAGACGGGAGCGGAUCCAUAGUGGUGUAUUGAUAUGGUGAAUAUGUGGACUCGUGUGCGCCACCUCAAAAGAGUCGCUUGCAGUCGUAGUUCAGGAUAGCCACCGAGUCAAAGCUGGCUUGCUGCAGUUAAACUCCACCAUCCCCUUUGUUGAUAAUGAUGCAUAUGUAGUUAGUUCUGAUGUAAGUCUUGCUGGGUACAUUUGUACUCACGUUUGCCUAUUUUAUGUUUUUGCAGAGAGACUUCGGUCUCGCUAGUAGUUCCACGUGGACUUCGACGUUUAGCUUGUUACCUCAACUACGAUCUUGUGCCUCGGCAGGAUCUGGUAGAUAGUCAGGCUUCUCAGCCUUUUUCAUUUCUAGAUGUCUGUACUCAGACAUGUUAAGAUUCCGCAUGUGCUUUGACUUGUAUGCUCUGAUUGUUGGGUCAUGAGACCCAUGUUUGUAAUAUCUCGCUCCUCAGAGCCUAUUGAAUAAAUACUUGAGUUGUAGAGUCAUGUUGUGAUGCCAUGUUGUAUUUGCACAUAUCGAGCAUAUUGUGUGUAUGUUAUUGAAAUGCUUGGUAUGUGUGGGAUCUGACUAUCUAGUUGUUUAUCCUUAGUAGCCUCUCUUACCGGGAAAUGUCUCCUAGUGAUUCCACUGAGCCAUGGUAGCUUGCUACUGCUCCGGAACACUUAGGCUGGCCGGCAUGUGUCCUUCUUCGUUCCUGUGUCUGUCCCUUCGGGGAAAUGUCACGCGAUGAAUACCAGAUUCCUGUUAGCCCGCUACAACCCAGUUCACCGGAGUCCUGCUAGCCCAGUGCUACAGCCUGGAUUCACUCGCUGAUGACCGACACGUUCGAUGCUGGGUCAUGGAUGCCUGUCCCUGUAAGUUUGUGCCACUUUGGGUUUACGACUAGCCAUGUAAGCCCGGGCUCCUUAUCAUAUGGAUGCUAGCGACACUAUCAUAUACGUGUGCCAAAAGGCGCAAACGGUCCCGGGCAAAGGUAAGGCGACACCCGUGGGAAUACCGUGCGUGAGGCCGCAAAGUGAUAUGAGGUGUUACAUGCUAGAUCGAUGUGGCAUUGAGUCAGGGUCCUGACAGCGUUGGUAUCAGAGCUUGACUGCCUAUAGGAUUACCAAGCCAAACUGGUCGAAGUUGAGACUAGAAAUUCUUUAGUUAUAUAAGGGAAUUGAUUGUGGGAUGGAACGUAAGGCUCUUUUUACUCCUUAUACCUCAUGCCCUUCUGAUCUGAGUCAUCUUAUCUUUCCUACGGGGAUUAAGAGCUAGGCUAUCUCUUCUUUCUAUCAGGAUCACGCGUUACUAAUCCGUAGACUUAUAAGAUUGUUGGAUUUAAGCUUCAGUUCAGUUUCUACUACUUCCGUAUGUUAAUUGUUGAUCUCGAAACCUUGAUAUUGUGCUUCUGAGUGGUUAUGCCACCAUUUUUGUGAAUGUCUCAAAUCUCUUCUGAGCAUUUAUAGCCGUUAUGCUGUCCGAGUCAUUCCAGGUUUCUAAAUAGUCUGAUGCAUUUGCAAAAUCCUUUCCCUCCAGUUUCGAUGCUCCUUUAUGCCAGCUCAAUCACACUAAUUGUUGAGUUGAGGUAUUCUACUGCCUCGACCUUUAUGUUGGAAUAAUUAUUAUGACCCUAGGUGUCUCAGGGGAUCAUCUAGUGGUCUAGCCAUGAUUUGUGUCCUAGUGUGAUGAUUCUGGCCUUUAUUCUCGAAAGCAUUUCGUGAUGCUACUUAGGAGUAGGUAUUCUAUUCCUGGGUUUUGAACCCGAGAUUCAUCCUACUUACAUCAUGUUGAUAGUGUUGCUAGUUCCUUUAGGAUAAUAGUAACCUUUGCGAUAGUCCUCGAGGUUGAUGGUACAUCCUUCUUCCAAUUACCAUGAAUCAUUCUUGGCAGGAGUUCUUCUGAACCAAAAGAUGACAACAAGAGUGCUCUCGAUGAGUUCUCCAUGCUAUAUUGUGGCUCUGCCAGUUCUACCUUUCCGCAUGGGUUAUCCGGAAGAAAUGUUGAACUUGGUUCGACAUACUAAUCUAUGCAUCCACAACUCAGAAAAUUAUAUGUUCCUUUGAGUUGUCCCUCUUAGUUGUCUACUGACCUUCGUCUAUCAAUGGAUAGUCAAGAGUAUGCGUGCGUUCGUUUAUCGAUGCCCAUUACUCUUGUGGUCCGUCAAGCCAUUCUGUUCUGAAUGACUUGGAGAAACAAACUCCAGUACCUCAUCCAUAUCUAGGAUUGGGUCAAAGUAGUUGUAUUCCGCAGAUCAAAUGCCAAUCCAGCUUUUGGUUCUGCUCUACCUUGGAGUAUUACCAUAUUUUAUAUCGGGAUUGUUACAGGAAUUGCACACCAUCCUAUGAACUCUUGAUACAGUGAUACUUCUUGCCAUCAUUGUUCAUUCCUCGGUUCCUGUGUUAUUGUAACCGGAAUGCCGACAAGUGAAUCAUGGUGUGUGAAAUCAAUACUGCUAGCAACUCCGUUGCUUGGUAGUUAAAUGGACGAUAACCUCAUUCUUAGCGUGUUGAUUAUUGAAUCGUCACCCUAAGGUUGAUUGUGCUACCUAGUCCUUAUUUCUGGUGCACUCUCCGAUCAGUGAGUUAGGAUAGUGCCAAUCCUUGCUUAUUUGAUCAUAUCGUCUUGCCCUGGAAAGCAAGAUUGUUCUCGAGCUUAGUAACAUAUCGGUGGUUCGUGAUUUUUCGAAUAUCUUCUCGGAAGUAUUACCAGGUUGUCCCCUGACUGUUAUGUUGAGCUCGUGAUCAAAUUGGUUUCUUGUGAACCACCCUCUCUCCAAGAAUCGGUGUUAGAUAUCCCUGAGCUAGUUGGUUAAGCUAGACAACAACUUGGAGAGUUGGAGGAUAAAAGCUUGCCUAACUUAGUUCGUUCCAAAGGGAUAUUCUUGUGUAGUGUGUGUUGAAGAAAGAUGAUAUCUUCAUCGAUUGGUCCCUGUGAUCAGUUGCUGGACCUAUUAUCUUAUCCAAUCUUUGAUUUGAGUAUGAGCUAUCGUCAAAUCAAAUCAGAACCAACGAUAUUCGUAAUGUUGUCUUACUCGUGGUUUUCCUCGAGCAUACACCAUUAUAUUCUUUGUUCUGACCAAUACUACCACCGUGUUCACAUGAUGGCGGAAGUCCAGUGAUAUGGAAAUUCCGAUGAGUUACUGUUGAGCCCAUCAGCAGCAUUUUGUCUCCCCCAUGAUUCAUGUUGAACAUCAACCUAGUGCUGGAAACUUGUGUAAGCAUUUUCUUCAUGCUAGCUCAUGAAGUAUUUGUUUGAUGAAAGGAGUGACUUCCUCUUAUACAUGUGCAUUUGGUGAAAGUUGCCGCCGUGAAUUUGAGAAAGUUAGUUUUGCUUCCUCUGGAAUCAUCCCAAGUCAGUCAUGCAUAUGUGCGAAGUAUUCUAUGGUUUGGAGACUUGCAACCUUCAUUCCAUAUGUGUUCCGAGCACACCAAGCCACUGAUUGAUUUGUUCAAGGAGAAGAAGUUCCUUCUUAAGAGCAUGCCUUAUGCAAGGAUUUUGAUAUCCUCGUUGAUGGUUCCCCACCUGAACUCGGUAGUGUUUUAUUAUAAGACUACCACGUGGUCAUGCUUGUCUGGGACAACGUGUUCACAUGUUUGUAGCAGAACCAGCUCAUGUUUUGGAGCUUACUAUCGUAGUUCAUUCCCCGAGAAUCUCGCAACGUCAUCUCGUCGAUUUGUGUUGCAAACUUUCGUUUUUCUUCCUAGACUCGAUGAGUCUGGAAUAUCCUGACACCAACCAGAUCUGAAUCUCAGGCAGAUGUGAUGAUUGGAACAUUUCCCAAGAACUAUAAUAUUAGUCUCUCGAUAACCGGUAAGGUGGAUGUCGUGGCCAACACACCCAUCCGGUAGACCUAUUAUUAUAGUAUCUUGUUUGAGGAAGUUGGCCACCUCCCCAUAGGGAUUUCGUAGGAUUUACUCCCUAGUUGCCCCUAUGGAUUUUUGUGCUCCCGAAGUCCGACCUUUUUACUUGAUGGUCUGGUGACCAACCCAUAUCUAUGAAUGGGUUACACUAGCACAUCAAGGAGAACAUUAGAAGCGGAGUGCUAAAUGUCUCUCGGUCGAUCAUCCAGAUUUUAUUUCCUUGGCAUUGCUAGGGUGAAAUCUGAGAAAGUGUUAUCUUCCUUUGCAUCUGCAUCAUCCAUCAUCAUUCAUCAUGGUAGCAAGUUGUGUUGCCAGGAUCCUUGACACGGAUGUUGGUAAAACCUUGAUGAUUAUGGAAAUGCUCAAGUUCUUGAGAGCACGCACAAGCACUAGGUAUUAUCGCCGGUACUAACCGGGAUUGCUCCUAGUCCCUUCGGUUAUGCUAUAACCACUCCAACAGUGGAAUCACUCUCUACUGCUGAGCUCCUCCCCAGUUACCAGAAUCAUUCCCAGCAUUUGCAUUUUGUUCCCAGCUUGCACCGCCAAUGUGCCAUUCUACCAUGGGUCUCUUCCAUUUUCGGUGGUAAGCACAUUCAUCCAUUACGUUGUCUUCAACAAGGUAAUCCAUAUCAUCCAAGUCCGAGUAUGCCAUUCUACCGACCCCCUCCAAACGAUCGGUCGAGAAUUGCCUUAGGUUGGUUUAAAGAGUUUCAAUGAUCUUUGAAUCAAAGGUAAUUCUUUUUGCCACUUAAGGGGAUAUUUCUACGAGUCACCUUUCCUAAGGUGCAUCGUUAUGGUAUCAUGGAAACUCAACUCCUCGCUACGUUGACAACCAUUCACCACCCUUUUUAGCGUGAACUUGUUGUCUACCUAGUGAACCUUCGUCAUCUGAUGCACUCCAUUCCUAUGGAUGUGUGCUUCGUCUCUCAGCUCAAGAGAUGUUGCUAUGUCUCAAUCCGUGGGUGAGUUGUCCGACCUUCGAGAAGAACAAUUCUUUUAGGGUCUUUCCUUUCCUCUCAUUGUCAUGAUAGUUGGAGUUUCCAGAGCAAGACAUCAAGAUAAGGAUGGUGAUCAAAUCAACGCUCUUAUGGAAUGCACCCUGGAUCGUUAAGAUUAUACUAGUUUGCGUUUCCCCUUCGUCUUACCCUACACUUGAAUCUCGGGUCGAGAUUCUUGUUUAGUGGGGGUGAGUUGUCACAUCCCUAGCUUCUGGUAAUGCUCUAGGCUAGCUUCAUGUGUGCAUCAUGUCUAUAUUCCGAAAGUUGAAAUGAGGAAAUUGAAAGCCUCGGAAAUCAUUUUAAUAAAGGGGCAAGAAACCCUAAAAUUGCAAUCAGUAAAUCCAAAAUGCCCUAGAAAUAGCUCUGACAAUUUUGGCAAGAGUUAUAAAUCAAACCAAAAAUUUGGGACAUUUCUAAGGAAUUAUUGGGCUCUGAUUUUAAAUCAAUAUUUUAUUUGAAUUUGGAGUUAUAUUCAUAAUAUAUAAUGAAUAUAUUUUCAAAUGCCCUGAGAUAUUUUAUGUUUAUGAGGAGUAGACCUUAAGUGACAUAAAAUUAUCCAGGGGAGUUUUGGCAUUGUUUUCAAAUUUGUUUGAAUUUGAAUUCAGUGGCAAUUAAAUAGAAAACAGAACAGAAAAUAUAUAAAAAAGAGAGAAGCCCAGUCACUUACCUGGCGCUCACCUGCAGCAGAGCCGGCCCAGCUUCUGUUCCGGCCCAGCCCACUACCGCCUCCCCCCCCUGUCGUCUUCCUCCUCGCCAGAAGGACCGAGGCGUGGCGCGCGCCCGAGAGCCCCGGCCACCUCCUGCUUGCCGCUCUCCUUCCUCGACGCUUUGGACGCCUCCCCCGAGCGCCACGCACCUCCCUGCCUCUCUCCCUCACUCUCCCGCGCUCUCGCCCCCUUCCCUGGAUCUCUCCCUCUCUCGCCCGACCGCUGUCGCCGCCGCCGUCCACUACCACCGCAGCCACCGCCGUCGUUUCGCCCUACUAGAGAGUCCAUCGGCUCCGCCUAGUUCCCUGCUACCUCUCCAUUGAGACACGCGUCGCCGGAUGCCCUGCUGCCUCGCCAGCGACCCGUCUUCACCACGCAGGGCCGCCGGACGCCGUCUGUCGAUUCGCCGUCUCCGCCGCCUCCCCGAGCACGCCGACCUGCUCAGCAACCUCACAGUGAGCCCCCGCUCCGAACCCCUCUCUCCCCGCCGAAUUUCUCCUCCUCCAGCCGCCUUUUCCACCAAAGCCACGAGCUCCUCGCCGCCGGUGAUGGUGCAGACGAGGCCAUGGGCACUACAGCCCGUAUCUGAGCACACCAGUGUGCUCAGCGCGCCUCCAUGAACCUGCAGCUACCAGUAGCUCCGCCUCCCGUGCCCUCUAGCACCAUACUCAGCUGCUCCCGAACGCCGGCCGCCGCCACGAGCUCGACUCCGGCGAGCUUGAUCCACCCCAGCCCCUCCCAUUUGGCUCUCCGGAUGCGCAAGAGGGAGGGCUAUGCCCUCGUGCCCUCAGCGCGCGAAUCCGAUGCCCCUAGCGCAAGUCCGGCGUGCCCCCGCCGUGCUCUGUGGUCACCGCCGGCCAAACUCUGGCGGGCCGAUGUGGCCACUUAGUUAGGGGCUAAUCACCCUAUGAGCCGCUGCCAUGUGGGCCCCUGCGCCUAAUUAGGAUUAGUAUAUUUUUCUGUUUAGUUAAGUCUAAUUGCAGUGGCCCCACGCGUCAGUUUUGACCGUGCUGACGUGGCCGUUGACUGGGCCCACACGUCAGCGGCACUAACCAGCCCCAGUCACUGACCAGUGGACCCCACUGGUCAGGUUUGACCAGCAGCAGCGUCUGUUGACCUGCUGAUGUCAUAGUGACGCAAUGCUGACGCAAUAAGUAUUUUCUGGAUUUAUUAUUAUUCAGGAAAUUUCAGAAAAUAGCUAAAACUUCAAUAAAUCAUAGAAAAUUAACCGUAACUCCAAAUGAAAUAAUUUAUAUAUGAAAAAUUAUCAGAAAAAUUCAAGGAAUCCAUCUGUACCAUUUUCAUGCAUGUUAGAACAACUUAUAGCUGCUGUUUAGCGCAAAUCAAUUAAAUGACAUUUGAAUAAUCACAUAUGGAGUUUGAAUUUGAAUCUUGUAUUCAAACCAACUUCAUUUAAUCUGUUGCUAGUUGCAUUAGCUCAAAACACAUUCAUAUUGCCAUGUCAUUAUCAUGCAUCAUAUUGUUGCAUCGCAUUGAUUGUGUUCUUCCUUGUUUGCCGGUAAUUGUCCCCUCUCGAUAGACGUGUACCGGCGAUGUGAUCAUUGACACUAAUGAAGACUCAACGUUAUCUUCAGAAGUGCCAGGCAAGCAAAACCCCCUUGUUCAUUCCGAUACAAUCCUACUCUCCCGCUCCUGCUCUCUUUUACUGCAUUAGGACAACAUCGAUUCAUCUAUUACUUGCCGCGGUAGCUGAACCCCUUUAUCCUUUGCAUGACCUGUCAUUGCCACAGUAAAUAGAUGAAACCCACUAGCAUGAGUGGGAGUUGUUUGAGCCCUGUUGUGCCUACUCAUUCAUGCUUGUUUGUCAUGCCUGCUACUGCUUAGAGUUGUGUCAAGUCUGAUUCAUCCGGGAUGAAUCAGAGGUGUGUGAACAUGUCCUACUGUGUGUGAGCUAAGUGUGUGAACAUGAUUUGGUAAAAGGUGUCGGUGAGAGGCCAUGUAGGAGUACAUGGUGGGUUGUCUCAUUGAAGCCGUCCUUAGGAACUGAGUUCUAUGUUUGUGAUCCAUGAUUCAGCUACUACCAUGCAUUGGGCCCUGAAAUAUGACCCUGCUCGACUUCUUAUUCACCCUAGUCAUCUGUCCUGGAGUUGCAAGUAGUUUCUGGUGUUUGUAGCUUACUGGAGGCCGUGGACAGCCCUGACCGUAGUGGUGGGCUGUGAUGCGGUAGGUAUGUGGCACGGUGUACCGGAUGCCCGUUUGGUAUCUCGGGAACCCUGUUCACAUCGUUUGGGGCUGUGAGCUAAACUCUGGCCGGAUCUCCUCAUGGAUGGAACCCGAAUAGGCGAUAAACCUGGACUAGAGACUUGAGUGUUUAGGUAGGUCGUGGUCUACACCCACGUCGGCUUUCGCUUGAAGUCUGCCGAGCACAUGUCGUGUGCAGACGCUAAGUGGUGGAAACAUGUAUGAAGAAGUACACCCCUGCAGGGUUAACAUCAUCUAUUCGAAUAGCCGUGUCCGCGGAAAAGGACUUCUGGGUUGCUUAUAUCAGUUCAUAGACAAGUGAAAGUGGAUACCCUAAAAUACGCAAGAUAAGCGUGAGUGCUAUGGAUGGCGUUCUCGUAGGGAGACGGGAGCGGAUCCAUAGUGGUGUAUUGAUAUGGUGAAUAUGUGGACUCGUGUGCGCCACCUCAAAAGAGUCGCUUGCAGUCGUAGUUCAGGAUAGCCACCGAGUCAAAGUUGGCUUGCUGCAGUUAAACUCCACCAUCCCCUUUGUUGAUAAUGAUGCAUAUGUAGUUAGUUCUGAUGUAAGUCUUGCUGGGUACAUUUGUACUCACGUUUGCCUAUUUUAUGUUUUUGCAGAGAGACUUCGGUCUCGCUAGUAGUUCCACGUGGACUUCAACGUUUAGCUUGUUACCUCAGCUACGAUCUUGUGCCUCGGCAGGAUCUGGUAGAUAGUCAGGCUUCUCAGCCUUUUUCAUUUCUAGAUGUCUGUACUCAGACAUGUUAAGCUUCCGCAUGUGCUUUGACUUGUAUGCUCUGAUUGUUGGGUCAUGAGACCCAUGUUUGUAAUAUCUCGCUCCUCAGAGCCUAUUGAAUAAAUACUUGAGUUGUAGAGUCAUGUUGUGAUGCCAUGUUGUAUUUGCACAUAUUGAGCAUAUUUCGUGUAUGUUAUUGAAAUGCUUGGUAUGUGUGGGAUCUGACUAUCUAGUUGUUUAUCCUUAGUAGCCUCUCUUACCGGGAAAUGUCUCCUAGUGAUUCUACUGAGCCAUGGUAGCUUGCUACUGCUCUGGAACACUUAGGCUGGCCGGCAUGUGUCCUUCUUCGUUCCUGUGUCUGUCCCUUCGGGGAAAUGUCACGCGAUGAAUACCAGAGUCCUGUUAGCCUGCUACAGCCCGGUUCACCGGAGUCCUGCUAGCCCAGUGCUACAGCCUGGAUUCACUCGCUGAUGACCGACAUGUUCGAUGCUGGGUCAUGGAUGCCUGUCCCUGUAAGUUUGUGCCACUUUGGGUUUACGACUAGCCAUGUCAGCCCGGGCUCCUUAUCAUAUGGAUGCUAGCGACACUAUCAUAUACGUGUGCCAAAAGGCGCAAACGGUCCUGGGCAAAGGUAAGGCGACACCCGUGGGAAUACCGUGCGUGAGGCCGCAAAGUGAUAUGAGGUGUUACAUGCUAGAUCGAUGUGGCAUUGAGUCAGGGUCCUGACAGCGGAGAUGGAGGCCACCACUGUUGCGACACAGGGUUCGGCCGUAGGCCGAAUGGCUGCCGAGCACUACUUUGAAGAAGUUCUUGAAGACGCUCGUUCGAUAGAGGCUCAGUGCUCGAAGAACAUUAUGUUCAAGUGACAUGUAUUCCCAUUGUAAAAACAAUGUUUUAUUAAAUUAUCAAGGUUGUAUUUAUACUUUUGCUCGAAAGUACUAUGGUGCCUCCUGUGCGGCCGUUUAUGUAUAUAUGUGUAUAACUUGAAAGUUUGCAGUCGUCGGCUUCCGCCCUGUAAUGCCCCGGACACACCCGCCGGUGGUCGUUACUCCUGGUGGGAUCUAGACUGGCCUUACAGAUCAAUACUAGUCUUUUCUGCGCACUUUGUCCUCACUCGUGCGCACCCGGGAGAAACUUCCCGGUCGGUCACCCAUCCUGACACUACUCCAAGCUGAGCACACUUAACUUUUGUGUUUUGCCCGAAUGGGCUCCCGGAAAAGAAGGAAUUCCUUAUUUAUAUGAGUAGUCUAUCAUCCCUAAUAAGCCAGGCCAUCACAUACACCCCCACUCAGAGGAACUGAUGUCCUCGUCGGGCCACAGGAACGUUCCCUCUUGGCACAUACGCCUGUGCUUCCAGUCCAGUACAUGUGCCAUGUCGUGUGCCACGACGGGUCACAAACGUCAUGAACAACAUGACCACACACCUGUCCGCAACCAUCCGUGUAACCACGAGGGUCGGCUCUGAUACCAACUUGUAACGCUCCGGACACACCCGCCGGUGGUCGUUACUCCUGGCGGGAUCUAGACUGGCCUCACAGAUCAGUACUAGUCUUUUCUGCGCACUUUGUCCUCCCUCAUGCGCACCCGGGAGCAACAUCCCGGUCGGUCACCCAUCCUAACACUACUCCAAGCUGAGCACGCUUAACUUUGGAGUUCUGCCCGAAUGGGCUCCCGGAAAAGAAGGAAUUCCUUAUUUAUAUGAGUAGUCUAUCAUCCCUAAUAAGCCAGGCCAUCACACGCCCCCACGCAUAUAAUGCGGGGGUGUUCGCAAAAGAUGGAUAUCCACACUUGAUCCAACGUCUUGGUCCGUUAAGGAGGUGAUAGCAUAGCAAACGAGGCAAUCAGACUAUAUUGCUUUAACACUUUCACUUAGCCAUAGGAGUUUGACAGUGGGGCUACUAUAUAGCCCCUAGUACUUCUCCUCUUGUCCGAAUACGGGGCGCGUACGUACAUGACUGGGAAACGGUCCUUCGUUAAUGCGGAGGAAUCCCGAAGAUUCCGAUGAGUCAUCGAGUGGUUGACCAGUCUCUCGCUAUAUCAUGACAGUCAGUUUUCGGCUUUCUCUACUGAGGUACUCAUCCGGAUGAACCAGGGCACAAUCGCAGUAGUUCUCCCAGUGCUACCUUAGCCGAUAUAACGGAAUGUAAGGUACCAAAACGUGGGAUCCGGGAAAACCAAACAUUUGACCAAAUACAUGAUUCGGAGCAAAUGCAUAUAGGGCCAAACUCGCGAUGUCGAACACUCCGUAAGGUGUUCGGUCUUUAUAACAUAUACCGGGCUAAACAAUGCCCUUAAUAAGAAACCCAUGUGUCCAGGUACGUGCAAAAUCCUGGCGUGGCCACAUGCCAAUAACGCCGGCAUCCUUCUCGGUUGUGUGGAGUAUCCGGAGGAUGUAAGCAACAAGAGACAGUAAAAAAGGUUUACGCAGGGUCUUGAUCUAAAGAGAAAGCUUUGGGCGGGUCCCUACUGCACGUGUGCGCCUGUGUCUCCGUUGUGCCGUGUCCUGGACGGGUGUAGCACGAUUUUCAUCUGCAAAAGGAAAGAACUUAGGUGAACAUUGCCGUGCCAAAAAAAGGUUGGUUAUUAUCAAUGAACUAUCAAAAUUCAAGAGAAACCAAGUUGAGCCGGGCUGGCCCUGAUUACACGCGGGAAGCCCCUGGUAUCGUUUUAUGAGGGUUCGAAAACCAAUCUCAUGUAAAUAUGAUGGAACGCCAGAUUCGUCUAACCGUGUCCGUGGUCUUGACGACCUUCCAUUUUUUCUGGCUCGUGAGGCCGUCUAGUUCGCGGCUGUUAGAGCCGCCAUGUCCUCUUCCGUACGUAAAAGACGUUCGGUAUUUCUGCUAACUGUGAUGAUGCCACAUGGACCGGGCAUCUUGAGCUUGAGAAAAGCAUAAUGUGGUAUUGCGUUAAAAGGAGCGAAAGCCGCCCUUCCGAGUAGUGCUUGAUAAUCACUUCGGAAUGGAGCGAUAUGAAAAGUUAACGUUUCGCUUCGGAAGUUAUCGGGAGAACAGAAUACCACCUAUAGUAGUAGAGAGCCCAUACAACGGGCCUCUUGGCUUGGUAUUACUCCCUGGAAGGUAGUAUUACUGUGGCUUAUUUGUGUUUGGUCUAUCCCCAUUUUGCGGACUAUGUCCUGAUAUAUCAGAUUUAGAUCACUGCCGCCGUCCAUGAGGACCCUUGUGAAAUGGUACCCAAUUAUUAUUGGGUCUAACACCAAGGCCGUCAGUUUUCGCGCCGGAUAUUUGUAUCAUGAUCCCUACGAUCAAAAGUGAUCGAGCAGGCCAACCAGGGGUUGAACCUAGGAGUGACGGGCUCUAUGGCGCGUGUGCAUCGUAAUGCAUGAUUGCUUCUCCUCUUUGUCACAUGGAUCACAUUUACUGUUUUAACCUCUGGUGGGAACUUUUUCUAUCCUCCAGCAUUUUGGUGGCGAGGUUCAUCUUCGUCUUCGCUUGGUGUCUCUUCCCCUUUGUGUUCAGCAUUUAGCUUACCGGCCUGCUUGAAGACCCAACAUUCUUUGUGGGUAUGAUUUGCAGGUUUGUCUGGGGUGUCGUGAAUCUGACAGAGUUUGUCAAGAAUUUUGUUUAGGCCAGAUUGUCCUUCUCUGCUGCCUUUGAAAGGCUUUUUCCGCUGACCUGGUCGGGCGCCCCUGAAUCCGGCGUUUAUCGCCGUGUUAUCUGGGCUACCUUCUUUAUUUUGACGCUUGUUUUUGUUUCGUCGUGGUUUACCAUUGCCAUCCCUGACUUCAGAUGUGCUUGGGUCGCUGGUGCUGCUAUGGGCCAACCAGCUGUCCUCGCCCGCACAAAAGCGGGUCAUGAGGCUUGUUUGGGCUGCCAUUGUUCUCGGUUUUUGUUGACCGAGGUGUCUGGCGAGCCAUUCGUCUCGGACGCUGUGUUUAAAAGUUUUCGGGUGGAACCUGUUUGGUGAGGAACCUGUUCCAAAGUUUUCGGGCGGACUCUCCGGACUGUAUGAUUAUAUGACUUAAAUCAUCUGCAUCCGGAGGUCGGACAUAAGUCCCUUGGAAAUUGGCCCGAAAAGCGUCCUCGAGCUCCGCCCAACUUCCAAUUGAGUUUUCGGGGAGGCUUUUCAGCCAGUGCCGAGCUGGCCCUUUAAGCUUGAGGGGCAAGUAUUUAAUGGCAUGGAGAUCGUCUCCACGAGCCAUAUGAAUAUGGAGGAUGAAGUCCUCUAUCCAGACUCCAGGGUCUGUGGUUCCAUCAUACGCCUCUAUGUUCACCGGUUUGAAUCCCUCUAGGAAUUCAUGAUCCAACACCUCAUCAGUGAAACAUAAGGGGUGUGCGGCACCCCUGUAAUGGGAUGCGCCAUGGUGUUCGAACGAAUGUAGUAUUCGGUGUUGGUUGUGUACCGUAGCGCGCUUCCUAGAUCCAUAGAUAGAUCUGGUCGUGCCGGAUUUUUGACGCAAGUUCUCACGUAGAUCGUGCGUUGACUUAUGCGUGACUUUGUUAGCCGCUCUAUCGCGUUCGCAGGGUGGUGGAUCCGGCCGGUUGGCCGUAUCACUUUUCGGCUGUAUGGGCUCUAAGGCCUCAUCGUUGAAUUCCGGUAAUAGCUUGCGCUUUGGAUAGCUAUUUUUAUGGUAACUUCCACCAUACUUUGUUACUUUGUUCCACUUGUUGUUGAGCGUAUCUUGUGCAACCUUGAGCCUUUGCUUCUGUUUCUUCAGGCUCCUCCCUGUGGCAAUAAGCCUUUUGCGGAGGUUCUCUUGCUCCAAGUGUGUUUCCGGGAUGAUGCGUGCAUCUUCGUCCGGACUACUUUCUUCCCAGACGGGGUUUGAUGAGGCUUAUCCUUGGCGUCAUCGUGUUCAGACGUCAGAUCCAUACUAUGUUUGCAGUUUGCAUCUUGAUCAUUUUCUGCCACCGGGGUGGUGCAGUUGUCGUUUCUUCCAGAGUCAAGAGACUAUUAUUCCCUCUUGCGCUGUUCUCGCUGUUUUUGCUAUGGCGGGACUUAGGGCGACGCCGCUGACGUCGGUGCUUGGGUUGCUUGGAGGGUGCAUCCCCCGUUGUCUCUUCGCCAUUGUCCUCUCUGGGUGUAUCCACCACGUAUACAUCAUGUGAUGAAGUGGUGGUCCGGCGCCCUAUGGGUGGUGGUUCCUGUUUGUCUCCGACAUCGUCGUCCAUACCGUCGAUGUCUUCGGAGUCGAAGUCGAGCAUGUCGGUUAAGUCGUCGACAGUGGCUACUAAGUGGGUGGUGGGUGGGCAGCGAAUUUCUUCGUCGUCCGCAUCCCAUUCUAGCCGGACAUAGUUUGGCCAAGGUUCUCCUGAUAGGUUGAGGGACCUUAAUGAAUUUAGCACAUCUCUGAAAGGUGGGUGCUGAAAGAUAUCCAUGGAGGUGAACUCCAUGAUCGGCGCCCAGUCAGACUCGACGGGCACGGAUGUGAGCGGCUCGGAGUCUGUGGCCGGAGAUGAAUCCAGUGGUUCGGUGACAUGGCUCUCAUAAGGGGUGAAGUCAGUAUCCGGCUCUAUUUCCACUGAGAGUGCAGCCUCCAUGGCAGGGUCCAUCCCUCCGCUCUCGGAUGGUGUGACUUGCUCCGGAUUGAAAGCCGGAGUGGUUGCGGAUGCGAUCUCCCGGGCAUCGUUGGAUGGCAGAGUUACGUCAUGAUCGUCGCGACUGUGCGGCGCGUCUGACAUGGGCUCGAAUCCGUCGAAGAUCAAGUCUCCUCGGAUGUCGGAUGUGUGGUUCAAGUUUCCAAAUCUGACAUGAUGGCCAGGGGCGUAGCUUUCGAUCUGCUCCAGAUGGCCAAGCGAAUUGGCCCACAGAGUGAAGCCGCCGAAUAUGAAGAUCUGUCCGGGGAAGAAAGCCUCACCCUGGACCGCAUCGCUAGCGAUGAUCGAAGGAGCCAUCAAGCCUUGCGGUGACGACACAGUGACACUCUCAAUGAAAGCACCAAUGUCGGUGUCAAAACCGGCGGAUCUCGGGUAGGGGGUCCCGAACUGUGCGUCUAAGGCGGAUGGUAACAGGAGGCAGGGGACACGAUGUUUACCCAGGUUUGGGCCCUCUUGAUGGAGGCAAAACCCUAUGUCCUGCUUGAUUGUUCUUGAUGAUAUGAGUAUUACAAGAUUUGAUCUACCACGAGAUCGAAGAGGCUAAACCCUAGAAGGUAUCCUAUGGUAUGAUUGUCUCUUGUCCUACGGACUAAAACCCUCCGGUUUAUAUAGACACCGGAGGGGGCUAGGGUUACACAAGGUCGGUUACAAAGGUGGAGAUAUACAUAUCCGUAUUGCCUAGCUUUCCUUCCACGCCAAGUAGAGUCCCAUCUGGACACGGGACGAAGUCUUCAAACUUGUAUCUUCAUAGUCCAACAGUCUGGCCAAAGGAUAUAGUCCGGCUGUCCGAAGACCCCCUAAUCCAGGACUCCCUCAAAUAUCAUUCAUCUCUUUUAAACCAUGUAAAUGUGAAAUGAUAUGUUGAGACAACUGUGUAUAAAAGUGAACAGAGUAACUGACAUUGGCUGCAAACCAAGCAGUUAAAUGAACACAUCAUAGUACCAAUCAGUUCAAAGGCAGGAGGAGUAAGGACUUACAACAGCGGCUUGAACUGUGUGCUUAUGCCUUUCAUCUUGCUGGUGUGGCAAUCCUUGAAGAUUUGCACUGCAUUCGGUUUAGGUUCUUUUUGGUCCGCACGGGCUUUCCUCUAUAUUCGGAACAAGUCAAUAUAGAUACAAUAAUAUGGAACAGAAAAAAGAAGGAACUAGCAGCUAUUUACAAGAGCCUCACAGUGUGCAAUAUAGCUACGAGAUCCUGUUGUCUGUUGGAAUUUCACUUUAAACGGUUGGUCUUGUUCUUCAAACAGUCAGCCUAGAAGAAGAUACACUUGUAAGGCACAUACAUAAAUACAAGUUCAAUAUGUGGUCUGAUCAAAUACAUAUACCCUACUUGAUACUUUGGAUCAGACUAGUGUUUAACAAGGGUUGUCCAGUCUUCAUCUGUAAUAUAUUCCACUAGAGAUGUUUGGGCGAUUUCAUUGUUAGCCUUGCCUUCAAAGUGAUAUUUUCUAAGGUGGUACCGAUACUGUCAUAGAGGAGACUGAAAAACAUGAGUGCAUGCUUGUUUUGUUGCAUCAUCUUUCGGAUCAAACUUGAACCUCAUUUGUUGAAAACAGGAUGUGAGUCUUAAUAGGAGGAAGCUAGAAAGUAUGGGACAGAGAAAGACAAUAUUACAAAUUGCAACGAAUAACAUUACUUACGGAUAAAUGGUCAAGGAAGGUGUUAAACUGGGUAUUGUCUUUCCCAUUCCUGUACUGGAUCCAUGUUGGAAGGAUACAUGCAUGACACCUAACGGUAAUGGUUGCCUCUGAUACUAACUUGGCUGAAUCUGUAGCAUCACGUGUCCUUUUUAAACCUGCCUCAAAAUGGAUCUCCAUUCUUCCUCCAUUAGAUUUUGUUAAUCUGUCAAGCAUUAUCCCUGAUGUCUGUUUCCGCUUGCGCCGUGGUGCUAGUUCAACAACGAAUAUGGAAAGUGUUAGUGCACAUCAAACUAUGAGAGUACAUAUAAAGGAGCAUGCAACUACAACUUGACUCGGUCAGGUACCGUCUUGGUGUUGAUGCUCAUGAGGUUCAUCUGAUCUUGCCAAGUCCUGUUGUGUCAGUAGUGCUUCGGAAGUAGUGUUAGGUGUGAAGGCAGCUUCUGAACUUGCCAGUUCGGGAGCAAACAAACGAGUAACUCAUUGAGAUGCUGGUACGGUUGAAGCGGAUGCUACAGCUGGUGGAGCAGGUGAUACUGUGUUUGUAGAUUUAGUCGGUGGACUUGGACCUUCUACUGCACUAUAAGUACGAGCAGAAUCUCGCGGGCAGAUCAUUUUCCGUUUCACCCGACGAGUAACACCAUUCCCUUCUAUGUUAUUUUCCUUGCUUUUUUGACUUUGCUAUGUCAAGCCGUACCCACAACACAAAAGAAUAAAAUCGCUCUUCAAAACUCAUUGAUGCAUGAUACAAACAAGCAAUACUUUGAUGUAAGAUAACCGUAUGAGGAUGGAAUAUGUAAGAAAAAUAGGACAGCGUGACAUAUUCAUAGCCACGAUGUGUAAACUAAGCAGAAGGAUUUUCAAGAAAAUAGAAGCAAUGCAAGCUAGACACCAUAUGAAAGAUGCAACCAAUAUCACUCUGCCAAGUUAAAAGUGUCUUGUCAUAAGUGGCAUUUCGAAAAAUUAGAAGCAGUACAACGUAGAAAUCAAUGCAAGAUGCAACCACUAUCAAACUGCCAUGUUAAAAGCGACCAAUCAUGAGUGACUGAUGCGGGAUACACAACAACAUUACUUGUAUAACAACAGGUAUGAUUGAUGGAUGCAGUGUAUUCUAGACACAGAAAGGCAUGUCAUAUGCACUUGUAUAACGUAUAAACUCAGCAGGUGCAAUUUAAUCAAAAUAGAAGAAAUACAGGCUAGACAACAUAUGCAACAUGAAACCAAUUAUCACACUGUCAACUUAGAGUAAGCACCUACGAUGGUGGAGUACGGGAGAUGAACUCAUCAUGUAGACUUGGGACUUCAACUUCAUUAGUAGUAGGAGUGGAAAAUCUAGAGAGUCUCUGUUUGCGUCGGUCCGAAGGACCACUAACAUCCCCUAACUUACUCUUUUCCUUCCUAUUUUCUGAUGUUGCCUUAUGAAGUCAAAACCAAAACAAGAUGAAUAAAAUUAGCUCUGCAUAACUAGUUGAUGCAUGAUACAGGCGAACACUACUUUGAUGUGAGGCAAGCGCAGGAUAGAAGGAUGGAAUAUAUAGAAAAAAGAUAGCAUUGCAUAUUCAGACGUACGAUAGGAGGAUGGAAUAUGUAUGAAAAAUAGUAAGCAGAAGGCAUUUCAACAAAAUUAGAAGAAAUGAAAGCUAGGCACCAUAUGAACAUGCAACCAAUAUCACUCUAUCAGGUAAAAAGUGUCUUGUCGUAAGUGCCAUUUCAAGAAAUUAGAAGUAGUACAAGCUAGAACACAAUGCAAGAUGCAACCUACAUCACACUCCCAAGUUAAAUGUGUCUUAUGGGUAAGUGAUUGUUGCAGGUAUAAGUUGUAAGAUACGCAGAUGCAAUUCAACAAAAUCAGAAGCAAUACAAACUAGACAUCAUAUGGAACACGCAACCACAUAUAACAGUUCCAAGUUAGAGCAAGCACCUGUGAUGGUGGAGUAGGGGAGAUGUGCUCAUCAUAUACACGUAUGUUUUGGAAAUAGGAACAUGUGUCAUAUUCACAUGCAUUAUGUAUAAAGUAAGCAGAUGCAAUUCAACAAAGUUAGAAGCAAUACAAGCUAGACAUCAUACGCAACAUGCAACCACAUAUAAUAGUGCCAAGUUAGAGCAAGCACCUGUGAUGGUGGAGUAGGGGAGAUGUGUUCAUCAUCUACACAGCUACAUUGACUGUCCAACCUUGUGUUGUCUUGCGAAUCUUGUUGGGAGGAUGGUGGAGUAGAAUCUGUAGAGACCCUCUGUUUGAGUUGCUCUGAAGGACCACCAUCAUCCACUGUCAGACUAAUUUCCUUCAGCUGUAUUGAUUUUGCAUUGUGAAGUCAAACCGAUAAGAAAAAGGAAUAAAAUUCUCUCUUCAGAACUCAUUCAUGCAUGAUACUGAUGAACGCUACUUAGAUGAAAGGCAAACACACGAUACAAGGAUGGAAAAUGUAUGAAAAUAGGACGGCGUGACAUAUUCACACAUAUGAUGUGGUAACUAAGCAGAACACAUUUAAACAAAUUUGAAGCACUACAAGCUAGACACCAUAUGAAAGGUGCAACCAAUAUCACUCUGCCAAGUUCAAACUAUCUGGCGUUUCAACAAAUUAGAAGCAGUACAUGCUAGAAAUCAUAUGCAAGACACAACCAAUAUCAUAGUGGCGACUUAAAGGUGCCUUAUCAUAAGUGACUGAUGCGGGAUAUGCAAGAACAGUAGUCUGAUGUAAGAACAUGAUGUGAUUAGAUAUAAUAUGUUCUAUAAACAGGAACACGUGUAAUAUUCACAGGCAUUAUGUGUAAAGUAAGCAGAUGCAAUUCAACAAAGUUAGAAGCAAUACAAGCUAGACAUCAUACGCAACAUGCAACCACAUAUAAUAGUGCCAAGUUAGAGCAAGCACCUGUGAUGGUGUAGUAGGGGAGAUGUGCUCAUCACCUACACAACUAUGUUCACUGUCUAGCCUUGCAUUCUCUUGUGAAUCUUGUUGGGAGGAUGGCGGAGUAGAAUCUGUAGAGACCAUCCAUUUCAGUUGCUCGGAAGGAUCACCAUCAUCCAAUGCCUUACCAAUUUCCUUCCGCUUUAUUGAAUUUGCAUUGUGAGGCCAAACCGACAAGAAAAAGGAAUAAAAUUCUCUCUUCAGAACUCAUUCAUGCAUGAUACUGACGAACACUACUCCGAUGAAAGGCAAAGUCAUGAUACGAGGAUGGAAUAUGUACGAAAAACUAGACGGCUUGACAUAUUCACACCUAUGAUGUGGUAACUAAGCAGAAGUUACUUCAACAAAUUAGAAGCACUGUAAGCUAGACACCAUAUGGAAGGUGCAAUCAAUAUCACUCUACCAAGUUAAAACUGUCUUGUCAUAGGUGGCGUUCAUCAAACUAGAAGCACUACAUGCUAGAAAUCAUAUUCAGGACGCAAACAAUAAUCACACUACCAACUUAAAGGUGUCCCAUCAUAAGUGACUGAUGCAGGAUACACAAGAAGAGUAGUUUCAUGUAAGAACAUGGUGUGAUAGACAUAUAUAUUAUGUACCAAAAACAGGAAAGCGUGUCAUAUUCACACGUAUCAUGUGUAAGCUAAGAAGAUGCAUUUUACACUAAUUAGGAGCAAUACAAGCUAGACACCAUAUGCAACAUGCAACCAGAUAUCACACUACCAAGUUAGAGUAAGCACCUUGGAUGGCGGAGUAGGGGAGAGGAGACUUGGAACUUGUAAUGCACUAGUAGUACAAGGAGAAUCCAUAUAGAUGCUCCGUUUAUGUUGCUACAGAGGACCACCAUCAUCGCCUUCCUUACUAUUUUCCUUCCUCUUUUUUGAUUUUUCCUUGUCAAGUCAAACCCACAAGAAAAAGGAAUAAAAUUUGCUCUUCAGAACUCAUUGAUGCAUGAUAUUGACGAACACUACUUUCAUGUAAGACAGCCGCAUGAUAGUAGGAUGGAAUAUGUAUGAAAAACAGGACAACAUGAGAUACAUGAUGUAUAAAGUGUAAACUAAGCACAAGGUGUUUGAACUAGUUAGAAGCAAUGCAAGCUAGAAACCAUAUGAAAGAUGAAACCAAUAUCACUCUGUCAAAUUAAAAGGGUGUCCUAACAAAUGUAUUUGAACAAAUUAGAAGCAAUACAUGGCAACAUGCUAGAAAUAAUAUGCAAUAUGCAACGAAUAAAGGUGUCUCAUUGUAAGUGAUCGAUGCAGGAUAUAGAAGAGAGGUAGUUUCAUGUAAGAAUAUGGUUAACACAUAGAUGUAGUGUGUACCAAAAAUAGGAAGGCAUGUCAUAUUCACAGGUAUAAUGUGUAAACUAAGCAGAUGCAAUUUACCCUAAAUAGAAUCAUUACACGCUACACACCGUAUGCAACAUGCAACCAUAUGUCACACUGCGAAGUUAGAGCAAGCACCUGCGAUGGUGGUGUAGGGGAAGUGUGGUCUUCAAGUUCAGAGCUACGUUCAAUAUCUUCGUUUAGGCUUGUUGUUUCUUGAGAAUCAUGUGGAGAGGAUGAAACUGCACUCUUUAUAAGAGUAGCGCAUCUCAUACUAACCCACGGGCGUGACUUUCUCAUCAUAAGUGAUAGAUGCAGGAUACACAAGAACAAUAGUUUGACGUAAGAACAUGGUGUGAUAGGCAGAUGUAGUAUGUACCAAAAAGAUGCACUACAAAAAAAAAGAAACUUUCCUGAUGAUACGUGUUUGUAACAGUAGGUCACGUUUUCUGACAUGCAUGUACAUCCAUGACGAUUUUAUGACAGAACCAAGAUAGUCAUACCUGUGCUAUCGUAGAAGUGUUCCAUGACAUUACCAAAAUUAUCAUCACGGAAAUGUCCACUUCCAUGACGAUAAAUCACGCGUCAUAGAAGUGUUUUCGUCAAGGGUGACUGACACAUGGCAUCCACCAUAACAGGUCACCGUUAAGCUAUUGGGUCCGGUUUUGGAUCCGAUAACCCGUUAACAGCCUGGACCAAUGGCGAUUUUCCACGUGUAAAAUUCUCAUUGGCCAGAGGAAACACGUGUUGGCUCACCGUUGGGACAGAUGUCAUCCACUCAUUGGACAGGAGGCGCCUAUGAUACGUCGACAUGUGGCACGUCCCAACAGAGGCCCAUUCUGGUGAAAAGGCCGACGUGCCUGACUUGCUCAAAAGGUAAUGGGCGGCCCAUGGAAAGCCUGUUAACGGCCUGUUCGUAUAUCGCCCAUUUAUGGCCCGCUAACUCCCGGCCCGUUACGGCCUAUCGGAAUUAAGCACAGUAGCUUCAUCUGGGCUGUCCAAUAUGAUUCUAGCCUGUUGUUACUUCUGGCCCAUGUAUGGCCCAUGAUGUCUUUCGGCCCAUAUGAGGCCCUCCGCAACUCUGGUACCAAUAAAGGCCCGAGAUGAAACUGGCCCAUAAUGAACAGUGUAUCGCUUUAUACCCAUUAACGGCCCAUUAUUCCGUGGGCCGUUUCCAGCCUGUGUUAACUUUCGGCCUUCUAAGGGCCCAUUUAUUCUUUGGAUCAUUUCUAGAAUUCGAUUAGUUACGGUCCGUUACUGGCUUGUUCCAUUUGUGGGCCAAAUUCAGCAUGUGGUUACAUUGGGCCCGUUUGUGUCCCGUUAACCCAUUGGGCUGUUUUCAUAGCGUUAUCAAAUAUGGCCUAUUAACGGCCCGUUAUGGUCCACAAAUAGUAUGUCCCAUGUUUGGCGAAAUGAUUAUACGCCCUGUAGAAGGCCCAUGGAUCAUACGGCCCAUAGAAGACCAAUGGACCCUACGGCCCGUAGAACGCCCAUGGACCCUAUGGCCCGUAGAACGCCCAUGGAUCCUACGGCCCGCAGGAAGCCUAUGGAUCCUAUGGCCCAUAGAAGGCCCAUGGAUCCUAUGGCCCGUAGAAGGCCCAUGGAUCCUACGGCCCAUAGAAGGCCCAUGGAUCCUAUGGCACGUAGAAGGCCCAUGGAUACUACGGCCCGCAGGAGGCCCAUGGUUACAAUAGUGCGUGUGUUGCCAUGAUUAUUGUGGCCUAUUUACCAAAAAUAUUUUAUUGUGGCCACUAGAAAAACGUGGAAAAAGAACUGAAGUGACUACAGGAAAAAAACUAAACAAGACAAUAAGGAAAUAAAUAAGCAAGCAACUAACGCUAGCCUAUUACAACUAUUACACAUAUUACAUCCACUGGGCAUCAAAGUUCGCCACCAGUGCAAAUAUAGGGAACAAAGCAGUAUUACAUAAUACAUACACUGUCCGUCAAAAUUGGCCACAAGUGCAAAUAAACGUGGUAGCAAAACAAGAACAUAACUGAAACAACUUCAGAAGAGCUCAAGAAACUUUAUCCUGGGUAUCCACCAUGCUGGAAAUAAGCUUAGCAAGCUUAUUAGCUUUGUCCUAUUUGGCGCUAAAAUCCUCCAACGCUUGCUGUUGCACCAGAAAGUAUGCAUCUAAAUGCUCCAGGGACUUCCGCAGUCCUUCCGCUUCUUGUCGGAGCACAGCUAAUCGAUGUCUUUCAGCUUGUAGUUGAGACUCAAGAAACCGAACUGAUUCAGACAGUGAGUUUGAAUAUCUUGUGCAAGCAGUAGUGGCCAGUAACUCAAACACUAAACCAAGAUAGGACUUUGGGGUUGUCUCACUGUCUUCAGGAUAGUCUUCCUUAGCUGUUUUAUCAGCUUUGUUGGAGACCAACAAGGAUGUCUCACUAUCCUGAACCUUAUCUGCAUUACUUCCUUUACCAUUGCUUAAUAAGGCACACUUCCCCAAUAUUCUGUCAGCAUUCUAAAAGAAGAAACAAGCAGACACAUAACAGGUUUAGCAUGUACUAGUAUAUGAAACUCAUUUCGGUGAACCAAUUCAUUGGUAAGGUGGACAGGAUUAAACUACCUAGUCUUCUAUUGCCUAGUACUAGUACAUAAUAAAAGCAUCAAACAAACAUAUAUCUAUGUCAUAUGGUCACUGCAUUUUAUUGCCAAAUCAAAAUAGAGACAUAGUUCAAAUCAUAUCAGUUCAUGACAAAGCAGCAGUGAAAGAAUACAAAGCGUGGGAAACUACAUGGCACAACAAGAUUUCAGAUGGGUACCACAGAUAUACAUGUACAACAACACUAUUGGCUCUGUUGUAAUGCUAGUAAUGUGCAUGAUAUGAGAAGUCAACUGUAUACACAGUUGAAAUUGAAAUCAAUAGAGCCAUUGAUAAGAGCAAACCUAUUAAAGAAACAUGCGUGCAUAUACCUGCUGUGCCAUUGGACUUUUGAUUGGAUCCUUCAAUUUAAAAUAAGUUUGUAUGAGUAAAUACAGUGAUACAAGAGCAAAGCAAUAUGCACGAUAGCAAUGGAAUCUUAAAUUAAAAUAGUUCUUUUUUAGGUUUAAGCACUUGUUCUACAUGAACAGACUACAGUAAGACACAAGAAUACCGUACUUAAAAAAUGAGCUCAUAGACCUUACCACAUUCUUGGAUCGGGACCAGUACAAAACAAGGCGUUCCCAGUCAUCGUCUAGCAAAUGUGUCUCAGGAGAACGUAAGGGAAUUUCAUGAGUUUCUUUGCUAGUGAAGUAUGUUUUCUUCAGGUAAUUCCGAUACUGCCACCAAGCAUUCUUGAAGAUAGCAGAGGUAUUAGCACAACUUACCUCAUCCUGAGUUUCCAAAUCGGUCCUUCUCCAUAGAUAAAAAUGGGAAAAUUUGCUGUAUUAUAACCAUCAUGGAGAUAGAAUGUAUGGGACAAAGCAAAGUAAUUGCCAUGAAUAACAUUAAUUACACAUAACUCCUGGACAAACACCUGCAACUGGCAUUUUCCUUCAUCUUCAGUAUAAUAUUUCCAAGAUGGGAAGAUACGCACAUAGGAUUUAACAACAUCAAAUGCGAUAGAUGCUAAACUAUGACUGGCUAGUUGUGCUUCCUCCACAGGAAUAGGCGUACUAACUGGUGGAGUUGGGGUUCGCCGUGGUAGUACUGGCCCUUUGGGCACUGGAGCUGCCUUACUAACUGCUCUUGUUUGGGAGCUUUGUGGUGGAGAUGGUGCCAUGUCAACAGGAACUGGGUUACUAUCUGCUGGGGCUGGGGUUAGAUUGAGUGAAGCUGGUUCUCUGACCAUCGCAGUAGAGGUACAAUCUGCGAGAGUCUGGGUCAUGUGUGGUAGGGCUGGUUCUCGUGCAUGUACAACCGGGGUGCUAUCUCCACCAAGAGGUAGCACUGUUUUAUUUGAAGACCGUGUUUUUACUCCGCUAGAUACUGGCAUCACCCGCUCCAAUUCAAAUGGCUGAUAAAUAGGAAACAUGGUUGAAUAUACACACAUCGUAUGAGAGAUAGAUGCAAUAGGUAGUGUGGAAAAAAGAGGGCAUGAAAUAGUUGACAUGUAUAUUGUUUAACUAAAAUGGAUAGCAUGACAUAAUUUCACAUAUACGAUGUCUAUCUAAACUGGAUAGCAUAGCACAACAUAAUUCAAAGAUAUGAUGAAUAACUAAACAUGAUAGCAUGACAUAAUUCACAUACAUGUUAUCUAAGAAAUCAGGAUCGCAUGAUUUAAUUCACAUAUGUGAUUUAUAUGCUAAACAGAGGGCAUUUGAUAUGAUGUCUGAACUAAGAACAUGGUGUUGAAUAUUGUGUAUAUGAUGUCUAAACUAUGCAGUGCAAGACACCAUAUGCAUGAUAUGAGCAGUAUAACCAUGCCAAGUUAAAUCCCAAGUUAGAGCAUACACCUCGGUGGGGAAUAGGACUGAUCAUCUAUCUCUGAAUCCAUCUCCGAGGAACUAUCGGGACCCAACAAGAGAUCUUCUUCGACAGGUAGCACUAUCUACUCUGAAGGCCUUGUUUUCACUCGAGAUUUUUCCAUCUCCCACCCAAAUGGCUGAUUCACGAGAAGAGUAGUUUAAUGUACAAACAUUGUCGACAAAUGGAAAUGUAAUGAAGAAAAGGAUGGGCAAGAUAUCAUUCAAAUAUAUGAUGCCUGGUUAAACAGGUUGGCAUUGCCCAUUUCACAUAUAUUAUGACUGGCUAAAAGACAUGAGACUGCAUAAUUCCCAUAUAUGAUAUAGAAACUAAACAGGUGGCAUUACAGAACAUGUCUAAAUUAAGUAGAUGACAUAUAUGAUGUCAAAAGUAGGCACUACAAGGUAACAUAUGCAUGAUAUGACUAACAUCAUCAUGCCAAGGUAGAGGAAACACCUUGGGGGUAAGUAGGAGUGGUCAUCUACGUCUGAAUCCACCUCAUAAUAGAUAUCUUCCUAUGGAUUACAAUCUGGAGAGGGGGGAGGGUUUGCCAUUGAACCCACCAUGGAGCGAUGUCCGCAUGACAUUGUAUUGCCACGCAAAACUCUUCUCUUUUUCUCUACAUGUUCAACAUGACUGUGUACAAACUCUGACAUGCAUACGAAAAAAAGAUGGUGAGAUUAUGUAAGGAGAGCAUGCAGAAAUCUAGAGUGAUGGUAACAACCAGUGGAUGGAUCCAAAAAUAAUGAUAGCAGGCUAAUGAUUGCUUAAUUUAAUAAAAUGACAGAUGGUGAUUGCUUUACUAUUUGUUUCCCACCCAAGAUGAACAACAUAGGCAUAACCUAGGUGAACCAGAUAUUAGACAGAGAUACUAUUCAUUGCUGCCUCGAUAUGUACCCCACAACUAAUUUAGAACUCAAGUUUGAACAUUAAUUUGGACCUGACUUGGAGUCUAAGAGGUUAAUAGGACGAUAAAGUAGGAAGUAAUUGUAAGCAAUGCAUAACAUAAGCAGAAAAAAAAGAGUGCGACCUCUCUUGUGGACCUGUGUACUCCUCAGGUUCAUCUGCUGAGUCGAUGAUGGUGAUGCUGUUGCGGUGGGUGCCGGCGGCUGGCAAGGAGAUCUGAGGCGGCGAAAUAUGGUCAGGAGUCGUGAUGUCUGGUUUGGUGGAUGCUUCUAUCGAUGGAGCAGUUCAGGUGAGGUGGACGACAUCACGGCAGGACUAGGACAAAACCACACAAAGUUUCCUUUGACACCUACCUGUAACUGAAGUAAUUCUGUAAGGGCUCAUUUGUCUUGCAUGAUUCUAAAAGCGCAGGGAUUGGAAAAACACCGGAAUAGGAUAGGAAUGCACAUGGUAAAUAGAGCAUUUGUAAACACAUGAUUUUUGUCAACUUGGGCGUUUGGUUCACAUGAAUUUGAAGAGCAGAGGAAUGCAAAGAAACAUGGCCAAAAUAAAGUGAAACCAUAUGAAAGCAUGUACAGUUAGAAUGUUAUUCUGCCACCAAUGCACUUGGUCUUGUUUUCAUGCAUAUGAUUUUGAAAAGUAGGUCCAGGUGGAUGUUUUGCUCCAUUCCUUUCAACAAAGUGCAUGAAUAAUUGAAUAGUAGAGUGCCACGAGAAAAUUUCCUAUUGCUAUGUUUUCCCGUUGAACCAAAAUAGCCCUAAUUGAUCGACAUGAAUGUAGAGUAAUAAGUGAUGCAACAAAUGUACAACCUCUUUGCUGUAGCCGUGUCGACCUCAGCAUCAUUGGGUUGGUCACUGAAGAAGUUGAGCCAGAGGUGGCUAUCGGAGGUGUGGAGGAAGAUCUGAGGAAUCUGUAGACGACGUCCAAGGCACUACUCUGUUGUGAUGGAUCGUUCUGUGGUUGGAGCAUCUCCUGUGAGCCAUAAGACGUAAAGGCUGAAUCAGCACAAGACAGACAUUGUUAAUCUCAAGUGGGAUUCUAAUAGCAUCUCCAAUAGAUGAUUUAAAAUAGAUGUAAAAUUUACAUCACCAAAAACCACCUGACUAUAACAGAUGAGGUAAAAACUGUUGACUUUGAACUUAACUAUCGAAACUGAAAUUGACUAUGGAAUCUGAAUGUUAUUGUCAAAACUGAACGCAAUGGUAGCAGAGAGGCACUUGACAUGUAGUUUAGGGAGGGCAUGUAGUUCAUCUUCAACGUGCACCCCCCAGAGCCGCCAGCCACCACCAGCCGAACCCUGCGCCCACCUCGCCGCCCUGAAACAACUCCCCACCGCUGGUCCGCCGCCGCCNNNNNNNNNNNNNNNNNNNNNNNNNNNNNNNNNNNNNNNNNNNNNNNNNNNNNNNNNNNNNNNNNNNNNNNNNNNNNNNNNNNNNNNNNNNNNNNNNNNNNNNNNNNNNNNNNNNNNNNNNNNNNNNNNNNNNNNNNNNNNNNNNNNNNNNNNNNNNNNNNNNNNNNNNNNNNNNNNNNNNNNNNNNNNNNNNNNNNNNNNNNNNNNNNNNNNNNNNNNNNNNNNNNNNNNNNNNNNNNNNNNNNNNNNNNNNNNNNNNNNNNNNNNNNNNNNNNNNNNNNNNNNNNNNNNNNNNNNNNNNNNNNNNNNNNNNNNNNNNNNNNNNNNNNNNNNNNNNNNNNNNNNNNGAACCCCACCCCGAACCCUAAGAUAGAUAGUGGGUACCUCUCCGGCAAGCCCCCCUCCCCACUGUGGGUGGUUCUUCCUUAACUCCGGCGAGACCCCCCACCCCCUGAAAAUCGACUGACCCAAAAGUUGAUUCAGUCUACUGAAGUGUAGCUAAAUCGGAGCAUAGCAGCAGCACGAGCGAGGGGGAGAGCAGUAGCAGUAGAGCGAGCGAGCGAGAGCUGGAGCAGCAACAACAGUGCGAGCGAGCGAGAGCCAGAGCAGCAGCAGCACGAGCAAGAGCCGGAGCAGCAGUACCAACGCGAGCGAGUGAGAGCUAGAGCAGCAGCAACAAAUCCGGCUGGUACGGCCGCCGCCACCGAAGGGGCCUCGCACUGGGGGAGAGCCGCCGUGGAGAUGUCACUCGCCGCGCCGGCUUUGAGGUAGCUGCUCCAUGGGGGUGAGGGAUGGAGCACCAUCGGUGCCGGGAGGUUGAGUUAAGGAGAAGGUGUGAUGCGAUGACUGUGCAACCUCUUUGGUGGCGCCGAGUAGGCCUCGACUUCGUCUGAGGAGUUGGUGAGGAUGAUGCGGUUCUGGUGGAUCGGGUUAAGGCGGCACUGUGCAGAUGAAGCAGCCGCGAUAGACGAGGAGUUCGUCGGAGCAGCUCAUUGGAGGUGGAGGACGGGGCAGCUGAACCAACCAAACGACGGGAUGGAUGACAGAUCCUCAUCCGGGGAGGUGGAUGAGGGACGUCGAGCUAUUGUAGUGGAUGACAUCGUCGGGGAAGAGGCUCCGGCUAGACAGUGCUACCUCUUUUAGCACUGCGUUGGUUUUCCCUGAAGAGGAAGGGAUGAUGCAGCAAAGUAGCGUAAGUAUUUCCCUCAGUUUUUGAGAACCAAGGUAUCAAUCCAGUAGGAGGCUACGCGCAAGUCCCUCGUACCUGCACAAAACAAAUAAAUCCUCGCAACCAACGCAAAUAGGGGUUGUCAAUCCCUAUAGGGCCACUUACGAGAGUGAGAUCUGAUAGAUAUGAUAAGAUAAUAUUUUUGGUAUUUCUAUGAUAAAGAUGCAAAGUAAAAUAAAAGCAAAGUAAAUAGCAAAGUAAAUAACUAAGUAGUAGGAGAUUAAUAUGAUAAAGAUAGACCCGGGGGCCAUAGGUUUCACUAGUGGCUUCUCUCGAGAGCAUAAGUAUUCUACGGUGGGUGAACAAAUUACUGUUGAGCAAUUGACAGAAUUGAGUAUAGUUAUGAGAAUAUCUAGGUAUGAUCAUGUAUAUAGGCAUCACGUCCGAGACAAGUAGACCGACUCCUGCCUGCAUCUACUACUAUUACUCCACUCAUCGACCGAUAUCCAGCAUGCAUCUAGAGUAUUAAGUUAAAAACAGAGUAACGCCUUAAGCAAGAUGACAUGAUGUAGAGGGAUAGCCUCAUGAAAUAUGAAGAAAACCCCGUCUUGUUAUCCUCGAUGGCAACAAUACAAUACGUGCCUUGCUGCCCUUACUAUCACCGGGAAAGGACACCGCAAGAUUGAACCCAAAGCUAAGCACUUCUCCCAUUGCAAGAAAGAUCAAUCUAGUAGGCCAAACCAAACUGAUAAUUCGAAGAGACUUGCAAAGAUAACCAAUCAUACAUAUAAGAAUUCAGAGAAGAUCCAAAUAUUAUUCAUAGAUAGACUUGAUCAUAAACCCACAAUUCAUCGGUCUCAACAAACACACCGCAAAAAGAAGAUUACAUUGAAUAGUUCCCCACAAUAGAGGGGGAGAACAUUGUAUUAAGAUCCAAAAAGAGAGAACAAGCCAUCUAGCUACUAACUAUGGACCCAUAGGUCUGAAGUAAACUACUCACACUUCGUCGGAGAAGCUAUGGUGUUCAUGUAGAAGCCCUCCGUGAUCGAUGCCCCCUCCGGCGGAGCUCCGGAACAGGCCCCAGGAUGGGACCUCGUGGAUACAGAAAGUUACAGCGGUGGAAUUAGGGUUUUUGCUCCUGUUCUGAUCGUUUGGGGGUACGUGGAUAUAUAUAGGAGGAAGAAGUACGUCGGUGGAGGAACAGGGGCCCCACGAGGGUGGAGGGCGCGCCUGCCCCUACCUCGUGGCCUCCUGUUAGUUGGCUUGAUGUAAGUUCCAAGUCUCCUGAGUUGUAUUCGGUGAGAAAAUCACGUUCCCGAAGGUUUCAUUCUGUUUGGACUCCGUUUGAUAUUCCUUUUCUUCGAAACCCAAAAACACGCAAAAAACAAUUCUGGGCUGGGCCUCCGGUUAAUAGGUUGGUCCCAAAAAUAAUAUAAAAGUGGAUAAUAAAGCCCAAUAAUGUCCAAAAUAGUAGAUAAUAUAGCGUGGAGAAAUCAAAAAUUAUAGAUACAUUGGAGACGUAUCAAGCAUCCCCAAGCUUAAUUCCUGCUCGUCCUCGUGUAGGUAAAUGAUAAAAACAGAAUUUUUGAUGCAGAGUGCUACUUGGCAUAAUUUUAAUGUAAUUAUUCUUAAUUGUGGUAUGAAUAUUCAGAUCCGAAAGAUUCAAGACAAAAGUUCAUAUUGACAUAAAAUGAUAAUACUUCAAGCAUACUAACUAAGAAAUUAUGUCUUCUCAAAAUAACAUGGCCAAAGAAAGUUCAUCCUACAAAAUCAUAUGGUUUAGUCAUGUUUCAUUUUCAUCACACAAGAAUGCUAUCAUCAUGCACAACCCCGAUGACAAGCCAAGCAAUUGUUUCAUUUAGUAAUCUCAAACCUAUAAACUUUCACACAAUAUAUGAGCGCGAGCCAUGGACAUAGCACUAUAGGUGGAAUAGAAUAUGUUUCAUCUUCGUCACUACAAAAUCAUAUAGUUUGGCUAUGUUUCAUCUUCGUCACACAAAAUGCUCCCAUCAUACACAACCCCGAUGACAAGCCAAGCAAUUGUUUCAUACUUUAGUAUUUUCAAACUUUUUCAACCUUCACACAAUAUAUGAGCGCGAGCCAUGGACAUAGCACUAUAGGUGGAAUAGAAUAUAAUGAGGGGGGUUAUGUGGAGAAGACAAAAAGGAGAAAGUCUCACAUCAACGAGGCUAAUCAAUGGGCUAUGGAGAUGCCCAUCGAUUGAUAUUAAUGCAAGGAGUAGGGAUUGCCAUGCAACGGAUGCACUAGAGCUAUAAAUGUAUGAAAGCUCAACAAAAGAAACUAGUGGGUGUGCAUCCAACUUGCUUGCUCACGAAGACCAAGGGCACUUGAGGAGGCCCAUUGUUGGAAUAUACAAGCCAAGUUCUAUAAUGAAAAAUUCCCACUAGUAUAUGAAAGUGAUAACAUGAGAGACUCUCUACUAUGAAUAUCAUGGUGCUACUUUGAAACACAAGUGUGGCAAAGGAAAGUAACAUUGUCCCUUCUCUCUUUUUCUCUCAUUUUUUUCUUUGGCCUUUUCUUUUUUUAUGGCAUUUCCUCUUUUUUUAUAUUCCUCACUUGGGACAAUGCUCUAGAAAAUGAUGAUCAUCACACUUCUAUUUAUUUACAACUCAAUGAUUACAAAUCGAUACUAGAACAAAGAUGACUCUAUAUGAAUGCCUCCGGCGGUGUACCCGGAUAUGCAAUGAACCAAGAGUGACAUGUAUGAAAGAAUUAUGAAUGGUGGCUUUGGCACAAAUACUAUGUCAACUACAUGAUCAUGCUAAGCAAUAUGACAAUGAUGAAUGUGUCAUGAUGAACUACAUUGUUUCAUACUUUAGUAAUCUCAAACCUAUAAACUUUCAUGCAAUAUAUGAUCGCGAGCCAUGGACAUAUCAUUAUGGGUGGAAUAGAACAGAUGAUGGGGGUUAUGUGGAGAAGACAAAAAGGAGAAAGUCUCACAUCAACGAGGCUAAUCAAUGAGCUAUGGAGAUGCCCAUCGAGUGAUGUUAAUGCAAGGAGUACGGAUUGCCAUGCAACGGAUGCACUAGAGCUAUAAAUGUAUGAAAGCUCAACAAAAGAAACUAAGUGGGUGUGCAUCCAACUUGCCUGCUCACGAAGACCUAGGGCACUUGAGGAGGCCCAUUGUUGGAAUAUACAAGCCAAGUUCUAUAAUGAAAAAUUCCCACUAGUAUAUGAAAGUGACAAAACAAGAGACUCUCUAUCAUGAGGAUUAUGGUGCUACUUUGAAGCGCAAGUGCGGCAAAGGAUAGUAGCAUUGUCCCUUCUCUCUUUUUCUCUCAUUUUUUUGGGCCUACUCUUUUUUUAUGGCCUUUCUCUUUUAUUUUUUAUUUUUUUGGCCUUCUCUUUUUUUAUGGUCUCUUUUUUUAUUCCUCACUUGGGACAAUGCUAUAGAAAAUGAUGAUCAUCACACUUCUAUUUAUUUACAACUCAACGAUUACAACUCGAUACUCGAACAAAAGAUGACUCUAUAUGAAUGCCUCCGGCGGUGUACCGGGAUUGCGAUGAAUCAAGAGCGACAUGUAUGAAAAAUUAUGAACGGUGGCUUUGCCACAAAUACGAUGUCAACUACAUGAUCAUACAAAGCAAUAUGACAAUGAUGAUGCGUGUCAUAAUAAACGGAACGGUGGAAAGUUGCAUGGCAAUAUAUCUCGGAAUGGCUAUGGAAAUGCCAUAAUAGGUAGGUAUGGUGGCUGUUUUGAGGAAGAUAUAAGGAAGUUUAUGUGUGAAAUAGCAUAUCGUAUCCCGGGGUUUGGAUGCACUGGCGAAGUUUGCGCCAACUCUCAAUGUGAGAAAGGGCAAUGCACGGUACUGAAGAGGCUAGCAAGGAUGGAAGGGUGAGAGUGCGUAUAAUCCAUGGACUCAACAUUAGUCAUAAAGAACUCACAUACUUAUUGCAAAAAUCUACAAGUCAUCAAAAACCUCGGUACUACGCGCAUGCUCCUAGGGGGAUAGAUUGGUAGGAAAAGACCAUCGCUCAUCCCCGACCGCCACUCAUAAGGAAGAUAGUCGAAUAACACCUCAUGUUUCAAUUUCGUUGCAUAACGUUUACCAUAUGUGCAUGCUACGGGACUUGAAAACCUCAACACGAGUAUUUCUCAAUUUCACAACUACUCAACUAGCACGACUUUGAUAUUAUUACCUCCAUGUCUCAAAACAAUCAUCAAGCAUCAAACUUCUCUUAGUAUUCAACACACUCAUAAGAAAGUUUUAUUAUUAAUCUUGCAUACCAAGCAUAUUAGGAUUUUAAGAAAAUUACGAUGCUAUUAAGACUCUCAAAAUAAUCUAAGUGAAGCAUGAGAGAUCAAUAGUUUCUAUAAAACAAAUCCACCACCGUGCUCUAAAAGAUAUAAGUGAAGCACUAGAGCAAAAUUAUAUAACUCAAAAGAUGUAAGCGAAGCACAUGGAGUAUUCUAACAAAUUCCAAAUCAUGUAUGGCUCUCUCAAAAGGUGUGUAAAGCAAGGAUGAUUGUGGUAAACUAAUAAUCAAGGACUCAAAUCAUACAAGACACUCCAAGUAAAACACAUAUCAUGUGGCGAAUAAAAAUAUAGCUCCAAGUAAAGUUACCGAUAGAAGUAGAUGAAAGAGGGGAUGCCUUCCGGGGCAUCCCCAAGAUUUGGCUUUUAGGUGUCCUUAGGUUAUAUUGGGGGUGCCAUGGGCAUCCCCAAUCUUAGUCUCUUGCCACUCCUUGUUCCAUAAUCCAUUAAAUCUUUACCCAAAACUUGAAAACUUCACAACACAAAACUUAAAGUAGAAAAUCUCGUGAGCUCCGUUAGCGAAAGAAAACAAAAGACCACUUCAAGGUACUGUAAUGAACUCAUUCUUUAUUUAUAUGGGUGUUAUACCUACUGUAUUACAACUUCUCUAUGGUUUAUAAACUAAUUUACUAGCCAUAGAUUCAUCAAAAUAAGGAAACAACACACGCAAAACAGAAUCUGUCAAAAACAGAAAAGUCUGUAGUAAUCUGUAGCUAGCACAAGAUCUGGAACCCCAAAUAUUCUAAAAUAAAUUGCUGAACGUGAGGAAUUUAUCUAUUAAUCAUCUGCAAAAAGAAUUAACUACAUAGCACUUUCCAAAUAAAAAUGACAUCAGUUCUCGUGAGUGCUAAAGUUUCUGUUUUUUUACAGCAAGUUCAACAAGACUUUCCCCAAGUCUUCCCAAUGGUUCUACUUGGCACAAACACUAAUUAAACACAAAAAACACAACCAAAACAGAGGCUAGAUAAUUUAUUUAUUAAAUAACAGCAAUGAAAAAUAUUGGGUUGUCUCCCAACAAGCGCUUUUCUUUAAAGCCUUAUAGCUAGGCAUUGAUAAUUUUAAUGAUGCUCACAUGAAAGACACGAAUUGAAGCACAAAGAGAGCAUCAUAAAACACGUGACAAACACAUCUAAGUAUAACAUACUUAUUAUGCAUAGGCAUAUUAUAGGCAAACAAAUUAUCAAGGCAAGCAAAAACAAGCAUAUACAAGGAAGCGGAAAGAAACAAUAGCAAUCUCAACAUAACGAGAGGUACUUUAGUAACAUGAAAAUUUCUACCACCAUAUUUUCCUCUCUCAUAAUAAUUGCAUGUGGGAACAUAAGCAAAUUCAACAAAAUAGCUAUCACAUAAAAUAUUUUCAACACGAUCCAUAUGCAUGCAAAGUUGACACUCUUCCAAAAUAGUGGCAUUAAUAUUAACUAAAGUCAUGACCUCUUCAAACCCACUUUUAUCAAAAACUUCAUAAGAUUGAGCAUUAUCCAAAUAUGUGGGAUCUAAAGUUGAAAACCCACUUUCAAUAUUGCAAACAUUAUUAUCAAUCUCAUAUUCAUCAUGGUGCUUCAAUAAAUUUUCAAGAUCAAAAGAAGAAUCACCCCAAUCAUGAUCAUUGCAACAAGUAGAGGACAUAGCAAAACUAGCAUCCCCAGGCUUAUGGUUUUGCAUAUUAUUAGCACAAUUAACAUUAAGAGAAUUUAUAAUAACAGCAUUUCAAUCAUUCUUUUCAUUCAAAGAUUCAUCGUGAAUCACUCCAUAAAGUACUUCAUCACAAUUUUCAGAUUCACGAAUUUCAAGCAGAACUUCAUAAAGAUAAUCUAGUGCACAAAACUCACUAGCAAUUGGUUCAUCAUAAUUGGAUCUCUUAAAUAGAUUAGCAAGCGGAUGAGGAUCCAUAGAUCUUUAGGUUCUCUGUUUAGUAAUGAAUAAACAAUUAUUCCAACCAAACUACCAAACUAGCCAAGUAAGACAUCAAAGCAAAUGGAAAGAAGAACAGAAGAAGGGCGAAUAAAAUGACAGGGGUGAAGUGGGGGAGAGGAAACGAGAGGCAAAUGGCAAAUAAUGAAAUGCGGGAGAUAAGGGUAUGUGAUGGGUACUUGGUAUGUUGACUUUUGCGUAGACCUCCCCGGCAACGGCGCCAGAAAUCCCUCUUGCUACCUCCUUUCGCACUGCGUUGGUUUUCCCCGAAGAGGAAGGGAUGAUGCAGCAAAGUAGCGUAGUAUUUCCCUCAGUUUUUGAGAACCAAGGUAUCAAUCCAGUAGGAGGCUACGCGCAAGUCCCUAGUACCUACACAAAACAAAUAAAUCCUCGCAACCAACGCAAAUAGGGGUUGUCAAUCCCUAUAGGGCCACUUACGAGAGUGAGAUCUCAUAGAUAUGAUAAGAUAAUAUUUUUGGUAUUUUUAUGAUAAAGAUGCAAAGUAAAUAGAAAAGUAAAUAACUAAGUAGUAGGAGAUUAAUAUGAUAAACAUAGACCCGGGGUCCAUAGGUUUCACUAGUGGCUUCUCUCGAGAGCAUAAGUAUUCUACGGUGGGUGAACAAAUUACUGUUGAGCAAUUGACAGAAUUGAGCAUAGUUAUGAGAAUAUCUAGGUAUGAUCAUGUAUAUAGGCAUCACGUCUGAGACAAGUAGACCGACUCCUGGCUGCAUCUACUACUAUUACUCCACUCAUCGACCGCUAUCCAGCAUGCAUCUAGAGUAUUAAGUUAAAAACAGAGUAACGCCUUAAGCAAGAUGACAUGAUGUAGAGGGAUAGACUCAUGCAAUAUGAAGAAAACCCCAUCUUGUUACCCUUGAUGGAAACAAUACAAUAUGUGCCUUGAUCAAGAUUGAGCCCAAAGCUAAGCACUUCUCCCAUUGCAAGAAAGAUCAAUCUAGUAGGCCAAACCAAACUGAUAAUUCAAAGAGACUUGCAAAGAUAACCAAUCAUACAUAAAAGAAUUCAGAGAAGAUCCAAAUAUUAUUCAUAUAUAGACUUGAUCAUAAACCCACAAUUCAUUGGUCUCAACAAACACACCGCAAAAAGAAGAUUAUAUAGAAUAGUUCCCCACAAGAGAGGGGGAGAACAUUGUAUUGAGAUCCAAAAAGAGAGAAGAAGCCAUCUAGCUACUAACUAUGGACCCGUAGGUCUGAAGUAAACUACUCACACUUCAUCGGAGAGGCUAUGGUGUUGAUGUAGAAGCCCUCCGUGAUCGAUGCCCCCUCCGGUGGAGCUCCGGAACAGGCGCCAAGAUGGGAUCUCGUGGAUACAGAAAGUUACGGUGGUGGAAUUAGGGUUUUGGCUCCUGUUCUGAUCGUUUGGGGUACGUGGAUAUAUAUAGGAGGAAGAAGUACGUCGGUGGAGCAACAAGUGCCCCACGAGGGUGGAGGGCGCGCCUUGGGGGGGGGGGGCAGGCGCACCCCCUACCUCGUGGCCUCCUGUUAGUUGGCUUGACGUAGGGUCCAAGUCUCCUGAGUUGUAUUCGGUGAGAAAAUCACGUUCCCGAGGGUUUCAUUCCGUUUGGACUCCGUUUGAUAUUCCUUUUCUUAGAAACCCUAAAACAGGCAAAAAACAUCAAUUCUGGGCUGGGCAUCCGGUUAAUAUGUUAGUCCCAAAAAUAAUAUAAAAGUGGAUAAUAAAGCCCAAUAAUGUCCAAAACAGUAGAUAAUAUAGCAGGGAGCAAUCAAAAAUUAUAGAUACGUUGGAGACGUAUCUGACAGCGGUGAGGUGGCGGAUAGAGGAGGGUGGGGUUUCAUGGCUGGAGCGGAGAGGUUAUGGGGGCCUGGAAUUUCGAAUGGCGAAAAGGAGGCGCUGGGAGGGGGAACCAUGACUUAGGGACACGCUUGUCCAAAAUGUAGGGUGUGUUACAAAAGUACCCCCACCGAUUUGAACUAGCGGCCCUUUCGGCUCAGGGUUAGAAGGGGGAUUUCACGUGUUGGGAUUUGGCAGCUGGAGGGAGUUUUCACGCGCGUUAUAAUUUCGGGAUAGCAAGGCGCGUGUUGUGAAGGCGCUAGUUUUGGCAACACGAUAUCUGAAUUUUUGGGAUAUAACAAGGUGCAGACUGAAUUUUAGGGACAUGCCUAACGUGUAAUAUAUGUACCAAAAUAAUUCGCACUUCCCUCAACAAAAAAAAAACACAAAAAAUAAAACUAUUCACACCACACAUAGAGAAAGUCUUGUCCCGUUUUACUAUACGAAUGCUAUUCAAAGCUACUCAUACCAACAUGUUAUGUCCAAUUAAUUUUUUUGUUGGCUGUAUAAUGCAUGUAACUACUCAUACCGAAAUUUUAGUGCAUUUCAAAUGUCUAUACUACCGCUGCAAUUCGAACUAAAUUUGAAUUCGUUUCUCUAUUUCAAUAAGAAUCUACAAUCAUGAUUGUUGCCAACUUCAACCAUCAUUCGUGUAUUACCUUAAAAACACACCACAUGAUUACUAUUGAGAUAGAUAUGAACUAUGUGUACUAUAUGAACUCGAAUUCAAUUUUUUGAAUACACUUGGUGUCAAUUCCAAAUAAUAGUACAUUUGAUGUACUGACUAUAUAUUCAUAAUCUAAACCAUGUUCCAAGUUCCAUACAUACACCGUGUUUAUCACACAAAGUAUAGUGCCCCGCCCCCUACAUUAUGACAAGUAUUUAGCCCUGAGCUGCAAAAGCCACACAUUAGCCCAAAUUUUAAUCAAUGUCCUACAUUAUGAUAUCUUCUUCUAGUAUAUGUGUCCACUUUUUUAUAAUGAAUUAUGAUCUUUGUUCGUCUUUUACACCUUCAUGAUCCUCUUCUCUUUGUAGCUAACUAGCACUAACUUUCUAUCAUGCAUGCACACACCCACCCUCUCUCACCCUCCCUCAGCGUCCCCUCCAUCACGCAUGUUCUUUAUUUAUCUUUAGGUCGUUCACCCGCGGUGUGUGUAGGCCCCCCAGCUCCUUCUUUCCGGCACACAUCGGUCGAUAUACCUCUCUAGCCAAGUGUGCCUACCACAAACACAUACUUCCCCUCUUCUCUUCUAACCGUCCAUGCCCCCCUAUGUCCAAUACGGUUCCAUGCAGGUGCACACUCCCGCCCCUCUUUUCAUCGAUCUCAUACUCGCACACUCCUCCCCCCUCAACAUGGUAGGCCUCUCGCACCACCUCCUAGCUGCACCCCUCUCCCCCUGUCUGUCUCUUCGGACCUUAUUUGCUUCUAACACAUGCAUGCAUUUAUACGUACCGAUCUCCCUACAUAUAGCCAAGUCAACUAUAAUUCGUUUUCCCCAUGCACUGAUAGACUUACCUCACUAGUUAUGUCUCUCCCUUUCUCGGACACACGACGGUUGAUCUUCCUAUGUAGUUAUGUAUGCUUACCACAACCAUAUCAUCUCCCCUCAUCAUCCUUGCAUACCUCCCAACCCGUCUCUCACAUGCACGUGCAUAGACAGACAGACAUCCCCCGCCCUCUCUUAUUGAUAUUGCACUCGUACCCUCUGUUUGUCUAGCAGGCCUCUCCCACCAUUUGUGAGAUGCCACUCCACCACCAGCCCUCCGACGCUCUACCUUUGUCUUUCUCCCAACCUUAUUCCUCUACUACACAUAUCCAUGGAUGUCAAUCGAUCUCCCUCAAUACAUAGCUAGGCCCCCCUCCUUCCCCACACAUAUACUAGUCGGUNNNNNNNNNNNNNNNNNNNNNNNNNNNNNNNNNNNNNNNNNNNNNNNNNNNNNNNNNNNNNNNNNNNNNNNNNNNNNNNNNNNNNNNNNNNNNNNNNNNNNNNNNNNNNNNNNNNNNNNNNNNNNNNNNNNNNNNNNNNNNNNNNNNNNNNNNNNNNNNNNNNNNNNNNNNNNNNNNNNNNNNNNNNNNNNNNNNNNNNNNNNNNNNNNNNNNNNNNNNNNNNNNNNNNNNNNNNNNNNNNNNNNNNNNNNNNNNNNNNNNNNNNNNNNNNNNNNNNNNNNNNNNNNNACACACACACUAAUAGUCGAACAUUGUAGGUAGGUAUCCAUGCCACAGAGAAAAACUGCACCUCUGCCCUCUCAAAUUCCAGUAGGCCAGACGCCAUGUAUCUUUGACGUCGGCAAACACAAAUUCGAUGGCACGCUUUAUUGAUCAGGCAGCCACACACUUCAUCCCUGUUUUCGAUUCUAUCGAUAUCUCACGUCCAUGACUCCGUUUCACACACAUUACAUAUGUUACGUUUUUUUGUUUGAGAUAUCAUCGACACAUUUCCUCCGUUUCGCACAAACCAUCUCUCUCACACCCACCCACGUACGUACCUGCACCUAAAGAAGAGGUGCACGCAGGACGCACGUACUCACGUCUCGUUCCCGGCCACACCCGCAUGGGUACACGGUAGAGUUCGUUCCUGUACGAAAAGGCAGCCCACGUGAUAAUUUGACGCGUGUAGCAGUUGUUUACUCGAAGGAGGGUCGGGUACCACGCCUAGACGGAACAAAGUUUGACUUGACGCGUUAGUAUUAAAUAAAGUUAUAUAUUCCUCAAUGGCACACACAGAAUAUAAAAUGAUUGCCGUGGGGAAAAUGGAAAAAUCCGCUCCACUAUAUAGAAUGGAGCCUGCCUCCCGGGGUUUGUCUCUCGUCACACCAUCUCACAGAAGGCGGUGGUGGCCUCUCUCUCUCACCAUUGGUCAGUGAUCCGGCCGCAUCCCAUCCACCGGUGGAAAGGGAGGAUGUGCAUCAUUUCUCCAUUCGACGGUGUUGAGGCAGCACGUCCUAAUCCGCAGUACCCGUCCUUCUCUCUAACCAAGCUCCAGCGUGGUAGGGCCCUAGCCACUUGCUCGCUGCCGCAGUAUGGGCAGAUCCCGGCCGCCGGGGCCCUCCUAGUAACAUCCCGACGACCCUUAGGUACAGCUUCCUCUAGCCUUGCUCCACUGCCCAUCUUCCCGCAUUGCUGCAUGUGGAUCCUCUUUAGUUGUUUUAUUAAAAUGUAUCUCGGCCGGCAUACUUUCCAUCUUGCAAUCUCAUCCUCAAACCAUUUUUGGUAAACCACCAUGCUGCUAUCUUUCCCUUUUUACAUGGAAUAAGCUUCUUUUUAUUGGCGUAUGUGUCUUCUUUCAAGUCGUGUUAUUGGGCAGUAAUUGUUUCCUUUCUACCUACUUUUGCAAACAGGGCUAUCCAUUUUCACCUCGUUUCUAUUGCGACCUUUUGGUGAACUGCACAAAUCACUUUCUUCUUAGGAGUGUUUUGUGUAGUUUGCCAAAAUGUCACACAGGCAACGUUUUUACAUUUCUGUGGGACUACAGAAAGGGAGAUUGGUUUUGCUAUCCUCCUCAUCCAACUCCGUGCCUAAUCUACUGCAACAAGUAGUUAGUCCUAAAGAGAGAUCAUAGAGGUGAUCGGCUUCUAUUUGUGUGUGUUAUGUUUCAUCAUCUAGUUCCAUUGUUGUUGUAAUCACACUGAGUGGAUAUCUUUUCAAACAGGGAUGGUCCACUCGAUUUUAGUGGAGCUGCACAAAAUGAUCGAAUUGUGGUGUCCUCCAUACACCUUUUUUGGCUACAGAGCUGGGUGAAACUAGCUGCCAAGCAAUGAACACUGUGGCUAGGAAAUGGAGCCAUGCCUACAGACAACAUCGACCAAUUAUAUUUUUUUUCUUUAUUUGUACACCUUCUCACAACUUUGUCUUCAGUUGUGAUGUGAAUAUUGGCACUGCUCUGCGAACCAUUGAGAUGCAUUAGCAGCCAUGGUAGUUUCAUUUGUAUUUGAUGGAAUGUUGUAACAAGAUAAUAUUGAGGCAAGAGGACACAUGAAUCCUAAGUUGAAACCUUUUUUUCUCCUGCGGGAACCAAAGUUGAAACCUUCAUAGCAUCACAAUACAAUUUCAUUAAAAUUAUGUGUACAUAUAAACAAAUCCUGAAGGAUUGAUAGCCAUGCCAGAAACAAUUCAAAUUCGUUUCGCCAACAUGUGGGACAUCCUUCAUCCGGCUCCACCUGCCAUGCAGCAAUAUUGAGUGCACAACUGCAGGGAAAGAUUCAUCCUAGUCAUUGCGCCGUAGUAGUAAUGACUAGUGAGCAGUCAAAUCACAGAGCCCCACCUUCGCCACAGUAAGUUGCUCGGACGAAGCAACCAUCAUUUAGCUGUUCCUUGAAUCCACUGGUACUCCUAUAUUCCCAGAGUAAUAAGUUGGUCGGGCGAAGCAACCAUCACUUCACCUUUCCCACAGUAAGUACUAGUACCUCCUUUUUUUACUCUAGAAACAACCACACGUGAAUAUUGGCGGUAGCAGCACAUCAGCUGAAUAAAAAAUUGAAACCAACCAAUGAACUACUACUAAUGGUGAGCAUUUGCUAGUAUCAUGUACUCCGUUUGUCCAUGUAUAUAGGGCUUAAUGCGUUUUCUGAGACUAACUUUGGCCCUGUUUGGAUCCAUGGGUUAGAGUUAGUUUGAGCUAGUUUUGGCUCAAAUAGCGCUUAAGUAUCCAAGCAUGGGGGUUAAAUUGGAGCAAGUUGCACCAAACCCACCAAAAAAACUAUCCCACCCAAGAGGUGCUAAUUGGAGAUAGUUCUCAUUGGGCCCACUGGAAAAUCACUUUUCUCUCUCCAUCAAGUGCAUUUAUUGUCAAUCUAACCCUGUCACCCAAACAUCUCUUUGGCUACAGUUAGUUCAGGGUUAGUCAUGAGUUAGUCUAACCUCUAGCUAAGUUAGAGUAUCCAAACAGGAGCAGUAUAGGACAUGAAAGUUGCUCAAAGCAUACAGUCAAAUUCAUACUUGAAAGGAUCUUUUUUUUAAACGGAACAUGAAAGGACCUUCGAAUGAUAUAAUUUUUAAAUUAUAUCAAAUCUUAUCAAUAGUCAAGGGCAUCCUCGAAGAAUACAUUAGGCCCUAUAUAAAAUCUUAUCAAUAGUCAAAACCAAGUGUUCUAAACGAGUUCAAAACAACAAACUGGACCCACUCACGGCACAACACGCCUAUCUCGUUUGGUCCGUCGGUCAAAGAGCUUCCUCUUCUUGGCAUAACAAUAGAGUAUAGUAUUUUUUAGAAUGCUCUUGGCAUGUCGGUAACAUGUGAUGAGUUAACCGACCUCAAUAGACGGCAAAAACGCCAGCCCGCCGCACUCUGAGAGAGACGAGGAGCGAGAAGCGAUACGGGCUGCUGGAUUACUAGAGCUAGGUGUCGAACGGGGGCCAAGAAAAAUGGUGAUAGCAUGGGUUAGCCAUGUAGUAUGAUGUAACUACACUGGGCUGCCGUGUUUAAUACUCUUCCAGUCCACUGUGGAGAUGAUUGGUUGAUUUUAUAUCGUUGAAUAAUAUAAAAUACUAUGAGUCCAGACGCUCCACCACAAGGUUCCUUGCUCCUUCUCGUUCGUCGAGAAUCUAUGCUCUUCCACUCUUUUUUAUUGAUGUGAGCUUUGUUCAUCCUUUUGCCAACACGCGACAACUCGCAGAAUGAUGAGAAGCUUGUUUACUACGGGGCCGUUUGGUUCUAGGACUAGGAGUGCCACAUUUUUCCAUACACAAUGUUGCCAAACUUGCCUAAGGUUUAUGCCUUCUCCCUCGCCAACACGUGCGCGGUGGCUCGUAGCAUGAAGAUAAACUUUUGUUGCGGUGGACGUGCAAUAGUUCAUAGUGGGAGUAACAUACUCCUAGGUAGUAACAUAGAGCAGUCCAAGACAAGUUUGCUUUAUGUGGCAUGUAUUUAAUGAGGAGAGAUGUGUUUAGAGUAACAUAAUAUGUAGUGUGGGGCCUAAGCGAGUAGUCCAUUGUAGAAACUAGGGUGGUGCCGGAUUAAUUCUGCAUGUAAAUAAGCUUGUAACCGUGGAUUUGGGGCUCUUUCCCCUCUCUUCUUUAAUGAAUGGUACACACAGUCGUGCGUAUUCGAGAAAAAAAUAUGUCACUGUAACAUAGCGCUUUCCAAGAGAAGAUGAGUCUACAAGGUAAUAAAUGAAGCCAAGUAGUAUGACACUACUACUAUGUUACUUUGCAUUAUGGAGGUAGUAACUUAGAUUAGUGUCAUAUGCAUGACACUAGUCUAAGUUACUCUGCACUAUGGCCAACCUAAGAGCAUGGUUAAUAGUAUAGCCAGCUGAUGGCUAUAAGAAACUGCCAUGUCAUGUAUAGCCAUCAUUUAUAGUCACUCAUAUAGUAGUGUGGGCUACAAGGUUGGCUAUAACAUCACUUAGUACUUUUUUCAACCUUCUCCCUUUCUCUUUCUUAGCAUUUAUUCUAUUUGUCUAGGAAUCCGCAUAUAUCUAGGCUCUUGCAUGAGGCUGAGUAUCAUAGGUAGUAUCAUGCAUGCCAACUUGGCAAAUUUGAUGAGGUGGCAUAGAAUUAAAUGAAGAAAGAUAGGGUUGAGUAUCAUAUCAUGAUACUGUAUCAUAUUAAAUGGUGUGCUACUAUGUGUCAUCUAUACUAGUAUUAAACAAUCGAACUAAUUCUUUCUUAAAGCCACACAACAGAUGUACCCAGAUUGAUUAGCACCGUUAGAUUAAACCCACUGAAUAAAAUCUAAUGGUUAUGAUUAAUUUAAUCCCGAGUCAAAUGUGUACAUAUCAAUUUAGAAUGACUGAACGUGCUCCAAAGGAGGAGAAAAAUUCCACGCGCCGGCUCACGCUAAUCCCAUCAAUCAUGCUAAUCCCUGCAUGUCAAUUUCUCCCAUACGAAUACUCCCUACCACUACCGUCCCAGAGGAGGCACACACGCCGGCGUACGGAGCCAUCACCAACCGCUCCUCCGCUCCUCUCGCUCACCAACCCCCACGCGAUGCCGCCUAGAUCGGAGGAAUCGAAGGUCACCGCUCCGCCAUGUUCCAUUUCAGAGCCGAAACAACAAGCAUCCAUGGCCGCUCCGCAACCAGAGGCCAAAGGUGAGCCACACAGCCCAUCGAAUCUAUCUUUUUCACCGCGCCGUUGGGUUUCUCUCUCGAUCUAUUGUUCAUAUGAGUCUAAUUGGCUAAGAUCAGAUUUUAACUAUGUUUCCAAUCAUGAGUCUGAUGCGAGCGAGUUUCCUGCCGGUCCGUGCGUCAAUCAAGCGGCUCCUUUCUAUACUUCUAUACUACUAUUAAACAAUCGAACUAAUUCUUUCUUAAAGCCACACAACAGAUGUACCCAGAUUGAUUAGCAGCGUUAGAUUAAACCCACUGAAUAAAAUGGUUAUGAUUAAUUUAAUCCCGAGUCAAAUGUUUACGUAUCAAUUUAGAAUGACUGAACAUGCUCCACCGGAGGAGAAAAAUUCCACGCGCCGGCUCACGCUAAUCCCAUCAAUCAUGCUAAUCCCUGCAUGUCAAUUUCUCCCAUACGAAAACUCCCUACCACUACCGUCCCAGAGGAGGCACGCACGCCGGCGUAUGGAUCCAUCACCAACCGCUCCUCCGCUCCUCUCGCUCACCAACGCCCACGCGAUGCCGCCUGGAUCGGAGGAAUCGAAGGUCACUGCUCCACCAUGUUCCGUUUUGGAGCCGAAACAACAAGCAUCCGUGGCCGCUCCACAACCAGAGGCCAAAGGUGAGCCACACAGCCCGUCGAAUCUAUCUUUUCCAUCGCUUCGUUGGGUUUCUCUCUCGAUCUAUUGUUCAUAUGAGUCUAAUUGGCUAAGAUCAGAUUUUAACUAUGUUUCCCAUCAUGAGUCUGAUGCGAGCGAGUUUCCUGCCGGUCCGUGCAUCAAUCAAGCGGCUCCUUGAUCUUUACUCAUGUUUCUCUUGGCUGAUGUUCAGGUGCCGCAUGAACGGCACGGGAGCUAAAGGCCGCCGGCGCCGGCCACCCCGGUGUGAGAGGAAACAGGCGGGUUCUCGGGGAAACCCUCAACGUCGUCCAUGGCCCAUGUCCUCAACGAGGAAGGAAAUCAGCACAAUGAUCGAAUACACGAUCUGUUCCAGACCACCCAGUGCGCUCCCUUCACAAGGAUCGAACCUCGCGGCGGUUGGCGAUGGCAGCAGCUCCGCCGUCCUGGUCCGCUCGGCUCAUCGUCCCAUGCGGCUUCAAGGUCACUACGUUCGGCCGUCGGUCCCCCGUGAACAACAUCAUCCACGUCCUCACCGACACGCGGGGUUCAACAUGGCGCUCGAGACCUCUAGCGUCGUGGAUGACUUCCAGGCUGAUGAGCGCGGCACCGGCAUCACCAUCUUCGUCCCCAUCGACGACGCCUUCGCCAGCCUCCCUCCCGGUGCUGCGAUUCCACGUGCUGCACUCCUACUACCGGCUCGGCUCCCUCGAGUCCAUCAAGAACCCCGUCCAGCCCACGUCCUCACCGAAGUGCACCAUGGCCGGCUGCUUCGUCCCUCCGGUUCUAGGUGGAGCAAACAUAAAUGCCAGGGUCGAUGUCGACGGAGCCAUUGAAUCGUGUGAUGUUGAUCCUGAAGCAGCCGGGCUUCGCAAUUGUGAUGCUGGACGCUGCAAAGGAGAGAACGUCAUAGCCGGAGUUCGAGUUCGAGACGCAGAGGAGAGGACGCCAUAGCCAAAGUUGAAGACGCAAAGCAGAGGAUGAGAUGAUUCGGAGGAGCCAGAGUUAAGCACGUCGACAAUGAUCCAAGCAUCUUUGCUAUUUACCAUUUCCAGGUUGAUUGGUAAUGCAUGCCAAUUACUAUUUGCAGGUUAGGUACUUUCACUAAUUGUAAUAGAAAUGGUAAGAGUUUUAAGCAGGAGGUGGAGCUACUUUUUGUUUGUCAGUUUAAAUUUUACUAAUUUGUAACUGAACUUGAAGCUAUUGUAUCAGGUGACAGCUGGUGAGCAGGACCGACAAUGGAUUGAUUAGUGUCACCAUCCUUUGGUUCUGAAGCAAUUCUUGAGGUGUCUCCGACCAGAACAAUCUGGUUCCUACCAAGUAUUGUCUACCGAGAUGCCAUGUUACUAGACAAAUAUAACACUAGGAUUAUCUCCAGUCAUGGGUUGCAGCUUCUACCAUGACCCACUGAACAAAAAUUAGCCAUGUUACUAGGCAAGUAUAAACACUGGGAUUAUCUCCAGUCAUGUGUUGCAGCUUCUACCAUGUUCCAGUGAACCAAAAUGAGCACAAUCAUUAAUUGAUGAUACUUUCAUAGAUCAAUAAUUUAUGUCCUUGAUUCUGCACUGAUUUAGUCAUAUUCUUUUUUUCUAAUAGCAAUCCCAACUUUUCAGCUGAGCCCCACUACAUUUUAUCCCGAAUCUCCAUCAUCGAUUAUUUCUUCAAAGAUUUAUUGCAUUUAUGGGAAAAAACACUACAUUUUAAUUCUAUUAACCAUAGAUUAAUCCACUUCAAUUACUAACAACAUCCCAAGCUGAAACUGUUGCGAUUUGGUCUGGGACCAGAGUCCCAUUUUUUAUCCACAAUGGAUUCAUUGAUUAUUACUUCUGUUCCACAGUUUUAGUUCAUAUGUGAGGACUGCCCUACGCUCAAGCAACGAGUUACGACAUGGAUGGAGUGUAGGACGAAGUUCAGGUAAUUAUUUGGCAAUGCAAAAUGAGUACGUUUGUUAUGUUGAUAUGGCUUCCAUUUCCCACAUUGGUCUUUGACAACAUAUUUAGGCGCUGCAUGAAUAUAUAAGUGAUGGUUAGAGUAAUUGUGUGGAGAAAUAGAGUUGCAUUGAUUUUUCUGUGUCCAAACCCUCUUAUAACAUUUGGUGAUAUUUUAGGAUGCUGGGUAGAAUGUAACACCCUGGAUGUAACUUACCCAAUUUGUAUUCCAACUCUUGCCGUUUCCGGCGUUAAGUUAUUUUAUUUUCUCGGGUUCGGGUCUUUGCCUCCUUGUGUUGUUGUCGUUGUCAUGCAUCUCAUAUCAUGUCAUCAUGUGCAUUGCAUUUGCAUACGUGUUCAUCUCAUGCAUUCGAGCUUUUUCCCCGUUGUCCGUUUUGCAUUCUGGCGCUUCGUUCUCCUCCGGUGGUAAUUUCUACCUUUCUUUCAUUUGUGGGGAUUAAACAUUUCCGAAUUGGACCGAGACUUGCCAAGCGGCCUUGGUUUACUACCGGUAGACCGCCUGUCAAGUUUCGUACCAUUUGGACUUCGUUUAAUGCUCCAACGGUUAACCGAGGGACCGAAAAGGCCUCGUGUGUGUUGCAGCCCAACACCCCUCCAAUUUGGUCCAAAAUCCACCAAAACCUUCUCCAUCAUCUAGAGCGUUCGAUCACGAUCGCGUGGCCAAAAACCGCACCUCAUUUGGACUCUCCUAGCUCCCUUUACCUAUAAAUAUGUGUCUCCUCCCGGAUUUUUCGCGCAGUCCAAACCCUAACCCGCUCCUCCGCGCCGCCGGACACGUCCGCCGCCGGCUGGACGCGUCCGCCCCCGCCCGCAUCCAACCAGUAACCGCCACGUGUCGCCGCCACCUCCCACCGCCGGCCCGCUCAGCCCGCGCCGGGCCCUCCCCACCGCGUGCCCAGGCCGCCGCCUCCUCUCACCCCGCGCCGUNNNNNNNNNNNNNNNNNNNNNNNNNNNNNNNNNNNNNNNNNNNNNNNNNNNNNNNNNNNNNNNNNNNNNNNNNNNNNNNNNNNNNNNNNNNNNNNNNNNNNNNNNNNNNNNNNNNNNNNNNNNNNNNNNNNNNNNNNNNNNNNNNNNNNNNNNNNNNNNNNNNNNNNNNNNNNNNNNNNNNNNNNNNNNNNNNNNNNNNNNNNNNNNNNNNNNNNNNNNNNNNNNNNNNNNNNNNNNNNNNNNNNNNNNNNNNNNNNNNNNNNNNNNNNNNNNNNNNNNNNNNNNNNNNNNNNNNNNNNNNNNNNNNNNNNNNNNNNNNNNNNNNNNNNNNNNNNNNNNNNNNNNNNNNNNNNNNNNNNNNNNNNNNNNNNNNNNNNNCUCCUCGCCCGCGCCGCCCCGGCUUCCUCACCGCCCGCCGCCGCCAGGACUCGCCGGCGCCGCCCCGGCCUCUCCUCCCCUCGGUCUCGCCUUCCUCCAAGUCCGACGGCUCCAGCCGUCGCCGUUUCCUCUCCGGCGAACAGGAUUCCGGCCGUCCUCGGGAAGCGUGCCGCCGGAUCUCAGAUCUAGAUCUCGGUUGACUUUUUCGUCCCCAACCCUAAUUUUCUUGCUAUGUUCAUCGCAUCGUAACUCCUCAUCCGUAACUCCGUUUUGGGCAUAUAGCAUAUCAAAAUGUUCGCCACAGAGAGCACAUCAUUUCAUCUCAUUGCAUCAUUUUCAUUUGAGUUCAUCUUGAUGCCCUAAAUGCUGGUAGAAGAGUGCUACUUGAGAUAAUUGUCAGAUCUGCUGCUCCAUUUAGAGAUUUGUCAUUUUUGCCAUGAUUAAUGUGUGCAUCAUAUGCCCAUGAGCUCUACAUAUGUUUUCUUAAGGGUUUUGCCAUCUUUCCGGAGGUGCAACCCAUGUAUUUUUGUGAUGUGUGUGGUGACUAGCACAAGCUUGCCAAGUGAGGCACUUGGUAAUGCUGAUUUCAGGGACUUAGCAAUUCCACUAAGUCCUUGAUCUGUUUAUCUCAUGUUGCCAUAUGUUCAUGUUGUUUCCUAGUGAUCCGUGCCUCUUUUGAGGAUGGUCAGUAAGGAUGUUUUGUUAAUCUUUUAGUGCUCUAUCCAUCCAUGCCUUUGUUUGCAAUUAUGGAAUACCUUAGCUUGAGUCAAUCGAGCUCUACUUUUGCUACUUCGUGAAUCUUGGCAGAUUGUCUACUUGUUGGCGAUUUUGCCGAUGAUGUUGUAGUUGAUCCGUGCAUGCUAUGUUUUUGUUCUUGCCAUGUAUAGCUUGCAUUUUGUGUAUUCUUGAUGGAUGUAUGCUUAGAUUAUCAUGACUUGCUCCGUAGUGAGUGCAUCAAGCUCGUAAAUAUGCCUACUUGAUAUCUGUUUUCAGCAUGCUCCAGUUUUCACUAAGUCUGAGAACUGAUUAUGUUUUUGCCAUGUUCACAUGCUUGCAAUUGUAUUUUCUGAUCCCUUUUGGCUCAAGGUCACUAAGGGACUUUUGUUAAGCCUUUUGAGUAGCUCCAUGCCAUGAUUUACUUUGCCAUGUUCGGGUCCUGUAGCAUGUAGUUUUGUUGCUCCAAAGAGUGCUACCUGAUCUGAGAUUCCAGACAAGUGUUAAUUUCACCAAGUCUGAAAUCUGUUUACCAUAUGCAUUUUUGCCAUGCUUGUUUGAACCUGUUAAUGGAUGAUUUGGCCGUAGCUCAGUGUUAGACUUUUGUUAAUCAUCUUGAAUGCAUCCCUGCCAUGUAUUUUUAUGCCAUAUUUGAGUGUUGUACCUUGUUCAUCUCAUUGCAUUUAGAUGGCUACUCGCUGUAAAUCGCAGAACGUGGUCAUAUUUGAAUUGCUUGCCAUUUCCAAACCGUAACUCCAAUUCCGGCGUUCUUUAUAUCGUUUUCAAGCGAUUUCAUCUCAUCUUUCCAGUGGCACACUUGGAUUUCCAUGUUGAGGCCAGGUUCCUACAUCCCUUAUCAAAUCUUGCAUAUGCAUCCCGCAUCGCAUUCCGCAUAGCAUACCAUCCUUGCAUCCUAUUGUUUGAUCCUUGCACGUGGUUGAUUGUGUCCUUGUUGCUUGUUUGUCUUGUUUGGGUAGAGCCGGGAGACGAGUUCGCUAACGAGGAGCCCGUUGAGUUUGCUUUCGAGGAUCCAGUCAACUCUGACAACUUUGCAGGCAAGAUGAUCAUACCCUCGAAAUCACUACUAUCUUUGCUUUGCUAGAUGCUCGCUCUUUUGCUAUGCCAAUGCUACAAUGCCUACCACUUGCUUUCAAGCCUCCCAAAUUGCCAUGUCAAACCUCUAACCCACCAUGUCCUAGCAAACCGUUGAUUGGCUAUGUUACCGCUUUGCUCAACCCCUCUUAUAGCGUUGCUAGUUGCAGGUGAAGAUUGGAGACCGUUCCUUGUUGGAACAUUUAUUUACUUGUUGGGAUAUCAUUAUAUUAUCUUGUUAUCUUAAUGCUUCUAUACACUUGGUAAAGGGUGGAAGGCUCGGCCUCUCGCCUAGUGUUUUGUUCCACUCUUGCCGCCCUAGUUUCCGUCAUAUCGGUGUUAUGUUCCCGGAUUUUCGCGUUCCUUACGCGGUUGGGUUAUAAUGGGAACCCCUUGAUAGUUCGCCUUGAUUAAAGCUUUUCCAGCAAUGCCCAACCUUGGUUUUACCAUUUGCCACCUAGCCUCUUUUUCCCUUGGGUUUCCGGAGCCCGAGGAUCAUCUUAUUUUAGCCCCCCCUGGGCCAGUGCUCCUCUGAGUGUUGGUCCAAACUAGAGUCCUAUGCAGCGCCCCCUCGGGGAAACUCGUGGUUUGGUUUUAGCUGUAUGGAGUGCUCAUCUGAGUGUGCCCUGAGAACGAGAUAUGUGCAACUCCUAUCGGGAUUAGUCGGCACAUUCGGGCGGUGUUGCUGGAUUUGUUUUAACCUGUCGAAGUGUCUUGAAGAACCGAGAUAUCGAGUCUGAUCGGAACGUCUUGGGAGGAGGUCUAUUCCUUCGUUGAUCGUGAGAGCUUGUCAUGGGCUAAGUUGGGACUCCCCUGCAGGGAUUUGAACUUUCGAAAGCCGUGCCCGCGGUUAUGGGCAGAUGGGAAUUUGUUAAUGUCCGGUUGUAGAUAACUUGAACCUUAACUUAAUUAAAAUGAAGCAACCGUGUGAGUUACCGUGAUGGCCUCUUCUCGGCGGAGUCCGAGAAGUGGACACGAUGUUGGAGUAAUGUUUUGCGCAGGUUUUCCUUUAGUUAUGCGUUCGUGCUUUGCCUUCUCUUCUCGCUCUCUUUGCGAACAGGAUAGCCACCAUAUAUGCUAGUCGCUUGCUGCAGCUCCUCCACAUAUUUACCUUGCCUUACCUAUAAGCUUAAAUAGUCUUGAUCGCGAGGGUGCGAGAUUGCUGAGUCCCUGUGGCUCACAGAUUACUAUUAAACCAGAUGCAGGGCCUGUCGAUUCCGCUCCAGGUGACGCACUCGAGCUCAAGUGGGAGUUCGACGAGGACUCUCAAUGUUACUAUGUUUCCUUUCCUGAUGAUCAGUAGUGGUGCCCUGUUGGGGGUGAUCGGGACCGUGUCGCAUGUUGGGUUAUCUUUUAUUUUCGCACCGUAGUCGGGCCAUGAGUGUUUGGAUGAUGUAAUGUUAUUUAUGUACCUUGAUUGACGUGGCGAGUGUAAGCCAACUAUGUUAUCUCCCCUUUUAUUAAUUAUAUUACAUGGGAUGUUUGUGAAGAUUGCCUAACUUGCGACAUAUGCCUUCAAUGCAAUUAUGCCUCUAAGUCGUGCCUCGACAUGUGGGAGAUAUAGUCGCAUCGAGGGUGUUACAAGUUGGUAAUCAGAGCCAUCCCCGACCUUAGGAGCCCCACUGCUUGAUCCUUAUUAGCGGCCGAGUUGUGUCUAGAAAAAUGUUUUGAGUCAUUUAGGAAUUAUAUAUCGAAGAGUUUAGGAAUUCUUUUUACUUCCCAGUCUCCUCAUCGCUCUAUUAAGGCAUCCUGACGUAGAGUUUUGACUCUUCUCUUCUCAAAUUCCACUAAAAAAAUUUAGGAUCACGCGGGUAUCUUGGAAUCGUUUCAAUGGUUUUAUGAUGAGAACAUUGUCUUGGUGCCUCCUGUCAAGGGUUUUGUGGAAGUGUCCCGGGAGUUGAGCUCUGAGGUGUUGUCGUCAUAAUUUUAUCGUUGCAGUUCUGGAAUACCUGAGUGUAGUACGCCGACAUCGAAAAUCUCUUUUAUGCAGUUCGUUGGUGAGAUAACCUCGACGCCACCCAGUACUGGGGCGGGAGUUCGGGAGUAUCGCCAUAACUUGUAUAACGGAUGCUUUUCAAAGGUUGAGGUAGAUGGUUUCCGAAGUUUUUCUCGGUUAUGUGUUGAAGGAUGGAUACAGCUGGAUGUAGGAUUUGCUAGAUUUGGGUGAGAUAUUAUGCUUCCCCUGUAUCCCCAACACCUGAUUGCAUAACCGGAAAGGUUCGGGAGUUUCAUAGGUGGGAAUUCUAGUAGCUCUAGUUCUUCUUCCAUGGAUAGUUGGUUUGAGAUUGGGAUUUCUUACCGAUUAUUUGUUCUUGAUCCGUACCUUGUUGAUUUAUUUCUCUAACUUAAUUCUAAGUGGCUUCUCAAUUUAUGGAUAUGUGACCAUUUCAAGAGGAACGCAUUCGUUCAUUUUGUUUGGAUGUGAAGACUAUAUGUUGCAAUUUUCAUUCCGUUGGAUUCAGCUUCAAUAUUUGUCUAUCAAUGUGCUAAUGGAUGUCAACCUCUUCAGGAUGGCUCCUCCAACGUGCACGACUCCGAAUCCUGAUCCGCCACCACCUCCACCUCCUCCGGAGGCAUGGCAAGCUGUGAUGGCCGCAACCAAUGCAAACACACAGUUGAUCAUGCAAGUUCUCCAAGAGCGUAAUCAAGGCAACCAAGGGAACCAAGGCAACAAUCAAAAUCACUUUGCUACACUCAACCAGUUCCUUGCUAACGGGCCAAAGACUUUCAGAAAUUGUGUUGAGGCAACCGAUGCUGACGAUUGGCUUGUGGAUCUGUGCAAGCAUUUCGAGUGCAGUAAUGUCAGGCCUGAGGAUCUUGUCAAGUUCGCUUCCUUCCAACUCAAAGAUCAAGCUGCAGAAUGGUUCCAGCAGUACAAGGAUUCCAGAGGUGGACGUGUUAUCACUUGGGAUGAAUUCCCUCAAGAUUUCAGAGCUCAUCAUAUUCCUCAGAGCAUGGUUGAAAGCAAGCGUGAGGAAAUCCGCAACCUGAAGCAAGGCUCUUUGUCUGUCUAUGACUACAACAAGUUGUUCCAGAAGCUCGCCCGUUUUGCCAAGCAGGACGUCCCUGAUGAGAAGAGCAUGAUAUACCAGUUCAGGGGUGGUCUCAGAGAAGAAAUCCAGCUCGCUCUUGUCCUCUUUGAGCCCUUGAGGUACGAUGAGUUCUACAACAUGGCAUUGAAGCAAGAGGCCGCUCAACUAAGGUGUGAUGCUUCCAAGAAGCGAGUCAGAGAUGCUACUCCUUCCUCUACUCAAGUGGCCAAGCAGCAAAAGUAUUGGCUUCCUCCUCCUCCGUUCCGUCAGCCGUUUCAGCAGAAGAGCAAAGGUGGCAGUGGCUCUUCCCACCCACCCAAUCCUGGCUUUCAGAAUAAGACUUCGUCUCAAGCUCCAAGAUCGAGUGCUCCGUAUCACUGUCCGCUUUCAGAGGUCAUGUGCAACAAGUGCCAACAGAAGGGUCACUAUGCCAACAAGUGUUUCAACCAGAGGCGUCUUCCUCCUCCUCCUCCUGUCAGAUCGGCAAGUACAGCUGUGGUCAAGCAUAACCCCAAGUACGCCAAGGUCAAUAUGGUGAAUGCAGCUCAGGCAGAGGAUUCGUCAGAUGUCAUCAUGGGUAACCUUCCAGUUAACGAUAUUCCUGCAAAAGUUCUUUUUGAUACUGGUGCAUCGCAUUCUUUCUUGUCAUGCCCUUUUGCAUCGAAGCACAAUGUUGAUACUGAGAUCUUGCCCAAAGUCAUGCAAGUUGUUUCUCCCGGCAAGCUUUUGACUUCUAGCUUGGUUGCUCCCGAUAUCUCUAUCACCUUGGGCGACUACAAGUUCCUUUCUUACCCAAUUGUUCUUGGUAACUCGGAUAUUGAUCUUAUUCUCGGGAUGGAUUGGCUUUCUAAGCACAAGGCACAUCUUGAUUGUGCUGCCAGGCAGAUUCAAUUGACUCAUUCGUCUGAGGAUGUAAUUGUCUUUGCCGCUCGGGAUAAUACCUUCCGUCUGUUUUCUCUCAAUGAGAAGGGUGAACUCGAUGCCAUCUCGCAAAUUCCAGUCGUUUGCAAAUAUCAAGACGUCUCUCCAGAAGAGCUUCCAGGAAUGCCUCCGCACCAGCCAGUUGAAUUCGUUAUUGAUCUUGAGCCCGGCAUGGAACCUGUGUGCAAGCAUCCUUACAAGCUCGGACCUGAAGAGUUGAAGGAGCUGAAGAAGCAACUCGAUAUUCAAGAGAUAAUGGGAGAGAAUGGGUCCCAUCCGGCCUAGUUCUUCUCCGUGGGGUUGUGGUGUUCUUUUUGAGAAGAAGAAGGAUGGAACGGACCGACUUUGUGUUGAUUACCGUCCAUUGAACAAGAAGACCAUCAAGAAGAAAUACCCACUUCCCAACAUCAAUGAACUGUUCGAACAACUCAAAGGUGCCCAAGUAUUCUCCAAGCUUGAUCUCCGUAUGGGUUAUCAUCAGAUUCGAAUCCAUGAGCAAGAUAUUCCCAAGACGGCUUUCAAGACAAGCUAUGGUUCAUACGAAUACACUGUCAUGUCUUUUGGCCUCGUCAACGCUCCUUCGACGUUCUCUCGCAUGAUGAACUUCAUCUUCAACGCCUACACCAAUGACUUCGUUUUGGCCUGUCUCGACGACAUUCUGGUUUUCUCGAAGAACAAGGAAGAUCAUGCCAAGCACUUGCGUUUGGUACUCGAUAAGUUGAGGGAACACCAGUUCUACGCCAAGUUCUCCAAGUGUGAAUUUUGGCUCGAUGAGGUUCUUUAUCUUGGUCAUAUCAUCUCUGCCAAGGGCAUUGCGGUGAAUCCUGAGAAGGUGUCUGCAAUUGUGAAUUGGGAACCUCCUCAGAAUGUGAAGCAACUCCGUAGCUUCCUCGGUCUCGCAAGCUAUUGUCGAAGAUUUGUUGAAAACUUCUCCAAGAUCGCGAAGCCUCUCUCAAAUCUUCUCCAGAAGCACGUCAAGUACGUUUGGUCUCCGGAGUGUGACAUUGCUUUCAACACUUUGAAAGAGAAAUUGGUCACUGCUCCAGUUCUGACUCCGCCUGAUGAAUCCAAGCCGUACGAGGUCUUUUGUGAUGCCUCUCUCCAAGGUCUUGGUGCAGUGUUGAUGCAAGAGAAGAAAGUUGUUGCUUAUACCUCUCGCCAGUUGAAGCCCAAUGAGAAGAACUACCCCACUCAUGAUCUCAAGUUGGCGGCAGUUGUGCAUGCUCUUUUGAGUUGGAGACAUCUCUUAUUGGGAAGAAAAGUGGACAUUUUCACUGAGCACAAGAGUCUCAAGUACAUCUUCACUCAGCCUAAUCUCAACCUCAGGCAAACUCGAUGGGUCGAAAUGGUUCAAGAGUAUAAUCCGAGUAUCGAGUAUACUCCAGGCAAGGCCAAUGUGAUUGCUGACGCAUUGAGCAGAAAGGCUUAUUGCAACAGUCUUAUUCUCAGGCCUUAUCAACCCGAGCUUUGUGAAGCUUUCCGCAAACUUAACCUGCAAGUUGUUCCUCAAGGUUUCCUCGCCAACCUUCAAGUCUCUCCUACCUUGGAAGACCAGAUUCGCCAAGCCCAGCUUCUUGAUGCUAUGGUGAAAAAGGUGAAGAUUGGGAUUGCCAAGAGUCAACCCAAGUACAAGUGCUACCGCCUUGAUGACAAGGACACUCUCUUCUUCGAGGAUCGUAUUGUUGUGCCCAAAGGUCAACUUCGUAAAGUGAUCAUGAACGAGGCUCACAAUUCUCUCCUCUCCAUCCACCCUGGGAGCACGAAGAUGUAUCAGGACCUCAAGCAGGCUUAUUGGUGGACUCGAACGAAGCGCGAGAUUGCUUAGUUCGUAAAUGAAUGUGAUGUCUGCAGAAGAGUGAAGGCAGAAAACCAAAGGCCAGCUAGUCUCCUCCAACCUCUUGCCAUUCCAGAAUGGAAGUUUGACCACAUUGAGAUGGACUUCAUGACUGGGUUUCCAAAGUCCAAGCGUGGCAAUGAUGCUAUAUUCGUUGUCAUCCACAAACUCACCAAAGUGGUUCACUUUCUGCCUAUCAAAGAGUCGAUCACUGCAGCUCAAUUGGCGGAACUCUAUACCUCUCGAAUUGUCUCUCUGCACGGUAUUCCACAAGUUAUCUCUUCAGACCGUGGCAGCAUCUUUACCUCCAAGUUUUGGGAUUCUUUUCAGAAGGCCAUGGGCACCAACAUGCGCUUUAUCACAGCUUUCCAUCCUCAAACUAGCGGUCAAGUCGAGUGUGUCAACCAGAUUCUUGAAGAUAUGCUCAGGGCUUGUGUGAUCUCCUUCGGCAUGAAGUGGGAGGAUUUCUUCCUUAUGCUGAAUUCUCCUACAACAACAGUUUUCAAGCAAGCUCGGGCAAGGCCCCAUUUGAAAUUCUGUAUGGCAGGAAGUGCCGUACCCCUCUCAACUGGUCUGAAACCGGUGAAUGUCGGCUUUUGGGAAAUGACUUAAUCACAGAGGCAGAGGAAAUCUGCAAAGUCAUUCGAGAUAACCUCAAAGCAGCCCAAUCCCGCCAGAAGAGCUACUAUGAUAGUAAGCACCGUGAUUUGGCUUUCGAGAUCAGAGAUCAUGUUUACCUCCGCGUUUCUCCUAUGAAAGGUACUCAUCAUUUCGGUAUCAAAGGGAAGCUUGCCCCCAGAUACGUGGGACCUUUCAAGAUUGUCAGCAAGAGAGGCGACCUCGCCUAUCAACUCGAGCUUCCUUCAAACUUUGCAAAUGCUCAUGACGUGUUCCAUGUCUCUCAGCUUCGAAAGUGCUUCAAGACUCCUGACCGCACCGUCAACUUCGAGGACAUUGAGCUCCAAGAAGAUCUCUCAUAACAUGAGCACCUCGUUGCUAUUUUUGAAGAGACUAAACGCAUGACUCGCAACAAGUCAAUCAAAUUCCUCAAAUUCAAGUGGUCACACCAUUCUGCCCGUGAAGCUACCUGGGAACGCGAGGAUCACCUCCGUUCUGAAUACCCGGCGUUCUUUCAGUCCUAGAUCUCGGGACGAGAUCCUUUCGUAGUGGUGGAGUGUUGUAACACCCCGGAUGUAACUUACCCAAUUUGUAUUCCAACUCUUGCCAUUUCCGGCAUUAAGUUAUUUUAUUUUCCCGGGUUCGGGUCUUUGCCUCCGUGUGUUGUUGUCGUUGUCAUGCAUCUCAUAUCAUGUCAUCAUGUGCAUUGCAUUUGCAUACGUGUUCAUCUCAUGCAUUUGAGCUUUUUCCCCGUUGUCCGUUUUGCAUUCCGGCGCUUUGUUCUCCUCCGGUGGUCAUUUCUACCUUUCUUUCGUGUGUGGGGAUUAAACAUUUCCGGAUUGGACCGAGAAUUGCCAAGCGGCCUUGGUUUACUACCGGUAGACCACCUGUCAAGUUUCGUACAAUUUGGACUUCGUUUGAUGCUCCAACGGUUAACCGAGGGACCGAAAAGGCCUCGUGUGUGUUGCAGCCUAACACCCCUCCAUUUUGGUCCAAAACCCACCAAAACCUUCUCCAUCAUCUAGAGCGUUCGAUCACGAUCGCGUGGCCGAAAACCGCACCUCAUUUGGACUCUCCUAGCUCCCUCUACCUAUAAAUAUGUGUCUCCUCCCGGAUUUUUCGCGCAGUCCAAACCCUAACCCGCUCCUCCGCGCCGCCGAACAUGUCCGCCGCUGGCCGGACGCGUCCGCCCCUGCCCGCAUCCAACCAGUAACCGCCACGUGUCGCCGCCACCUCCCACCGCUGCCGGCCCGCUCAGCCCGCGCCGGGCCCUCCCCACCGCGCGCCCGGGCCGCCGCCUCCUCUCACCCCGCGCCGUCUGGGAGCCCGAGCCGCCACCGCACUUUGCAAGCCACCGCCGCCGCGCCAUUGCCGGCUGGAGCGAGCUCCGCCGGCCGGAUCUCCUCGCCCGCGCCACCCCGGCUUCCUCACCGCCCGCCGCCGCUAGGACUCGCCGGCGCCGCCCCGGCCUCUCCUCCCCUCGGCCUCGCCUUCCUCCAAGUCCGACGGCUCCGGCCGCUGCAGUUUCCUCUCCGGCGAACAGGAUUCCGGCCGUCCUCGGGAAGUGUGCCGCCGGAUCUCAGAUCUAGAUCUCGAUUGACUUUUUCGUCCCCAACCCUAAUUUUCUUGCUAUGUUCAUCGCAGCGUAACUCCUCAUCCGUAACUCCGUUUUAGGCAUAUAGCAUAUCAAAAUGUUCGCCUCAGAGAGCACAUCAUUUCAUCUCAUUGCAUCAUUUUCAUUUGAGUUCAUCUUGAUGCCCUAAAUGCUGGUAGAAGAGUGCUACUUGAGAUAAUUGUCAGAUCUGCUGCUCCAUUUAGAGAUUUGUCAUUUUUGCCAUGAUUAAUGUGUGCAUCAUAUGCCCAUGAACUCUACAUAUGUUUUGUUAAGGGUUUUUCCAUCUUUCCAGAGGUGCAACCCAUGUAUUUUUGUGAUAUGUGUGGUGACUAGCACAAGCUUGCCAAGUGAGGCACUUGGUAAUGCUGAUUUCAGGGACUUAGCAAUUCCACUAAGUCCUUGAUCUGUUUAUCUCAUGUUGCCAUAUGUUCAUGUUGUUUCCUAGUGAUCCGUGCCUCUUUUGAGGAUGGUCAGUAAGGAUGUUUUGUUAAUCUUUUAGUGCUCUAUCCAUCCAUGCCUUUGUUUGCAAUUAUGGAAUACCUUAGCUUGAGUCAAUCGAGCUCUACUUUUGCUACUUCGUGAAUCUGGGCAGAUUGUCUACUUGUUAGUGAUUUUGCCGAUGAUGUUGUAGUUGAUCCGUGCAUGCUAUGUUUUUGUUCUUGCCAUGUAUAGCUUGCAUUUUGUGUAUUAUUGAUGGGUGUAUGAUUAUAUUAUCAUGACUUGCUCCGCAGUGAGUGCAUCAAGCUCGUAAACAUGCCUACUUGAAAUCUGUUUUCAGCAUGCUCCAGUUUUCACUAAGUCUGAGAACUGAUUAUGUUUUUGCCAUGUUCACAUGCUUGCAAUUGUAUUUUCUGAUCCCUUUUGGCUCAAGGUCACUAAGGGACUUUUGUUAAGACUUUUGAGUAGCUCCAUGCCAUGCUUUACUUUGCCAUGUUCGGGUCCUGUAGCAUGUAGUUUUGUUACUCCAAAGAGUGCUACCUGAUCUGAGAUUCCAGACAAGUGUUAAUUUCACUAAGUCUGAAAUCUGUUUACCAUAUGCAUUUUUGCCAUGCUUGUUUGAACCUGUUAAUGGAUGAUUUGGCCGUAGCUCAGUGUUAGACUUUUGUUAAUCAUCUUGAAUGCAUCCCUGCCAUGUAUUUUUAUGCCAUGUUUGAGUGCUGUAGCUUGUUCAUCUCAUUGCAUUUAGAUGGCUACUCGCUGUAAAUCGCAGAACAUGGUCAUAUUUGAAUUGCUUGCCAUUUCCAAAUCGUAACGCCGAUUCCGGCGUUCUUUAUAACGUUUUCAAGCGAUUUCAUCUCAUCUUUCCAGUGGCACACUUGGAUUUCCAAGUUGAGGCCAGGUUCCUGCAUCCCUUGUCAAAUCUUGCAUAUGCAUCCCGCAUCGCAUUCCGCAUAGCAUACCAUCCUUGCAUCCUAUUGUUUGAUCCUUGCACGUGGUUGAUUGUGUCCUUGUUGCUUGUUUGUCUUGUUUGGGUAGAUCCAGGAGACGAGUUCGCUAACGAGGAGCCCGUUGAGUUUGCUUUCGAGGAUCCAGUCAACUCUGACAACUUUGCAGGCAAGAUGAUCAUACCCUCAAAAUCACUACUAUCUUUGCUUUGCUAGAUGCUCGCUCUUCUGCUAUGCCAAUGCUACGAUGCCUACCACUUGCUUUCAAGCCUCCCAAAUUGCCAUGUCAAACCUCUAACCCACCAUGUCCUAGCAAACCGUUGAUUGGCUAUGUUACCGCUUUGCUCAGCCCCUCUUAUAGCGUUGCUAGUUGCAGGUGAAGAUUGGAGACCGUUCCUUGUUGGAACAUUUAUUUACUUGUUGGGAUAUCAUUAUAUUAUCUUGUUAUCUUAAUUCUUACACUUGGUAAAGGGUGGAAGGCUCGGCCUCUCGCCUAGUGUUUUGUUCCACUCUUGCCGCCCUAGUUUCCGUCAUAUCGGUGUUAUGUUCCCGGAUUUUCGCGUUCCUUAAGCGGUUGGGUUAUAAUGGGAACCCCUUGAUAGUUCGCCUUGAUUAAAGCUUUUCUAGCAAUGCCCAACCUUGGUUUUACCAUUUGCCACCUAGCCUCUUUUCCCCUUGGGUUUCUGGAGCCCGAGGGUCAUCUUAUUUUAGCCCCCCUGGGCCAGUGCUCCUCUGAGUGUUGGUCCAAACUAGAGUCCAGUGCAGCGCCCCCUCGGGGAAACUCGUGGUUUGGUUUUAGCUGUAUGGAGCGCUCAUCUGAGUGUGCCCUGAGAACGAGAUAUGUGCAACUCCUAUCGGGAUUUGUCGGCACAUUCGGACGGUGUUGCUGGAUUUGUUUUAACCUGUCGAAGUGUCUUGAAGAACCGAGAUACCAAGUCUGAUCGGAACGUCUUGGGAGGAGGUCUAUUCCUUCGUUGACCUUGAGAGCUUGUCAUGGGCUAAGUUGGGACUCCCCUGCAGGGAUUUGAACUUUCGAAAGUCGUGCCCGCGGUUAUGGGCAGAUGGGAAUUUGUUAAUGUCCGGUUGUAGAUAACUUGAACCUUAACUUAAUUAAAAUGAAGCAACCGUGUGAGUUACCGUGAUGGCCUCUUCUCGGCGGAGUCCGGGAAGUGGACACGGUGUUGGAGUAAUGUUUUGCGCAGGUUGUCCUUUAGUUAUGCGUUCGCGCUUUGCCUUCUCUUCUCGCUCUCUUUUGCGAACAGGAUAGCCACCAUAUAUGCUAGUCGCUUGCUGCAGCUCCACAUAUUUACCUUGCCUUACCUAUAAGCUUAAAUAGUCUUGAUCGCGAGGGUGCGAGAUUGCUAAGUCCCUGUCGCUCACAGAUUACUAUUAAACCAGAUGCAGGGCCUGUCGAUUCCGCUCCAGGUGACGCGCUUGAGCUCAAGUGGGAGUUCGACGAGGACUCUCAAUGUUACUAUGUUUCCUUUCCUGAUGAUCAGUAGUGAUGCCCUGUUGGGGGUGAUCGGGACCGUGUCGCAUGUUGGGUUAUCUUUUAUUUUGGCGCCGUAGUCGGGCCAUGAGUGUUUGGAUGAUGUAAUGUUAUUUAUGUACCUUGAUUGACAUGGCAAGUGUAAGCCAACUAUGUUACCUCCCCUUUUAUUAAUUAUAUUACAUGGGAUGUUUGUGAAGAUUGCCUAACUUGCGACAUAUGCCUUCAAUGCGAUUAUGCCUCUAAGUCAUGCCUCGACACAUGGGAGAUAUAGUCGCAUCGACGGUGUUACAUAAAAUUGGAGCUCUCAUUAGUUCCGGGUUUUAGAAUUUAUAUUUAUAAUAUGCAUAGUUUGUUUUCUACAUUUAAAUUGGGAUGUGACAUAUAUAUACAAAAUCAUGUCUUCUUCAUGAGACAUGCAUUGCACGUGCAUGCUUACUUAUGUAUACAAAAUCUUGUUCUACUACUUAUAAGUCAUAACUCGCUUUCAGGUUGUAUCUUCCUUUGUUUCACAACGGUUUAAACUUUGUGGCAUUGCUUCUUUUGUUGACAUUUAUUAGGUUGAUGUACUAUUCUCUUCUUUAUAUAUUUAUACAAGGAUUUCUCCUCCAUGUUCUCAGAAAAACGGAAACGAGUUUUAGCUGCAUUCGAGAACUGCAUUUUAAAGUAAACUUUCAACCAUUAUUUUUAACCAGAAAUUCAGUGAUAUCUAUGCAAACAAUUCUCAGUUUUUAAUAAUCUUGCAGGACAUCAGAGAACAGAUGACACAUUUGUCACAUCCCCAGUAAUGUGUCAAUCAUACUAAACCGUCGAUGGUUUCUAAUUUCCAAUAUUGAAAAAUUCUACUAUAUCUCAAGUAACAUGAGAGUAUUGAUUAACCCAUUUUCUGUUUCUAAGCUAUCUUUAUUUUUCUUAGUUAUUUUGGUGUUUUGUUAGGCACAGAAGAUGGUUUCAAAAUAGAGAGUUGUGGUUUUCAAGCUAUCUGUAAAGGUAAUUCAUAUAUACCAUAAGUUUAUUAACAUACUUACUUCAUAUGAACAUUAUUCUUUUACUUCGUUAAUAUAUGGGCCAAUAUGUUUGCACCAUACCCUCAGGGCCAUUACCUUGAGUUCCCAUUCUAGAUAAUUAAGCUCCAAGGCACUUGGUUAAUCCUAUUGGGACGCACUGGUACUUACUUUCUGAUGAAGUCAAAUCAGCUAUUUUAUUUUAUUUUAUUUUAUUUUAUUUUGGAAGCACCAACUUAAUCUCCUGACAACUGUAAAAAACAAAUUGCAAGUACAUUCGAUGCACAUUGCCACUAUACUAGAGGAAAACUGGGCAAAGGUAAAUGUUGCUGCUUCUUUUUGGCAAAAUAAUGACCAAAACUGUAUUGUCGUCAGUGAUCACAAUCACAAAGAGAUGCCACUCUGAACAUCUGAACAUCUAAGCAUCUAGAGAUGCCACGACGUGGUGGAACCCGAUGUCCAAGGGUGCAUAAUCAGUCUCCGGCUUGUGAGUUCGUCCUUGUUUCUCGCAUUGUUUUGUAAUCUGAUAAUGCUUAUGUUCUCAAUAUCUUCAAUGGCAAGACGAGAUUUUGGUGCCGCAUCUGGCACAUCUAUGAAGGCAUUAGCCAUCUGCAUACUUAGUUGCCUGAUUUUACUUUAAAUGGAGUUGUGUGUGUGAGGAAUAGAGUAAUUAAUUUAUACAUGAACUAAUAGCAUUGGUAAGAAGUUUAGGUGUUAACUUGGUGGGACUAUCUUGACGAUAAAGGGAGGGGACAAACUAUAGCCUUCCUUAUCCCCUUAGAGGGAGAGGUUUUGAUAGAACAAACCAUGUCUUCUUCACGAGACGUGCAUUGCACGUACAUGCUUACUAGUGCAUGGAAAUAAAUGAAGUUAGCUUUGAUACUAACUUAUGAUACUAUGCACUAUGGAUGUAGUAUCAUAUACUAGUAUCAUAUACAUGAUGCUAGUAUAUGAUACUCGCCAUUAUACGACCAACCUGAGAGCCCACUCCCCAUAAUUUUCCUCGUCAUCAUCUGAGUCCUAGAAGAUAUCACCCACAUCAUCAUUAGGUAUGCAGCUGCCGUGAUAGACAACGUGUGCAGAAGGAGUAGAGGCGACUGUCGGUGUCAAAACCAGCGGAUCUUGGGUAGGGGCUCCCGAACUGUGCGUCUAAGGUCGAUGGUAAUAGGAGACAAGGGACAUAAUGUUUACCUAGGUUCGGGCCCUCUCUAUGGAGGUAAUACCCUACUUCCUUCUUGAUUGAUCUUGAUGAAUAUGAGUAUUACAAGAGUUGAUCUACCACGAGAUCGUAAUGGCUAAACCCUAGGAGUCUAGCUUGUAUGACUAUGGUUGAAUGUAUAUAUAUCGAUUCGGACUAAGCCCUCUGGUUUAUAUAGACAACGGAGGGGACUAGGGUUGUGCCAAGUCAGUUACAGAGAGAGGAAUCUUCAUAUUUGGUCUCCAGGCUUGCCUUCCACGUCAAGGAGAGUCUCAUCCGGACACAGGAGAGAGUCUUCGGUCUUGUAUCUUCACAGCCAAUUAGUCCGGCCCAUGCCCAACAGGCAGGACGCCCGAGGAUUCCCUCAGUAGCCCCUGAACCAGGCUUCAAUGACGAAGUGUCUGGCGUGCAGAUUGUCUUCGGCACUGCAAGGCGGGUUCCCCUUUUCGAAUACUCCAAGAUAGUCUUCGGAUGAAACGAACAUGUCCAGAUCUGCAACACAAGUACCACACACACAGCCGUAUAGAGUAUAAUAUUUCACGAGUCCCAUCUGCUGCCAACUUUUUGCAAGAUGACAUCACGUCUGUCCGAUCAUUAUAUCAAACCGUUUUUGUCUGCCGUUCCAUGUUUUGAGACGCGGUUUCCAUUGGCACGUCUUGUCGAAGCAGAGAUUGUGUCCCCUUAUUGCGGGAUUCUCAUCAAUAUGGGUGUGGUUAAUCCAACUGUGUUGUUUGCACAACCCUUGGGAAUAGGUGAGUUUUAGGGCGAGUGGGGAGGCGUUCGAUAUUCACUGCCUUUAUAAGGGGAUAAGGACCCCCUUUCGUCUCCCACGCCUUCUCUCUUCCUCUGCCCUUCCAUCUUUGGGCUCCAGCGCCCAAGUUCUUUCAGACUUGGAUACCCACUGGCUACGUCGGCCGGUUCUAAAUCUCAUACCCAUGGCUUGGCACGACUCAAAGCUGUUACGGCACCGGCUCUCGCACAAGACCGUUUUAUCUCCUGGAUUCUUGUAGGAAGGAUUGACAAUUUUUUUUCAACACAUCGCUUAGGAGGUUGGGUCCUUGGUUGGUUGGUGAGAUAGUGGCUAAAGUGCGCUGAGCUCCAGUAUAUAGUUGUUCAACAAGAGUAUAAACAGCUUUGAGUUUCACAAGCACAUCUUGGUUAAAAUUGUUGCUCCUGGGACCUAAAAAAUCACAGAUUGGUUAAUGGAGGUUUAUAUUAUCAUGACAAGGAUUCACUUUUUGAUGACUAGAAAAGCAACUCACCAAAGAUAGCAGAAACCAUCUAAGAGACACUGUGUUUUAAACUAGAGAGUUCAGUGGUUACUUCUUGAAGAGCUGCCUCGGCUCUUUCAGCCCGCUGCGUUAAAGCAGUCUUCUCUUCAGCCCAAGUGUUUUUCUCCACCGCAAAACGAGUCUUCAGCUUUUCCGACUCAGCCAUGCUAAACUAGAACUUUGACUCAGCUUUCCGGGUCUCAGUUUCCCGAGUCGCCAGUCGGGUCUUUGCGUCAUUUAAUUGAGAUUCCAGUUCAGCAGUAGCAGCCUACAUGAAGCACAGACUUGUCAAACACAUUCAUGGCGGAUUACAACAAUAUAAGUCCCAAGUCCUUUGCACGCAACAAUACUUGGCACUUGGGGGCUAAUGUCUGUCAAAGCAAUUUUUUCAAGGAAACGGCUCUUAUGAAUAAAGUCCCAAGAACUUUGCAAGCAACACUACUUGGCACUUGGGGGCUAAUGCAUAUUGCUUGUAUCUCAUUAAUGAUGAGCCGGUUGUGCUGUAAAUAGUCUUAGUCGACUCAUGGGGGCUAUGCAGUUAAGCUCUACUUUCUUACACAAUGAUAAAUAGGACCGAGUCAUUCAUGCUGAAUAAACCGGCCCUUGGGGACUAUGGAUGCAAAGUUAAACUGCUGCAACAUCCGGUUUAAUUAUAAACCAGACUUGGAGGGAGUCUACGAUAGAAGCUUAUGGAUUCUUCUAAGUCUACAGCCUAUUCAAUCUUAUCAUAGCCAGUAGACUUGGGGGCUGGCAGGAUGUACAUAACUUAUUUAAAAACUGAAAGUCGUACCUCAUAUUUCUGGUGCAUCUGUUUCACCAUAUCAAUCUCAAGGUCGCGACUGGAAUGAACUUGGUUAAGAUAACCAGAGAAUACUUCAUUGACGGUCAGUUGAGAGUAGUCAGCAAUGUCAAAUUUCAUUUUUCGCCUCUCAAUGAACUCGUCUUUAGAGGAGUGUUUGGCCAAGACGGUUGGGCAUCCCGGUUCUCUGAAGCUGGUGCCAGUAAUGAUAACAUCUUCACCAUGUUAUUUUGGAAGCUUAAGUGGAUUGGAUGACUCAGUGAGCACAUGAUUGGCAUCCGUAUGAUCACGAGAGAGGUCAAGAAUCUCAGGCAGAGCGUUAGUGGCAGGUUCAUCUGGCUGUUUGUCAAAAGCUUCAGGUACAAGGACUUGCCGCUUCGGCUCAACAACUUCAGGUGCCUCAGUGGGCUUGGUCACCUUUGCCUUCUAGUUAGGCUUUGCUUGACCACUGAACAGGUUAUGACAAGUCAGUAUAAAUAUAAGAGUAUAAAUAGUUAGAGAGUAAAAUUAAUUGCUAUUACCCAGGGGCAGUUUUAAAAGCCGGCAACUCGGUUUGUGAUGAGUUGCCAGAGGAAGAACGGGCAAGUUCCUAGAUAAUAUUCAUCAACAGAGUUAAGUAAUAGGUAAAUAAGACCCGCCAGCGGGUUAAAGGAGUAAGUUAAAAGAACCUCAUUUUGCCAUUUUCGAGGAGUUGGAGUGUUCAGUAAACUGGAGGACAAUUCUUCACCUUCGAUGGUCCGGGUCUGACGUCGAUUCUUGUGUUGCUGUCGUUUCAAAAUAAAGUGAGGAUCUAAAUAAGCCAAGGGGUGUGAAAACAUUACUUUUCGGGUUACUUGCCGAAGUUUCUGUCUUGGCAAAGGUUCUGAGCCAGAGGAAAUCAUAGUUACCUCUUCUUCAACUGCGUGGCUGGCUCCCGUGUCAUCCUGAUAAUAGUCAAUGUCAAUAAGAUGAUUGAAACACAAGCCAAGAGAGUCAAGGGCUACCUCUGACUCAGAGGUGUCAUCCAGAUUAAGCAGAUCAGAGGCGCUUGGUUUCUUCUUUUUCUUGGUUGUCUUUUUGACAGUUUUCUUAGCGGCUUUCUUGGCAACCCUGGCCCUCUUGCCAUCUUCAUGAUCGUAUGUCUUCUUCCAAAAAUCAGACUUAGCCUGUAAAAGUCAUCAAAGGUUGAGUUAAAGUUUGAGUAAUGAGGUAAAGGUAAAUAAGUUCAGAGACUCACAUCCGGUGGCGGGUUAAGCUUGUAGAAAGGGGCCAGGCCCAUUUUAAUGCAAUCUUCUGGAUCUUCAUUCAGAAGGGACUUAACCGUUUCGUUUACCGCUUCAUUAGUUAAUGGUGCAGAGCUGUGGCGUAGUGGAUCCUUUACACCACCAGUGUAAGUGCACAUUAAGCCGGAGCGGCGACUCAAAGGUAUGAUCCGCCAAGAAAACCAGCACCUGACCAAGUCAACGACAGUUAAACCGUUUCCUAGCAGAGCUGUAACCUGUGAAAUGGUAGGAGCAAGUUUUGUCCGUUCAACGGUGGUAAGUUUCUCAGGAAGAUUGCGCUUUGAGUCCAAGCGCUUGACACGGUAACCCGGUAGUGGAUUCUCGUCAGCCGGAGAGGUAUCUUUGCAGUAAAACCACGUCUGAUUCCAAUCCUUUGGGUGACUCGGUAGGAGUGCAUAAGGGAAGAUGGCGUCUCUUCUGCGUUGAAUUGAGAUUCCACCAAGUUCCAAGCUGGGCCCGUUAGUGAACUUACUCUGACGGUUCAAAUAAAAAUAUUCUCUAAAGAAGUCGAUGCUGGGCUCCUCUUGAAGGUAUACUUCACAGAAGACUUGAAAGUUACGGAUAUUUGACACGGAGUUGGGUCCGAUGUCUUGAGGAUGGAGUUGGAAGAAGUGCAAAACAUCUCAGAAAAAUUUAGAGCCAGGUGGUGAGAAGCUCUGGUUCAUGUGAUCAGUGAAUACAAUGACUUCACCAUCCUUUGGCUGAGGUCUUUCCUUGCCCGGUACAGGGGCGCGGUAAUGCAUAACACUCUUUGUGGGCAAGUACCCGACUUUGACAAAGUCUCUGAAUGUGUCCUUAGUAACGAUGGAGGGGACCUGAGGGAGUCCUGGAUUAGGGGGUGUUCGGGUAGCCGGACUAUACCUUCAGCCGGACUCCUGGACUAUGAAGAUACAAGAUUGAAGACUUUGUCCCGUGUCCGGAUGGGACUUUCCUUGGCGUGGAAGGCAAGUUUGGCGAUGCGGAUAUUCAAGAUCUCCUACCAUUGUAACCGACUCUAUGUAACCCUAACCCUAUCCGGUGUCUAUAUAAACCGGAGGGUUGUAGUCCGUAGGCAAUCAACUCCAUAUACAACAAUCAUACCGUAGGCUAGCUUCUAGGGUUUAGCCUCCUUGAUCUCGUGGUAGAUCUACUCUUGUACUACCCAUAUCAUCAAUAUUAAUCAAGCAGGACGUAGGGCUUUACCUCCAUCAAGAGGGCCCGAACCUGGGUAAAACAUCAUGUUCCCUGCGUCCUGUUACCAUCCGGCCUAGACGCACAGUUCGGGACCCCCUACCCGAGAUCCGCCGGUUUUGACACCGACAUUGGUGCUUUCAUUGAGAGUUCCUCUGUGCCGUCACAAUCAGGAAGGAUGCCUCCUCCCGUCUUUAAAGACGGCGCCGUUGCUAAGGGAGCCUUGGCUGUCGGCCAAACCCUCCGGCUAGGUGGUUUCUUCAUGACCGCCUGUUCGGCUGUUGCGCCGACGGUGACCUCUCAGGUCAUCAAAAGCAACCUACAUGUCAGCUUGGAGCUCGUCGAGCAGCUAGAUCCAAUGGAGCUCUCUUCCGUAAACGAGCUCUUGGAUCGCAUCGCCGCCCUGGGGGUCGCUACGGAUUAUGACCAUGUUGGGCUUAAACCCGAUCUAAGAGAAAUUAACUCUCCCCAAGUCACCCACCACGUUGCCGUGGUAGAGGCGUAGUGCGGCGACCCUUCAUCUAUUUUAAGGACUAGCUACGUCCGAAUUCCCGACUCCUCCAAGCCGGAUACCCGUGGAGAGGAGGAUGUAACUCAAGACCUGAGCUUAGGAUCAGGCAACGGGCUAGAUUCGUUGGACAACAUCCAAGAAUCUGAACUUCAGAGUUUGGAAACUCUUCGGCCUCCGAAUCAUGGAUUGGGUGAGGUUUCAGAUUUAGCGACACUCGCCCACUCGAACAUAAGCGAUCUCUCCCAAAUCAGGCAGAGGCCCGAGGAAACAGUACAUCAUUAUUGGGCCCGAUUCCUCCUGGUUAUGAACAGGAUAAAGGAUUGCCGCGAGGGAGAUGCAAUCUCAAUUUUCUGCAGUAAUUGCACGGACGAGGGAAUCCUUAACGCCGUAAGUCAUCGUGAUAUUACACGCUUCGCUGACUUGGCGUCCAUAGUACAAAAAUACUGUGCGAUGGAAAGCGCCUGGAAAACCGAAAUAAAAUUUUGGGAUAAUCCGGCCUUGAAUAGUAAUCCCGUUUGAACUAAGAGGGUGCAUCAUCAUAGGACACCCGGGAUAAACACCAAAAAGCCAAAACCCUCUACAGGGCAUGGAACCAUACUGGAAAGGUGGCUUGAUGGACCCUGUAGAAUUCACACUACAGAGGACGCCACACCAACUCACAGCCUUAGAGCAUGUUGGAUACUCCGGCAGGUGGCCAAAAUUGGUGAGGACCUCUUAAUUCUAGAGGCCGCGGAAAGCCAGCCCGAGGACACCAAUACCAUUCUCACAGUCUUCGAGACUUUCACAUCAAACAAUAUGCGAAAAAGAACACUCCGCAGCCUCGCCGAAGUCUAUCAAGUUGCAACAAUAAAUCCAUGGAGCGACACUGCUAUUACCUUCAACGCAAGUGAUGAACCUAGAUUCCGAACAGCCCGAGCACCAGCCGCAUUGGUCCUCAGUCCCAUAGUGGACGGCUUUUGCCUCACCAAGGUGCUCAUGGAUGGAGGCAGCGGACUGAAUCUCCUUUAUGAGGAAACCCUUCAAAAAAUGGAAAUAGACUGGAACCGCAUCGAGCGAAGCAGCACAACUUUAGAGGAAUAAUCCCCAGUCGGGAAGCGCGCUGCACAGGAAAAAUCACACUAGAUGUGGUGUUUGGCACACCGGAUAAUUACAGGUCCGAAUCCUGGCGCCUGUGUGUCGACUUUAAAGACCUUAACAAGGCUUGCCCAAAGGAUCCCUUCCCCCUUCCCCGCAUCGAUCAAAUUAUCGAUGCCACCGCAGGACACGAUUUGUUGUGUUUCCUCGACGCAUACUCCGGUUACCAUCAAAUCAAGAUGGCAGAAUCAGAGAAAGCUGCAACAGCAUUCAUCACACCAUACGGCCCAUUCUGCUUGAACACAAUGCCCUUCGGGCUAAAAAACGCCGGCGCAACAUAUCAGCGCAUGAUCUAGACAUGUCUGGAAAACCAGAUCGGCAAAACAGUGGAGGCAUAUGUGGAUGAUGUGGUCGUCAAAUCAAGACAUGUCGAAUCCCUAGUAAACAACUUGAGGCUUACAUUCGAUAACCUCUGACAAUAUGACAUCAAGCUCAACCCAGAAAAAUGCGUCUUCGGCGUUCCGGCUGGAAAGCUCUUGGGCUUCAUUGUAUCCGGUAGAGGAAUUGAAGCAAACCCAGCCAAGAUCCGAGCUUUGUCACAAUUGGAUGUCCCAAAGGACCUUAAACAAAUACAAGAAUUAACCGGGCGCGUGGCAGCUUUAAGCCGCUUCAUCUCCCUCUUGGGAGAAAAGGCACUACCCCUUUAUCGCCUCCUUCGGUGCACCGAACACUUCGAGUGGAUGGAUGCCGCCACGGCCGAACUUGAUGAAAUAAAAGCCAUAUUGGCAACAAACCCAGUCCUGGCCGCGCCAAUCACCGGCGAACCAAUGUUAUUGUACAUUGCAGCAACACACCAAGUUGUUAGCGCAGUGCUCGUUGUCGAGCGGGAAACGGACGGACACAAAUUCCCCCUUCAAAGGCCGGUCUACUACGUGUCCACUGUCCUCACUCCAUGCAAAUCACGGUACCCGCAUUAUCAAAAGAUUGCAUACGCGGUAUUCAUGGCAUCCGGAAGCUACGACACUACUUUCAAGAGUGUUCCAUAAUAGUAGCGUCGGAAGUGCCACUAAAUGAUAUUAUCAACAACCGCGAUGCAACGGGCCGAAUUGCAAAAUGGGCCAUCGAGCUUCUCCCGUUCGAUAUAACCUAUAAGCCACGGCGAGCUAUUAAAUCGCAAGUUUUGGCCGACUUCGUCACAGAAUGGACGGAGGCUGAGCUCCCUAAAGAGUACGGCACAUAUUCAAACUGGAUUAUGCAUUUCGACGGCUCCAAAAUGUUGGCCGGACUGGGGGCUGGUGUCGUCCUGACGUCCCCCACAGGAGACACAGUCCAAUAUGUGCUCCAGAUCAUGUACACGGAUUCCAACAAUGUAGCCGAAUAUGAGGCCCUCCUACAUGGUCUCCGGAUAGCAGUAUCCAUGGGUAUCCAGCGCCUAGAGGUACGCGGGGAUUCAAACCUCGCGAUAUCCCAAAUAAAUGGAGACUUCGACGCCAAGGACCCAAAAAUGGUAGCUUACCGCAACGCCGUCCUAAAAAUGUCAGCUCGGUUCGAAGGGCUGGAGUUUCACCAUAUAGCCCGAGAAAACAAUCAAGCAGCGGACGUCCUGGCACGCAUCGGAGCAAAACGCGAUGCAGUCCCCCCAACAUCUUUUUGGAAAGAUUGUUCAAGCCAUCCGUAGCAUGGGAGGGGGAACCCACAAAUAACAGCCCAGACCCAGCCGCACCACUCGACGCCGAACAAUCUGACACAAUUGGAGGCUCUGCCAAUGAAAUUACACCUUCAGCCCACGUAAUAAUGGCGGUUAUCACCCUGUGGACAGAACCAUUCCUAGCCUACCUUACUAGGCAGGAACUCCCGGAGGACCAAAACGAGGCCCGCUGCAUAGUGCGGCGAUCUAAAGCCUAUAGAGUCCAUGAGGGAGAGCUUUAUAAGAAAAGCACUACCGGAGUCCUUCAAAGGUGCAUCUCCGAAGAGGAAGGGCGGAACCUUCUGGCUGAAAUUCAUGCUGAACUCGAUGGUCACCACGCCGCUGCUCGGUCCCUCGUUAGCAAGGCUUUUCGUACAGGCUUUUACUGGCCGACGGCCCGAGCAGACGCUCUGGACCUAGUCCAACGAUGCGCUGGUUGCCAACUUUUUGCCAACCAAAGCCAUAUGCCACCCACCGCACUCCAAACUAUACCCAUCACCUGGCCUUUUGCGGUCUGGGGGCUUGACAUGGUCGGACCCCUUAAAGGUGGAACCCAUAGGAAAAAUACUUACUGGUCAUGGUGGAUAAGUUCACCAAAUGGAUAGAAGCCAAGCCUGUUAAAACGGCCGAAUCCAGUCCUGUGAUAGACUUCGUAUCCGGGGUUGUACACCGUUAUGGCGUCCCCCACAGCAUCAUAACCGAUAACGGUACAAACUUUACCGCCGACGAGGUAAAACUCUGGUGCAAAAACAUGGGCAUCAAGCUCGAUUAUGCUUCCGUCUAUCACCCACAAAGCAACGGCCAGGUCGAACGCGCAAAUGGUCUUAUCAUGAGCGGCAUUAAACCCAGACUGGUGCGGUCCCUCAAGGAAUCUAACACGCACUAGGUAGAGGAGCUCGACUCCGUGCUAUGGGGGCUGCGGACCAUGCCAAAUCGCACCACCGGAUACACACCAUUUUUUAUGGUGUACGGCGCAGAGGCAGUUCUGCCCUGCGACAUAAUUCAUGACUCACAUAGAGUGCGCAUGUACGAAGAAAGAGAAGCCGAGCUCGAUCGGCUGGACAACUUGGACGCCUUGGAGGAGGAGCAUGAUGUGGCAAAAGCCCGUUCCGCAUUUUCUCAACAGCAGGCCCGAAGAUAUCAAAGCAGAGAAGUACGGGCCAAAAAUUACAAUGUUGGCGAACUAGUUCUACGCCUGCCGAAUAAGAAAAAGGACAAACUCAAGCCCAAGUGGGAAGGUCCAUUCAUAAUCGAUCAAGUCCUGACUGGUGGGGCGUACCGCCUGCGAGAUGCAUCGGAUAACUGACUCAAGCCGAACCCGUGGAACGCCACCCGUCUCCGAAGAUUCUAUGCCUAGCGCCGAACUCUGUGUUCGUCUCCUUCCUCUGUCCAUUUUUUGCCUUACAUUUCUCUCCUUCCCCUCUUUUCUUUUAUAGCCCUUAAGGGCUCAUCUAGUGACGCGCCACUCGUGCUCAUUAAACCUGGGGGCUUCUUUAAUAGAAGCUUAUUUAUACCGGCUUCACGCCCAACACAUGCAUCAAACUUCCGCAUGUACCUUUUUCUUCACCAUUAUAUGCAUUGAUAUGACUUAAGUUUUGGCCAAGCUGGGUUGCCUGGCUCCUGUGCUUACCCCUAUGUUCCCGAUUGUUCGGCUAGGCGGUAAAGGGAGCACCUCUACGAUUGUUACUGCCAGGUCAGCCGGAUGUGUACCUCAGACUGGGUGAAGCCGAAAGUUAGCGUUCUUAAGAGAAUAUUCGGUCGGUGAAAUAAAAGAUGAUCUUUUUACUCAUUUUAUGCGCCCCCAGAUGCUUUUUCUGCGUCUUUUCACGCAGUCCGAACAUGCACUUUAGGGCAUGCCUCCCAGCGAAAGGAACCCUUAACGGAACUAUUCUCUCUGGAAGAUGUUUCUUACUAACCAUGUAAUAUAACAUAACUAGUUGGGCACUUGUCUGAUAAAGCACUAAUGACCCCUAUGCCUGGUCUCCACGCAUACCCCGGUUCUUAUAUAACCGCUAUGGUAUUCGGACACACUCUGGACCGUCAGGUCCCGAGGUUGAAGCGAAAAGGUCGGCAACGACAAACGAUCUACAAUACGGCUAGAAGGCAUUACACAUGUCAAUUCAAAAUUACAUAGUCAUUCUGACUGAUUGUAUUCCUCUUCUAUACCAUCUAACAGGCUGUCUAAUUUACAGUCCUGCUGAGAAUACUUCGCGGCUAACUCUACUUGGCCGUAUACUAAGCUUAUAGGGAUCUCCUUCCCGUCAGGCCCCACUGGUCCGACCUCGGCCAUGUGGUUUGGGUCAGACUUCGUAAAACGGGUCUUCACCAUGGCCCAGGCCUCCCUAGCGCCUUGUCGGCAGGCCGAUAUCUUCCACAACCGGAAGCGCCGCCGAGCUCCCUUCAGCUUCUCCACAAGCUCUCCAAGGCCCUCGAGCAUGGAGUGGGCAGGCCAUAAGGCUUGGGUAACGCCUCGCAUCGCCUGCCGAAUUCGCUCGUGCAGUUGCAUGAGUUCGGGAAGAAGGUCACCCGUAGAACCGAGCAUCUCCUCUGCAGGACGACCUAUGAGCAUACCUACAGAUAUUACUCUGUUAGUCGACUUCCUCGCCGAACUCUUUUUUCAAAGUUCGUUCAAGCACUUACUAAAUAUGCCGUGUCGAAGCCACUGAUUCUCCUUCGUGGAGUUCGACAGCUGGCCACGAACAUCUUUAAGUUCGACGUCCAGCCUGGUGUUGGCAUCCUGAAGAUCAUUCUUCUCUCGCCUCACCUUUGUCAACGUACUCUCACCGGCCUUUAGCCGGCGUAAGAGUUGUUGCUUUUCCGGAUCGAGUCCGGCGCCAUCUGCAACAUGAUUUGUCAGAUUUGCACCCACUGCACAAUACUAAUCUUUCGAAGUGUAUCUUACCUGAGGGGGUCUCUUUGGGCUCCCCUGCUGCGGCUAGUGCGGCCUCUAGUUGGGCCUUGCACUUUUCCAGCUCCUGGGAUAGUACAGUAUUCUUCUCUGUAAGAACCUGCAUAUUAAAUGAUCCUUAAAUCAGUUGCUCUAACUGUUUCAAGUCUCGGGGGCUACUGGUAUAUAUAUAUUUGACCAAAAUUUUCUUACCCAUAUGUCUUUUACAUACUGCUCCGUGGCUCUGGCUAAACCAUUUUGAGCGGCACGGAGGUACGCAUCUCCCGAAUUAAAGGCAUCUAAAGCCUCUUGGGAGAAACAAGCGUCGCGUAGAACUGUCCGACGACGCAUGUGGUUCAUGGCACUCUCCACUUCAGAAUUUGUGGCAGACAGCCUGUCCGCAUCCUCUAUCGGAGGAGCGUCCGGUGCGCGCCUUGUGCUCACCUCUGCUUCCUGGCCAGACGUUGGAGCCUGGCUGGUGGAGGCGCGAUUGGCAACCUCUCCGGAUGUAGUCCGGCGAGGUCUCUUCAUUCUGAAGAUAGCACGAACGUUAAUAUGCCCUGACAGAAUAACACCAGGGAAAUAGAGGGUGCGCUAUACCUUUGCGCCGGCAUCUCAGUCCGGACUACAUUCCUUUUUGCCCCACGGGGCCCUGCGGCCCCUCGUUGGCUAGCCGCCGCAGGUUCGGCCUCCUGCCUCGGAAAUCUCCCCUGCAAAACACGGUUGUCGUCAGAAACACCGGAAUACGUGAGAGUGGAAUCUCUCUCAAGGGAAUGAGACUCCAGUUUCUGUCACCUGGGAGGCCGGGAUUAACCCUGGGUAAUUAGCCGUGAUGGCUACCAAGGUAUUGUCCUUGCUUAGCUAAUGGAACACCCCGUCGAUAAGCUCCACCGAUAUGUCCGGAUCCUCUUCGGAGUCCGGAUCGAGGGACCGUUCUGGCUCCUCGGGCUGUGGAGGGCGGCUGUUUAUAUCCUUUACCACCUGUCGCAGUUCCUGCAUUGAAGUCGUUAGACUACAUAUCUUACCGUGGGAGUAUAAAACAAACGGGCAAGCGGAGUUGUUCACUUACCCAACUUGGAGGAUCGUACAUAGUAAAUCCGGCUUGCGGGUUGACGCAGAGGAAUUCCUCCUUUUCUCCCUUGUACAAAGAGGAUAAGAUCUUUACUAGAGCGGUAGCUAAGGCCGGCCCCUUACGACCGUAACGGGUGGCGUCAUCCUCCCCGUUGAAAUCCCACAUGGGGUGGCCUCUAUAUUGAAGUGGUUGCACCCCCCGCAUAAUGCAUACGGCCAUGACUCCAAUCAUGGUUAGUCCGGAAUGAGCCAACAGUCUUAUCCGGCCCAUCAGGUAAAGGACGUCUCUGUCGCUUUCUCUCUGAGAGCUUCGCGGACGCCAGCUCAAGCGUUUCUUCAAUGGAGCACUGUUGAACUCAGGGAGACCGACCCGGAUAGGGUCCGGUAGUGGGACGUCAUCUAUGUAAAACCAUUCCGAAGACCAGUCCUCGGACGCCUUCUUUGGGGUUCCAGAUAGGUAUCCGGUCCCGGCGAUGCGCCAUACUUCGGCUCCGCCCACUUGGUAUAUAGACCCCUCUCGAGAACGGGGCACCAGGCAGAAUAACCUCUUGCACAGCGCGAAAUGAGCCUCAACGCCUAAAAAUAGCUUGCAAAGGGCGACGAAACCCGCAAUAUGUAAUACGGAGGCGGGCGUGAGAUUGUGCAGCUGGAGGCCGUAGAACACCAGAAGCUCGCGGAGAAAUGGAUGAAUUGGAAACCCCAGUCCCCUUAUUAGAUAGGGGACGAGGCACACCCGCUCUCCUUUAGAAGGAUUGGGGGUGCUCUCGGCUUGUUUUCCGCCAUUGUAGGUGGCAAGACCGGCUCGGACCGGGACCAUGUAUGCCUGAGGGAGAAAUCCCUUGGCCUGAAGCGACACUAACUCACUAUGCGGGAUGGUGCAACUCUCCCAGUCCCCGGGUUUGGGACCGGAGGGGCGAGGGGAGGAGCUGCGACGGCUGGUCAUGUUGGAAUGUACCUUUGCUGGAAGCGCUCUGAUGAUAACUCGCGGAGAGGAGAGGAUGUGGUUUUGACCUAAAUCCCCAUCCAGUUAAAUAGGCGGCUCAUUUAUACGGCUAGGGAUGUAAAAAUGCCCUGGCUUUUCGCAUUCGUUUGACACGUGGAAGACGGCCAUUAUUGGGUGUGGGAGCCGAGGAGCGCUACAUUACAAAAAUCGGACAUUAUUCCUACAGGUACACAGGAUUUGGAGAAGAACCCGCCUUGCAAUGCCGAACAAUCUGCGCGUCGGACUCGUCAUCAUUGAAGCCUGGUUCGAGGGCUACUGAGGGAGUCCUGGAUUAGGGGGUGUUCGGGUAGCCGGACUAUACCUUCAGCCGGACUCCUGGACUAUGAAGAUACAAGAUUGAAGACUUCGUCCCAUGUCCGGAUGGGACUUUCCUUGGCGUGGAAGGCAAGUUUGGCGAUGCGGAUAUUCAAGAUCUCCUACCAUUGUAACCGACUCUAUGUAACCCUAACCCUAUCCAGAGUCUAUAUAAACCGGAGGGUUGUAGUCCGUAGGCAAUCAACUCCAUAUACAACAAUCAUACCGUAGGCUAGCUUCUAGGGUUUAGCCUCCUUGAUCUCGUGGUAGAUCUACUCUUGUACUACCCAUAUCAUCAAUAUUAAUCAAGCAGGACGUAGGGUUUUACCUCCAUCAAGAGGGCCCGAACCUGGGUAAAACAUCGUGUUCCCUGCCUCCUGUUACCAUCCGGCCUAGACGCACAGUUCGGGACCCCCUACCCGAGAUCCGCCAGUUUUGACACCGACAUGACCCAAUUGCAUGUAUAGACUGUCUUUGGCGGCAUUGUGAAAGAAAGAAAACCUGAAGGAAGGGAAUAAUUGCCGGUUCGAGUCAGUUGGUGAAAUCACAAGUUAACAGUUGCAGUAUACAUUCAUAACGACGGCUUAAGUGAGGACUAAUAAUAUAUGAUUAAUUGUAAACCGGAUAUGUAAGCUGCCAUGACACGUACUGAUAUUCAAGAUCUGACAAGAGCAAAAUUUUACGAAGUGUUGGGACAAACAAGUUUCGCAGAUUAAGGUUAUAAGAUUGGAUCUGCAGUUAUUCAGAAAAAAUGGAAUAAAAUCUAAACCUAAAUGUGGCGAAAGCAGAAGAGCGAGGAUGUUCAGAUGAGACCUGUUAUAAGAAAGAUAUGGUCUGAUAUCAAAAUAAGUGCUAAAACUGUUACCACGCAAGAUUUAUGCCACUUUCAGAUCAAAACUGUGUGAUCUGGGUUGGAGAAAGGGAAGAACAGUGAUGAACACCAACGAACAGAGAAACCCUAAUGACAGAUCUAUUGCGAGGAAAGGGAAGACUUACUGAUGCUGGUGAGACAGCAGAGAGACGCCACGGUGUUCUGGUCAGUUUAGGGUGAUGCAGCGGCCGGAGCUGAUGUAGAGGACGAAGUUCGACGACGGCGGAGCUCGGGUGCACUGAGAUGUUGCGAGGAGGAAGAAGAAGGAGAGAAGGCAAAGGGGGAGAAUGGGAAGUGAGCCCAUGGCCCUAUUUAUAAGGCCGGAAGGAUAAGUGGCAUACGCGGGAAUCGAGGAGACAAAAAAGUGGAUAUGUGACAGCGUGAGCGCCUCGAUUUUCGGAAGGGUCAGUUAAGAAAAAAGAUUUAUUUGGGUCGUGCGUCGUAUUAAUUACAUGUGACGUCACGGCGGGUUAUCGCAAUUUCCGGAGAUGAUGUCAUGGCGGGUUACAACAUGUCACAGGAAAUUGAAGAAGGAUUUUUCCUAAAUGUUGACGAUUGACAUGAACAAGUUCAAACCAACAUGGGGCCUAAUGUUGGGGAUAUGACUAUCAUAUAUGACCCGCCCAGGAGGGGCCGGGUCAUCCAUUAUGGCGGUUCAUCUAAAUGAAGCCGAAGAAUAUACUAAGGAUGGCAGUUCAUAGUUAGGCUUGCUAAAAGGCCGAAGUCCGGAGGUGGAUCAAGGCACGUAAGUGUAAACUGCCAUGUAUAUGUAAAAUUGUAUUGUAAGGCAUGUAAGAUAAGUCACCGAGCCGGACACGUUUGUAUGAGCCAGCCGGGACUCUGUAGGCCGCAGGGCGUCAACCUAUGUAUAUAAGGGGACGACCCGGCAGCAGCUUAUGGCAAGAAACCACAAAUCGAAAGCCAGACAAAGUGUGUUUGCUCCCUGGUAAUCAAAACCCUAGCAAUACCACCUCAAACUGGAGUAGGACUUUACCUUCACCGCAAGGGGCCGAACCAGUAUAAACUCUUCGUGUCCUUUGUCCCGUUUAACCCCUUUAAGCUAACCUUGUUGCAAUGGCUCCACAACUAAGUCCUUCUAUAAGGACAUCUGUCGUGACACUUCCAGGACCAUGUUGAUCUAACUGUCUUGUUUGCAAACAGAGAAUUCCUAGAGCAACGAGGGAGUCGUUCAACAAUCUGGGUGACCGUGGCCAAGUUUCUCUUACCAUGCGCAGCCUUGGUGUGAAUGAACCUGCUCAAUAUACCGUAAGUACAAAGGAUGGUCGCAUGAUGAUUGAUGCUAAAGGUUGGUUAAGGUUCAAAUCUAAAUCAUAUCUCGCGGUAGGGGAUGAUGUCAAAAUCGAACUUUCUCGGCAAGGAGAGCUGGUUCAAAUCAACUUUGAAAUUCUUCAGUAGCAGCAUGCAACUGCCGAACUGAUCUAUCCUCCGAGAGAUUUUGAUGUAAUACUCUGGCAUGGCGAAACAAGUGUCCUAUGUGUAUAAGUAGUACGACAGUAUCGUUGAUAGAAUUGCAACUCUGAUUGCUUGGUAGGAACUGUCAUUUGAUUUCAUUCCAACAGCUGCCGUGCUUUAUUCAAUUUUGUGUAUUCGCCUUGCGACAACAUCUAAAACUAGCGAUGUAUUGACUGCAUUCAAUAUGAAAAGUGCUGAGGUAGAACACAUGGGCCCCCAAACAUGCAGGCCCACCGGCCUGUGUCCCAAAGUCCAAAACAGUGAGCAUGUCUGAGUAUUUCUCAGCUGAACCCCGAUAAUGCCCGUGCGUUGCACGUAACAUCAAGAUGCAUUUGUGUGAGUACUUUAUCUUGUGAGAGAAAAGGAUGAACGAGGGAAGGCCUUAUUUGAAAAUGUGGAGAGGUGUGUGGGUACCUUUUUUCAAAAUUAUCGUAGUUUCCUUCCUAUCCGUCAGAUAUAAAUCGCACGGCCUAUAUUGCAGGAUGGCAGGCACACCAUCAUCACCAACUCAUCUAUAUCGUGUUAAAACACACUCUGUUUUUUAUAAUUAUAUAUGUUAUAUAUAUUCCCCUUGAUUUUUCUGAUGUAUAAAGUUGUGAUAUAAAAGAUAUUUAUAUUUCUUUACAGAGGGAGUAUCUCUCUGUCAAAAAUAUAUGGGAUAAUUAGAUUUAUGCCCCUAGUUGUGUCCCACUCGUCUGUUUUACCCCUAAUUCCCAAAAGUCACCGGUUCUGUCCAAGUCACGUUGCUCCUCUUAUGCUUUUGCCCUUUGACCGUUUGACCGUCAGUUUGAAAACUUCAUAACUAAUUCAUACUAAAUCGGAAAAAUGCAAAUAAGAUACCAAAAUGUUUAGAAAAACAUCACCUAUAUGUCAGUGUGAUUUGCUUUCAUGAAAAAAGUGUUGGAAAGUGCACAUCCAACUUUUAGCUCUUUUGAUACCAUCAUGAAUAGUGAACUCUAAAAAAAUCCAAAAAAAUCAAAAAAAUAUGGUGGCGAAGAACAACAAAUGUUCUAAGUGCUUUCCAAGUUUCAUUAGGGAACGCCAUUCGUGGAAGUCGUGGCAAAAAAAUAAUCUAUUUUGGAGUGUUGAUUGUUUUUUUGCCGCGGCACCCACGAAUGUUAUUCCUUGAUGAAACUUGGCAGGCACUUAAAACAUUUGUCAUUCUUUGCCACCAAUUUUUUUUUUGAAUUUUUUUAGAUUUUACUAUUCAUGGUGCUAGCAUAAGAGCUAAAACUCGGAUGGGCACUUUCCAACACUUUUUUAUGUGUAACUAGUUACUCAUGUCUUUCUACUUCCUUUCGCUGAUAUGUGGGGCAUCUGACAACAGGGUCCACGUGCCAUAUGCACCAAAUUAGGGUGCACAACUGCACGGUAGACACACCUCGGUUGUAGCGCCGCAUUAAUGCCCAAUGAGCCGUCAAAUCACAAAAAAAACCCACCUUUCCAGCUUUAGCAGUAAGCUGGACGGACGAAGCGGCAAUAUUUCACCGGGCCUAAAUCCCCUUCUCCCUUGUCUGCUUGUUAAGAGAAAACCCCCGCUCGGCGAUUGCAUAGGGUUUUCUCAUGCAGAACCUGGUACGUAUUCUUCAUCCAUCCCCGAUAAAUCCAAGUCUCUUGGUCGCGGGUACUCCUAGGAUGGCAGCCGCCGCCGUUGAUGCAUUUUUCUUCCUACUGGAUCUAGUGUGUUUCAUUUGCAGUGCCCCGAUAACCCACAAGUAUAGGGGAUCGCAAUAGUUUUUGAUAAGUAAGAGUGUCGAAACCAACGAGGAGCUAAAGGUAGAAUAAAUAUUCCGUCAAGUUCUAUCUACCACCGAUACAACUCUACGCACGCUUGACGUUCGCUUUACCUAGAACAAGUAUGAAACUAGAAGUACUUUAUAGGUGUUGUUGGAUAGGUUUGCAAGAAAGUAAAGAGCAUGAAAAUAAAACUAGGGGCUGUUAAGGUAAAGAAGCAACCAAAGUAAAUAUAGCGAGUGUGGAAAAGUGGUGGUAGGAGUUGCGAAAUUGUCCCUAAGAAAUUAACUACUUUACUAGACCGAUAGCAAGUAUUAUGUGGGAGAGGCCACUGCUAGCAUGUCAUCCCUUACUUGAAAUUCUAUGCACUUAUGAUUGGAACUGUUAGCAAGCAUCCGCAACUACUAAUGUUCAUUAAGGUAAAACCCAACCAUAGCAUUAAGAUAUAUUGGUCCCCCUUCAAUCAUGUAUGCAUCAAUUUCUAUGCUAGGUUGAAGCUUUUGUCACUCAUUCCCUCCAAUACAUAGUCCUAUCAACAUACAACUAACCCUAUGGUGUGAUCCAUGUGCGCGCUCAUAUGAUGGGCACCAAAGGACAGCAACAUAACCACAAGCAAAUUAAAUCAAUCAUAGCAAUUCAUCAACCACCGAUAGGACAACGAAAAUCUACUCAGACAUCAUAGGAUGGCAACACAUCAUUGGAUAAUAAUAUGAAGCAUAAAGCACCAUGUUCAAGUAGAGGGUACAGCGGGUUGCGGGAGAGUGGACCGUUGUAGAUAGAGGGGGGGAGGUGAUGGAGAUGUUGGUGAAGAUGGCGGAGGUGUUGGUGUAGAUCACGGUGAUGAUGAUGGCCCCCGGUGGCACUCCGGUGCCACCGGAAGCGAGGGGGAGAGAGCCCCCCCUCCUUGUUCUUCUUCCUUGACCUCCUCCCUAGAUGGCAGAAGGGUUUCCCCUCAGGUCCAUGGCCUCCAUGGCACGGGAGGGGCGAGAGCCCCUCUGAGAUUGGAUCUGUCUCUCUGUCUCUCUCUGUUUCUGCGUUCUUCGAUUCUUCCCUUUCACCGUUUCUUAUAUUCCCGGAGAUCCGUAACUCCGAUUGAGCUGAAAUUUUAACAUGAUCUCUAUCCGGAUAUUAGUUUCCUUGCAGCGAAAGAAGGGCACCAACCGCCUUACGAGGUGGCCAUGAGGGUCAGGGGUGCGCCUGACACCCUAGGGCGCGCCCCCUACCUCGUGGGCCCCUCAAGCAUCGUCUCUCGUGGAUUCUGCUUCCCAAAAAUCAUAUAUAUUCCAAAAAAAUCUCCGUCAGUUUUUAUUCCGUUUGGACUCCGUUUGAUAUGGAUAUUCUGCGAAACAAAAAACAUGCAACAAACAGGAACUGACACUGGGCACUGGAUCAAUAUGUUAGUCCCAAAAAUAGUAUAAAAAGUUGCCAAAAGUAUAUGAAAGUUGAAUAAUAUUGGCAUGGAACAAUCAAAAAUUAUAGAUACGAUGGAGACGUAUCAGUAUCCCCAAGCUUAAUUCUUGCUCAUCCUCGAGUAGGUAAAUGAUAAAAAAGAUAAUUUUUGAUGUGGAAUGCUACCUAGCAUAAUCUUGAUCAUAUGUCUAAUCAUGGCAUGAAUAUUAAGAUACGAGUGAUUCAAAGCAAUAGUCUAUCAUUUGACAUAAAAACAAUAAUACUUCAAGCCCACUAAUAAAGCAAUCAUGUCUUUUCAAAAUAACAAGGCCAAAGAAAGUUAUCCCUAUAAAAUCAUAUAGUUUGGCAAUGCUCCAUCUUCACCACGCAAAAUAUUCACAUCAUGCACAACCCCGAUGACAAGCCAAGCAAUUGUUUCAUACUUUUCAUGUUCCCAAACCUUUUCAACUUUCACGCAAUACAUGAGCGUGAGCCAUGGACAUAGCACUAUAGGUGGAAUAGGGUGAUGGUUGUGGAGAAGACAAAAAGGAGAAGAUAGUCUCACAUCAACUAGGCGUAUCAACGGGCUAUGGAGAUGCCCAUCAAUAGAUAUCAAUGUGAGUGAGUAGGGAUUGCCAUGCAACGGAUGCACUAGAGCUAUAAGUAUAUGAAAGCUCAAACUGAAACUAAGUGGGUGUGCAUCCAACUUGCUUGCUCAUGAAGACCUAGGGAAUUUGAGGAAGCCCAUCAUCGGAAUAUACAAGCCAAGUUCUAUAAUGAAAAUUCCCACUAGUAUAUGAAAGUGAUAACUCAAGAGACUCUCUAUAUUAAGAACAUGGUGCUACUUUGAAGCACAAGUGUGGUAAAAGGAUAGUAACAUUGCCCCUUCUCUCUUUUUCUCUCAUUUUUUAUUUUUUUUAUUUUUUUGGUGGGCUUCUUUGGCCUCUUUUUUUAUUUGGGCUUCUUUGGCCUCUUUUAUUUAUUUUUAAUGUCCGGAGUCUCAUCCCGACUUGUGGGGGAAUCAUAGUCUCCAUCAUCCUUUCCUCACUGGGGCAAUGCUCUAAUAAUGAUGAUCAUCACACUUUUAUUUACUUCCAACUCAAUAUUACAACUCAAUAUCUAGAACAAAGAUAUGACUCUAUAUAUGAUUGCCUCCGGCGGUGUACCGGGAUGUGCAAUGAUCUAGCAUAGCAAUGACAUCAAAAAACGGACAAGCCAUGAAAACAUCAUGCUAGCUAUCUUACGAUCAUGCAAAGCAAUAUGACAAUAAAUGCUCAAGUCAUGUAUAUGAUGAUGAUGGAAGUUGCAUGGCAAUAUAUCUCGGAAUGGCUAUGGAAAUGCCAUGAUAGGUAGGUAUGGUGUCUGUUUUGAGGAAGGUAUAUGGUGGGUUUAUGGUACCGGCGAAAGGUGCGCGGUACUAGAGAGGCUAGCAAUGGUGGAAGGGUGAGAGUGCGUAUAAUCCAUGGACUCAACAUUAGUCAUAAAGAACUCACAUACUUAUUGCAAAAGUCUAUUAGCUAUCGAAACAAAGUACUACGCGCAUGCUCCUAGGGGGAUAGAUUGGUAGGAAAAGACCAUCGCUCGUCCCCGACCGCCACUCAUAAGGAAGACAAUCAAUAAAUAAAUCAUGCUCCGACUUCGUUACAUAAUUGUUCACCAUAUGUGCAUGCUACGGGAAUCACAAACCUCAACACAAGUAUUUAUACAAUCCACAACUACCCACUAGCAUGACUCUAAUAUCACCAUCUUUAUAUCGCAAAACUAUUGCAAGGAAUCAAACAUAUCAUAUUCAGUGAUGUACCAGUUUUAUGUAGGAUUUUAUGACUAACCAUGUGAAUGACCAGUUCCUGUCAUCUCUCUAAAUAGAUAUAAGUGAAGCAAGAGAGUUUAAUUAUUUCUACAAAAGAUAUGCUCAUGCUCUAACAAAUAUAAGUGAAGAAAAAGAGCAUUCUACAAAUGGUGGUUGUCUAAGUAAAGAGAAACAGGCAAUCCAAACUUCAAAUGAUAUAAGUGAAGCACAUGAAGCAUUCUAUAAAGCCAUACUCAAAAAAUAUAAGUGAAGUGCAAAGAGCAUUCUAUAAAUCAACCAAGGACUAUCUCAUACCAGCAUGGUGCAUAAAAAGAAAAACAAAAACCUAAAUGCAAAAGACGCUCCAAGACUUGCACAUAUCGCACAAACGAAACGAAUCCAAAAACAUACCGAUAUUUGUUGAAGAAAGAGGGGAUGCCUCCCCAGCAUCCCCAAGCUUAGACGCUUGAGUCUCCAUGAAUAUUUACUUGGGGUGCCUCGGGCAUCCCCAAGCUUGAUCUCUUGCCUCUCUUCCUUCUUCUCACAUCGAGACCUUCUCAAUCAUCGAACACUUCAUCCACACAAAACUUCAACAAAAAACUCGGUAAGAUCCGUUAGUAUAAUAAAGCAAAUCACUACUCUAGGUACUGUUGCAAACCAAUUCAUAUUUUUUUUCCAUUGUGUCUACUGUAAUAUAACUUUUCCAUGGCUUAAUCCACUGAUAUAAAUUGAUAGUUUCAUCAAAACAAGCAAACUAUGCAUCAAAAACAGAAUCUGUCUAAAACAGAACAGUCUGUAAUAAUCGGAACAUUCACCAUACUUCUGAUCCUUGAAAGAUUCUACAAAAAUUGGGAAAAAUAAAAAAUUUGUAUAGGAAUACAGUGCAAAAAGAAUGAGAACCAUUUGACAUUCCAGCUAAAAAUGUAAAAUCGCGCACUACAACAAAAGUUUCUGUCCUGCACCGUACAAACCAUCAAGCAAAUGUAAACAUCCUAAAGGCAAACCUUGGCACAUUAUUUAUAAAUUUAAACUUUAUAAAAGCACACAACAGAAUAAAUGACUCUCUAAAACUUCUGGGUUGUCUCCCUGGCAGCGCUUUCUUUAAAGCCAUUAAGCUAGGCAUAUAGUGCUCGAGUAAUGGAUCCACCCGGAUCCCAAGGUAUAUCAAAGCCAAUUUUAAUUAACAAUGAUUUGUAAUUUAGUGGUGAGCACAAGGUAACAUAUAUCAUGUAAUGACGAAGCCUAACUCUCUUCCUAUGCAUCGGCAUGUCAUAAAAGAACAAUUCAUGCACACAUAGUAAAGGCCAAUGCAUAUUAUAAACAGUUUCUUGCAAUUCUAUCAUAUUGGAAACAUAGAGAGGUGGAGAUAUAGUUCCUCUCUCAUAAUAAUUGCAAGUAGGAGCAGCAAGCACAUGCAUAUUAUAUUCAUCAAAAUCAUCAUGUGCAAUGGUAAAAGGCAACCCAUCAAUAUAAUCCUUAAUAAGUGCAAACUUCUCCGAUAUAGUGUAGUCGGGAGAAUUCAAAAAGAUAAUAGGACUAUCAUGCGUGGGUGCAAUAGCAACAAUUUCAUGUUUAACAUAAGAAACUAUAGUAAGUUCAUCUCCAUAAGCAUAAUUCAUAUUGGCAUCUUGGCCACAAGCAUAGAAAGCAUCACCAAAAAGGGAUAUUUCAAAAGAAUCAACGGGAUCAUAACAAUCAUCAUAGCAAUCAUCCUCCGGUAAGCACAAAGGGAAAUUAAACAAUGUAUGAGUUGAAGAGUUACUUUCAUUAGAAGGUGGGCACGGGUGAUCAAUCCGCUCUUCCUCCUUUUGUUCUUCGCUCUCUUCCUCAUCUUUUUCAUCCAAUGAGCUCACAGUUUCAUCAAUUUCUUGUUCCAUAGACUCCUACAAAAAUAUUAGUCUCUUCUUGGACAAAGGAGACUUUCUUAAUAAGCGCAUUAAUUUCAUAAUUGUAUUCAUAAUUCUCAUAACAAUACUUCAAGAUAGCUAAAUUUUCAGAUCUAUAAACAGCAUCAUCAAAAUCUUCAAACUCUUUAAACAUAGAUUCAAUUUCAUAAGCACCCUUAAAAGCAACAAAUUCUUCUAUUUGUUCCACAUCAUAGUAAUCAUAUAUACCAUUAGCAUAAGAAGCUAAGGUCUCAUUAUCAUUAAAUUCACAUGAAAAGGGAAGGUGUGGAGCCUCCACCUUAGAGCAACAAGUAUAAUCAUAUCUCAAGCAUAGUUGCCUAGCAUACCAAUUCAAUAUAUGAAUUUGAUCCCAUAAUAGUUUCCUUUUUUGUGUCAAGCUAUAAUCCCUAAAGUAUUCACGUUGAUCCAACGCUACUCCCAUUACAUAAGUGAAUGGGGUUUUCUUAGGAUUAUUAAGUAGUACAUAAUAUCUUUCACAUAACCAGCAUUGAGGGUUUUAGGAGGUUCCCCAUCUCCAUGAGUAGAAAGUACACCUAAUUUUUUUGGUAUUUCGUGUUCCAUAUCCAUAACUAAAGAUAGAGAACAAAUAAGAACAACAAAUAAAAAUUACUUAGUGAUAAAGCAAACAAGCACACACGAGAAUAUUCACCCCAUGCUAUUGCUCCCCGGCAACGGCGCCAUAAAAAGGUCUUGAUAACCCACAAGUAUAGGGGAUCGCAACAGUUUUCGAUAAGUAAUAGUGUCGAACCCAAUGAGGAGCUAAAGGUAGAACAAAUAUUCCCUCAAGUUCUAUCGACCACUGAUACAACUCUAUGCACGCUUGACGUUCGCUUUACCUAGAACAAGUAUGAAACUAGAAGUACUUUAUAGGUGUUGUUGGAUAGUUUUGCAAGAAAGUAAAGAGCACGAAAAUAAAACUAGGGGCUGUUAAGGUAAAGAAGCAACUAAAGUAAAUAUAGCGAGUGUGGAAAAGUGGUGGUAGGAGUUGCGAAAUUGUCCCUAAGCAAUUGACUAUGUUACUAGACCGAUAGCAAGUAUUAUGUGGGAGAGCCCACUGCUAGCAUGUCAUCCCUUACUUGGAAUUCUACGCACUUAUGAUUGGAACUGUUAGCAAGCAUCCGCAACUACUAAUGUUCAUUAAGGUGAAACCCAACCAUAGCAUUAAGAUAUAUUGGCCCCCCUUCAAUCCCGUAUGCAUCAAUUUCUAUGCUAGGUUGAAGCUUCUGUCACUCUUUCCCUCCAAUACAUAGUCCUAUCAACAUACAACUAACCCUAUGGUGUGAUCCAUGCGCGCGCUCAUAUGAUGGGCACCAAAGGACAGCAACAUAACCACAAGCAAAUUAAAUCAAUCAUAGCAAUUCAUCAACCACCGAUAGGACAACGAAAAUCUACUCAGACAUCAUAGGAUGGCAACACAUCAUUGGAUAAUAAUAUGAAGCAUAAAGCACCAUGUUCAAGUAGAGGGUACAGCGGGUCGCGGGAGAGUGGACCGCUGUAGAUAGAGGGGGGAAGGUGAUGGAGAUGUUGGUGAAGAUGGAAGAGGUGUUGGUGUAGAUCGCGGUGAUGAUGAUGGCCCCCGGUGGCACUCCGGUGCCACCGGAAGCGAGGGGGAGAGAGCCCCCUCCUUCUUCUUCUUCCUUGACCUUCUCCCUAGAUGGGAGAAGGGUUUCCCCUCUCGUCCAUGGCCUCCAUGGCACGGGAGGGGCGAGAGCCCCUCUGAGAUUGGAUCUGUCUCUUUGUGUCGGAGUAAGUGACCAUGGGUAGCCUAGCCGGCUCCCCCUGGCCUUUCUGAAAAAUUACGAGCCGAUCCAGCUCUCAAGAAUCCAAGACAUGGGGCCGCCUUCCCUUGGCCAGGUGUCUCCCAGGCCGGCUAUCAGAAGGCGUCCCGACUUCAGCCCUCAUGAAGAAAGCCGCGGGAAGGCCGACUCCAAGGAGCCGGCUCCCAUAAAGCGGCCGAGAUCGUACCCUCGAAGUCUGCACCCACAUAACUGCGAUGUGAUGGGGCGUGGCUACAGUAAGGCUGGCCACCCCCGAAUCCCGGAGCACGCCUAGCACAGUGCGCCGUACGGGUGGCCAUGACCCGUUCGGCGCAGCACUGUUGCCACGUUGGUCCAGAUGUUAUCCACGAUGGGCUACCAGUACGGCCCACGGGCGGUGGGCCCCUUCGGGCAGAGAGACAUCCGAAGGCGGCCUGGCCUCCCCCAGUCGGCCCAAGACGGAGCCGGCUCUCUCCAGCCGGCUUGCCACUCCCUCGAAGGAGACGCCCCAUUAAGGAGACAAGACGCGGUGAGGCUACAGUGGUCACCCGUCGGACGGCAACACUGUAGCCACGCUUACCUCAGUGAAGCCCUCGUCACCAAGAUUGAGCAACAGUAACCAGCCACCGACAAGGCCCUGGACAGUGGGGCCUGCCUGUCGACCCAGGAGCUGGCAGCCAUUGGGACCCACCAAUCGGCGGGCCCCAGCAGUCGGUGUAGAAGCCGGCGAGCAUAGACACAGAUGGCUGGGCCCCACGCCCAGCCGGAUUACCAUUGUACCCCCGGGGGGUAGGCCUAUUUAAACCCCCCAGGACACCCAUGCAAAGGGUUGAUCACUACUAGUUUUAGACACCACAUAGGGAGGAGAAGAGAGUAAGCAGAGCCCUUCUUCCUCCUCUCCCCAAACAGCUCAAGGAGCAUCGUGUAGCUACUUGUUCAACGAGUGAUCAUGCGGAGACCCCGCAGAGCAGCAGUAGGGGUGUUAUCUCCACGGAGAGCCCCGAAGCUGGAUAAGAUUCGCCGGCGUGCAUAUCUUCGCCUCAUCCCGUUUCCAGGCACCGGCGAUGUUUUACUGGCUACCACAAUGAUAAGCCACCCGUUGGCAUAUGUCGCACCUACCACCCGACACUUUGUCUCUCUCUGUUUCUGCGUUCUCCGAUUCUUCCGUUUCAUCGUUUCUUAUAUUCCCGGAGAUCCAUAACUCCGAUUGGGCUGAAAUUUUAACAUGAUCUCUAUCCGGAUAUUAGAUUUCUUGCGGCGAAAGAAGGGCACCAACCUCCUUACGGGGUGGCCACGAGGGUCAGGGGCGCACCUGACACCCUAGGGCGUGCCCCCUACCUCGUGGGCCCCUCGAGCAUCGUCUCGCGUGGAUUCUUCUUCCCAAAAAUCAUAUAUAUUCCAGAAAAAAUCUCCGUCAGUUUUUAUUCCGUUUGGACUCCGUUUGAUAUGGAUAUUCUGUGAAACAAAAAACAUGCAACAAACAGGAACUGGCACUGGGCACUGGAUCAAUAUGUUAGUCCCAAAAAUAGUAUAAAAAGUUGCCAAAAGUAUAUGAAAGUUGAAUAAUAUUGGCAUGGAACAAUAAAAAAUUAUAGAUACGAUGGAGACGUAUCAUGCCCAAAGUGCGAGGACCCUACAGGUUUCUGCACCCUUGGCGAGACGCCACACUUGUUCCUUCUCAUCCUAAUGAAGGAUUUUAAAACGCGCACAGCAUGUUCCUAGAAUCCUCUUUUCUAUCCGGGAGAGUGGGGUUUUUUGAACAUUCUAUCGACUAAUUUGGAAAUUUGGAUUGCUAUAUUUGGAUAAAAGGUACUAGUACCAUGGUCAACACUGACGUGAAGGAGAAAAUUAUUUCUAGAUUUGGAUAUAGGGAAUACAUUGUGUUCUCAUAUUAUUUUUCAUGCAGUGCAUUCCUUGCUCUCCUAGAACACAUGUACUCAAGAUGCUCGGCCUUGCCAUAACUGAAUACACCAGUUUAAUGGUCAUAGUGAAGACAAGCCAUGGAUAUAAGUUUCGAGUUGGGUUCAUGAACCAAGAAGAUCGCUGUUUUUUUAUGGCCGAACUUGGAUAAACUUUAUCAAGUGUUAUGGACCGAAAGUUGGCGCACCGAAUGUUGAUAGAAAUAGCAGAACCUGGUCUCAUCUUCAUUGCAAUCUUCCACCCCGACGUCGUUCCAAUUGUUCAUCCAUGCUAGGUUUGUAUCUGGUUCUUGCUUCUUGCCUCGAUUACUUCUUAAUCCACCUAUUCUGUCUAACUAAUCAUAAUUUAACUUUAGAAGUAGCAACGAAUCUCUCACGAAGAUGCUACUUCUAACUAAUAUUUUCUUAUAAUUGGUGGCACGUGUAGGUUUUUUCAGAGUUAAGCAGGCUACUCGUUUGUAAUUCUAUAAGAACUCGGCUGUUACUCAUGGCACUGAAGCUUACUUGGACGACAUCCACAAGUUCCUACAGUUUAUUGAUCGUCUUGAGGUCCUUGUGGGGCGUUUCAAUGGUGGAAGGCCACAUGGGAUAUGUGUGUCACUACUGCACUCAUUGAACAGGUCCAAUUGUGUUGAGAAACUUAUUGUACGAGUUGUUUUCUGUUAUAUAUGUUGUUCAUAAACUCUUGCUUAUGCACAUUUUUACAGUUGUGAUCUUCUUGAAAUAGGAACUGCCCAGGUCUAUUGUUCCUAUACAGAUGCCUGACCAUGGUUGGGUCAGACUUGCGGUUGGUCACAACAUGAUGUUUAUGUCGACCUACUCCAUUCCCCUUGGAGGUGAAAAGAUACUUAUUCAUGAGUGGUCUCAAAAAAUGAAGGCCCGUCCAUCUUGGAGAAUAGGACAGAAGAUUAUGUUCCUGCUUUUCCAUGGCUCUAAAGCGAAUAUCCUGUUUAUUGACCACAUUGCGAGAUGAAGCCGCUUUCAGUAGGUUGUGGAUGCGUGGGGUGGCGCCUGGGCCUUGUCCUGGGGCUUGGCGGCCUCACCCUUUGGUUAGUUGUAGGCAAAGUAGCACUGUUCGAGGCGUGCUUUGUACGGUUCAACUUGAAUAAGUACUCAUACUGCUUUCAGCUAUGGUUGUUAAGUGCCCCUACCGGUUUUAGUUAAGGUUGUUAAGUACUCUUGCUGCUUUUACAGUCUAUCGUGUUUCCUCAGUCCUGUCUUCCUCCAGCCGUUAAAACCAAACCAGCCCCGGCGGGGCCGCCUGCUUCCGCCUCCCACUACUGGCUGCGCCUCAGCGCACGCAUCGCCACCCCACCGUCUCCUAAAUCAUUAAUGCCGACCUCCAAGGCCUCUUCGUCCUCCUCCAUGCGCUUUGCUGCGCUUGCCGCGGCGCCUCCCUCUCGCGUUGUCAACAUGGUCAACAAACAAGAGGAAUCGGCAGAGGACUGUACGUGGAGAGGAUUACAGUAGGAGGCCACCAUGUCCAUGGCCGGACGCAAGGAAGUUCCUCAUUUUUUGUUAUAUAUAUACUCCAUUGUUAGCGUACGGAAAAAGAAAAUGCUUCCUGCUAGUGGUUUCCUGACAUCUGGGACCCACGACAUUGUCAGCGUAUAUAGUCAAUAGACAAGAGAACAGCACAAGAUCGGCUGACACCUGGGACGUAGCUAGUCGAGCAGUAUUUUUUUAUUAUCGUUGAGACGGAGCAGGGUUUGAAUUGGGUUGUGGCCCGUCUAGCCCAGGCUUAUAUUUUAUGUUCACCACAUGACCAGCCCAACUAUUUUUUGUUUGUAAAAAUGAGCCCAGUGUAUUUUUUUAAGAAUACCCAAUACAGGCCUACUUAUUUUUCUACGCCCUGAUGGGCUACAACUCUUUCAAGACGCCUGCAAAUCUUGAAAGUAAUAUGAAAUGGGCUAUAAAUAUAAAAAACAGAUGACAAAUUGGCAAUUACUUUAUAAUUUCUGAUUUUUUUUCACAUGUUCAGAUUCCAAUUUCACUGGGCUUUAACCUAAUUCAAAUAUAGAUUGAAAGUACUUUAAAUCUGGCUCGACAUUUCGGUAUUAAAAAUAGUUUGGAACCAACAGAAAUAUGUGAAAUUUCUUUUAAAUUUUUAACCCUGGCCCUAGCCAACAAAAAAAUGGACUGCAAUAAAUUUCAUAAGAAGUUGCAAUGAGCUAUAUAUAAAUUAUUAAAAAAAUAGGGAAUGAUAGGACUUGUGGGCCUAUUAAGUUGAGGCGGAUGAAAGAUUUUUUUACUUAUUAUAUACGACAACAAACGAUUCUAGUAGACGUGACUGUUGGAUGUCAAUCCAACAACCAUCGUGUUUCUUCAAUCUCUGAUCUUCUUGCUCCAGCCGCCAAAUCCAGCACCGGUGGGACUGCCUGCUCCCGCCUCCCGUGGCCGGCUGUGCUGCCGUAAAGGCCUCACCGCCCCCUACUACUCCCACAAUGGCCAGGCCAUCCCUCUACUCACCCACAUCCCUCCACUGUUGUGGCUUCACCGCCUCUGAGUCAUUCCCUUCCUGGGUCUCGUCGUCGUCCAUCGCGUUGGUGUUCUCGGCACGGCGUGGUCAAUGUUAUCAACAAACGACAACAUCGGAAGAGGGACGUACAUGGAGAGGCUGACAGUUGGGACCCACAUGGUCCAUGUCCGCAGGCAAGCAAGUACCUCCUUAUUACGCCAAAAAGAAUGAAUACUCCCGCUGACAGCUCGGACCCACCAGCUAUAUCUUCGCACUCAAGGAAGUGCCUCCUUAUUACGCACAAAAAAAUGAAUACUCCCCCUGCUUGCUGGGACCCACCAUAGUGGGAGGCUAACUUGUGGGCCUACUAAGUUGAUGCGGACGGAGGGCUUUGUCAACUUAGUCAAGAAACGAUUCUAUCACCAAUAACCGUUGGAUUGUUAACAUCCAACGGUCGUCCUGCUUCAUCAACCUCUGAUUUUCUUGCUCCAGCCGUCCAAACCACCGCGUGCUCUUGCCUCCCGUGGCCCGCUGGGCUGCCGCGGAGGCCUCACCGCCCCCUACUACUCCCACCACUGGCCAGGACCUGCGGCGACGGCAGCCUCACACCGCAGCCGAACCAGUGAACCCUAGUACUCCUCUCCGCAUGGGCAUCCACUGCCGCGUCUUCCCCGGCUCCACGUCAUUCCCUUCCUAGGCCUCGCCGUCGUCCCCCGCCUUGGUGCUCUCGGCACGGCAUGGUCAAUGUGAUAAACGAACAACUUCCAUCGGAGGAGUACUGUAUGUUGAGAGGCUGAUAGUUGGGUCCACGGCCGCAUCAAGGAAGUGCCUCCUUAUUACGUGCAAAAUAAUUAUUCAUCCACCGUGACAGUAGGGACCCACCUGACGGGCCAUCGUAUUUCGGGAAAAAAGUUCCCCCUGACUACUGUGACCCACCAGCUACAUCUUCGCAUGCAAGGAAGUGCAUCCAUAUUACGGGAAAAAUGAUUCGCCCCCCGGACUGCUGGGACCCACCAGCUACAUCUUCACAUGCAAGGAAGUGCAUGACAGUCGGGACCCAACUGGUCGAAGUGUACGUAGAGUUGUCACUCUGGUCGGAACCAUCUUCGCAUGCAAGAAAUUUAUGGUUUCCCAUCUUGAUACCGACAUUCGGAACCAUCAUGCUAAAGCUCAAACGCUUAUCCAGAGAAACAACUUGCAAUGCUUUAGAUAAUGCCUCAGUGUCAAAAUUGUGCUUCAAUGCAAAUGGAUAUGACAUGAAAGAAUGCAAUGCACCAGAAUCAAAUAAGACUUUUGCAUGAAUAUCAUUAACUGGAAGAUUACCCAUGAUCACUUGAGAAGAAUCCUCUGCUUGAGCUGCAUUCACCAUGUUUACCCUUGCAGUCUUGGAAUUAUGCUUGACCACUGCAUUGCUUGAAGAUCUCAUGGGAGGAGGAGGCGGAAGACGCCUUUGGUUGAAGCACUUGUUUGCAUAGUGACCAUUCUAAUGACACUUGUUGCAAGUCACCUUUGAGAGCAGACGAUGAUAAGGAGCACUUGACCUUGGAGCUUGGUCUGAGACUUGUUCCGAUAGCCUAGGUUGGGUGGGUGGGAAGAUCCAUGGCCACCUUUGCUCUUUUGCUGGUAGGGCUGACGAAACGGAGGAGGAGGAAGCUAGAACUUCUGUUGCUUAGCUGCCACUUGUGAGGAAGAAGAUUGGACUGCAUCCUUGAUUCUCUUCUUAGAAGCCUCACACUUCAGCUAAGAACCUUCUUGCUUGAGGGACAUGUUAUAGAAUUAAUUGAACUUAGUCGGCUCAACGAGAAUGAGAGCUAACUGCAGAUCUUCUCUAAGGCCACCUCUGAAUUGAUAGAUCAUGCUAUUUUCAUUAGGAACGUCUUGUUUAGCGAAGCGAGCAAGUUUCUAAAACUAGAUAUUGUAUUGAUACACGGACAUGGUGCCUUGGUUGAGAUUGCGAAAUUCCUCACGCUUGCUCUCAGGAACACUUGUUGGGAUAUGAUGAGCUUUGAAGUCUCGGCAGAAAUCAUCCCAGGUAAUCACACGACCUCUGUCGGUGUCACAACCGGCGGUUCUCGGGUAGGGGGUCCCGAACUGUGCGUCUAAGGCGGAUGGUAACAAGAGGCAGGGGACACGAUGUUUACCCAGGUUCGGGCCCUCUUGAUGGAGGUAAUACCCUACGUCCUGCUUGAUUGUUCUUGAUGAUAUGAGUAUUACAAGAGUUGAUCUACCACGAGAUCAAAGAGGCUAAACCCUAGAAGCUAGCCUAUGGUAUGAUUGUAUGUUGUCCUACGGACGAAAACCCUCCGGUUUAUAUAGACACCGAAGGAGGCUAGGGUUACACAAGGUCGGUUACAAAGGAGGAGAUAUACAUAUCCGUAUUGCCUAGCUUGCCUUCCACGCCAAGUAGAGUCCCAUCGGACACGGGACGAAGUCUUCAAACUUGUAUCUUCAUAGUCCAACAGUCCGGCCAAAGGAUAUAGUCCGGCUGUUCGGAGACCCCCUAGUCCAGGACUCCCUCAGUAGCCCCUGAACCAGGCUUCAAUGACGAUGAGUCCGGCCCGCAGUGUUGUCUUCGGCAUUGCAAGGUGGGUUCCUCCUCCGAAUACACCAUUGAAGAUUUUGAAUAUAAGGAUAGUGUCCUACCCUACAAAAUAAGUUCCACACACCAUCGUAGAGAGAAUAAUAUUUCCAUGAAUCUAAUCUUUUGACACGUUUAGACAGCAUGACAUCAUGCCAUGGCCCGGUUUUUAUUCAAAACGCUUUUCUUAACCAGCUCCCCACAUAUCGCGAGGCUGUUUUCUUGACAUGUCUUGUCAAAGCAGAUAUUGUGUUCCCCUUAUCACGGGAUUCUCAUCAAUGCGGACAUGGGUAACCCAACCGCGCCAUCAAUUACAGUGCGUGGGGAAUAAGCGGUUUUGCUAGGCAAGUGGGGAGGCACAUUGCCUCUUCCGCCCUUAUAAAAGGGACAAAGAUUUACUUUUUUCACCCACGCCUUCUUCCUCCUCGCUUACCCAUUAAGCUAGGCAUAUAGUGCUCGAGUAAUGGAUCCACCCGGAUCCCAAGGUAUUUCAAAGACAAUUUUAAUUAACAAUGAUUUGUAAUUUAGUGGUGAGCACAAGGUAACAUAUAUCAUGUAAUGACGAAGUCUAACUCUCUUCCUAUGCAUCGGCAUGUCAUAAAAGAACAAUUCAUGCACACAUAGUAAAGGCCAAUGCAUAUUAUAAACAGUUUCUUGCAAUUCUAUCAUAUUGGAAACAUAGAGAGGUGGAGAUAUAGUUCCUCUCUCAUAAUAAUUGCAAGUAGGAGCAGCAAGCACAUGCAUAUUAUAUUCAUCAAAAUCAUCAUGUGCAAUGGUUAAAGGCAACCCAUCAAUAUAAUCCUUAAUAAGUGCAAACUUCUCCGAUAUAGUGUAGUCGGGAGAAUUCAAAAAGAUAAUAGGACUAUCAUGCGUGGGUGCAAUAGCAACAAUUUCAUGUUUAACAUAAGGAACUAUAGCAAGUUCAUCUCCAUAAGCAUAAUUCAUAUUGGCAUCUUGGCCACAAGCAUAGCAAGCAUCACCAAAAAGGGAUAUUUCAAAAGAAUCAACGGGAUGAUAACAAUCAUCAUAGCAAUCAUCCUCCGGUAAGCACAAAGGGAAAUUAAACAAUGUAUGAGUUGAAGAGUUACUUUCAUUAGAAGGUGGGCACGGGUGAUCAAUCCGCUCUUCCUCCUUUUGUUCUUCGCUCUCUUCCUCAUCUUUUUCAUCCAAUGAGCUCACAGUUUCAUCAAUUUCUUGUUCCAUAGACUCCUGCAAAAUAUUAGUCUCUUCUUGGACAACGGAGACUUUCUUAAUAAGCACAUUAAUUUCAUAAUUGUAUUCAUAAUUCUCAUAACAAUACUUCAAGAUAGCUAAAUUUUCAGAUCUAUAAACAGCAUCAUCAAAAUCUUCAAACUCUUUAAACAUAGAUUCAAUUUCAUAAGCACCCUUAAAAGCAACAAAUUCUUCUAUUUGUUCCACAUCAUAGUAAUCAUAUGUACCAUUAGCAUAAGAAGCUAAGGUCUCAUUAUCAUUAAAUUCACAUGAAAAGGGAAGGUGUGGAGCCUCCACCUUAGAGCAACAAGUAUAAUCAUAUCUCAAGCAUAGUUGCCUAGCAUACCAAUUCAACAUAUGAAUUUGAUCCCAUAAUAGUUUCCCUUUUUGUGUCAAGCUAUAAUCCCUAAAGUAUUCACGUUGAUCCAACGUUACUCCCAUUACAUAAUUGAAUGGGGUUUUCUCAGGAUUAUUAAAGUAGUACAUAAUAUCUUUCACAUAACCAGCAUCGAGGGUUUUAGGAGGUUCCCCAUCUCCAUGAGCAGAAAGUACACAUAAUUUCUUUGGUAUUUCGUGUUCCAUAUCCAUAACUAAAGAUAGAGAACAAAUAAGAACAGCAAAUAAAAAUUACUUAGUGAUAAAGCAAACAAGCACACACGAGAAUAUUCACCCCAUGCUAUUGCUCCCCGGCAACGGCGCCAUAAAAAGGUCUUGAUAACCCACAAGUAUAGGGGAUCGCAACAGUUUUCGAUAAGUAAUAGUGUCGAACCAAACGAGGAGCUAAAGGUAGAACAAAUAUUCCCUCAAGUUCUAUCGACCACUGAUACAACUCUACGCAUGCUUGACGUUCGCUUUACCUAGAACAAGUAUGAAACUAGAAGUACUUUAUAGGUGUUGUUGGAUAGUUUUGCAAGAAAUUAAAGAGAACGAAAAUAAAACUAGGGUCUGUUAAGGUAAAGAAGCAACUAAAGUAAAUAUAGCGAGUGUGGAAAAGUGGUGGUAGGAGUUGCGAAAUUGUCCCUAAGCAAUUGACUACGUUACUAGACCGAUAGCAAGUAUUAUGUGGGAGAGGCCACUGCAAGCAUGUCAUCCCUUACUUGGAAUUCUAUGCACUUAUGAUUGGAACUGUUAGCAAGCAUCCGCAACUACUAAUGUUCAUUAAGGUAAAACCCAACCAUAGCAUUAAGAUAUAUUGGCCCCCAUUCAAUCCCGUAUGCAUCAAUUUCUAUGCUAGGUUGAAGCUUCUGUCACUCUUUCCCUCCAAUACAUAGUCCUAUCAACAUACAACUAACCCUAUGGUGUGAUCCAUGCGCGCGCUCAUAUGAUGGGCACCAAAGGACAGCAACAUAACCACAAGCAAAUUAAAUCAAUCAUAGCAAUUCAUUAACCACUGAUAGGACAACGAAAAUCUACUCAGACAUCAAAGGAUGGCAACACAUCAUUGGAUAAUAAUAUGAAUCAUAAAGCACCAUGUUCAAGUAGAGGGUACAGUGGGUUGCGGGAGAGUGGACCGCUGUAGAUAGAGGGGGGAAGGUGAUGGAGAUGUUGGUGAAGAUGGCGGAGGUGUUGGUGUAGAUCGCGGUGAUGAUGAUGGCCCCCGGUGGCACUCCGGUGCCACCGGAAGCGAGGGGGAGAGAGCCCCCCUCCUUGUCCUUCUUCCUUGACCUCCUCCCUAGAUGGGAGAAGGGUUUCCCCUCAGGUCCAUGGCCUCCAUGGCACGGGAGGGGCAAGAGCCCCUCUGAGAUUGGAUCUGUCUCUUUGUGUCGGAGUAAGUGACCACGGGUAGCCUAGCCGGCUCCCCCUGGCCUUUCUGAAAAAUUACGAGCCGAUCCAGCUCUCAAGAAUCCAAGACAUGGGGCCGCCUUCCCCUAGUCGGCUGUCUCCCAGGCCGGCUAUCAGAAGGCGGCCCGACUUCAGCCCUUAUGAAGAAAGCCGCGGGAAGGCCGACUCCAAGGAGCCGGCUCCCAUAAAGCAGCCGAGAUCGUACCCUUGAAGUCUGUACCCACAUAACGGCGAUGUGACGGGGCGUGGCUACAGUAAGGCUGGCCACCCCCGAAUCCUGGAGCACGCCUAGCACAGUGCGCCGUACGGGUGGCCAUGACCCGUCCGGCGCAGCACUGUUGCCACGUUGGUCCUGAUGUCAUCCACGACGGGCUACCAGUACGGCCCACAGGCGGUGGGCCCCUUCGGGCAGAGAGACACCCGAAGGCGGCCUGGCCUCCCCCAGUCGGCCCAAGACGGAGCCGGCUCUCUCCAGCCGGCUUGCCACUCCCUUGAAGGAGACGCCCCAUUAAGGAGACAAGACGCGGUGAGGCUACAGUGGUCACCCGCCGGACGGCAGCACUGUAGCCAUGCUUACCUCGGCGAAGCCCUCGUCACCAAGAUUGAGCAACGGUAACCAGCCACCGACGAGGCCCUGGACAGUGGGGCCUACUUGUCGACCCAGGAGCCGGCAGCCGGCGGGACCACCAGUCGGUGGGCCCCAGCAAUCGGCACGGAAGCCGGCGAGCAUAGACACAGACGGCUGGGCCCCAUGCCCAGCCGGAUUACCAUUGUACCCCCGGGGGGUAGGCCUAUUUAAACCCCCCGGGACACCCAUGCAAAGGGUUUAUCACUUCUAGUUUUAGACACCACAUAGGGAGGAGAAGAGAGUAAGCAGAGCCCUUCUUCCUCCUCUCGCCAAACAACUCAAGGAGCAUCGUGUAGCUACUUGUUCAUCGAAUGAUCAUGCGGAGACCCCGCAGAGCAGCAGUAGGGGUGUUAUCUCCACGGAGAGCCCCGAAGCUGGGUAAGAUUCGCCGGCGAGCAUAUCUUCGCCUCAUCCCAUUUCCAGGCACCGGCGAUGUUUUACUGGCUCCCACAAUGAUAAGCCACCCGUUGGCAUAUGUCGCACCUACCACCCGACAUUUGGCGCCCAUCGUGGGGCCAGGUGCACCGUCGUCCGGAGACCUGUUCUGGACGGGAACCCUCUUCCUCCCCCGCGAGCGUAGCCAGCCCGGCACGCCCGAUGGCGCUUACCACGACGUGCUGCAAGGCGUCACCAACGCCUGCGCAGCGAGCAGCCUCGCUGAUCUCCUCGACAAGACCCUCAUCUCCGACGAGCUCGCCUCCGACGCGGGCACCGACCACCUCGUCAACCUCCUCGGCUGGCUCCAUGUCUCCGGCAAGCCUGCUGUGGACUUGGAGUCGGUUGGCUCCACCGAUCCGAUGCCUGUCGACUCCGACACGGCCUCAUUCGACACCUUCCCCACCAACGUCACUAUCUACAACGACCCGCUUCCCCAAGACGAUGGCUGCGACGCUUUCACCACUGAGGUGAUGGUCAUUGGCCACGACGGCGCAGCCGACGAGAGCGCCCACGACGCCCCGCACGCGGCGGUCCACGACUUGUCCAUCCCCCUCCCGGCCGACACCGACGCUGAAGCACCGGAGGCUCGCCGCCUCGCCCUCCUCGCGGAGGGCCGGAAGUUGGUUUCCAUGGGAUGCCUCGCUGAGGCCCACUGACGCGAGGCUGACCACGCCGCCUUUGGCACGCCACCCCCAGGCGGGCCUAGCCGGGCCGGCAUUGUCAGACAGCGCGGCGCUGUCGUUGCCGACACGUUAGGAGUCGACCGCCCAGUCUACGCCACUCCACUCGAAAACCUGCACGCCGCCCAGGCGGCCGUAGAUGAUCUAGACGUACUGGGGGCCGAAGAACUCCCCCACAUGACCCGACGCAUCCAGCAGCUGAUCGAUGCAGCUGCGCAGCGGCACGAAGCCGACGCCCGCGCGGAAAGCCCUCCCCCGCGCCGAGAUCACGACGCGAUGUCCUGGACGCCGACUGCGGGUAGAGACCGCGCGCGGCGCGAGAAAGAGCCGGCUGCCAGCCGAAGCCAAACCCGGAUCUCCAUCGAGCGAGACGCAGAAGGCCACCCUCGGGCCAUGGAGUGGCGGGGCAACCCGCCUCCGCCCCGGCCCCGUGGAGAGAGAUAUCCCACCCCGCCGCCUGUUGUGCAUCCGACUCUCAGCGGCUGGCUAGGUCGCCGCAAAGGAGUCGGCGAGAACGACGCCCGCCAUCGGAUCGACCGCCUGGCGCAAUCCCUGGCGCUGGAAGAAGAAGACGAUGUCGGUCCCCCUUGCUUCGGCCCCCACAUCCGCGACGAGCCCUUCCCCAAAGGGUUCUCGCUCCUAAGAGACACGCCCAAGUACAACGGCUCCGUGAAGCCAGAAGAUUGGUUGAUUGACUACUCCACGGCGGUUAGCAUAGCCAGCGGCAACAGGCGCGCUGCCAUGAAGUACGUGCCCCUCAUGCUGCAGGGCACGGCACAGACCUGGCUCAACAGCCUCAAACCACACAGCAUCAACAGCUGGCUAGAUUUCACAGAAGCUUUCGUCCGCAACUUCACCAGCACCUACAAGCGGGCUCCCAAGCCCAGACAGCUCUCCUUGUGCGUACAAGGCCCCGUCGAGUCCACUCGCGACUACCUCACGCAUUGGGCCGAGCUCCGCAACUCUUGCGAAGGGGUGCAUGAGGGACAAGCCAUAGAAUACUUCACUGCCGGGUGCCGAGAAGGCACCCUCCUCAAGCACAAGCUUCUCUGCGACGAGCCGACAACCCUCGACGAGCUUCUGGACAUAGCGGACAAGUACACCACCGCCGACUCCUCAAUGAAGACCGAGCUCCGGGUAGACGCGUUCGGGAAAGUACUCAACCCGGUGCCCAAGACGCCGGCUGGGGAUUCCGGCCGACGCCCACACUCAAACGACCACAAGCGCAAGGGCCCGCGCCUCCUCCCGUCGGCCGGCAGGUGGCCACAGUCGAAGACGUGCCGCCCGAAGGGCGACCCGCUCCCAAGAAACCCUAGGGCAGCAGGCCGGCUUGGCAGCCGGCCUUUUCCUACGAGCAAACUCUCGACGCCCCGUGCAAGUUCCACAGCGGCGCGAAGCCGUCCAACCACACAACCCGGAAGUGCCAUUGGCUCACCCGAAUCUCUAAAGGCGAAGGGCUCGCACCGCCUCCGCCUGCCGGUCCGUCGCCUCCGGCUCCGCAGCCGCCGGACGCUCGGCCCGCAGUCGGAGCCGUGCACGACGAGUUCCCCGACGAGCAUGCAGCCUAUAUCAUCUUUACAAGUCAGCCCGAAGACCGGCACAACAAACGCCGAGAGCACCAAGAAGUCAACAUGGUUGCCGCCAACCCCGCCGAGCACAUGCACUGGUCAAAAAAACCUAUCAGCUGGAGCCGGACCGACCACCCAGAGGUGAUGCCGUCUCCCAGCUCUUAUGCGGUUGUUUUGGAUGCCACCCUUGCAACGGACAGACGCGCUGCCCAAUUCUCCCGCGUGCUGAUAGACGGCGGGAGCAGCAUCAACAUCCUGUAUCGUGACACCAUGGAAAAGCUGAAUGUCAAGACGAAGCAACUCAUGCCUACUCGGACUGUGGUCCACGACAUCGUACCCGGCCUGUCCUGCGCCCCCAUUGGCAAGAUCAAGAUUGAUGUACUUUUUGGGGACAAGGAGCAUUUCCGCCGGGAAGCGAUCUGGUUUGAAGUGGUGGACCUGGAGAGCCCUUACCAUGCAUUGCUUGGCCGACCUGCCUUGGCCAAGUUGAUGGCAGUUCCCCACUAUGCAUACCUCAAGAUGAAGAUACCAAGCACCAAAGGCGUCAUCACCGUAGCCGGCGAUUACAAGAAGUCCUCCGACUGCGCAGCAGCCAGCAGCCGGCUGGCCGAGUCCCUUGUGAUUGCCGAAGAGAAGAAGAUGUUGGACCGGGUCGUGGCCAUGGCCGGCAAGCAGUCGGCCCUGUCCCCCGAUCCCAAGGAGUAUGAUGCCCAAGGAUCUUUCCAGCUGGCCAAGGAGACAAAGAAGAUACCACUUGACCCCGAGCACCCAGAGAGGUUUGCCGUCAUCGUGGCAAACCUAAACAGCAAAUAGGAAGGCGAGCUCGCCGACUUCCUCCGUGAAAAUCGGGACAUCUUUGCAUGGUCCCCCAAGGACAUGUCGGGUGUUCCGAAGGAAUUCGCCGAGCACAAAUUACACGUCCGAGAAGACGCCAAACCAGUCAAACAACCCCUCCACCGACUGUCGGAGGAGAAACGCAGGAUUGUGGGAGAGGAGAUAGCCCGGCUUCUGGCAGCCGGCUUCAUUAUGGAAGUUUUCUUUCCAGAGUGACUCGCCAACCCGGUCCUCGUGCUAAACAAGAACAACAAGUGGCGCAUGUGUAUAGACUACACGAGCCUCAACAAGGCCUGCCCCAAAGAUCCCUUUGCCCUGCCAAGGAUUGACCAAGUGAUAGACUCCACGGCCGGAUGCGAGCUGUUGAGUUUCUUGGAUGCUUACUCAGGAUACCACCAGAUAAAGUUAGAUCCGGCUGACCGCCUGAAGACCGCCUUCAUCACGCCAUUCGGAGCCUUCUGCUACCUGACUAUGACAUUCGGCUUGAGAAAUGCCGGUGCCACUUUUCAGCAUUGCAUGCAGAAGUGCCUCCUCAAGCAGCUCGACAGAAAUGCUCACGUCUACAUAGACGACAUUGUGGUGAAGACGGAGAAGCGCGGCACCUUGCUGGAAGACCUCAAAGAAACAUUUGAGAACCUACGCCAUUUCCAAAUCAAGCUCAACCCUGAGAAAUGCGUCUUCGGAGUGCCAGCCGGCCAGCUCCUAGGCUUACUGGUCUCCGAACGCGGCAUUGAAUGCAACCCGGUGAAAAUCAAGGCCAUUGAGAGAAUGGCGAUUCCCACCAAGCUUCGAGACAUCCAGAAGUUCACCGGAUGCUUGGCCUCCCUAAACCGCUUCAUCAGCCGGCUCGGAGAGAAAGCUCUCCCCCUCUACCGCCUCAUGAAGAAGACCACUCACUUCGAGUGGAAUGACCAAGCUGACCAAGCUUUCCACGAGCUGAAGAAGAUGCUGGCCACACCGCCAGUCCUGGCAGCACCGACUGAGAAAGAGCCCAUGCUCCUCUACAUUGCCGCAACCAGCCGGGUGGUCAGCACUGUCAUCGUAGUCCAACGCCCAGAAGAGGGCCGAGCCCAGCCGGUCCAGAGGCCGGUGUACUAUUUGAGCGAGGUACUGUCCACCUCGAAGCAUAACUACCCGCACUACCAAAAGAUGUGUUAUGGCAUGUACUUCGCUGCCAAGAAGCUGAAGCCCUACUUCCAAGAGCAUCCCAUCACGGUCGUAUGCACCGCCCCGCUGGCCGAGAUCAUAGGCAGCCGGGAUGCAUCCGGCCGGGUGGCGAAAUGGGCCAUCGAGCUGGCCCCUUACGCGAUCUUCUACCAGCCUCGCACAGCCAUCAAAUCCCAAGCAUUGGCCGACUUCCUCGUCGACUGGGCCGAGACCCAGUACCUGCCGCCGGCUCCCGACUCCACUCAUUGGCGCAUGCACUUCGAUGGGUCCAAGAUGCGCACCGGCUUGGGAGCUGGCAUCGUCCUCACCUCUCCCAAAGGCGACAGGCUCAGAUACAUGCUGCAAAUCCACUUUGCCACCUCCAACAAUGUAGCCGAGUACAAGGUGCUCAUACACAGGCUUCGGCUUGCCAAAGAACUCGGCAUUCGCCGGAUCCUAUGUUAUGGCGACUUGGACAUGGUGAUCCAGCAAUCAUCCGGCGACUGGGACGCCAAGGACGCAAAUAUGGCAAGCUAUCACUUCCUCGUUCAGCAGAUCAGUGGGUAUUUUGAAGGAUGCGAGUUCCUCCACGUACCGCGAGCCGACAACGAGCCAACCGAUGCUCUGGCUCGAAUAGCCUCCACCCGGCAAGCAAUACCAACCGGCGUCUCUCUACAACGCCUCCUCAAGCCGUCUAUCAAGCCGUCUCUAGAGUCCGAUUCCAUAUUCGUGCCGCCUGACCUCGGCACGGCCGGGUCCGGCUCGAAGAGCCAAGUAGGUGACCCGGGGACUUCGAUAGUCGGCCCAGGGACGUCAGCAGGCGGCUCGGGGACUUCCGUAGUUACGCCCGACCCGGGGACUGCCCCACUCGGCUCGGGGACUGCGGUAGUCGGCCCAGAGACUACACCAACACAACAGGCGGCGGUCGACUCAGCAUUUCACCGCCCAGCCCGCCCGCCCUGGUCGCAGUAGCCGUUUUGGCAAUAGAAGAAGUCGCAGCUCCGUCAUGGGCUCAAUACAUCCUCAACUUCCUAAUAAACCAAUAUCUGCCGGCUGACGAAGUAGAGGCAAGACAUGUCCAAUGCCAAGCCGGAGCAUACACAAUCGUCAACAGAUAACUCGUCAAGCGCAGUGUCACUGGAGUCCUCCAGCGAUGCGUUGAGCAAGAGAAGGGCAUUGCAAUCCUCAGAGACAUCCACCAAGGAGAAUGCGGCCACCAUGCGGCCUCAAGAUCACUCGUCGCCAAAGCCUUCCGCCAUGGUUUCUUUUGGCCGACUGCUUUGGAUGACGCCAAGGAGUUAGUUAAACAUUGCAAAGGGUGCCAACUCUUCAGCUCCAAGCAACACAUGCCGGCUUCAGCACUCAAGACCAUUCCUGGCCCUUCGCCGUUUGGGGACUGGACAUGGUGGGCCCAUUCAAGACGGCGCGCGGCGGCAUGACACAUCUGCUUGUCGCCGUGGACAAAUUCACCAAAUGGAUUGAAGCAAAGCCGAUCAAGAAGCUGAAUGGGCCGACUGCCGUCACAUUUAUCGCAGAUAUAACAACUCGGUACGGCAUGCCACACAGCAUCAUCACCGACAAUGGCACGAAUUUUGCCAAGGGAGCCUUGGCACGUUUCUGCGCAAUGCAAGGCAUCCGCUUGGACCUAGCGUCCGUCGCCCACCCGCAGUCAAACGGCCAGAUCGAGCGAGCCAACGGCCUCAUCCUUUCCGGCAUCAAGCCCCGACUGAUCGUACCACUGGAGCAUUCAGCCGGCUGUUGGCUCGAUGAGCUGUCGGUUGUCCUCUGGAGUCUGCGCACUACACCAAACAAGUCAACCGGCUUCACCCCUUUCUUCCUCGUGUAUGGUGCCGAGGUGGUCAUCCCAACUGACAUCGAGUUCGACUCGCCUCGGGUAACCAUGUACACGGAACCAGAGGCCAAGGAAGCACGAGAAGACGGCGUCGACCUGCUGGAAGAAGGCCGUCUGUUAGCCCUCAGCCGGUCCGCCAUCUAUCAGCAGGGCCUGCGCCGCUACCACAGCCGGAAGGUAGAGCCAAGAUCCUUCCAAGAGGGCGAUCUUGUGCUUCGGCUGAUCCAGCGAACAGCCGGCCAGCACAAGCUCUCGGCACCUUGGGAGGGCCCCUUCGUCAUCAGCAGAGCCUUAGGCAAUGACUCCUACUACCUGAUCGACGCGCAGAAGCCGAAGGCACGAAAGAGAGACGACUCCGGCAAGGAGUUGGAACGACCAUGGAACGCCAACCUCCUCCGAAGGUUUUACAGCUGAAAUACAGUAUGUAUCACACUAUCUUUUGUACUAAGUACGAGACAAUAGGCCCCCCGAGGAGAGCUCGGGGACUGCCAUCUUUUAUCUAUGAAUGAAGAGUAUCAUGCUUAUGACCUUAUCAUUACAUUUACUUGUUCCGUCCGGCACCGGGUUCGACUAGUCCCAAAAAUAUUGGCAUGGAAUAAUAAAAAAUUAUAGAUACGACGGAGACGUAUCAUGCCCAAAGUGCGAGGACCCUACAGGUUUUUGCACCCUUGGCGAGACGCCGGACUUGUUCCUUCUCAUCCUAACGAAGGAUUUUAAAACGCGCACAAUAUGUUCCUAGAAUCCUCUUUUCUAUCCAGGAGAGUGGGGUUUUUUGAACAUGCUAUCGACUAAUUUGGAAAUUUGGAUUGCUAUAUUUGGAUAAAAGGUACUAGUACCAUGGUCAACACUGACGUGAAGGAGAAAAUUAUUUCUAGAUUUGGAUAUAGGGAAUACAUUGUGUUUUCAUAUUAUUUUUCCUGCAGUGUAUUCCUUGCUCUCCUAGAACACAUGUACUCAAGAUGCUCGGCCUUGCCAUAACUGAAUACACCAGUUUAAUGGUCAUAGUGAAGACAAGCCAUGGAUAUAAGUUUCGAGUUGGGUUCAUGAACCAAGAAGAUCGCUGUUUUUUUAUGGCCGAACUUGGAUAAACUUUAUCAAGUGUUAUGGACCGAAAGUUGGCGCACGAAUGUUGAUAGAAAUAGCAGAACCUGGUCUCAUCUUCAUUGCGAUCUUCCACCCCGACGUCGUUCCAAUUGUUCAUCCAUGUUAGGUUUGUAUCUGGUUCUUGCUGCUUGCCUCGAUUACUUCUUAAUCCACCUAUUCUAUCUAACUAAUCACAAUUUAACUUUAGAAGUAGCAACGAAUCUCUCACGAAGAUGCUACUUCUAACUAAUAUUUUCUUAUAAUUGGUGGUACAUGUAGGUUUUUUCAGAGUUAAGUAGGCUACUCGUUUGUUAUUCUAUAAGAACUCGGCUGUUACUCAUGGCACUGAAGCUUACUUGGAUGACAUCCACAAGUUCCUACAGUUUAUUGAUCGUCUUGAGGUCCUUGUGGGGUGUUUCAAUGGUGGAAGGCCACAUGGGAUAUGUGUGUCACUACUGCACUCAUUGAACAGGUCCAAUUGUGUUGAGAAACUUAUUGUACGAGUUGUUUUCUGUUAUAUAUGUUGUUCAUAAACUCUUGCUUAUGCACAUUUUUACAGCUGUGAUCUUCUUGAAACAGGAACUGCCCAGGUCUAUUAUUCCUAUACAGAUGCCUGACCAUGGUUGGGUCAGACUUGCGGUUGGUCACAACAUGAUGUUUAUGUCGACCUACUCCAUUCCGCUUGGAGGUGAAAAGAUACUUAUUCAUGAGUGGUCUCAAAUAAUGAAGGCCCGUCCAUCUUGGAGAAUAGGACAGAAGAUUAUGUUCCUGCUUUUCCAUGGUUCUAAAGCGAAUAUCAUGUUUAUUGACCACAUUGCGAGAUGAAGCCGCUUUCAAUAGGUUGUGGAUGCGCGGGGUGGCGCCUGGGCCUUGUCCUGGGGCUUGGCGGCCUCACCCUUUGGUUAGCUGUAGGCAAAGUAGCACUGUUCGAGGCGUGCUUUGUAUGGUUGAACUUGUAUAAGUACUCACACUGCUUUCAGCUAUGGUUGUUAAGUGCCCCUACCGGUUUCAGUUAAGGUUGUUAAGUACUCUUGCUGCUUUUACAGUUUGUCGUGUUUCUUCAAUCCUAUCUUCCUCCAGCCGCCAAAACCAAACCAGCGCCGGCGGGGCUGCCUGCUUCUGCCUCCCACUGCUGGCUGCGCCUCACCGCACGCAUCGCCACCCCACCGUCUCCUAAAUCAUUAACGCCGACCUCCGAGGCCUCUCCAUCCUCCUCCAUGCGCUUUGCAGUGCUUGCCGCGGCGCCUCCCUCUCGCGUUGUCAACAUGGUCAACAAACAAGAGGAAUCGGCAGAGGACUGUACGUGGAGAGGAUUACAGUAGGGGGCCACCAUGUCCAUGGUCUGAGGCAAGGAAGUUCCUCAUUUUUUGUUAUAUAUAUAUACUCCAUUGUCAGCGUACGGCAAAAUAAAAUGCUUCCUGCUAGUGGUUUCCUGACAUCUUGGACCCACGACAUUGUCAGCGUAUAUAGUCAAUAGACAAGAGAACAGCACAAGAUCGGCUGACACCUGGGACGUAGCUAGUCGAGCAGUAUUUUUUUGUUAUUGUUGAGACGGAGCAGGGUUUGAAUUGGGUUGUGGCCCGUCUAGCCCAGGCUUAUAUUUUAUGUUCACCACAUGACCAGCCCAACUAUUUUUUGUUUGUAAAAAUGAGCCCAGUGUAUUUUUUUAAGAAUACCCAAUAUAGGCCUACUUAUUUUUCUACGCCCUGAUGGGCUGCAACUCUUUCAAGACGCCUGCAAAUCUUGAAAGUAAUAUGAAAUGGGCUAUAAAUAUAAAAAACAGAUGACAAAUUGGCAAUUACUUUAUAAUUUCUGAUUUUUUUUCACAUUUUCAGAUUCCAAUUUCACUGGGCUUUAACCUAAUUCAAAUAUAGAUUGAAAGUACUUUAAAUCUGGCUCGACAUUUCGGUAUUAAAAAUAGUUUGGAACCAACAGAAAUAUGCGAAAUUUCAUUUAAUAGCCAAAAAAAAUGGACUGCAAUAAAUUUCAUAAGAAGUUGCAAUGAGCUAUAUAUAAAUUAUUAAAAAAAUAGGGAAUGAUAUGACUUGUGGGCCUAUUAAGUUGACGCGGAUGCAAGAUUUUUUUACUUAUUAUAUACGACAACAAACGAUUCUAGAAGACGUAACUGUUGGAUGUCAAUCCAACAGCCAUCGCGUUUCUUCAAUCUCUGAUCUUCUUGCUCCAGCCGCCAAAUCCAGCACCGGUGGGACCGCCUGCUCCCGCCUCCCGUGGCCGGCUGUGCUGCCGUAAAGGCCUCACCGCCCCCUACUACUCCCACCAUUGGCCAGGCCAUCCCUCUACUCACCCACAUCCCUCCACUAUUGUGGCUUCACCGCCUCCGAGUCAUUCCCUUCCUGGGUCUCGCCGUCGUUCAUCGCGUUGGUGUUCUCGGCAUGGCGUGGUCAAUGUUAUCAACAAACGACAACAUCGGAAGAGGGACGUACAUGGAGAGGCUGACAGUUGGGACCCACAUGGUCCAUGUCCGCAGGCAAGCAAGUACCUCCUUAUUACGCCAAAAAGAAUGAAUACUCCCGCUGACAGCUCGGACCCACCAGCUAUAUCUUCGCACUCAAGGAAGUGCCUCCUUAUUACGCACAAAAAAAUGAAUACUCCCCCUGCUUGCUGGGACCCACCAUAGUGGGAGGCUAACUUGUGGGCCUACUAAGUUGAUGCGGAUGGAGGGCUUUGUCAAUUUAGUCAACAAACGAUUCUAUCACCAAUAACCGUUGGAUUGUUAACAUCCAACGGUCGUCCUGCUUCUUCAACCUAUGAUUUUCUUGCUCCAGCCGUCCAAACCACCGCGUGCUCUUGCCAACCGUGGCCGGCUAGGCUGCCAUGGAGGCCUCACCGCCCUCUACUACUCCCACCACUGGCCAGGACCUACGGCGAUGGCAGCCUCACACCGCAGCCGAACCAGUGAACCCUAGUACUCCUCUCCGCGUGGGCAUCCACUGCCGCGUCUUCCCCGGCUCCACGUCAUUCCCUUCCUAGGCCUCGCCGUCGUCCCCCGCCUUGGUGCUCUCGACAUGGCAUGGUCAAUGUGAUAAACGAACGACUUCCAUCGGAGGAGUACUGUAUGUUGAGAGGCUGAUAGUUGGGUCCAUGGCCGCAUCAAGGAAGUGCCUCCUUAUUACACGCAAAAUAAUUAUUCAUCCACCUGACAGUAGGGACCCACCUAACGGGCCACCGUAUUUCAGGAAAAAAGUUCCCCCCUUGACUGCUGUGACCCACCAGCUACAUCUUCGCAUGCAAGGAAGUGUAUCCAUAUUACGGGAAAAAAUGAUUCGCCCCCCAGACUGCUGGGACCCACCAGCUACAUCUUCACACGCAAGGAAGUGCAUGACAGUCGGGACCCAACUGGUCGAAGUGUACGUAGCGUUGUCACUCUGGUCGGAACCAUCUUCGCAUGCAAGAAAUUUAUGGUUUCCCAUCUUGAUACCGACAUUCGGAACCAUCAUGCUAAAGCUCAAACGCUUAGCCAGAGAAACAACUUGCAAUGCUUUAGAUAAUGCCUCAGUGUCAAAAUUGUGCUUCAAUGCAAAUGGAUAUGACAUGAAAGAAUGCGAUGCACCAGAAUCAAAUAAGACUUUUGCAUGAAUAUCAUUAACUGGAAGAUUACCCAUGAUCACUUGAGAAGAAUCCUCUGCUUGAGCUGCAUUCACCAUGUUUACCCUUGCAGACUUGGAAUUAUUCUUGACCACUGCAUUGCUUGAAGAUCUCAUGGGAGGAGGAGGCGGAAGACGCCUUUGGUUGAAGCACUUGUUUGCAUAGUGACCAUUCUAAUGACACUUGUUGCAAGUCACCUUUGAGAGCAGACGAUGAUAAGGAGCACUUGACCUUGGAGCUUGAGUCUGAGACUUGUUCCAAUAGCCUAGGUUGGGUGGGUGGGAAGAUCCAUGGCCACCUUUGCUCUUUUGCUGGUAGGGCUGACGAAACGGAGGAGGAGGAAGCCAGAACUUCUGUUGCUUAGCUGCCACUUGUGAGGAAGAAGACCGGACUGCAUCCUUGAUUCUCUUCUUAGAAGCCUCACACUUCAGCUGAGAACCUUCUUGCUUGAGGGACAUGUUAUAGAAUUGAUCGAACUUAGUCGGCUCAAUGAGAAUGAGAGCUAACUGCAGAUCUUCUCUGAGGCCACCUCUAAUUGAUAGAUCAUGCUAUUUUCAUUAGGAACGUCUUGUUUAGCGAAGCGAGCAAGUUUCUGAAACUGGAUAUUGUAUUGAUACACGGACAUGGUGCCUUGGUUGAGAUUGCGAAAUUCCUCAUGCUUGCUCUCAGGAACACUUGUUGGGAUAUGAUGAGCUUUGAAGUCUCGGCAGAAAUCAUCCCAGGUAAUCACACGACCUUUGUCGGUGUCACAACCGGCGGAUCUCGGGUAGGGGGUCCCGAACUAUGCGUCUAAGGCGGAUGGUAACAGGAGGCAGGGGACACAAUGUUUACCAAGGUUCGGGCCCUCUUGAUGGAGGUAAUACCCUACGUCCUGCUUGAUUGUUCUUGAUGAUAUGAGUAUUAGAAGAGUUGAUCUACCACGAGAUCAAAGAGGCUAAACCCUAGAAGCUAGCCUAUGGUAUGAUUGUAUGUUGCCCUAUGGACGAAAACCCACCGGUUUAUAUAGACACCGGAGGAGGCUAGGGUUACACAAGGUCAGUUACAAAGGAGGAGAUAUACAUAUCCGUAUUGCCUAGCUUGCCUUCCACGCCAAGUAGAGUCCCAUCCGGACACGGGACGAAGUCUUCAAACUUGUAUCUUCAUAGUCCAACAGUCCGGCCAAAGGAUAUAGUCCGGCUGUCCGGAGACCCCCUAGUCCAGGACUCCCUCAGUAGCCCCUGAACCAGGCUUCAAUGACGAUGAGUCCGGCGCGCAAUGUUGUCUUCGGCAUUGCAAGGCGGGUUCCUCCUCCGAAUACACCAUUGAAGAUUUUUAAUAUAAGGAUAGUGUCCGACCCUGCAAAAUAAGUUCCACACACCAUCGUAGAGAGAAUAAUAUUUCCACGAAUCUAAUCUGUUGACACGUUUAGACAGCAUGACAUCAUGCCAUGGCCCGGUUUUUAUUCAAAACGCUUUUCUUAACCAGCUCCCCACAUAUCGCGAGGCGGUUUUCUUGACAUGUCUUGUCAAAGCAGAUAUUGUGUUCCCCUUAUCACGGGAUUCUCAUCAAUACGGACAUGGGUAACCCAACCGCGCCAUCAAUUACGGCGCCUGGGGAAUAAGCGGUUUUGCUAGGCAAGUGAGGAGGCACAUUGCCUCUUCCGCCCUUAUAAAAGGGACAAAGAUUUACUUUUUUCACCCACGCCUUCUUCCUCCUCGCUUACCCAUUCCCGCACACUCGAGCUCUAGCGCCCAAGCUCGCGUUCUUCUUCUCGAACCACUCCAAGCAUGUCUGGAGCAGGAGGCAAGUGGAUGGUCUCCUACGUCACAGAGGAGAACAUCAAAGAGUUACGGGAAGCCGGAUACCUGGCUGCGGAUAUUGCGGACCGACUGCCGAAUGCGGGGCAGAUCGUCCCAAUGCUCGAACCCCAUGAGAGGGUAGUUUUUCUUACCCAUUUCGUCCAUGGACUGGGAUUCCCUCUCCACCCAUUCGUGCACGGGCUCAUGUUCUACUACGGGCUAGAUUUUCAUGAUCUGGCCCCCAAUUUCAUCCUCAACAUCUCGGCGUUUAUCAUCGUGUGCGAGGCCUUCCUUCGCAUCAGGCCCAACUUCGGCCUAUGGCUAAAAACUUUCAAUGUCAAACCGAAGGUGGUGGGAGGCCAGCAAGCAGAGUGCGGAGGCGCCAUAGUGGGCCAGAUGCCUAAUGUCACCUGGCUUGAGGGCACCUACGUGGAUACCAUAAAGGGGUGGCAAUCGGGGUGGUUCUACAUCACCAAGCCGCGUGACUCCAACCGGGUGGCGGCCCCCAAAUUUCAAUCCGGAAUCCCCACGCGGCUCACCUCCUGGAAAAAGAAGGGUCUGUCCUAGGGUUCUUCGGUAGAGCUGACCGGACUCCAGACCUGCAUCCAGAACAUGACGAGCAGAAAACUCAAGCUUGUCAAUGUGGUCCAGGUUAUGCUCUUCCGCCGGAUCCUUCCGUGCCAAAGACGGGUAUUCAAUUUGUGGGAGUUCGACUCGGCCAAGCACCAGACGCUGUGAGAGCUCUAUGACACGACACACGAGGACGUCUGGAGGGUGCUGUUCAAGAGUGCCGAGAUGCCUCCCUCCCUCACCGAGGACCGCAGACUCAGCGCAAAGCGCCACGCCAAUCCGGUAGGUUUUUAUAUCUCGCAGGGUAUUUAUUUGCCCCGGUUUAGUUGUGUGCAGGAUCUGAACUUCCAUGUCAUUAACAGGACAAGGCCCAAUACGAAUUCCCGUAACUCCUCGGUACUCCCGAAAAUACCCGAAUCACUCAGAACCUUUCCGAUGUCCGAAUAUAGUCGUCCAAUAUAUCGAUCUUUACGUCUCGACCAUUUCGAGACUCCUCAUCAUGUCCACGAUCUCAUCCGGGACUCCGAACUCCUUCGGUACAUCAAAACACAUAAACUCGUAAUAUAACCGUCAUCGAACUUUAAGCGUGCGGACCCUAUGGGUUCGAGAACUAUGUAGACAUGACUGAGACACGUCUCCGGUCAAUAACCAAUAGCGGAACCUGGAUGCUCAUAUUGGCUCCUACAUAUUCUACGAAGAUCUUUAUCGGUCAAAUCGCAUAACAACAUACGUUGUUCCCUUUGUCAUCGGUAUGUUACUUGCGCGAGAUUCGAUCGUCGGUAUCUCAAUACCUAGUUCAAUCUCGUUACCGGCAAGUCUCUUUACUCGUUGCAUAAUACAUCAUCCCGCAACUAACUCAUUAGUUGAAAUGCUUGCAAGGCUUAUAGUGAUGUGCAUUACCAAGUGGGCCUAGAGAUACCUCUCCGACAAUCGGAGUGGCAAAUCCUAAUCUCGAAAUACGCCAACCCAACAAGUACCUUCAGAGACACCUGUAGAGCACCUUUAUAAUCACCCAGUUACGUUGUGACGUUUGGUAGCACACAAAGUGUUCCUCCAGUAAACAGGAGUUGCAUAAUCUCAUAGUCAUAGGAACUUGUAUUAGUCAUGAAGAAAGCAAUAGCAACAUACUAAACGAUCAAGUGCUAAGCUAACGGAAUGGGUCAAGUCAAUCACAUCAUUCUCUAAUAAUGUGACCCCGUUAAUCAAAUGACAAAUCAUGUCUAUGGCUAGGAAAGCUAACCAUCUUUCAUUCAACGAGCUAGUCAAGUAGAGGCAUACUAGUGACACUCUGUCUGUCUAUGUAUUCACACAUGUAUUAUGUUUCCGGUUAAUACAAUUCUAGCAUGAAUAAUAAACAUUUAUCAUGAAAUUAGGAAAUAAAUAAUAACUUUAUUAUUGCCUUUAGGGCAUAUUUCCUUCACAACCAUUCUUAGGGAUUUAUCCUUCUUCUCAACCAAAAGCACAGGGGCUCCCCAUGGUGAUGAACUCCGUCGAAUGUAACCUUUCUCCAAUAACUCCUUGAUCUAUUUCUUAAUCUCCUCCAGAUCAUUCGCGAGCAUCCUAUAGGGUCUCUUGGAUGUCGGCCCUGUGCCUGGCAAUAGCUCUAUCAAAAAUUCAAUAUCUCGGUCCGGUGGCAUGCCUGGUAACUCCUCUGGGAAAACAUCUGGUAAUCCUUUACUACAGGCACUUCUUCCUGAACAACUCCCAUGAGGGUAUUUACUUGGCUACUUCUUGGCGCAUGCCUUGAUACAUACUUGAUCCUUCUUCCCUCCGGGGUGGUGAGACAAAUUGACUUACUAACACAGUCAAUGCUUCCUCCGUACUUCGACAUCCAUUCCAUUCCUAAUAUCACAUCCAAUCCUUGUGACUCAAAAAUAAUUAGGUCGAACGGAAAAACAUGGUUGCCAAUGGUUAAGGGUAUCUGGUCGCACCAUCGACUAGCCAUAUACUCUGCUAAAGGUGAGCUUACUAACAGAGGGGUCCUAAGGGUUUGGGUCGGUAGUUUAAACUUAUCCCCGAAUUCCCUUGAUAUGUAUGAAUGCGAUGCACCAGUAUCAAAAAGAACAAGAGCGGUAAAUGACUUAACCAAAAACUUACCUAUAACCCCGUCUGGCUGCUCUUCAACCUCCUCCACGUUAACGUGGUUCACUUGUGCUUUGUUGAAUGGAUUGGGCUUCUUCCCAGCGCUCCCAUUUCCGUUUCCAUUCUUCCCUUCAGGGAAAUCCGUGGCAUAGUCUCCAGUCCUCCCGCACUUGAAACAAGUAACGUGGCUUAGGUCUUUCUUGGUGGGUGUGGCUAGAUUGGGGCGGUUCUGAUUGUUGCUUGCUCCAUUCCCAUUCCCAUUCCUAGGGCCAGUAUUAUUAUGGUUACUUCCUCAAUUAUGGGUGUGGCCUCCAUGGUUAUGAACAUGUCCUCCCGAGUUCGGGGUUAGACGAGGCUUCUGCUGAGCUCCCGAGUUAUAACUCCCUUGUCCAUACUUCCUCUUACGGCUCUCAAUUUGCUGCUGCUUCCCUUCAAUCAUAAGAGACUUAUUUACCAACUCCUGGUAGUUGGUGAAUGUUGCCACCAUCAACUACAUACUCAUCUCAUCAUUCAGCCCUUCCAUAAACUUCUCCUGCUUUGCGGCAUCUGUGGCCACAUCAUCAGGGGCAUAGCGAGAUAACUUGCUAAACUCAUCCGCGUACUGAGCCACAGUAUGGUUCCCGUGCCGUAAGUUGCGAAACUCAUGCUUCUUCAAAUUCAUGGCUCCAGUUGAGACAUGGGCUAUACGGAAGGCUUUCUAAAAUUGGUCCCAUGUCACCGUGGCUAUAGGGUAGGUGACGGUAUAAUUCUCCCACCAUGAUGCUGCUGGUCCAUCCAACUGAUGUGCGGCAAAAUGCACCUUCUCAGCAUCAGUACAUCCUGCAGUGGUUAACUCCCUUCCAAUCCUGCGGAGCCUAUCAUCUGCUACUAUAGGCUCGGUGCUACUGAAAAACACCGGCGGCUGCAACCUCUGAAAAUGGGCUAAGUUGUCCACUGGUGGUGGUGGUGGUGGAUUGUUGUUGUUGUUGUUGUUGUUGUUGUUGCCUUGGUUCUGAACUAACAACUAUAUCAGGGUAUUCUAUUGCUGGAUCAACUGAGUGAGCUCCGGUGGGAAAGAAAAUCCGGGGUCACAUCUCGGAGGCAUCUGAUGGGCUUAGUGGGAGAGAUUAGAAUAGAAUGAGGUCUAAUGAGAAAGAACUACCCAUAUGCACAUGAGACAAACACAAACAUUUCACUCAAUCAAUCAAGCCAGGCAUACAAUCGGUCUAACUAUCGUAAAAGUGCUCGGACUAUACUAUUUACAUGGUGGAAUACUACUACUGAAGUGGUGGUCUACUAAAAAUAUUCCUCAGUUGCAGACUCCAUGAUAUCUGCUCCAGCUUCGUCUUCAAUGUCAUCAUCGCUAAGGUCGAAGUCGGUGUCGUCGAUGAUGAUGUAGUCUUCCGGGCGAUUCUCCUUGGGUUCUUCGUCUUCUUCUACUGGUGUGGGGUCUCCCAUGAAUAUUCUGAUCUUUUUAAUCAGGUUGUCAUUCUUCUCCACUAGUAUGACGAUUUCCUCCUCAUAAUCUUCACGUGUAGCCUUGAGUUCUUCCUCCAGUUCUGCGAUCCUAGUCAUUGCCUUCUUCAGAUCUAUCAUGCCUGCGCACAUUUGGUUCUCCUAGCGUCGAAUGUGCUGGUUUAGUUCCUGGAUGAAAGCUGCAAUUGAUCUAUCCUUCCUGGUGCUGAUCAUCUCCCAUUCCUCAUCUCGGCACCCACAGAUCUGGUAGAUAGUAUCCUUAAGCUCCUUUUGGUAAACUUCUCCAAUGCGUCCCAUGGCGAUGUGAGCUGCCAUACUCUUUCCUAAACUCUAGGUUGGUGCAUCGAAGGAAAACUCUUUGGGUUUAGUGACUGGCAUGAAGGUUCUUCCUAGAACUUGAACUUGAAUCAUCCAUCGCUCCUCUUCUGGUAAAGUGGCGUUGUAGGUCCCAGUGAAGCUUGGUAUUCCUAUGUUCAGGUACCUUGUGACUUCCUUCAAGUGUCGUCCAAAAGGUGCUUCUUCAUCCGCUUGUGCAAACUUGUUCCUUGCAUCCGCCAUCCUAAAGAGUGGAAAAUGGAGAGGAGUCAGAAAUGAGAAGAGAAUAGUGAUCUAUGGUUUUAGCUUAGUGGUCAUGUCCUACACUCAGCGUGUGCUCAGAUACCAUCUUGUAGCGACCCGGCCUCAAACGGCCAAGUCUCUGUGCUUUAGUGUCAUCCUUGGAUCGGUAAUGCUGACACACAUAGUACUCGAGGAUUUAUAACAGAGUAGCAAUCACACACUUAUUACAUCGAAUGUCUCCAAAGAGAACUUAUUACAAUAAAUAUGUCUUAAGGCCAUCUAAUACGAUAACAGCGGAAGGCUUGGAAGAUAAAGUGAGUCCAUCAACUCCAACGGCAUAGCUGAGCUGCACGGCAACGACCUAACGAACCUUACUCCUCGUCUGAAAAGUCUGCAACAUAAUACGUUGCAGCCCGAAAACGGGUCAGCACAUGGAAUAUGCUGGCAAAGUAACACAAUAGAGCAAGAACUGAAUAAUGUUAUCACUACAUGCAUAUUUGGCUGGUGGAAAGCUCUAUGCUUAUAGUUUUUGCGAAAAGCCAAUUUUUCCCUACAACAAAGGAAUAGAUUUUAAUUUAACUAUCAUGGUAGUUGAAACAUCAUUGAGAAGGUUCCUCCAACUCAAUCCCAAUUAAGGUAAUUAUCAACCCAACAACAUUAAUUUAGAGUGAUGAGAUACUUAAGAUACUCCAAGUACUAGAUACUCAAGAUGUCCAUAACCGGGGACAUGACUAACCAUGAUUAGUUUGUACACUCUGCAGAGGUUUGUGCACUUUUCCCCACAAGACUCGAUCGCCUCCAUUGGAUUUCUCGCACUAAAUGGUGGUUGAGAAACGGAUGACCGAGACACAGUCUUUCAGAAACAUUAACUCUCUACUCCGGGCAGACCAUACCAAACCUACAACCCACUACCUGCUGAUCCACCUCUUCAAGAGCUUCACGUAACUUACUCAACUAUGCUAGAGCCCAUAAAAGCUUGUGGCUGCACACGGAAGUUUCUAGCAUGAAUAAUCUCAGUUCCCUUUGAGCCUGGGUGGCGGUCCAUAGGAAGAUCACACGGGUACUCCGGGAUUUCCAAAUGUGUAUUUAAGUUGCCACCUUAAGUUGAACCAUUAAUUAACAAUCUCACAUCUGUCAUGGAUUUCACUCACCCAAACCACGUCUACGAGCAUAGCAUAGCAAUAUAAGCAAUUCGUAAGAGUAACUCCCAAGGGUUUGAAUGUAACAGGGUAACAGGUUCUACCUCAUCAACUACUUCCCAACCCACAUGUUAAUGACAUCCUAACCAUGCAAUGUUUGGGGAUUGGAACUAAUGCAUAAAAACUGGGUGAUAAAGGGGUAUCAUCAAAGUGUUACUUGCCUUGCUGACGAUCCGCGUAACCUAGAGACUCCAAAUAACAUGCUUCACACUCCGGGAAUUCUAUCGCAAACAAACAAUAGCAUACAUAAGCAAUCAAGCAUAGAAGCACGGGUAAAACUCAAAUAAGAAGAUGUAACCAGAAAGUUGAACUUAAGAACUCCGGUUUGCAAAAAGAAUCAAAUCGAACGGAGCAACGAAACUCAAACGGUGAAAGAAACAAGAUCCGUUUAAUAAUCUGGACCUAGGUCAACUUUUACAGUAGCAAAAACUUGUGCAAGUUGGUUAAGCGGAAAGAGGGUCUCGAGACGAAGAUCUAGGCGCUUGAAUCGCCUGAUUCCGAUUAACGAGCAAAAAGAUAAACUAGAACGAAAAUUGGAUCAGAAAUCGCGAUCAGAAAUAACCGUGAAAAAAAUUCGAUGAAAGAAAACUGACGAAUAGGCUAACGAACGAGCAUUCAUUAUCUGUAACUAACGAGCGAAAACCGUUCGUUAAAACAAAUGUACGGACGAACGUCCGCUAAAAAGAAAAACCGGGAAAAACCGGCAAACCUAAAAAAACGAGUUAGAGUUUCUUAAAAAAACCGGAUCCAUUUUCUUUAAAAAAACGGUGGCUACCUCGUCGGUCCGGCGAGGCACGGCGGCGACGGCGAGGCGAGGCGUGGCGACGGCACGGCGGGGCAGCGGUGCGGCACUUUAGCNNNNNNNNNNNNNNNNNNNNNNNNNNNNNNNNNNNNNNNNNNNNNNNNNNNNNNNNNNNNNNNNNNNNNNNNNNNNNNNNNNNNNNNNNNNNNNNNNNNNNNNNNNNNNNNNNNNNNNNNNNNNNNNNNNNNNNNNNNNNNNNNNNNNNNNNNNNNNNNNNNNNNNNNNNNNNNNNNNNNNNNNNNNNNNNNNNNNNNNNNNNNNNNNNNNNNNNNNNNNNNNNNNNNNNNNNNNNNNNNNNNNNNNNNNNNNNNNNNNNNNNNNNNNNNNNNNNNNNNNNNNNNNNNNNNNNNNNNNNNNNNNNNNNNNNNNNNNNNNNNNNNNNNNNNNNNNNNNNNNNNNNNNNNNNNNNNNNNNNNNNNNNNNNNNNNNNNNNNNNNNNNNNNNNNNNNNNNNNNNNNNNNNNNNNNNNNNNNNNNNNNNNNNNNNNNNNNNNNNNNNNNNNNNNNNNNNNNNNGCGCGGCAGCUUGGGCGGCGGCUGCGGCGGCUUGGGCUGCGGGGCGAGGUGGGGCGGCGGUGGCGGGUGGUGGGGGCGGUAUUUAAGGCGAGGGGGUGCCUUGGGGAGGGGGCAAAGGGGCGGCGGCGGCGGAGUCCUAGCCGGACUUCGGUCCGGGUUGGGGCGUCGCGGCGUCGGUCUCCUGCGGCAGACAGCGUCGCGGGGGAGGUGGGCCGGCGGCUGGGCUUCGACCCAGUUAGCCACGCCCUUUUUUAAUAUAAUUCCGCUGAUACAAAAAAAUCCUAGAAAAUAAAAUAAAAUUCUAAAAAUGCCAAAACAAAUUUUCUCCGUCUAAAUAAAAUAUUUAGAAUGAGAUGAACAUUUUCUUGGCCCUAAAAUGCAAUUUUGAAAAUGUGCAUUUUUUCUAAUGCAAACAAAAAUUGCAAAUAAAAUCCAAAUAAAAACAAAUAUUGAUUUUAUUUUUUUCUCCAAUAGUUCAUUUAUUUUGGAGAAGUCAUAUUAUCUCCUCUCAUAUAUUUUAAUAUGAAAUAUUUUCGGAGAGAAAAAGAAUUAAAACCAAAAAUCCUCGUUUCAAAAUUUGAUAAAAAUCAAAUUUGAAAACCGGGGAAAUCCCCAACUCUCUCCGAGGGUCCUUGAGUUGCUUAGGAUUUCGAGGAUCGUGAGACGAAAUGCAAUAAAAUAUGAUAUGCAAGAAUGAUCUAUGUAUAACAUUCCAAAUUGAAAAUUCGGGAUGUUACAAACCUACCCCCUUAAGAUGAAUCUCGCCCUUGAGAUUCGGGUUGGCUAGAAAAUAGGUGUGGGUGGUUUUUGCGAAGAUCAUCCUCUCAUUCCCAAGUGGCUUCAUCCUCGGUAUGGUGGCUCCACUGAACUUUGCAAAACUUAAUAACCUUUUUGCGGGUGACUCGACUGGCAAAGUCCAAAAAUCUUGACUGGCUUCUCCUCAUAAGUCAAGUCAUUGUCCAACUGAAUCGCCUCCAAGGGUACGGUAUCUCUUAGCGGUAUGUCGGCCAUCUCAAUAUGGCACUUCUUCAACUGGGAAACGUGAAACACAUCGUGAACUCCUGAUAGUCCUUCAGGUAACUCCAACUUGUAGGCAACUUCUCCCAUCCAUUCCUAAACACUAUACGGUCCUACAAAUCUCGGGGCUAACUUUCCCUUAACUCCAAAACGUUUCACUCCUCGCAAAGGUGAUACUCGCAGAUAUGCUCUAUCUCCAAUUUCAUAGGUUACCUCCUUGCAUUUCAAAUCUGCAAAACUCUUCUGUCUGGACUGAGCUAUCUUCAGUCUAUCCCGAAUCAGUUUAACCUUCUCCUCGGGCUCUUUGAUCAAGUCUGGUCCAAACAACUAUCGGUCUCCAACUUCAUCCCACAUCAACGGUGUUCUGCACCUUCGGCCGUAUAGGGCUUCAAACGGUGCCAUUUUCAAACUGGCUUGGUAACUAUUGUUGUAUGAGAACUCUGCGUAAAGCAAAUUGUCAUCCCAACUAGACCCAUAGUCUAGCGCACAGGCUCUCAACAUGUCCUCCAGAAUCUGGUUGACUCUCUCGGUUUGUCCGUCCGUCUGUGGGUGGAAUGUUGUACUGAACUCCAACCUUGUUCCCAAAGUCUGGUGCAGCUCAUGCCAAAAAUUUGAAGUAAAUUGUGUUCCUCUAUCCGACGCGAUGGUCCUCGGAACUCCAUGCAGACAUACGAUCCCGGUUAUAUAUAUCUUGGCCAACUUUGCACUGGUAUAAGUUGUUUUCACUGGGAUAAAGUGUGCCACUUUGGUCAAGCGGUCAACUACUACCCAUAUAGAAUCAUAUCCUGAUUUGGUCCUGGGUAAUCCGGUGAUAAAAUCCAUGCCAAGUUUAUCCCACUUCCAUUCGGGUAUGGGCAUAGGCUGUAGAAAUCCUGUUGGCUUUUGAUGCUCUGCCUUCACUCUCUGACAUACAUCACAUACGGCCACAUACUCGGCGAUAUCCUUCUUCAUCCCUGUCCACCAGAAACGUUCCUUCAAAUCCAAAUACAUCUUGGUGUUUCCGGGGUGUAUCGAGUAUGGUGAGUCAUGAGCCUCCUGAAGUAUUAACUUCCUGAUCUCAGUGUUAUUGGGCACAUAAACACGGUCCUCAAACCAUAAGGUGUCGUGCUCAUCCUCACUAAAACCUUUGGCCUUUCCUUCGCUCAUUUUCUCCUUUAUCUCGGCAAUCUCUUUGUCAUCCUUCUGAGCUUCUUGAAUUUUCCCCAACAAUGUAGACUGUACCUCCAUUGUUGCGACAAAACCCUCUAGGAACAAUCUCCAAUCGAAGUUCCCGGAGAUCCUCUGCUAACUCCUUCAUCAAUCCCGUGGUCUCUAGGGUAUUAGCAUAACUCUUUCGGCUCAAAGCGUCUGCUACGACAUUGGCCUUUCCUGGAUGAUAGUGAAGCUUCAUGUCAUAAUCCUUUAUAAGCUCCAACCAUCUUCUCUGCCUAUGGUUCAGUUCCUUCUGGGUGAAAAUGUACUUCAAACUCUUAUGAUCCGUGUACACAUCACAAUGAUUUCCAAUAAGGUAAUGUCUCCAACUCUUCAACGCAUGACCUACGGCUCCUAGCUCCAAAUCAUGCGUGGCAUAAUUUAACUCGUGCGGUUUUAGUUGUCGUGAGGCAUACGAAACAACUCUUCUGUCCUGCAUAAGCACACUUCCAAGUCCCAAGCGAGAGGCAUCACAAUACACUUGGAAAUCCUUACGUAUAUCUAGCAGUGUCAGCACUGGGGCUGUAGUCAAACGUUUCUUCAGAUCCUGGAAACUUGCCUCACAAUAUUCCCUCCAUUUAAACUUGGUAUCCUUCUUCAAUAACUCCAUCAUUGGUUUCGCAAUCUUGGAAAAAUUCUCAAUGAAUCUCCGAUAGUAUCAUGCGAGUCCAAGAAAAUUGCGGAUCUCGCUAACUGAAGUGGGUGCCAACCAUUCAGUGACUGACUGAACCUUGGUGGGGUCUACUGCUAUACCUCCUCCUGAUAUAGCGUGUCCAAGGAAUCCGACUUCCUUCAAUCAAAACUCGCAUUUGCUGAACUUGGCGUACAACUGAUGUUCCCUGAGUUUCUCGAGAACUAAACGCAAAUGCUCCUUGUGUUCUUCUUCAUUCUUCAAAUAUACCAUUAUAUCAUCAAUGAACACCACAACAAACUUAUCCAAAUAUUCCAUGAAUACUUUGUUCAUCAUGCUCAUGAAAUAGGCAGGGGCGUUAGUCAGUCCAAAUGACAUGACUAUAUAUUCGUAUAGCCCGUACCGUGUGGUGAAGGCUGUAUUUGGUAUAUCCUUCUCUUGUAUCUUCAACUGAUAAUAUCCUGAUCGCAGAUCGAUCUUCCAAAACACCUUAGCUCCUUGCAGCUGAUCAAAUAGAUCAUUGAUCAUCGGCAAUGGGUACUUGUUCUUAAUCGUCACUUCAUUCAAGGCUCGAUAAUCAACAACCAUUCUUAGGGAUUUAUCCUUCUUCUCAACCAAAAGCACUGGGGCUCCCCAUGGUGAUGAACUCCGUCGAAUGUAACCUUUCUCCAAUAACUCCUUGAUCUGUUUCUUAAUCUCCUCUAGAUCAUUCACGAGCAUCCUAUAGGGUCUCUUGGAUAUCGGCCAUGUGCCUGGCAAUAGCUCUAUCAAAAACUCAAUAUCUCGGUCCGGUGGCAUGCAUGGUAACUCCUCUGGGAAAACAUCCGGGUAAUCCUUUACUAUAGGCACUUCUUCCUGAACAACUCCCGUGAGGGUAUUUACUUGGCUUCUUCUUGGUGCAUGCCUUGAUACAUACUUGAUCCUUUUUCCCUCCGGGGUGGUGAGACAAAUUGACUUACUAACACAGUCAAUGAUUUCUUCCGUACUUCGACAUCCAGUCUAUUCCUAAUAUCACAUCCAAUCCUUGUGACUCCAAGAUAAUUAGGUUGGACAGAAAAACAUGGUUGCCAAUGGUUAAGGGUAUCUGGUCACACCAUCGACUAUCCAUAUACUCUGCUCCAGGUGAGCUUACUAACAGAGGGGUCGUAAGGGUUUGGGUCCGUAGUUUAAACUUAUCCACGAAUUCCCUUGAUAUGUAUGAAUGCGAUGCACCAGUAUCAAAAAGAACAAGAGCGGUAAAUGACUUAACCAAAAACUUACCUAUAACUGCGUCUGGCUGCUCUUCAACCUCCUCCACGUUAACGUGGUUCACUUGUCCUUUGUUGAAUGGAUUGGGCUUCUUCCCAGUGCUCCCAUUUCCAUUUCCAUUCUUCCCUUCAGGGCACUCCGUGGCAUAGUGUCCAGUCUUCCCGCACGUGAAACAAGUAACGUGGCUUAGGUCUCUCUUGGUGGGUGUGGCUGGAUUGGGGCGGUUCUGAUUGUUGCUUGCUCCAUUCCCAUUCCCAUUCCUAGGGCCAGUAUGAUUAUGGUUACUUCCUUUAUUAUGGGUGUGGCCUCCAUGGUUAUGAACAAGUCCUCCGGAGUUCGGGGUUAGACGAGGCUUCUGCUGAGCUCCCGAGUUAUACCUCCCUUGUCCAUACACCUCUUACGGCUCUCAAUCUGCUGCUUCUUCCCUUCAAUCAUAAGAGCCUUAUCUACCAACUCCUGGUAGUUGGUGAAUGUUGCCACCAUCAACUACAUACUCAUCUCAUCAUUCAGCCCUUCCAUAAACUUCUCCUGCUUUGCGGCAUCUGUGGCCACAUCAUUAGGGGCAUAGCGAGAUAACUUGCUAAACUCAUCCGCGUACUGAGCCGCAAUACGGUUCCUCUGGCGUAAGUUGCAAAACUCACGCAUCUUCAAAUUCAUGGCUCCAGUUGAGACAUGGGAUGUACGGAAGGCUUGCUGAAAUUGGUCCCAUGUCACCGUGGCUAUAGGGUAGGUGACAGUGUAAUCCUCCCACCAUGAUGAUGCUGGUCCAUCCAACUGAUGUGCGGCAAAACACACCUUCUCAGCAUCAGUACAUCCUGCAGUGGUUAACUCCCUUCCAAUCCUGCGGAGGCAAUUAUCUGCUACUAUAGGCUCGGUGCUACUAGAAAACACCGGCGGCUGCAACCUCAGAAAAUGGGCGAAGUUGUCCACUGGUGGUGUUGGUGGUGGAUUGUUGUUGUUGUUGUUGUUGCCUUGAUUCUGAACUAACAACUGCAUCAGGUUAUUCUAUUGCUGGAUCAACUGAGUGAGCUCCGGUGGGAAAGCAAAUCCGUGGUCACAUCUCGGAGGCAUCUGAUGGGUUUAGAGGGGAGAGAUUAGAAUGGAAUGAGGUCUAAUGAGAAAACACUACCCAUAUGCACAGGAGACAAACACAAACAUUUCACUCAAUCAAUCAAGCCAGGCAUACAAUCGGUCUAACUAUCGUAAAAGUGCUCGGCCUAUACUAUUUACAUGGUGGAAUACUACUACUGAUGUGGUGGUCUACUAAAAAUAUUCCUCGGUUGCAGACUCCAUGAUAUCUACUCCAGCUUCGUCUUCAAUGUCAUCAUCACUAAGGUCGGAGUCGGUGCCGUCGAUGAUGAUGUAGUCUUCCGGGCGAAUCUCCUUGGGUUCUUUGUCUUCUUCUACUGGUGUGGGGUCUCCCAUGAAUAUUCCGAUCUUUUUAAUCAGGUCGUCAUUCUUCUCCACUAGUACGACGAUUUCCUCCUCAUAAUCUUCACGUGUAGCCUUGAGUUCUUCCUCCAGUUCCGCGAUCCUAGUCACUGCCUUCUUCAGAUUUAUCAUGCCUGCGCGCAUUUGGUUCUCCUGGCGUCGAAUGUGCCGAUUUAGUUCCUGGAUGAAAGCUGCAAUUGAUCUAUCCUUCCUGGUGUUGAUCAUCUCCCAUUGCUCAUCUCGGCGCCCACAGAUCUGGUAGAUAGUAUCCUUAAGCUCCUUUUGGUAAACUUCUCCAAUGCGUCCCAUGGUGAUGUGAGCUGCCAUACUCUUUCCUAAACUCCAGGUUGGUGCAUCGAAGGAGAACUCUAUGGGUUUAGUGACUGGCGUGAAGGUUCUUCCUGGAACUUGAACUUGAAUCAUCCAUCGCUCCUCUUCUGGUAAAGUGGCGUUGUAGGUCCCGGUGAAGCUUGGUAUUCCUAUGUUCAGGUACCUAGUGACCUCCUUCAAGUGUCGUCAAAAAGGUGCUUCUUCAUCUGAUUGUGCACCCUUGUUCCUAGCAUUCGCCAUCCUAAAGAGUGGAAAAUGGAGAGGAGUCAGAAAUGAGAAGAGAAUAGUGAUCUAGGGUUUUAGCUUAGUGGUCGUGUCCUACACUCAGCGUGUGCUCUGAUACCAUCUUGUAGCGACCCGACCUCAAACGGCCAAGUCUCUAUGCUUCAGUGUCAUCCAUGGAUCGGUAAUGCUGACACACACAGUACUCGAGGAUUUAUAACAAAGUAGCAAUCACACACUUAUUACAUUGAAUGUCUCCAAAGAGAACUUAUUACAAUAAAUAUGGCUUAAGGCCAUCUAAUACGAUAACAGCGGAAGGCUUGGAAGAUAAAGUGAGUCCAUCAACUCCAACGGCAUAGCUGAGCUACACGGCAACGACCUAACGAACCUUACUCCUCGUCUGAAAAGUCUGCAACAUAAUACGUUGCAGCCCGAAAAGGGUCAGCACAUGGAAUAUGCUGGUAAAGUAACACAAUAGAGCAAGAAAAGAAUAAUGCUAUCACUACAUGCAUAGUUGGCUGGUGGAAAGCUCUAUGCUUAUAGUUUUUGCGAAAAGCCAUUUUUUCCCUACAACAAAGGAAUAGAUUUUAAUUUAACUAUCAUGGUAGUUGAAACAUCAUUGAGAAGGUUCCUCCAACUCAAUCCCAAUUAAGGUAAUUAUCAACCCAACAACAUUAAUUUAGAGUGAUGAGAUACUUAAGAUACUCCAAGUACUAGAUACUCAAGAUGUCCAUAACCGGGGACACGGCUAACCAUGAUUAGUUUGUACACUCUACAGAGGUUUGCGCACUUUUCCCCACAAGACUCGAUCGCCUUCGUUGGGUUUCUCGCACUACAUGGUGUUUGAGAAACGGAUGACCAAGACACAGUCUUUCAGAAAUGUUAACUCUCUACUCCGGGCAGAUGAUAUCAAACCUACAACCCACUACCUACUAAUCCACCUCUUCAAGAGCUUCACGUAACUUACUCAACUAUGCUAGAGCCCAUAAUAGCUUGUGGCUGCACACGGAAGUUUCUAGCAUGAAUAAUCUCAGUUCCCUUUGAGCCUGGGUGGCGGUCCAUAGGAAUAUCACACGGGUACUCCAGGAUUUCCAAAUAUACAUGCAACACUGGGUACUCCAGGUUCCUCAAUCCACCCAGAUGUUUAUUUAAGUUGCCACCUUAAGUUGAACCAUUAAUUAACAAUCUCACAUCUGUCAUGGAUUUCACUCACCCAAACCACGUCUACGAGCAUAGCAUAGCAAUAUAAGCAAUUCGUAAGAGUAACUCCCAAAGGUUUGAAUGUAACAGGGUAAUAGGUUCAACCUCAUCAACUACUUCCCAACCCACAUGUUAAUGACAUCCUAACCAUGCAAUGUUUGGGGAUUGGAACUAAUGCAUAAAAACUGGGUGAUAAAGGGGUAUGAUCAAAGUGUUACUUGCCUUGCUGACGAUCCGCGUAACCUAGAGACUCCAAAUAACACGCUUCGCACUCCGGGAAUUCUAUCGCAAACAAACAAUAGCAUACAUAAGCAAUCAAGCAAAGAAGCACAGGUAAAACUCAAAUAAGAAGAUCUAACCAGAAAGUUUAACUUAAGAACUCCGGUUUGCAAAAAGAAUCAAAUUAAACGGAGCAACGAAACUCAAACAGUGAAAGAAACAAGAUCCGUUUACUAAUUUUGACCUAGGUCAAAUUUUACAGUAGAAAAAACUUGUGCAAGUUGGUUAAGUGGAAAGAGGGUCUGGAGACAAAGAUCUAGGCGCUUGAAUGGCCUGAUUCCGACUAACGAGCGAAAAGAUAAACUAGAACGAAAAUCGGAUCAGAAAUCGCGAUCAGAAAUAACCGUGCAAAAAAUCCUAUAAAAGAAAACUGACGAACAGGCUAACGAACGAGCGUUCGUUAUCUGUAACUAACGAGCGAAAACCGUCCUUUAAAACGAUCAUAUGGACGAAUGUCCGCUAAAAAGAAAAAUCGGGAAAAACCGGCGAACCUAAAAAACGAGUUAGGGUUUCUUAAAAAAACCGGAUCGGUUUUCUUUGAAAAAAUGGCGGCUACCUCGUCGGUCCGGUGAGGCACGGCGGCGACGGCGAGGCGAGGCACGGCGGCGGCACGGCGCGACAGCGGCAGGCGGCGGCGGCGCAGGCAAGCGGCNNNNNNNNNNNNNNNNNNNNNNNNNNNNNNNNNNNNNNNNNNNNNNNNNNNNNNNNNNNNNNNNNNNNNNNNNNNNNNNNNNNNNNNNNNNNNNNNNNNNNNNNNNNNNNNNNNNNNNNNNNNNNNNNNNNNNNNNNNNNNNNNNNNNNNNNNNNNNNNNNNNNNNNNNNNNNNNNNNNNNNNNNNNNNNNNNNNNNNNNNNNNNNNNNNNNNNNNNNNNNNNNNNNNNNNNNNNNNNNNNNNNNNNNNNNNNNNNNNNNNNNNNNNNNNNNNNNNNNNNNNNNNNNNNNNNNNNNNNNNNNNNNNNNNNNNNNNNNNNNNNNNNNNNNNNNNNNNNNNNNNNNNNNNNNNNNNNNNNNNNNNNNNNNNNNNNNNNNNNNNNNNNNNNNNNNNNNNNNNNNNNNNNNNNNNNNNNNNNNNNNNNNNNNNNNNNNNNNNNNNNNNNNNNNNNNNNNNNNNNNNNNNNNNNNNNNNNNNNNNNNNNNNNNNNNNNNNNNNNNNNNNNNNNNNNNNNNNNNNNNNNNNNGGCGGCUUGGGCGGCGGCUGCGGCGGCUUGGGCUGUGGGGCGAGGCGGGGCGGCGGUGGCGGGUGGUGGUGGCCGGGGGGUGCCUUAGGGAGGGAGCAAAGGGGCGGCGGCGGCGGAGUCCUAGCCGGACUCCGGUCCGGGUCGGGGCGUGGCGGCGUCGGUCUCCUGAGGGAGACGACGUCGCGGGGGAGGUGGGCCGGCGGCUGGGCUUCGUCCCAGUUAGCCACGCGCAUUUUUUUAUAUAUAAUUCCGCUGAAACUAAAAAAAUCCUAGAAUAUAAAAUAAAAUUCUAAAAAUGCCAAAAUAAAUUUUCUUCGUCUAAAUAAAAUAUUUAGAACGAGAUGAACAUUUUCUUGGCCCUAAAAUGCAAUUUUGAAAACGUGCAAUUUUUCUAAUGCAAACAAAAAUUGCAAAUAAAAUCCAAAUAAAAACAAAUAUUUUUUCUCCAAUAUUUCAUUUAUUUUGGAGAAGUCAUAUUAUCUCCUCUCAUAUAUUUUAAUAUGAAAUAUUUUCAAAGAGAAAAAUAAUUAAAACCAGAAACCCUCAUUUCAAAAUUUGAUAAAAAUCAAAUUUGAAAACCGGGGGAAUCUCCAACUCUCUCCGAGGGUCCUUGAGUUGCUUAGGAUUUCAAGGAUCGCGAGACGAAAUGCAAUAAAAUAUGAUAUGCAAGAAUGAUCUAUGUAUAACAUUCCAAAUUGAAAAUUUGGGAUGUUACAUUCUUGCUUCGUGGGCCUGCGCAUGUUUUGUAAACAAAGGGUCAGCUAGCGGUUUGUAUUUCGGGCCAAAAGAAGGUAAAAAAAGGUCAGUACAGAUGGCUUACCAAAGAUGGCAGACACCAUUUGAGAUACCCGGUCCUUUAAGCCGGUCAGCUCCGUAGUAACCUCCUCAAGAGCUGCUUCAGCUUUUUCGGCACGUUGUGUCAGCAGCGUUUUCUCUUCAUCCCAGGUUUUCUUCUUGGAAGCAAAGCUGUUUCUCAAUUUCUCCGUCUCAGCAAGGCUCAAUUGCAGUUUGGAGUCAGCAGACUUGAUUUCUGCCUCCUAAUCUGACAGCCGGGUCUUCACAUGAGUUAAUUGCGAGCUUAAUUCAGAUAAGGCAUUCUACAAAACAUACCCAGGUGUGUCAAGAUUUCAAUUAAAAUUCAACAGUCAAGAUUCAAGUCUCAAGUACUUUGCACUGCAAAACCACUUGACACUUGGGGGCUAAUGUAUGCCAAAACAAUUUCUUAUGAAUCUAACAUACUUCAAGUCCCAAGUACUUUACAAAGUAACAGCACUUGGCACUUGGGGGCUAAUGUAUACUAUUUAGCAAGUUUCUUAAGGUUAAGUAGGAUUGCAAUAUUUGUUGGGAUCGGCACAAGGCACGUAUGAAAUUCAAAGUACCGGCUCAUUUAUGGUCAAGUGAACCGGCCCUUGGGGACUACCGGUGAAGUUUAUUCUAUUUUAUUGGAUAACAGAAAUAUCUAAAGGUAAAGCUUUAGCCUCUUUCAUAAGUCUACAGAUCAUUCAGGUUUUAUCAUAAUCUAAAGACUUGGGGGCUGACAGAAUAUAAGUAAGCCGGAAUAGCAUACCUCAUACUUCAGCUGCAAUUGCUUAACCAUUUCGAUUUUUGAGUCACGGCUGGAAUGCACGUGGCUGAGAUAGUCGGACAAUAUGUCGUUGGCGUUCAGAUGGUUAUAAUGCGAAACAUCAAAACACACUUUUUGUCUCUCCAAAGCCUCUUGUUUAGCUGUGUGACGAGCCAACAUAGUGGGAUUCCCCAACUCAACAAAGCGGCUUCCAGUGAUCAGAACGACUUGGGCUGACGGCGAUGGUGGGUUGGCUGAGCUGGAUGGACCGGUAGCAGAAGGGUUAAUGAUAGUAUCGUCAACUGAUGGCUCGGGAGGAGCUACUUCAGCAUUGGCAACCGGGUCUUCUAGUGCUCCAGUUAAUUGAGGAGAAGGUGGCAUGGCCGAUUCGGGUGCAAGGACUGGCGGGUCUUACGCCCGCCUAGUCACCUUAGCCUUCUUAGACUUGGCUUGGCCACUAAGAAAGAUAUUAUCAAACAGUUAAUAUAAAAAAGCAGUUUUGAAAGACAUGGAGGAAAGAUGAUGUCUUCCUUACCCAGGGGCAGUCUUAAAGGCCGGGAAUUGAGUUUGAGAUGAGUCGCCAGAAGAGCGAGACACCUCCUGCAAAGAUAAAAUAAAGUUAGUACAUAUCUAUCAAUGGAAAAUAAAAGGCGAAGAAAUAAACCUCAUUCUGGCGCUUUUGAGGAGUUUUUUGAAGAACAACAGGCGGUUCAUCAUCGUUCCGAGUCUGACGGCGGCUCUCAUGUUGCUGUUUUUUUCAAAAGAAAAUGAGGGUCCAGAUAAGCUAAAGGGUGUGAAAACCUUACUUUCCAGGUUACGACUCGAAGUUUCUGUCUUGGCAAAUGGGCUAAGUCGGAGGUAAUAGUUACCUCUUCUUCCACGGCCUGACUGGCCCUUGUGUCGUCCUGGUAAUGAUUAGUGUUAAUAAGAUUAUUAAAAAGUUGGCCAAGGGAGUCAAGGGCUACCUCUGACUCAGAAGUAUCAUCAAGCUUCAUCAGGUCCUCAGCAAUGCUCUUCUUCUUCUUGGACCUCCGGGUCGUCUUCUUGGCGGUAGUGGCGGCGGCUCUCGCUUUCUUGGCGGCUUCAUGGUCAUAUUUGGCUUUCCAGAAAUCAGAUUUGGCCUAUAAAACAAGUAAAACAAGAUGAAAGGUCAGGCAGGUAUUUAAACGGCUGAGGAAAACACAAAAGAGAAAGAGAUCAAAGAUUCUUUACCUCUGGCGCCGGGUUAAGUUUGCAGAAGGGGUUUAAACUGACUUUACUGCAGUCUUCAUAUUUGCCGUUUACCAGAAUGGUUGACAUUGCAACAAUAUCUUCUUCGGGUAAUUGAACGGAGCUGUGACGAAGAGAGUCGUCUGUGGCUCCACCAUAUUCAUACAUCAAUUUCGAGCGGCGGCUCAGAUGGAUGACCUGCCACGCAACCCAGCAACGGGUCAAGUCAACUCCAGUUAAGCCAUUCCCCAAUAAAGUGUUGAUUCUUUUAAUGGAUGGAAUUAGUUUCUUGCGUUCAAUGAUAGUGAGUUUGUCAGGGAGUGCAAACUUGGAGUCAAGACGCUCUGCGUGAUAACCUGGCAGGGGCUUCUCAUUUGCUGGCGAAGUAUCUUGACAAUAAAACCAAGUCUGAUUCCAGUCCUUGGGAUGACUUGGCAAGACUAUUAGGGGGAAGACAGCGCCCUGUCGACGCUGAAUUGAGAUGCCCCCAAGUUCCAAGCUAGGGCCAUUGGUGCACUCGUUCUGCCGGUUCAGAUAAAAAUACUCUCUAAAGAGUUCCACAGUCGGCUCCUCUUGAAGGUACACCUCACAGAGCACUUGGAAGUUGCAAAUAUUAGAUAUGGAAUUGGGCCCGAUAUCUUGAGGGUGGAGUUUGAAGAAAUGGAGGACAUCUCUGAAGAACUUUGAUCCGGGUGGGGAAAACCCACGGUUCAUGUGGUCAGAAAAGACAAUAACUUCACCAUCUCUUGGAUUGGGUCGUUCCUCGUCCGGGUCAGGUGCACGGUAAGACAUGACAUUUUUCCCUGGCAAAAACCCUAUGGAGAAAAUUCCUUCAAAUUGUCCUCAGUCACUGUUGAGGGAACCCAGUUGCACACAGUCGGCGCUUUGGACAGCAUGAUGUUCAAAAACAAACUGAAAGGAAAGCAACAUGCCGGUUCAAUUCAAUGAUAAUGGCUAAAACUAAGUGAUAAUGGUACAAGGGAGUAAUGGCGGCUUAAGUAAGGGCUAAUGUCAUAUAAGGAAAAGUAAGCUGGCGUCGCAAGCCGCCAUGACUACAGACAUUUGAGAAAUACCAGCAACAGAAUUGGUUAAGUGUUGAGACAAACGAGUUUCUUAACUUCUGGAUAUUAUUAUGGAUCAAAUGGGCGUUCAAAAUGAAAAAAUUUCUAAACCUAAAAAUAUGGCACGGAUGAAUACAUCAGUCCUAAUGCGGCCUUUGUACCAUAAAAAGGGAUCUACUAGUGUCAAGAGUAGGCACCAAACAGCUACCGCACAAGCAUAUAUCUCUUUUUGGAUCAAGAAAAGGCGGCAACGGAAGAACUACGAAGAAACCGCGAAGAACUACGAAGAACAUGCGGAAAACCUAGAAGCCCUAAAUGCGGAUCUGAGGAAUAGGAGGGUGAAUACUUAUGGCCACGGAUCCUCCACGGAAGGUCGCCGCCGUUCUCUGAACCGAUUCUGGUUGAUGCAGCGGCCAAGGUCGGCGACGACGAGAUGCUCUGCGACGGCGGCGGUGCUCGAGCAGCAGCGGGGGUUGCGAGAGUAAGAAGACAAAGAAGACAGAAGAAUGAGAAGACCGGGGCGUGCCUACUUAUAAGGGAUAAGCAGACAGGCAGGCGUGAAGAUCGAGGAAGACACAAUAAUGGCUAUCCAACUAAACAGACGCCUCGAUUCUCGGAAGACAUUAAAAGAUAAAGAUCCGUUGAGGAUGAUGUCAUAACAGGUUUUUGUGUUUUCAGAAGAUGACGUCAUGGCGGGUCAUGAAAUUUUUUCCAAAGAGAGGAAGAUGGAUUUAUCUAAGUACUGAAGAUUGACAAAGAAGAAAGUUCAAAGUCAACCUAGGGCCUAGUGUUGGGAAUAUAACUACCAGGUAUGACCCGCCCAGAAGGGGCCGGGUCAGCCCCAAUGGCGGGUCACAAAGGAGCCUAGUAAACAUUCAAGGCGAUAGUUUAUUAAAGGUUAUAAAGGGCUUAAGGCCUAGAGGCGGCUUAAGGCCCAAUAUGGUAAACCGCCGUACGUAAGGAAAGACUUGUAAGGAAAGGCAUGUAAAAGAAGUCAUCGAGCCGGACACGUUUUAUGAGCCGGCCGGGACUCUGUAGGCCACCAGGCGUCAACCCGUGUAUAUAAGGGGACGACCUGGUGGCGGCUUAGGGCAAGAAACAAGAAAUCGAUAACCAAGCCGGCGAACUAGCCUCUUGGUGAUCGAAACCCCAGCAAUAUAAACACAACUAGACGUAGGCUUUUACCUUCAUCGUAAGGGGCCGAACUAGUAUAAAAUCUCUCAUGUCCUUUGUCCCGAUUAACCCCAUUAAGCUUCCUAGUUGCGAUGGCCCUACGACUAAGUCCUUUCGCUAGGACAUCUGCUGUGACAAUUCCACGACAGGUUCAGAUCUGAAAUCAUGGCACUCGGGCCCUAGUGACAAGCAUUAAGCAUAGCAAAGUCAUAGCAACAUCAAUCUCAGAACAUAGUGUAUACUAGGGAUCAAACCCUAACAAAACUAACUCGAUUACAUGAUAAAUCUCAUCCAACCCAUCACCGUCCAGCAAGCCUACGAUGGAAUUACUCACGCACGACAGUGAGCAUCAUGAAAGUGGUGAUGGAGGAAGGUUGAUGAUGACGAUGGCGAUGGAUUACCCUCUCCGGAGCCCCAAACGAACUCCAGAUCAGCCCUCCUGAGAGAGUUUAGGGCUUGGCGGCGGCUCCGUAUCGUAAAACACGAUGAAUCUUUCUCUCUCGUUUUUUCUCCCCGAAAGUGAAUAUAUGGAGUCAAGGUUGAGGUCGGUGGAGCGUCUGGGGGCCCACAAGGCAGGGGGCGUGCCCAGGGGGGUAGGGCGCGCUCUUCACCCUCAUGGAUAGGUGGUGGGCCCCUUGACGUGGAUCUUUCUUCCAGUAUUUUUUUAUAUAUUCCAAGAUAAUUCUCCGUUGAUUUUCAGGUCAUUCCGAGAACUUUUAUUUCUGCACAAAAAUAACACCAUGGCAAUUCUGCUGAAAACAGCGUUAAUCCGGGUUAGUUCCAUUCAAAAUCAUGCAAGUUAGAGUCCAAAACAAUGGCAAAAGUGUUUGGAAAAGUAGAUACGAUGGAGACGUAUCAACUCCCCCAAGCUUAAACCUUUGUUUGUCCUCAAGCAAUUCAGUUGAUAAACUGAAAGUGAUAAAGAAAACCUUUUACAAACUCUGUUUGCUCUUGUUGUUGUAAAUAUGUAAUGCCAGCAUUCAAGUUUUCAGCAAAGAUUAUGAACUAACCAUAUUCACAAUAACACCUAGGUCUCAUGUUUACUCAUAUCAAUGGCAUAAUCAACUAGCGAGCAAUAAUAAUAAAUCUCGGAUGACAACACUUUCUCAAAACAAUCAUGAUAUGAUAUAACAAGAUGGUAUCUCGUUAGCCCUUUCUGAGAACGCAAAACCUAAAUGCAGAGCACCUUUAAAGAUCAAGGACUGACUAGACAUUGCAAUUCAUGGUAAAAGAGAUCCAGUCAAGUCAUACUCAAUGUAAACUAACAGUAAUGGAUGCAAAUGACAACGGUGCUCUCCAACCGGUGCUUUUUAAUAAGAGGAUGAUGACUCAACAUAAAAGUAAAUGGAUAGGCCCUUCGUAGAGGGAAGCAGGGAUUUGUAGAGGUGCCAAAGCUCGAUUUUGAAAUAGAUAUGAAUAAUAUUUUGAGCGGUAUACUCUCAUUGUCAACAUAACAACCGAGAGAUCGCGAUAUCUUCCAUGCUACACACAUUAUAGGCGGUUCCCAAACAAAAUGGUAAAGUUUAUACUCCCCCUCCACCAACAAGCAUCAAUCCAUGGCUUGCUCGAAACAACGAGUGCCUCCAACUAACAAGAGUCCCGGGAGAGUUUUGUUUGCAGUUAUUUUGAUUUGAUUUGCUUAUAGCAUGGGACUGGGCAUCCCGGUGACCAGCCAUUUUCUCCUGAGUGAGGAGCGGAGUCCACUCCUCUUGAGAAUAACCCGUCUAGCAUGGAAUAUACAGACAGCCCUAGGUGAUACAUGAGCUAUUCGAGCAUACAAAACAGAAUGUUUAUUUGAAGGUUUAGAGUUUGGCACAUACAAAUUUACUUGGAACGGCAGGUAGAUACCGUAUAUAGGUUGGUAUGGUGGACUCAUAUGGAACUACUUUGGGGUUUAUGGAGUUGGAUGCACAAGCAGUAUUCCCGCUUAGUACAGGUGAAGGCUAGAAAAAGACUGGGAAGCGACUAGCUAGGGAGCGACAACAGUCAUGAACAUGCAUUAAAAUUAAUCAACACCGAAUGCAAGCAUGAGUAGGAUAUAAUGCACCACGAACAUAAAUAUCAUAGAGGCUAUGUUGAUUUUGCUUCAACUACAUGCAUGAACAUGUGCCAAGUCAAGCCACUCGAAUUGUUCGAAAGAGGAUACCACCCUAUCAUACCACAUAACCAUUUUAAUAGCAUGUUGGCACGCAAGGUAAACCAUUAUAAGCUCCUAGAUGAAUAAGCAUGGCAUAAGCAACUAUAAUCUCUAUUUUUCAUUAGGCUGAAUCAGGAACGAUGAACUAAUCAUAUUUACAAAAACAAGAGAGGUCGAGUUCAUACUAGCUUUUCUCAUCGUAAUAAGUUCAUCAUAUAAUCAUCAUUAUUGCCUUUCACUUGCACGACCGAACGGUGUGGGUAAUAAUAAUAGUGCACGUGCAUUGGACUAAGCUGGAAUCUGCAAGCAUUCAAUUCAAGAGAGAAGACAAGGUAAUAUGGGCUCUUUGUUAGAUCAACAAUAAUGGAUAUGUGAGCCACUCAACAUUUUAAUCAUGGUCUUCUCCUCUCGACCCCCAAAGAAAAGAAACAAAACUAUUUACACGGGAAAGCUCCCAACAAGCAAAAGAAGAACGAGAAAUCUUUUUGGGUUUUCUUUUUAAUUACUACUACGGGCAAGAAAGUAAACUAGCUAAAAGCUACAACUAAUUUUUUGUUUUGGUUUUUUCUUAAGGUUUAUCAAACACACAAGAAGAAAGCAUAAAAAGGGGAAAUAAACUAGCAUGGAUGAUGCAAUGAAAAAGUAUGAGCACCGACAACUAGCAUGAGUGUGUGAACAUAAAUGUAAUGUCGGUGAGAAAUACGUACUCCCCCAAGCUUAGGCUUUUGGCCUAAGUUGGUCUAUGGCCACGGCUGGCCUGGAGGAUAUCCAAAGUUGUAGUUGGGGUCGUACUGAGAAGAAUCCUACUGGUGCCACUGGUUGGCGAUCUCUUCCGGAUUUCACUGAUAAACAGACUGCCGGUGAGGGUCAAAUUGUGGUUCUGGCUCUGGCUCUAUAGGUGGUGUGGAGUUCUGGUAGGCGUGAAUGGCCUCUGGCGGAACAAGGUACUUUCCUGCAGAUAAGUCAAACAAGGAAGAAGCAGGCAAAGUAAUAGUCUCAGGGUGAUUUUUAUCAAAUAUCAGCUUGUACUUAAGCAUCUUUUCCUUAUUCUUAAUGAUAAAAUCAUGUGCUACCAUACUCUUAUAGUCUAGAAAAACAGGAGGCAGCAACUUCUCUUCCUUUUCAUAAUGCCUAAUAGGUAUGUUAAAGUGUGCAGCAAGGCGCGAGGCGAAGAUGCCUCCAAGGAUGGGGCCCUUAGUAAGGUUAAGAUUUAACCUCUUUGCAACAAUAUCGCCCAUACUAAAUGUGUCAUCACGGAACAAGGCAUGGCACAAAAUAACAAUAUCAGGGGCACUAAGGUUGCCACAGUUUCCGCGACCAAUUAAGCAUCUACUAGCAAAUAUUGCAAAGUAACGUAAAACAGGAAAAUGUAUGCUAGUGAUUCUUGCAUCAGAAACAUUCCUCGUUUCCCCUAAAGCAAUUGUGUCAAUAAACCCUUCCACAUCGUCACGAUGUGACUCCUCUACACUACCCUCAAAAGGGAUCAAACAAACCCAACAAAAAUCACGAAGUGACAUCUCCUUAUGCUCAUCAUAUAAAUAAAAUUCCAUCGUAGGUGGUGAUAUCCUAGCAUGGAAAUGAAAGUGUUGCACAAAUAUAUUGGUGAGUAAGAGAUACUGUUCGCGUUGGUCGUGGAGGAAGGCGGUGAGGCCUGCAUUCUCAGCCAACUCAUAGAAAUCAUCAUAAAUCUCGGCUGCUCUCAAGAAAUCAUCACAAGGCCAUUCACACAGCUGAACCUCCGUGGUGCGAGGGAGAUUAUACUUGGGUUUCUUGUUCUCUUCACUGUGUUUAUCCUUCGAGCUUCGGCUUGAUGAGCCCUUGAAAAAUCUCUUCAUUAUUUUCUGAAAAUUUCUGAAAUUUUUAGUAACAUCAAAAUAAAAGUGAACCAAACUCAAUAAAAUUGAUAGCAACUACUCCUACAAGUGCCUAGAGGCAAUAUCAUGCAUUAAAACUACUUUUAACCAUAUAAAUUUGACAUGCAAGCUCAAGAUUAGGGUCACCUAAGCAGCAAAAAUAUGCAAUGAAUAAAGCACUAGAACAUAAACUAAUUGGACCAUUGGAGGAGUCACAUACCAAAGAACAAUCCCCCAAAGCAGUUUUGUGAAUGGAGCUUUGAGCAAGGAGAUCGAAAAUGGCAGCAAGAUGAGCUUGGAGUCGGGUUUUAACUGGCUAGUGAUGUUUUUGGGAGGAAGAAGGAGUGUGUGGUAGCUGGAAGAAGUGGAGGGGAGCCACCAUGGGCCCACGAGGCAGGGGGCGCGCCAUGGACCCUCGUGGCCAGGUGCUUGCUCCCUCUGUUGUAUUUUCAGUGACAGAUAUUCUCAAAUAUUCUAGAAAAAAUCAUAUUUAAUUUUCAGGGCAUUUGGAGAACUUUUAUUUUCGGAGUAUUUUUUAUUGCAUGGAUAAUUCAGGAAAUAGACAGAAAAUAUUAUAUUUGCUUUAUUUAAUAUAAAUAACAGAAAGUAAAAAGAGAGUACACAGAGUUGUGUUUUCUAAAUUCAUCCAUCUCAUGCUCAUCAAAAGGAAUCCACUAACAAGGUUGAUCAGGUCUUGUUAACAAACUCAUUUCAAAUAACAUGAAACUGGAGAAUUUUUGAAUAACACUAGGUUACCUCAACAGGGAUAUGCAUGUCCCCAGCAAUAAGAAUAUCAUAUUUCUUCUUGACAGUAGGAAGAGGAAAUUCAAAACCUCCAAUAGUAAUUGUUGAAAUCUUUCCAAUAGAAUUGAUAUUAUGGACUUGAAGUUGUUUCCUCGGAAAGUGUACUGUAUGAACAUUACCAUUAACAGGAAAAGUGACAUUGCCUUUGGUGCAAUCAAUAAUAGCACCUGUAGUAUUCAAAAAGGGUCUUCCAACAAUAAUAGACAUACUAUCGUCCUCGGGAAUAUCAAGAAUAAUAAAGUCUGUUAAAAUAGUAAUGUUUGCAACCACAAUAGGCACAUCCUCACAAAUACCGACAGGUGUAGCAGUUUAUUUGUCAGCCAUUUGCAAAGAUAUUUUAGUAGGUGUCGACUUAUUCAAAUCAAGUCUACGAUAUAAAGAGAGAGGCAUAACACUAACACCGGCUCCAAGAUCACAUAAAGCAGUUUUAACAUAGUUUCUUUUAAUGGAGCAUGGUAUAGUUGGUACUCCUGGAUCUCCAAGUUUCUUUGGUAUUCCACCCUUAAAAGUAUAAUUAGCAAGCAUGGUGGAAAUUUCAGCUUCUGGUAUCUUUCUUUUAUUAGUAACUAUUUCCUUCAUGUAUUUAGCAUAAGGAUUCAUUUUAAGCAUAUCAGUCAAACACAUACGCAAAAAGAUAGGCCUAAUCAUUUCAGCAAAGCGCUCAAAAUCCUCAUCAUCCUUUUUCUUGUAUGGUUUAGGAGGAAAAGGCAUGGGUUUCUGAACCCAUGGUUCUCUUUCUUUAUCGUGCUUCCUAGCAACAAAGUCUCUCUUAUCAUAACGUUGAUUCUUUGAUUGUGGGUUAUCAAGAUCUAUAUCAGGUUCAAUUUCUACAUCAUUAUCAUUGCUAGGUUGAGCAUCAACAUGAACAUCAUCAUUAGUAUUAUCACUAGGUUCAUGUUCAUUACCAUACUGUGUUUCAGCAUCAGAAAUAGAAAUAUCAUUGGGAUUCUCAGGUGUGUCUACAACAGGUUCACUAGAAGCAUGCAAAGUCCUAUCAUUUUUCUUUUUCUUCCUUUUAGAAGGACUAGGUGCAUCAGUAUUAGUUCUCUGAGAAUCUUGCUCAAUUCUCUUAGGAUGGCCCUUAGGAUACAAAGGUUCCUGAGUCACUUUACCUCCUCUAGUUGCAACUCUAACAGCAAAGUCAUUAUUUUUACUAUUCAAUUCAUUAAGCAAAUCAUUCUAAGCUUUAAGUACUUGUUCUACUUGAGUGGUAACCAUAGAAGCAUGUUUACUAAUAAGUUUAGGUUCACCUUUAACACUAGCCAUAUAAUCACUCAAGUGUUCAAUCAUGUAAGCAUUAUGUUUCAAUUUUCUACAAACAUAAGCAUUAAAAUCUUCUUGCUUAACCAUAAAGUUAUCAAAUUCAUCCAAACAUUGGCUAGCAAACUUAGCAGGAGGGAUUUCAGCUUUAUCAUAUCUAUAGAGAGAAUUUACCUUUACUACCUGUGCCGAGUUAUCGAGACCAUGUGUUUCUUCAACAGGCGGCAAAUUAAGACCAUGUAUUUCUUCAAUAGGAGGUAAAUUCUUAACAUCUUCAGCUUUAAUACCUUUUUCUUUCAUAGAUUUCUUUGCCUCUUGCAUAUCUUCAGGAGUGAGAAAUAGAAUACCCCUUUUCUUUGGAGUUGGCUUAGGAGUUGGUUCAGGAAGUGUCCAAUUAUUUUCAUUGGUCAACAUAUUAUUCAAUAGAAUUUCAGCUUGAUCAACUAUUCUUUCCCUGAAAACACAACCAGCACAACUAUCCAGGUAAUCUCUGGAAGCAUCGGUUAGUCCAUUAUAAAAGAUAUCAAGUAUUUCAUUUUUCUUGAGAGGAUGAUCAGGCAAAGCAUUAAGUAAUUGGAGAUGCCUCCCCCAAGCUUGUGGGAGACUCUCUUCUUCAAUUUGCACAAAAUUAUAUAUCUCCCUUAAAGCAGCUUGUUUCUUAUGAGCGGGGAAAUAUUUAGCAGAGAAGUAGUAAAUCAUAUCCUGGGGACUACGCACACAACCAGGAUCAAGUGAAUUAAACCAUAUCUUAGCAUCACCCUUUAAUGAGAACGGAAAUAAUUUAAGGAUAUAAUAUUAGCGAGUUUUCCCAUCAUUAGUAAACAGGGUAGCUAUAUCAUUUAAUUUAGUAAGAUGUGCCACAACAGUUUCAGAUUCAUAGCCAUAGAAAGGAUCAGAUUCAACCAAAGUAAUUAACUCAGGAUCAACAGAGAAUUCAUAAUCCUUAUCAGUAACAAAGAUAGGUGAAGUAGCAUAAGCAGGAUCAUAUUUCAUUCUAGCAUUCUGAGAUUUUUGUUUCAGCUUAGCUAAAAGUUUCUUAAGAUCACUCCUAUCAUUGCAGGCAAGAAAGUCUCUAGCAGUUUCGUCAUCCAUAACAUAACCCUCGGGAACAACAGGCAAUUCAUAUCUAGGGGAGAAUCUUCAUCAUCACUUUCAUCAAUAUUAUCAGUUUCAAUAAUUUCAUUCUCUCUAGCCCAAGCAAGUUGUUCAUCAAGAAAUUCACCAAGUGGCACAGUAGUAUCAAGCAUAGAAGUAGUUUCAUCAUAAGUAUCAUGCAUAGAAGAAGUGGCAUCAUCAAUAACAUGCGACAUAUCAGAAUUAAUAGCAGAAGCAGGUUUAGAUGUCGCAAGCUUACUCAAAACAUAAGGUGAAUCAAGUGCAAAGCUAGAUGGCAGUUCCUUACCUCCCCUCGUAGUGAAGGGAUAGAUCUUGGUUCUUUGAUCUUUCAAGUUCUUCAUAAUGAUAAGCAGAUAUAAAUCUCAAGUGACUCAAAGAAUAGAGCUAUGCUCCCCGGCAACAGUGCCAGAAAAUGUUCUUGAUAACCCACAAGUAUAGGGGAUCGCAACAGUUUUCGAGGGUAGAGUAUCCAACCCAAAUUUAUUGAUUCGACACAAGGGGAGACAAAGAAUAUUAUCAAGUAUUAGCAGCUGAGUUGUCAAUUCAACCACACCUGGAAACUUAAUAUCUGCAGCAAGGUAUUUAGUAGCAAAGUAAUAUGAUAGUACUGGUAAUGGUGACAAAAGGUAACAGUAGCGAAAGUUAUAUUUUUGGGUUUUGUAGUGAUUGUAACAGUAGCAACGGAAAAGUAAAUAAGCGAAGAACAAUAUAUGAAAAUCUCAUAGGCAUUGGAUCGGUGAUGGAGAAUUAUGCCAGAUGCGAUCGAUCAUGUAACAGUCAUAACCUAGGGUGACACAGAACUAGCUCCAGUUCAUCAAUGUAAUGUAGGCAUGUAUUCCGAAUAUAGUCAUACGUGCUUAUGGAAAAGAACUUGCAUGCCAUCUUUUGUCCUACCCUCCUGUGGCAGCGGGGUCCUAAUGGAAACUCAGGGAUAUUAAGGCCUCCUUUUAAUAGAGUACCGGACCAAAGCAUUAACACAUAGUGAAUACAUGAACUCCUCAAACUACGGUCAUCACCGGUAAGUAUCUUGAUUAUUGUCACUUCGGGGUUAACGGAUCAUAACACAUAAUAGGUGACUAUAGACUUGCAAUAUAGGAUCAAGAACUCACAUAUAUUGAUGAAAACAUAAUAGGUUCAGAUCUGGAAUCAUGGCACUCAGGCCCUAGUGACAAGCAUUAAGCAUAGCAAAGUCAUAGCAACAUCAAUCUCAUAACAUAGUGGAUACUAGGGAUCAAAUCGUAACAAAACUAACUCGAUUACAUGAUAAAUCUCAUACAAUCCAUCACCGUCCAGCAAGCCUACGAUGGAAUUUGUCAGGACCCCGACUCAAUGCCACAUCGAUCCAGCAUGUAACACCUCAUAUCACUUUGCGGCCUCACGCACGGUAUCCCCACGGGUGUCGCCUUACCUUUGCCCGGGACCGUUUGCGCCUUUUGGCACACGUAUAUGAUGGUGUCGCUAGCAUCCAUAUGAUAAAGAGCCCGGGCUGACAUGGCUAGUCAUAAACCCGAAGUGGCACUAACUUAUAGGGACAGGCAUCCAUGACCCAGCAUCGAACGUGUCGGUCAUCAGCGAGUGAAUCCAGGCUGUAGCACUGGGCUAACAGGACUCCGGUGAACCGGGCUGUAGCAGGCUAACAGGACUCCGGUAUUCAUCGCGUGACAUUUCCCCGAAGGGACAGACACAGGAUCGAAGAAGGACACAUGCCGGCCAGCCUAAGUGUUCCGGAGCAGUAGCAAGCUACCAGGGCUCAGUGGAAGCACUAGGAGACAUUUCCCGGUAAGAGAGGCUACUAAGGAUAAACAACUAGAUAGUCAGAUCCCACACAUAGCAAUACACAUUACACGUACGCAUAACAUGCAAGUAUGUGCUGUACAACAUGGCAUCACAGCAUAACUCAACAACUCUUAUAGAUAAAGGCUCAGAAGAGCCAACAUAGCAAUAUUACAACCAGGGGUCACAUGACCCAACAUUCAGAGCAAUCAAGCAACAAACGGAAGCAUUACAUGUCUGAGUACAGACAUCUAUAAAUGAAAAAGGCUGAAAGCCUGACUAUCUACAACGUCCGAUCAAGAUCGUAGCUGAGGUACAAGCUACUCGUCGAAGUCCACGGAACACUAAUAAGACCGAAGUCUCCGCUGCAAAAACAUAAAUAAAGCAACAUGAGUACAAAGGUACUCAGCAAGACUUACAUCAGAUCCUAUCAUACAUGCAUUUGUAUCAAGAGGGUAAUGUGGGGUUUAGUUGCAGCAAGCCAGCUUUGACUCUGUGGCUAUCAUGUUCUACGACUACCAGAAACUCUUGAGGUGAGACAACGUACACGAGUCCACUAAUCACCACACAAUACACUACUAUGGAUUCAUCCACGUCUCCCUACGAGAAGGCCAUCCAUAGCACUCACACUUGUCUUGAGCAUUUUAGAGUAUCCACUUCAAGUUGUCUAUGUACCAUGUAAGCAUCCAAGAAGUCCAUAACCGCGGACCCGGCUAUUCGAAUAGAUCAUGUUAACCCUGCAGGGGUGUACUUCUUCACACACGCUCUCGCCACUUACCGCCAUGUACACGUCAUGUAUCUCGGCAACCUUCAAGCAGAAGCCUGGCGAGGGUGUCGGCCACGACCUGACUAACCACACAAGACUCUAGCCCAGGUUUAUCGCCUAUUCGGGUUCCAUCCGCAAGGAGAUCCGGCUAGGGUGUCGCUCACGGCCCCAAACGAUGUGUGCAGGGUUCCCGAGCCCACCAUCCGGGUGCCACUCGGUACACCAGGCCACGUGUGCCUAGUCUGUCCCAAGCCCACCCUGUCGGGUGCCACUUGGUAGAAAAAUAGCACUACCUACAAACACCAGAAACUAGUUGCGACUCCUGGACAGAGAUCAAGUCGGUUAAUAAGUCGAGAGGGCUUGGAGCGCCCGGAGCCCAAUGUGUGGUAGUAUCGAGUCAUUGGACAACAUACAUAGAACUCGGUGCUUAAGGACGGUUCCAGUGAGACAACCCACCAUGUACUCCUACAUGGCCUCUCACCGCUACCUUUACCAAAUCGUGUUCACACACUUCACUCUCAACAUCAGAACAUUUCGUAACACUCCAAUUCAUUCCCAAUGAACCAGACCUGACACAACUCUAAGCAAUAGCAGGCAUAGCAUGGUAGGAACACAACAUGGCUCAAUCAACUCCUACACAUGCUAGUGGGUUUCAACUAUUUACUGUGGCAAUGACAGGUCAUGCAGAGGAAUGGGUUCAACUACCGCAGCACAAAGUAGCAGAUGAAUCGUUGUUGUCCUAAUGCAAUAACUGAGAGCAGGAGCGAGAGAGUAGGGUUUUAUCGAAAUGAACAAGGGGGUUUGCUUGCCUGGUAGAUCAACAAGGAAGGCACUGCUUCAUAGACAGGCACUCUGGAAUGGACUCCGGAGCAGGACCUAUCGAGAAGGAACGGUACCGGCAAUCAAUACACAAACAUAUGCAACAAUAUGAUGCAUGAACAUGGCAUGAAGAUGUGAUGUUGUUUGAGCUAAUGCAACUAGUAAUCAUUUGGUUUGAAGUCCGUUUGAACCAUAAGCUCAAAUGCAUCUCCAAAGUAGGCUCUUAUAUAUGCCAUAAUGUGUUUUCUCAUAUUCAGCAUGUAUAAGUUGGUUUUUCAUGCAUGAAACUAGUACAGAUGGAAAGGUUGCAUUUUUCUGAUAAUUUUUCAUAUAUAAAUUAUUUUAAUCUGAGCUACGAUUGAAUUGAUAUGAAUUUUUGAAGUUUAAAUCAAUUUCUGGAAUUUCCUGAAUUAUUUUAAUUCCAGAAAUCAUAUUAUUGCGCCAGUAUGACGUCAGCACGACGUCAGCAGUCAACUGCGGCUGAUGGGGUCAAACCUGACGUGUGGGGUCCACACGUCAGUGACAGGGGGUUAAACAGGGGGUUAAUUUAAUCCUAAUUAAAAGUUAGUGGCGCUGGGGCCCACUGUCAGUGUCAGGGGGGGUUAGUUAACGGUGAUUAGCACUAAGCUAAUCACCUGGCCGACGGGGCCCACCCGUCAGUGACCCUGGGGGGUCAAACCCCAGGUCGAACAAGUCAAACCCGCCGGUGGUUAGUCGCCGGCGAGGUCCGCAGCGUUCAUGUGCCCCGGGUUUCCUCUGUGCUGCUCCAAAUGGCGCGCGGCUAGGUGCGUUGGAAAGCUAGCUCGAUGGCGCGUCGGGCGGUGGCCGUGGCUGGGCCUGGGGUGGCCGGAGUCGACGGCGGCGAGCUCAGCUGCGGCCGCCGGAGUUCGGUCGUGCAUGAAAACGCGGUUGGAGCUCGAAGGCGAGCGAAGCAAAGCGCUAGGGAUGCUCUACGGGGCCUUACGAACUUGUUGGACUCGCCGGGGUGACCAAAUGGUCACCGGAGCUGCGUCGAUGGCGAGCUCGGCGACGGCGGAGGUUCGGCCGUGGUGGGGAACGGAGUUACGGCGCGGGAACGAGGGGGAGAAGAGAGGGGAACGGUGGCGGAGCUCACCGCGGUUACAGCGGGCGUCGAAGCGGGCUCGGGGAAGGCUUGGGGCAGCCGGAGCGACGACGGCGAUCUCGUCGGCCGAAGCUUGAAGACGACGGCGAUUGCGAUGAAGCGGAGCUCGCCCGAGUUGCUUUGCUCGGUGAGGAGGGAGAGGGGGCCGCGGCGGAGCUGGGAAGCAUGUCGGGGAGGUGAGGGGAGGCCGGUGGCCGCGGCAACGGCGAGCGGCGGCGGUGAUGGCGCUCGGGUGUGCGAGGGAGAGAGUAGGGGGAGAGGAGGAGGGCGAGGGAGAGUGCGAGAGGGGUCGGGGUGGCUGCAUGGCGUCUCCGGGGCAUCCAGACGAAGAGGGGAGAGGGCAGGCAGGUAGAGAGGGAGGUGGCGUGGCGCGGUGGCGCGUGCGCGCGCCGGGCAUGCUCCCAUCCCUCUGUCGGGGAGGAAGACGACAGAGGGGGGCCAGUGGGCUGGGCCGGCGCUGGCUGCUGGGCCGGCCAGGCCGCACAGGGAGGAGGCCCAGGUAAGUUUCUCCUCUUUUUCUGUUUUCUAAUUUUUUUGACAUCUGUUUUGAUUUAAUUUAAAAUAUUAAAUCAUUUAAUUACCUUAUGCCAAUUUUUGCAGGAGCUAACUAUAUUAUUCCAGAGCUCCUUUAUAAAUGGCAUAAUUUUUGGACAUAUAUUAAUAUAUAUAACUAAUAUAUUUCCAAUGCAAAUAUUUAUCGGAUUAAUCCAAAUGGCCAAAAUAAAUAUCCAUGAGCUCCUAAAAAUAUUGGUUUGAUUUUUAUCUCUGUCCAAUAUUUUCAGAGAGCAACAUGAGCAUUUUCUUGAACCCUUUUGGAGAAAUUUUUAUUUGGGUCAUUUUCAAAAAUGAUUCUGAGGGUUCCACCAAUCCUCAAUUCAAAUUUAAAUGGAAUAUAAACAUGAUGCACAAAUGACUAGCUAGCCUAGGUCAUACCAGACUAGGGAUGUGACAGAAUUACUCAUGCACGGCGGUGAGCGUCAUGAAAUUGGUGAUGGAGGAAGGUUUAUGAUGACGAUGGCGAUGGAUUCCCCUCUCCGGAGCCCCGAACGGACUCCAGAUCAGCCCUCCCGAGAGAGUUUAGGGCUUGGCAGCGGCUCCGUAUCGUUAAACGCGAUGAAUCUUUCUCUCUCGUUUUUUCUCCCCGAAAGUGAAUAUAUGGAGUCAAGGUUGAGGUCGGUGGAGCGUCAGGGGGCCCACAAGGCAGGGUGCGCGCCUAGGGGGUAGGGCGUGCCCCCCACCCUCGUGGACAGGUGGUGGGCCCCCUGACGUGGAUCUUUCUUCUAGUAUUUUUUAUAUAUUCCAAAAUAAUUCUCCUUUGAUUAUGAGGUCAUUCCGAGAACUUUUAUUUCUACACAAAAAUAACACCAUGGCAUUUCUGCUGAAAACAGCGUCAGUCCGGGUUAGUUCCAUUCAAAUCAUGCAAGUUAGAGUCCAAAACAAGGGCAAAAGUGUUUGCAAAAGUAGAUACGACGGAGACGUAUCAAUGUGCAGUCCCCAUUUCUGGCCGGCGGGGUGGCGACGGCUGGCAGAGUGUGUGCGGCGAGGGCUAGAGCUUGUCGGGCGCGUGGGGUGGGGGAGAGAAAGAGUGUGGAAACUUUGGAAGUGGACUGGCCAGUACACGCGCAUGGGCUUGUCAUUAAGAAAAGGACCUCGGGGGCGGCGGCUGGUGAGGGAGUCCUGGAUUAAGGGGUCCUCGGGCGUCCAGACUAUAUGACAUGGGCCGGACUAAUGGGUCGUGAAGAUACAAGACAGAAGACUUCCUCCCGUGUCCGGAUGGGACUCUCCUUGGCGUGGAAGGCAAGCUUAGCGUGCGGAUAUGAAUAUUCCUUUCUCUAUAAACCGACUUUGUACAACCCUAGCCCCCUUCGUGUCUAUAUAAACUGGAGGGUUUAGUCCGUAGAAGCAAUCGUAAUCAUACAGGCUAGACAAUUAGGGUUUUAGCCAUUUAGAUCUCGUGGUAAAUCAACUCUUGUAACCCCUAUACUCAUCAAAGUCAAUCAAGCAGGACGUAGGGUAUUACCUCCAUCAAGGGGGUCCAAACCUAGGUAAAACAUUGUGUCCCUUGUCUCCUGUUACCAUCAAUCCUUAGACACAGAGUUCGGGACCCCCUACCCGAGAUCUGCCGGUUUUGACACCGACAUUGGUGCUUUUAUUGAGAGUUCCGCUGUGUUGUCGCCAGUAGGUUCGAUGGCCCCAUCAAUCUGAAGGAAAUAUGCCCUAGAGGCAAUAAUAAAGUUGUUAUCUACGUUUCCUUAUAUCAUGAUAAAUGUUUAUUAUUCAUGCUAGAAUUGUAUUAACCGGAAACUUAGUACAUGUGUGAAUACAUAGACAAACAGAGUGUCACUAGUAUGCCUCUACUUGACUAGCUCGUUGAAUCAAUGAUGGUUGUGUUUCCUGACCAUAGACAUGAGUUGUCAUUUGAUUAAUGAGAUGACAUCAUUAGAGAAUGAUGUGAUUGACUUGACCCAUCCAUUAGCUUAGCACGACGGUCGUUUAGUUUGUUGCUAUUGCUUUCUCCAUAACUUAUACAUGUUCCUAUGACUAUGAGAUCAUGCAACUCCCGAAUACCGGAGGAACACUUAGUGUGCUAUCAAAGUCACAACGUAACCGGGUGACUAUAAAGAUGCUCUACAGUUAUCUCUGAUGGUGUUUGUUGAGUUGGCAUAGAUCGAGAUUAGGAUUUGUCACUCUAAGUACCGGAGAGGUAUCUCUAGGCCCUCUCGGUAAUGCACAUCACUAUAAGCCUUGCAAGCAAUAUGACUAAUGAGUUAGUUAUGGGAUGAUGCUUUACGUAACGAGUAAAGAGACUUGCCGGUAACGAGAUUGAAUUAGGUAUUGAGAUACCGACGAUCAAAUCUCGGGCAAGUAACAUGCUGACAAAUGGAACAACAUAUGUUGUUAUGCGGUUUGACCGAUAAAGAUCUUCGUAGAAUAUGUGGGAGAUAAUAUGAACAUCCAGGUUCCGCUAUUGGUUAUUGACCGGAGAUGUGUCUCAGUCAUGUCUACAUAGUUCUCGAACCCGUAGGGUCCGCACGCCUAAACGUUCGGUGGCAAUUGGUAUUAUGAGUUUAUGUGUUUUGAUGAACUGAAGAUAGUUCAGAGUCCCGGAUAUGAUCACGGACAUGACGAGGAGUCUCGAAAUGGUCGAGACAUAAAGAUUGAUAUAUUGGACGACUAUAUUCGGACACCGGAAGUAUUCCGGGUGAUUUCUGAGAAAACCGGAGUGCCGGAGGGUUACCGGAACCCCCUCCCCCUGGGGGGGAGAUUCGGCCUACAUGGGCCAUAUGGAAGAGGAGAGGCAGCCCACAAGGGGCAGCCACGCCCCCUCCCUAUACAGAGUCUGAAUUGGACUAGGGAGGGGGCGCCCCCCCCCCCUUUCCUUCUCCUCUUCCUCUCAUUUCCUUAUUUCCCCUUCUCCUCCUAGUAGGACUAGGAAAGGAGGAAUCCUACUCCUACUGGGAGGAGGAUUCCUCCUCCCUUGGCACGCCACUAGGGCCGGUCGGCCUUCCCCCUUGGUCCUUUAUAUACGGGGGCAGGGAGGCACUCUCGAACACACAAGUUGAUUGCUUUUAGCCGUGUGCGGUACCCCCUCCACCAUAAUCCAGCUCGAUCAUAUCGUCAUAGUGCUUAGGUGAAGCCCUACGCUGGUAGCUUCAUCAUCACUGUAAUCAUGCCGUCAUGCUGACGAAGAUCUCCCUCGACACUCAGCUGGAUCGAGAGUUCGUGGGACGUCACCGAGCCGAACGUGUGCAGAUCGCGGAGGUGUCGUACUUUCGAUACUAGGAUCGGUCGGAUCAUGAAUACAUAUGACUACAUCAACCAUGUUGUCAUAACGAUUCCGCUUACGGUCUACGAGGGUACGUGGACAACACUCUUCCCCUCUCGUUGCGAUGCAUCACCAUGAUAGAUCUUGCGUGUGUGUAGGAAUUUUUUUGAAAUUACUAUGUUUCCCAACAGUGGUAUCAGAGCCAGGUCUAUGUGUAGAUGUUAUAUGCACGAGUAGAACACAAAGGAAUUGUAGGCAUGGGUAUAUACAUAAUGCUUGUCGUCACUAGUUGAUUCUUGAUUCAGCGGUAUUGUUGGAUGAAGCGGCCCAGACUGACAUUACGCGUACGCUUAUGUGAGACUGGUUCUACUGACGUGCUUCGCACACAGGUGGCAGGUGGGUGUCAGUUUCUCCAACUUUAGUUGAAUCGGAUUCAAUGAACAGGGUUCUUUCUGAACAUCAAAAAGCAAUCACUAUACCACGUUGUGGUUUUUGAUGCGUAGGUAAGAAGAUUCUUUCUUAGCCCGUAGCAGCCACGUAAAACUUGCAACAACAAAGUAGAUGACAUCUCACUUGUUUUUGUAGUGGAUGUUGUGAUGUGAUAUGGUUAAGACAUGAUGCUAAAUUUUAUUGUAUGAGAUGAUCAUGUUUUGUAACACAGUUAUCGGCAACUGGCAGGAGCCAUAUGGUUGUCGCUUUAUUGUAUGAAAUGAAAUCUCCAUGUAAUUGCGUUACUUUAUCACUAAGCGGUAGUGAUAGUCGUAGAAGCAAUAGUUUGCGAGACGACAACGAUGCUUCGAUGGAAAUCAAGUUGUCAAGAUGGUGACGAUGGUGAUCAUGAUGGUGCUUUGGAUAUGGAGAUCGAAGGCACAAGAUGAUGAUGGCCAUAUCAUAUCAGUUAUAUUGAUUGCAUGUGAUGGUUAUCCUUUAUGCAUCUUAUUUUGCUUAGUUCGCCGGUAGAAUUAUAAGAUGAUCUCGCACUAAAUUUCAAGGUAUAAGUGUUCUCCCUGAGUAUGCACCAUUGCUACAGUUUGUCGUGCCGAGACACCACGUGAUGAUCGGGUGUGAUAAGCUCUACAUUCACAUACAAUAGGUGCAAGCCAGUUUUGCACAUGCGGAAUACUCGGGUUAAACUUGACGAGCCUAGCAUAUGCAGAUAUGGCCUCGGAACACUGGAGACCGAAAGGUCGAGCGUGAAUCAUAUAGUAGAUAUGAUCAACAUAGUGAUGUUCACCAUUGAAAACUACUCCAUGUCACGUGAUGAUCGGACAUGGUUUAGUUGAUAUGGAUCACGUGAUCACUUAGAUGAUUAGAGAGAUGUCUAUCUAAGUGGGAGUUCUUAAGUAAUUUGAUUAAUUGAACUUUAAUUUAUCAUGAACUUAGUACCUGAUAGUAUUUUGCAUGUCUAUGUUGUUGUAGAUAGAUGGCCCGUGUUGUUGUUUCGUUGAAUUUUAAUGCAUUCCUAGAGAAAGUUAAGUUGAAAGAUGAUGGUACAAACUACACGGAAUGGGUCUGUAACUUGAGGAUUAUCCUCAUUGCUGCACAGAAGAAUUACGUCAUGGAAGCACCGCUAGGUGACAAGCUUGCUGCAGGAGCAACACCAGAUGUUGUGAACACCGGGCAGAGCAAAGUUGAUGACUACUCGAUAGUUCAGUGUGCCAUCCUUUACGGCUUAGAACCGGGACUUCAACGAUGUUUUGAACAUCAUGGAGCAUAUGAGAUGUUCCAGGACUUGAAGUUAAUAUUUCAAGCAAAUGCCCGGUUUGAGAGACAUGAAGUCUCCAUUGAGUUCUAUAGCUACAAAAUGGAGGAGAAUAGUUCUGUCAGUGAACAUAUACUCAGAAUGUCUGAGUACCACAACCACUUGACUCAGCUGGGAUUUAAUAUUCCUGAUGAUAGUGUCAUUGACAGAGUUUCUUCAAUCACUGCCACCAAGCUACAAGAGCUACGUGAUGAACUAUAAUAUGCAAGGGAUGGAUAAGACGAUUCCUGAGCUCUUCGCAAUGCUAAAGGCUGCGGAGGUAGAAAUCAAGAAGGAGCAUCAAGUGUUGAUGGUCAAUAUGACCACCAGUUUCAAGAAAAAGGGUAAAGGGAAGAAGGGGGGCUUUAAAGAGAACAGCAAGCCAGUUGCUCCUCAAGUGAAGAAACCCAAGUCUGGACCUAAACCUGAGACUGAGUGCUUCUACUACAAAGGGACUGGUCACUGGAAGCGGAACUGCCCCAAGUAUUUGGCGGAGAAGAAGGAUGGCAAAGUGAAAGGUAUAUUUGAUAUACAUGUUAUUGAUGUGUACCUUACUAAUGCUCGGAGUAGUGCCUGGGUAUUUGAUACCGGUUCAGUUGCUAACAUUUGCAACUCGAAACAUGGACUAUUGAUUAAGCGAAGAUUGGCUAAGGACGAGAUGACGAUGCGCGUGGGAAAUGGUUCCAAAGUCGAUGUGAUCGCCGUCGGCAUGCUACAUCUACAUCUACCUUCGGGAUUAGUUUUGGACCUAAAUAAUUCUUAUUUGGUGCCAGCAUUGAGCAUGAACAUUAUAUCAGGAUAUUGUUUAAUGCGAGACGGUUAUUCACUUAAAUCAGAGAAUAAUGGUUGUUCUAUUUAUAUGAGUAAUAUAUUUUAUGGUCAUGCACCCUUGAUGAGUGGUCUAUUUUUACUAAAUCUUGAUAGUAGUGAUACACAUAUUCAUAGUAUUGAAACAAAAAGAUGCAGAGUUGAUAAUGAUAGUGCAACUUAUUUGUGGCACUGCCGUUUGGGUCAUAUUGGUGUAAAGCGCAUGAAGAAACUCCAUUCUGAUGGACUUCUGGAAUCACUUGAUUAUGAAUCACUUGGUACUUGCGAACCAUGCCUCAUGGGCAAGAUGACUAAAACUCCAUUCUCCGGAACAAUGGAGCGAGCAACACAAUUAUUGGAAAUCAUACAUACUGAUGUAUGUGGUCCAAUGAACAUUGAGGCUCGCGGCAGAUAUCGUUAUUUUCUCACCUUCACGGAUGAUUUGACCAGAUAUGGGUAUAUCUACUUGAUGAAACAUAAGUCUGAAACAUUUGAAAAGUUCAAAGAAUUUCAGAGUGAUGUGGAAAAUCAUCGUAACAAGAAAAUUAAGUUUCUACGAUCUGAUCGUGGAAGUGAAUAUUUGAGUUACGAGUUUGGUCUUCAUUUGAAACAAUGCGGAAUAGUUUCGCAACUCACGCCACCUGGAACACCACAACGUAAUGGUGUGUCCGAACAUCGUAACUGCACUUUAUUAGAUAUGGUGUGAUCUAUGAUGUCUCUCACUAAUUUACCGCUAUCGUUUUGGGGUUAUGCUUUAGAAACGGCUGCAUUCACGUUAAAUAGGGCACCAUCAAUAUCCAUUGAGACGACACCUUAUGAACUGCGGUUUGGCAAGAAACCCAAGUUGUCGUUUCUUAAAGUUUGGGGCUGUGAUGCUUAUGUGAAAAAUCUUCAACCUGAUAAGCUCGAACCCAAAUCGGAGAAAUGUGUCUUCAUAGGAUACCCAAAGGAGACUGUUGGGUACACCUUCUAUCACAGAUCCGAAGGCAAGAUAUUCAUUGCUAAGAAUGGAUCCUUUCUAGAGAGGGAGUUUCUCUCAAAAUAAGUGAGUGGGAGGAAAGUAGAACUUGAUGAGGUAAUUGUACAUUCUCCCUUAUUGGAAAGUAGUUCAUCACUGAAAUCAGUUCCAGUGAUUCCUACACCAGUAAGUGAGGAAGUUAAUGAUGAUGAUCAGGAAACUUCUGAUCAAGUUACUACUGAACCUCGUAGGUCAACCAUAGUGAGAUACACACCAGAGUGAUAUGGUAAUCAUGUUCUAGAGGUCAUGUUACUUGACCAUGACGAACCUACGAACUAUGAGGAAGCGAUCAUGAGCCCAGAUUCCGCAAAAUGGCUUGAGGCCAUGAAAUCUGAGAUGGGAUCCAUGUAUGAGAACAAAGUGUGGACUUUGGUUGACUUGCCCGAUGAUCGGCGGGCCAUGGAGAAUAAAUGGAUCUUCAAGAAAAAGACUGAAGCUGACGGUAAUGUUGCUAUCUACAAAGCUCGACUUGUUGCAAAAGGUUUUCGACAAGUUCAAGGAGUUGACUACGAUGAGACCUUCUCAGUCGUAGCGAUGCUUAAGUCCGUGCGGAUCAUGUUAGCAAUUGCCGCAUUUUAUGAUUAUGAAAUUUGGCAAAUGGAUGUCAAAAUUGCAUUCCUUAAUGGAUAUCUUAAAGAAGAGUUGUAUAUAAUGCAGCCAGAAGGUUUUUGUCGAUCCAAAAGGUGCUAACAAGGUGUGCAAGCUCCAGUGAACCAUUUAUGGACUGGUGCAAGCCUCUCGGAGUUGGAAUAUACACUUUGAUAGUGUGAUCAAAGCAUAUGGUUUUAUACAGACUUUUGGAGAAGCUUGUAUUUAUAAGAAAGUGAGUGGGAGCUCUGUAGCAUUUCUGAUAUUAUAUGUAGAUGACAUAUUGUUGAUUGGAAAUGAUAUUGAAUUUCUGAAUAGCAUAAAAGGAUGCUUGAAUAAGAAUUUUUCUAUGAAAGACCUCGAUGAAGCUGCUUAUAUAUUGGGCAUCAAGAUCUAUAGAGAUAGAUCAAGAUGCUUAAUUGGACUUUCACAAAGCACAUACCUUAAUAAAGUUUUGAAGAAGUUCAAAAUGGAUCAAGCAAAGCAAGGGUUCUUGCCUGUGUUAUAGGGUGUGAAGUUGAGUCAGACUCAAUGCCCGACCACUUCAGAAGAUAGAGAGAAAAUGAAAGUCAUUCCCUAUGCUUCAGCCAUAGGUACUAUCAUGUAUGCAAUGUUGUGUACCAGACCUGAUGUGUGCCUUGCUAUUAGUUUAGCAGGGAGGUACCGAAGUAAUCCAUGAGUGGAUCACUGGACAGCGGUCAAGAACAUCCUGAAAUUCCUGAAAAGGACUAAGGAUAUGUUUCUCGUUUAUGGAGGUGACAAAGAACUCGUCGUAAACGGUAACGUCGAUGCAAGCUUUGACACUGAUCCGGGUGAAUCUAAGUCACAAACCGGAUACGUAUUUUUAUUAAAUGGUGGAGCUGUCAGUUGGUGCAGUUCCAAGCAGAGCGUCAUGACGGGAUCUAGGAGUCUGGAUGAAGGAGUUCAUAUCCGAUCUCGGUGUAAUACCUAGUGCAUCAGGUCCAAUGAAAAUCUUUUGUGACAAUACUGGUACAAUUGCCUUGGCAAAGGAAUCCAGAUUUCACAAAAGAACCAAGCACAUCAAGAGACACUUCAAUUCCAUCUGCGAUCAAGUCAAGGAGGGAGACAUAGGGAUUUGCAAGAUACAUACGGAUCUGAAUGUUGCAGACCCGUUGACUAAGCCUCUCUCACGAGCAAAACAUGAUCAUCACCAAGACUCCAUGGGUGUUAGAAUCAUUACAAUGUAAUCUAGAUUAUUGACUCUAGUGCAAGUGGGAAACUGAAGGAAAUAUGCCCUAGAGGCAAUAAUAAAGUUGUUAUUUAUAUUUCCUUAUAUCAUGAUAAAUGUUUAUUAUUCAUGCUAGAAUUGUAUUAACCGGAAACUUAGUACAUGUGUGAAUACAUAGACAAACAGAGUGUCACUAGUAUGCCUCUACUUAACUAGCUCGUUGAAUCAAUGAUGGUUAUGUUUCCCGACCAUAGACAUGAGUUGUCAUUUGAUUAACGAGAUCACAUCAUUAGAGAAUGAUGUGAUUGACUUGACCCAUCCGUUAGCUUAGCACGAUGAUCGUUUAGUUUGUUGCUAUUGCUUUCUCCAUAACUUAUACAUGUUCCUAUGACUAUGAGAUCAUGAAACUCCCGAAUACCGGUGGAACACUUAGUGUGCUAUCAAAUGUCACAACAUAACUGGGUGACUAUAAAGAUGCUCUACAGGUAUCUCUGAUGGUGUUUGUUGAGUUGGCAUAGAUCAAGAUUAGGAUUUUUCACUCCGAGUAUCGGUGAGGUAUCUCUGGGCCCACUCGGUAAUGCACAUCACUAUAAGCCUUGCAAGCAAUGUGACUAAUGAGUUAGUUAUGGGAUGAUGCUUUACGGAAUGAGUAAAGAUACUUGUCGGUAACAAAAUUAAACUAGGUAUCGAGAUACCGACGAUCGAAUCUCGGGCAAGUAACAUACCGAUGACAAAGGGAACAACGUAUGUUGUUAUGUGAUACGUCUCCACAUAUCUACUUUUCUAAACACUUUUGACCUUGUUUUGGACUCUAACUUGCAAGAUUUGAAUGGAACUAACCCGGACUGACGCUGUUUUCAGCAGAAUUGCCAUAGUGUUAUUUUUGUGCAGAAAUAAAAUUUCUCAGAAUCACCUAAAACUUCACGGAGAAUAUUUUUGGAAUAUAUAAAAAAUACUGGCGAAAGAAUCAACGUCAUGGGGCCCACGCCCUGUCCACGAGGGUGGGAGGCACGCCCCUGCCUCGUGGGCCCCCUGAGGCUCCACCGACCUCAACUCCAACUCUAUAUAUUCAUGUUCGGGGAGGAAAAAAUCAGAGAGAAGGAUUCAUCGCGUUUUACGAUAUGGAGCCGCCGCCAAGCCCUAAUCUCUCUCGGGAGGGCUGAUCUAGAGUCCGUUCGAGGCUCCGGAGAGGGGAAUCCAUCGCCAUCGUCUUCACCAACCUUCCUCCAUCACCAAUUUCAUGAUGCUCACUGCCGUGCAUGAGUAAUUCCAUCGUAGGAUUGCUGGACGGUGAUGGGUUGGAUGAGAUUUAUCAUGUAAUCGAGUUAGUUUUGUUAUGGUUUGAUCCCUAGUAUCCAUUAAGUUCUGAGAUUGAUGUUGUUAUGACUUUGCUAUGCUUAAUGCUUCUCACUAGGGCCCGAGUGCCAUGAUUUCAGAUCUGAACCUAUGAUGUUUCCAUGAAUAUAUGUGAGUUCUUCAUCCUAUAUCUUGCAAGUCAAUAGUCACCUAUUAAGUGUUAUGAUCCGUUAACCCCGAAGUGACAAUAAUCGGGAUACUUACCGGUGAUGACCGUAGUUUGAGGAGUUAUGUAUUCACUAAGUGUUAAUGCUUUGUUUUGGUACUCUAUUAAAAGGAGGCCUUAAUAUCCCUUAGUUUCCAAUAGGACCCCGCUGCCACGGGAGGGUAGGACAAAAGAUGUCAUGCAAGUUCUUUUCCAUAAGCACGUAUGACUAUAUUCGGAAUACAUGCCUACAUUACAUUGAUGAACUAGAGCUAGUUCUGUGCCACCCUAUGUUAUAACUGUUGCAUGAGGAAUCGCAUCCAAUAUAAUUAUCCAUCACUGAUCCAAUGCCUACGAGCUUUUCACAUAUUGAUCUUUGCUUAGUUACUUUACCAUUGCUACUGUUACAAUCACUACAAAACCAAUACUAUUACUUUUGCCACUGCUACCGUUACUUCCAUGUUACUUUGCUACUAAAUACUUUAAUGUAGAUAUUAAGUCUUUCCGGUGCAUUUGAAUUUACAACUCAACUGUUAAUACUUGAGAAUAUUCUUUGGCUCCCCUUGUGUCGAAUCAAUAAAUUUGGGUUGAAUGCUCUACCCUUGAAAACUGUUGCGAUCCCCUAUACUUGUGGGUUAUCAAGACUAUUUUCUGGCGCCGUUGCCGGGGAGCAUAGCUCUAUUCUUUGAGUCUCUUGGGAUUUAUAUCUAUUGAUAACUAUGAAGAACUUGAAAGAUAAAAUAACCAAGAUUUAUCCCUCAACUACGAGGGGAGGUAAGGAACUGCCAUCUAGCUCAGCACUUGAUUCACCUUUUGUUAUGAGUAAACUUGCGACACCUACUCCUGCUAUUCAGUCUGAUAUGUCGCAUGUUAUUGAUGAUGCCACUUCUGCUAUGCAUGAUGCUUAUGAUGAAACUACUUCUAUGCUUGAUAAUACUGUGCCAUUAGGUGAAUUUCUUGUUGAACAACUUGCUAGGGUUAGAGAGAAUGAAAUUAUUGAAACUGAUAAUUUUGAUGAAAGUGAUGAUGAAGAUUCUCCCCCUAGAUAUGAAUUGCAUGUUGUGCCUGAGGGUUAUGUUAUGGAUGAAGAAACUGUUAGAGACUUUUUAGCUUGCAAUGAUAGAUAUGAUCUUAAGAAACUAUUAGCUAAGCUGAAAGAAAAGUCUUUGAAUGGUAGAAUGAAAUAUGACCCUGAUUUUGCUACUUCACCUAUCUGUAUUUACGAUAAGGAUUAUGAUUUCUCUGUCGAUCUUGAGUUAAUCACUUUGGUUGAAUCUGAUCCUUUUUAUGGCUAUGAGUCUAAAACUGUUGUGGCACAUCUUACUAAAUUAAAUGAUAUAGCCACCAUGUUCACUAAUGAUGAGAAAACUCGCUAUUACUUUAUCCUUAAGUUGUUUCCGUUCUCAUUAAAGGGUGAUGCUAAAAUAUGGUUUAAUUCUCUUGAUCUUGGUUGUGUGUGUAGUCCCCAGGAUAUGAUUUAUUACUUCUCUGCCAAAUAUUUCCCAGCUCAUAAGAAACAAGCUGCCUUAAGGGAAAAUAUAAUUUUGUGCAAAUUGAAGAAGAGAGUCUCCCACAAGCUUGGUGUAACAUCCCAAAUUUUCAAUUUGGAAUGUUAUACAUUAGAUCAUCAAUGAAUAUCAUAUUUGAUUUGCUUUUGGUUUUGAUCCUAGAAAUUCCACGCAACUCAAGGACCCACGGAGAGAGUUGGGGAUUUCGUUAUUUUCAUAUUUGAGUUUUCUCAAAUUGUGCGAAUAGGAUCAUUUGAUUUUAAUUGUUUUAUCAUCAAUUAUUUCUAUUACAAAAAUAUGAGAGAGGGAAUAAAAUCACUUCCCAAAAUAAAGAAAUAUUGAGGAUUUAAUAAUAAAAUCAAAUAAGAUUUUAUUUCGGAGUUUUCGGUAUUUUAUUUGAAUUUAGGAAAAAUGUGCGUUUUUCAAAAUUGCAUUUAGGCCCCAAAAUAAAUGUUCACCUUGUGUGGCUUGAUUUUAGAAGCCCAGGAAAAUUUAUUUCGAGAUUUUUGGAGUCCGUUUAGUAUUUUUUUUAUUUAUUUUUCUGCGGAAAUAAUUAAAAAAACGCGAACCGACUUUGGGCCGUACCCGAGCGGGACUCUGCCCGGGGGCAGCCUUUAAAUAGCCACCGCCCGAGCCGCCCCAGCCCACCAGAGCCGCCGCCAACCCCAACCCUAGUCACGCCUCGAUCCGCGCGCCCGCCGCUGCCGCCGGAGCCGCCGCCGACCCGCCUCCCGAGGUAAAAAAAAGGGAGUCACGGUUUCUUUUAGUUUCGGUUUUUUUAAAUAGAUCGGUUUUUCCGAUUUAUUUAUUUAGCGAGCGUUCGUCCGUUCGUUCGUUCUAGUGAACGUUCGUCGUUUUUCUUUUUCUCGUAUUAAAUCCGCGAUUUUUCUGAUCGCGAUUCCUCAUCCGAUUUUCAUUUUAGUAUAACUUUUCGCUCGUUUAUGGGAAUCAGGCGAUUCAAGCACCUGGAGUCGUCUCGAAACCCUCUAUCCGUUUAACCAACUUAAAAAAGUUUUUGCCACUGUAAAAAUUGCCCUAGAUCCAGAAUAGUAAACGAAGCUUGUUUCUUUUGCCGUUUGACUUUCGUUACUUCGUUUGAUUUGAUUCUUUUUGCAAACCGGAGUUCUUAAGUUGAACCUUCUAGUUAUAUCUCUUAUUUGAGUUUUACCGUGCAUUAGAUGAAUACUUAUUGUAUACUUGUUUGUUUGUCUGUGAUAGAAUACCCGGAGUGCGCCGCUUGUUACUUCGAAUCUCUAGGUUUUGGGGAUCAUCAGCAAGGCAAGUAACACUUUGAUCAUACCUCCUACUACCCAGUUUUAUUGCAUUAGAUCAAUCCUCAAACAUUGCAUGAUUAGGAUCUAAUUAAAUUGUGGGAUGGGAAGUAGUUGAGGUAGUACCUAUUACCUGUUUAUUUUCAAACCUUUGGGAGUUACUUCUACGUUUGCUUACUAUUGCUAUGCUAUGCUAGUAGACGUGGAUUGGGUGAGUGAUAUCCAUGACAGAUGUGAGUUUGUUAAUUAAGGGUUUAUCUAAGGUGGCAACUUAAAUACACAUCUGGGUGGAUUGAGGUACCUGGGUAUUCCAGGAUUGCCUAUUUUUUUCUUUAUGGACUGCCACCCAGGACCAAAGGGAUCAUGAGAUUUUUCAUACUAGAAACUUCCGUGUGCAGCCACAAGCUAUUAUGGGCUCUAGCAUAGUUGAUUAAGUCAUGCGAACUCUUACAGGGUAGACUAGCAGAUGUAGGGGAAAGUAGGUGUAACGGUCUAUCCAUCGUAAGGUGCUAGCGCUUCUGAAAGACUAGGUCUCGGUCAUCCGUCUUCUCAAACACCAUGUAGUGAGAGAAACCAAAUGGAGGCGAUCGAGUCUUGUGGGGAAAAGUGCGCAAAUCUCUGCAGAGUGUAUAAACUAAUCAUGAUUACCCGUGUCCCCGGUUAUGGACAGCUUGAGUAUCUAGUACUUGGAUUAACAUGUGAAUCUCAACAUGAUACUCUAAAAAUUAAUUUUGUUGGGUUUUGUUUAAUGAUGAUGCUUAAUUGGGAUUGAGAAUGCUGUCAACCAUUCUCAAUGUUUAACAACUACCAUGAUAGUUAAAUAAAAUUUAUUCCUUUGUAGUAGGGAAAAAUUGGCUUUACGCAACACUGUAACCAUAGAACUUUCCACCAGCCAAAUAUGCAUAUAGUAUAGUUGUUUCAUUCCAUUACUCUCUAUGUGUUACUUUGCCAGCAUAUUCCAUGUGCUGACCCGUUUCGGGCUGCAACGUUAAUGUUGCAGACUUUUCAGACGACGAUUAAGGAGUUUUUAGGUCGUGGUUCUAUACUCAGUGAUGCCGUUGGAGUUGAUAGACUCACUUAUCUUCCAAGCCUUCCGCUGUUAUAGUUAUUAGAUGGCCUUAAGCCAUAUUUAUUGUAAUAAGUUCUCUAUGGAGACACUCGAUGUAAUAAGUGUGUGAUUGCUACUCUGUUAUAAAUCCUCCGAGUACUGUGUGGUGUCAGCAUUACUGAUCCAGGGAUGACACCUGAGCACGGAGAUCAGACUGUUUGAGGUCUGGUCGCUACAGAGAUGGUAUCAGAGCACACGCUGACUCUAGGACACGACCACUAAGCUAAAGACCUAGAUCACUAUUCACUCUCUUCUCUUCUGACCUCUCAUCUUUUCUACUCUUUAGGAUGGCGGAUGCAAGGAACAAGUUCACGCAACUGGAUGACGAUACACCUUUUGGACGUCACUUGAAGGAAGUCACUAGAUACCUGAACAUAGGAGUACCAAGCUUCACCGGAACCUACAACGCCACUUUACCUAAAGAAGAGCGCUGGAUGAUUCAAGUUCAAGUUCCAGGAAGGACGUUCAUGCCAGUCACUGAGCCCAUAGAGUUUUCUUUUGAUGCACCAACUUGGAGUCUAGGAAAGAGCAUGGCAGCUCACAUCGCCAUGGGACGCAUUGGAGAAGUCUACCGCAAUGAUCUCAAGGAUACUAUCUACCAGAUUUGUGGGCGCCGAGAUGAACACUGGGAGAUGAUCAGCACCAGGAAGGAUAGAUCAAUUGCAGCUUUUAUCCAGGAAUUAAACUAGCACAUUUGACGACAGGAGAACCAGAUGUGCGCCGACAUGAUAGACCUGAAGAAGGCUAAGACAAGAAUCAAGGAACUAGAGGAAGAACUUAAGGCUCCACGUGAAUAUUAUGAAGAAGAAAUUGAAGUAUUAGUGGAUAAGAAUGCCGACCUAACAAUGAAGAUCGGGAUAUUUAUGGGAGGCCCUACACCAGUAGAAGAAGACGAAGAACCCAAAGAGAUUCGCCUGGAAGACUACAUCAUCAUCGACGACACCGACUCGGACCCAGAUGAUAGUGAUGAUGACUAUGUUGAUGAAGCCGGAGCAGAUAUCAUGGAGUCUGCAACCGAAGAAUAUUUCUAGUAGACCACCUCAUCAGUAGUAGUAGUCCACCAUGUAAAUACAGUAGUCCGAGCACUUUUGCGAUAGUUAGAUCGAUUGUAUGCCCUUGUUUGAUUGAAUGAAAUGAAUUGUUUGCUUUUGCCUCAUGAGCAUAUGGGUAGUGUUUUCUCUUUAGACCCCCUCUAUUCUUAAAUCUCAUCUUUUCUAAACCCUUAGAUGCCUCUGAGACGUGACCCCGGAUUUACCUUUCCACCGGAGCUCACCCAGUUGAUCCAGCAGCAGAACACACUGAUGCAGUUGCUAGUUCAGAAUCAGAAUCAGGGGAACAACAACAACAACCCACCACCACCGCCGCCUAUUGAUCACUUAGCCCGUUUGCUUAGGCUGAAUCCGCCGGUGUUUUCCAGUAGCACCAAGCCGAUAGUAGCAGAUGAUUGGCUCCACAAGACAACUAGAGAGUUGACCAUAGCAGGAUGCACAGAUGCGAAGAAGGUGAAGUUUGCCGCGCAUCAGCUUAAAGGACCCGCAGCAUCAUGGUGGGAGAAUUUCACAGCCACUUUCCCUGUCGACACUGUCACUUGGGACCAGUUUCAGCAGGCUUUUCGAACUGCCCAUGUUUCAGCAGGAGCUAUGGCCAUGAAGAAGCGUGAGUUUCGCAACUUGCACCAAGGAGGAUGGACAGUUGUCCAGUAUGUGGAGAAAUUUAGUAAAUUAGCACGUUAUGCCCCAGAUGACGUUGCUACGGAUGCAGCUAAGUAGGAGAAGUUUCUGGAAGGACCGAAUGACGAAUUGAGCAUGCAGUUGAUGGUACAAACCUUCAACAACUACCAAGAGUUGGUAGACCGUGCUCUUAUGAUUGAAGGCAAGCAGCAGCAAAUUGAGAACCGCAAGAGGAAGUAUGGACAAGGGAAGUACAAUUCUGGAGCCCGGCAUAAGCCACGUUUUACCCCUAGAUCAGGAGGACAUUUUCAGCAUACCCAUGGAGGAGGUAGCACAUACAAUCACAAUGGCACCAAGAAUGGUAAUGGGAAUGGAGGAAGCAACGGCCAGAAUCCCACCAACCCAUCAACCCCAGCCAAGGAAGACUUGAGCCAAGUCACUUGCUUUAAGUGCCAGAAGACCGGACAUUAUGCCAAUGAAUGUCCUGAAGGCCAGAAUAGCAAUGGAAGCUCUGGGAAGAAGCCGAACCCUUUCAACAGGGGACAGGUGAACCACGUUAAUGUGGAGGAGGUUGAAGAGCAACCGGAUGCCGUAAUCGGUAAGUUUUUGGUUAAGUCAAUUACUGCACUCGUUCUUUUUGAUACUGGUUCAUCGCAUUCAUACAUAUCAAGGGGAUUUAUGGAUAAGUAUAACUUGCCCACUAAGGUUCUUAGAACACCUAUGCUAGUAAGCUCGCCAGGAGCAGAGUAUAUGGCCAGUCAAGGAUGUUUUCAAGUGCCAUUGAGUAUAGGUAGGCAUGUGUUUCCCUCGGAUAUAAUCAUUUUGGAAUCACAAGGAUUGGAUGUAAUUCUGGGUAUGGAUUGGCUGUCGAUGUAUGGAGGAAACAUCGAUUGCGUCAGUAAGACAAUUUUGCUUACCACCGCAGAAGGGAGAAGGAUCAAGUAUGUAUCCCGACAUGUGCCAAAAGGGACUCAAGUAAAUUGUUUAACAGGAGUUGUGCAGGAGGAGGUACCAGUGGUAAGGGAUUUCCCUGAAGUAUUUCCAGAAGAGUUGCCACGCAUGCCACCGGAUAGAGAUAUUGAGUUUUUGAUUGAGCUAUUGCCAAGCACAGGGCCAAUAUCGAAGAGACCAUACAGGAUGCCUGCAAAGGAUUUGGUGGAGAUUAAGAAGCAGAUUAAGGAGUUAUUGGAUAUAGGUUACAUUCGCCCAAGUUCGUCACCUUGGGGAUCGCUAGUACUUAUAGUGGAGAAGAAGGAUGGAUCAUUAAGGAUGGUUGUUGAUUAUCGAGGAUUGAAUGAAGUAACCAUCAAGAACAAGUACCCAAUACCAAUGAUCAAUGAUCUGUUUGAUCGAUUGCAAGGAGCUAAGGUAUUUUCCAAGAUCGAUCUGCAAUCAGGAUACCACCAAUUAAAGAUUCGAGAACAGGAUAUACCUAAGACAGCUUUUACCACCAAGUAUGGGUUGUACGAGUAUACUGUUAUGUCAUUUGGUCUGACUAAUGCACCUGCCUAUUUUAUGAACAUGAUGAACAAAGUGUUUAUGGAGUUCUUGGAUAAGUUCGUCAUAGUGUUCAUUGAUGAUAUUCUGGUUUACUCAAAAAGUGAAGAGGAGCAUAAGGAACAUUUGCGAUUGGUACUUGAGAAGCUCAGAGAACAUCAGUUCUAUGCCAAGUUCAGCAAAUGUGAGUUUUGGUUGAAGGAAGUAGGAUUCCUCGGACAAGUUAUAUCCGGAGAAGGUAUAGCCGUAGAUCCCACUAACGUUGACACUCUGACAAAUUGGGAAGCGCCAACAAUAGUUGGAGAGAUCUGGAGUUUCCUUGGACUCGCGGGGUACUACCGGAGAUUUAUUGAGAAUUUCUCCAAGAUUGCCAAACCUAUGAUGGAGUUAUUAAAGAAGGAUACCAAGUUCAUAUGGACUGAGGAAUGUGAGGCUAGUUUCCAGGAGUUGAAGAAACGCUUGGUUACUUCAUCAGUGUUGAUUUUGCCAGACCAGACCAAGGAUUAUGAGGUGUAUUGCGACGCUUCACGUCGAGGACUUGGAGCAGUGCUUAUGCAGGAAGGGAGAGUUGUUUCAUAUGCCUCGAGACAACUGAAACCUCAUGAGUUGAAUUAUGCUACGCAUGAUUUGGAGUUAGCAGCCGUAGUGCAUGCACUGAAGAUAUGGAGACAUUUCCUCAUUGGAAAUUAUUGUGAGGUGUACAUGGAUCACAAGAGUUUGAAGUAUAUUUUCACGCAGAAGGAGUUGAACCUCAGACAAAGGAGAUGGUUGGAGCUCAUCAAGGAUUAUGAUAUGAGAUUGCAUUACCACCCCGGAAAGGCUAAUGUAGUAGCCGACGCAUUAAGCCGUAAGAGCCAUGUCAAUACAUUAAUGACGGGAGAAAUACCAAGAGAGUUAGCCGAAAAUCUUCGUGAACUAUGUUUGGAAAUAGUUCUGAGAGGCUAUGUAGCAGCAUUGGAGAUUGAGUCAACUUUGAUGGAUAGAAUCAGAGGAGCUCAAAAGACUGACAAGGAGAUUGCCUCUAUACAGGAGAAAAUGAGCGAAGGAAAGGCUAAAGGAUUUCGUGAGGAUGAGCACGACACCCUAUGGUUUGAAGACCGUGUUUAUGUGCCCAAUGACCCGGAGAUCAGGAAGUUGAUUCUGCAAGAGGCACACGAUUCACCAUGUUCGAUUCACCCAGGAAAUACCAAGAUGUAUUUGGAUUUGAAGGAUAUUUUCUGGUGGACAAGAAUGAAGAAAGAUAUUGCGGAGUAUGUAGCAGUUUGUGAUGUAUGUCAGAGAGUAAAGGCAGAGCAUCAGAAGCCAGCAGGAUUGCUACAGCCAUUGUCGAUACCCGAAUGGAAGUGGGAUAAGUUAGGCAUGGAUUUUAUCACGGGAUUACCCAGGACUCGUUCAGGCUAUGACUCGAUUUGGGUUGUAGUUGAUUGGUUGACGAAAGUAGCUCAUUUCAUCCCGGUAAAGACCACUUACAACAGUGCUAAGUUGGCAAAGAUAUACAUGACCAGAAUUGUAUGCUUACAUGGAGUUCCUAGGAGUAUAGUAUCAGAUAGAGGAACCCAGUUUACCUCAAAGUUCUGGAUCAUUUGCACGAAACUUUGGGUACCAGGCUAGAGUUCAGCACAGCUUUUCAUCCACAGACAGAUGGACAAACCGAGAGAGUCAGUCAGAUUUUGGAGGACAUGCUGAGAGCUUGUGCGCUGGAUUAUGGAUCUAGUUGGGACGAGAAUUUGCCGUAUGCAGAGUUCUCUUACAACAAUAGAUAUCAAUCCAGUUUAAAGAUGGCCCCUUUCAAAGCCUUGUACGGAAGGAGGUGCAGGACACCCUUGUCGUGGGAUGAAGUUGGAGACCGCCAGUUGUUUGGACCUGACUUGAUUAAGGAGUCUGAACAGAAGGUGAAAUUGAUUCGCGAUAGGCUCAAGAUAGCCCAGUCCAGACAGAAGAGUUAUGCAGAUUCUAAACGCAAGGAGACAGUUUACGAAGUUGGAGAUAGAGCUUAUCUUUGAGUAUCCCCACUUCGGGGAACAAAGCACUUUGGUGUUAAAGGAAAGUUAGCGCCAUGAUUUGUAGGACCAUACCGAGUAUUGGAACGUAUGGGAGAAGUGGCCUACAAGUUGGAAUUUCCUGAAGGAUUGUCAGGAGUUCAUGAUGUGUUCCACGUUUCUCAGUUGAAAAAGUGCCACGCGGAGAUGGCUGACAUACCUUUGAGAGACACCGUGCCAUUAGAAGCAAUUCAGUUGGAUAACGAUUUGACCUAUGAGGAGAAACCAGUUAAGAUUCUAGAGUAUGCCAGUCGAGUCACCCGUAGCAAGGUUAUCAAGUUUUGCAAGGUUCAGUGGAGCCACCACACGGAGGAUGAAGCCACCUGGGAGUGAGAGGAAGACUUGCUCAAGGACCACCCUCACCUAUUUUCUAGCCAACCCGAAUCUCGAGGGCGAGAUUCAUCUUAAGGGGGGUAGGUUUGUAACAUCCCAAAUUUUCAAUUUGGAAUGUUAUACAUUAGAUCAUCAGUGCAUAUCAUAUUUUAUUUGCAUUUGGUUUUGAUCCUAGAAAUUCCACGCAACUCAAGGACCCACGGAAAGAGUUGGGGAUUUCGUUAUUUUCAUAUUUGAGUUUUCUCAAAUUUUGCGAAUAGGAUCAUUUGAUUUUAAUUAUUUUAUCAUCAAUUAUUUCUAUUACAAAAAUAUGAGAGAGGGAAUAAAAUGACUUUCCCAAAAUAAAGAAAUAUUGAGGAUUUAAUAAUAAAAUCAAAUAAGAUUUUAUUUCGAAGUUUUUCGGUAUUUUAUUUGAAUUUAGGAAAAUGUGCGUUUUUCAAAAUUGCAUUUUGUCCCCAAAUAAAUGUUCACCUUGUGCGGCUUGAUUUUAGAAGCCCGGGAAAAUUUAUUUCGGGAUUUUUGGAGUCCGUUUAGUAUUUCUUUUAUUUGUUUUUCUGCGCGGAAUAAUUAAAAAAACGCGAACCGACUUUGGGCCGUACCCGAGCGGGACUCCGCCCGGGGGCAGCCUUUAAAUAGCCGCUGCCCGAGCCGCCACCAACCCUAACCCUAGCCGUGCGUCAGUCCGCGCGCCCGCCGCCGCCGCCGGAGCCGCCGCCGACCCGCCUCCCGAGGUAAAAAAAGGGAGUCGCGGUUUUAUUUUUUUUAGUUCCAUUUUUUCAAGUAGAUCGGUUUUUCUGAUUUAUUUAUUUAGCGAGCGUUCGUCCGUUCAUUCAUUCUAGCGAACGUUCAUCGUUUUCCUUUUUCUCGGAUUAAAUCCGUGAUUUUUCUGAUCGCGAUUCCUGAUCCGAUUUUCGUUUUAGUAUAACUUUUCGCUCGUUUAUCGGAAUCAGGCGAUUCAAGCGCCUGGAGUUUCGUCUCGAAACCCUCUAUCCGUUUAACCAACUUAAAAAAGUUUUUGCCACUGUAAAAAUUGCCCUAGAUCCAGAAUAGUAAACGAAUCUUGUUUCUUUUGCCGUUUGACUUUCGUUGCUUCGUUUGAUUUGAUUCUUUUUGCAAACCGGAGUUCUUAAGUUGAACCUUCUAGUUAGAUCUCUUAUUUGAGUUUUACCCGUGCAUUAGAUGAAUACUUAUUGUAUGCUUGUUUGUUUGUCUGCGAUAGAAUACCCGGAGUGCGCCGCCUGUUACUUCGAAUCUCUAGGUUUCGGGAAUCAUUAGCAAGUAAGUAACACUUUGACCAUACCUCCUACUACCCAGUUUUAUUGCAUUAGAUCAAUCCUCAAACAUUGCAUGAUUAGGAUCUAAGUAAAUUGUGGGAUGGGAAGUAGUUGAGGUAGUACCUAUUACCUGUAUAUUUUCAAACCUUUGGGAGUUACUUCUACGUUUGCUUACUAUUGCUAUGCUAUGCUAGUAGACGUGGAUUGGGUGAGUGAUAUCCAUGACAGAUGUGAGUUUGUUAAUUAAGGGUUUAUCUAAGGUGGCAACUUAAAUACACAUCUAGGUGGAUUGAGGUACCUGGGUAUUCCAGGAUUGCCUGUUUUUUUUCUUUAUGGACCGCCACCCAGGCCCAAAGGGAUCAUGAGAUUUUUCAUACUAGAAACUUCUGUGUGCAGCCACAAGCUAUUAUGGGCUCUAGCAUAGUUGAUUAAGUCGUGCGAACUCUUACGGGGUAGACUAGCAGAUGUAGGGGAAAGUAGGUGUAACGGUCUAUCCAUCGUAAGGUGCUAGCGCUUCUGAAAGACUAUGUCUCGGUCAUCCGUCUUCUCAAACACCAUGUAGUGCGAGAAACCAAACGGAGGCGAUCGAGUCUUGUGGGGAAAAGUGUGCAAACCUCUGCAGAGUGUAUAAACUAAUCAUGAUUAGCCGUGUCCCCGGUUAUGGACAGCUUGAGUAUCUAGUACUUGGAUUAUCAUGUGAAUCUCAACAUGUUACUCUAAAAAUUAAUUUUGUUGGGUUUUGUUUACUGAUGAUGCUUAAUUGGGAUUGAGAAUGCUGUCAACCAUUCUCAAUGUUUAGCAACUACCAUGAUAGUUAAAUAAAAUUUAUUCCUUUGUAGUAGGGAAAUUUUGGCUUUACGCAAAACUGUAACCAUAGAGCUUUCCACCAGCCAAAUAUGCAUAUAGUAUAGCUGUUUCAUUCCAUUACUCUCUAUGUGUUACUUUGCCAGCAUAUUCCAUGUGUUGACCCGUUUCGGGCUGCAACGUUAAUGUUGCAGACUUUUCAGACGACGAUUAAGGAGUUUUUAGGUCGUGGAUCUAUACUCAGUGAUGCCAUUGGAGUUGAUGGACUAACUUUGUUGGGGAACGUUGCAGAAAACAAAAAAUUUCCUACGGUUUCACCAAGAUCCAUCUAUGAGUUCAUCUAGCAACGAGUGAUCGGAUUGCAUCUACAUACCUUUGUAGAUCACGCGCGGAAGCAUUCAAAGAACGGGGAUGAGGAAGUCGUACUCGACGUGAUCCAAAUCAUCAGAGAUCCUAGCGCCGAACGGACGGCACCUCCGUGUUCAACACACGUACGGUCAGCGUGACGUCUCCUCCUUCUUGAUCCAGCAAGGGGGGGAGGAGAGGUUGAUGAAGAUCCAGCAGCACGACGGCGUGGUGGUGGAUGCAGGGGUCACCGCAGCAGGGCUUCGCCGUUCUACUACGAGAGGGAGAGAUGUAGCAGGGGAGAGGGAGGCGCCAAGAGUCAAGGGUGCGGCUGCCCCUCCCUCCCCCCCUUUAUAUAGGCUCCCCUAGGGGGGCGCCGGCCCUAGGAGAUGGGAUCUCCUAGGGGGGGCGGCGGCCAAGAGGUGGAGUGCCCCCCAAGCCAGGUGCCCCCCCCCCCACCCUAGGGUUCCCAACCCUAGGCGCAUGGGGUGGGCCAAGGGGGGCGCACCAGCCCACUAUGGGCUGGUUCCCCUCCCAACUUUGGCCCAUGGGGCCCUCCGGGAUGGGUGGCCCCACCCGGUGGACCCCCGAGACCCUUUCGGUGGUCCCGGUACAAUACCGGUGACCCCCGAAACUAUCCCGAUGGCCGAAACUGCACUUCCUAUAUAUAAUUCUUCACCUCCGGACCAUUCCGGAACUCCUCGUGACGUCCAGGAUCUCAUCCGGGACUCCGAACAACUUUCGGGUUACUGCAUAUUAUAUCUCUACAACCCUAGCGUCACCGAACCUUAAGUGUGUAGACCCUACAGGUUCGGGAGACAUGUAGACAUGACCGAGAUGGCUCUUCGGUCAAUAACCAAUAGCGGGAUCUGGAUACCCAUGUUGGCUCCCACACGCUCCUCGAUGAUCUCAUCGGAUGAACCACGAUGUCGAGGAUUCAAGCAACCCCGUAUACAAUUCACUUUGUCAAUCGGUAUGUUACUUGCCCAAGAUUCGAUCGUCGGUAUCCCAAUACCUCGUUCAAUCUCGUUACCGGCAAGUCACUUUACUCGUACCGUAAUGCAUGAUCCCGUGACCAGACACUUGGUCACUUUGAGCUCAUUGUGAUGAUGCAUUACCGAGUGGGCCCAGAGAUACCUCUCCGUCAUACGGAGUGACAAAUCCCAGUCUUGAUCCGUGUCAACCCAACAGACACUUUCGGAGAUACCUGUAGUAUACCUUUAUAGUCACCCAGUUACAUUGUGACGUUUGGUACACCCAAAGCACUCCUACGGUAUCCGGGAGUUACACGAUCUCAUGGUCUAAGGAAAAGAUACUUGACAUUGGAAAAACUCUAGCAAACGAACUAUACGAUCUUGUGCUAUGUUUAGGAUUGGGUCUUGUCCAUCACAUCAUUCUCCUAAUGAUGUGAUCUCGUUAUCAGUGACAUCCAAUGUCCAUAGUCAGGAAACCAUGACUAUCUAUUGAUCAACGAGCUAGUCAACUAGAGGCUUACUAGGGACAUGUUGGUGUCUAUGUAUUCACACAUGUAUUACGAUUUCCGGAUAACACAAUUAUAGCAUGAAUAAAAGACAAUUAUCAUGAACAAGGAAAUAUAAUAAUAAUCCUUUUAUUAUUGCCUCUAGGGCAUAUUUCCAAUAGUCUCCCACUUGCACUAGAGUCAAUAAUCUAGUUACAUUGUGAUGAAUCGAACACCCAUGGAAUUCUGGUGUUGAUCAUGUUUUGCUCUAGGGAGAGGUUUAAUCAACGGAUCUGCUACAUUCAGGUCCAUAUGUACUUUACAAAUAUCUAUGUCUCCAUCUUGAACAUUUUCACGAAUGGAUUUGAAGCGACGCUUGAUGUGCCUUGUCUUCUUGUGAGACCUGGGCUCCUUGGCAAGUGCAAUAGCUCCAGUGUUGUCACAGAAGAGUUUGAUCGGCCCCAACGCAUUGGGUAUGACUCCUAGGUCGGUGAUGAACUCCUUCACCCAAAUUGCUUCAUGUGCUGCCUCCAAGGCUGCCAUGUACUCCGCUUCACAUGUAGAUCCCGCCACGACGCUCUGCUUGCAACUACACCAGCUUACUGCCCCACCAUUCAAAAUAUACACGUAUCCGGUUUGUGACUUAGAGUCAUCCAGAUCUGUGUCGAAGCUAGCGUCGACGUAACCCUUUACGACAAGCUCUUCGUCACCUCCAUAAACGAGAAACAUUUCCUUAGUCCUUUUUAGGUACUUUAGGAUAUUCUUGACCGCUCUCCAGUGUUCCUUGCCGGGAUUACUUUGGUACCUACCUACCAAACUUACGGCAAGGUUUACAUCAGGUCUGGUACACAGCAUGGCAUACAUAAUAGAACCUAUGGCUGAGGCAUAGGGGAUGACACUCAUCUCUUCUAUAUCUUCCGCCGUGGUCGGACAUUGAGCUGAGCUCAAUUUCACACCUUGCAACACAGGCAAGAACCCCUUCUUAGACUGAUCCAUAUUGAACUUCUUCAAUAUCUUAUCAAGGUAUGUGCUUUGUGAAAGACCUAUGAGGCGUCUUGAUCUAUCUCUAUAGAUCUUGAUGCCUAAUAUAUAAGCAGCUUCUCCAAGGUCCUUCAUUGAAAAACUCUUAUUCAAGUAGGCCUUAAUGUUGUCCAAAAGCUCUAUAUCAUUUCCCAUCAAAAGUAUGUCAUCUACAUAUAAUAUGAGAAAUGCUACAGAGCUCCCACUCACUUUCUUGUAAACGCAGGCUUCUCCAUAAGUCUGCAUAAACCCAAACGCUUUGAUCAUCUCAUCAAAGCGAAUGUUCCAACUCCGAGAUGCUUGCACCAGCCCAUAAAUCGAGCAUUGGAGCUUGCACACCUUGUCAGCAUUCUUAGGAUCGACAAAACCUUCCGGCUGCAUCACAUACAAUUCUUCCUUAAGGAAACCAUUAAGGAAUGCCGUUUUGACGUCCAUUUGCCAUAUCUCAUAAUCAUAUAAUGCGGCAAUUUCUAACAUGAUUCGGACGGACUUCAGCUUCGUUACCGGUGAGAAAGUCUCAUCGUAGUCAACCCCUUGAACUUGUCGAUAACCCUUAGCGACAAGCCGAGCUUUAUAGAUGGUCACAUUACCAUCCGCGUCUGUCUUCUUCUUAAAGAUCCAUUUAUUUUCUAUGGCUCGCCGCUCAACGGGCAAGUCAGUCAAAGUCCAUACUUCGUUUUCAUACAUGGAUCCUAUCUCGGAUUUCAUGGCUUCCAGCCAUUUGUCGGAAUCCGGGCCCGCCAUCGCUUCUUCAUAGUUCGAAGGUUCACCGUUUUCUAACAACAUGAUUUCCAAGACAGGGUUGCCGUACCACUCUGGUGCGGAACAUGUCCUUGUGGACCUACGAAGUUCAGUAGCAACUUGAUCUGAAGUUUCAUGAUCAUCAUCAUUAACUUCCUCUCUAGUCGGUGCAGGCACCUCAGGAACAUUUUCUUGAGUUGCGCCAUUUUCCGGUUCAAGAGAUAAUACUUCAUCAAGUUCUACUUUCCUCCCACUUACUUCUUUCGAGAGAAACUCCUUCUCUAGAAAGGAUCCAUUCUUGGCAACAAAGAUCUUGCCUUCGGAUCUGAGGUAGAAGGUAUACCCAAUAGUUUCUUUAGGGUAUCCUAUGAAGACGCAUUUUUCCGACUUGGGUUCGAGCUUUUCAGGUUGAAGUUUCUUGACAUAAGCAUCGCAUCCCCAAACUUUUAGAAACGACAGCUUAGGUUUCUUCCCAAACCAUAACUCAUACGGAGUCGUCUCAACGGAUUUUGACGGAGCCCUAUUUAAAGUGAAUGCGGCAGUCUCUAAAGCAUAGCCCCAAAAAGAUAGCGGUAAAUCGGUAAGAGACAUCAUAGAUCGCACCAUAUCUAAUAGAGUGCGAUUACGACGUUCGGACACACCAUUAUGCUGAGGUGUUCAAGGCGGCGUGAGUUGUGAAACUAUUCCACAUUUUCUUAAGUGUGUGCCAAAUUCGUGACUCAAGUAUUCUCCUCCACGAUCUGAUCGCAGGAACUUGAUUUUCCUGUCACAUUGAUUCUCAACCUCACUCUGAAAUUCCUUGAACCUUUCAAAGGUCUCAGACUUGUGUUUCAUUAAGUAGACAUACCCAUAUCUACUCAAGUCAUCAGUGAGGGUGAGAACAUAACGAUAACCACCGCGAGCCUCAACACUCAUUGGACCGCACACAUCAGUAUGUAUGAUUUGCAAUAAGUUGGUUGCUCGCUCCAUUGUUCCUGAGAACGGAGUCUUGGUCAUUUUACCCAUGAGGCAUGGUUCGCAUGUGUCAAAUGAUUCGUAAUCAAGAGACUCUAAAAGUCCAUCUGCAUGGAGCUUCUUCAUGCGUUUGACACCUAUGUGACCAAGGCGGUAGUGCCACAAGUAUGUGGGACUAUCAUUAUCAACCUUACAUCUUUUGGUACUCACACUAUGAAUAUGUGUAGCAUUACGCUCAAGAUUCAUUAAGAAUAAACCAUUCACCAUCGGAGCAUGACCAUAAAACAUAUCUCUCAUAUAAAUAGAACAACCAUUAUUCUUGGAUUUAAAUGAGUAGCCAUCUCGUAUUAAACGAGAUCCUUAUACAAUUUUCAUGCUCAAACUUGGCACUAAAUAACAAUUAUUGAGGUUCAAAACUAAUCCCGUAGGUAAAUGUAGAGGUAGCGUGCCGAUGGCGAUCACAUCGACCUUGGAACCAUUCCCGACGCGCAUCAUCACCUCGUCCUUCGCCAGUCUCCGCUUAUUCCGCAGCUCCUGCUUUGAGUUACAAAUGUGAGCAACUGCAUCGGUAUCAAAUACCCAGGAGCUACUACGAGUACUGGUAAGGUACACAUCAAUUACAUGUAUAUCACAUAUACCUUUCGUUUUGCCGGCCUUCUUGUCCGCUAAGUAUUUGGGGCAGUUCCGCUUCUAGUGACCACUUUCCUUGCAAUAAAAGCACUCAGUCUUGGGCUUGGGUCCAUUCUUUGGCUUCUUCCCGGCAGCUUGCUUGCCGGGCGCGGCAACUCCCUUGCCGUCCUUCUUGAAGUUUUUCUUACCCUUGCCUUUCUUGAACUUAGUGGUUUUAUUCACCAUCAACACUUGAUGUUCCUUUUUGACUUCUACCUCUGCUGAUUUCAGCAUUGCAAAUACUUUAGGAAUGGUCUUUUCCAUCCCUUGCAUAUUGAAGUUCAUCACAAAGCUCUUGUAGCUUGGUGGAAGCGACUGAAGUAUUCUGUCAAUGACCGCGUCAUCCGGGAGAUUAACUCCCAGCUGAGUCAAGCGGUUAUGUAACCCUGACAUAGUGAGUAUGUGCUCACUGACAGAACUAUUUUCCUUCAUCUUACAGCUGAAGAACUUGUCGGAGACUUCAUAUCUCUCGACCCGGGCAUGAGCUUGAAAAACCAUUUUCAGCUCUUCGAACAUCUCAUAUGCUCUGUGUCUCUCAAAACGCUUUUGGAGCCCCGGUUCUAAGUUGUAAAGCAUGCCGCACUGAACGAGGGAGUAAUCAUCGGUAUGUGUCUGCCAAGCGUUCAUAACGUCUUCUUCUGCAGGGAGAACAGGUGCUUCACCUAGCGGUGCUUGUAGGACAUAAUCUUUCUUGGCAGCUAUGAGGAUGAUCCUCAGGUUCCGGACCCAGUCCGUAUAGUUGCUGCCAUCGUCUUUCAGCUUGGUUUUCUCUAGGAACGUGUUGAAGUUGAGGACAACGUUGGCCAUUUGAUCUCAAUACAUGUUGUAAAGAUUUUAGACUAAGUUCAUGAUAAUUAAGUUCAUCUAAAUCAAAUUAUUCAAUGAAAUCCCACUUAGAUAGACAUCCCUCCAGUCAUCUAAGUAUAACAUGAUCCGAGUUAACUAGGCCGUGUCCGAUCAUCACGUGAGACGAACUAGUCAACAUCGGUGAACAUCUUCAUGUUGAUCGUAUCUUCUAUACGACUCAUGCUCGACCUUUCAGUCUUCUGUGUUCCGAGGCUAUGUCUGUACAUGCUAGGCUCGUCAAGUCAACCUAAGUGUUUGCAUGUGUAAAUCUGUCUUACACCCGUUGUAUGUGAACGUUGGAAUCUAUCACACCUGAUCAUCACGUGGUGCUUCGAAACAAUGAACUGUCGCAACAGUGCACAGUUAGGGGGAACACUUUCUUGAAAUUAUUAUGAGGGGUCAUCUCAUUUACUACCGUCAUUCUAAGUAAACAAGAUGCAAAAACAUGAUAAACAUCACAUGCAAUCAAAUAAUAAUAGUGACAUGAUAUGGCCAAUAUCACAUAGCUCCUUUGAUCUCCAUCUUGGGGCUCCAUGAUCAUCUUGUCACCGGCAUGACACCAUGAUCUCCAUCAUCAUGAUCUCCAUCAUCGUGUCUCCAUGAAGUUGCUCGCCAACUAUUACUUCUACUACUAUGGCUAACACGUUUAGCAAUAAAGUAAAGUAAUUUACAUGGCGUUUCUCAAUGACACGCAGGUCAUACAAAAAAAAUAAAGACAACUCCUAUGGCUCCUGCCGGUUGUCAUACUCAUCGACAUGCAAGUCGUGAUUCCUAUUACAAUAGCAUGAACAUCUCAUACAUCACAUAUAUAUCAUUCAUCAUUCAUCACAACUUUGGCCAUAUCACAUCACAAAACACUUGCUGCAAAAACAAGUUAGACGUCCUCUAAUUGUUGUUGCAAGUUUUACGUGGCUGCAAUAGGAUUCUAGCAAGAACGUUUUCUUACCUACGUCAAACCACAAUGUGAUUUGUCAACUUCUAUUUACCCUUCAUAAGGACCCUUUUCAUCGAAUCCGCUCCAACUAAAGUGGGAGAGACAGACACCCGCCAGCCACCUAUGCAACUAGUGCAUGUCAGUCGGUGGAACCGGUCUCAUGUAAGCGUACGUGUAAGGUUGGUCCGGGCCGCUUCAUCCCACAAUACUGCUGAAGCAAAAUAAGACUAGUAGCGGCAAGAAAGUUGACAACAUCUACGCCCACAACAAAUUGUGUUCUACUCGUGCAAAGAGAACUACGCAUAGACCUAGCUCAUGAUGCCACUGUUGGGGAACGUUGCAGAAAACAAAAAUUUCCCUACGGUUUCACCAAGAUCCAUCUAUGAGUUCAUCUAGCAACGAGUGAUCGGAUUGCAUCUACAUACCUUUGUAGAUCACGCGCGGAAGCGUUCAAAGAACGGGGAUGAGGAAGUCGUACUCGACGUGAUCCAAAUCACCGGAGAUCCUAGUGCCGAACGGAUGGCACCUCCGUGUUCAACACACGUACGGUCAGCGUGACGUCUCCUCCUUCUUGAUCCAGCAAGGGGGGGAGGAGAGGUUGAUGAAGAUCCAGCAGCAUGACGGCGUGGUGGUGGAUGCAGGGGUCACUGCAGCAGGGCUUCGCCGUUCUACUACGAGAGGGAGAGGUGUAGCAGGGGAGAGGGAGGCGCCAAGAGUCAAGGGUGUGGCUACCCCUCCCUUCCCCCUUUAUAUAGGCUCCCCUAGGGGGGCGCCGGCCCUAGGAGAUGGGAUCUCCUAGGGCGGGCGCCGGCCAAGGGGUGGAGUGCCCCCCAAGCCAGGUGGGGCGCCCCCCACCCUAGGGUUCCCAACCCUAGGCGCAUGGGCUGGGCCAAGGGGGGUGCACCAGCCCACUAUGGGCUGGUUCCCCUCCCCACUUUGGCCCAUGGGGCCCUUCGGGAUGGGUGGCCCCACCCGGUGGACCCCCGGGACCCUUCCGAUGGUCCCGGUACAAUACUGGUGACCCCCGAAACUCUCCCAAUGGCCGAAACUGCACUUCCUAUAUAUAAUUCUUCACCUCCGGACCAUUCCGGAACUCCUCGUGAUGUCCGGGAUCUCAUCCGAGACUCCGAACAACUUUCGGGUUACUGCAUAUUAUAUCUCUACAACCCUAGCGUCACCGAACCUUAAGUGUGUAGACCCUAUGGGUUCGGGAGACAUGUAGACAUGACCGAGAUGGCUCUCCGGUCAAUAACCAACAGCGGGAUUUGGAUACCCAUGUUGGCUCCCACAUGCUCCUCGAUGAUCUCAUCGGAUGAACCACGAUGUCGAGGAUUCAAGCAACCCCGUAUACAAUUCCCUUUGUCAAUCGGUACGUUACUUGCCCGAGAUUCAAUCGUCGGUAUCCCAAUACCUCGUUCAAUCUCGUUACCGGCAAGUCACUUUACUCAUACCGUAAUGCAUGAUCCCGUGACCAGACACUUGGUCACUUUGAGCUCAUUGUGAUGAUGCAUUACCGAGUGGGCCCAGAGAUACCUCUCCGUCAUACGGAGUGACAAAUCCCAGUCUUGAUCCGUGUCAACCCAACAGACACUUUCGGAGAUACCCGUAGUAUACCUUAAUAGUCACCCAGUUACGUUGUGACGUUUGGUACACCCAAAGCACUCCUACGGUAUCCGGGAGUUACACGAUCUCAUGGUCUAAGGAAAAGAUACUUGACAUUGGAAAAACUCUAGCAAACGAACUAUACGAUCUUGUGCUAUGUUUAGGAUUGGGUCUUGUCCAUCACAUCAUUCUCCUAAUGAUGUGAUCUCGUUAUCAAUGACAUCCAAUGUCCAUAGUCAGGAAACCAUGACUAUCUGUUGAUCAACGAGCUAGUCAACUAGAGGCUUACUAGGGACAUGUUGGUGUCUAUGUAUUCACACAUGUAUUACGAUUUCCGGAUAACACAAUUAUAGCAUGAAUAAAAGACAAUUAUCAUGAACAAGGAAAUAUAAUAAUAAUCCUUUUAUUAUUUCCUCUAGGGCAUAUUUCCAACACACUUAUCUUCCAAGCCUUCCGCUGUUAUAGUUAUUAGAUGGCCUUAAGCCAUAUUUAUUGUAAUAAGUUCUCUAUGGAGACACUCGAUGUAAUAAGUGUGUGAUUGCUACUCUGUUAUAAAUCCUCCGAGUACUGUGUGGUGUCAGCAUUACUGAUCCAGGGAUGACACCUGAGCACAGAGAUCAGACCGUUUGAGGUCUGGUCACUACACUUGGGGGAGGCUUCUCCGAUUACUUAAUGCUUUGCCUGAUAAUCCUCUAAAGAAAAAUGAAAUACUUGAUAUCUUUUAUAAUGGACCAACCGAUGCUUCUAGAGACCACCUGGAUAGUUGUGUUGGUUGUGUUUUCAUGGAAAGAACUGUUGAGCAAGCUGAAUUGCUAUUGAAUAAUAUGUUGAAUAAGAUGAACCACCUCCUAAACCAACUCUGAAGAAAAGGGGUAUUCUAUUUCUCAGUCCUGAAGAUAUGCAAGAGGCAAAGAAAUCUAUGAAAGAAAAAGGUAUUAAAGUUGAAGAUGUUAAGAAUUUACCACCUAUUGAAGAAAUACAUGGUCUUGAUAACCCGACACAGGUAGUAAAGGUAAAUUCUCUCUAUAGAUUUGAUGAAGGUGGUAUUCCUCAUUAUAAGUCUGCUAGCCAAUGCUUAGAUGAGUUUGAUAAUUUUAUUGUUAAACAAGAAAACUUCAAUGCUUAUGUUAGUAGACAAUUGAAACGUAAUGCUUAUAUGAUUGAACACUUGAGUGAUUUUAUGUCUUGAGUUAAAGGUGAACUUAAAAUUAUUAGUAAACAUGCUUCUAUGGUUACCACUCAAGUAGAACAAGUACUUAAAGCUUAGAAUGAUUUGCUCAGUGAAUUAAAUAAUAAGAAAAAUGAUAAUGAUGUUAGAGUUAUGACUAGAGGGGUAGAAUGACUCAGGAACCUUUGUAUCCUGAGGGCCACCUUAAGAAAAUUGAGUAAGAUUCUCAGAGAACUAAUGUUGACGCACCUAGUUUUUCUAAGAAGAAGAAAAAUAAAAAUGAUAGGCCUUUGCAUGCUUCUAGUGAACCUGUUGUUGACACACCUGAGAAUCCCAAUGAUAUUUCUAUUUCACAUGCUAAAACACAAUCUGGUAAUGAACAUGAACCUAGUGAUAAUAUUAAUGGUGAUGUUCAUGUUGAUGCUCAACCUAGCAAUGACAAUGAUGUAGAGAUUGAACCUGCUGUUGAUCUUGAUAACCCACAAUUUUGUCUAGUUCCGAUGGAGGAAUCUUCGACCAUCUAUGAUAUACCGAAGCCGUGUCAAAUCUAGACGGGAAUCUGCACGAGUUUAGGGCGUUGUCUCCAGAGCCCAGCUCGGCGGUCCUUUGGAAGAUCCGACCGUUCAUCUACUGCGGAAUUCCCAUAUCUACCACCCCUCCAAAUUUCAGCUCCAUCCGACGGUUCAAACUUCGGGAACCUUCCGAUGAGUGGACCAAUUUUCAGAUCUAUUUUCUACGCGAAUACGGAUCCGACCCGAAUUCAUGUUUCUUUAUGAACAUGAUAUUGGACAACUUUUUUAGAGUUCUCUUCUAGGGUAUUAUGUGUCGUUUUUAAACAUGUGCCAGUAAAAUUUUAAGACUCCCCUCAGGUCAUCUUCAUCAUCAUGCUGGUGUCAAACCAGUCUGGCAAUAUUGCUCCAAGGCUGCCGACCUGCGCUAGACAUGUCGUCACUUUGCUGAGCCGAGCUCAACUUCUUUGGAUCAUCAUCUCGACAAGCCGAACAAGAGUUCGGCAUAGCAAAGGAUAAAUCAUCACCAACAUCAUCGCCCCACGGAUUACACGGAGCGGGCACACCGGCAUCGAUGCACGGUCACUUCAUCAAGCUGGCAUUGACCACGUCACGACCUACAUUGGCAGGGCCGCACUGUUUCUCCUUCAAGCCAAUGUCCAUGCAGCCGACCUACUUCGACUCAUCGGCUAACAUUGAGGCUUUGACAUCUCUGCUGGACCGGGGGCUUCGCCAUCUCUUCAUCAACCUACUCCGGAGACUUCGGCGUCACUAGCCGACCAGCUCCGUCACGUUAGCUGGACCGAGGGCUUUGCCUCGGCGAGCCAACCUUUGCCAGCAUCGCCAUGACGUCGCUUUAUCGCCCAUCAGGCAAUGGGUGUGCGCAUCGAGUCGAAAUUUUGGGAAUCACCUUUCUUCGGAUUGCUACAACAAAUAAACCAGGUGCUAUUAAUCCUAGUAUUUUUUGCUUGUUUGGGUUCAUUUUUCCCAAGGAAUUAUUACUCUGGUUUGUCCAUCACUAGUACAAAUGCCCGUGCGUUGCACCGGGCAAAAAAUGAAAUGUAACCUGCUCCACGUGCCAUUAUGCAACAUUUUUUAAUUUAAUUUUUUCAAACAUCAGAGAUAAGAUUACACUGAGUAUUUCUUUUUGUACGAUGAAAUUUGGACGUCAGAAAUAAGUACAUAUGUACCGAUCUUCUAAGACUGCUCGCGUCAACGAAGCACAUUCAAGUAUUCUACUGACCUGUUUCUUCUUGUGGUCGGAUUUUGGAAGAGAAUCAUCAUUCAACACAAGCUUGUUCACUCCCCAAUAGAUGGAAGUAAUGACAAGCCCAAGAAGUACCACUAUGCCCAUCAUUCCUUUCAAAGAUACUUCCCAACCAUCAACUCUUGGACCCAUUGUCCUGCGCAAAUUUGAGAAAUACUUCACAGUACACCCAGAAAAGAUAAGGGCAAUAUUUUAUUUACCCCAAGCCAAAUAGAGGGUAGAAUUCUUUUGCUUCAUCAACUGUGGUGAUAUGAAAAAGAUUUAAUCAACUCAACUAGAGCACAAAGGGCUAUCAUUUAAUAAGAAAGCUGACCAAAUAUGAAAUAAAUACUCAAACUCAAAAUUCCAUAUGGCAGGCACAAUAACGACAUGGACAAAUGGUACCUCAAGGAAUUAAAACUGAGGUAAGGGUUGCGGUCAGUGACCGGAAGUAGAAUAUGCUUAACUUGGGACAGAGCAUCAAUUGCUAAAGAACAUCCAGAUUCAGUCACUUCAGCCCUCACUGGUUAGAAAGCAAAGGCAAACAAACAUCAAACAGUAGGUCUCAGAUCAACCAUCCAUCAUACCUCUUCAAACAUAAUCAGAAGUAAGGAUGUUCCUUGCAAGUUUGAUUACAAGUCACCACAAAUUUCCCUGCUUAGAACAAAGUCAAGCAUGGUGAACAAUUCACUAACUUCGGUGCAGCAAAGGAAGGCGAAUACAUUGUCAGAAACGCAACUAUGCUUGGUCAGACACACAAUCAUUAGAACAUCACAUACAAAAAAAUCAGCAGUAGCAACCUGAACCCGCUGCACCUCACUCCAAGUGAAAGCAAAAUAACUAAUCUUCAGUACACGUAGUGACAGUACAAAGCGACGGCCAAGCAAUCGGCGUACAAAUCUCAAGAAGACUUCAAGUCAGAGGCCGCCACCCGCGCGCCUCUGCGGGGAACCCAGCCGGGGGCCAAUGGGCCAUAGCCAUGGGCACCACCGUCUGGGGAAGCAGCUCCGGGGCCGUGCCGGCGGCCGGUAGCACUGCCCCCGCGGUGCGCACCGAAGGCCAAGGCUGCGCCGUGGGUGCCGCCUCUGUUGCGGGCUGGUGCGCUGUAGAACCCUGCCUUGCCGACCAUGUGCCAUCGCCCCGCAGAGCGUCUUGGCCAAAAAUAUGAAACAUAAUGCAAUGGCAUGUUUAAAACUUUUUAUAAAGUAAAAAUAUUUCAGAAAAAUAGACAUCACAGUUUUCCAUAUGUAUCACACAAUAAUGUUUAGACUUUGUAGUUUUUUCUAAGAAGGUUGACCGCAUAUUCAAUACCAGUUGUUGAAAUAGGAACAUAUAGUUCUGCAUUUCCACUCUACACAUUGUUAUUUCAACAAAAAUGAAUCCAUUUUUAGAUAUUUUUCAUAUUUAUGAACUUCAAAUUGCUCAUUGUUUGAAGUAUUCGACAGUCUGUACAUAGCCAGGGCAAGAUUGGAAAGAUGAUGAUAAGGGUAAGAAGAUGGACCAGACACCAGAUUAGUGGACGACUAUGGGAUGACCUCAUAAUUCAGAAGGGAGUCAAAGUAAUACUCCCUCCGUUCCAAAAUAGAUGACCCAACCUUAUACUAACUUUGUAUUAAAGUUAGUACAAAGUUGAGUCAUCUAUUUUGGAACGGAAGGAGUACAUGAUAAGACAUCCUUAAAUUCAGCAUUCAAGGUCGUAAUAAUAUCCUGAUACUACAGAUAUGCUGACAGCAGAGCACAGUGUCCGUACCAAGUGGAACCAAACUUGUAGGCAAGUAAACCUGACACCAUACCAAUAUGUAAAUAAGAAGCAAAAGCGCAAGGAAAACAUAGCUCACACAAAGGACCGAGAAUUAGUGGCAUAAAUUACCAAAAGCAACCGGUUGUCCUAUAGUUCAAAUCAAAUUCUAAAGCAGAGGCUGAAUAUGGUAGAGACCCGUCAUCUUUUUAUUUUAAAACUUGUAGCGCCAGGAAUUACUUAGGGACAUUGUACACUGCAACAAUUUAGUGUUUGCUUGUACAUCACCGAGGACAUAUAGCUCCAUCUAUAAAUUCAGUAAAUUUGUACAAAUUCAGUAUAUUGACAAGGAUCAAUAUGUAGCUAAGCACCCUCUCAUAUUGAUUGUUGUCUACCUAUACACGGGGCAAAUUAGUUACCCACACACAUAUACACACACACAUGGGGAUCUAGAAGAAGAAAAAUCGGAUCAUCUGUAGGUGUUAUAUCUUUGCAGAAGGUAAAACCUUAGUGGUACCCUAAGUAAAAUUCAAUGUGUGUAAACUGAUCUGACAAGUGAAACUUUAAUUCAACAGACAUGGCAAUCAUUAAUUCCGAUAAGAAGACAUGCUUGAUUAUAUGAUCUAAACAACAGCCUUGUUAUAUUACCUGACGAUAUAGGGAUGACUGAAACUUAAAGUCCAUAAAUUAAGAAGUAAUAGGUCACAGGUUGCAGAAGAGGACCACGCUUGAAUUUCCAAAAGUUUAUCAAAUGAUCAAAAAGUCCAGUUUGAGACGCUAUCAUCUGCAGCAGGGAAGUAUAGUAACAUCAGGGCAGUAUAGUUAGAAGCAAAAAUAAUGCAACUAAGCAAUCAUGAUGGAAAAGGUAAAACUAAUACAAAUAGAGUACUACAGAGAACUACCAAUAUCACUGAUAAGUACUGAAUCCAAC